UUUCAUUCAAAAUCACAUUAUAACAAAAACAAUAUAUUCAUUACAAAGUAAAAUAUCGCGAGUGAAAUCUAAAAAGGAUAAAGAGCACGUGGAUCUUGAAAGUGCAAGUCACAUUAAUCAUUAUAAUCUCAUGAGUAAAAUCUGAGAGAUCAUCUUCAAUAGACCCUCGACUUCAAAAUCAUAUUAGUAGUUGUAAAAUAUGUGGCGGGCAAAAAAGGUGGAGGUUUAUUUGGAGCAAUCCGUCAAGCUUUUACUGGACUUGAUAGACACCGACUCGUUAUCCUUCCACUACACAGAGCGGGAGCUGUUUACUGCUCUAUGAAGCCAGCCUCGUGCGAUCCGCCCCACUUUAGGAAUCAAGAAGCCCAUACUUACAUUUGGGCCUCAUUAUCCAACACUGUGCUUGGAUAGGGCAGGCCAGAAAUAAGCCCAUCAAGCCCAACCAUUUGGUUAAGCCCAAUAUUCUACCACCUUAAUGCCGGGUUACAAGCCCACGUUACUAAGCUCGACGUGCAACAAAGUGUCAUAGAUUAUUAUAAAUUCAUUAACAUAUGGCGAUGUGGGAAAAAUUAUAAAUUCCAUGAGAGGCAAUAAAGAGAGUUAUAUUUAGUUUAAUGUUGCACCAUUUCUUACUUUAUUUUCAUUUUGUACGAAUUGUACGUUUCAUAUAAUUGCUUAUUUCUUGUAUUUUGCUUUCAUACUUAAAUUUUGUGAUGUUAUACUUGAGUUGAGGGCUUAUUGGAAAGAGGUUUUUUGUCCUCACUAAGUAAAGAUUAGAUUGCGUACACAUUAAUAUUAUCAAACUUCACUUGUGAAAUUACAUUGAGUGUGUCGUUGUUGUAUUUUAUCUUGUACGACAAUGGCAUGAGUUGAGUUUAAUGAAGUGACGAGAAUUCAUAUAGCCGAUCCCAACUUAUUUAAAAUUGAGGGACCAAAUUCCGUUAAUAUUUCCCAUGUUAAAUUCGUGUUUUGAAUCAUUUCUUGCUUCGUUGUAGAAAGAAGAAAACUUAUAUAUUUGUUUUGUGAUUUUGAGACAUAAGAAAACUUAUAUAUUUGUUUUGUGAUUUUGAGGCAUAAGAUCUAAUAAUAUUAACUUCUUUUAAAUGACAAUACUUUUGUUGUGCUUCAUGAUUUACAUCCCAACAACCUAUGUGGUUUGAAUGAGUCAUUUUCUUCGUUCUUAAUCAAAGAUCUCAAAUUUGAAUCACAUGUAUAAAGAAUUCAAAUUAUCAAUCUUUUUACAAGGAUUUCGUACUCAAUAUAUAUAUAUAUAUGUGUGUGUGUGUGCAUAAAAUAACGGAAUAAGUAAGAACUUACAAUAUAAUUUUCGAUUGCACUGAUGAAAAUAUUGUGUGAAAAUCCUGAUUAGGCUGUAUAAAGAAUUCAAAUUAUCAACCUUUUUACAAGGAUUUCGUAUUCAAUAUAUAUAUAUAUAUAUAUGCAUAAAAUAACGGAAUAAUUAAGAACUUACAAUAUAAUUUUCGAUUGCACUGAUGAAAAUAUUGUGUGAAAAUCCUGAUUAGGCUGUAUAAAGAAUUCAAAUUAUCAACCUUUUUACAAAGAUUUCGUACUCAAUAUAUAUGCAUAAAAUAACGGAAUACUUAAGAACUUACAAUAUAAUUUUCGAUUGCACUGAUGAAAAUAUUGUGUGAAAAUCCUAAUUAGGCAAAAAAAGAUUUCGUACUCAAUAUAUAUGCAUAAAAUAACGGAAUACUUAAAAACUUACAAUAUAAUUUUCGAUUGCACUGAUGAAAAUAUUGUGUGAAAAUCCUAAUUAGGCAAAAAAAAGGUGGUUGUUUAUUGGAGCAACCCAUUAGGCGUUACUGAACUUGAUAAGACACCGACCCAUUAUCCUUCCACUGCACAGAGCGGGAGCUGUUCACUGCUCUGUGAAGCCAGCCUCAUGCGGUCCGCCCCGCUUUAGGAAUCAAGAAGCCCAUAUUUUCAUUUGGGCCUCGUGAUCCUACUCUGUGCUUGGACAGGGCAGGCCAGAACUAAGCCCACCAAGCCCAACCUUCUGGUAAAGCCCAAUAUUCAACCACUUUGAUGUCUCCACUUGGAUUACAAGCCCACGUUACUAAGCUCAACAUACAACAUAAUAUUAUACAUUAUUAUAAAGGAGACAAAUUCAUUGUUAUAUGACGAUGUGGGAAAACUUGUUCAUUCUAUGAAAAGAACAAAUAUUGUAUGGUAUAACAAUUCAUAGAUACAUAACCAUUUAUACUUCUUUUUAAAUUCAUCAACGAUAAUUUCUCGCUUUUUUCCAUCGAGGUAAUUAUGCAUUUCUUCAUCUUUAUAAUUUGUAUCAAGUAUUUUUGUUUUUAAUCUUAUGUUUUUUUAGUAUGUUCGCACAUCUAUCUCAACACUCUUCUUUUCACUUUUCUCAUUCUUCGAAUAUAAGCUAAAGAGUUUUUAAUCGUUCAUUACGUUGUCCAAUACAACAUAAUCAAUCCCACUAUUACUCUAUUGAUCUUACUUUCUAAAGUUUCGAUAAGACAUUCUUACCAAAUUUAUUUUAUAAAUAGAAUUUGAUUUUUUUAUGUUAAAUUAUUUUGGGAAACGUACAUAAAUAUGGUAUAUUCAGAAAAUAUUUAUCAUUUAUAGAGAUAAUAUUUUUUUAUUACUUGAUCACUUUUAAUACAUUUAUUAUACUUAUUUAUUGCAUAAAUAAUUUAUCUUUCAUAUGUAUUACAGAUUUAACAUAACAUUCGUAUAAAUGAUGACAAAUAAAAAAUAUUACUAAAAUUAAUAAUUAUUUAUUAAAAGUAAUUUUUUAAAUUAUAAUUAUUUUUAUGGUAGUUUAAAUCCUUUUUACUAUAUCUCAAAACCCAAGGUAUACUCAAAAAUUAGCUGACAACAGUACAAUCUCCUUCAUCGGCGGCACAACCUGUUGCUUAUCUCCGAUCUACUCCGGCGAACGGCGAAAUUCGAGCUGUAAGUUCAAUACAUAUAUACAUAUAAUAAUAAAGUUUUCAUCUUUUUAUGUUUUAACAAACCCUAGUCCUUAAUUCUUUGUUCCAUGAUUUUUAAUGGUAGAACUAUCAAAUUGUGAAAGGUUUUUGUUCUUUUUUGUAAUGCUUUGGUGGGUGGUUAGGUGGUGGGUGGGUUGAAUCAGCUCUGGAAACUGUAUAAUUCAACAAUAACAAUAAUAUACCCAAAAGUGUAGUUCCACGAGCGGGGUCUGGAGAGGGUAGGAUGUAUGGAGACGUAUCAUCUACCUUUGUAGGGUAGAGAUUAUAAGGUCUGUUUCUGAUAGAUGCUCGACUCGAAAGAAGACUGUCUAAUUCAGUAUUUUGAAGUAAAACUGAAAAGCUCAAAUAAAGAGGCAAUGGUUCUGGGUCUUUAAUCCAGAAAUAAGCAGCAUAACAAACUAUUGUACGAAGCGAAGUGCACAAUUUGUAAUGCGAAAUUAUCUUAUGUGUAGGAUUGAGUACCUAUUUUAACAUUUUCACUGAUCAAUUGUAAAAUUGAUAUAUAUCCAUUUGUUGAUUGAUAAUCAAUAAAAAAAGUUAAUUUGUUGUCAUUAGUUUGGUAACUUUGGUUAUAAUGAACUUCAAUAGCUAGGGUCAUCUUUUUAUUUUCCAACAUCUGCCUGUAAAUAGGAACAAAACAGACGAAUACGCAAGAAAAAAGAAAUGUUGACAGGAAGAGUAUAAGAGAGAAGUGACGAGAAGUCAAUAUCGCAAGUAUCAACUUGAACACAGAAAUACAAAGAGUCAUUUGGAUGUUCCUUUUUGCUGUAAUUUGGAUGUAAUUGCAGCAACUUCAUGGUGCUGAUUUUUAACAUCUUUAACAGUUACCAUUAUAAAAAAAGAAGGAAAGAAGCAAAUUAAGAGAAUUCAAGAAACAUGAGUUGAAGAAAAUUGAAUGCAACUUAUAGAAGUGUAAGACAAGGAAAGAACAUUGAAAUGUAGCUUUAAGAGGACUAGUCCUAGUACCAAUAGCAUAAGAAUUGUAUUUGAUGGGAAGAGUAUGGAUUUCAUUUACUUUACAUUCGUUAUUGGCUGCAAAAUUGUGCAAUGUACUACUCUCUUUUGAGGAUAAUAAGUGGUCGCUUUUCUAACAUUUUUAUCAUAGAGAAGAUAAAAAUAAAAUUAGACCAUUAAAUGUGAAUGUGUAAAUUUCAAGUCAUGUAAAUUUCCUUAUACAUCCACUAUUAUGUGAGUAUUUUGUGAAUUGGGUGAGGUUUUAGCUUAUUUAAUGUGACAGGUUUUGAAGUUGUGCAAAUGUUAUUGUGAUUAAUGUUUAUCUUGUUGACCUUAUUAAAUUGAUGUAGUUUCUCUAGAUUUUGGGUUUAAGCGUUUUUUUUUUUGUGCUGAAACAAAGUCAGUGAAUUUCAUCUAAGAUAAAGCUAUGUCUUAAUCAGAUGGAGAAUCUAAACGGCUUAGUUCCUGACAUCCCUAUACAAGAGCAGAAAGACAAUGCUACUGCUUCUGAAAAUUUCGGUCGAAGUGUUGAUGAAAUGGUUGGGAAGGUUGAUCAGGUAACUUGGUGCUGAGGAAAAUUGUAUACUUGGUUGUGGUAUGCUAGUUGGCAUCCAAAUGGAUAGUAAAUCUGUUCAAACAUUCUUUGAGAUUGUCCUUUACUAUUGUACUUUACAUUGUUGUUUUUUCAUAUUAUCAUAUUGUUUGUCUACAUGAUCUUAACACGCUAUUUUUAGCUUAUUUGUAGCGUGUUAUCUCUGAUAAAUUAUUAAUAUAUAUUUAAUAAAAUAACUGUUAUUUCUAUGUUAUUAAAAUUUUGUAUAAUGUUAGCCUGAUCCAUAUAGCCGAACUUGUUGAUGUACAAGUUGUUGUUUUAGAUGAUACACAAUUAACAAUUCAGAAAAAUGAAACGCGAUUCAAAUUGUCCACUUGAUAGAAGUGUUCAUUCUGAUUGACAUUAUGGUUGCCUGUAGUAUGUACAAUUUUUUAUGUGCAAAAGCUGCAUUUCUUAUAGGAGAAAGUGUACGGCAAAGAGAUUAUUCAUUGCAUCUCUCGAGUUCCUUUUUACUUCAAGAAAAUUGAGAAAAAAGAACAUUCAGAACAUUCUUUUGAUAGUAUGCUCCACGCAAGAAGAUACACUUGGGUACUCACCAAGAUUCUUUGGCAAGAGCGUGCAAAAUGAAGAUAUAGGAUUUUUGCUUUAUAGUUUACUUUUUCUUGUUUCUAUUUUUUUUUCUUUCAAUCUUAGGCAGGAAAAGGCUGCUUGUUAAGCUAAAUUCUUUCAUAAGUGAUCACCUCAUAGCUUCACUCUUAAUUCUCUUUGACAAAUUAUUUCUGUUAAAAAGCUUUUGCCCAUAGUUCAUAAAAAAUACAGCAGAUGUUAUUUCUUUUGGCAUUGUUACUCUCAUCAAACUAUUUCUGUUUUACCAGCGCACAAACUGUAUAUUACCCAGAAUUUGCAAUAUAAAAGAUAUUAUCUCUCAGCAUCUAUGCGCUGAUAGCUCAUGUAUUUCUGCUUUCAUGAUUUGCUCUUAAAUAUAAUCUGGUCACAAGUUUGUUACAUCAACAGAUUGAGCAGAGACUGAAUGAGGUUGAGCAUUUCUAUUCCAAUACUAGUAAAAAACAAUCAAACACGCCAAGAGGUGGCUCUAUUCUGAAAGACAAAGAGAAACAGAUGUCUAGCUUUAGAAGGCGGCAGCAGGAUGCAUCACGUAGAGAAGCAGCUGGUUCCAGGAGAAUGCAAGAACUUAUGCGCCAAUUUGGUACUAUAUUACGUCAGGUAAUCUCAUUAUUUUUUCCGUGCCUUGACACCUUUUUGCCUGUCUAAAGCUUGUGUGCUACUAAAUUGUAACUGCUGUGAUCCUUCAAACUUCUAGCAAUAGAUGUAAUUAUUUUGUAACCUGAAGCAGUACUGCAAAGAACGCGAGAAAAGGUUUGAGUAAAUACUAAAUAGUGGUACAUGCUGAAUUUGCAGAACAGAAUUUUUUCUGAUAAACAUUGAAGCUUCUGAUAAGUGUUGAAGAGAUCUAAAUACGGUUAAGCUAGUAUUUUUUUAGUCAUUGUGAUUUCCUGUUACCUGUAAGAGUAUACAAAGUUUCGAAAUGCCUCAUGUCAGUUGCUCACUUUUUGGUACCGAUGAUGUUUUACUCUUUUUACUUUUUAUACGGAGGUACACGUACUUGUCCUGCUGUUGGUUAUACAUUCUCUUCCUGUCUCUCCUUUGCAAGUAAGCUUGCUGAUUUACCCAUUGAAAGAUGUAUUUUGUCUGAUCUUAGCCUUCAUCCUUCUCUGUCUUUGUAACUUUCUUUAGUUUAUUUCUUCUUACUAUAGGAAAUAAUGGUAAAAGAAAGAAGUGUAGGGCAUCUGAGCAAAUUAUGGUGAUGCACCUUGUUUAAGAUCGAAUGUAGAUUUGCUCCAGUUAAUUUAUUUAUACUCAUUACUUAGUGUAUUUGUCAGAUCACUCAGCACAAGUGGGCAGAACCUUUUAUGGAACCUGUGGAUGUCAAGGGUCUUGGAUUACACGAUUAUUUUGAGGUAAAAGCUUUGAAUUUUCUUGUUUGUGUACUUACUGUAUCUGUGAUGUUCUUAGGAAUCAUAUGCUCCUUUUAUUUCUGCUAAUACAUCAUGGGAUUUCUAGGUUAUUGAGAAGCCUAUGGACUUCAGUACUAUCAAAAACAAGAUGGAAGCAAAGGAUGGUUCUGGCUAUAAGCAUGUCCGAGAGAUAUGUGCUGACGUGAGGCUAAUAUUUAAGAAUGCGAUGAAAUACAACGAGGAAAGGGAUGACGUUCAUGUAAUGGCGAAAACCUUGUUGGGAAAAUUCGAGGAGAAAUGGUUGCAGCUUUUGCCCAAAGUUGAUGAAGAGGUAUGACUCAUAUCCAUGUAUUAUCUAUAGUAUUUUUCUUCAGCAUCUCAUAGAAAUUGCUAAGAUAAUUGAACCAUUUUCUUCUAGGCUAUUGAUAUAUGCUAAAUGAGAUUUUUUCAUCAAGAAUAUGCUUGUAUGAGAUUAAGAUAUUAAUCGGGUUUUCAAGUAAAUGAUUGAGAGAUUAAUAUGUAGAACUACUGCUCGUAGGAAAAACGGCGAAAGGAAGAGGAAGCAGAAGCCCAACAGGAUAUGCAGCUCGCUCAAGAGGCUGCUCAUGCAAAAAUGGCAAAAGAUUUAACUAUUGAGGUAGUUAAGGCUCAGAAUCCUUUACACGCAAACAUUAGUCAUAUUGGCCUAACUAUUUAUGGAUCUUCCUCUUCACGCAAUAAAUUUAACACCCUGUAGAUAAUAACUUAUAUUUAUCUUUUGAAUUCCAGCUUGAUGAGGUGGACAUGCAACUGGAAGAACUCAGGGACUUGGUGCUUCAGAAAUGCAGGUUAGAACUUUACAAACUACUCCUCAGUUAAGUUGUGCAUUGAUUAAUUUUAAAGUAGCUGAUUGCUUAUAAAUAUACCUUGUACUCUGGUCCUUCCUUUCAUUGAAUGGGUUACGAGAUAUUCUUUUGAUUGAAUCCAAAAUAUUACCUAAAAUGAUCCAUAAUUCUCUGUUUUGCCUGAAAGAUGACAGAUGUUUCUAUAGUACAACCCUUUUUCUCAUUGAACAUUUGAGUGUUUUAAAGAAAAUCUCCCUAGCAUAUGGUGCUAGUAAUUGGUGAAAACCCCAUGAACAUGAUUUUUUGUUGGCAAAAACUGUCAGACACUAGAAAUAAAUAGAACUAAUGCCUAUAGGUUGGCCCAUUUAUGAAGGAAGGUGGAGAAGAAAUGAAUUUUAGGAGUCUUUUGCCUGGAUAUAGGAGGGGAGCAGUUGUAAUGCCUGUUAAUUGGUUGUAAAUUGUAAUAUAUUAAGAACAGACAAUUCAAAUGGAAAAGGAAAAAUCUAUGCUAUGAUGACCUUUUUCCAAUAGUGAGGAGAUGGAUAAGCAUUGGCUGGGAAAUCAUAGUCAAUAGUGAUUGCUUGCUCAUGACACGGUUUCGACAAUGAAGCUUCUUUUGUUUUGCUUCCUGGCUCUGGUUGGCUUACUUAUGUGGAGGGUAAAAUUAGUAUGUUGGACAAACCCGUCAUUGUACAAGAUCCAGAUGCUAUAAUACUAGACACCGUAGAGAAUUUGCACUUGCUAUAAUACUAGACACAGGAGAGAAUUUGCACCAUCUGUAAUUACACCUGAUGCACUGGCUUAAUGGAAGUUCUUAUAAGACUUGUUAUUACUUGUUAAAAAAACUAUCUAAUAGCAGAAGGAGAAGUCCAUAUAAUCAGCGAAUUUAGAAUGAAAGGUGAAACGCUAACAUAGCAGGCAAACAGGAAAUGCUCCAAGUACAAUUUGGGCCAUUGAUAUGCUUACGUGAUACAUUAGUAUGUCACACUCAUGCUCCUGAUUUAACAAGGAGGCAUGGAAUGUGGCUAGCCUCUAUAACGACUCGCUUAGAUGUGUGUUGCCUAUGCGAGUUUUUAUGUGAUUCGACUUUAGGUUAACUGUAGUAUUUGUCGCUAAGUUUCUAAUAUAUAUUUCAGAAAGAUUUCAACGGAAGACAGGAAACAACUUGGGAAUGCGCUCACUAAGCUGUCUCCUGACGAUCUUAAUAAGGCACUAUUGAUUGUGGCACAGAAUGAUCCUACUUUCCAACCAACAGCAACAGAAGUGGAACUUGAUAUGAAUGCUCAGGUCAUCGAUCGUUUUAUCAUUUCAUAUUUGCAGCAUUUCUAGUUCUUAAUCUACUCUUGCUUUACAUGACACAAAGUAUUGACCUUUAUGCAGAGUGAGUCCACAUUAUGGAAGUUGAAAUUCUUCGUACAGGACGUGCUACAUACACAGGGAAAGAGCCCAGUGAGCGUCAAAACAAACAACAUCAAUACCAGUAAUCUCCUUAACAACAACAACAACAACAAACGUAGAAGAGAAUUUUACGAUGCACUCGCCAAAUCUUCCCAGAAAAAGAGUAAAAAGCCAUCCUGAUUUUACUUCUAAUCACUUCUGGAGGUGUAAAUGUUUUGAGUCGUUGAUGACACAAUAAUCGAUCUAUCUUCAUCGUUGUUAAUACCUCAAAAAGGACAGACAUAGCCAUUGUAGUAAGUAGGUUUUGUAUAGGAAAUUCCUUAUGGAUAUAUCUUUACUUGGCCUGCAAUUGCAGAUAUACAAGUUCUUGAAUGCUUCAUUUCUUUAUAAUAUAAAGUCUCAUCGACUAAAGUAGAAUUAGUGAGAUUCGAAUACACAAACACUUCCUCAUUCCAACGAGGUGAAAACCAUUGGGCUUUAACAGUUUGUUACGUUAAGGGUGUCCUGUUAUUUAAUCAUUUUACGUGUAUGUACGAAGCUGGACACCCUAACCUACACACUAUAAUAAAUAUUCGAAAGAAAUAGAGUUGAAGAAAAUAGUAAAACUAGAAUAUCAUUUUGUUUUGAAGACUCAAAGCACACCAUGAUAUUGAAUAAUAGGGGACAAAGAAGAUAACAAAGGGAAUAAUAUUGAUUAUUUUUUAAAACCAAAGUACAUAUUUUCAAAUUCCUAGUACUAGAACAAGCAAAAAAGCUCCACAAAAUAAUAUGCAAAAAUAGUAAAUAAGAAUUCUAUAAUUAAUAUCUUUUUGGGAUCCAUUUUUUUUUUUUUUGGGGAAAAGACACGAAUAAAUCUUAUAAUUUUUUUUGUCACCGACUUUUAAGAUAGUGAUUGUUUUUUCUUAAUAUGCUAAUUCAACUUUUGAAUAAUUAAAUACCACAAAAAAUAAAAUUGACCAACUGGUGUUCGCCUGUUCGGUAGGAUGGAAAAUAAUUAUUUUUUAAAAAAUAAAUAUUGUCAAGAAAAUAAAUAAGUUAUUUAUUUGUGUUCAUACGUCACCAAAAAAAUAUUGUUAUGGAAGGUGGGGUUAGAGGUAGGAUCGUAGGGAUAAAAAUGAGGUGUGUUGAAUUUUACUAAAAUUAUUAUAAAUAUCAUUUAUAAAACUUAUUUUUCUUACUAUUAGAUAAGUUAUUUUUGUAAUUUUAAAAAUGAUUCAUGUAAAGUGUGAUAAAUAUUUAUUUAUCUCAUUCAUUUUACAUGAUGAUAUUUAAUUUUUUUUAAAAAAGUUAAAAAUAAGACUGACUUGUCACAUAUAAGCCAAAAUUCUGUGAAUUUAAGUAUAUAAUUAUAUGAAAAUAUUAAUGUUAAAAUUUUUCUAAGUUUGGCAAGUUUUUGUCUUCAAUUGCUUUCAAUAAAUAAAAAUAAAAAAUGAAGAAAAAUGAUUUAUGGUCACUAAAAGUUACGUAGGAAUUAAUAUUUUAAAAUUUUGACAUUAAGUCUAUCGAUCUGUUAAAAUACCUCAAUUAAAUAUGUUAUUAAUAUUAUCGAUCUGUUAGAAUACCUAAAUUGAAUAAUAAAUAUUUUAUUAUAUCGCGAUUUUUUUUAAAAAAAUAUCAAAAUAAUUUAUCUAGACUAUGCUAUUGAAGACCAAAAAAUAAUUGGAAUAAUCUAGUUUUUUAAAAACCUUUUGGGUUUUAUUAAUUAUCAGAGUAUGUCUUUUCAACCAAACAAAUUUAAUUUAAUUAUGAUUUUUCGUUUUUUUUAGAAAAAAAUGUUUUGAAAACUUUUAUUAAUAAUCAACGGGUCCUACCUUUUUAUUGUAUGGUCCAAAUUAUUGGAUGUGCAAUAUUAACACAAGUCACUUUCAAAUAUGUGAAGCAUGGCUAACACAUAAUAAUUUCUUUAAAAAAUUACGUGACUGAGCUAUCGUAAAUAGUAAGCAAAUGUUCUUCAUCAUAGUUGAGGCGUUGGUGCUCUUGACGUCCAAAAACUAGAGCAUAUAUGUUAUUCACUCUAGCGCGAGACUAAAUAUAGACACAUGAACCAAUUUGAUUCAUCGAUUCGAUUUUUAAUAAAAGGGUUGGUGGAUAAGAUUAUGACAUGUGUAUAUUCAUUAGUAUAAAUGGUAUAUGUACUCUAGUUUUUGGACAAUAGGGGCAUUAAUAUCACAAAAGUAUGAUAGAGGGUAUCUGUAUAUUAUUUAUGAUAGUUUGGGGGUAUAUUAGUCAUUUUCCCUAAUCAUUUAUAGUGUGUUUGGUUGUGAGUUCGAAGCCAAAAUUGCGACUUUUUAUGAAAAAAGUAUAAAUACGAAUAAUUCUUUUGAAAAACAAUCGAAAAAAUAUUUUUUCGAAACACCGCUAUAUUUGCUAGUAUAUGUUGCUAUCGAUUUUUAUUAAAUAUAUUUUUUGGUGAAGAUUACACACGACUUUAACUCUGUAAUCAAAUUUAUAUAAAACACAUUUCUAAAAUAUAUAUUUUAUUAUUUACCAAACACACAUAAAAUGUGUAUAAUAUGAAUCCUAUCUAUAUACGGCAUCGUAAUAUUUUAAUUUUAUUUUCUUGUUCCAUUAGGUCUUUUUUAUUUUUAUUGAAAUUAAAACGUUUGACUUUAAAUAUAUAUAUAUUAAAUAUUAAAAUAUGUAUCAAAAUUUAUAUAACUAAAUCUAAAAUCUAAAUAAUUAAGAUUAAAAUAUCCAAUAAGUACAAAUAAAUAAAGCUUUAAAUAUUAAAUAUUUCGAUUAAUAUCUUAUUGGUUACUAGUUUUGCUCUUCCGUCUUCAAUUCACAUUAUUGUCUUAAUUUUUUUUAUUUAUAUUGCACUUGAAUAAUUUAUUUUAAUGUUAUUUUACUAUUGUUUCUAUUUUAUUAGCAUUCUGUAAAGUUAUAUUAUUGUUAUGUUACGUCAAAUUAUCGGAGAAGUUAUAUGAUUAUUUUAUAAGCAUUUUCACGUAGGUUAAUUCGAAAAUAAAAAAUCAAUAAAACAAUCGAAUAAAAAUAAAAAUCUCAUAUUAAUUUAGCGUAUUUUAAAAAUUAAAAAUUGAUAAACCGAACCGACCAAUAUCGUCCUAGAAAAACGUGACUUCCUCACUUUUAUUGGUGGCAAUCGCUUUCCUUCGCAAUCUAACAUUUAAAUCUUAUAAUCAACUUUUAAUAUAUAUAUAUAUAUAUAUUCUAACACAAUUAUAAACAUUGUUUUCUUAAAAAUUAACUUUGAUAAUAACAAUUGACGAGGAAUAACUAUAACUAUAAGUUCUGUGUAAAUUUUAAUGAACAAGGUUAUUUGAUAUUUUUAUAGUUAACUUUUUUUUCUGUGUAAAAUUAGUUGAAGUGUAUAAAAAUUAAUCAGAAUAUAUGGUCAUGUGGUCUUCCACCACCUAUGAUCGAUUAAUAUUCUUUCUGUCCACUUUUAAUUUUUAUAUUGCAUUUUUUGAAAAUUAAUUUGAUUAAUUUUUAAAAUUGAAUUAGAUUAGAUUAUUCGAUAGUUUAAAUAAAAAAAAUUAUAUAUUCAAAAAUUAUACGAAAAAAUACUAUAAAUUUCAAAAAAAAUUGCAUAUCUGUAACAUAAUUAUAGUUUGGAAUUUAGGAUAAUUGCCUACCUUGCAUAUGCUCUCAAAAAAAAAAAAAAAAAAAAUUGGCGUUACGUUAGCUCACAAUUUGUAAACGUAGGAAGUUAGAUAGAGUAGGAUGGACCACAAUUAAUUUCCUUUUAAUAAAAAGAAAAAAGUGUCUGAAAAAUAUUUUAAUUUUAAUCGAAAUUGUUGCGAUAUCAAAUUUUCUGGCGAAUAUUUUACCUCUUGCACUAUUUAAUAGUGUACUUUAAAGUUAUAUAUGUGUCUACUGGACACAUUAUUUAUAAUGAUGCAAUGUUUAUAAUGUCCACAUGGACACAUAUACACAUUUAAAAAUGCUCUAUUAAAUAAUAUAAAGAGAUAAAAGGUUCUUUCUCGUAACAACAAUUUUCGUCAAAAGUUUGAAUAUAUUUCAAACCAUUUUCCCUUUAAUUAAUUUAAGUUUGAAUUGAAAUUUGACUUGAUUCUACCUAAAUAAAUAGGCUUAACAUAUUGGUUGUCCUUUAAAUUUAUCAAUAUUUUUUUUAGAUAUUAAACUGUGAUUUGUUCUGAUUAAGCAUUUAAAUAUAUAUAAUAAAGUGUCUUAAUUAUAUAUUUGUAGUCAAAUUUCAGGGGGAAAAAUAUGUACAUGUGUUCGUAGAUUUUCAUUAUAUAACGAGUUAAUUAUUAAAAUAUGUUAUCUCAUUUAACUAUACGAAUUAACUUUAAUAAGCGGUAGAAUCUCCAUCUGAGGAUGAUGCAUACAAUUAAAUAUUUCACCUCCUUUAAUUAUUUAAAUUUUGAGCAUGACAAUAUGACAUAAUUUAUAGGUUACAAUAAUGUCAUAAUAAUUUGAUUUUGGUUUGACUUUUUUAAUAGUUAAAAUUAAAGCAACCUCAAAAAUUUGAGGGUUUUUUUAGAUAUAUUGAAUUAAAUAAUAAUUAAAUUUUGUUUUUUUUUAUUUGACUUGGAUUAUCGAUCUGAUGUAAUUUAUCGAUUUUCUCUAUACUUAAUCAAUGAUAGAAAUAAAAUCUUUCUAUUAUCUAAGCUUCUUAUAUUUUUAUUUAUCAAAUUACAUUGAGUAUAUUAUCAUCGUGAGACUAUCACCAAAAUGUGAAUAUUUAUAAGAGUGCAAUUAUGACUUGGCUCAUCCAAUUUUGAAUUUGUAAUAAGUGUAUUUUGAAUGCAUGGAAACUUGUGGGGUAAUAAUAUAAUAAUUUCUACAAAUAUUUUUGUCAGUUUUCAAUCUCUACGUGCCAAUAUUUUUCUUAGACUCUAACGUUAUUUUCAUGCCUAAAUAAUUAUUCAUAUGUAUUUCUUGUAAAUAGUGAUGUUACGGAUCAAUAACGGAUUCGAUUGAAUUCAGUAUUAAUGUAUAUUAUUAAUUUUUUAAUUUUAACUUUGUCUCUAAAUAUGAUAAGAGAAUAAUUCCGUUCAAAGAAUCAACAUAAUAUUUUUAAUUUUUAAGAUUCAAACUCGAAAUCUGUGAUCAAGAGUAUAAAGAAAUCUUUUCCAUACGACCAAUCUUUGUAAUAUAUUUUAAUUUAUUGUCUUAAUUAUAGGAAAUAUUGAAGCUUUGCUUAUUGAGAGAAAAAAAAAUGGUUUCUUUACUUAUCUUGUUUUGUUUUUGGUCAGAAAUACGACCAAAAUAUAAUAUAUUGCAUACUGACUAAAACUUAAAAUAUAAACAAGAUAAUUAAUAUUACAAGUAAAAAGUUUUUCUCCUUCAAGAAUUGAUUAUUUCUGGAAGAUUAAUACAAGAAUAUAGUCAAACUUUAAUUAAACCAACUAUAUGUUUCAAAAACAACAUAAAGCAAUUGGGACAAAUUAAAGAAACACGUAACGUGACCAACAAUUGGGACCAAAAGGGCCAUACUUAACGUCGAUAUAAUUAUUUCUUUCUUAAUUAGAUAUUUCGAAAUCAAAGUCAUUGCGAGAGAAUGUCCUCCCAAAAUGAGUUAUACGCAAUAUAAAUUUAGUUAUAAUACUGCAAUAUAAACAUUAAAUAUCGAGUGAGAAUCAAAACAACAUAAAAAUUGGACCAAACGGGGUGGAGUUUUUUUUCUUUCAUAUUUAUUCUUUUUUCUCUUUUGAUCAAUAAGUUGUCAUCUUCCUGUCUAGCUUUAUAGUUUUUUUGUUUUUUUUUUUGUUUCUCAUUCAGUCAGUGUGUGUACUCCGACUAAAUUCGCAUUGCGUCCGGCAACAUUCACUGUGCGUAGGGCUCCCAAUAGAAUUUUCUCCAUACUCAAGACUCGAACUCGAGACUUCCGAUUAAGGGUGGUAUCUAGAGCUUUAUAGUUGGUUUGUCGUUUUCCAUGGUACGAAUUGUAGUAUUCUCUCUCUGAUGUAAUAAUGUAUUCGAUGCGCAUUUCUUUAGCUUUUUCUUUAAAAAUAAAAUGUUUCAUUUUUUAAAUUUAAAAUAAUUUAAAUUUGAUUUUAUCAUUUCUUCUUUAAUAAUAUGAUUUAUAUAGUCACCGCCACCUAAUUAAAUUGAGACAAUUGAAUUAUCUAUAUCGCUACUCCCUCCAUUCUAAUAUAUUCAUGUGAUAUAAAACUUUCGAAAUGUGUAAAUACAAAAACUUCUCAUCAAAUGUAUAUUUCGAGUCAAUAAAAUAUUAAUUAUUUUAAAUACGAAAAAUAUGUCACAUACGUAAGUUGAAAUAAAAAUUAUAAAUAUUUAUAUAAAUGGUCAUGACCAACGACGUAGUCACAUAAUUAACUGAUUAAAGGAUAAUCAAUUGAAUAAUCUUUAUCUAAAAAUAAUAUAUUCUCAAAUAUUCUUAAUAAAUCUAGGUUAGCUAUUGGUGAUGACUACUUUUUUACUUUUUAGGUACAAGAAAUUCAUUAAUAAUUAUCAUAACUUUAAACUGUAUCCAAUUAAUACCCAUUUCCCCAUGAACUAAUCAACGGAUAUAUUGAUCAUCAACAAUACAGUACAAUUAAUUAAACAUAGAAUUUCACAUCCUACCAAUCAUCUUACAAAAUAUAGCUAAAAUGUAAACAAUUCUCAUUUAUUACUAAAAAAAAUUUAUAUCUCGAGAGUUAAAUUUGAGACUUUUAAUUAAUGAAAUAGAGUUAUCAAUUUAUUUUUUUAAGAAAACAAUGACCGAUCAAUUUGAGCGCAUCUUAAUUAUUAUAAAACAUAGGUAGCCAAUAUGUUAAUAUAUCUUUGAGUUAUUUUACUCACACAAGUAAUGUCCAGCCCUCUUUUGCUGUUGUUAUUAGUACUUGACUCUAUCGGUUCGACGAUUUGCGAAGACCUACUCUUACUCAGUACACGUAAUUGAAAUAAGAUCGAUUGACUUGAAUUCUACUUCUCUUUAGUAGCUCGAGUUACACAUUCAAGAGAGGAUGAGUAGUGAGUUGAUGUAUGUUUCCAUUCUUUGGGGGCUUUGCGACUAGCCAUCUCGAUUAUUUUCAUAAUUGAAAAGGGGAAAGAAAUCUAAAUCAAUGAAUAUUAACGAACCAUUACUAAUGGACAUCGCAUAUAACACAAUCAGUUCGAUAUAAGCUCUGAUUCUAACAGAAAUUGCUUACUUUCCUACUACCAAAGCAAAGCGCAUCUUUGUUUUUUUUUCAUAUUAACUAGCAUGAAUAUUAAAUAUCUUCCAUCUCUAUAUUCUAAAUUGAGAUAUGAAAAUAAAUCAUUAAUAUCUCAUCUCACAACCACCACCGCCACCACCCCACCCCAGCUCACCUUAACACAUUGAUUGCCUCAACCUAUCGAUUGACUGAGUUGGAGAAGAAAGUAGAAGGUUACGACUCUAUAAGUUUCGUGUAUCCAGACUAAUACUAAUCCAAGUCAUUUCAUGAAUAAAAUGUGACCAAUUAACCAACCAAAAAAAUCACUUGUUACAAAAAAAGACCUUAUUGUUGCAUCGAAAGAGAUAAAUGUUAACUAAUCUAGCUAACAUUAAACUUGAUAAAAUCAAAUAAUUGAAUAAUUGAAAAAUUGAGAUUAUUCAGGAAUACACACACUCUAGUCACUAGCCCUGUCUUCGGCAUUCCCUCCUGGUUGUUAAGAUAAAGACUUCAAACAUGGCCAACCCGAUAGUAUACGCAAGGUCCGGAAACAAAUACACAAUCAUAUAAUUUGAUCGACGAUUACUAGCAAUUCUAACUUCACACAACCCGCAAUCCAUACUAAGGACGGAUUUUUGAGAUUAGCUCGCGAGACACGAUAUCCAAAGCACCCACCCAAGACACACAUUUACACGUCCAUGCAAAUAUGUUUUUUUUUUUUUGCAUGCACAUAUGCGAUGAUCGAUACAUGAAUAUAGUGGUAUAUAUAUACACAUAUAUCCCAAAAUCAUGAAAAUAUCAUGACAAAUUAAUAAAUAUAUCAAAAAAUAAAACAUAAGAAAAAUAAACAAGAUAGUAGUAAUAUAUAUAUGAAAGCUGGCUGUCUAUAGUCAGCACAUAACAUUCAUGAGUCAUCUAAUAACAACAACACAAAAUUCAAAUAAUAAUCAAAAACAACAAUAUAACAAUAAUAAAAAACCGUAUCAUUUUUUUCUGUUCCGUUCCGAUACGUCUCGUCUCAAGCCUCCGCCUUUUUUUUUUUCUUAAUUUUUAAAAUGUCACAUCUGAAUCCACUGUCCCAGCUGCGUCGGAUUGACAAUACCAGGAAUGUGGGUCCCAUCACUCCUCAACAAGCUAGAUAUCUCAACAUAAUUCUGGCUCGGCUUCGGCUCAUCCGGGCUCGACUUUCUCUUCUUCGGGUCGGCUACAGGAGUAGCAGCAGCAUUAGCUCUAGGUCGAGCCGGGUCAAAUUUCUGACCCAAUAAAGUACCUUUAGUUAAAUACUCAUAAGCCAUAUACCCGGCUAAAACUGAAUUAGGCAUUUGAUGAGGAGGAUGACCCUUUUUUUUGGGGUCGGGUUUAGGAAACGACGUCGUAAGGUUAGCAUUACUAACGGACGUUAGUGGAUUUGACGGUCUUGGAGACGAAUAAAACGUGUCUCGGUCUUUUCGCUUCCGUGAUGACUCGUCAAGAGUUAAGAUUCGCCGUGAGUGAUAAUUCAUCCUAGCCGUCCAAUCUUAAUCUACAGCAUGCCACGUCACCGCACUUUUAAAAUAAAAUAAAAAAGCGAUAAAAAAGGAAGAAAAAAAAAGUGAAGUUACGGUUAAGGAAUUAUGGGGUUUGGAAAGAUAAAAACAAAUAAAGCAAAAGGUUAGAAAAGUAAAUUCACUCUAACAGGUACAUUUCUCGUUGAGAAAAUUAAAAAUAUAAAUAUAAAAAGUAGAAUAUAUAAUUUUUUUUUCAAUUAAAAAUACAGUAAAAAAAAGAGAUUAAAAUUGAAAGAGAAAUUACUGGAGAAGAAGAAAAGAAAGAGGGUAGUGAGUUUGACGGUAAGUCGACGAAAGAUCUAGACAAAGAUCGCCGGAUUCCGGCGAGAAACGGUGGAUUCCGGUGUACGGACGGUGGUUUUAGCGGUGGCUCCGCCGUAGAAGAGGAAGAAUUAUUACCGGAGAGAAAUAGAGAGAGAGAAGAGAGAGAGAGUUUGGGGAAUGGAAAGAUUUAUAUAAGAAGAAAAAAGAAUGACAAGGGCAACAAGUGUGUAUAUAUACACCUAAUAACUGAAAUUACCCUUGGUUUGUGAAUUAAUAACUAAAAUGCCAUUGGGUUUAAUGGAUUGAAAUGGAUAAUGAAAUUUGCUUGAAAUGACAUUAAAGUCCUUGCGUUUAUGUCGCUAAAAGGGUGUUUUGGGAAUGGAAAGAUAAUGGGUAUAUUUGGAAUAAUGAUUCUAAUUAAGGGGUAUGGUAUUUUUGUAAUAUAAUUUUGAGUUGAGGGUAAUUUAUAUUAGGUGAAAUAAAAUUUAGAGCCAGCGGUGCUAGCUCCGUGUCUUUAGCAUUGCUCUUUAGAGGUCCCCAUUAUGGUACCUCUUUGUAUUUUUGUAAAGCUAAUGGGGCUAAAAUACAAAUAAAUAAAACUUUGGGGACUAUUGUUGUAUUAUUAAAAGAAAAAAACUACUAUACUUUAUUAGAGGUCCAAGUCAAUUAAUAUACUAUGAGGAAAAUCUUAAUACAUAAAUACUUAUAAAUACAAAAAGUAAUCUGGUUAUCGAAGUGAAGUUUGGAAAGGAUACGAUUAUAUAAUUAUGAAAUAAGUAUUUUAAUUUCUCAAAUCGAAAUUUAUGUGAGAUUCUAAAAUAACAAUUAUUUUUUAUGUAAAUAUUAACCGUAUAUAAUUUAUGUAUAAUUACUUUACAAUAUGGUGUAUUUGGAAGAUAAAUGGAUUAUUGAAUAUGUCUAAGAAAAGGGAGAAAUGGGUGGAAUAAAAAGAUCUAAGAAAUUAUGAAUUUGUUAUUUUAUAAUGAUUGUAAUUAGUGACCAAACGAUUACAAUAAUCUUUUGUCAAAUAAUUGUUGUCUUGGUGUGAUGGAUUUAAUUAGUACGAGGAAAUAAUUUUCUAUAAUUUGAAUAAAUUAUAAAAUAAAAUAAAAAGUUACAAAAAAAUUCUACACUUUAUUUAUGUUCUAUAAAUCUCAUAGGAAAAGAGUCAUAAUUAAAACAACCUUUAUAAUGAAUGCAUCAUGACCUAAUCUCAAAUAGGUAUAAAGUUUAAAUCUCAAUCAAAUAAUUACUUCUUUUAAAAAUUAAUUUUCUAUAUUUAUUUCGUUGUUUAUUUUAAAUUUUCUUUUUGGUAGAGUGGAGUAGAAUAUCGAAAUAGACAAAUUUUUUAUAGGUAAGCACUUCGCUUUCCAGAUGAUUAAACUCGAGGGGGGGGAGUCUCGAGGAUAGACAAUUCUUCAUAGGUAACGUUUUCAAAAUUAUUAAAUCGAUAAAAGAGAAAAUAAUUUUUAAAAUUUUUUUAAUUGUUUAAAUAAAUAAAAGAAUAAAGUACUUAUUCGUUAUGCUAUUUAGGAUUUAAGAGAAUAUGAAGCAAUCCUUUUAUUAGUCAAACAAUUGUCAAUUAAGUUACUUAUUUGGUGUGCUAAAAAAACCUAAACAAAAAAAGGAAUAAAAUAAACAAACCAUCAAUAAAAAAGAACAAUUAAAAAAUUUUAGUAAGAGACUUAGGGUUCCAUAAGAAAAUAAUAAUCUACUAAAGUUAGUGGGGUAAUAUUUCACGUGAUUUUAAAAAAUAAAAAUAAAAAAAGCCAUGUGACCCAAAUUAAAAAACUAUUCCCUUUAAUUAAAAGAUUAAAUUUAAUUAAUAAUUUAGAAAAAAUCUAAUUUAAGUCAGCACUAUUGAAUUCUGUUGAAUCUGUAUCUAUCUUUAAUUCAAUUUAGUCCAUCUGUAUUAGCAAAAAAAAUUCGUCUAAUAAUAAUGUGAUUUAAAUUAUAUCAUUUUAACUUGAAUUGUUUCUUUUCAUACUAUAUUUAUCUCGCUAAAUAUAAUUCUAAAUUUUGUUAAAAGUAAAAUCUUUGUUAUUGAUAAGAAACAUGAACUUUGACAACAUUUUUCAUGUGAUUGAUUUCUAGUUCUUAUUAUAAUUCUUUGAAAGAUAUGGAAUUUUUAUUUAUUUACUUCCCUUUUCUAUUUUUCAUUUCCUUUAAUUUUCCAAGUUUUCAAUUAAAAUUAAAUCAACCCUAAAAAGACAAAAAUAAAUAGGGAUGUCAAUCACAUGAGAUGAGGUCCUAAAAUGUUGGUUUCUUGAAGGUGGGGGCCAUUUGAUUGGAACAUUUUCAUAAUAAACAUUUAUAAAAAUGAGGAUUUUUUACGUAUAAUUUACAUGAUAAAAUUUUAGAUCAAACAUGAUAAUAGGAGGUAAAAUAAUUAAAUGUUAUUAAGAUUGAAUGGAAUACCUAAAUUGUAGACAAGUAGAUAAACGGGAUAUUCUUAUCUUGUUGUGACGGCGUUGAUGAGUUGUCAGCCUCGCUCAGUUUUGUUGUGACGGCGUCAAAGAGUCAAUAAGUAUCUUAUAUAGGAGUUAGAGUAGAGUACCUAAUUGCAAAUGAUAAAACCUAACGGGCCUUCUCAUUGCGGGCUUUAUUAACUAAUUUACAAUAUCAUCUCACUAAACUUAUUAGGCUCGUUAAGUAUAUGACUUAAUCUUCAAUUAUCUUAUUAUAGUUGAAAUAACAUUUUUUAUUUGCUAUACAACUCAAAAUAGUUAAAAAUAUGGAUUUUCUCAACAAAUAUUUGUCAUUUUUAGAUUGGAUAAGAAAACUUUACACGUGUAGUGAUUUGUAGUUGUUGCUAUAACUUCAAUGCAUAGUAAUUGCAUUUAUGUUUCAAUUUGUUUGACUUGAUUAGUAACGUGAGAGUCAAGUUAACUGAUGUUAGAUGUAAAUUUGGAUUAAAAAAUUAUUUUUUUGAAGUAGAAUUUAUAUAUCUAAAAACUACGUAAGAAUUAUUAUAAGUCGCAAUAGUCAAUAAUGCAAAAUAUUUGUAAUGUAUUUGAGAAAAAUAUCCAUUAGUAAUGGGUUUAUUCCAUGUUUGGAUAAAAUUGCGAGAUUACUUACUUCGAAAAUAGUUAUUACGAAAUUGUCGUGUUGUUUUAUCCCAUGUGAAAGAUAGACUAUCUAAUCUCACAAUAAUUAUCUUGAAAUAACUUAUUUCCUAAUCAACUGAAUGUAUAAUCGGUAAAAAAAUCAAUAGAAAUACUUUGUGGGGAUUUGUUUUUUUUUCAUUUAAUGAUUUUCACAAUUUGAUGGCCUCAAUCAACUUAUCUUUUGAAAGUCAUUAUUGAUGUUUAAUAUCCAAACAAAUAUGUUUUUUGGCUUAGUAUCACUCUUUUAUAUUUUUAAAAUUUUAAAGUGUUCCUUGACAUCACACCUCUUUGCUUUUCUUUUUCAAUAUCUUAUCAAAUUUAAGGGCUAAAAACAAGAUUUAUUUAAUUCAAUUUUCACAGUUUAUGAAAGUGACAAGAUUUACUUGGUUAGGAUUUUAACUUGAUAUUUUUACCCUUAGUAUAAUAUUGGAGUUUUAAUUUUCUUUCCAAAAAAUCAAAAUAUUAUCAUAAUUGUUUUAAUUCAAAUAAAUUAUGAUUUUCCAUAUUUAGUUAUUCUUUUCUCAUACCACACCAUAAGAGUAUCCAUAAAAGGAAAAACGUACAUGCACCGAGUGUUUAGACAAUGCCAAUGUAAUUGACCAAAUCAUAAUAAUAUUAUGCUUUAUAAUCAAAUUUGAUUUGAAAUAUCGGACUUGAAAAAAAUAAUAAUAAAAUCGAUUAAUAGUGAAUUUUCUCUUUCAACAUGAUAAUCUAGGUCUCUCAUCUUAUUUUAAAGAUUUUCACGAUACGUUUCAUAGAUUUAUCAAAAUUACAAAAUCAAGAUUUCACCAUAAUUUGUAACUACGAAAUAGUGAGCACAUUUAUAUAGAGUUGAAAUUAUAUAUAUUCCCUUUUUACUUAUAAAUUUAAAAUCUUUAUUCAGUUUUGUUUCCAUUGCACCAAAAAGUAAUACUGAAUGAAAUUAUAAGUAAAUUUGGAUCCACUAAAUUUUGAUGUGCUAAAUCUACCUCUAAAAAGUAUAUCAUACACAAUAUAUUUUGUCAAAUUAAAUAAUUUACAUUAGCAAAAUGUAUUUGCACAUAUUUUAAAAAUUCCUUUUUUUUUUUUUUUGUAUUUGCACAUAUUUAAAAGUUCUAUUUAACUAUAUAAUUUUUGUUCAUUGGUUUUCCCAAAUUGAACAUGUAUGGUUCAUCCUAAACAAAUAUAAGUAAAAAAUUUAAGGUUUAAAAAAUAAAGGAAAAAGAUCCUUUAAAAUAUUUAAUGAGAAAAUUAAUUACUCCAAUAUAACAGCUGACCUUUAAUUAGACUAGGGAUAACUCUAAACAAUAUUCUCUUAAUUAACUAUUAGAAGGUUACACUUUCACAAUCAAAUUAAAGUGAUUUAAUGAUUGUGCAAUUGAUCAAAAAUCAAAUAAUGGUUUUUGAGUUACUUUAGAAAACAAGAUAAGCAAUUACCCCUCGAUUAAAAACAAAUUCAAAAUUUAAAAUUUAUGAGUUUUUGUAAUAAUUUUAAGUUAAUUUAUAAUAAUAACUGAGUUCUAAUUACAUAUUUAUAAAAUACAAAUAAAGUUUUUAAUACAUAUACAGAGUGCAAAUAAAGAUUAUUAGAUUCUCGAAAAGUCACCCCUAUCUCAAUUUCCAUUUUGAACAAAUAUAUAUAAUUUUUUCUUUUUAAAAUAUUUAUGAAUAUGAAAUUCUAGUCCUUUUAUGGUGUUACUAAAUUUUAAAUCAAUAACGUAUAUGUAUUCAAUUAAUUUCUUAAAGACAAAAUAUAAAAUCUGGAAUAAUUGCAUUUGAUCAAAUUCGUAACUUAUAUUCUAGCUCUGAUUCAGUUAUAUCCGAAUAAUAAAAUUAACAUUAUAUUCAAUAACAUGACUCAUAAAAUAACCCUAAGGGGUAGCUCGGCUGGUAAAGGCCUGAGGACAAAGUCCUUCAUGUCGCCAGUUCAAGCCCCAGCAAAGGCAUUACAAAUCGACCGCGUCUCCAGGGCCCCGUGGAACUAACCGCCUUGAAACUACGGGACCCGAUGAAUACAACUAGUCGGAUUCGCAAAACGAUAUCAGAAACCCCGGCAAAAAAAAUAAAAAUAACCUCAUAAAAUAAAUUUUCUUUUGUGUAUAUAUAUAAAAGUUCAAUCCACAUUAUAUACCUAACUUUUCUAUGUAAGAAGUAUCAAAAUUAUCCAAUCAAUUAAUCAUUUACAUGUUCUAUGUCGAACUAUUCUGAUUACAAUUAAUUAAACUUUAGACCAAACUUUCUAAUUAAUUAUAAAAAAAAUUUGGGCUAUAUUACUGUAGCAUGUAGGUACACUACCUACCAAAAAUUAAUUAUAUUCACCUCAUAAUUGAUUCCUCUAAAAAGGGAGAUGUGACAAAUAAAGUGCUUAAAUUUUCAUAUGAAGUUUCCUAAUAUUGUUUGUUAUUCCAUAAAAUAAAAAUAAAAAGAAAGAAAUUAAUUUAUGUGUUAAUUAAGCAGCCAAAAGAUCAUGUGAGAUAUUUCUCAGUAUUUAAAUUUUGUUUGAAAUGAAUGUCAAAUUAGCAUAGAGAACUAAAUUCACGGCCAAGUGAAAGAGUCUAAAAACUCAUAUUAUAGCGUGUUUCAAGAUUUGUAUUAUUUAUCUGUUAUAGCGAUAUGUGAGAUGAGAUUAAAACGUAAAACUUUCAAAGGGUUUAACAUGUCGAAUUUCAUACUUGAUAUACCAGAAUGACUAUUUAUUUUUACACCAAAUGAAUCUAAUCAUAAGUGAAAUAAAAAAACAUGCAUAGCAACGAAAAUAACGUAUCACCUAUUUAUCGUUCUCGCUCAUAAAUCUAACAAAAUAAGUUUUUUCUAUUUAAACAAAAAAAUUUAGGAAAAAUUAGUAAACUAGUCAAAAUAAAUAACAUAUUUAGUAAAAAUAUCGAUACUUUAUAAAUAUUAGCAAUAAUGUCAAAAAUGUCAUUAUUUUAAAAAAUUUAUGUGUCCCAAUUUUUCUCCUAUUUUAUCUCUCUUUUUCAAUUAAUUCUAUAUAUCCUUUUUUUUAAAAAAAUAAAUUAUUCUCUCUCAUAUUUAUCUUUUCAAAUUGUUAAUUCUCUCUCCCAUUUAAUUUUUUUUUCUCUCUCAUGAUUAUUUUUUCUGAUUUUCCUCCUAUUGCAAAUAUUUUUCUGCCAUAUAUUUUGGUUGUUUUUUUAAUCCAAAAUUGGAUUAACAAGAAUCCCUUUGAUUAAGGUAUCUCUAAUUUUUAUCCUAUUUUCAGAUUUUUUUCUAAUUUUAUUUUUGUUUAAAUCUUAAAAAAAUGUUGUUUGUAUUUUUCAAUUUCCGUUAUGAUUUACUCUCCAAUGGCUGAAUCCAAGAGGCUUACUAGAGGUAUUCAUCUUAAUCAACCAAUUUCUGGCAAUUUUUCAUCCUUUAAUUUAUUUAUUACUUAACAAAUAGUGUAUAAUGUAUGAUUAGCUGCUAAAAUGAGGGAAGAAAGAGGAUAAGAACAUUUACAAGACUCAUUGGUGUGCAAAACCUUCCUCAAAUUCAAAACGCAAAUGUAGAAUCUUUGUCUACUCGUGAGGAUCUUGAAAAAGACGACGAAGAUCGGAUAGUUGUCGAACAAUUUUCUAUUAGUUUGUUUUGUAUUUAUAGUUCUUUUUUAGAAUUUGGUAUGCUUUCUCAAUUUGUAUUCAAAUCACUAUGUAUACUAUCAAUAUUUGUAUUUAUUAAAAAUUUCAUGUUGCAUGGGUUAUGAAUCUUGUAUUUGUCCCUAAUUUGUAUUCAUCCAAAUGUAUGUCAACUAGUUAUGUAUUUUAUUUAUAAUAAGAACAACUUUCUAUUAGUUUAUUUGUAUUCGAAUACAAAUACAAAUAAUAGACGUAUUGGAAUGAAUACGACUUAGAAAAGGAAACAAAAUUUUGAAAAGAAAAAUAAAUACACAGUGAAAAAUAUAUACGAAUACAAAUGUAUUUCUUAAAUAGCUACAUUUUAUUUGACAUACAUAUUGGAAUGAAUACAAACUAAUAAAGAAAUACAAGCUUCAUUAUACAAAAUACAACAUGAAAACUAGAAUGGAUACUAAUAAAAACGAUAUACAUAUUGGAAUAAUUACAAUUUAGGCAAGGAUACAAAAUUUUAAAAAAUAAAAUAAAUAACUGUGAGAAAAGUAUGACAAUUACAAAUAAAACUAUAGGUGUUCAAGUUUCUAAGUUAAAGAAUAAAUAAAUUUAAUUAAGAAAACUAUAAUGUAUUAUCAUAAAGUUUCAUAAUAAUAAUUAGUGAGAAUGAGAUAUUAUAUUUUUUUUAUCAUGAUUUUCAUAACAAUAAUUAGUGAAAAAUUGAUAUUGAAAUUUUAUAGAUGUGGUACUUCUUUAAUUCCGUGAUUUUUAUAACAAUAAUUAGUGAAAAUUGAAUAUUUAUUUUGGUUAAUAAAAGUGUUUAGAAACAAAAAAAAAAGAUUACCAGAAUUGAAUAUUGAUUUUUUUUAGAACAAUGGAGAAAAAAAAGAAUUCUUUAUAACAUGAUGAAAAAAAGAAGAAAUAGAUGAAAGUUGGUGUAUUUUAAUAAAUUGUAACUGAUGAAACUUUUAACAUUUGUUCCUUUUUAAAAAUAAUAAUCUCCCCUAAAUUCCUCUCAAUCGAUUAUAUAAAAAUUAUAUUUUUUUAAAAUAAAGAUACAUAACAAACUUAAAUUUUGACAUUUUUACUAAAUAUUGAAAGUGUUGUUAAUGAACCCUCUUAAAUGUUAAACUAUUGACAUUUUAAAAAAUUUCCCAAAAAUUUAUACAUUGGAUUCACAAAAGGCCCAUUAAGAAAUUAAAUUGAGCCCGUUUUACAUCCGGCAGCCAAUUUAGAUUACUAUUUAAGCUAUAGCCAGUUAAAUAAAAUUAUUUAACUUGUAGCCUUUUGACAAUUUUUUUUAAUUUUCAAUUUAAUUUUGAUUAGUUUCGAUUGAAAAGGGACAAAUGAAAUUGGCUUAUCGAAAUUAAUGAGGUAAUCAUGAGUGAAAUAAAAUGAAUGAAUUGUCGAAGUUCAUAUAAGAGUCUGAAGUUUUUGGACAUUCACUUAAAUUUGAAAUAAAAGUAUUUAAAUAUCUAAAAUUUAUUUGCACAAAUAAUAUAUUUUAUUUAAGAUAUUUUUAUCAUUAGUUUUCAGUCCCGUAUAUAUCUGAAGUUAGUUAACUUUAUAUGGAACCAUUUUUUUUAACUAAACAUGUUUUACACUAAUGGUAAUCACUAAAGUAGUAGUAGCUCUUAAUUAGGAAGUACGUAAAUCAUAAGAAAUUAAGAAAUCAAUUUUCAAACGUAUUUCUAUUUUUGAGAAAAGAAGUUUUCAGAAAGUAAAAUAAAUAAAGCAAAUUUCUUUUUCUAUAAUAAGUAAGAACAUUGAAAGGCACAAAUGAAAAUAGGUAGAACUAGAAAUCUGAAUACGAGUUCAAUCGAAUUAAUUUAGUAACUGUUGUUCAAAUAGCAUAUGUGUACUAAAAAAAUCAUUAAAUAUGUAUAAAUGUUAAGUUCUACUCUUACUCAGAUGUCUUGAGUUUGAAUUGUUAAAAGUUAAAAAAAAAAAAUAUUAAGACAAUCGCCCUCAGAAAAGAUCCUGUAAUACACCAAUUCAAAUUUAAUUAAUUGAGCAAAUUCAAAUUAAUUAAAAUCUACCAUAAAUAUCGACUACCAAUCGAAAAAUUCACAAUAAUAUUGAAAGAGACUCUGAAGAUCUUGAAAAUAAGAAGGGAGUUAGGUAUUAAGUACAAUUUUCUACCAAAGAAAUGAAAUUUCUUCAACAAAUAUAUAUGCCUUUUUCACAUUAACAAUGAUGGAUACUUCACACUUGUAAUGGUGACUAUUUUACUUUUAAACAAUAAUAAUUAAAUGCAUUGAUAUUAGGGAAUUGGGAUGUUAAUACUUUUUUAAUGAGAAAAUUAAUUUUAUUUAUAUAUUCAUGAUUGAAAAAUAUUAUUAUUGUUGACUUAUAUUUCGUAUCUAAUAAGUGUAUGAUAAAUACUCACUAAUUAUGUACCUACUUUGCACUAUAGAUCGACUAAAAUUUCUAAUUAAAGUUAAGCUCAGCAUCUCUCAUAAAUCAUUUGAUUGAAAUGUCCUUUUUUAUAUGCAUAAAUUUAUGUAUUAUUUUAUGUUGAAUAGAAUGUUAAAUAAAAAUAUUAAUAUUGCAAGAAUUAGAUUAUUUAAAGAUAAAAAUAUGUUGAAUUAAAGUAAGAAAUUCUUAUAUUACGAUUUCUACAUUAUUAAUUACCAUAUAUAACAAUCUACCUAUACCAUUCUUAUAUUACUACUAAUUACGAUUUCUAAAUAACUUGUUGCGAACAAAACGAUCUCAGAAACGUAAGGCUAAAACCUACAUCCUUGAAUCCCCUCUACCCCUAUCCCACCCUACCCCUACCCCCACUUCAAAUUUUAAAAGAUAAUUAAUAUAUAUAGAGCCAUCAAAAUGGGUUUGAUCCGCGAGGUCGGUCCGAUCCAAUCCUUAAAUUAAGUGGGGUUGGGCCUAAUUUUUUUUGGUCCACUUAGAAACGAGACUUUUUAAUCCAACCUCACUUGACCCGCUAGCCUCGUAGGCCCAACCCGCUAGCCUCAAAGGCCAGCUCGUGGGCUUUGAAUAUUUAAAAAUAUUAUAUAUAUUUAGUAGUGUUUUAUUUGUAAAUGUUUUAUCAAUAAAUAUGUUAAAAACAUAAAUAAUCAAGUCUUUUAAACUAGCUUGUUUUUUUGUGGGAGAAAUGGUUAAAUGAUCAAUAUUUUUCUGUUAAAUCUUACGUUGACUAUUAUGUAUUCUAGUAAGCAUUCACCGAAGUGUGAUAUUCAUAAAUGUAUUUCUACAAGUAUUCGCUGAAGUGUGUGAUUCAUAAAUGAAAAUUUGUAUGUAUUGAUGAUUAUUUAUAAUUGGUAUAUGAUUUUUUUAAUUCAGUUGGUUGCAUAUAAUGAAUAGUUUGACAUAUAGAUAAAAAUAUGAUGAUGAAUCUCUUUGCAAAGGAAGUUGGUAGAAAAAAAAAAGUGAAGCAUUUAGAGAUUAUUUUUUCACUGUGAAUUGUAUUAGCAACUUAGUUACUUUUGCUAGAGUUUUUUAAAUUUUGAUUUAAUAUAAAUAAUUUAGCUAAAUAUAUUAUAUUGUCAAUGCUAAUCAUUUGAUCCUUUAGUAUUCUAUUUUCUUUUUGCUAUGAAAAAAAUUAAUAUAAUUAUUUCAUUUUAACAACAAAAACGAAAUUGAUGAUGAUUAGUUUCAUUUUUAUUAUAAUUAUAAAAAGUAAUUGAAAAAUAAAAUAUUAUUUUCAUGAUGUCAUUUUUUGUGUAUGUAACAAUUUGUCACCAUUCUUUUUGCUUCGAAAUGUAUUUAUAAUUUUUAUGUAGUCACCAAUUAUUAUAUUUUCUCUGUUCAAUUUUUAUAUUUUCACCCCUUAUUUUAAUUUAUUUAUUUUACAAAUAAAAUCAAUACAUAAUUAGUAAUACAUUAUAGUCUAAUAAAAUUAUACAUAUUAACUAUUUAUAACUCAUGUCUCUUCAUCUUACUAGUAACAUUUGAUAUUAAAAAUUAUUCAUAACUUUUAUAUAUUUUAUUUUUCGAAAGUCUUACAAAUAUUAAAUUAAUGUUUAAAAAAUUACAAUAAGUAAAUGCAAUAAUAAAUUUAAAAAAAGAUCAAUUUUGUUUUGAUGAAAUCAGAAUUUGAACAAAACAUUAGUACGGCCUACAAAAGAUAUAGAAAAUUAUAACAUAUAAAAUAUUUUCACCCUAAUACAAUAUAUUGUUAUUUCAACAUAUUAUCUCUUAUUCCAUUUACUUCACUAUGGUAAAUAUUUUGUUAUAAUAUAUAUAUAUAUAUAUAUAUAUAUUAAAAGUCUAUAAAAAGCAUACAAGAAAAAAUAUUAAUAUUAUCUAUACAUUUGAUACUAACCUAAAUAUUACAUAUUUUAUGUUAUUAUCUUAUAAAUAUUUUAUAUAAUCGCGCAAAGCGCGAAUAAUUUCACCAGUUAAUUAAUAUAUCCAAAUUGAGAGUCUUUUUACUAAUAAGAAAAGCUAUUUUUGGACAAUUGUUUCGUGUAAGAUUUCAUAGAGUGAAUGAAUGAAAAAUGACAAGUGCAAUACAAGCAAGAUACCAUUUUGUUUGGAUGAAAAUAAAAAUAAUUAAAGUUAUAUAGUUUUAAAAUUGCUUAGCCAUGAAGAUAGAGUCAACACUAGCCAACUUGACUAAAAUCACAUUCGUCCCAUCAUAAAAAAUAAACAAUAUAUAUCUCGUUUGAUAUUAUACGUGAAAUUUGAGGAUCGAAGAAUAAAAUAUAUGUAAAUUUUAGCUUCGCAGAGUAUAAAGAUUAUUUUGAAAGAUUCAAGAUACGUUACUAAUACAAAAAUUAAUAUAUAGGAUGAAAAUAAAUUAGGAAAAAAAAUUAAUGGCAAACAUUAGUAAAUAUAGCCAAAGUACCCUAUGAUUAAAUUAUUAUUGGAAAAAGUUCCUUCUCAGAAAAUUAAUUAUUUUUUUUAUAAAAGGUGUAGUGAUGAAUUAGAUAAGAGCUACAUUUGAUUAAUUUUUUUUAAAAAAAAGUAAAUACUACCUUUUAUUUUCUCCAUUUUUUUAAAAUUAGUUUUUAUCAACUAUAAAAAUAGAUUGUAUUUAUUAUCAUAUGCCAAACAGUUGUACGCAUGUUCUACACAAAAAAAAAUCUGAAACAAAUAUUUGUUUUCUCACCGCUAAAAUAUUACAUUAUAAUUGCAAAAAUUAUUAAAUAGUCGAAAUUUACCCAAUAAUUGAAAAAUUAUUAAAUAGUUCAGAUUUACCCAAGUUAAUUAAAAAAUCAGUAAGAUAUUGCCUUUCAAGUACGUACUAUUUUUAUAGUUCAUUUUUUUUCUAAAUCAAAUUAGUGGGGUAUUAAUUAUAUGUGGUGUUUAAAGAUAGAUAAUAAUGAGUAAUUUAGACAAUGCACUCGUAAUUGGCAUAAUUAAAUAUUUUUUUAAAGAUGUAAAAAAACUUUUAGAAAUAUAUAACAUGAAUCGAAAUAAGUAUUAUAUUAUCUACUUGCACUAGCUCAUAUAUAUAUUUUAUAUUGGUCAUGGUUAUGAAAUCAAAUUUCUGUUGUUUUUGAGUAACGUAAUGACGUUAUAAUCGAUUGUUAUGAUUAUAAGUUCGAAUCAAGCUCGAAGAAAUCUGGUCGAUUUGAUUUUUUUAAAAUUUUGAAAUAAAGGGAUAUAAUUUGCUUAUUUUUAUUUCCAUUGCACAUAUUCUAUUAUGUGUGAUUAAAAACUCACCAUCAAUGAAUUAAUUUAAAUUUAAUCAAUAUAUAUAUUAAUUUUUUGUAUAUAAAAUACUUUUUAUUAAAAAUAAUUUCAUGAUCAGAAUUCGAACUCGAGAACAAGUUAAUUACCGUAGACGCUAGACAGCAAUGCCAUACAAUUAUUUUAGUCUGAGCUCAUGACUAACGUGAUCUUUUCAUGCCAUGUGAUCAUUUACUGCCACCAAAUAUUAAAUUUAUUCAGUGGGUUCAAUUUUUCAUAUUUUUUUCAAAUAAAUUAAUAUACUUUUCAUCUAUUUAUGUACAUUUUGUACAAAAAAGAAAAAUGAACCUGUUUGAUUAAUAAGGGGAAUUAAGUAGUUGCGAUAUUAAAUUAAUUCGCACCCAAUGGCAAAAUACUAUUCAUAGGGCUUAUUAACUAUUAAUGUUUGAAAAUAGAAGGUUAUAAUUAUAUAGGGUUAAAAUACUUUUUUCUGAUGGCGUCAUCAAUAAAUUUAUAAAAAAUUAAUUUUUAUAUUUAAAUAAAGUUAUAUAAUACUAAUUCGAUUAUUUCAAUUUUUUAGUAUUAAAUAAAUUUGAAGAAGUUAAAUUAAUAAAUAAAUGAAUUAUUCAAUCUCAAUCGAUUCAAUUUUUUUUUAUAGACUGAUCUUUUCACCCAUAUUAAUCUCUAAUAUACAAACUAAAAAAUACAGGUUGUCUUGGAAAUAAAUUAAAAGUGAAGAAAAAUAUAAAAAAAAGUGCAAAGCAUUUUUGCAACUCUCCAAUUGGUACACAAAAAGAAAAAUAAUAAUUGGUGAUUCUCUUUAUUUUAGCACCAGAAAGUCACUGUGUGUUUGCUGGAAAAGGUCAAAAAAAAGAAGAAGCAAAUAAAUAAAUAAAUAAACCAGAAAUAAAUUAAGUUUGGUAAUUUUGAUAUAUAACUAUGUGCAAUUACUUCUUACAUUAUUAAAAAAAGUGCAAACUACAUGAGGAUAUUAUUUGAGAAAAAUUGUCACAAGUAAUAUUUGUCGAUUUUUUUGGAAAAAAUUUAAGUUUCUUAAUAUAAAAAUAUAUUAUCUGCGAGAUAUAUAUUGCCAACAAAAUUAGCUCAUUUUGCGCAAAAUGAGUUCCCACGAUAUUACCUAGGAAAAUAUAUCGCGGGAAUAAUAUCUCUAGGUAAAUCCCUAGCUACGUGGACCUAAAAGAAAAUUUAAAAUUCCUUUUUAAUUUGUAGGAAAAUUAAAGGUUAUUUAAAAAUUAUUUUUAGAGAUUUAAGAAUGAUUAGACCAAUUAUCUUUUAAAUGGUUGAAUUCUUUUUCACUUAUAAAUGUUUGGAUUAUAACCAAUUAAAACUCACUUAAAAUUUUAGAAAUUAGAAAAUAAUUAUAAGACCAAUUAAAAAUUUAUUUUGCUUCACGCUAACCCACUAAACUAGAUGAAAGAAAUUUCACUGCUGUUUUCAUCUCCAAAGUUAAAGACGAAAACAAAUCGAAUUUUUCAUCUCAAAGAUCUUAUCGAUGGAAGAAUUUCAUCUCAAAGGUCCCAUGCGAACCUUAUGUUUCUCUCCAGACGAAUUUUUUCAAUGUAGAGUACUGCAGAUCCAGAAGAUUUGCUUGUCAAUCUACCAACAUAUAUAUGUAUUUGUACAUAUAUACCAAAGCAGUGAUUUGAUAGAUUGACCUCGCUUUUUUGGUAGAUUGACAAGCAAAUCUUCUGGAUCUGUAGUACUCUACUUCGAAAAAAUUCACUUAGAGAAGCAUGAGGUUCGCUUCGGAGCUUUAAGAUGAAACUUCUUCCACCGAUUGGAGUUUUGAGAUGAAAAAUUCGAUUAUUUUCGCCUUAGCUUUGGAGAUGAAAACAGUAGUGAAACUUCUUCCACAACAUUCGAGUUUUGGAGAGAAGCUUCUAGUUUAGUGGGUUAGAGUGAAGCAAAAUGAAUUUUUAAUUGGUCUUGUGAUUAUUUUUCAAUUUCUAAAAUUUGAAGUGAGUUUUUUAUUGGUUAUAAUCAAUUAAAUUAUAAGUAAGUGUAAAAGAAUUCAACCAUUUUAAAGAUAAUCGGUCUAAUUAUUUUUAAAUCCCUCAAAAUGAUUUUUUAAACAACCUGAAAAUUUCCUACAAAUUAAUUAAGCACGUUAUAAACUAAAGUUGAUAUUUUAUAAACUUGUUAGGCCUUAGUUAUAAAAUAUGUAUUAGUAUUCAUAAACUUUCCAUCCAUUUCAUUUUAAUGGUUGCUUUAGUUGAUAAAACUAUUUCGUUUCAUUUUAAACAUCGCUUUAAUUUAAAAAAUUUAUCUCAAAAUAAUUAUUAUUUCAGAAAUUCAAAAUUUAAAUUGACAAUUGUUUCCAACUAUACCCUUAAAAUGAAAGAAGCACUCAAUUCUUUUUAACACUACUUAAUUUAAAAAAUAAAUCUAAUAAAUAAGGAUAAUUUAAUAAAUUAUACUUGUAUACAUUUUACAUUUUAAAUGUUAAAAAGCUAAGACGAUAACUAAUAUAAAAUGAAGUAAGUAAAUAAUAUAUAUUCAAAUUGACUACUAUUUUUUUUCUUAAAUACAUUAAUAAUGUAGCAUAAUAGAAAAAAACUUUUGGGUGUAAUUAAUUAAUUACACAUAAAUAAUUAGGUAUGAAAAGGGAAGUUCAAAACUUUUAUGAAGGCUUUUAAGAACCUUUUGGUUCUUAAUUUUUACCCCUUCUGUCUCAAUUAUCAAUCACAAUUUUUAAAAAUAAUAAUUUUGAAUUAUUUAUCAUUUCAAAAGUUUAAAAAAAAAAUAAUUUUAUUUAUCCUUAAUAUCUUAAUACAUAAUAAAGGAAAAAUUAGCAAAAUUAUUUUUAAAUAAUAAUUUUUUUAAUAAAUAUAUAUAAAAAAUACGAUAAAUAAUUGAAGACAGAUAAAUAAUAGAAAUCAAGAAGCUAUAUAUUAGCAUCUUAGCUGAAAACCAUCAAAAAUUAAAUUUUAAGUUAUAAUUCAAAUUGAUGAAGCUUUAAACAAAAGCCACUACUGCUGUCAAUUUUAGAACCCAAAAUUAAUUUUAUUUCGCCAACAAACUCAAAAUCACAUAAAUUUAUUAAUAUACCCCCAUUAGGCAUACACAAUAUUACUUUAAAAAAAUAGUUGUCAAAUUAAAUAAUUUUAAUGUCUAUAUACUAAUAAUGUACACAACUUUUUUAUACAAUUAAUGUAGUUUUAACUUUUGUGCUAGUAAGUCAAUCACCGUUCACACGAAUGUGAAUGUAGCUGAUUCAUUUGAAUUCACUAUUUUUAGGUGCAAUAUAAAUUUAAUAAAAUUCACUAAAAUUAUAUAAAAGCUCACUUAAUUAAAAUUACAAUAAGGUCAAUGCUAAUGACCAUAAAAUACUAAAUCAAAUUCAGAAUUUACUUAUGCAUUUAUAUUGGAUUACCUAGCUAUUAAUAUUUAUAAAAAAAUGUUGAAUAGUAAUUAUUUUGAGCGAGUAAUUUGAUUGUGUAAGUAAUUUAUUUGACUGACGUUGCGUAUAACUUAAACAAUUUGACUGAGAAAUUCUAACAUUUAAUGCAAAAUGAAAGAAAACACUACUUCAAUUCAAUUAUGGACAGACAAUUUUUUGAAUUCAACAUUGAAUUAGAGUAUGGACCAAGGAAAUAAUAUUUGACCAUGUUGUCUGAAAGCAAAAUGGUUUUGUUUCAAAUUAAGAUGAAAAUUGUUUUCUUAUGAUGAAGAGAUAAAAGUGUCAUUAAAAAACAGGUUCUCAUUAUUAUGUAUGAAUCCCAACUCUGAAUGUGGCAAACGGGUAGUAGUUGAAGCAAAUUAAUGCAAAAAUAUAUAAUCAAUGCAAGAGCAAGAAAUGUCAAGUUUUCUAGCAAGUAUAUAAUGCCCUUUGGAUCUUGAUGCCAUUUGCUCAAAUUAGUUGUUUGAAGAACAGAAAAAUAAAUAAAUAUAGGGUCACAUACAAUUCAAAAUUUUUACUCUUUGAAGAUGAUAAGUGAGGGAGUGAUGAGGGUAGGGGUGUUAGCAUUAUUUUGUUUUUAUGUUCUUGUGGGGAGUGUGGCUUUAGCUAGAAAUGUGAAAGAUUUCGAGGAUGAGAAGUUUUUUACUAUUGGUGAGGGAGGGGGACUUGGUGGUGGUUUUGGUGCAGGUGGAGGUUCUGGCAGUGCAGGUGGUGGAGGGUAUGGUGGAGGCGGAGGAGGUGGUUAUGGUGGCGGUGGUAUAGGUGGUGGGUUUGGAAAAGGUGGUGGAAUUGGGGGUGGUGCAGGAGGCGGGGGUGGAAUAGGUGGAGGAAUUGGGGGUGGUGCGGGAGGCGGAGGAGGAAUAGGUGGAGGCAUUGGCAAAGGUGGUGGCAUUGGAGGAGGAGUUGGUGGCGGUGCAGGAGGUGGGGGCGGAAUAGGUGGUGGCAUUGGAGGUGGAGCUGGUGGUGGGGGAGGAAUAGGUGGAGGCAUUGGUAAAGGUGGUGGAAUUGGAGGUGGAGCUGGUGGUGGGGGAGGAAUAGGUGGAGGCGUUGGUAAAGGUGGUGGUAUUGGAGGAGGAGCUGGUGGUGGUGCAGGAGGCGGGGGAGGAAUAGGUGGAGGCGUUGGAGGUGGAGCUGGUGGUGGGGGAGGAAUCGGUAAAGGUGGUGGCAUCGGUGGAGGAGCUGGUGGUGGGGGAGGAAUCGGUAAAGGUGGUGGCAUCGGUGGAGGAGCUGGUGGUGGUGCAGGAGGUGGGGGUGGAAUAGGUGGAGGCAUUGGUAAAGGUGGUGGUAUCGGAGGAGGAGCUGGUGGUGGUGCAGGAGGCGGGGGUGGAAUAGGUGGAGGCGUUGGAGGUGGAGCUGGUGGCGGCGGAGGAAUCGGUAAAGGUGGUGGCAUCGGAGGAGGAGCUGGUGGCGGUGCAGGAGGUGGGGGAGGAAUAGGUGGAGGUGUUGGUAAAGGUGGUGGCAUUGGAGGUGGAACGGGUGGUGGUGCAGGAGGUGGUAUUGGUGGGGGAGCUGGAGGUGGAAAAGGAGGAGGAAUUGGUGGUGGUGCUGGUGGAGGAGCCGGUGGUGGUAUAGGAGGAGGCAUCGGUGGAGGAGUUGGAGGUGGUGCAGGAGGAGGUAUUGGAAAAGGUGGUGGCAUAGGUGGAGGAGCCGGAGGUGGUGCUGGAGGCGGCUUUGGUAAAGGUGGUGGCAUAGGAGGUGGUAUUGGCAAAGGUGGCGGCAUUGGUGGAGGAGUUGGGGGUGGUGCUGGAGGUGGAAUUGGCAAAGGUGGAGGCAUUGGAGGUGGCGUAGGCGGAGGUGCCGGUGGUGGUGUAGGAGGAGGAAUUGGCAAAGGUGGUGGUAUUGGUGGUGGUGCAGGAGGAGGAGUUGGUGCUGGCAUUGGUGGAGGAGCCGGUGGUGGUGGAGGAGGAGUUGGUGGUGGCGUCGGAGGAGGUGUCGGUGGUGGUGCAGGAGGAGGAGUUGGUGCUGGCAUUGGUGGAGGUGCCGGUGGUGGUGGUGGUGGUGGAGGAGGAGUUGGUGGUGGCGUCGGAGGAGGUGCCGGUGGUGGUGGUGGUGGAGGAGGAGGAGGAGGGGGAGGAGUUGGUGGUGGCGUCGGAGGAGGUGUUGGUGGUGGUGCAGGAGGAGGAGUUGGUGGUGGCAUCGGAGGUGGCGGUGGCGGUGGAGGUGGAGGAGGAGGAGGAGUUGGUGGUGGCAUUGGCGGAGGUGUUGGUGGUGGUGUAGGAGGAGGAAUUGGCAAAGGUGGCGGCAUCGGAUUUGGUGGUGGUGGUGGCGGAGGAGGAGGAAUCGGUGGCAUUGGAGGAGGUGCCGGUGGUGGAUUUGGAGGCGGAUUUGGUGUAGGAGGUAGUUUAGGUGCAGGUAUCGGAGGUGGUUUUGGUGGAGGAGGUGGUGGUGGAAUUGGAGGAGGUUACUAAAUAUCCUUAAACACCAAAUUAAGCUGCUGCAUUGUUAUUAUUAUCAUUCUAUUUUCAGAAUUGUAAUUCAUUAAUAUUACAUGUAAUGAACUGAAAUUCCUACAUCAAUUCUAUUCAUUAUUAAAUGGAUACUAUGUAAUAUUAUUUUCCUUUAUAAAGACCCUAAUUAACAAUAUCCAUCAAAUUUAUGAAACUGAAAUAUACAAUAUUUAAUGUGCAAGAAAUUAAACAUGAGGCAAAAAUGAACAUAAACUAUAUUAUAUAGCAAAAAAUAGCUAAUAAUAUACACUAUGAACAUAGAGUAUCUUUUAAUAAAAUCUGUAUAAAUUGUUGAAUUUUCUUAACACAAUUUUGAUAUUUCUUUUUUAAAAAAGUAAAAAAAAUAUAACACCUAUAAUUCAAAUUCUCAACCGCAAAAUCUAAUUUUUGAGUCACCAUUGGCGUUUGGCAUUGCACAAUAAAAGUUCUACUACCAAAGACAAAGAGAUUCAAUAAUAUUUUAUGAUUAUUUUUAACUCGAUGUAUAAUAUCCAAAAUUCAUUUUCUAAAAAAAGAUAACUUAAUAAAUAUUUCAUUUGAAUUGGCUCGAAAAUAAUCAAAAGAAAGAGAUAAUAGCCAAAAUUAUAUUUGAAUAAUCUACGAAUUUCAUAUCUAAUUAGUAUCAUUUUGUUCUCUUUUCAACUUUUUCAACCUGAAUUAAGUUUUAAUGCAUAGAUAAUGAAGUUCAGAAAUGAGAAAAGAACAAUUAAUAUCUAGAGGAUAAAAUUCACCAAAUAAUAAUAAUAACUCAAAUGUGAGUUUUAUUAUAAUCCUUAUAAGAAAAAAAAAUACGUAUAAAGUGAGUUAAGAAAUAUGAAAUCUCACGUCUAAUAAACAUCAAAUAAUUUCUUUCCAUACUUUAAUAAAUAGAAUUACGUGAUAAUUAUAUUAACAGAUAAAAUUAAUUGUAUUGCUCGUAGACGUAGACGAUCACACGAGAUACCGUGAUUAUAAAAGUAAAAAAAAAAAGGUUAGAGCCCUAAAACCCCUUUUAAACCCUUUACAUUUCUAGGACUGUGGAGUUCCCAUUUUCAUUGCAAACAAAAUCUCUGUUAUCAAAAGGUAAAAUUACUAAUACAAAAUUCUAUCUUCUGUAAAUCCCUUUUAAUUCAUACCUCUCCAUGUAUUCAAAAAAUGGUAGAAAUUAACAAAUAAUUUUUUUUUUUAAAUAAAAAAGAGAGAAAAGAUUACAGCUUUUCUUCUCCUUCAAUUUGGGGUUGUUUGUUCUUGUUGUUCUUUUUUUUUUUUUUUGUGGUUAAUGGUUAGUAUAUUGAAGCAGUAAAUUGUGGUUGGUUUCAGAUUUUAACUAAUAUAUUCAAGAUUGCUUCUUUUUCUGUUUUUUUUUUAAGAAUCAAGAAUGUAAGUGAACAUGUUAAAAAUUUGUUCUUUUUUCCAGGUUAUUGUCAUUUUGUGCAAAAGGGGGGUGUUUUUCUAAUCUAUAAGAGUUGUUCUGGUGAUUUAUUGAGUUGGAAAAUGCCGGAUAUUGAGAGACUUGUGAAUGAUUUUGUUGCAAAGCUCAGCAAACGGUUAGUACUGCAGUUAUAGGAAUUAUCUGGAAGUAUCACUUGUUUGAUUUGAUUGGCUAAUAUGGUUAUCUGCUUUUCUGUUUUUGAAUGAUAGUAAGGUUGAAGGUUCACAAGCAACUUCGCGGCUAACAGCAGAGUUGCUUCGUUCUGUAGUUUCGUUGCAGAGAUUGCCACCUACUAACUCAGCUGCAGUGCUCAUUGAGGCUGUGAGAGGUAUAGGUGUUAAAUUGGUUGCUGCCAACCCCGUUGGUAAGCGUUUUAUCCGCUAAUACAUGAAUGAGGAUCUGCUUGUAGUUAUUUUGAUGUUCUAGAAUGGAAUUUAUUUUUUGAAGUAGUUAAUGAGUUAUUCAAUCCUGGUUAGUAGUGGGAAAUUUGGAUGCUGGAGAUGUUUUUUAAGCAUAUAGUUUGGGACAGGACAUUUGUCUCUGUUAUGCAAUCUUCUUGUGUUCCAAAUGAAUUCAAUGAUAUAUUUGCUUCGUGUCUAGUUUGAUACCAGUUGCUUCACUUGCUCGAAAUAUAGAAAAAUUUGGAUAUAUCUGAUUAACUAGUUGUGUUAACUUUGUUUACUAGUCAUGUGUAGGAGUAGGACUUAUUUGAUCUAUGGUUUAGUGUAAGUCAUUAACUGCAGCUGCCGCUCCAUUUGUUUGUUUCAUUUUUGAACUCGAAUUCUGCUAACAUGUAGUGCUAUACAUUUUUUUUGUUGAACUGGUAACACCUUCGUAUUAAAAUCAUAAAAAGGCUGUGAAAGCCAUAAUUAAGGAGAAAGUGAAGCAAAAUAUAAACUGUGAGUUCCCAGUGAAAUGAUUUGAGUGUGUUGAGGAAUUCAGUGAAUCCGUCUACCUCCCAAUCAUUUAGGAGUCUCCUGAAACUGAAGUUCCAGCCUUGAUUGCUCCAAACUUCACUAAUGUUAACCCUUUGUUGUUGAUUUAAAAUGAAAACAUACGGAUAUAAGAGUUUGAAAGAGCUAUCUCCUAUACAGUUGUCCUCCCAAAAGGAUGUUUCAAGCCGAUUACCAAUUUUUAGUGCUUAUCUUGCUGCUGAAAAUUUGCCAGAGAUUUCUGAUAGUCUUCUGGACACUGACCCCGUACACAAUGUUGACUGAUUUUGUCUUCUAUGGUCUUCAUCUCCGUAUUUGAUCACCUUCUUCUACAAAGAUUGAUCUUUGUUGGAGUAUCUCCAUAAUCUCUUUAUGAGCAGACUUUAGUUCUGCUUUCAAAGUUUUUUUAUACCUACUCCUCCUUGCUUUUUAACGAGGGUAAGAGUUUUCCACUUCACAAGGUGGAAGCCUCUUCUUCCCUUGCCAUAAAAGUUUCCUUGUUACUCUCCUCCCUCUGUCAAAGCUAAGACAUAUACAUCUGCUAUGAUAGCAUUUGCACACAUGCACAUAUAGGGAGAGGGGGAGAAGAGAGAGAGGUGGUGCCCUAGUUCCGAUUUAUUCCAGCGUGUUGGGUGUCCUUCUGCACAUUUUCUUUGGCAUGAACCCCAUUUCUCAUUAUUUGUCAGUCCACUUACUAAAGGAUGUGUACAUAUAUGUAAAAGGGCUCGGUGCACGAACAUCCUGCGUCCACGCAGGGUCCGGGAAAUGUCACAUCUGAAGGUGUAGUGUAGGAAGCUAUCUUGAUGCAAGCAUCCGUCACUAAUUUCACUGCUUGAACCCAUUGAUUUCAAUGCAAGGAUUGUCAACAGACUUCACAUUGAGAACUUAUAGUAAAUUAAUGACCUCUGAAUUCUGAUAGCACUCUAGAUUAAGUAAUCAUAUUUGUUUAUGCCAAGAAUGAUAUGACCAAAAUUUGAUGAAAUUGCAGAGCUUGCUGUUGGAAAUAUUGUUAGGCGUGUUCUUCAUAUUAUCCGGGAGGAGGAUCUUUCUCUUUUGACCAGUAAAACAAGCGACUUAGAUUUAUCAGCUGCAAGUGAUGAUGAACGAACCAUAGACCAGGAUUAUGACCCAACUCAGUCUGCUGCCGCAGCUGCAGCUAAAAGUUUUCUACGGCCUCCUUCAUUGCAUGCACUUCUGGAGAAUAUGUUGGAUAAAGCUGUACCGACUAACAAUUACACCUCCUCUUCAGGUGGAGAUACUGAAGAGAAAAGUAAAGGUAAACGCUCCUGUGCACAUGAAUUUGAAGCAAUCUAGUCAUUUUUUAGUUUCAGUACUGAAUUAUCUGUUAUUCUGUGCUGUAGCUGAUAAACUUGCCAGGACUCGGAAGUUAAAGCAUGAUGUUAUUGAGGCAAUUAACAUAUUAAUUGAAGAUAUUGAUACUUGUCAUGAGCUGAUCGCGGAACAGGCAGUUGAGCAUAUUCACCAAAAGUAUUUACCUUUCGCACGUACUGGAAAAUAUGUCUUUAUUUUGUUAUGCACACUACAGAUUUCAAGUAACAUUGUAGCAUGAUUUGAACACAUGCAAUGGAUAUUGUCAUUUCACUGUUCCCCAUUGUUUGUUGUUCAAGGGGAUUCCCUUUGCAGUUCAAAAAAAUUGUGAUAGGUUACUCAGGACUCACAGCUUGGGUGCGAGGAAAAUGCCACUUCCCUUGAUGGAUAGACAUUUUAUCUGAUAAAUUAACACAUUUUGUUAAUCAAUGACAAAUCUACUGUUCCAACCUUGCUGUGAAAAUGACAAAGAUAAGCUUGUAGCUUAAUUUGCAGUUGCUGUCCUUCUUUACAUUGCUCCGGGGUGAUAUAGUUACGAUUAUAAUUGUAAUGCAAAUGCUUUUUUUUGUUUUAACUUUCACCUCUAAUUUAUUUAUUUGUUCUUUUUCACUCACUUUUGUGGGCAUAUAGCUGCAUAGUUGUGGCGAAUGUAUUUUUUCAAAUCAAAAUGCUAUAGCUAAUUAAAAAAUGCAAUUUUUUCAGUGAAGUAAUACUAACACUAGGUAGUUCGAGAACUGCCUUUGAAUUCCUCUGUGCUGCAAAAGAGAAAAAACGGUCUUUUCAUGUGGUUGUUGCAGAGGGCGCACCGAGGUUUGUGGAGUAUUCUCUAAUUUCCGGGAAAUAAAUGAAACAUGAACCUUCUUUUUCAUUGUAACUAAAAUAUAUCCCCUCUUUGUUUGUGCUUGAUCAGGUACCAGGGGCAUGCUCUUGCAAAAGAGUUGGUGUCAAGAGGUCUACAAACUAUAGUUGUAACAGAUUCUGCUGUUUUUGCAAUGAUUUCUAGAGUAAAUAUGGUAACUUUCUGGAUUGGCUCUUUUAUGUGUAGUACCAAUCUGUAACCUUGUUCUGCUGCUUCGGCUACCUGUGCUCAGAACCGUAACCUUGUUCUGUAGGUUAUAGUGGGAGUUCAUGCAGUGAUGGCCAAUGGUGGUGUCAUUGCACCUGUUGGAAUGAAUAUGGUUGCACUUGCCGCUCAAAAGCAUGCUGUUCCAUUUGUCGUAGUUGCUGGCAUUCACAAGGUAUCUGAGCUUUAUUAUCUCUACAUAUUACUCCCUCCAUUUAAAUUUGUUUGUCUUAGUUUCCUUCUUAGUUUGUUUCAAAACGAAUUCCUCUUUCCUUUCUUGGCAACUUCUUGAUUCGAACUUUCCACAUGACAUAUUUAAGGACACGAAGUUGAAGGGCAUUUUGGUACAUUCCAAAGUCUUCUUUACUUUCUUAGGGAGUUCUUUUUUCCUUACCCAUCCCCAUGACACCCACCCUUUUGCUCCUUUGGUGACUCAAACCCACAAUCUUAGGGUUGGAGGUGAGAGGGGCUUACCAUCCAUGCAACUCCUGAGUCUGCAAUGGAGGGACUAACUAUCAAAAAGGUAUUAUUAAGGUGGGUGGGCGGAGGUGGGGGUGGGGGGGUGGAGAGAGAGAGGUCAUGAGAACUAUCAACUUGUACAGUCCAAACCGUUUAAGUGGCUAUUCUCUCAGCUCUUACUAUUGGCGAUUUUUAUACAUCUUGCUGAUUAUCAUUCUCAAUUUAGAAGGCUCUGAUAACAUGAGAAGAACUCAGCUUUUCAGGUUUACUAUGAUGUUCAGAACCUUUAAAAAUGGUGUAUAAUGUUGAUGUAAGGCUUUGCAGAUCCUUGAAUCCAUUUUGAGUUGACCAUAAAGUUAUCCUUUUUACACUUGCCACUUCAGCAGCAAACUCUUUUUCUACUUUUUCUUGCAGUUAUCAUUAGUUAGUCCGUUUAACUAUUUUCUUUCUGCUACAGUUGUGCCCUUCUUAUCCACACAAUCCAGAGGUUUGUCUGAAUGACAUGCGAUCCCCUGCUGAACUUCUCGAAUUCGGGCUAUUUUCAAACUGCAUGGAAUUUGGAAUGGAUAGUGGGGCUCCUCUUCAAGUUGUCAACCCUGGUUUUGAUUAUGUGGCACCCGAGCUUGUCAGCCUUCUCAUCACCGACAUGUGAGGAUUCUUUACCAUUUUCAACUUUUUAUUCGUCUUUGCAACAACGAUGUCUCAAUCCCGAGCUAAUUUUGGCUUGCACAUAACAAAGCAGCGUGGAUAAUACAGUUCUACAUUGUAUCCUCUACUAAUAUACGGGAAUCUUUUAUUUUGUUAUGUUUAGUAUGCACCAUUCAGUAUGAUGAAGUUCAGUUUACUUUUCAAAGAAAAAGACUACUGCGUUUUAACUCCACCAUAGUUUAUAGUGCAUAAAAUAAACUACUAAAAAAAUCGAGUCAAGGUUUUACAUGCAAAAGUUUGGUGUAUUUGGACUUAGAUAGGCUGAAGGGAGCAACAUGGACCAUGAGGAUUCAUGUAGCCGACCCCACGUUGCUUGGGAUUGAGGUUUAGUGGUUGUUGUGUUUAAGAGGGCGUGCAAUGGGAAUUCGUAAUGUAUUAUUUUGCCACUUUAUGAGUUAAUAAGCAGUUUUAUGAUAAUAAUACUUCUUGCAUCUUUCUGAUUUACAGUGGAGGGCAUAACCCGUCAUAUAUGUAUCGUCUCAUAUCGGACUACUACACAGCUGAUGAUUUUGAUUUGCAAGGGAGGAUACAUAAAUGAAGGUGAUACUUCCUUUAAAUUCUGGUUUUGACUUCGAAAUAAUCUUUCUGAACAUUGAACAUGUUUGUUGGCCAUUUUUAGGAGAAAAAAUUGACUGCUUCAGCAAUUAAAGCUACUUUUAUUAUUUAACCAUGGUUAAAUUGCCAUCCUCUGUACAUAAUGUCAAAUAAAAAUAUAAGAAAAUGAGGAUCUUUUGAUAAAGCGUCGAUAUACACAUCAGAAUCUAUAGCAUAGCAAGAACUAUAAAGAAGGAAAGAAAAGCAAAACAAAGUUUUAUCUCAAUUUCAGACUACUGCACUUCCUGGCCUUGGAUUAACUUGAUUCAGUGCUUAUAUUGGGUGCGAGUAAGUUUUUACCUUCCUGAAAUCAAUCUUUGUUGGCGAGUUACUAUGUAUCUUUAGUCUAUUAGACUCUUACUACGACCACACAAAAACUUUUAUGAUUGUUGCUUUGAUCAGUUUUUUUUGUUUAUGCAGAAAGUAUAUUGAACUCCUUACUGAAUUUAAGCAAUACAUGCUGAUUUCAGGUAUCUUUUGGAGAGCUGUAGUUGACUGAUGAAGAGAAGUGGCAACCAAAAAAUCAAAUGGAACGUGUUUGUUAUCCACUUUGUUGGAUAGCUAUAAAUGAGCUUUUUAGCAUAAACACUUUCUGAACAUUCUGUACUUUGUUCAGACUAUGUUUUGACUUGUUUAAUGUAUUGUAAUGUGUCAAAGGUGGUGAUAUUAGUUUGUUUCGUUCUUGUUAUGGGUGAAUGUUUAGAUGAACUUUACCUCUUGAAUUACAUGUAUCCUCUAUGCAUUUGUCUCUUGAAUGUAAAGGUUAAACGAGUAUCGCGCACACACAAAUAUGGACCUUUGAUUCCCUUUUUUUGGUUGUGCAUAACCACUCUUAAGAAGCUCAUAGAGGGACCAAAAAACACCUUUCGUUUUUCACCCCUAGUCCGCGACUAAGUGGGAAUUAUCUGAACUUCAGAAGCAGUGUCACUAUCACAGGGUUUAUUAGUGAACAGCCUGCAUUUCCAGGCUAAACUGUUCUUUUCUUGAGAUAUGAGAGAAUGAUGUUGAUAUUCAUUGAAAGUAGGUGAUCAAGAUAUGCUUGGAGAGUAAUAUCAUGAAAACAUAUAACUACAAAUCAACAAGCAAUGCCAAAAAAUAAAGUUAUGGUUUUUGAGGGCAUCAAAAUUAGUGUCCAAACAAAUAUGCUAUCAGGUUCCAGGUUCUACUUCUUGCUGAGAUCAAUCCCAGCUUUCUUGGCUACAGCAUCAAGUCCAUUUUUCUCAAUGGUCUUUAUGGCCUUUGUUGACAACCUCAGUUUCACGAAUCGUUUGCCUUCCUCCCACCAAAUUCUCUUGUAUUGAAGGUUUACGAAUUGCAACUUUUUCGUUUUGUGGUUUGAAUGAGAGACCUUGUUUGCCCUGUUGGACUUCUUGCCAGUGAAGGGGCAUACUCUACCUGAAAAAACAGAAUGUAUUCUCUUAAUAUUCUAUACGCUACUUAUCAUAAAGAGGCGCCAAGAUAUUCGAGCACAACCGACAAAAAUGCAGGAAAGCAGGGGGGGAAAGGAAAGAUCAUGAUGAUGUAAGGCAAAGGAUGCUUCACUGGGAAUAUUUGAUUACUCUUGUCCCUAAUUUGUUUUAUUUUACCUAUUAGCUCAAAGGCUUUAAGUAGUUUUGGACUAAAAAAACAAAGGAAUUCAGGAUGCAGUUUGACAAAUGCAGCAACUUAGAAAGGGAGUCAAAGCAAGCAAGAGUGUCAGUGAUAUAGUGCUCCUAAUGACUCUCAUAAUGUGCUUUCUGAUUAGUAAACUAAAGCUUCAUCAGUGAUCUAAAAGCCAAAUACUCUGCCAUUACUGGAUUUCACAAAAGGUAAGUCAACCCUUUACAAUUUGUUGUCAUACAAUGAGAACGAAUUAAACCAAGCUGUUAUCAUCAUAUUCAAAAUAUAAUGUACACCAGAGGGGCGAACACACCGAAGAUUCAAGUUCUGUAGAUUUUUCCUUCCAAAUCUGCAGCUAACACACUCUCUCAGCCUCUCAUUAUUGGUUUCGUCUUCUUUUUAACUAGUUUGGUCACUUGUAAUAAGGACACAGGUGGGUAAAUAAAUAUUAAAAAAUGCAGAAGGUGAAUUUGAGAGGUAAAUGGAUUUACAUAUUCUUGAUAGCGAGAAAUCUACUUUCAUAAGCUUUGAAUCUCAUAAAGCUUUUAUUUCACUAUUAGGCUGCAAGUUUCAUGGAGAGAAGAAUAGGCAGAUGGAAAUCCUGCUCAUUAUCAAGAGAGGUGAAAGCAAGAAAAUGAAGCUCCCUUUAGGCUGCAGUCAGUUUUUAAUGAGACCUAAAAGGCCUCGACAAGAAUUAUAAUAUCUUCUCAUGCAUAUAGUAUUUCUUUUGCAGCUUUGUCUAUGAAUUGCAGCAAAGGAAUGCAAACUUUGUUAACCAAAAAACUGUUGAUACCAUCUAUAUAAGAAAUUUAUCAUGAAAUAAUUUAUAAUUCUUCACUUGGACAAUCUGUUAUGCCUUAAAUAUCGGCAAUCCUUAAGUCAGAGAACAAAGAGCCAAGGAGGAAAAAUUAGGGAUCAUUCAGUAUAUGAAGACAACUAUGGACAAACUUCCAAACUAUAUACCGUAUUUUAUUGAUCUUGUUGUUAUUAAUGCAGUUAACGCGGCAGCUCCCUUUAAUCAAUAUGCUGUAGUCCAUCAAGCUCUUCCCAGUUUGUUAAUUUUGCACAUGGUGAGGUUGUCCUAUCCCUAUUUCUUGCGACUGUAGACAGACUUUUAAACCCCUGGAAUGAUGACACCCCUUUAAUCUCUCCUCUUGAAGUUAUAUAAGAAGUUGUUUAGAUAGUAAACUAUAAUAUGGUUUUUAAUCAUUGAUUAUCAUAUGUAACUUAAUAAUAUGUGAUUAAUGUCAAGUGCUCAGCUUACCAUACCACAGAUUUCAAGAAAACAAUAUAUUUAGUUUGCAAAUUGCAACUGAAUCAAACUUUUUCCAACUUUGGCUAUGUCUUCAGAUCCUCCACAUUGUAAGGGAUAAUUUUCAUCCCAUAUCAGCAAUACUAACUUUCACUUGGUACUAAACAAUCUAACGUAAUGUGCUAUCAACACAAAGCACAUAUCUGAAUUCUAGACACCCGACUACUAAAUGGGGUCUCAGGUAUGGAAUGAGCAAUUAUCUGAGUAACACUCAUGAUGAUUUCGGUCCUGUGACCCUUUGAGUACGGCCACUCCACACACACACAAAUAAAAAGGCUACCUGCACCAAAAUGAUGAUUCAUCGUAUUAACAUUUGAAAGUUAUCAUCUUUCCUUUUUCCCCAUCAAUGUUCAAGAAGAACUUACUAUCCCUACUUCAUGGGUAGAGGGACCGAAGGUGUAUACCAUACAGUAUCCCUUUGCAUGUGAUCCAAUUAAUUGAAAUUCAGAAAGCUGAAAUGUCACCUCUACCAUCAAUAGGUCUACAAAGUUAAUAUUUCCGCCCCUCGAACUCGUAACCUUCAGGUCAGCAAAGGAGCAACCUUGCAAUUGCACCAAGACUCUUUUUUUAUUUUAAAUAAUGGUAAUGUCGGGGUCAGUUUGCACAUACUUCAACAACCAUUACCCUAAGUAACAAGUACUUAACUAAACUUCAAAUUAUCAGAUACAAUUUCCUUUUGACAAUUGUGGUGUAUGGCCAGUAUGCGCACACCUCGACUAAUUCUAAGGUUACCUACUGCCUCCCCACAAGCACAAUUUCUUACACACAAUUCACAAUAUUGUUAAAACCCAACAAUUCACUGAAACAAACAAAACAACAAACAGUUCAUGUGCAUAUUACUAGACCAAAAAAGAAACAACCCCAACAACUAAAAACACAGAGAACACAACAAAAGGGUAGAGAAAUUACGAGCAACAGGUUGAAGGGCUGUCUUGAAAGGAACAGAAAGUGAAGCAGGAGAGCUCAAAUGGGUGCUUGAAAUCUUGAUGCCACUCAAUUGAGAAGUCACAAAACUCAACUCUGAGCUGAAUUUCACCUUGGGUAAAGCCCUUUUGGUCACUGCAAAUGUCCUGUAACCACCCACUACUGGUCCUCUGAGGCUUAUACCCGCUGUGAUUGUCGCCAUUUUUGCAACCAAUUCCUCAAAGCAAGAAUCUUUUUUGUCUCAAGAAUGUUGCUUUUUUUUUUGAAGAAGGAAGUGAAGAGUGGAUAACGAAAUGGAUGUGGGUAAUGAUUUUAUUUGUUGGCCUUCAUAUUUUUUUUUAUUGUUAUUAUAUAUUUAACUUAUUUUUUCCUUUAGUCUAAUAAUAUCAAACGAUUUAAAUAAAAGAAUAAAUAAAUAACAAAAUCUAACUUAUUUGGAAGUAAUAUGUUAUCAUAGUUAUGCUUUAAUUUUAUUUGCAUUACUUGUGUUAUCUUAGUUUAUGCUUUAAUCUUAUUUCCAUUACUUACUCACGUGGAAGUCUAAUAUCACAAACCAAACAAAGAGAGUAUUAAGCCUAUACCAAAAUCAAAUCAUUAUUAAGCCUAUACCAAAAUCAAAUCAUUAUAAUAUUAAGCGUUUUCUCCCUCUUCAGGUUCCACUUAUGAUAAACCAAACAAAUAGACCAAAAUCAAAUCAUUAUAAUAUUGAACGUCUCUACUAUCUUCAAAUCAAUCACACUAUGUUAUGAAUGUCCUUAUCUCUCUAACCAAACAACCCCUAAAAUCUGUUAUCCCAUCAACUGUCCAACUGAGUCAGUGACCAACAUCAUUUAGAACUACAAGCACAAGACAUUAAGGCAAAAUAAUAAGAAGGUAAAUAAAAGAUUUCAAGAAGCCAUAAGAUUGUGCUCCUGUAUAUUGUAAGUAGUAGGUAAACUGUUGCAACUUAAAAACAAAGUUCAUAAUUUUUAGAUGACAUAAUACAAUGGCUCAUUCCUUCAUCCCAUUCUACAUCUGGGAGAAAACAUGUAUUCCGCUUCAAAUCGGGUACGACUCUCGCACUAACAAAAGGGUUAACACCAAGGCAUCUCAAUAAUGGUAAAAAUUGCAAACAAACAUUCAGUUAAGCAUUGUGAAAUCCUAUGUUAACGUCGUUCAAGUUUGGGGAGAUCUGCAUAAGGUUUUGAAUGGGCCAAAAGAAAUUAGUUUUGUUUAGCAAACUUUGUCUGAUAGAGAUCAAGGGGAACAUACUCCACAGUCACUAUUCGGUCGUCAAACAGUCGUCCAUGUAGACAAUGAGCAGCCGUGCAUGCAGCUUCUGCUCUUCUAAACUCCACAAGUACACAGCCCGGAUCAAACACUUCAGUAAUAGGGAUUUCUUCCUUUUUCUCAAGUUCCUCUGGAGCAUCCAACUCUUCUUUCGAUGAGAAUUCUGGUUCAGAAGGUCUAUCGUCUACAUUUCCAUUGUCUUCCUCUGACUUAAUUGCUUCCUUAACUGGUGAGUCAUUGUUUAUCUCAAGAUGCUCCAGUGGACUGGGAUUAGCAUUUUCAUCUUUCCUUUCUGAAACCAUACCAGUACGGGUAACCUCGAGAUUUUCUUGGAAGAUUGUCUCUUGAGCAGAGACACUACUGUCAUCUGGUAGAGGGUCAGAGCUGUCGUCUUUUAUUAGCUCCUCAGAAGGUCUAUCAUCCGAAUGACUGCCACCAGCCAAAGCAUCGUCAUCCCCAGCCUUUUGAGAAUCAUCUUGUGAAGAUUCUGAUAUGUGUGUUUUACUAUCAGCACAUCUUUCAGCUUCCUUAUCACUAUUGGUUUCCAUGGGUUCAUCACUGUUGGGGAAGUGUGGCCUACCAACUUCCAACUCAUGAUCAUCACUGUUGGGGAUGUGUGACCCACCAACUUCCAACUCAUGAUGAUCACUGCUGGGGAAGUGUGGCCCACCAACUUCCAACUCGUGAUCAUCACUCCUAGUGAUCGGAUCAUUUUUGUCACACUCUUCCCCAAAGUCCAUAUUGCUAUCGUUCAAGGUAGAACUAGUAUCCAUAGCAGCAGGAUCAGAUAUGAGAGAACAUUGACUUUGCUUUACAACAUUAAUUGAUUUAAUAGCGCCAAACCUACAGAUCAAAAGAAAACCUUCCAGAUCAGUAAAUAAUUGACAAGGAGAAAAAAAAAAGAAUGACAUUAAGAAAUGCGACUUUUCAUAAAUGACCUGGCACACUCCAAUCUGAUGUCUUCCAGUAAUUCUUCAAGUUCUGCUUCAGACAAAAAACUGAGUACAUUUGCAUCCACCUGGACAGGACACGGUGAUUAGAGGAAAGACUUUAGUAACCCCUUGGUAAGUUUUUUGCAACAUCUAAGAAACAUAACCCCAAUAACAGAGUUUUUAACAAAGAACACCUCCAAAAUAUACCUCAAAGGUCAACUACAUCCUUAAUAUAUCACUGUUAGCAAGUAACAUUGGUAGAGUGUAUAAAAAUAAUGCUAAAUAGAGUGUAUUAGUAAUGCUUGCAUUAGCAAUACAUGUAUUAGUUAUGCUUGCAUUAGUUAUACAUAGAUUAUUUUUAUGCAUUGUUUGAUUUGAUGCAUAAAAAGAUAGCAUGCAUUGCAUAAAAAAAAAAUUAAGUUACAAAGAUACCCUCCACUAUUAUAGCAAAAAAGAUGUAAAAAGGUUUUGAGGGACAAUUGGGUCUUUAAUCAUGCUAAUGCAUGCAUUAAAACCAUUGCAUUGCUAAUACCUAGAAAUACAUGGCAUUAGCAAUACACACCUUAAUACACAGAGUGUAACUAAUGCAAGCAUUAGUUAUACGUAGGUUGAAAAAGAGUAUCAAACAAGGUACUAGUAAUACACAGGGCUAAUGCAUGCAUUAUUUUUCCUAAUACACGCUACCAAACGACCCCUUAAAGUAUCAAAAAGUUAACAAGUUCAGUUCAAAGGUAGUUUUCAUGUCUAAAACUAACAGUGAAGCCAAGCAUACACAUAUACUAGUGACGAAAAAAGAAACAAAAUUGAGAAAGAAAAAGUGGUCGUGAUCCCAUAGUCUUCUUCUUCUGCAAAUUAGGCGUCCCACCAAGCAUUAUUUUUCUCUAUACCCAGUGAAAUUCUUCAAGAGUUUGCACGUACUGGGUAUUCUUCAGUGUUGGCUUGCUGCAAGUGUACUCCCUAAGUAUUAAAUUGCAUUUCUUGGUGGGUUUGGUUUUAACCUAGCCCAAGUUUAUUGAUUUCACAGGUUAUAAACCAAAUCAGUCACGGGGAAAAAGAAGACCAAACCAGGUAAGAUGUCUUUGUUUUAAUAUUUCAAAAGUUGUCCAAUUCCUCAUUAACAAAAAGAAAAUUUCUCGUAUCUUGAGGCAGAAACUUUAAAAGAGUACAGAAUAAUAUGAAACAAACUAUUGAACUCUAUAGACAAAGUGCAGUGCCUCUCUUUGCUUUCGAGUGCCUGGUUAUCUUCAAAAAUACAUUCCCUUUGUUAAAUAACGAAGUUCAGAGAAUAUACAAAGCAGGUUUUUGCCUAAUUCUAAAUUCCAAGCCAACACUUAUUAUAUUUUUCUUUGUUUUUCACCCAAAACAGAACCUCUUAAACAAGCCUUAAUAUUGAUUUGGAAGGAUGAUCAAAGGUAAGAAAAGUUGAACAUGGAGUUGAAAAAAACAACAGAUUUGCAUAUAGGCAACCGACCGACGUAUACAAACUAAAAAAAUAAGCAACUAAAAAAGCUAGUGGGUUGACGAAUCCAAAGCAACUUGGGGACGAAACAACAAUGUGUUUCAUGAAUCCAAGCUUCUUGACUUUUUUUUGGGUAACGUGUAAUGCGUUUGCUUGGCUUUUCACUGUUAGUUUAGACAAAACACUAACUUUGCACUAAACAUGUUUACUUUAUGAUGCAUUAAGGAUGUUGCUUGUUAAUCAAUGUCAUAUUAAGGAUGUAGUUGACCUUUGGGGCAUAAUCCAAGGAUUUUUAUCAUUAAAAACUCUAGAAAACAACCACGCAUCAGACCCAAGCAAGUUGGGCUCAACUAUCUGAAUAUUAUAAAAGUUUAAGCUCCUCUAGUACAAUAUUAUAAAGUAGAAUUUCUCUAGCACUAGAGAUUCUCUACAAUUUCUACUAGCAUCUACAUUUUUUACUGGCAUAACAAGCAGAAUAUUUAUUUGAUGAAAAUGAACUUGACGUCACAAAAAUAAUGAAUACAUACCACAUUUUUCAGCUUUAGAACUUCCGUGUGCUUCUCCAACAGUGGCUUUGCAUGCUGCGGAAUCCGGUAUAAAGGUGUAUUUUCAUCUUUGUCCUGAGUAUUAUGUGUAUCUUUUGGUCAAACUCAAAGAUUAAAAAAUGUACCUAAAGCCAAAGUAAUCAGGAUAAGAGGACUUGAGAUAAGUACCAGUAAAGCAGUAUCUGGGACAGCCCGAACAACAGUCAACACUUUCCCACCCAACUUCAUACCAUUAAGACCAGCGCAAGCUUUAAGAGUAACUGAAUGGUCAACAUACUGAAAUGGUUGAAAUAAUUACUUUAAGAUCAAUGAAAGACGCAAGAGGAACUUGAACUUAAAGAAGACUUGAGAGUUCAGCACUUGAUUCAUGGAGAAAUACAAGGGACCGAGAGGCUCAUUAUGUAACAAACAAAGGUAUCUAGCUGAUAAGUUUACUGUUGAAGCGAUAGUGUCGCAUAAUCUAAAGCAUGGUAAAAAACUAUUAUAAAAGGAAUACUCUACCUGCGAAGAAAAUUAAGUCAAGCAUAUGUGAAACUUAAGUGUGGCAAGCUACUUUUGGCACUAAAGAGUUCCACUGGAGAAUUGACACAAUCACCAGUACAAACAGGGUUAUUUAUUCUCAACCAUUAAAAGGGAUGAAGAGGGCUUGCGAAAUGCUCUGCAGAUCAUUGAGAAGGAAGGAUAUUAAAGAGUUUGAAGGCUAGAAAAUCUAAUAUGAAUAGUUAAGAGCUCCUCUUCCUUCUGAUUUAUUUCCAUCUGAAAGAUGAUAUCUUUUUGGUAUUGGCUCACAUUAAUAGAAUUGAUGUGGAAGCUCACAUAAGGAUCUGAAGCAGUAUUGGUUGUUCUAGAGCAAUCAUUUGACAAAUGUGUAGAGUUUUGGCAUGUCUUUCUAAAAAGAAACGUUUACUUGUCCUACCUUAGAGAAGCAAAGUAGUAGAAUGAGAAGAUAAAAUUUACAACACAAAAAGAGUUCCAAGAGGACAGAAAGCCGCUGCCUGAAAAAAAUGAUAAUAGUGCCUUUUUAAGGUAUAUUUUAUUAUUAAAAUAAAGGUAAAGUUUUGUCAAUACAUAGUAGUAAGAAGGUGCAUGAUACAUCCCCUUUCUAAGCCAAGCACACAACCACAUCGUCUAUCAAGCCAACAGGUACAAAGUCAUAAACAAUCUUUCCUUGGACAAUUUCUACAAUGAUUUGCAUACAUGUCUAUGAUUCAACUUUAUCUCUCCCAUGCUCUUUACAUGCUUAAAGUGGUAAAUCUAUUUGUUUGGCGCGACGGACCAACUCUGUUUUAAACAUGUAAAAAUAAAUACUUUUUCUUCAUUCACCCUUCAACCCAGAAAAGAUUGUUGAAGAGGAAAAUGAUUUAACUUCUAGUAAAACGACAAUUUGCUCAUUUUUUCUACACUUGGUACUUCCAGUAAUUCACUAGACUGAAAAAUAAUCUUAGCCAGCAAAAUACAAUAUGUUUAAGACUGUUUGUUGCAUAAAAGCUACCUUUGAACCAGAAGGAAAGUGCAUUUCUGUAAAGAAAAGGAUGCUUCAUUUAAUAUGAGAAAGGUAUAUACUAUAAUCCAAGAGUACCUCAAGAAAUGCACAAGGUUCAUUGAGAUCUGAAUUCAUCCUGAAAUGGUAAGCUUUCAAAGGUCCAAAGGCUUUAGCAAUCUCCAUAAGCUGAAAUAGCAUCAGGUAAGAUACAAAUCACAAGAGAGUGUGAUAUUCCAUUGUUCCUUCUUUUUAAUUAAGGAAAGGUUUCAAGACAUUUUUCAGUCUUACCAUCUCUGAUGAAAUAGUUCUUGAAAUUCCACCAACAAAAAUCUGCAAGACAUAUUAAACAAAAGUGUUAUGUAAGGGGAAAGGGAACCACAGGACUGGAACGGACUUGAAAUAUAUGGGAAACAUUAUAUAGAAGCAUUCGAUGACAAACAGACAACAAGUGAAAUACUGUAUGAUCAGAUUCCAAAGAAGUCCUUGUGGAAGCCAAAUUAAAAAAAAAAACAUAUUCUGAAGGUCACAAAUGUGACUCGUCAGGGAGUUAAGGCAACACCAACAAAGAAGAAAAGCAAUUCAUAUGUGACGUCCUCACAAUCCCACAGGUUCAAAUGAGGAAUUCUGUAUCUCAUCUUAACAGUGAGGGAACAUUCAUACAUCAACAUCUAAAGAAAAUCGAAAACAUACAUCAUAAUCCGUAACCUCACUGUCCAACAUAUAAUUGACCUACAUGAAUUCAUGUAUUGCAGUAGCGUAGAGCAGCUGUUGAUGAGUUUACUCGACAGAUGGAACAUUGCUUUCUGUGUAUACGAGUACAUACAUAAAAGUGCAGCACAUGAAGAAAUUAUAGGUCUCAAUUCUCAAAUAUGUUGUCCUAUUUCAAUCAGAUCAAGUGUUGAUAUUAGUUAUUACGCCAAGCUGCUGCCAUAUUUACAUCUUUUUCAUACUACAUUUUAAAAUCAUCUUGAGAAACUGUUUCUUAUUUAUGCUACCCAAAAAAAAAAUGCAAACAAAAGAAAACACAAUUAAGGCUAUUAGCUCCCCUCAAAAGUACUCCCAUUCCUUUCUCAAACUAAAAGCUAAAAUACAUGUAACAUUUUAAAAUACCUAAGAAGUUCUUUUACAACUAUAAUAAACAGAGCUCAAACUCUUGAACGGAAAUUCUAAAUAUUCAGUAAAGCAACUUUUCAACUUUUAAGAAGUCCUGCUAAAUCUGAUUAGACUGAAUUAACUGAAACGGACAAGACAGGUACUUCUAGCAAGAAUAAAUAGGAGAUUUGUACUUUAUCACAAGAAGUAAAGAUUGAUGGAUAUUGCAAGUACAAGGACAACACAUACAAGUGACUGUUGCAUCCAGUUCUGACAGGCAGGACUGAAGGUCAAUCUCAAAUCAUUUGUGUUGUUUCAGAUGCAUACCUUAUAAGAAGAAUCCUCUACAGUGUUAUCUAUCCUAUCAGCAGCAGCGACUGACUUCUGAGGAACACCAGUCUGCACGAAAAUAGCAACUGUCUGAAAACCUGCUACAUGAAUAAUGACCACAGUAUACCUCAGAAACUGAAUACAAGAGCAGAAUAAAUCACAGUUUCAACAUAAAGAGGUAGCACCACCUUCCUACGGCUUAAAUACACAUUUUAAUGCAUUGUCAAAUUGUAGAAAAUACAGAGCAACAAAUGUUCUACAUUAACGAAACUCCCCUACCAUAAUGUCCAUACUUUACUAUUUUACUUCAUUUGAUAUAAUUCAACUAUAUUCUCCCUCCAUAUAUGCAGUGAAAUCCACCGUCCUCAUUAGCAAGCACCAUCGUCAUCCUCCAACAUCCAAUUAAACAGAUGAUCAAGUGAGUUAGCAUCCUUUGUGCUGAGAUAUGAGCUAAAGGGUAUUGAGGGUACUAUAAGAGAAGAUCAGAAGGACUUCAUAUUAAUACAUCCUAAACAUAGGAUAUACCAAAAUCUCGGUGCCUAUAUUGUUGCUAACAACAACUAAGGGACUCUAUGAAAUUUGUAUCAAGUCAGAGGUUAUCUUCCACACUGAACAGUCCUUCAAGCAUUGAGGACAAGUCCAACCUCUCCAUGCAUCCUACUCAUUGACUACAUAAAGAUCUUGACUUCUAUUUCUGAUAAAGAUGGACAACUUGAUUUUUACCUGCAAGAACACAUUUUACUGGGGACUUCUGUUUGUUGCCUGUCUAUUUAAUCUUUAAUCAUAGGUCAAGAAUGGAUUUAGAGUAAUCUGUAUUAAGGGGGAAAGAGCAGCUAAGACAGUCAUACUUAGCAUCCCUUCCACAACAAAAGACAAAAUUCAUACAACAAUCAAACUCCAAAAGGCAUAUAUAGAACGGAAGGAAAGGCAGAAGAAAAUCAGAUUCAUUUUAACUAAGAACACAAUCUUUUUAACCCACGACAAUCCUUAUUUGUACCCCCACUUAGACCUGCUCAUUAAGAUGAUAAAAUAAGCACACCACUCAUUUCAUAUGAAGGGGUGCUUCGGUUUAAAAUGUGUAUCGUUUUUCACAUCCUCGUAUGAAGAUUACAAUUGAAAGAAAAAAAAAUUGUUUCCUCCCUUUAUCUAAGGGUUUUCAAGAAAAUUAGUAACCAUGACCAAACUUUCUUCAGCAAUGUCUAUAUCAGUGGACACCAGAAUAUACUGAUUGUUACAUAUAAUGAUGAAUACCGGAAUUUACUCAUUGUUACAUAUAAUGAUCAAUAAGAAUUGGCAUCAAAACUUCAAUUCAAGCCGCUUUUAGCACAAAACUGACAACCAAAUCUUAACUCAAACCUCUUUGACCCAAUUCAAUUUUGGCCCUAGUGGUAUCCAGUACUUUCCUUUUUGGAAUCACUUUGAACCUGCACAGAUUUUAACCCAACUACCCAAACGAUAAUGAGGACACUUCUUAACCGACACUGAAAUAUAGAUAAACUGCGUAUUGCAUAACUAUAACAUGUUACAUAAGUUAAUAUGCAAAAUCCCAUCAACUUCUCACACAUUUAAUACAAUAAUAGUAAGAGAAGAGCAAAAAAAGUUCAGUCUGAAAGAUAAGCACAAUCUACAAAGAGUCUCAUAGUUAUAAUUCUUACAGCCACUUCCACGAAGUCUUUUGGGCGUCUGAUUUUAAGAAUAGAACCAGAGAAAGAUCUUCCAUCAAAAGAUAGUGCAGCAGAAGCAUCUUCGGGCGUUAAAAAUUCUAAAAGAGCUUGACACUUCUCCUUGUGUAUCUGCAGUGUAGAAACAGUAAGCAACAGAAAUCUCCAUCCGGCUUAGAACAAGAAUAGAAGAAGAAAACAUACCAUACAGCUGAUACAUGGUUGGGUUCCUUGAAUGCGAUUAACUCCUGAAGACAUCAAGAAAUUAUUAAUCCAGUCCAGAAUCUCUUUCUCAGAGGCAGAGUUUGGCAAGUUCUCUACAUAAAGCCUUCUCAUAGGUCGUGUGGCUUGUGUCAGCUGGACGGAAUCAAUUGCAUGUACAGAUGACGUUAAGUAACUAUAUGAAACACCGGCGGCCAUUGUUGUGUAUGAACUAGCAGGAAUCAUGCUAGAGAACUGGUGUGUAUUUGGUAUUACAGGCUGCAUUGAAGACUUAACACUAGAAGGAACAGAACCAGUAACACUGAUACCACCUGAUGCAGGCGGUAGAUCCCACCAAGCAGCUUUUCGUUCUGGAGAGCGGUUAGUUGGGGGAGGAGUUUUAGCAGCAGCCUCUGAUUUCCUCUUUCUUGGUGAAUAACCACCAAGACCACUUGUAGAUCCUUCAUGGCGGUUGGAAUGGCUAUCUGAACCAUUGCUGGAUAUCUUUUUAUCCAGAUCAUAAUGUGAUCUUCCAGAUUUAUCUUUGGAAGAAUGAGAGGAAAACUCACCACGCUCUCUGAGAUCAUGAUCUGAAUGCUUACGUCCUCUCGGUGAACCAGAACGAGACCUUCUACCCCGAUCUCUAUCAUUCUCUCGACUUCUUGACCUUCUUCUCUUUGGUCUUUCUUCCUCUAGAUGAGCCCGAGAAGCUUCCACUCUUCCAGUGAUUUCAGAAACUUUCACUGAACUGUGUUUUUUAUCGGCAUUCUUCUCUCUAUUUCUCUCCUCCUCAUCACUUUUCCUUCUAACUGAUUCAGACUUUUCUUUAGUUCUGUCAGCAUAACUAUCUCUCCGCCCGUGAUUUCUUAAAUGCCUUUUCUCAGCCUCAUUCAGAAGAGCACCGUUUCUCUCCUCUUCAUCACUUCGGUGCUUCCUUCUACCUGAUUCAGACUUUUCUUUAGUUCUGUCAGCAUAACUAUCAAUCCGUCCAUGAUUUCUUGAAUGCCUUCUAUCAGCCUCAUUCAGAAGAGCAUCAUUUCUCUCCUCAUCAUCAUUUUGGUGCUUCCUUCUUCUUGAUUCAGACUUUUCUUUGGUUCUGUCAGCAUAACUAUCUAUCCGUCCAUGAUUUCUUGAAUGCCUUUUCUCAGCCUCAUUCAGAAGAGAAUCAUUUGACAUUUCCAUAUCUUUCCUCUUCCUGUAUGACUGUCUCUCCUCCUUAUCAGGAAUUUUGUCUUUUCUUCCCUCUCUGUGUCUACCAUCAGUCUUGUCUGCCGAUUUCUCCUUCCUGGUCAAAUCUCUUGAACGUCUUUUACCAGUUUCAUUUCCAGAAUCAUCAAUAAGAUCCUGAUCUUUUCUUCUAAUGACAGGACAAUCUUUAUCAGUGUUGCUACCCGCUAGUCUCUUAUUGCUUACAUCUUUAUUCACUGACGUCUUCAAUUUGAUUUCAGAUUCUCUACUUUCCCUGUGUUUAUCCCUAGCAUAUUUAUCAGCCAUCAUAUUAGCCUCGGUUGGAUUUGGCCCUAACUUCCUAGAAUUCUCUGAAUUAUGCCUGGAAACACUAGGUAAUGAUUCAUAGCGAUGUCGCUCAGGUUCCAAACGAUCAGUGGUUUUCUUAGGCCUGUCUUCUUUAUGUGAUACAUCGUCAACUCCUAUAAAAUUGUUCUUAAUGUCCCUUUCCUCUGCUUUACUUUUCCUUCUAAGCAUAAUUUCAUCAAAGCUGAGAGGUCUUGUCCUAGCUGAUGUACCAUCACUACUGUCACCCUUUGAUGAAUUAUGUUUACCAUUCUUAACUUUUUGUCGACUGGAUCCCAUAAUACUAACCUCCAAGAAGCUAUCAAUCUUUCAAUCAACUCCUCAGCAUAUGGGACACAGAAGGAUAUGUAACCACCUGACUAGAUGCAGUAGUCAGAGACUCAUGAUCAUGCAUCCAAUCGAAACAUAUUCAAAGGACGAAAAAAUAGCUGCAUGCAAGGAAAACAUAUUCAUCAUACCUUCUAGGUAAUUAGCCAUGCAUCUAGUUGUAAGAAACAGUAGAGUCAUGGGUGCUCAUUUUUUUUACAGUAAAGUUGUUAGACAAGAAGGGCUUCUUUCUUGAAGCUUACUAAUAUUUCUAUAGUUUAGUUAGUAAAUGAAAUACGAAAAAAAAAAGUGAAAAUCAAUAAAGAAAAUAUUAGUAAACAGCAGUGAAAAGGUAAAAAAAGAAGAGUAAAAAUGUUAAUAAAAGCUUCAGUUUGCUUUUCCCAAUCAAAAAGAUAUGUUGUUUAACAAGAUUCAAACUCUCUCUACAGGGCAUCAGCAUACUCAAACUUCAGCUUCAGCCAAAGCACCCAGCAGACCUUUAAGUUUAUGGAUGCUCACGAAUAGGUUACAAUCAAUUUUCCAAUAUUUUCUAUAUACAUAUGCAAAGAGAAAACAAAUCUGAAAGAAACGUUAGGUCACAAUAAAUGCUUAGUUUUCUUUUUCGACAACCAAUAAAUUCUUAGUGGUAACCAGUACACCUAGACUAAACAUGUAAGCAUCCAGGUGUCCUGCUUUUACCUUAGGUUAUCCGUUAUAGUGUCAUUCAACUUUCAACAUAUACAACUUAUGUUUAUUUAUAAGAAUGUGUUCUGACAUAUUCUAGUUUCUUUUUCUUUUUUUUUUGAAACUGAAAUCUAGUUUCUAGUUAUGGUACACUACUUUUAACCUCUUGUAAUUGGCAUCUCUUUAAAGCCAAACAACAUCCCAUGUAGAUAACAAUCCUCAAAGCUGAAACUCUGAUUUUUUAUUUUCCGUACUUGAACCAUAAUUUUUAUGAAAAAGAUGGAAGCUUUCAGAAAUGAAGAAAAUUUUCUCUUCUUUUUCCUUUUCCAGGAGUUCAGAAGGUCGAGUGCAAUAUUGAGAGCCUGAGCUUGCAAGAACUGCACAUACUUCAGAAAAAUCAUUGAAAAAUACCAAGACAUCCAAGCUAAUAUCUCAAAUAUAAUCACCACUCUGAGCAAUGAACUAUGUGUCACUUCAUUCACAAGACGACCUAGCAUAAAUGAGUAACUAAGUAACCAAUCUACCCAAGCAAAGAAUUGAGCUACUGCACCAUUUUAACAUAUCCUUAGUCAUUCCCUCCUAAACAGAACUCCGCCUACGUGCACAUUGCUGAUGCCAACACCCAAUCAAACACAGAGGUGAUACCUAGCUCAAACCAAGAUAAUUUACAAUGAAUCUCAAAAUAUCCCCACCUUACUUACAUUUUUAAAAAUCCACAAAUUUCACUCACAACUAUACAAUUCUGCAAUGUAACACAGCCAAUUCAAACUUCUAUAAAAAUCCUCACCAGUAAAAUUUUUUUUAAAAAAAAAUCAAAUGUCAAAUGAAAUAUAAAAUUGCAAAAUGAUAAACCUUUAUAGGGAAAUUCCAAUCGUUUAUGCCAAAGAAAUCAAAAAAAAAAAACUUUUAUCUAACUUAACACAAAUGAAAUUAUCGUCUGCUUAUCCGCAAUGUACAAUGAGAAAUUUAUCGGCAUAUGAGUAACGAGCAACGUGCAAUAACAGAGAGGGCUAAUUUUAAGUAGAUAAAGCAGCUAAAAGUAUUGAGCAAGAAGUUAGCUUACCGUAGAUUCGAACGGACGGUGUGCUAACUCGCCGGAGAAUCGCCGGAAAAGUAUGGAAAAAACCCGAUAAAAGUGGUUCCGGGGAUUAUCGAUUGGGUUGAAUGUCAGUGUAAAAAGCGUAGGAAGAAGAAAAACCUAGACAUGCUAAGAUAUUAUGCAUAUUUAUGUUUCCAAUUAUACCCCUAUAAUCACUUUUAAUAUUUAUUUAUUUUUGGAAAAAAUGACAAAUAUAGUCCGAACUAUCGUAAAUGAUAUGCGCAUGCCCUUCGUCAUACUUUAAGGAUAUUGGUGUUUGUGCCAUCUAAAAACUAUACUAACGGACAUACACGUGUUAUAAUCUUACUCAUUGACCUGAUAUCUGAUCGAUGGAUUAGAUUGUGUCACGUGAACCUACUUAAUCUCCUGUUAGACCGAAGGACAUAUACGCUCUAGUUUUGGACGAUAGGGGCACCAAUGUCCCGAAAGUAUAACAAAGGGUAUGUGCAUCCCAUUUUAUGAUAGUUCGGACGUAUAUUUGUCCUUUUUCCCUAUUUUUAAAUACAAUUUAACAAAUUAAAAGAAAAUAAUUUUUUUAUAUAUAUAUUUUUUACUCUUAUUAUUAAUCAAGAUUUAUAUUCCACUAAUAUGGAUAACUAUGAUAAGAUUUAUUAGAUUAUAGUGUAAUUAAAACAAAACGCUCAUUUGUUUAUGUAUUUGUUGAGAUUAGAAAUUUUCUCGUGAUUAUUGUUUCAAUUUCGUUUUUUCCUGAACGAGUUUUUUAGACCUACGUAAAUGAGUAAAGAGAAGUAAAAUUGAUUGUUCAUCCAUCAAACACAUGCCUACCAACAACAUAUCCACUAAAAUCUCAUAAAAUAGAGAUGAGGUCGAGAACAGUUAGGAUAUACGUAGAUCUUGUCCUUACUAGAAAAGUUAUUUUCGAAGGAUAGAAAGUAAAAUAACGACAAAAAGAUAGCAAGAUAAACAAAGGAAUCGAAGUAAUAGAUAGUAGUAAAAAAAAAUGAAUAAGAUACUAUCGAGGCAAGACUACUAAAUAAAGAGAAAGAUGAGAAGAGGAGACUAUUAUAUAUACCUGUUGAACAUAUAUAUAUUGGCAACUGAAGAACAUACUUAUACAUUAUCAAAUCUUGGCAACUCAGAAAUACAUAUACAAAUACAAAUACCAUAUUGAAACUCGACUAACGAGUGAGUAUUAUUGAACCAGUCUGAAACAUAGACGAGUGAAAAAAGAAGACAAGUACAUAAUCAGACUAUAAAGAGCAACAGUUUGCAACAGAGAUGCUUAUAGUAACUAUGCUUAUUCCUUUCGCAUCAACCUUGACACCAUAUGCUCAGUUUUCUGCCAAAAGAAGAAAAGGCAUUAGCAAAUUGGUAUCACUCACUGUGCUAUAGAACAAAGCUAUGGAAUUCAAGCAAAAGAGCCGAUGUGACUGUUUUAAGCAGUGACUUGUGCAUACAAAAUCUAUUCAUAUGAUCCCAAAGCCACACAUUAUAAAUCCCAUCGUUAAAGAUAGCAGAAAACGGUUUAUUUCUGGUUCUGUUGGGAAAUAUAUCCCAACAGAUGCACAGAAACAACCAUCUAGCCCACAUACAAACCAAGGACAUGUGUCCUAGCUCAAGAACUCGGAAGUUCAGAUCUUGUCUUAUUUUCCUGAUCAGUUCAACUUUAGAUAAAAAUCAGAGUUCACAGACAUGGUUAUAGACGUAGUAAGAGUUGAUUCUAUAAGCACACAUGCAUUAACACACCUUAAUUAUAAACUUACAAGGCCCCACACAGUUGCUUAAACAGAUUAUCCCUUCAGUCUUGCAAUAUUUUACACCACACACCUUGCUUUUGUAUGAAAGUUGAGUUCAAGCACGAAGAUUUUAACUGUUAUUUUGCAAGAUAAGUUGAUAGGAAAUUUAAUUUGGCUUUGUCACAUUUGAUUGAUGAUAUCUGAUUUACGUAAACAUAUAUGAUAUCGUGUAAGUACCAUCUAUGAAAUGCUAAAACUAGGAAAAAAGAUGUGAAUGGAAGCAUUAUUUACUGAUUGUUGGAGCAACGAGCUCUCUGAUUACUUAACUAAAAUACAAAUACAAGACGCUCAGAGUUGAAAUCAUGCACCAGUUUGCUUGGCUCACACAGGAUGUGCACAAGGGUACGGAAGCCUUUAAUAUCAGACCUUACAAAUAAAAAAUCAGAAUCCUCUAUUUUGUUGCACCUAGCGGGUGGGGAGUGUGUGUGGAGAAGGAAGGACGAUUGUGACGAAGACCUAGCGGUCAGUCAUCUUUAUGGACAAUAAUUUGGAGAACAAACUUUACAAUUAUGAAAUGUAAAAAAGGAAACUAACCUGUUCAGUGUGUGGCAGAUACUUUCCAUCAAAAGUCAAGACAACACGAUCCUUUCCAUCCACACCUUUGAUUUUAUCAACUGAGCAGAAAAAGUCUAUAGCUGACAUGCUAAACAUUGAGUCGAAAGUUAAAUCUGACAUAUCAUCCCAGUACAAGUAUAUCAUGUGCAGGAAGCAAGUGAAAAACAACUAACAGUAACAUAAACUUGCAUUAAACACUCGCAUAUAAACUUGCAUGGCUCAUAACAUCCUCUGCUGUUUUUCUUUCUUUUUUUUUUUAUAAAAGAAAUAUGUGAAGACCCCUCUGCUCUUUUUUUUUUAAAUAGAUCCGAAGGUGGUGGUGCCAGCCAAUUAUAAUCUGUACAAUGUACAGAACAUGUGUGCAGCCGCGACAAAAUAGUUCAUGCUAGUUGUAUAAACAAUCUAAUAUGCAGAGAGGUUGUGUGAUUCACCAGACAAGAGAAAGUCACUAUAUAGAAUCACAGGAUUAUAAUAGGAUAAUGGAUGAGACUACACUAAGUCACUAAGUGCAUCGGGUUGAUAAUUAACAAAGACAUAGUGGACGAGCCGGAAACACUUGACUAUCACUUACCUUUGAAAUUGUAGUUAGAAUUUUUUUUUCCUACUAUUUAUCUAUUAAAAAAAUCGGAAUGAGAUGGGAUUAGAGAGCUUGGGUUUGCGAACGAGAAAGCAUAGACAGACGAGUGAGUGCUAGAGGGCAGGUAAUAUGGCUUAAUCCUAAGGAAUACCAAUAUCAUUCCUAAUUCCCUUAGAAAAAAGCACUAAACAAACAACAGAUAAUGAAGAAGGGGUUAUAAUCCCCCUGCUAUAGAUCAUUUAUACAGUGAUCAAACAACACUAUAGCAUAGCAGCUUGUUGACUCUAAACACACUGUGCAUGCUCUAGUUCAUCUUCAAAAGACUUCUUAUGAAUCAUGCUUGCACCAAACCCGAGAUAAACUUAUGCAAUUCAGAGUAGUUAACCAUCAGAGGCAAUUCAUUAAGGUUCACAAGAUCCAGAACUCCUGAAGUUUAAAGGCAGAGAGCAUUUCCAGAGUAUGAAUCUAAGUUCUAAACACAUGCAGAGACCCACAUAUAAGAGAAGAUUAUAUCUUUCACCACAAUAUUUUUUGAAUCAAUAAAAUAAGGACAAGUAUUUAAUAUGUAUGCUAACUGGAGUGACUUACAUGCCAUCGCCAAAUUCUUCAUUAACAAUUUCCUUGAUACUCUCACCAAAGUGCAUGACAGCCUCAUUCAAUCUGUUGAAGGAACACAAUAAUCAAAUUAUGUAUGAAAUGCAACAACACAAAGUUUUCCGAAAAGCUUUGCCCAAUAGAUCUGGCUUACAGCUUCACAACUUAAGCGCUACUAUAUGCUUUUACCUAAAUUAUCUAAGGAUUUCACAGGAACAGUAAAAAUGGUAAGCUAGAAGCUCUUCCACAUUCUGUUUCUUCUGUGUUUUCUUGUGCCUUAGUAUCUACACUAACAACACUUUAUGUGAUUCUGGUAAAGGCAGAUUAGGGUUUAAAGACAGUGGUAACACCAAUUAACAUAUAUACUAACUUUGUACAUUUUAAGAAAAGAUGUAUAGCGCGGGCACAAAAUUUCGAGUGUACAUGCACCAGUGCUUAUAUUUUCAAUCCACUUCUGGCUACUAGACAUGACGACAUGUAAAUGUUAUACAACAAUGUUUUACUUUCUAACUAGGAGCACAACUUUCCUCCAGUCUCUACAUAAGAAUUUCCAAUUUCCUGAAUCCCGCAUCUUCCUCUAGUUAUAUCAACUACUGCACACUAUAGCAAGAUCAAAGAUUUUCAGAAAAUGAACAAUAAAGACAUAAUGAAGUGGACCACUUUAUAGAAUGGUUUGUCGAAUCAAGUUAAUAGGUAUUUCCAAUAUUUUGAACCCCAUUCUAGUUGUAUCAACUACCAUAUACCACAACAAGAUCAAAACUUUUCAGCAACAAAAGCAAAAAUUCUAGAAAAGGAUCAAGUGUUCACCUCUAGAAUCAAGAUAUCAAGAAUUUCCAGUUUUUCCAAUUGCACAUCUUUUUCUAGCUCUAUCAACUACUACCAUACACCAUAAAGAUCAAAUUUUUAUAUAAAAAAUCAAGAAAUGGGUGAAGUGGUCAUCUAUAAAUACUGAGGUCUUGAAUCAACUGCUAUUCCACUAUCCACAUCUUCCUCUAGCUCUAUCAACUACCAAACACCAUAAAGAUCAAAUCUUUACAUAAUAAAUAAAUAUAUAAACCAAAAAAAUAAGUGAAAUAGUCACCUAUAAAAUAGUGAGUCUUGAAUCAACUUAAUAAAAAUCUCCAAUUUUUCCGAUUCCACUAUCCACAUCUUGUUGAAGAGUCACACAGUGGAUAAUAAAGGAUGAGUACUUCCCUACCAACUAACUUUUGGGAUUGAGUUAGACACAAAGAUUCAUUUCUUUACAUGAUAUCACAGCACGACUCAUACCAAUUGUUGUUCACUAAAUGUCUAGCCUGGGCGUAACGGGGAUGUUGAAGCGUACCACAUCCAAUAAAAAAAGAUGGAUAGUCUCCCCUCGUAAGUUAGCUUUUCGGGUUGAGCUAGACCCUAAGAUUCAUUCUUUUUUCACACCUCUUUCUCUAGCCCUAUCGACUACCAUACACCAUAAAGAUCAAAUCUUUACAUUAAAAAAUCAAAAAUCAAGAAAUGGGUAAAGUGGGUCACCUGUAAACAGUUGGGUCUUGAAUCAAGUUGGGGUCAUAAGACCUCAAAGGUGCCUCCAUCAUUUGAUGAAUUUGUUGAUCAGAUAAAAGCGGAAGUGCAGCCUUCAGCUUUGGUGCAGUUUCAGGUUUAAGCUGAGCUUGACGUCUUAGCAACUGAGCCACAUAGACAUUUGUGAGACCAGUUUCUUCAGCUAUUUGACUAAACGUCUUGCCAGAUUUUUGUUUCACUGACAUAAGAGAUGCCACCAUGUUUGCCUUGUUCUCCAUUACUGCUUUUGCUUACUGCAAAGAAGAAGAAGAGUGAUUUUGGAUAUAUAUAUAUAUAUAUAUAUAUAUAGUAAGAGAAGAUGAUUGUAUUUUUGCUUUUUUAGGGGCCCAAUUAUCCACUUUGAUAAGUCCAAUUUGGUUAGAAAUUUUGAAUGGAAGAAGAAGAAGGGCUGCUAAUUUUGAGUUUUGCCUCUUUGACUGCUAAUGGGAUAUUUAGUAGAUAUUAAAAAAUUAUAAAAAAGUGAAAUAAAAUAAUUUAGCUAUUUAAUCAUAAUAAACUGACAUAUUUUGAUAUGUGCAUUGAAGAAAAUCAGGCAUGCCAAUGAAUAGGUGCGUAUAAACUCUAUUUCUUGCUUUUUUUUUUACUAAACAUGUUGUUGAAUUUAUAUUUUUGUAAGCACAAAGAAGUGUUUGGUAUAUGAGAUAAUAAUAAUAAUAAUUACGAAAUAAAAUUUAAGAUUAGCUUUAUUUCACAUCUAAUAUGAUGUAUUAUCUAAUUUAAAAAUAUUUGUUAUCGCAUAAUAAAGGGUAGGAUGCAAUAAUUCUACGAAUAUUCUUGCUUAUCUAAAAAUUUAUUGGGGAUAACUAGGGAAUCAUUAGUUACUAAUUUGAACUUGUUGGAAGUCUGUUGUUGUAAAUGUAUGCAAUGUGUUUGCUAAAAUGCCUAAAUGAGUUUUAGAACAAGAAAACAUUUUUUUUUGUUAUUAGUUUCUUUGCUUCAUAGUGAACAAGGUAUUCGUAGAUUGGGUUAGUUACCAAUUUUCUUCUUCUUUGUAUUUGGAUUUACUGCAUUUGAGCCGAAGGUCUUUCUGAAACAGUCUCUAUCCCUCCACGAGGUACUGAUAAUGUUUAUGUACACUCUACUUCUCCCCUCCCUAGGGGAAAGUUGUUAAUUACAAAAAUUUUGGGAAGUUGGACUGGCUAUUUCUGGAUGUAGUUUGUGAAUUGUAAUACUUGCUUUAUUGGAUACCGCAUACUCUUGGAAAAUGUUGCUUCUAAAGCGUGGAUGCUAUUGUUUAUUUGUGUUUUGAAUUGUCGUUUAUCAUUCACAGAUCUUGUUGGCUUAUUGCUUUUCAGUGCCAGGUCGAGUCAGCUACAUUAGCGAAAAUGUGUAGACAAUACCAGCCAACUUUCACUACAAGAACUUGUAUGACACUUGCAGUUAGGAUAUACAGGUAUGAUGAAUCUUUAUCAGCCAAAACGAAGAUAAUAGAGGGGAUGAAUGAUUUUUGCUUUUUUAGGGACCCAAUUAUCCACUUGCCAUGUCCAUUUUGUUUAGAAAUUUCGAAUAAGAGAAGAAGGGCUGCUAAUUUUUGAAUUUGGCCUCUUGACUGCUAUUUGGACAUUUUAACAGUCCUGCUGCUCUUCUCCUUGGAAAAAUAUGUGUUGAUAUUCUUCCAUUAUUAUUAAUAAUAAUAUGCAUGACUUUAAUAGUAACCUGUCCAUUACUUAUCAACUCAAUGUACUUUGAUCUGUAGGAUAACGAGGAUUAGUAGGAGCUAGCUUUAGGGAUAGAAUCGAAGAAUUUAACACCUCUAAGUCAUGGUUCAUUAAUGUGAAAACGUAAAUCCUAACUUUCUAAUCAUCAUUUAAUCUUAAUAAACUGAAGUAAUUUGAUGUGUGCAUUGAAGAAAAUUAGACAAGCCUAUCAAUAGGUGAGUAUAAAAUCCUCUAUUUCUUGCUUUUUUGCAAUACAUUAUGCUGAGUUUCUGUUAUUGUGUUUUUGUAUGAAUGAAGAAAUGUUUGGUACGUGAGAUAAGAAUAAUAAUCACGGGAUGAAAUUUGAAAUUAACUUUAUUCCAUAUUUGGUCUGAUGGAUUAGCUAAUUCGAGAUUAUUUUAUCUCAGCAUUUGUACUAAAAUGGUGGGAUUACAAUAAUCUCAUGGUAUUAUUCUUGCUUAUCCCAUCCCAUGUACCGAACAACCAUAACUAAGGAAUCAUUAGUUACUAAUUUGAAGUUGUUGAAAGUCUAUUGUUCUAAAUGUAUGUAAGGUGUUUGUUAAAUGCCUAAAUGAGUUUUCGAACACAAAUAACAUAUUUCUGUUAUUUAUUUCUUUGUUAUCGUGAACAAGGUGUCACUUCAUUGUAGAUGGUUUAAUUACCAAAUUUGGGAAAUUCGACUGGCUUUAUCGAAUACUGCAUACUCUUGGAAAAUGUUGCUUCUAUAGCGUGGAUGUUAUUGUUUAUCUGUGUUUAAGAAUUGUGGUUAAUCAUUCACUGAUCUUGUUGGCUUAUCGCUUUUCAGUGACAGGUCGAGUUAGCAACAUUUGCAAGGAUGUGUAGACAAAUCAGCCAACUUUUGUCACAAGAACUUGUACUACACUUGCAGUUAGGAUACACUUGUACGAUUAAUCAGUAUCAGCCAAAACGAAGAUAAUUAAGGAUCAGAAAUUGGUUAAUAGCUACGUCAUAUGAGAUUCCAAGCUGGUUUGAAAGGACGGAUCAUGUAUUGGGAAGUCAUUGGACUUGUAUGGAAAGAAUGAUAUGUCAUUUUUAACAUUCUAGAUGAUUCUAAAAGCAGUUAGCGAAACUCAUUCUCCCCUGACGCACUUAAUGCAAAAGUGCAGAACUCUCAACCAUCUAAAAGAGCUCCAUUGCCAACUCCUCAAACUUUACCUCCCAGAAACUCCGUCAGCCAUUGCUCCACUUCUUUCAUUUGCCGUCAAUUCUAGGAUUCCUUCUUUCUUCAACUAUUCGCGUAUUGUGUUUCAAAAUCUUGGCUACCAAAGUACCUUUUUGUACAAUACCAUGAUCAGAGGAUACAUGCAAUCAGAAAUGCCGAUACCAGCAAUUAUAUGCUACAAAGACAUGCUGAGAGAUAAACUUAUUGUGAAUAAUUAUACCAUUCCACCAUUGAUAAAGGCUUGUUCAAUGGUUUCAAAUGAGUUUAGCCUACUUGGGUUUUCAGUCCAUGCCCAUUCACUGAAGUUGGGAUUACAAUAUGACCGGUUUAUUGUUGCAUCAUUGAUUGAAUUUUAUUCCCUACAUCUCGAGAUGGACAGAGCGCGUAUUUUGUUUGAUGAAAUUCCCGACAGGGAUGUGGUUUUGUUUACUACCAUGAUUGAUGGAUACGGGAAAAUAGGGGAUGUGGGAAAGGCCAGAUUGUUGUUUGAAGAUAUGCCGGAGAGGAAUGUGAUUUCUUGGAGUGCAAUGAUGGCAGCAUAUUCACGGGCUAGUGAUUUUAAGGAGGUUCUUUGCUUGUAUCGGAGGAUGGAAGAAGAUGGUCUUAAGCCCAAUGAGUCUAUUCUUGUAAGUGUCCUCACCGCUUGUGCUCAUCUAGGUGCCUUAGCACAAGGCUUUUGGGUACAUUCAUUGGCUAAGCAUUAUAGUUAUGAGUCGAACCCAAUAUUGGCUACUGCAUUGGUUGACAUGUACUCUAAAUGUGGGAGAAUAGAGUUGGCUUCAUCAGUCUUUGAAGAGAUGAAUUAUAAGGAUACUGGAGCAUGGAAUGCCAUCAUAUCAGGCUUUGCAAUGAAUGGAGAUGCAAUGAAAUCAUUUCAAUUGUUCUAUAGGAUGUUAGCAAGUGGGAAUCAACCAAAUGAAACCACAUUUGUUGCUGUGCUCUCUGCUUGCACUCAUGCAAAUUUGGUUGAAAAAGGUCUUUCACUGUUUGAAAGAAUGAGCAGUGUUUAUGGGGUUGAACCCAGGUUUGAGCAUCGUGCAUGUGUGGUAGACCUGUUAGCCAGAGCUGGUAAGCUCGAGGAUGCAGAGAAGUUCAUUAUUGAGAACAUGGGAGGGAUAGAGAAAGGGGAUGCUAAUGUAUGGGGAGCUUUACUUGGUGCUUGUAGGGUCUACGGUGAUCUUAAAGUAGGUGAUAGAAUAUGGAGAAAAUUGUCUAACAUGAAGGUAGCUGACUAUGGUACUUACGUACUUGCAUACAACAUGUACAAGGAAGCUGGUUGGGAAAUGGAAGCCAACUGUGUUAGGAAAUUGAUCGAGCAGAUGAGGAUAAAGAAGCAGCCUGGAUGUAGCAUCGUGGAGGUGAAUGGGGUGGUUAAAGAAUUUCUCGCGAGUGAUCUUUUACAUCCCAAGUCACGAAUAGUCCACGACGUGCUUGAAUCCUUACCUAAUGUAAUGCAUCUUAUUGAUUGAGCAUGAUGUCGUAUGAUCAGAUUAUGGACAAAAGUAUUGCAGUUCUCUUUGUUUUUAUGUAUUCUGAAGCUAGAAUUGCUCCAUGUUAUGCAAAAUGGCCAGUGGAUAUUGGUAAUGAGAUCAAGAAUGGUUCUUAUGCAGAGCUAUUUGGUUCCCAAGAUUGCUCCAACUCCAUGAAUUAAGGGGUCGUUUGGUAGCUGAUUUGGAGGUGAGGUAUGCAUGUAUUAAAUUUUGUAGAAGUAAUACUACAUUCGGUAGUUGGUUAGGAGGUGAAUUAGUCAUGUAUAAAAUUAAUACGGCGUUUGGUUUGAAAUUUAGAAAGCCACAUGACUAAUACAUGUUUAAGUUGUAAGGGUAUAUCUAUGUGUUAUUUUAUGCGGAAUAAGAAGUAAAAUAACUAAACUCCGCAUGAAAUAUUAUAUAGAUUCAUUACUUAUACUUGAUUAAUUGUAACCAACUCUCAAAUGACACCUGUUCUGUCAUUUACUUUCUUACAACUUAUGCCCAUUAAUACCAACCUUGUACCAUUGUCUCUGUGAUGUGACUUGAGUGGUCCUAGUAUCCAAUAGAGAAAAUUCAAAAAUGGCUCAUUAUGUUUGGGAUAGGCUUAGAAUAAUCCCUGAAAUAUACUUCCUCAACAGUUUUGGGAGUUUUUAAGUUUGUCAUAAGUGAGCAUUGGCUGUUAGAUUUAAUUAGAAAUUGUUGAAAAGAAAGAAUUAACAGGAACUCACAUUAUUUUUCAGUUUCUGCUCGUUUUUUUUUUAUUUCUUAAUGUCUUUGGGUGGCUUGAAGAUCUGUCUACCUCCUAAAGUUGGGUUACAUACCCUUCCCAGACCCCACUUGUGAGAUUACACCGUUGUUGUUUGCUGAGCGACUGGAAGACAAAGUCAACACAGAACACCAAGUUUACAUAUUAGCCUCAUGUUUCAUUUGACUGAAACCUCUAUCCAGAUUCCAGUCCUAGAUCCCAUAUGAUCAGUUUGUUUAUCUAGAUAUCCAGGACACUUGAAAUGGCUGAGGCUGCCAUAGUCAAAGCGAUAUCAAAAAUCUCAGAACAAGCGUUUUUCCUAUAUGGAGUGAAUGAAUAAGUAAGAGAACUUGUUACAGAGCUGGGACGUAUGCGGGCAUUCUUGAAAGACGUUGAUACAAGAAAACAGAAAGGAGAAAGAGUAAAAAAUUGUGCUGAUGAAAUUCGAGACCUUGCACAAGAUGCAGAGGGCGUAGUUGAGAAGUUUGCCGCUGAGGUAAUGAAGAGAUCAAACGGGGAAGACACUGUUUAUUGUUUCUGUACAAUGUUAGCUAAUGUUGUGAAAGAGGUUAUUCCAAGGUACAAAAUAGGGUGGGAUAUAGGAAAGAUCAACAAGAGAGUUAAAAGCCUCAGAGAAAGUUUAACAACUUAUGGUAUAGUUUUGACUGAUACUAUAAAUGAAGGAGAAACAUCUUUACAGAGUGGAGAUACUGGUGUUGGUAUAAAUGAAGGAGAAACAUCUAUUAUUAGAGAAGUGAAAUUAGAGAGUGGAGCUAUUGGUGUUGAGAGAUGGGGAGGUUCUGGAGGAAGUCAUUGGAAUUAUAGGCCUAAAGGUGUAGUUAAACAGAUAGUAGUAAGGCAUGGAUUGAUUAUAGAUGCUAUAAUGUUUAAGAGCAUUGAAGAAAAUGGUGUCAUGAAGUCUUCUAAAACAUUUGGUGGUUCUGGAGGCAAAUUGACUGAGGUAACAUUAAUGUCUUUCUUUUAGUGUAUAUAUGUUGUUCAGACAUGUCGUUGGAUCAUGAUACGUGUGCGGGCGAUGUUUUUUGGAGAGGCCUAACAACAUAGUUUUUAGAUCUUAUUUGUUUGCGCUUAAUGAAUAGCUGAAUAGAUCUUAAUAUCAUUCAGUGGUAUUUUUGUGGAUAAUUUUCACCUACCAUUCUAUCCACACAAUCACCGGCCGCUGCACUAAACACCAACCACCUAUGUCAUCACAACCCCUACCAUUCUCAACCACCAGUACCGUCAACAACUAGGGGUGUAGCGUUGUAAUCAAUGUCGAGGGGGUUAGGAUGAAACCACUUUGGGAGAAAAUUACAUAACUUAUACAUCGUUUUAAAUUAUUUUCUUAUAUAUAUAUAGUAGAUGUUGAACCUCCUCUAGCUUCUUCAUGUCUUUACUUUAUAUUUUGACCUCCUCAGUGAAAAUCCUAAUUUCACCAUUAUCACCUAGAACCAACCACCUCUGUCAUCACAACCACCAGCAUUAUCAACUACUACUACCAGUCACUAUCACAUCUACCACCUCAAUAUCAUUAUAAUUAUAUCCAUUCUCGCCACCAUUAUCAACCACUACCACCACUAUAGUGUUUGAUCCUUACUGUCAACCACUUCCACCAUCACAUCUAGCAUUGCCUUCAACUACACACCAACUAGUAUAUACAAUUUUCUAAAUCAAUAUGCCUUUAAGAAUGAGUUUAGUUUCAAGUGAAAUAAUAAUUUUUUUUCUUUGUUCCCAACCAUCACUCAAUAUUCUCCUUGUUUAAUAAGGCUAAUUAUUUUUUUUUUGUUGCAUUUUUGUAGAUCAAUAUAGACAGUCCUUCAGAGUAUUUGACAGGCUUAAGUGGGACAUAUGGACUCUAUGGUCCCUAUCUUAUAAUAAAAUCCAUUAAGGUUCACACUAACCUUAGCCAUCAUGGCCCUAUGGGUUCAGUAAUUGAGACUGAUACCAACUUCUCAUUCAUUAUGCAAGGUGGGGUUAUUGUUGGAUUCCAUGGAUUUUCAGGCUUAUUUCUUGAUGCCAUUGGUGUGUAUGUUAUGCCAACAAGCAUAAAUUUACCUUCUUAGUAGGCACACUAUCUCAUCAACAUAUAUAUAUAUAUAUAUAUAUAUAUAUAUAUAUAUAUAUAUAUAUAUAUUUGAGAUAGCUUAUGUUGAUAAGCUUUUAAGUAUUUUGAUCAAUAUCAUCUUGUUUGGAUGGUAAUUGUUAUUCGUUGUAUUGUAUCGUUUAGUUUAAAUGUCAUGUUUAUAUUUUGUAUGGCGUUGUUUAAAUCCAUCGUUCAGUAAUGACGAAAAGUUUAAUAACCAUCAGUUUGGGGCGUGAUCGCGCUCGUUGUGUUGUAUUGUGUUGUUAGUUUAAAAUGUCAUGUUUAUAUUUUGUAUGGACUUAUCAUUUCAAUCUAUCGUUUCUCAUUUUAUUUAACCAUGAUCUUGUAGUAAUCUUCUCAUUUUGUCAGAGUUCUAUCUCAUAUCCUACUUUUCUUAUAGGUUUAUCAUUUUUAUAUUGUUUUUAUCAUUGUUGAUGUGCGACAUUAUGUCUACUUUUCUAGUUUUUAUUUUAUUUUAUAUAUUUAUCAUCUAAAUUGUUGAUAUGUGACAUUAUGUAACGACAAAAAAUAAUGUAUUCAAAUAUUGUAUAUAUUCAUCAAAAUAAUUCAAGUACGAUAAAUUAUAUAAGUCAUAUCCAUUGCGACACAACAAUGACCUGCGUCUUAAUUUUUUUCUUUUAGUAAAAGUAUUUUAUUUAUUUUUUUAGUAAAAGUAUUUUAUUUUAGUUCGUUUAGUAAAAGUGUUAAUAUUUUCUCUUUUUUGUCAAUUCUUAAAUACAGACAAUUCUUCUUCGUUUAAUAGAAGUGUUAAUGUCUUUUUUUUUUUUUUUCAAUUCUUAAAUACAAACAAAAGCAAUAAACCACUAAAUAUAUGGUUAAAAUGCUAUUAAUUUGAAUAAAAAUAAUCAAUCAAUACAAACGUCGUGACUACAAGUAAAAAUUAAAUUGCAACUAACAAUCAGAUUCAAAACAAAAAAAAUAAAAUAUACCAAGAUCAUGCAACGAUCGAAUAUCAACGAUGAAACGGCCCAGUUGGAUCGACUUGUCUGCACAACGUUAGGUACGUCAAAAAAAGAACACGAUCCUUUGCACCCGUUCGAUGAUUAUUUGUAUGUUCACAAAAAAACUUAAGUUCAUCAAGUGUACAACAUCCCAACAUCUGACCAAGUAACAAAAACAGCCAAUUUAUCUUAUUCUUAUCUGAACAUAUAAUCGGUUUCGCGCUAUUCUCUUGAUUACAAAAUUGACAUGUAGGAAGAAUCGGAUUCGCCCAAAUAGACGGUGCACGUUCUUUGAGAAAUGUUUUAUUUUUCAUCACGUAAGAUCCAAUCUCAACAAACUUUUCUUUCAAAUCGAAUUCCAUAGUAUAUCUCUUCUCACAUCUCCUGCAUUGAACAUCUCCGCUUAUUAUGAUUAAUUGCUUCGACAACAAGUAUUGCAACGUGUGUACUGUAGCUAUUGAGUUUGUUGCCCAAGGAAAUGGAGGAGUUACAGUCUCAAUCUUCACCUCCUGCAUUAGUUUUGGCUUUGAGGAGUUACGUCUUCUGCGUUGAAUAGUUUCUUUUGGUAUCAUGAUCGGUUUUAAAAUCUGUUGGUGAUUCAAGGUGCUCGAUUGAGCUGUUUCAGUUUCUUUUGGUAUUAUGUUGAGUUGUUGGAGAUUCAAAGUACUCGAUUGAACAGUUUCUUUUGGCAUCAUAGUGAAUUGUUGGAGAUUCAAAACAGUUUCUUUUGGUAUUAUGUUAAGUUGUUGGAGAUUCAAAGUACUCGAUUGAACAGUUUCUUUUGGCAUUGUGGUGAGUUGUUGGAGAUUCAAAACAGUUUCUUUGGGUAUCAUGUUGAGUUGUUGGAGAUCCAAACAACUCGAUUGAACAGUUUCUUUUGGUAUUACGGCUGGUUUUAAAAUCGUGCAUUGUCGGAGAUUCAAAGUACUCGAUUUGAGAUUUUCACGAGGUUGUAUUCGAGGUCUAGUAGAACGGGAGGGUGUUACUAAUGAAAGUUCCAAAAAUUCAUCAUCGUCAUCUUCUUCUAGUAGAUUUUCGUAAGGAUUUUCGAAAUGAGUAUGAAAAUUCUUCCUCUUUCUAUUGAUUUCAUCAAUAUUGUUGUGGAUGAUCAUUGCAAAAAGAAAUUAAAUUUAUACAAUAGAAAAAGAUGUCACAAAAAAAAUUAAAAUGGAAGAGGUAUACAUAUACUUAAAGAGUUGCGUUAAAUAUAAGUCCGAAAAAACAGAAUUUUAGAAAUUUCAGCUAAAUUAAAAUUCUUUUAAAUUCAAAAGAGUUACACAUCAUUAUAGUUACCUAGUUAAAUUAAACAAGAAUUUUAGAAAUUUAAGUGAGUUAGAAUUUUCAAUAAAUUUUACGUCUUAUUUCAUAAUGUACUGUAUUGUACUUAUUGUACUGUAGAUUUAUUGUACUGCACUAUAUGAUAGAUACAAUGUUUGACUAACUGUACUGUUUGUUGGUGAAUAAAAACAAAUAAAAAUAUUUUUAUUUAUGAUUUGACUUUAUCGUAUUGUAUUGUAAUCUAUGAAUUUACUAAAAUUAUCUUUAAUUAUUCUAGGAUAGGAGAUGUGACUAGAAUUAAAUAACAUAGCAUAAAUUAUGAAUUUACUGAAAUAUCCUUAAGUAUUCUAGGAGAGGAGAUGUGACUAGAAUUAAAUAAUAUAGGAUAAAGGGUAAAAAAAUAUUAUGAAAUAUUAUGUGUUAAGUAACAAUGGGAACACAUGUUUCAUCAAAUGGGGUUUUUCAUUCUUACGGAACAACGAAAUUUGACAAUAUAAUACAAUACAUUAUUAAAUAACAAUCAAAACAAACAUUAAAGGUACAUUACAAUACAACGGACAACAACGACCCAAACAGAGGGUAAAAUGAUUAAGAUUAAAAUCAAGACAUCUUGCUCUAUCAAAAGUUGAAAAUAUUUUGAAUUGUUAAUUUAUAGUAAUAAAUAUGUAAAUUUUAUUUCAAGAAAAUUAAAAAAUUCUAUGUCGAAAUUUACCCUGAAUAUUAUUAGUUAGUUUUAUGUACUUUUUAUACGUGUAAACUUAUGUGAAAUAGUAUUAGUUUAAUCAAGUUAAACAAAUUGAAACGGGAGUAAUUAUUUUUAAAAUGGAAUUAAAAAUAACUGUGAGAUACAUGGACAUAUAUUAAAUGAAACUUAUUAGAACAACUUGUUAUUUCAAUAGAAUAGUUACGGUCAAAUAAAAAUACAUUUUAAUUAAAAUUAUCUGAAUAACACGACUCAUACAUAUAUUAAUUAAAUGAAACUUUAUUUCAAUAGCAUUUUAAAUUAUGUAAUUUUCACUUCUUUUUUUAAUUUUCUCGACAAUGUGAUUAGUAACGAUCGAGAGUCAGAAAAUUAUAUAAUUUGUAUAUAAUUAAAAUUAUUUUUUAAUGUAUAUAUAUAAUAGAUAUUGAACUAUGUACCUCUUCGGGUUUUUUUUUGAUAUAUUUUUAGGUGUAAACACAAAAAUUAAGAGUAUACAUACACGUUGGGUUGUUAGAAGCACACAGAAUAAACUAAUAAUAUCCUUAUUUCAUUUGAAUUAGGAGUAUUUCAAAUUAAAAAAGAAUGAUUAAACUAUCUAAUUAAAUUAUUAGAGAAUAAUAAGUUAUUAUAUUUUUCUUUAGAAAACAGUUUCUUCUUUUUUUUAACAAUAUUUAGUUACUUAAUUUUCUUUAUUCGGUUCAUUUUUUCUUAUUUCGUUAAUCUUUUUAACCAAAACUCUCUUAAAUUCUUCUUUAUAUUAGCGUUAUAAUUAUACAAUGUCCCAACUUUUAUUAGAAAGAAAACUAUAGCAAAUUAUUAUCUCGAUUAAAUUUGAUUGUUGCAAUACAAUUGUCAUUUUAUUAAGAAAAAAUUGACCGUUGAGUUAUAUAAUAUUUUUUAUAUAAUUUUUAAAUAGAUAAAUUUAUCUAAAAUAUUAAUUAAUUCGAUCUAGUUAAACAAAUUAAAAUGAAAGUAAUUAUUUAAAAAUGUGUAUCGAGAGAUGCAACACUUAUAUUAAAGGGAAUUUAUUGGAAGCACUUGUACUCUUGUUUGUUUGAGAAAAGAUAAUAUGAAAUUUUGUUAUUUCAAAUAAAUAACUAUUUGUCUAUAUUAAUGGGACCUUAUUAGAAGCACAUGUACUCUUAUUUGUUUGAAAAAUAUAAUGUGAAAUCUUGUUAUUAUUUCAAUAAAUAGCUAUUGUUAGAGUGCAGACAAAAAAAUACAUAUAAUAAUUAAAUAAAAAUUUAUUUAAAUAACAUUUUAAAAUUAGAUAAUUUUCACUUCUUUCUCGACUGAGUAAUGAAAAAUUAUAUUGUUCAUACAUGCUUAAAAAUAUUUUUUUAAUAUAUAUAUAAUAGUGGUUGAACACUUGAAACAUUUUUUACUUUUUUAUUUGUGAAACUCACCUAAAUCUCAUUAGUUUAAGAGCUAAUUACUUAGAUGCACACUAUUUUUCAAUAUUAUGAAUCUUAUCAGAGUUGUGCUUUUAGAUACAUGUAUUUCGAUAUACAUGAGGUCAAUAUUAGGUAUAAUUCGUUCUAGGUACACUGCAUUCAAGUGAUUCGUAUGUAUCUGAGAUACAUAACAAAUCUCACAUCACCUCUCAUCUCACUCGACACUCUCCUUUAUGUCUACAUAUAAAUCACAACAGAUACAUACAAAAUAUUCCUCCCAAGUAACUACUCUACCUAGAAUAUUUUUCUCGAUUCCUAAAUUUUACUACAUUUUAUUUUUUUAUUCGAUUAAUUUUUCUCGAUCUUGAUCUAAAACUUUUAAAUUAGAUUUAAAACUCAUAGAAUGAACCAAUUUGAAUUAGAACCAUUUUAGUUGCAAAUCUUUAUUUUGUUUGAGAUUGAAUUUGAUUGUUGCAAUAUAGUUGAAGUAAGUUGUCAUUUUUCAAAUAUUGACUGACCAUAUAACUUUUCAUAAUAAGCGGAAAUAUUUAAUGCAAACUUUUUUCAUAAUAAAUAGAAACGUAGAAAUGUUCCAUAUAAAAAAAAAUAUAAAAAGUGAUAUAAUAAAUUGGUUAUUCUGAUAUUGUAGGCUAGAUGAUAUUUUGAUAUUAUACAUCAGAUGAGCUUAAGAUGAACUUGAAUUUUUUUUCGUGAACAUUCGAAAAAUAAAAAUAAAAAUUAUAUUUUUUUGUGUGAAUAAUAUUAAUAUGUAGGUAGCACCCAAUUUUGAAACGUCCCUAAUGGGUCUAGUUGGGUUCACGAAUCCUGAUUAUAAAAUUUAAUUUAUAUACAUUGAUAAUAUUAAAAAAUAUUUGCACCAUCAAAUUUAUCUAAUUACUUUAGGUGACUUAAUUAUAUAAACAAAUAACAACUAAAAUUAACACUUUUGCCCUCUUUUUCGAAGGAUAAAUUUGUAUUUUGGUAUUGUAUCGCAAAAGGGAAAAUAUAUAAGUACUCUUAAUCUAUGUUCAAAAAUCUCAGAAAGACACUUAUAUUAUACUAUAUUAUAAUGACACCAAACAAAUUUGAAAUAACAAAAUUUUUUUUGUGAUGAUUUUCGAUUAUAUUGAUAACUGAAUUAGAUACAAACUAAGCAAAAUAACAGAAAAUGGAGAAGUCAAAUUAUAGCUCCAUGGCUCGAUAGAUCUACAGAAGAGAUUGAGAAUGAAGAAAUUGGAUAAAAGGAGAACGAUUUUGGAGAAGAAGAUAACAUGCAAAUUCAUGCCCUCUCUAUUUUGUUAAGUCGUUUAAUCAAAUUGACUGAGUUGACAAAUUUGACUAAUCCCAACAAUUGAAGCUCACUAACUAUCAAUCAAUCUCAACCCUUCACGUGAUAAUUAUUACGACUAUAUUCUAAAUAGGUCUCAGCUCAUGACAUGUUCUAUUAUUCCUCAAACUUAUUUUAUAAAUAAUUUUUUUAAUUUUUUCGACUUACCUGAACACUAUUUUUUGAGCUCAAUACUUGUUCAUAAUUUUUUCAAUCUAUCUAUUUAAUAAUGUUACAUAUACAAAAAAUGAAUAGAAAAUUAUUAUAAAAUAACUUUUCAGUUAUAAAACUUUAGUAUAGUAUAAUUGUAUCUCGUUAUUGCAAAUCCUUAUUUUGUUAAAAGGGCGAGUACCACUACGGUCCACCGGUGCUACUCAGAGCUCAGCGCUAAGAGAGAUAUGAGCGGCACUUCAGGUCUUCUUCAGCUAUGGCAAGUUCCAUCCUCAUCACUGUUCUUCGGCCGUUCCAAAGGUACUGUUUUGUGUUUUUCAAUGCAGUGAAUUUAACCUAAAACACAAUUUUUUUUCUCCAGAUUGUUCUUACUCCGUGCACUUUGUAGAAAAUUUCAUUUCUCUAUAUUGUCUACCUAUUGGUCCUACACGAGAUUUUCAAAUAGCUUGAAUUUUGGUAAGAAUUUGAUGAACGUUCCGGGGCGCAGGUCUGUACUUGGUUCCUGUGCGUGUUAUGUAUCCAAUGUCAUGUUUCUGUAAGCAAAUGCAAACUACUACUUAUGCAAUUGUUAAAGGAAGCUAUGUAUCAAAUCCACAGAACCAACAAGAAAACAAAGUAUAGCUACUCCAUUACUUUCAAUUUUAGAUUUCUAAUACCAUUUUGAAUUAAUUUUUAUAGUUGGAUACUUACUGUGAAUUAGCUGAAUGAUGUUCUUUAAUUGUUUUUGUAGGAAAAAUUGACACCUAAGGUAGAAAAUGUAGGUGCUUUUCAAAAAUUACCCAUGGUAAUGCCGUCUGUAGAUAUUCUACAUUCAGCACUGAGGAAAGCAAAGAGGGUCUCGCCUACAAAGGGUAAUCUCGUGUUCUGCAUUUAUGUACUUUUUACUUCCACCUCAUCGUUGUAGUAUCAGUUCUUGUACUUGACUUAAGCAUGCACAGAUGAAAGGAAUGAUUGCAUUUAGUUAAAAUGUUUAACAGGCAUUGCUAAUGCUGCAAAACGUGAGAGAAAUAAAGGCGCAAAACAAAUUGACGCAUUAAUGAAGGUGACAGACUAAUGCUUCUCAUUGGUGGAUACAUCUAUAAUUUUGAUAUUCUCAUACGAAACAAAAUUUACAUUUAUCAUUCAUUUUGUAUAUGCAGGAGUUGGCUGUGCCCUUGAGGACAUACAAAGAGAACUUCCCAAACAAAAAAUAUUUGCACCCUUAUGAAAGAUCUUUGAUUGAGUUAACGCUCGGAGACGGAAACUAUGAAGAUGUAACUUACAAUCACCCUAGUAUCUUGUUCCAAAUAAUGUUAUUUCAGGGAAAUUUAGGUCAUCGGUAACUUUUCCUGCAGGCAAAUAGCUUUGAAUUUUGAAAAAUGAUUUUUUGACUCUUCAGAAAAGUACAUGUAGUUUAAAUUGGAAGUCUUAAAUGUCUCUGUCCUGAAAAUUAAAAGAUAGUAUAGAAGAAAAAAAGGAUCAAUGCUAGGAGCAUACAUCUUGGGGUUUGUUUUGUUUUAUGUCGUUUUUAGCUAAUCUAAGUAAAGCUCUGAGUUUGUGAAGUUAUUUGACACGUAUAUUUGACAGACAUGUAAUGAUUCUGUUGGGUCCUUCAGUUGGAUGGAGUGAUUUUCAGGGUCUGGCUUUAUGUUUCAAUAUUCAUUGAACUAGCAUUUUAGAUAUCCUCAACCCCUCUCAGGAGGUUAUGGUUUUCAUUUUUUGCAUGUUUUAAUGAAAGGUUCAACUGUUGAAACUCUAAAUUUAUCUGAAGUUUAUCUUUAUUACAUUUUGUUCAAUAUUUGGGACGUAAUGCUGGCACUCUGCUAAUUUUGAGUUAAUUGAUUGAGAAGAGAAACUAAUGUAUGUAUUCCGGGUUUUUUUUGGUGAAUUGAGGUGUCAACAUUUAGUGGUACAUCAUUUUUUUCUCUGUUCUUGUAUGGACUUUUUUUUUUGGGGUCUUUUCCUAUGAAUAGAACUAUAAUUUUUUUUUCCUUCUCAAAAAGGCAAAAAAAAAAAAAUGAAGAUGUGUAUCCAUUUUUUUCAUUUUCUUCUCUACCCUAGAUAUUUAUUUCAAUACUUUUGGUUUGUACCUCUCAUGUCUAACAUCUAAGUAACUACACUUUUGCAGGUAUUGGGAAAGUUAGAAGCUCUAAGGAAAAAGGUGGUAUCAGUUGGAAAGGAACAUGCAUCAUUAUGUGCUAAGGUUGGAAAACUAAUUGCAUAAAAUAGUAACCUACUUUGUAUUGUAUGCUGCUAUUCUUCUCACGUCUCCACGUUAUGUUGAAACAGUUUUAGGUAAAAUAGCCCUCUUGAUGACAUUCUUCUUUUUGCCCCGUAUGUAUUCCAUGUUAUUGCCAAGAUCUUUCAUAGAAAAUUCUCUUCCAAGUUGUAAAAUACCAACUCUGAGACAUGUGAUUGAUUUCUUCUUGUUACAAUAAUGUCAUCUACAUAUAUCAAGAGGAAUAUGAUACCUCUGUGAGUUUGCAGUGUGAACAAUGAGGGGUCUGCCUUACUAUAGGUGAAGCCAAGGUGUAGAAGAUGCAUGCUAAUCUAUCAAACUAGGGUCUUGUUGUCUGUUUUAGACCAUACAGUGCCUUCUUUAACAGAUAAACAUGGUGUGGAUACCUAGAGUCAAUAAAUCCAGGAGGUUGACUCAUGUAUACCUCUUCUUGCAAGAGACCAUGUUGGAAUGCAUUUUUGACAUCUAGCUGCCUGAUUUCCUACUUAAGCUAACAACAACUGAAAAAUCUACCACUCAUCAACCCAUACACGAUCUUGAGAAUGGAUGACAUGCUAACAGUUCAUGUUUAUUACAGAUGUUAUUAUGUUCUAUUUUCUCAUUAUCGAUUUGAUGAAGUAUUUAAGAAGUUAUUACUUUCUACUUUAUGGUUUCUGUUUCUAUUUAAGAUACAAAUCAAGUAAUUGAUGCAAUUUGUGCCAGUCAUUAUCUAAACGAGAAGCAGAGGAGCGACUGAAUGAGGUAGUCUGAUAGUUUCAGUUUUACUGAAUUUUAUAUUUAUCUGAUAUAAUCCAUAAGUUGAUCUGUGAAAGAGUGUCUUUGUAGGGAUUGAAAAGAAUUGAGGAGAUAUUUGAUGGCGAUGGAAAAGCUGUUGAUGAACUAUUGAACAUUGCCAAGGUAAGGCCAGUUAGGGAUUCGCUAUGAGUCGUAUAGAUGAACUAAAAGUAGAAAAAGAAGAGGUUAGAUCUAUGCUGACAUUAGUAUACUGAAAACUGAAAUGAAGUUUCAAACAAUUAUUACUGCGAACCUUCAUUUAACACAUCAGAAGGAUGUCAAGAAAAAAAGGGACAUGAUGCAAUUACAUCCAGUGUUAUCUUAAGAAAAAAGUGCAAAACAACUUCAAGGUCUGUCGGGGCUUUACGCGCAAAGUGCAAAUAAAGCGUAGGCUUUAAUAGAAAAAGAUGCAACUGGAGAAAACAUACCAAUAUAUAUGUUUAGUCCAAGAAUAAUAAUUAUAAGCAUGAAUAAAAAUAUAUGGAUAAAGAAACUGAUUUUUUGUUAACAGUUAAGUGAAAUAACAACUGCUUAGUGUCUCCUCUUCCUGAAAGUAUACAAGUAUAUUUGUUUAGUCCAAGAAUAAUAAUCAUAAGCAUGAGUAUCAUAUAUAUGGAUAAAGAAAUUGAAUCUUAGUAAAAGAUAAAGUGAAAUAACAAUUGUUUAGUGUCGUCUCUUCAGGAAAGUUUGUCUUAGAGCCUUGAUGACGACAUCUAAGCACACAUUUAGCGAAGCAAAACACUCAACAUGUUUUGAGCCUCGCUUUAGGGCUUAAGCACGCUCCUUUGAGCUUUGACAACAUUGAUUACAUCAAACGUCUGUGUCUAUGAUUUUACAACAAAAUACAGUAACAUUACAUGUCAUGAUAGCUGGCUUCCUGAUUGUGUGGAAGCAUUUUAGUUGAAUUUCCUAACAGAUGAUUAUUAAACAAUGAUCUUUGCUUGCGUAAUCGAAGAAAGUGGUUUCUGCCAGUCUCUGACAAAUUUCAUGGUGGCAGACAUUACGGGCAAUGCCAGUUGUCGAUCUGGAAACACCAACUCUCUGUCUUGUCGGUGCUCCCAAUGUCGGAAAAUCAUCUUUGGUUCGUGUACUUUCGACAGGGAAGCCUGAGGUAUGUACUAAGCUGGCUAGCUUUCGUUCCAGUUUUACUUGUUUUUUAUCUGGGAUAAGGGAUUUCACCCAUCAUUCUUUAGAUAGUUAUACAUAAUAAUAUGUAUGCUCUUGAGGAAGGCAAAUAUUCUAGAGUUACCAUCCAUUGAAAAAAGGCUAGUGCUAGUUUUUCAACCAUGGUUUUUACUUGGGUGCGAAGAAAUUUCUUAAUCUGAAUCUUGGUUUGCCUUCAAAUGCUUUUCUAAAAUUUGACCCGUAUUAGUUUUGCAAACUCAGGUCUCAAAUGUUAGUAUCUGUAAAAGUAAUAGUAAGGAAAAAGUGAAGUGGAAGAUAAGCAAUGAGAUGGAAGCUUAUGAAAUGACCAGAUAUGAUUAUAAACUAACAAUUAUUACCAAUCAAUUUAGUUUCCUCUUUACCUAAUUACUUUUAGUCAGUUAUUUUAUCUUGCUUGUUAUAUAGAUGUUUCUUAUGCUAGUAUGGCAAUAUCACAGGCAUGGAUUCAUUGGCAGACAGAUGAGUUUUGAGACUUGUCUGCAGCUUUACGAAUGAGAAAGGAAUUUGGUUUGAUGGUUUGACUAGGACUAAAUCCAAACUAUACAUACUUCCUUGCAUGCCCCUAUCAACCAUAUAGAAAAUUUUCGAUGUACUUUCUCCAGUUGAUGGCAUCCUUUUCAUCACAUACUUUUUUUUCCUUGAUUGAAUUCCCAUUAAUGUAACUGAAUCUAAUCAGAUCUGCAACUAUCCCUUCACUACUAGAGGAAUUCUGAUGGGUCAUAUUAAUUUGAGUUACCAGAAUUUUCAGGUUAGUCUUUAUUUCAAAGUGAAAAGGUUUUCUCAAAUGCUUCAUACCUUUUUGCUUCUUGUGCUAUUGUACUGAUUAAGCAUUUUCAUCUUCAGGUUACUGAUACCCCUGGUAUCUUAAGAAGAGCUGAUGGUAAAAGUUUCUUCUUGAUUUACCAUUUGAAUAACAUGAAUAUUUUUCUUAUGAACUCCUUUACUUUCUCCUACAUAAUGUAAAGAAACCGAUGACACAUUGUCACUUUUGUUGGUCACAAAGAUAAUUUGUACCAUAUGAUUUGUACAAAUUCUCUUGGUUUAUCUGUGGAUAAUGAUGUGUUUAUGGGGAAGAGAGUUAGUUGGAUUAAAACUUGGUAUACGAUUGACAGAACUUUUACCUUUGCAUGCAAAAAUCUUUUGGGUAAGUGUACUACUUAGACGACAAAUUAUUAUACUAAUAGCUGCAAUUUUGCUUAUCCAAGUAACAGUAUAGUUCUCCAAAGAACUAGAAUAAAAUUGGCUUGUUUGAGAUGAGGAGGUAUUGCUCAAUUUCUACAUUAGAAUGAAUCUAGUGAUGGGAAGUUGUCUGGAAUAGGUGUAAAUAGAAUUUCCCACGUUUUGACUUAAAAGAAAACUAAUGCAACUACAGUAUUCUUUUUGCUAGCUUCUUAAAACAGUGAGACAUUACUCAUACUUCUCUGAAUUUCUUUCUUAUAAUCUGGACUUUUGUAUUUUGCUGUAGACCCACUUAGUGGGAUUUCUGGGUAUGUUGUUCUUGUGUUUUGUUGUCAAGGAUUACAUCUCUUAUCUUUUUAUAUUUGUUUUUAACAGUUUUUCCUUUUAUUUUGAUUGAACCUGCAGAGGAAAGGAAUAACUUGGAAAAGUUAACACUUGCUGUUCUCACUCAUUUGCCUACUGCAGUACUUUAUGUUCAUGAUUUAUCUGGAGAAUGUGGGAUGUCACCUUCUGAUCAGGUUUCUCAUUGAUUUCUAUGUUUCUGUUUUUUACUGGAACUUUAAUCUUCAAAUCCACUAGUGGAGAGGAAUUCUUAAUUGUUGUAUACUGGAAUGAUUUAACCUGAAGGUGGGAUCUAUUAUAUAUGUGAAGUAAUUAUGCAUGUGUUGGAACUUGCGCAUUCAUGAUUUUGAUAAGCUAUUUUAUAUUAUUCUCCAAAUAAUGAGAAGAUGGAUAAAACGGGAACCAUCAUGUACUAGUAGUGUAUAUGGACAAAAAGUUGACGUACUAGACCUUGCAUAUUGGUGAUUUAGGAUGAACUAUUCUCUUCAAUAAUGAGAAGAUGGAUCAUAUGAGGAUGGUCACGAGCUAGUAAGGUGUACAUAUUUUCUCUAUCAGGAGCUAGUGAUGUAUAUAGUAAGGCGGUAGCUGUGCUAUUUAAGAGAUUCCAGUGAAUGCUUCCCGUUGCUUUCUAACUGUUUUAUUGUUUCUUCUAUUUGAUUUGGGGAUUGGCUGUCUCUACAUAAGAGCAUCUGUCUGCUAUAUAAGGUUUCGUCUGCCAUACAAGAAACUCUUUUCUUGUUUCUUUUGUUUGAUUGGGGGAUUGAUAUGCAAUGUUGUAAAUGUUCAUCAGUCAUCUGGAAAGCUUAGGAGAACGUCAAUACGCUUUGUGAUACUGUUUUUUGCUACAGCCAAUUUUUAGUCUUCUCUAUUUUUUCUCAUAGUAUAGAAAAUGUUUGAUUUCCAAGUGUGGUUUAUGCAGUUUGUGAUCUAUAAGGAAAUGCGAGAGAGAUUCAGCAGCCAUAUUUGGCUUGAUGUCGUGUCCAAAUGUGACUUACUGCAAGCAUCUCCUGUCAUCUUUGCAACAGAUGAUUGUAAUGUUGAUAACUUUGAGCUGGUGAGGUAUAGGAAGAUGGGACCUGAUGGAGCCCUAAAUGUGUCGGUAAAGAAUGAGAUUGGUCUUCAUGAGGUACCAUUCUGUUCCCCUUCUGGCAUAUUGCUAGUUAUUUUUAGCUUGGACACAAAAUAUAUAGCUUAUGAGCACCUAUCUGAAAUUGGCCGUGAAUUGUUAGUUUGUUUUUAUAAAGAUUUAAUUCUGUAUCAGCAGCAGAGGCAGAGACAUAAACAUGGAUGUUGAGUAUUUUUACUUAAGUUUCUUCUGCUUUCACUAUCCAUAGUUUCUCGGAGUUCACCCUAUAGGCUGAUAGAACUCUAUAGUCAGCAUGAAGUGCUAUGUUAUUUCGCUGAAGCAUUUUUCUUCGUUAGUAUGUUCUGAAAUGUUCGUUUGGGUUCUUGUAGUUGAAGAAAAGAGUUUACGAGCUGCUUGUUUCUCAAUCAGAAAGGAUCAAAAAUCAACAGAGCAAGGAGGAAGAGCUGGAAGUUCCAAGCUAGUUCGUCUAGUGAAAUUCCUACCAGAUCUCUAACCUGCUGGUAAUUAGCUGCAGGUUUUCGCGCUUGGUAAUUAGCUGGAUCAUGGUCUAUCGUGUAUGUACAUUCGUGAUUCGAUCUGUGGUGACACUAACACACAUCUGCAGGUCCAAGAAUAUGACAUGUUUCGACGCGUAUUUCUCGUGCAGUUGGACAAUGAGGUGCUCUAUAAGAUACACAGAUAUUCAGAUCAUUUGUCAAAUGGUGCAGAUGGGGUUGCCAUAUUCUGUAAGUUUUAGUUAUAGCAAUCUUUGAUAAUUUUUCUUUGGAAAAAUCUCUCAAAUGCUUUUUAAAUUUGAUUUAUUUUAUCUUUUUGUAAAUGUUAUUAAAAAUUUCUCUUAUUUAGUGGAUGGAGAUAUACCAUUUGAAUUUUUUUACAAGAACAUAUAAGCAUUUAUUUUUUCUGAAAUAAUGAUGUUAUAAUGUGUCACAAUUGUUAACAUGGUGGUUACUAUCAUCUUCUCUAGACUCAAUUAUGAAAAUUGAAAAGUCAUUUUAGCAUAUAGUUGACAUUUAUUAUAAUGCAAAAUAAAAAUAAAAAUGAAUAGACAAGACGAAGAGGACAUUUUAAUAUGGACACAUGAGCUUUUUCCAAUUUUUUGUUAUCCUCAAAUUGACCCUAGUGUCACGGACUUUUCAAUCUAGAUAAGACUCCGUGCGGCACUUGACGGUUUGCUCACGAAUCUUUCACGUAUUUCACAAACUCAAGUAAGCCUCACAAUUUUGGAUCGCUAAGAGAAAUCAAGAAGAAAGACAAAAGACAAUUUUGGAAGAAAAGACUUGUAUUGAUAUGUUGGUUGAUAGAUGUAUUACAAAUAUAAUGACUACCUAUUUAUACUACUCUAAACACUAAGAGUAAAUAAAUGCUACUCUAUAUACAAGCCCCUAAGUCCAUGCCCACAAGACAUGCUUCUAAGUCUUCCAAAAAAGGACUCCUAGCCUUGACUAGUCUGCCCCACGUCCUAGAGGCCUUGAGCAAGCCUCAUCAAGGCUUGAAACUGCUGCCCCUGAACCUUCUGUGACGGCUGUAACUGCUGUAACAGCUGAAACGACUGAAACUGCCGAAACGAUUGUAACGACUGCCCCUCCAAUUGCUGCCUGCUUGGGCGCCUGCACCUUGGUCUGACCGGUGUGGGCCACUAGACCCUUUGCGCCUGCUGCUGGCUGCCUAGGCAGGUCACGAUCUGCCUGGGUAUCGGGCGGGUCGUGACACUAGGCUCAAUGUGAGUUUGAAUCAUUUAGUUGCACUUUAUGAUAAAGAAAAACGAACAUUAUAGAAAUAUCUCAUUCAGUUUAGAAAAAUAACGUAAAGUUCGUUGAAAUGCAUAUCAAAUACUAUUGGAGAAAUUAUCAUACUUUAUUAAUUUUCUUUUGUUUGACUGAUUGAAGUCAAAGUUCCUACCUCGAUUGAUAAAUUUAAUGUGUUGAAAUUAAUUAUCAAGAAAUGUCACUUUUAUUUUCAUUGAAAUUACUCCUAUAUACAGAGUCGUUUUUGUAGACUAAACUUCUUUAGGAGCGAAAGAAAUUGUUGAAAUUUUAUGAUAAAUAUUCACUUUUUUAAGAAAAAUUGUCAAAAAAUUAAGCAAGAAAAAAAAGAUCCUAUUGGCUAGGGUACUUUUUUUUUUAUUUGUUUCACUUUGACUGAAAAGUAAUAUUUAAAAUUAUAAUAUUCUUAAAAACAAAUACGAAAUUAACAUAAAACAUGUGUAAUUUAAGAAUUUACCUUUUUUAUAAAUUCAUGAAGUUAUGAAGAUUCACAAGUAGAAUAACUAAAACAUUUAUGUUUUGAUUAAUUGAAAAAAUUAAACAUAAUUAAAUAUCGUAAGGAUCUACUCUUAGAAAAUAUUAUUUGAGAAUAAUUUGAUUAGCUCCAAGAGAUAAAAACAAGUAAUUAAUGUGUCUUUGAAGCCCUAAAUUGACAUGAUAGAGAAGUCCUAAAAGUUAUCUACGUAGUUAUCUUGGGAUGAUUUAUGAAUUCUUCGUUCUUAAUCAGAGAUAUAAAUUUGAAUAUAUAAGAAUAAAAAAGUUUGUUGGGAGCGAGCAAAAAUUGAAAUUUGAUUAAAUUUUAAUACAAAUAUAAAAUAUAAAGCAAAAAACAAAAACGAAACGCAAAAGAACACAUUAAAAGAGCCUUUUGACUAAGCACAGGCUCACUGUACGCAGUGGCUGAGAUUUCAAACAAGCAAUAACUAUCAUCAGUUUGACUUUGUUUUUCUUUUUUUUUUAUCGAUGUUCAGUAUUCAUAUUGAAAUUUGAUUAAAUUUAAAUAUAAAUUAGAAAGUCUUAAAGAUAAAACAUUCUCUGCCAAAAGAGACUUUGUAACAAGAGGGACUCAUACCCUAGACUUCGGAUUAAGAAUAAAGGACUACUUAGCAUUCUAUCACAAUCCUAAAUGCAAUCAUUAGUUGUAAUCAAUUUGGUUAAAUCAGAUUUAUAUCACAUAGAACUCAUUAAAGAAAAUUGGUUCAUACAAAAAAAAUAUUCUUCAUUCACAUAGGCUCAAAUAUAAAACCUUAUAACCAAUAAAUUGAAUUUGCAUCAUACAUAAUCAAUUACAAAAUGCUUAACACAAAUUUGAGAAAAAUUAUAAUCUCAAACACUUAAAACUCUGAACCUUAAUCCAAGCACUUUAAUUAGAGUCCACCAAAAAGAGAGAGUUCUAAAGUUCAUUGAUUAUAAUAAAUAUAAUAUUUUAAUGUCAAACUUUAUAUUAUUUUAUAUUAGCACACCUACAAACUUAGAGAUACAUAGUAAGAGAGACAAUACUCUAUAUUUCUAGGCUCUUUUUUGAGCCACUUAAAUUUAAAAAUUUUGCUUUUUUAUAUAUUGUGACAAUUACCAUCGACUAGCAAAUUUAAUCGCGAUUCAUUUUAAUUUUUUAACUUUUAAUUUAUGAAAAACAUGUAAGUUCUUGUUUUAAUGUGUUAUAUGUUCAUUCAUAGAAGAAAAAAGAAGAAGAGUUUUUUGGAGGCUGAGAAUUGACUAUACUUGCACAUGUUUUUGUAUGGUAUAUCUAGAAGAAUGGAAAUAUAAGUCAAAAAGGAAAAUGAGUGAGAGUGAUUUGUAAUAAAUCUUCAAAUGGAAGAAAAUUAAUAAUGUCAUAUUCAUUGACUAUUAAUCAACUUUAUUCCAAACCCUAAUGUGAAAACUUAUUUAGAAAUAGAAUCAUAUUCGUACUUUUUUUAAAAAAAAAAAAUAUCCCCACUUUUGGGACCUUUAAUAAUUAUUAGUAUAGUAAAAUCUGAUACUUUAUGAUCAAACGAUGUACUACAGUGAAUUUAAUUGUUUCUUUUUUAAUUGAUGGUUUUGAGUUUAAAUGUUGAGUAUAGUAAAAUCUAUAGUAAGAAGUGUUCUCCUUGUUCUCCUGAAUGAGCCCUAUGUAGCAUGAAUUUAAAUUAAUAAAAAUAUAAUAUGAAUAUCGAAUAUCAAAUCAAACGAGAAACGAAUAAAAAGAAUUUGUACCAUGCUUAGCAAAUAUGCGAAUAAAAGAAUAUAAUCCCUUUACUGAUGCAAAUAUUCUUUUUUGUUAUUCUAGGUGUAUCUUGUUAUAUACAUUCUUGAAUAUCGUGUAAAACAUUUUUAAACAAGUGAUGAAAAUUACGUUUAGAAUUUAAUUUGUUUUGUGUUUUUUGACUUUCAUAUAUCACACCAAAUUAUAUAAAAAAAAAGACAAAAAUAUUACAUAUGAAAUCAUGCCAUAGUUUAGGGUUAAUUACUUGUCUAUUACGGAGCAUAAUUAUUUUAAACUGCUUUAAGAAAACACCAAAUUUGAUUAAGACGACCUUAAUUAAGAUAAUUAAUAUAAAUUUAAAUUCAUCGAAAGUUAAAGCGAGUAUCAAGCAUAAACGUCGUCUGAUAUAUCUUUUAUUUAUAAGUUAAAUGUGAAAAUUUAUUUUUUAAAAAGACGCUAAAUAGUAUUAUUAUGAAAAAAAUCCCUUUUUAAUAAUAUGGAUAAAAGUCCAAACAAAAAUAAAGUAUAUAUAUAUAUAUUGCAUAAAAUGUCAAGGCUCUACUAAUACCCGCUCCGUUCCGUAUUAUUUGUCAUGUUUUCUAUUUUCAAAGUCAAACUAUAAAAAUUUUGAUUAAUAUUUUAAAAUGUAUUUUUUCAUUAUAUUAGUAUACAAAAAUUGCAAUUUAUAGUACUUUUCAUAUAGUUUUAGAAUAUCUAAAUUUUUGUUUAAAAUAUCAAAUUAAUGUAAUUCAGUUUAACUUUGAAAAUUAAUCAAAUUUUUGAAAAGCGCAACAUGAUAUACAAUACCGGAUGAAGGGAAUAAUGAAUAAAUAACAAACUCAAUUGGACUAUGGCUGAUCUAAUUAAUGAGAUAUAAUAAAUAAAUAUCCAAAGUCAAAAGAUUUGGUUAUUAGGGUUACUAUAGUAAUUUCGAUUCGUAUAGAAAAAUUUCACAUUGCAGAUCUUCAUAAAACGACUUUAUAUUCAGAGGAAUUUUAAAUUUUAAAUUUUUGAUUAAAUAUAAAUGAUUACUUAUCACUUUAUUCAAAUGCCUCGUACUCAAUAUCACGAGAGUGAAGACGAAGAAUAUUAAAAAGAGAAAACAAUAUCAUUUGUAAAACUUGUUUUUUUCUAUUUCCACUAUGAAAAUAAUUUAAUUUACUUUUAAAAAGUUAUUUUCAUAACAAAAAUAAUUUUCAAAAAAGUUUGACCGAUCAUUAAACAUAAAAAAGUAAAAAAUAUUUUUCUUUCACACAAAACACACAAGUCAUUCUCUAUUAAUUUUUCUUUCUUGUUGGCUGGAGGAGGUGGGGUUAGAGUUUUAGACAUCUAAGUUUGGUAGCAAUAAAUUAAAUUAACAUAAUUAUUGUAUAAUUAAUCCAUUAAAACAAGGUUGAAUAUUCUGCAAAAAAGUAAUUAAAAAAAAAGGAAGAUUCAAAUGCCACGUAGCAUAUAGACUAAUUGUAAAGAAAUGUGCUUACAAAAAGAAUUCAAUCUUUAAUUUAAUAUUUAGUCAAAUCAAACACUAAUUAUUACCUAAAAAAUUACUAAUUAUUUAUAUAUCAAAGUUUGGUUCGAUUUCCUUCAUUGGCGGUUGUAAAAUCAAAGUAGGAUUUACUUUAGAUUUUUCUUUUCUAACCAACUUUGAGAUAUUUUAUUUGAAUCGAGUGAUUUUUUAAAUAGUUUUAUAUUUAUCGUAAGCUUUACAGAUUCACCCGUUAUGAGAUUAUACUGAAUAUAUAUAUGAUAAAAUAAAAUUGACAAAUUUAUUAUGAUUCAUUAGAAGAUUUUUUUUUUUAAACAUGGAUCAAAUAAUUCAGUUGGAUUUUCUUAAGGUCAAAAUUAGCACAAGAUUUUAUAUAUGGAUUUUUAUCUAAUGUGGGUCACCAAAAUUUAGAAUCUUAGGUGGGAAAAUUAAAUGAAAUGAGAAAACACUUUUAUAAGUUUCUCUCAACAAAGUCAAAGGAAAUGAGUAAAUGGUCAACAUGGCAAUUGCAGUAUUUAUUAAUUAGCGGCGGAGUCAAAAUAUUUAAUUAAAGAAUUUAAAAUAUAAUGAAAUAAAUAUAUUAAAAAAGUUGAAAAUAUUUACUAUAUAUACAUAAGAUAAAAUAAUUUUAAUUGCGUACAAACACAAUAAUUUUUCGAUAAAAAGGGAUUCGAAUGGAAUAUUUAACCUUUAUUAGGCUUUGACUCUGAAGUACUUCAACAUGUUGAUGAUUAAGAUCUCUUCAUUCUUACUUUGAAUGUUGCCCUAAAAAGCGAGUUUUAUAACGCAUCAAUUUGAAUUAAGUCAAAUUUCAAUGACUAUCAAACAUUAAAUGAAAAAUAAUUUUCUUAACAAAAGUUUUUUUUUUUGUUUCUCACCUAACUUCGAGUUUAGAAAAUAGAAAAAUCUUAAUAAAAAUUUUCAAAGUGAUUUAAAUAGACGUUCAUUCCACUGCUUAAAUAAAAUAUUAACACAUGUACAAUAUAAUAAUUAUUGAUAAAUCAAGAAUCAAUCAAAUUAAAAGAGUUUGAAGAAAUAUUCUGUAUUUUCUUAUUUACAAUUAAUAAACUAUUGACUAUUUAUAUACAAAAAAAAAAUAUAAUUACAAGCAUAGCAUUAUGUCUUACACUACAUCAAAUCAUAUCUUACAAAUAUUAAUAUUAAUAAUAAUAUUAAAAAUGUGAUUUCUACAUAAUUAAAACACAAUAUUCUUCUCGGACUCUUAAAAAAUCACAAUUCACAUAUGCUAUUUUUAAAUCAUAUCAUAUAAUCAACACAAUCCAUGUUCCCUUAAUUAUUUAUCUACCUCCACUAAAAAAAAUAUUUACUAACAAAAGUUGAUUGAAAUUAGCAAAUUUAAGUAUAGUAAUUUUUUUAAUAUAAUUAUACUAUCAAGAUUUAUGUCUAUAUAUAACUAUCUUAUUUAUAAUUAGACGAUAUAAAUAUUCUUUUAUAUUUUUUUUAGUAUCUGAUAUUCAUAUUAGGUUGAUCAUAAUUAAUUAAUUUAAAUAUAUGUCACAUAAGGCUCAUUUAAGAAAAAGAAAACGUCUUAACAGUAUCUUUUUUAUAUUCACCAGAAUCUCUGAUUAAAAAUAAAAAUAUUCUAUUCAUCCCAUCCCGAAAAUAUACUUUAUACUUUUGAAAUGACUUAAGAUAGAGAAAAGUUGUGGUCUAUAUAAAGGUAGUAAUGAAAACAAACUUUCUAUACUUUCUCAAUAAUAUUUGACUUAGUGGUAUUUUAUCCAUUUCUCUACAAUUAUGACAACUUCUCAAUAUGUGGAUGAAAAUGGAGAAGAUGAUGGAUACACAAAAGAUGGAACUGUGAAUCUCAAAGGCAAUCCUAUACUUAGAUCCAAUACUGGUGGAUGGAAAGCUUGUUCCUUCAUUGUUGGUAUGUUAUGUUAUUAGCUCUCCCCCCCUACCCCCUACCCCGCUGCGGUGUCAUAGCCACAUAUAGCUUAGGAUGACCGAUUAGAUAUCUUUCGUAAGAAAAUUAUAAAAUGGCUAGUUAGAUAUCUUUCGUCAGAAAAUUAUAUUACAGUGUCUGAGGUUAUAGACACGCAAAUAGGCAUUUGUAUAUAGUCAACACUCUUUUUGAAGCCUAGAAGAGAAAAAAGUUCAUGAGUUAUGUUAAUGUCAUAUGUCCAUGAAAACCAUUCUAAGUGUAGGAAUCAUCCUCUACACUUACUUCUUUCCACUUGAUCAAUAUUUUUAAUGUUCGUGUAAAACAAGAGCUUAGUGUAUCUGAUUUUUUUAAAAAAAAGUAAAAUAUGAAUAUAUAUUUGUUUUAAGGAGGUUAAUUAAAUAGAUAAAUUAGAUAUAAAGUUAAGAAAAAGAAAUAUCUUAGUACAUUUGUGGCCUUAGACAUUAGUACAAUUAUAAAUUAUUUCAGAAAAAAAUUAAGAUUAAAUUAUUUUUAACGAAAAAAGAAUAUAAUAUUAUCAUAUAAAUUAAGACGAAAAAAAUUAUGUACGAUAUAGGGGCGCCCCUAGUAAACCAUUUUCAUCACUUUUAGCACGUGGCUAGACUUUGUCCAAUCGUAUAAUUCAUUAAGAAUAAAAAAGCUAUAAUAAUGUAAAAUAUAUAUAAAAAAUUCUUUUAACCUAUAUUAAAAAUACUAAACGACAAAUAUUUUAUUUCAAAAAAUGCUAAAAUUAUAGUUUUAUCAUAAGAUAUUGAUCUUUAUAACUUCUUGUGUUUUUAUUUUAAAUAUAUUCAAAGCUAAUGAUAACAACAUUUAACCAACUGGCUGAAAAACUAGUCAAAUAGUAAAAUAAAUAUACACAAAAUAUCUUUUUUUUUACUAAAAGAACUUAUAUCUCCAAAUAUAUUCUUUGAUACUUCCAAAUGGAUAAUGGAGAUCAUAUUUAGACAUCCCUUCUUCAAGAAUUUUAUCGUUUAUUCAUUGUUAUUUUGUUCGUAGCUGAUAAAAAUAUAUUACUAAUUUAUUAUUAAAUAGAAUUAACAAUGAAUUUUAUUGUUUAAAUAAUACAAUUUAGCGAUUGCUAAAUUCUUUUUAUGAUAAUGCUCUAAUAAUGCAUAUAUAGAUGUCCCAAGUCACUAUAGUAAAUCUAUGUCCAAUAUAUGUGUGAUGUCUUAAUUAAAUGUUUUGAGUUUGAGUGUUAAAUUAAUUUUAAAUUUUUUUUUAAAAGUGUCAUAUUUAGAACUGAGUCUUGCAGAAUUAAAAUUUAAACGAAAUUUAAUUAUAUGUCUAACGUGACAUCAGAUGGAAAACAAAACAAAAAACCUAUGUCCCACCUACUCAUUAAAUCUAGUAAAAUAAAUAUGUUAGUUUUUAUUUUGUUUAAGGAAUCAGCUGAUUUAUUUAUCCAAUUAAAUUAUAAGAUUUAGGAGUUAUUUCAUAAGGUAGGUUAAGGCUAAGAGUUGAGAUAUUAAAUUUAUAAGUUUUCAAGAAAAUAAUUUAUUUAAAUAUAAAUAUAAAAUUUAUUAAAUUUUAAAUUUAUAAAUAAAAUUUUAGAUACGCCUCUAAUUUUCGUAGAGUUUUUGAAAAGUCAUGUAGUUGCAUUUUAUUAAUGAGUAUACUACGUAACUAUGUGGUACUCAUAUUCUAAAUAAAGAAAAAACUCUAAAAAUUUAGACUUUAUAAUCUUAAAGAUACAUAUUAUAUAUCUUUUUUUUUUAAUAAUCUAAAUAUAUAUACUUUAUUUAAAUUGAAGAAAGAAAUUAAAGUCCGUUUUAUUAUAUCGACUAUUAAAUGCAUUGAUUUCUCCAUCAAUCUUUUGGCAAUUAAAUUAAUAACUUGUCCUACACAUUCAUUUUAAGUUCCACCAACUCUUUGUUGCAACCAACUCAACCAUAAAUAAAUAAGUUAAAAUACUAUCGAUAAAUAUCGUGCAGUGGCUGAUAAUGCUUUAUUUUUAAUUGAAAAUUUCAAAUUCUAAUCUAAGUAUAAAAAGAUCCUUUAUAGGAAGCUUUUUCCCUCAAAAUGACACCCUAUGCCAUAUGAAUCUAAAUUAGUCAAAAUUCAAUAUAACUAUCGAACAUCGAAUGUAAAACCAUAAAAAAAAAAUUAAGUUAGAACAACCCAAGACCGAUGAGCUCAUUAUCAAGGGCGAAUCUAAUAAUUUCUCCUCCAAUUAUACUAUAUAUAUUAUUAUUAUUAUUAAUGGCGCGACUAAAAUUUAUAGUUUAUCAUAUCAUAAUUUUCUUACGUAUUGAAUUUACAUAGAUUACUGAUACAAAAUAAAUAUUAUUAUUUUAAAAUACAAAUAUAAUAUUUAAAUUAUUUUAUUGAAUUUAAUCGAAUUCGUAGUUAUUACCGUGACUUCAUCCUCAAUUAUUUGACUUUGUUAUUAUUGUUAGCAAUAUAAUAUUUUGUUUGAUGAAUUUGCAGUAUAUGAAGUUUUCGAACGUAUGGCAUACUAUGGUAUAUCAUCAAAUUUAGUAAUAUAUUUAACAGAAAAAUUGCAUCAAGGCACUGUUAAAUCAUCAAAUAAUGUCACAAAUUGGGUUGGAACUAUAUGGAUGACUCCUAUUUUGGGAGCCUACUUUGCUGAUGCUUAUCUUGGACGUUAUUGGACUUUCUUGAUUGCUUGUGGCAUAUAUCUCUUGGUACGUAUCGAUAAUUUUCGUAGCUAAUUUCAUAUUUUUUACUAGCCGUAAACAGCGGUAGAGUCACCUAGUUUGAACCCUCUUUGACAGAAAUUUAUAUUAUUUUCAUAUAAUUAAAAGGAAAAAUGCACAAGUAUCCCCUCAAUCUAUGUCCGAAAUUUCAGAGACACAUAUACUAUAUAAAGGUUUAUUAUCCCUCUGAACUUAUUUUAUAAGUAAUUUUCUACACCUUUUCGGCCUACGUGGCACUAGCUUGAAAAAAAAUCAACCAGCGUUGGGCCCGCAAGAUAGUGCCACGUUGGCCAAAAAGGUGUAGAAAAUUAUUAAUAAAAUAAGUUCAGGGGAGUAAUAGGACCUUAGUAAAGAAGUAUAAGUGUGUCUCUGAAAUUUCAGGCAUAGGUUGAAGGGAUACUUGUGCAUUAUUCCUUAUUAAAAUAAUUUUUUAGGUAUAUACCGUAGAUGCCUAACUCCCUUUGCUUACUUCAUGUGUAUAUUUCUUCAGAUUUUGAACUCUCUUAUAAAUUUUUUUGACCCCGCCUGUUAUUGUGAAUGCACCAAUCCAAACUCAAAUAUUUCUUUUGUUAAAAUGACAUUUAAUUUAAGACAGAAGAAAUAUAUGAAUAAGGGCUAGGGUUAUCUGAAUAUGAACGAAUUAAAAUAAAUUGAGUUAAUAAAUAAAUACGUCACGAAUAUAUAUUGUUGUGUAAUUUCCAUAAACCAAACUUGUUGACUUAAUGUAAGAAUAUUCAUGUCCAAUAAUUGGGUAAGAAAAAACUCUUAUCUUUUAUGUCAUUAAUAUGAAAGAUUGACUUAGGAUGAAUUGUCAUGUUCAUGUAUAUAAUUUAAAAUAAUAUAAAAGCUAAGAAAAAUUUCAUAAAUUAUUUAUUUUUGUAACUUGACAACUUGAUUUUACGUAAUUACCAAAAAAAUAAAAAACAAAAUAAUGAAGUCACGACAAAGAUAUAAUAGGACCAUGCUAUUAUAUUUUCUUGUAUUUAAUUCUUCCAAUUUAAAAUAGUUUGAUGUUUUAAUCUCGAGUCAAAAUAAUUAUAAUAUUUUAUAAAAUCAAGAAGAUAUUUGAUUUUUUUAUUGAUCCAUUUUUUUUAAAAAAUACUAAUUAUUUUGAAUCGAAGGGAGCAAUAUUUGUCAGUUCAGUCUAUUAUUGACUCUACAGAGUCUAUUUUUGGAUUUUUGCUUGAAUUUUCCACUAUAUACAAAUACUUUUUUGUUGUUUUUUUCUGCAAGUUGUUUUCCUCUAAAUUAUGUUCAAAGUUGGUGUACUUAUCUAGAAAAAUUAGUUCAAAUUAAUCAAUAAUUAUCUAUUGGUGGAAGCUAGCGAAACGCAUGAUGUUAAAAUUAGAUAUAUAUUAUAAAUAUUAUUUAAGUUAAAAACGAUAGAAUUGACCAAUAAUUAUCUAUCAAGUUUGAGCCUUAGCUAGUUGAUGUAAAAGAUUACUCAACUAUAAAAAAUGAGAAAAACACCAUUUUACAUAUGAUGAAAAGGUCAUGUAAUGUCUGUAAGACUCUAGCCAAUAGACUAAACCUUCAACUCAUUUCAAGAGGUGUCAGUUUAAUCAUUAUAUACAACGUAAUUUUUCGACGAAGGAGUGUCGCUCGACACCUCUUGGACCAAGGUAGGUUCGCCACUGGGUCGAUCCUAUACUAUUUGAACUUAUCUUGAGAACACAUUAUGAGAGAUGUUUGAAACAGGUUAAUUGAUUGAUUAUAUGCAUAUCGUGUCUUGAAAAUUGUAAUAUUUUACUGCAUGUUAGUACUAAUGACAAUAGGAGACGUUAUAAUUAACCAAAUUUCAUUAAAAAUUGUCACAGGGUAUGUCAUUACUAACCCUAGCAGUAUCAAUCAAUGGCCUAAAGCCUCCUCAUUGUUCCAAUCCAAGUUCAAUUGACUGCAAAAAAGCAUCCACACUUCAACUAGCUGUGUUCUUUGGUGCACUCUACACCUUAGCGGUCGGCACGGGUGGCACGAAACCCAACAUAUCGACGAUAGGAGCCGAUCAAUUCGACGAAUUUCACCCUAGGGAAAAAUCCCAAAAACUUUCAUUUUUCAAUUGGUGGAUGUUCAGCAUUUUCCUAGGGACACUAUUUGCUAACACUGUGCUUGUAUACAUUCAAGACAAUGUGGGCUGGUCACUUGGAUAUGGGCUUCCAACAUUGGGCCUUGCUAUAUCUAUAGUGAUAUUUUUGGCUGGAUCAUCUUUUUAUAGACAUAAAAAGCCCAGAGGAAGCCCAUUUACAAGAAUGGCUAAAGUCAUUAUUGCUUCAUUAAGGAAAUGGAAGAUUAAAGUCCCUAAUGAUCCAAAAGAGUUAUAUGAGCUUGAUUUGGGAGAAUAUACAAAAAAUGGAAAAGUUAGAAUUGACUCCACUCCUACUUUGAGGUUUGUACAUAUUAUACUUGUUCCAUCGAAAUUUCUAAGAAGUCAAAAGUGUUUAUUUUAGAAAGUCGAGUCGUUUGACCAAGCUUUAGAGAAAAAAAAAAGAAUGUUUUUGAGUGUUAGCACUCUUUGAUAAAAAAAAAAAAUACGUUUCAAGAUAAGCAGAUUUUUGAAGCUUGACCAAACAGACUAUUAGUUAUAUACACUAACAGUAUUAGUGUAUAACCUUAUUUGUUUAGAACCUACCCUUACUAUAAACAAGUACUGGUAUUUUAAUUGACACGAAGUUUAAUAUAUUAGUUUAGCGUGUUUAUAUGAUAUAGGAGUGCUAAUGAUGAAGGAAGAAUAUACAUAAAAAAAAGUGUGUAGUUCAAUGAAAUUUAAUACGAUUUCUCGAUAUGACGGAUUUUCAUGUUUGAUGUAGGUUUUUGAACAAAGCUUGUGUUAAAGUAGAUACAACUAAUCCAUGGAUGUUAUGUUCAGUUACUCAAGUAGAAGAGACUAAGCAAAUGCUAAGGAUGAUACCAAUUUUGAUUGCUACAUUCAUUCCAAGUACAAUGUUAGCUCAAAUCAACACACUCUUUGUCAAACAAGGCACAACUCUUCAGAGAAACAUUGGUAGUUUCAGUAUCCCUCCAGCUAGUCUAAGUGGAUUCGUUACCAUAUCGAUGCUAGUCUCCGUUGUGUUAUAUGAUCGUUUCUUCAUGAAAAUCGUCAAAAGAUUGACGAAAAAUCCAAGAGGGGUAAACAUACUUCAGAGGAUGGGAAUUGGAAUGGCUUUUCAUAUUGUGAUCAUGUUAGUUGCAUCGUUUGUUGAGAGGUAUAGGCUUAGUGUAGCAAGGGAUCAUGGACUAGUCGAAAAUGGUAAACAAGUACCGUUAACUAUCAUGAUUUUGUUGCCUCAGUUUAUUCUUAUGGGAACUGCUGAUGCAUUCUUGGAAGUAGCCAAGAUUGAGUUUUUCUAUGAUCAAGCUCCAGAAGGAAUGAAGAGUCUUGGAACUUCUUAUUCAAUGACUAGUCUUGGUGUUGGGAGUUUUCUUAGCAGCUUCUUGCUUUCGACAGUUUCUCGUAUCACUAAAAAGCACGGGAAUCACAAAGGAUGGAUAUUAAACAACCUGAAUGUAUCUCAUCUUGACUAUUACUACGCGUUCUUCGCGAUACUCAACUUAUUGAACUUCUUCUUUUUCCUGUUUGUGAGCAAGUUUUAUGAAUACAAAGCUGAAGUCUCUGAUUCACUGUCUGUGCUAAGGCAAGAAUUGGAGAUCGAAUCGAGACAUCGGGUAACUAAUAGCCAAGAAGGUUCAACCAACACACAGGUGAAUGGUUCUACAUAGGAAUUUAACUAACAUUUAUAUUUUGCUCCAUACUUCUUUUCUGUUUUAUAGCUAGGUAGUGUAUACUAUAUUGUUUAUGGCUUGAAUCCUCCAAAAAUUCCGCUGCACCCAUGUCAGAUCCUCCGAAAAUGCAGCCUCAGUAUUUUGCAUUUUUAGAGGAUCUGACACUGAUGCACCAGUAUUUUUGAGAAUCUGAGCAAUAUAGCUAUACCAGACAAUAGUUUUGUGUACCUCCCCUCUCUUUGUUAUGAUUUUCACACGAUUGUAAUGAUAAUCAUUUAAAUAUAGUUGUUUCGAGAUAUUCAAGGCCAUGCUUAUCUUAUUGAACAGCAUUUUCAAUUUCAUAGCUGAUAUCUCUAAAUGAAAUAGUUCAUAAUCUGAGUAGAACUUGAUGAUCUAUUUAUUCUACCUUUGCUAGAAAUACCGUCUCCAACUCGUAUGCUAAUAUGAUAAUAUUCACUAUAUACAAUAAUAUGUGGUCAAAAUAAUGAUCUCUCAAGACAUGCAGAAGAUAGCAGAAGUAUUGUACAUUAGCGCAUUCCACCACGUAGAGUAAAGUACUCGUAAUGCCUAGUUAAUGAGGAAAAUAAGAAGAAAUAUUAGUACACUUGCUAUUACUCUCAAGUGAUUCAGGGUUUUUUAACUUAUCAUCCAUCCUUUGAAAUCCUUCAAAUGAAUCAAUCUUAUAGCAGAUUACCUGUAAGAAUCCGUCUUUCUUCCGUUAUCUUUACCCUUUUUUUUUGUACAUGUGAUAUUUUUUUUAUGAUAUGUUGGCAUGUUUUCUCUAAUAUGGCCUCCUUUUUGCUAAUUGGAAUGUUUUCUUCAAGAAGUGAUUAGCAACUUUGUCAUUUCUAUGACAAACUACCCUCAAGAUUGUAUUGGGAUCUGCUCGAUUCCAUCGUCCUGUUGUUGGAGGCAUAGGUAGUUUCUGUCCUGAUCCCACAACUCCCAUUCCGCUAGUUUCACAUGCCACGAUGCUGAAAUCUUCAACCAAUUGCUCAGUUGAUUGUCCCAUUAAAGCUAUCACCCCCUCGACCGUCUCAGCUUCUGUGUCCACAACAUCCUCUACUACCAAUCCUUCACCACAAGUACAGAACACCCUCUUUAGGCUCUCAAAGUCCUCUUCUAUUAUCUGAUGAUCCGCUCUCGAAAAGAUUCUUUUGCUUCCUCCUGCUAGUAGAACCAUGAGGUAGGCCUCAAAUGAAGCCUUCAUUACUUCUUUUAAGGCCAAUGGCUGAGCCUUGUCAGUGAGGAUCGCGCAUAAAAGAGUGAGGUUUUGCUUGAGUGCCCUUAAUGCGGGUCGUAUACGUGUGCUCUGAACAUCCCUGAUAUAGAGGUUACCGUAGAAUACGCAGUGAGAAUCGAAGAAAAUGAGACGAUAAGCAGCAACUUCUGAUACGUGUUGUAAUGCUACUUGGAUGGCUGAACGCGUGUGAUCAAAGUAGGAGUAGCUUCCUAUCUGCCUAUUCUUGCUGUGACGACUUCUUGGAGUAGGGACAGUUUUCGAGGAGAUUGAUAGAGUUUUAUCAAGGGAAUGGAGUUGUAGAAGAAAGUAAUGCAAGGUGUUUAGCCUUAUAUAUAGGCGUUGUGUCCCUCGGCUCGUUGAAAGUCGGGGAUGAUUGCCUUCAUCUGCUAUAUGAUGGUUCUGUUCAUCUGCUCCUACACUGCAAACAGCAAACUUCCACAGUUUGGAAAACCUCGAAUCUUGGCUACAUCUUGUUAGAGGAGGAAGUGUCGGAAUGUAGCUUUGCUUUGACCCUAUAAAAGGAACCAAAGACAAAAGAACAGAUUAACUAUUUGAGCACUACAGUUACGAGUUUAGCAGAACCUAGUAACUUUGGCUCAAACUUUGUACAUUCGUUAAAACAUUUCAUUUAAUAUGUACACAUUCAAAACUCGUAAACUAAAAAAUAUGGCGUUGCCUCGUUCUUUAGGUAUGAAAUGAAACGAGUUUUAGGAAUUAUGUUCUUACCACAUGAUGUGGCAAAGGUAACAUAUUCCUUGAACAGAUGCUCAAAGCCAACAGCAAGAUCCUCUACUAAGUCCUCUGACAUGGCCAUCGGGAUUUCGAAGAAAUUGUCCACAGCUUCUUUAGCAUGUCUCAUUAGAUCAACUGCUGAUUGUGCAUAUGGCUCGCUUUUGGAUUUUGGAUUCCACGUCUGCAUAUCAAAGUUUACUACAGUGUCGGAACCAGUAUUUUCACUAAGUGAAUUCAAAAUAUAAAGAAGUAAACACACGAAGACUUACUUCAGUUUCUUUUGCCCUCAUUAUAAUCUCUUUCCCUUUCUUCAACCUUUCUUGAAUCCAUUUCCGCAGAAGAUUCAUUAUGAUUGAAUCAGUUUCAUAAGGAAUCAUCUCUGACAAUGUGGCUUUGCCUCCAUCUUCACAUUCAUCCGAAUCCUCCACGACCAUUUGGAUUAAUACUUUUUCGAGUUUUCCAGCCUUCUGCAAUACAGAAACUGUCUGUUUUGUGAGUAAAGUCGCGCCCGUGAGAUAUUGCUUCAACAAAGUUCCAUAGCAAGAAUGUAAUGCCACAGCUGCUACUCCUGCUGCAAUAGGAUGCCAUUUCUUGAGUAUAGGGCUGAAAGUUUCCUUCUCCUUAUUUGCUAAUUCUUCAGUUUCAUAGGCUAACUUAAUUAGUGUCUGACUCACAUCUUCCAAUUCAAAACUUGCACCAUCUAUGCUCAUUUCUUCCAAUAUCUGUUUUGCACAAUAAGAAUAGUGUUACAUCAAAGAAACUUGAAGAUAAAUAAAACUAAAAGGACGUCGACAACCAUACGGUCUCAUGUUCCAUCUGUCCUAGCCUUAGUGGACAGAGUUAUCUAGUAUCUAUUACUAGUGGGAGGUGACAGGUAUCUCGUAUCGGGACACUAGGGUCGAAACCUAUGCUGCUCAAACCCUUCAAAAAUCUUUCACACCUCUUUCGGAUCCUUCAAAAGUGCAUAGCUUUUGAAGGAUUCGACAAACACCCUCGAGAAUAUUCUUAAAGAGUCCGAGCAACAUAGGUCGAAAGAAAGGCUAAAAAUACUAAAGUUUAACAUCAAUGACUCAACUUCAUAAAGUUAAAUGUAAACUAAGGAAUGUGACAUGCUAUAAUGAGAUUGAAAUACACAUUCGUCAGUAUAUAUAACUUAAAUCCAGAAUACUAACCUUAGCAAAUGCAUCCCUCAUUGACGAACGAAUAAAGUAACAAACUUUAUUUCCAUCUGAAUCAUCCUCCGCGAGUUCAUCCCUUUUCUCCAAAACAUCAGAACUAUACCCCGGAACAUCUUCCUCUAAUAUCUUCAUGGACGCGAAGAAUAAAGGAAGAUUAUUCUCCAACAAACCAGCACUCCCCCUAUUGAAACUAUCGUGAUAGUUAACCAAUCUUUUCUCCGACCAUUCCCUUAUCAAUAUCAAAACAUUUGCCAACAUCUUAACAUAAAAAGGAUCAUUAUCAGCUUUCUUAGCAUCAGUAGCAACUUCAGUACUCAACAUGAUCAUCGCUGCGCCUAAAAGAUCAGGCUCAACCUGACCAGUAACGAUAUACUGCUCGAAUAACACCCAAGUGAAACACAAGUUAUGAAGUGAUUUGUUUACACCCAAAAUCACCCAUGUUUUUUUCAUCAAUUCAAGGAGCUCGUCGACUUCAUCAAGAACCAUUGUAUCGUCUUUUAAGUCGAAAACAGAGGAUAACAGAGCAGUAUAAAUGUGGAUAUUUAAAGGGAAUCCAUCAGCCCAAUGACAAAUAUCAGUUGCUGAACCAUCACUUGUUCUCCAAGCUAAGGACACUACUGAAUUGCAAAGUGCUCUCAUUGUCUCCGAAUUCUUCCCAGUGUCGAUAGCUUUCGUUUCAGCUGAUCUUAUGAUAUCUCUGAAGCGUUUCGCGGAUGUGUUUGAUUUUUCUACUGGCAAUGAAGGGUAAAGGAGAAGCCCUGCUUCAAGGAUUCUGAACUGACGUUUUUGCCAUUGAUGAUACUCGUGUGAAUCGUUGAAUUCGGAUGGUUUAAGAUGGCGUAAUAGCUCUAAUGGUAAGAUUAUUGUCUCUGCUCGUCUUCCCAUCUGUAUAAAAUUUCACAAAUAUUUGUUCAAUUUGCCAUACUCUUCAAAUUUUAAACUCAUUCACAUAAAAAAAAGGUCUUAUAUGAGCUAAUGUUGCUCGAACUCUUUAAAAAUGUCGCUAACUGCGUGCUCGAUUCUCCAACAACAAUUUAUCUUUUGAGAAUCUGAUACACGUUUAGCAACAUUUCUGAAGAGUCUGCAUAACAUAGUUGUGGCACUACAUCAAAAAUGAGUUUUAGCGACAAUCAAUUAGCAAUUGCCACUAAAUAUGUAUUUUUAGCAGCGACAUGUCUAAAACAUAAACAUUUGAAUCUUUUGAUAUUAAAAGUGUCAUAAUAUUUCGAUGGCAAUAAGUAGUUUUGCAUUAAGGGUAAAAUGAAAAGGGAAAAUGAUUUUCAUGAGAAAAAAAAAAUAGGUAUACUAAGGGUGUGUUCGGUGCGAACUAAAUAUUUUUCUUCGUAACAAACACGUCGGUUUGGGUGCACCCAAACCGCUCUUCAACCGCUUGCGGCAGAAUUUCGAUAGAGCUACAAGCCUAGUUAUUUUUUUUUUUGUUUUAUGUUGUGUGCUUUUAAAAUGCAUGCAAAAAGACAUUAAACAUGCAAAAUAAGACAUAAUGUACGUACUUGUCCAACAAGAGUUCUCAUGAGAGUUUUACGUAGCCUACUAUCACUUUGCUCCGACACCCUCAUUUGCCGCCUCAUUAUCUCGGCCGACGUCAUCGGUCUUCGUGCCCUCGAAUGGGGCACGGUGAAUCCCACCUUAGGGCUAGUACCGCCCCCGGGGGACGAGGGGUUGCCUCCGUAAGAGCUAGCUCUUCGUGAACGUGACCGUUUCAACAUCUUCAACCCUAGCGCGGUUUUCACCUUGCUAGUCACGGCCAUCCCUACCCCGGAUGGCUUCACCGGUGAUCCGGGGCUGGUAGAUCCAGCCCCGGACCCGCUUCCAUCUCCUCCUUCAGACGGAUUAUGAUACGAGAUAGCCAUCCUACUCCCGAACCCCGGUGAUGACCGACAUGCGGUGAAGAAUAUCUCGUAAGCCGCGUCGCGGAAAUGGUCACGAUGAAGACCGUCAAUAUUUUCAAAUGGACAAAUAAGGUCAAUGUCAAUGGACGCAACAUCUUCGCCAAUAGUAUUUGCAUGGCGAAGAUGUUGCGUCAUGGUGGUCGUAGUAGGUGCCAUUAUAUAUAUGAGCUAGCUACUACGACAAACUAUGUGACGGAUAUUUUAAAUUUGUCAAAUAUCCGGCCGUAGAAGGCGGAGAGAGAAGCCGGUGAACAUUAGAAUUAUUAUUAUUUUUUUCGAGGCAAAGAAUGAAAGAAGCGAGAAAGAGAGAAAGAAAAAACAAAUAGUAGAGAGAAUAAUAGAUGGUUAUGUGAAACUCUUAAUUUGUAUUUCUCCGAUAAUAACGAAGAACCAAAGGUGGUGAAACAAGAGAUAAUUAGACGCAUACCUAAUUUUUUAAAAAAUUAGUAAAGAAAAAAAAUGGUUUCUCUUAUUUAUUAUUAAAAUAUUUUGACACCAUUUAUUUAUUUCCUUAAUCUCUACAAGGUAACCACACAGGUUUUUGUUUUUAAUUUGAUUUUCCGCUCGAUGUCUGAUAUUACUGUUCAACUAAAUCCAAAUUCUAGUUGAUUAAAUGUCGAUACGCAUAAGAACGUCAUGCACACAUGACACAACUAGUUAUUAAAGAUGGAUUUGGGACCCAGACAAUAAUUAACAACUAUCUAAAAGGAAGACGGAUGAGAAAGAAUAUUUUUGUAACGUAUAUCAACCUAACGCUGUUAGUUUUUUUUAAAAAUGAAAUAUACCCUAAAAUGUUACUGUGAUAUACGUUUAUCUACUUUUGUAAAAAAAAAAUUUAAAAAAAUAUUAUUUUAAUGAAUUACUUUAUAAAAUGACUUAGUUUGGUCAAUAAUUCUAUAUAAAUGUCUAUAUAUGAUUAAUAAAAUUCAUAUGAAACAUUUUUUCGUUCAUAUUUUCUACCUUACUGCUUACACCCUCCCUAAUAACAAUAUCAAUUAGAAGAAAUUUUUUUACUAUCAUACAUAACAUUAAAAAACAAAGUUAAGGAUUUAAAUUAUGAGUUCAGAAUUUUAUAAUAAUUAUUUUAAGUGAUAAUAGUAGGUUAUAAAUUUAAUAUCUAUACAUAUUUAAUAAAUUUAUUAACACAAAUACAUCAUUUAAACAAAAUUUACAGAAUUCAAUCAAACUCGCAUGCAGACUAUUAACUCUGGCCUUGCAUAAUACGAUAAACAUUAAUAACAUAAUCCUUUGAGAUUAGAGAGUUCAGUUUAUGUAGAGAUUUAUUUCUUUGUAGUUUCAUCUCAUAUAUAUAUAAAUAUAUUUUAUGUUGCUUUUUAUGUUCUUUAAUUUAUCAUUGUUCAAUAGUAGUAAAAUUAUUUUUUUCAUAAACUAUGACAUUAUACAUCCAUUUAUGAUAUUACAAAGUUUAGCCUGCUUGAUUUAUUAAAGAACUGGAUUAUGCUGAAAGAAAUUAGUAGGCUUGAGCUCAAAACCAGUGCUUAAUGUUGGCAUAAUUGGAAAAUCUUCUUGUUUGGGUACAUGAUGAACACCAAAUGUAUACCAUAAUAUAAUAUCCUUGUUCUUGAUUUUCCUAUCCCUUAUCGUAAAACAAAUACUCCCGAACGUUAGAAUUAAAAAGAGUUGUCAGAAGAGACGUUAACAGAUUAAAAAAGAAAGUAAGACAAACGACCUAAAACAAGAGAGUAGUACUAUAUAGAAUCUAUUGCGCGUAUUACCUAAGGCUCCAUACGGCUAAUGUAUCAUCCCCAUGGCUUUGAUCAGUAUACAAUCCUCCUGCCCAUUUCUCGGACUUGUUAUAAGGUGUUACCCACACAUUAUACUUGGUAAAACCUCCGCGCGCUUGAGGGUAAUCGUUGUCACUUAACAAUGGACUUGUUGCAGAUCCACCCGGGAUCAAACAGUAGCCUAUUUCAUUCCCAAUCUCUGUCUUCUUGUUCGGGUUCACCACUACCAUUUCAAAGGCGCCUCGUGAUGAACCUAGCUGAAUCUUUGCAUCUGAUUCUGUUUCAGCUGUUUCACUAACAACUGUCCAAUAACUCUUUCUUGGUGAACUUUUAUGGAUUACGCGUCUAGUUUUUAAGUUAUUUUUCACAAAGGAGUUUUCAUGACCGUCUACGUCUAAAUCAAGGUGAUAGGUAAAGAAAUGAUCAUGAUAUGCACCUAGUGUGUUUUCUGCUAUUAGUGUACCAUACACUUCUUCUUUUAUCUGAUCGCUAUGAGUAUAUAUCGAUCCCCUUACUUCAAGUAGACCAGUUAACCCAACCUGUACAUGUCAAUGAAUUCGGAAAAAGUUGAUACUUAGUGUAAGCUACGGCCUAAAACAGACGUUUUACCUUACUCAUGAUAUCGUGGUUUACUUACCGUGACUUUGAUGGUGCCACUUCAUUUGAAUUCAUAGUCAGUAAUGUAAUCAUAAUUCCCUACAGUCGACACCAUUCUCACCACCAGGCUUACCUCCGGUCUAAUCUUUCGUAUCUGCAGCUCCAAAUUUUUUGAAAUGAACGAGAAGUACUAAAUAAUCCGAAAACACUUUAUCAAACAAGAGGAUUAUAUACUAUACUAACUUACCUUUUCUCCGGGAAUUGCAUCCUCUGUAUGGCGCCACAUGAUAUCUCCAGCAUAACGUUCGAAUAUACAAAUUACAUUAGGCAUUUUUCCUGGUGUACCAUCUUGAGAUAUGAAGUAGCCAUCAAUAAACUUCGCGUUCUCUGGACAAUCUUUUGAUGGUUCAAGCUCUACAGCGCAUAGACCAAAUCCAAAUUCACCUGCAUUGAAAUAAGUCCUGUAGUACCAUUCUUCAGUUAAAUCCAUGUAUGGCACAAAAACUUCAGACGCAAAUCCUCUGUACAUUACACUCCGAAAUUCUCCUUUGUCAUCAUCAAACAUCGAUGCUAGUGAUAUGAUUAUUCCCGCUCUCAUGUCAUACGCUACGUGGAACUUCCAAUCAACCCACCUAAAGCAAGAAAAAAAGAUAGUACUCUCAAUUCUCAAAACCCUCCAUUUCAAUUUGUUUGUCUAGUUUUGACUUGACACGGACUUUAAGCAAGUAAAGAAGACUUUUGAAUAUUCUGGUCUUAAACAGAGUAGAUAUAUUGUAGAAUGUACCAGAACGGACUAAAAAGGAAAGUAAGACAAACAAACUGAAACACAGUGAGUAUACUCUUUACCUCACUGUGUUUCCAUCAUCUAGAGUAAAACUUGGUCCAUCAGGCUGCACUAUUUUUAUUGAGUUAGAUUCAUGAGAUGAUCUACGCCGCUUUGAUCCCAUGUAAUCUGUCCCAUUAGCUUUAGGGACAGGAACAAUCAAACGAUCAAUAUAACUCGCGAUUGUCAUUUGAUCAAGAAGAACAAUAAUUGUAAUUCCUUCAAUUGGUCUCAUAUAAAGAUUAACUGUGCCAUCUAAGUAAUAGCAAAUGACUUUAACCAUUCUGUUAGUACUCUUCUUUUCCUCUCCAUACCAUCCAACAGGAUAGCCUUGACACGCGACUUCUUUCAGCUUUAGCCUUCUCUUUUUAAUGGACGAUAUAAAUGGUGGAUACGAUAAUGGUAACUCAUUUGCAGCUGUUUGCUCUUGUAAUGUAAGCAUGGGGUAGCCAUGUCCAUUAUAGAUUUUAUCUGAUAAAAUUGAAACACUCGAUAAGUCUACGAUGAUUUCAUGUGUUUUUUGAUCAAUUCGAGUGAUAACAAUAGCUUCGCGAGGUAGAGAAGGAUGAUGAGUGGAUGAUAGCCAUGAAAGGACUAAUUGUUUGUUUGGUUCAUUUAAGCCAACAUAAUGAAAUGUUACAUUGAGUGGAAAAUAGGAAUUUUUGACUAUGUUUGUUACUUGAGUUAGUUCAAAUAGAGUGAGAGACUCCAAUGGGUGGUUGUACUCAAGAGGGGAUGAUGAUAAUGAUGUACUAACAAAGAAGAAGAAGAUGGAAAUUUUGAAGAACAAAGGCAUUGUAAGUUGAGAAGCUAUGAAUCUCAACAUUUGUUAAUCCAAGUAAGACAUGAUUCUUACCCUUUAUAUGGUUUGCGAGUGUAUUCUCAUGAUUUCUUUGUUGUUAAAAUAAAAGGGAAAAGGACCAAAAUACCCCUGAACUAUUCGAGAUAGGUUAACUUUACCUUUUGUAAUGUUUUUGACUAAAAAAUGUUCUUGUCGGUAAUCGGCUAACUCAAAAAUGUCAUCCAACUAGACUUGACCUAUUUCAAAUAGUUUAAGGUUAUUUUUUACGACCCAUAAUAUAUGGAUAACUUGGAAUAAUAUGUGUAUAAAAUCAUGGGUGGAUUUAUAGGCAAAUUUACGAUGAUACAUGUAAACUCAUGGUCGUCUCUGCGUCAAACUAGGUAUUUUGUAUGCAUGUUUCUAGAAUUGAUACAAUUUGAUUUUUUGGUACCUCUAACCUAGAAAUGGUAAAUGGUCCACUUGGUUGAAUGUUGAGUUACUUACCGAGAGGGACAUGGAUCAACUUUACCAUAUUAUAAAGGUAUGAAUACAUAAAUAUGCACUUUAACUUGGCCUCAAAUCACAUAUAUGCCUUCCAACUUUGAAUCUGCACAAGCAGACACUUAAGCUUGUAUAAAGUAAUUAAUAAGCUAUAUUCGAUGCAUACAAUCUAAUACACGUUGAGUCUGGCUAUAUUCGAUACAUACAAGUUCUAUCACUUGCAUUUAUAAUUCUUGUAUUGCUUGUGAAUUCAUUUGAGAUUAGAAAAAAAAAAAAAACAAGUUCAGUUCCAUAUGGAGCUUGUGACUUUAAUUUUGACUUUUAACUUUAUGUGAAAUUGUUGCAUGUGCUUGAGGGGGUGGCCCUAAAUAUGGAGUGGCCUUUUUCUGUAACUUUUAUAUACAUUUUCAAGUGUUUUGGUUGAUGUGUUGGUCCUUAUUGACUUUAAUGUAUUUGGUGAUUUAGGGUUAUGACUUUUAUACCCCAUUUAUUUUAAUUUGUUUGUCUGUUAUUUUACUAGAAGUUCAAAAAAUAGAGAAGAGACUUUUGAAUAUUAUGGUCGUAAAUUAAAGAAAUGUCAAAUCACAUACAGCCAUAAACAAAGGUUUUUUCACCACGAGUAAAAUAAUUGUAUUAUAAAACAUGAUUUUUCCACUUAUUUUCCACUGAACCAGCUCACUACGAAAACACAUGGUGGAAAACAAAUUUCUAAUUUUUUCAUCUGCUUUACUUCUUUUUUCAAUGUUCUCAUCGUUUCAAUUAAAAUAUACAUCCGAUUAGUCCGGCCGUAAACAUUUUUCAGUGAAAAAUUUUAAUAGGAAAAUAGUAAUUUUUUUAGUACUGAAUGAAUCAAAAUGUUCUUUAAUUUUGUGGUUUUAAACAUGUUACGUGGAAAGGUAGAAUCAACAAGUUGCCAAUAAAAAGAGAUAUUCUUGUUUAAAUGAAUUAAAAGAAUAAUGACAAGCAACUCGAGACGGAGAGAGUAAUAGUUACUCUGCUCUUUUUUUUACCAUCUCGACGUUAGGGGUGGUGGAAAAAAUUUAGUGUUCGGAGACUUGCUUAUACCUUGUUUUUCAUUUAUCUAAAGACUUUUAUCUCUCAUAUGUAUCACUCCUACUCAUGUGGCUUGUUUGGAAAUUCGUUUCUAUUUUGUUAUUAAAAUUGGUAUUACUUGUCAUAUUUUUAGAUCUCAUUGAAUUAUACUGAAUAUAUUGUUGUUUUCAGAGUUAAGGAUUAAAAAAACACAUCUAAAAUAUCUCAGUUUUUUUUAGGUUUACACCUGAAAUAUUAGGGGUGUGAAUUUUCUACAUGAACUCAUUAUACAAAAAAUGAUCGUUAGCGGUAAUUGAUUAAUGACCGUAACAUAGUUGCAGCUAAAUAUGUAUUCUUAGCGACAAUUAUCACUCUUUGUAAAUGUUCUCAAUGCAUAUAGCAAAAUUGUAUCCAAUGACAAUUAGUUAGAUAAAGACUAAGCAUUCUUUGUUAAUGUGUAUAUGUAUUGCCACUAAACUAUUUUUGUUGUAGUGACUACCGCCAAAUAUUGACCUAUAGUAUCAGUUAUUCACUUUUUCUACUAGAAAUUCCAGGUAUGAAACCCAAAGAACGUACAGUUCAGAUGUAUUUCGAUAAACAUUUGAUGAUAGUUCAGGUACACCCCUGAUAACCCCUGAAGAUGACUCAAGCUGAAAUUACUUAUGAGAAAAUCUGCUGUUUCAGAUUCAAAACGAAAAUCGAUAUUUUUUUUGGAUUUUUGGAUGAUGAAUUGAGUUUUUAAUUUUAUUUUUAAAAUUUAUGAAUUUUGUAUUAGAUAACGGUCUACUUGUUAGUUUAACGGUCUACUUGUGCACAUUCAAAGUUGAAGGGCAGAAACGUUAAAGGACACAUUUAUGUAUUAUGACACCUGAGUCUAACUCAACCCCAAAAGCUAGAUCAUGAGGGGAGAAUUGUCCAAGUCUAUAUAAGAAGACCACUAGUCCAUUCCAUAGCCAAUGUGGGACUUUUACCAACUCUAAAACCCCCCUUCACGCCUAGGCCCAACUGAUGCGUGGAUCGGGAGCCCAAACGGAGAUAGACCUGGCUCUGAUACCAUGUGAAGAUAUGACACGUGCGCUAAUUUAUCCCCAAAAUUAGCUCAUGAGGGGAGGAUUGUUCAAGUCCAUAUAAGGAGACCACCAGUCCAUUCCCCAACCAAUGUGAGACUUUUACCCACUCUAACGGCCUUGUUUAACUUUGCCUCCAAGGACGAUCUUCUAUCUAGAUAUUGGAAAAUAGGCUUAUGUCUAUAUAGGAUGAUAUUAUUGUAUCUAGAUAUUGGAAAAUAGGCUUAUGUCUAUAUAGGAUGAUAUUAUUGUAUCUAGAUAUUGGAAAAGAGGCUUAUGUCUAUAUAGGAUGGGCUCCAUUUGGCCAAAAGAAUAGUUCACAUUACACACUCUAUGAAACAAUAAAACUUCUUUCCCUGGACUUUUUGAAGUUCUCUCUGUUAGUCCAAGGGUGAUUGUCUACCUUUCAUUCUCCUCAGGUUGGUGUGGUUGCUUCAAAUGGAAUUGUCACCAACAUGGACUGAAACAGGCGCACGCCAUCUCGUUACGAGAUUUUUCAAAAAUUUCAUCCAAACAGGAUGCAUAAUGUGAGUGCUGAUCCCAAAAAUAGCAGCAGAGACAUGUCUGACAGUUUGUUUAUUUCUUAUUUUAUCACACCCAUGAUCUUUUUAUUUGAAUGGUAGCGAAACGCAGAAUGACCUUCUUUAUUUAGAAAGUACACUUCUUUUUGUCCAAUAUCUUUGGCUCAAAAAUCAUAUACUAGUCGAAAAUCAUGCUGCAAGACAUAUCUAGUGUGUGAAUUGCGACAUAUUUUGUUCUACUCGGAGAUUUUUGAUAUCUGGAUGAUGGUUUUAUAUGUUUCGAUAUACAGCUUGUUGGAAGAAGGAGGUUCAACUUUCACAUUCCAAGGCACGGAGGGGAAAUGCUCUCUCAAAGUUUCUCUUACAGUUCGUAGUAUGCAGUUUUACUGGAAGGUAAAAUGAAAUUCCCUUUUGCCCCUACAAGUGAUAAAAACUUAACCCAAAAAAGUUGAAAAGUUUCCCAUCUGUUAACAGGUUGCAACUCGAGCUGACAUAGGCCUUGCUGAUGCUUUUAUUCAUGGAGAUUUUUCUUUCGUUGAUAAGAACAAGGGUCUUCUUAAUCUUAUCAUGGUAAGGAAAUGACUCGAUAUCUUUGUAAAUAGCUUUUUGUUGGUACUUAGCUUCCCUGAGUUCUUUUUGCAGAUAUUUAUUGCCAACAGAGAUUUGAAAGCAUCUGUUAAAACAUCUAACAAGAAGAGGUAAAAUAGUUUACUGACUUUGAAUCAAGAAAUGUUAACUUCUGUUCACAUGUUAAAGCUCUUCAUGACUUUUCAUCGCUGUAGAGGCUGGUGGACACCACUGUUUUAUACAGCAGCACUAUCAUCUGCAACAUAUUUUAUUCGUCAUGUUUCAAAUCGAAACACCCUGACUCAGGCUCGUAGGAAUAUAUCUCGUCAUUAUGACCUGGUAAUUGAACUACUCAAUUCUAGUGUAUGAUUUUGCUAGUUUCUAUGUCGUAUAGAUGCUAAGCAUUUUGGUGUUUAUUGUUUCAUUCCAGAGUAAUGAACUCUUCUCACUCUUUAUGGAUGAGACAAUGCUAUACUCAUGUGCAAUAUUCAAGGUUAGCUCUCGAACUUGUAAACGCUCUACGUUUCUGUCCUGUUAUCUAAUUUUCUUUCUUGUUUUUUGUAGAGUGAGGAUGAAGAUCUUAAAGUUGCACAGCGGAGAAAGAUGUCUGUUCUCAUCGAAAAGGUAAGUCAUCAUCAACUAAGUAAAAGUCUUCACUUUUUUCGACAUAAAUUUGAUAAUGAUUCUGUUCUAUUUAGGCAAAAAUCAGCAAAGAGCAUCACAUUCUAGAGAUUGGAUUUGGAUGGGGAGGUUUUGCCGUUGAAGUUGUCCAUCAAACAGGAUGUAAAUAUACCGGUAUAUCUCUCUCCGAGCAACAACUGGAGUAUGCACAGUUGAGAGUUGAGCAAGCAGGUCUUCAGGUAUGAUAGUAUGAUUGCUAUAAACUGACGCAAAUUAUAAGAGCUCCCAAACAAGCUAACAUAUGAUUAGCAGGAUUAGUAUUUCAAUUUACUGAAUUUUUCGACAGGAUCAAAUUACACUUCUCCUAUGUGACUAUCGCCAAAUGCCAAAUAAGGACAAAUAUGACAGGAUUAUAGUAUGGUGAGCUUUUAUCCAUCAACAUUUGUACAUAUUGUAUUACACAUAACAUGUUGAGCCAGUGUUAUAAUUGUACUAAUGAUUAAUCAUUUUCAGCGAGGUGUUAGAACAUGUUGGUCAUGAGUUCAUAGGGGAAUUCUUUAGUUGCUGUGAGUCAGCAUUGGCAGAAGACGGGCUUCUAGUUCUGCAGGUAAUGAAUCAAAAGUUUAAUCUUUGUUCACUUUUUUCGUUCAAUUAUUAGAAAAUUGAGCACUCUCAAAUUCUCUUGUUAAUACAAGAACUAAGAUAAUAUCAUUUCUUACACUUGUUCCUUUGUACUGAUUUCUACAAGUGUUGGCUUUCUUUAGUUCAUUUCACUGCCAGACACGAUGUAUGACGAAAACAGGCUCAGCUCAGGCUUCAUAAAAGAGUAUAUAUUCCCAGGUGGAUACUUGCCUGCAUUAAGUCGCGUAACAUCAGCCAUGGCUUCUGCAUCCAGACUAUGGUAACAAAGAGUAGUUGAUUUUGUCAUUUCGUUCUAACAUGCUUGUCGAUCUUUAAAAUGAAUCUAAUAAAUGAUAAAAAUGCAGUGUAGUGCACCUGGAAGAUAUAGGAGUUCAUUACUAUCAAACACUGAGGUGUUGGCGAAAAAACUUCCUGAAUAACAAAAGGUAACAAAGCCAAUAUAAGUAAAACUCGAUUUCUUCAUGAAUCAUUUGUAGCUUGAUCUGUUCUAAAUUCUGAUACUCAACUAUUGAUAACUCUGUGUCACUAGCCAAAUUCGUGCUUUGGGAUUCGAUGAAAAGUUCAUCAGGACAUGGGAGUACUACUUUGACUACUGUGCUGCUGGAUUCAAAACGCGCACGCUAGGAGAUUAUCAGGUAUAUAUGUAGAAACUAUUUCGCCAAAUUUGAGUAGUAAAACAGCUGAUCAAGUGUUGCUUCUUUAUUACCUUUGUAGAUUGUAUUUUCAAGGCCAGGCAAUGUUGCAACAUUUGGUGAUCAUCCUUACAAUGUUACUAUAUAGGCCUUCAGCUUAUAGAGUUAUUCCUUUAUUUGAAUUAUAUAUCGUAGUUUUUUCUUCGCAAAUAAAUCAGUUCUUCAAACACAGCAUGAAAGACUUUACAAAGACAUAUCAUGUCUCAUUGGUUCAUGCUGAAUUAUGUGAUUAAAUUUCUUGUAUAAUUAUAUUGUGUAAACUUCUUUCAAUUACCUAAUAAAAGUCAUUCAAGCAAUUUUACUGUUAUUGUAUUGAGAUAGAAAAAUUUGGGCUGGUUGAAAUUUGAUAUUAUUCAAUUAUAUACUAAGGAAAGAAGCAACAAUAUGGUUUUGGAGUGGAACAAAAGAGGAAAACCUAAUCAGACUAAAAAAGAUAUUGUUGGGGUUCAAAAUAUGAAGAAAUAAAUAUACAAAAAAGUCAAAAGGAGUUCCACGCAUCUACUAUUUAUACAUAAAAAAUAUAUAUAUAUAUUUUUAAUCAUGUAUGAGUAGUGUUGUUUUUCGUCAAAUGGGGCCCCUACUUGUAGGCUCUAUCACUGACAACAACAACAUAUCCUGUUAGUCUCACAAAGGAGGAGUCUGAAGAAGAUAAAAUAUACAUAUAUCUCAUCCCUACUUCAAAUAUAAAGAGAUUAUUUCUGAUAAAUUCUCGAGAAGAAAUAUGUUUAAUACUAAUUGUGAAGAUUGUGUAACAUUAAUGAAAAUAAUCCAAAAAAGAAUUGCCUCAACAUUUUUUCCCUCAAGAAUUUAAAUGGUCCCUUUUUUCAAUUUGCCAAAAUUCAUGCCCCCUUUCAGUGCAUGUGAGAUUUUAUCCAAAUUAAUGAUAAAUGUGGUCCAAAGUUUGUUAUGCAAGGAUAAAAGAGGGAUUUUCCAAAAAAUUAUCUUAAAAUGUGAUUAUUUUUUUUUGUGACUUUUUAAUUUUCAAAUAAAACCUACUAAAAUGAAAUAAAAAAUAAAUAUCAAAAUUAAUCCUAAAAAGAACAUUUAACUCCAGAAUUCACAUUAAUAUCACAUGGCUACAUUCACUAAUUAAGUAUUCUUUAUAUAAAUAAAUAAAAUAACUAGGAAAAUAAGGCUCUUUAUAAUUGAGAAAUAUGACUUUCUUAAUCGACGUACAUAUGAAAAAUAACAAUUCAAUGACAUUUCAAGUUUAUCGUCUCCUACCUAUCAAUCAAUGCCCAGGGGUGGAGCCACCUUAUUAUACUAUGGGGUUGUUUGGAUUCCUUCGAUAAAAAAUUAUAUUAUUUGUACAUGAUUAAAAUAUUUUUUUAUGUAUAUAUACAGUGGCGUAGCCACAUAGUGGUAAGGGUGUCCAACUCGUCAGGGAAAAAAUAUCAUAUAUAUAUGGGAUAAUGCACAAGUAUCCUCUCAACCUAUGCCCGAAAUCUCAGAGACACAAUUAUAUUAUAUUAAGGUCCUAUUACCCUCUGAACUUAUUUUGAUAAUAAUUUUCUACCCCUUUUCGUCCUACGUGACACUAUCUUCUGGGUCCAACGCUGGUUGAAUUUUUUCAAGUUAGUGUCACGUAGGUCGAAAAGGGGUAGAAAACUACUAAUAAAAUAAUUCACGGGUAAUAGGACUUUAGUAUAGUAUAAAUGUGUCUCUGGAUUUCGGGCAUAAGUUGAAGGGGUACUUGUACAUUUUUCCUAUAUAUCAUAUAUUACUAAAAUCAUAUUAAAAAAAAGUUGAAAGUUGAAUUACGAUUUUGCCCCUUCUAUAAAUUAAAUUGUUAUAAAAUAUUUAAAUAUUUGAUUGUAUAAAUUUAAUUAAAUGUCAAUGACUUUUAGACUUCCUAAGAUUAAUUGCUAAUUAAAUAUCUAAUUUAUUAAUUUUAUCAUCUAAAAUCUAAUAUGUAUAUAAUAAUUAUAAUUUUUUAAAAAAAAAAAAAUCUUUACUUAAAUUGCUAUACUAUAUUUCUAAUUAUCAAUAACCAUGAAUUUUUAGUUGAAAAAGAAGAUGGAACUUUAUUUCUAAGGGAUAAACAAUGAAGAAGUUGGAAAGUCAUUACUAAUGGAUAAAUAACCAUUAAGAAAAUAACUUUUAUACUAUAAAUAAGAAACGGUGCAUGUCCUAUGCAUAAUGCAUUAAUGAAGUGUUAAAGAUUGAUUUAUUGUUUUAGUAAAAUAUAAUUUUUUUUUCUUUUACAGAAUUUCAGAAGUUCUAUAGUAAUGUAGGCUGAUUUAAUUUAAUACAUAUAAUCAAUACAUCUGUUAAAGGAAUCUUAAAGAACAUCAAAGAAAAUUAUUUCCAUUUUCCUUAUGGACAUAUUUCAGCUCAGUAGGAUUUCUUUAAUUUUUGUUUUUCGACUUCUUUUUCAUCAUUUUCCCCUUUUAUUUAAAGCAAUAUUUGCAUGAAAUAAAAGAUGGUGAAAUAUGUAGAGUUAAUGAAUAUAUAUCGAAAUCAUAAAAUCGUCAAAUUCAAACUUUAUGGGAUGAUAUAUGAAGAUUACUAUCUCCAUAAUCAACAUUAGCAAGAUUAAUGAGGUAUGAAAGAAAGAAGAGUGGUUUCUUUGGAAAACAUUUUUAUAAUUUUCAUUAAUUGAUAUAUUCUUUAUAAUUUCUUGUGAUUAUAUUAUUUGUAGAUGAAAAACAAUGUGUACAAUUUAAUAUGUUAGCAUCACUAAAGAAGUAGUGUAUAGUGUAUUUGUUGGGAGUGAUAUCAUGCUUAAUUAUUUUUAUUCAAUAAAUUUCUAAAAUUUUGCUCCAUGUCAUUUUUUACUAAGGUUUAGCAGAUCAUUAUUUUGAAUUUUAUUAUAAUGAUGAAUAUCGAUAAAUGAGAGUGUUAAUGUAAUUUUACUAUACUAGAUAUAUUUAUUGUUCUUGAAAGAAAUAAAAAAUAAUUAAAAUUGCCACUAAAAUUAUUUUUAAAAACUCAAAGGGAAGCUUCAAAAGCUUAGAUAAUCAAUUUCUCCGGUAUACUGAUUUUGUUAGUUUACUUAAUUGGUUCAUUAUUUAUAGUUUCCACAAAUAAAUAAUAGGCUAUUAAGAUCAAUGAUUAUUAUACCAUAUAAACGAAAAGUCAAUUCAAAAUACAUUUAAAAAAAUCAUACGUAGUUUUUCUCAUUUAGUUAUUCCUCUCACACUACUAAUAAAUAAUAAUCUCAAAAAUAUAUUUUAACUAAAGUAAAGCACUCCAUCGAUAGUCGCAUAUCAAAUUAACUGAUUAAUCUUCAUUAUGAAUUUCAUCAAUAAUUAAGAAAUAUAAGAGAACAUAAAUUGUAUAUCACUAAUUUUCAUACAGGACACAAGAUAUUUCAAUCGAAAAAUAAAAUCAUAAGAAAGUAUCGAUCAAAAUAUUAAAAAAAGAUGUACAAAAUACUUAAGCUUGACAAGGAGGAGCGGAUAAAAACAAAAGAAAAUUACUGUAAUACAAAAUGAUAAGCAAGAUUAAUUUUUUGCUUGAUAAUCUCUCAUCCUCCUCUUAUCACUUACAUGAAGACCAUGCUAGGUAUUUUAUAGUAAUAGGUAGGAUGAUUUUUGAAUAGGUAAAAUUAAUUUGCAUUAAAUUAGUUCGACGAUUUUAGUCCAUAUAAAAUUUAUUUAAAGGAAAAACUCUUCAGAUACUCUUGAUUUUUACAACAAAAGAGAAUUAAUUAUUAAUGUGAAUUUGAUUCAUACACUGAUCUAAUGAGUUAUUUAUUAAAUAUUUAAUCAUAUUUUCUAACAUUUGUUUUGAUUAUUUUAAUAUAAGGGUAAAAUAGUAAUUCAAUUUUAAAUUUUAAAUCUUUCCACUUAUAAUAAUAUAUAUGAUAUAUGAUAUUAUAUGAUUUCUUUAUACAAUUGAUCGUAGGCUUGUUUUUAUAAAUGUUUUGAGUUCAUUGUUCGAUUCUACUCUUGAUUUGUUGCUUAAAAGCGGCGGUGAUUUUUCUUAUAUUACUAUAUAAUAACCUACUUUAUGCAAAUAUAUUUUGAUCCCUUAUUAAAAUUGUCAAUCCAAACAGGUUCUAAUUAAAUAUCAUAUUUGAAACGCGCAUUUGCAUGAAUUAAUGUCCUUUAUUUUUUGAAUUUUUUUACACGACUCAAAAUUUAAUCGAAUUUCAAUAUAAAUAAUGACGUGGGUGGAAAAUAAAAUUAAUAAUUUUAAAAGGACAAAUUGUAUUGGACUUUUCAUUGUUCUUGAUUUGUCACUUGGAACUCUAGUUUACCAAAUGUAGUGAUAGGUCUCCAUCAUGCCACGUUUCUCUUAAAGUCCCCUUACAAAAAUGUGGUUUAAAAAUCCAAAAUGACUAUUCAAAAUGCAUGUGUUAAUUGACUUUAUAAUAAAAAUUGACAUUUUUUAUUUUACGCAAUUAUUAAUAAAUUAUUAAUAGAUUGAUUAAUUUUUUUUUCUUUCAAUUAGUUGCAGGGAUAAUAUAAAAAAUUGUUAUACUUUAAUUUAAUAAGUGAUCAAAUAAUAUAAUAAAAUAAAUACUUUGUAAUAAAAUGUUUAUCUAAUAUAAAACAAAAGAUGGUAUAAUUUGUUAUGAUUAGCUUCACUCUUCAUGCUAACAACUUUUUUGAGAACUCAAAUUUCAUCUUUUUCAUUAAUUUCCUUAUAAAGAGAAAUUGAAACUAAAUUACUCCACUUUAAAUAGAGGUAUUGAAGAAAAUUUGAAAAGGAUUAAGGUAUUUUUGGUAUAGAAGAAAAUUAUUUUAUGAAAAAAAAAGUACUCUUUCCGUUUUUUAUUCUACGUGGCAUUUUUCGAAUUUUGAGAUUUAAAUAAAUUUAUUUUUGAUCGUAAAUUUUUCAUAUAUCUUUUAAGCAUUUUGAAUUAUCAGUUAUUAUUAUUUUUAAGGAUCAGUUGAUGCGCUGGGAUGAAAGAAAGUUCUUCGGUGCUCCUCCGGGACGAACAGUAAAGGCACAUGAAGGUAUUGGCUCUUACUAUCGAUCGGAUGGAGAGAACCGCGGCGCUUUACCUUACGAAUAUCUAAAGGCGAAGAUCUCUUUUCGACUAGCAAGUUUACGUACCUAGGUCCUAAGUUUCUCAUUACUCGGUGAAGUCUGAUUUGAGCCCUGGUCAAACUGAUCUCUCCGGCGGGCGGAGGAUGGUCUCAUAUUAAGUAGUUUACAAAUAUACAAAUUUCAUUUAAAAAAAGUUGAAACUCUCAUAGCAGAUUUCCAGUCAAACUUAAACUAUUUAACUUGAGAAACAAAAAAAAUGACACAUAAAUUAAGACAAGAAGGAGUAUUAUUUUUUAAUUUGUUUUUCAAUAUUCGAUAAGUAAGUUGAAAACAUUAAUAAAAAAAUUCCUCCGCAAAAAAUAUAUAAAGGUAAACAUUUUAGAAAAGAAAUCCACCAAAAAAUAAGCGAUUUUCUCAUUUAUUUUCAUUUCGCGUUUGAAGUAUUUAAAACUUUCGAUGCCUAAUAUAAAUUUAUAUGCAUUUCGCCUUUUUAAAAGAAUAAUUAUUUCAAUCUUUCACCAUUAUAAUGUCAAGUUAGGACUAAAUCGAAAGACUUUGUAUACAACAACAAAGUAGUCAUUGUCACUUUAAAUAAUGUAUUGCUUACUCUAUAAGUUAUGUUUUAUAACUAUUAAAUUAUUUAAACAAGAUUUAUAAGUAGAAAAUAUGAAAUUUAAAUGUUAUCUAUAACCAUAAAUAAAGAUGAUCUGAAUAAUAUAAAAAAAAUUUUACAUUGUAUAUUAAUCUAUAGAUUUGUUCAUCAAUAUUUAUCAUUUUAAACUUUCUAACCGCCAAUCUAUAUGUUAUUGUGGAUUCGAAUCAUAAAAAUAACCAUUAAUAUUUGUGUUAUGAUAAAUUGUUUAUAUCACCUUAAAAUACGAUUCUUUUCUAAUUUUACUAAUGGCAUAAUACAUAUAUUGGAUCCUAAACAUGGCUUCAAAUUUUAAUGUUGACCUCCAACUCUCAUAAUGCACAAAAAACACUUUAACUAUCCAAUUUUUAAAUUAAAAAACACGUGAGUCCUACAUGACACAAUACACGUAGGACACCACGUAUGACAAAAAAUGACAUGUAGGACAUGUGUGUCUAUUUGUUCGACUUUAUACAAGUUUAAGUGUCUACUUGUGCAUACCCAAAGUUGAAAGACAUAAAUAUGAUUCCAAACUAAGUUAAAGGGCAUAUUUAUGUAUUAUGCCCUUACAUGAUAUGUUGAAAAUCUUACUAAUACGAUCUUAACUAUCAAAAGGUGUUAGCUAAUUUAGACCUCAAGUUGCCCUUUAGAGAUUACGAAGGUUAUAAUUAGCGUUUGACCAUAAAUUUUUAAUAGUUUUUAACAUCAGAUUUAGGUGCAAUUUGGGUUUAAGUUUCAAAAUGUGUUUCGCCAUAGUUCUUUAAAAAAAUAUAUCUCAUCUUUAUUAUUUUUUUGAGAAAACAUAAAAUGUGAUUUAUAUUUAUAAGUUCUAAAAGCUAUUAAAAAAUACUCAAUUGUACCAACCAACAUAAUUGCUAAUUCCAAAUAUGUAGAAUAACGUUCAAUAUCAUUAUCAUAAAUGUAUAAUCUAUAUACAAAUAAAUUCGACAGUGAAUUAUAAUUUUCAUAAUAAAUUAGAUAAUACAUUAUCCUAAAAUCAUAAUACAAUAUUUUAAUAAAAACUACUAAUAGUAGUGCACUUACUAGCCAUAUUUAUUAUUCGUAAAAUUACAAUUAGUUACGAGGAUACAUCAUUACAAAAGUAAAAUAAAAUUAUAAUAACGGUAGAAAAUGAAAAACCUACGUAUUAGCAAAGAUUUAUAAAUACGUAGAAAUAUUUAUACAUUACAAGCAAAUUAAAUACUAUUUAUUAUUAAUGUAAGAGAUAAAAUAAGAUUAUAUAUUGACAAAGAAGUAUAAAUCAUAUAUACAAGGAAUCGUAACAAUAAUUAUUAUUUUUUAAGUAAAAGUAUGAUAAUAAAAGUUUUAUUUUUUCAAAAUGAUUUAUUUAAAAAUGUAACAAAUCAAGGCUAUUGAAUUCGUCCAAACAUUAACUACUAACGGAAUAUUGAAAUCUGAAAAAAAUUAGAUGGCGUUUGAAUGAUUAACUAUAAACAAAAUUAUUAUUUUUUUAAUUAAAAACAUAAUUCUUUAUAAUUAAUAAAAUCUAUAAAAAAAAAACAUGUUUGAAUUUCGUUUAGGUUUAGAAAUCUUUUUUUAGAUGUAAUUAUUAUUUUAAACUUGUUAUAUUAUAAAGUUAAUUUUUCAUAUCAUUUAAAUUAUAUUUAUGUUGCUUUAAAAAAGAUUGUUCUCAUUCAAAUAAGGAGUCACGUGUAAUAUAGGUACACUAAAAUUAAAUUAUAUUAUAAAUAAAAAUACAAAAUAUCUUAACAAAAUUUACCUUUAGGUAUAUACAUGUUCUAGCUUUGAUAAAAUAGUAAAUACAAAUAAUUUUUUUUUAAUAAACACAAAAAGAACGAGUAUUAAUAAGAACAAAACUAUAUUAUAAUGAAAAAUUUAUAUAAUCGGAGAACAAAUAGGAAACUUGUUAAUUACUAUUUAAUCCUAUUAAAGAGGGUUUAAAAACUUCAUUAGUAACCUAAUUCUUUAUUCUCCAUGGAUAUUAAUUGAUUGCUCCUAACCAGGUGAGUUCUUUAAGCUAUAUUUAUUUCAUUUUAUAUCAUUUUAUUUUUUUUAAAAAAAUGUUGUUUUUUCGUUUUAUAUCAUUUGAUUUUUAGAAAAAUUGGUUUUGUUUGUUUUUACCUUCAUGUUUUCAAUAUGAAUUUGGAAUUAAUUUGCAUUGAGAAAUCAUAUUGAGAUUAAUCUAUUUCAUCAAUUUUUUUAAAAAAAAUGUUAGGAUAAUUCAACAAAUGGAUAUAAUCAUAUAAAACAGUGUUUGAUUAUACAUUUGAAAGAUUAUAUUUUUGAUAAGUGUAAUCACACUUUCCAUAAACUUAAUUUUUAUUGUAAUUUUAUUCAAUGGUUAAAUAAUUUUUGUUUAAUAAAUAAUUUAAUGUUGUAUAGGGUAUAAAUUUUGUUCAAUAUUUGGGGGAUAUUUCUGUCGAUUAGUAUUUGAUAGAAGCAUAAUUAAAACCCUAAUAAGAAAUGUUGAUAGAUUAUUUUACUCUUAAAAAAAUUAAAUUUUUUACAUUAGAUUAAAUUAUAAUUUGAAAUUAAUUCAAAAAGAUAGCUAUUAAAUCUUUAUUAUAAAUAAUGUUGAGGCACAUACAAUUACUUAUAGGUUUUUUCUCUUGAAAAAUGCAUGGUAGAAAAUGUAUGGUGAAAAAUAUAUUAUAAGGUUCUUUUCACGGUAAAUUAGUGAGAAAUUAAUGCACGACGAAAAAUGUAUGACCAAAAAUAAAUUCUAUUAUGUCCAAGGAAAAAGAAUUAUUUUUUAAAAUAAUUUUUAUCCUCAACAAUAAUUACUUAUUCUUCAAAUCAUUUCACAAGGCCUAAAACUAAAUGCAUCAAUUAAUAUAAACAUCAUUUAUUAAAAUGUGUACAAAUUAAAAGUGAAUAAGUAAAAGUAAUCCAUCUUCUAAAUCCAUCUACGGCCCCUGAAAGGUCUUUUCACUUGCAUAUGUAACACGAAUUUAAAUUAUUCAAACGAGCGAACAGUAUACACUAGAUAUCUUCAUUCUUUUAAGAGUUAAUAUAAAACCUUAUCUUAUAUACUCCCUUCGUUUUAUAAAGAAUAAUCUAGUUUGAUUUAGUACAGAAUUUAAAACAAUAAAAAACUUUUAAAUCUUGUGGUCCUAAAUUAAAGUCAUGUCAAAUAUACUGUCCUUUAAUCUCGUAACCUUAGACAUGUCACGUGAAAAAUUGAAAUUAAAAUAUUAUCAAAAAUAAAUAAGAAAUCGUUCUUUUUUAAACGAACGAGUAUUAUAUAUAUAUAUAUAUAUAUAUAUAUGAUGCCCACUCUCAUUUCUUUUUCCACUGUGUUCUGUGUCCUUUUGUACUGAGCCAACCAAUCCUCACUGCUUAAUUUUGUGCUUUUUUUUUUCUUCCUACAUUUUCUUCUUUGCUUCAACUUCAAUCAUUAAGGUAAGUUCAUUUCAUCACACAAUGGCUAUGCAUUCUAUAUUUGUUUUUCUACUAAUAAUGCCAACGACUAAUAAUAGUCAUUCAACUAACAGUUAUUAUCGGAGAAAUCCACCCCUUCUUAUGAUUGUAUUAUAUUAUAUUGUUAUAUAAAAUGAAAUGAAGCGAGUAUUAAUAUUUUUUAAAAUUUGAUGAUUAUUUUUUUUAUUGCAGUUAUAAUAUUUGAUUGAAGACGAGAAAAAUGAAAGUAGCAAUUGUAGGGGCAGGGAUAAGUGGAUUGGUUUCUGCAUAUGAAUUAGCAAAAUCUGGGGCUAAAAUUGUAAUUUAUGAAAAAGAAGAUUAUAUCGGCGGCCAUGCUAAAACCGUUACCGUUAACGGCGUUGAUCUUGACCUUGGAUUUAUGGUCUUUAAUCGGGUAAGUACAUAUGUAAUUUUUUAUAUCUGUGUUCGAUAACAAGAAAAAUAGUUUUUCGAUAAUUAGAUAUUUACUUACUUUCUAAUAUUUGAUAAAUGAAUUAUGAAACGUCAUUUUGAAAUCAUUGUAUGUGUAAUUUCGUAAAACAGUAUAGGAGAUGGAAUGGAUCGAAGAUAAAUUAUUUAUAUGUAAUUUAGUAAAAUACUAUAAGAAAUGGGACGGACUGAAAAUCGAGGAUUUGGAGUGGUGGAGGUAGGAUUGAAAAGAAAAAAGAUAAUGGACUUGUUUCACUACAAAAGUUAUUUUCGUAAGAUAAAAGACUUCGAUCAAACAAAAAUGAAAAAUAAAAUAAUCAUAUAAAAAAGUUUCAUAAACUUGUUUUUUUGUUUGUUUGUUCUGAUAUUUGGUAUUCAAUUUGAGGUUGGAUUAAUUUUGAUUCAUGCUUAAAAAUAUAAACUAUUUUUCCCUUUUUUUUUUAGUUUGUUCAAAAAAAAUAUCUUUUUUUAAUAAUUUUUAAAGAUAAUUUUUCAUGUGAUAUAGUUAAAAUCAUAAAGUUAUAAAAACAUUUUAGUAUAAUCUACGUAUUUUUAAUUUAAGACUAUCAAGUUUUUUUAUAUUAUGUAUCAAUUUAAAAUCAGACAAAUAAAUUAAAUAAAAAAUAUAUAUGUAUAAUUAUUUUUUCCACUUGUAUACCUUGUGUAAAAGGUGAUUUUUUCAGAUUUUUUUUCUGUCUCUCUCUAUAUAUAUAUAUAUGUACGUAUACGAAGGAGACAAGAAAGAAAGAUAAGGUUUUAUCUAAAUAAACAAAUAAGUAAGUAUUUUGAUGUGACAUAUAAAAUAAAAUAAUUUUAUAAUGAAAUAUAGAGUUAUUUUAUUUCACAUUUAAUUAAAAAUAUUAGAUAAUAUCACAUAUACAUGACGAAGUAACAAACGAACAUUUAGAAAUAAAACAAUGAAGUUGAUCAAGAAUUUAAAAGGGGGUUUUAUAAAAUUUUACAAAUAAUGAAAGAAAUAUCAUGUGAUAUAGUAUUAUAAUACGAAUAUUUAUUUCUUGUGGGUUCAAAACGUACAACGUGUAUCACUGUGUAUCGUUCAUAGGGACAUUACAUUGUCUUAUCUUUUCAUCAAGAUACUUUGUCAUUGUCUCCCACCAAAUUUUAAAGGAAUAUUGCAAUAUUAUUAAUCGAUCAGCGUAAUUUCAUAAGUAAAAUUUAAUUAUAAAGAAUGUGAGUCUCGUAUUUGUAUUUUAUAGAAAAAAUAAAGAAUAUAUAUUUCUUGAUCUCUAAGAAUUUUAUGACUAUGUGGUUUGAUUCUUGUUGAAGCAUAUGUUAUAGAGUGUGCGGGAUUUAAAUACGAAUUUUUCAUUUAUUAGAUAAAGAAAAUUAUCAAGAUAUAGUGUUACGUCAAUUUAAUUCGAGCUCUUUUAUCGAGAAUAUUUAUUGACUUUAUUUUUAUCUUUUGAAGAUUAGAAAUAUUAUUCUAGUAAACUUUCGACUCAUAUAAAACAAUAAUAAAAUCAUGUAUAGAAAUAAAAUUCCACACUAACAUAACUUUUUAAUUAUACAAUGAUUAUAUAUUAUUUAUGCGCUAUAUACACUAGAUAAAAUAGUUAAAAAUAAGGACUAUAGUUAUUUUUUGUUAAUGAGUUUUGCUAGGCUGUUAUGUGGUGUAAAAAAUUCAAAAUAUAAAAUCCAAUAUUGUCAUUGCAUGGUUCCUAAAGGGCUCGUUUGGUCGGGGAACAAGUUAUUUCAGGAUUGUUAUUUCAUUUUUAAUAUAGGAUAAAAAUAAUAUUACUAAUCUGAGGAUAACUAAUCUCGAGAUAAAUCGUCUCAUGAUUUUAUCUCAACUAAACAUGAAAUAAACUCAUCCUAAAAUUAGUUAGCCCUUAUCUCUCAUACCAAACGAGCUCUUAAGAAUCAAACGUCUAUUAUUGAUAUAUGCGUUAAGUAAAAUGAAACGUUUAUUAUCGAUAUAGACUUAAAGUAAAAUGAAACAAGUAGUUAAGGAGGUAACUAACAACAAUUUAACUUUUCUUUUUAGGUAUUAACUCUAUUUUAAAGAAGAAAUUUAUUUUGAUUAAUUCCUAUGCGUCACAUGUUUGUAAUUGUCGUUUAUAUAAAUGAGAAUAAAAGUUAAUUUUUGGACGUGUUUACCUAAACUAACAAAUAUAAGAAACAAUAAAAGAUUCCAAAUGAACAUUAACCAAAUCAAUCUAUAAACUUACGACAGUGCAAUCAUUUUCAUACUUUAUAAAAACAAUUAUUUUUUUUCUUUAAUAGAAUUGAAAAUUAACAUUUUUUCUCUUAAAAAUCUAGUUUAUCAUAUAUUGAAAGGUACAGGAGAAGAAAUAGACCCAUCGUUACGUGGUCUAAAGUGAAUUUCGGCUCAAUUGAAUUCAUGUAGGACGGGUAUGUACCGAUUUAUUCGUAUCUGAUUAGACAUAAAAUUUGAAGAAAAAUAAAAUAAAAUUUGCACCUAAGUUUAAUAUGUGUUUUAAAAUGAAUACACUCUCUUUUAUAUGACAUUCGGAAAUCUUAUUGCAUAUUUAAAUUCACAAGUGUAUAUAACUAUGUGUCACGGUUCAAGUCCAUGACACAUAUUAUUGACUUUGGGCCAACCGGCCUCACAUAUUUGUUUCUUGGGCUACUUUCAUCAUCGAGUUCAAAAGCUCGAAUAUUAUGUGAACUUUGAACUAUAUAUCUUAUAAAAAUGAGUUGGCUUUUCAUCUCGAUCAUUCCGGUGUGGGAUUUACAGGCCUCACAGAUUCGUCCCUUGGGCUAUACUAUCAUUUACCCCAAAAGUGCGUAACCAUAUGAAUUUGAGUUAUGUUUAUAGAACUCUUCACUUUCCUCUUCUAAUACGAUGUGGGAUUUUCUUAAGGUGUCACGUGCACCUCAUCUUUAGAAGCUUAUGAGUCUAGAAGUCUGUUGAUCCUGUCUCUAUCUCUCAAACUUCCCUUUUAUAACUUUUUUAGUUAGGUUCUAAAAAUGCAUAGUUAUGUGUCUAAGAAGAAAGAUAAGAAAUGUAUUAUCAUCAGCGUUAAACUCAGUUGAGUUAGGCCCAAUAUCCAUUUUCUUAAGAUAUUCCUUCAUAUUGGUUUAUUGAAUAUUUAGCUUAGCCCCCAUGAUAUGUUAUCCACGUUCCAAAUGUUCAGUCCUAAGUGUUACGGGCAUAUGGUCUUGAACAAUACUCACCGAUCAAUUUCUUAAUGGAUUUCAUGUGCAUAGCUAGAGUUAUUUUGAACUCCAUAUGGUUUGAACACUAGUAUAUGUCUGAAAUGGUGUAUUUGACAGGUAACUUAUCCAAACAUGAUGGAAUUUUUCGAGAGCCUCGGUGUCGAUAUGGAGAUCUCCGAUAUGUCAUUCUCAGUGAGCUUAGACAAAGGUCAUGGUUGCGAAUGGGGUAGCCGGAAUGGAAUAUCUGGUCUGUUUGCACAGAAAAAGAAUGUCUUGAAUCCAUAUUUCUGGCAAAUGAUCAGAGAAAUUAUCAGGUUCAAGCAGGAUGUCAUAAGGUACCGAUAACUGAUUCUUAUCAGCAAUCAAUUCGAGUUCAUGUUGUUUGAGCCACUGUUGAUUUACUCAUCUCAUUAGACACAAAAACAGUCCUCUUUGUUCAUUUGAAGAUCAUGCUUCUUUCAAUAGAAAUCGACUAACUCAUUCUGUUUAGCACAGUUUCUGUAGGAAAGACUAGUUUUUUAUUUCGAUGAAGCUUAUUCAUCUACUUCUGCAAUGCAGUUACCUUGAGGAACUUGAUAACAAUCCUGACAUUGAUCGUAACGAGACAUUAGGACAUUUUAUUCAAUCACAUGGCUAUUCGAAGUUAUUUCAGAAAGCUUAUCUGGUGAGGCUGCUGUUCUAGUUUAGGAAAUCUUGUUCAUUUCUACAAGCAAUUCACAUAUAUGUUCCACACAGGUUCCAAUAUGUGCUUCUAUAUGGUCCUGCCCCUCGGAUGGAGUAAUGGGAUUUUCUGCUUACUCCAUCCUUUCAUUUUGUCGCAACCACCAUCUUCUUCAGGUAGAAUAUAAUUCUCAUACAAACUGUUUCACGAGCACGUUUCUGUAUAUCUUAUAGCCAAUUACUAUAUCUGGUUCAUAUAAGAUGCUAUAUCUGAAUGCUUUUAUGUAUAUCAUUCUAUGCAGCUCUUUGGUCGCCCUCAAUGGCUCACUGUUAGAUGGAGAUCACAUACAUAUGUAAACAAGGUGGUACUUUUAGUCUUUUAAGUGCCAUAUAAAAAGAUUACUGAUUUCAUACAAUAAAAACUUCAAACAAGUAGAAAUUUUCGGUUUCUUGAAUGAUUAGUUAAGAUUAUAUCAUCCUUCUGAGUUAGUUGAAUGGUAUACAAAGCAGGUUAAGGAUGAGUUGGAGAAGAGAGGAUGUCAAAUAAGGAUUGGCUGUGAAGUAAAUUCUGUAUCUACGAAUGAAGAAGGUCCGGUUUUGUUUUAGCAUUUUGAAUCCCUCUAUGUUCUCCAUGUCUGUUUAUGUAUUUAAGUGAGAUUUUCCUGUCCAUAUGUCCAUACAGUUCAUUUGGUGUAGAAAAAUCUUCCGAUAGGUAGAAACUAGUCGUGAUUCUAAGUUCUAACUGUAAAAGGAGAGAGCGUGCAGGCUGUACUGUAGCUUGCACCGAUGGUUCCAAAGACGUAUACGAUGGAUGCAUAAUGGCUGCACAUGCACCAGAUACUCUGAGGAUGUUAGGCAAAGAGGCAACAUUUGAUGAAACAAGAAUAUUGGGUGCUUUUCAAUAUGUUUACAGGUACUUUACGCCUAUUAUGAACUUGAUUUUCUCAUUCUACUUUGUUUUGUUUCUUGAGAAGUUCAUCAUUUAGGCUGUAUCGGUGAUAUGAAUGGUUCAUCUUCCUCCCAGAAAUAAACAUAUAAAUGUAUGUCCGUGUUAGAUAGAAGUAUCUGUUAUAAAGAGAUUACUGAAGCUUCUCUUGCUGCUUGGUUUGAAAGAAGUUAAAUAGUAUUUAGAACCAUAGUGUUACGACGAUUUAUAAUGUCAACAUGAACACUCAUUUUCUAUUCCUCUGCAACAGCGAUAUUUUCCUUCAUUGUGACCAAACUCUCCUGCCUCGCAACUCAGCAGCGUGGAGCUCAUGGAAUUUUCUUGGAACCAUGAACGGUAGAGUAUGCGUGACAUAUUGGCUCAAUAUACUCCAGGUAUAUGGUGCUUCUCUGAAAGUUUAGAUACUGCAAAAGUAUAUUUUAUUCAUAGUAUUUAUAGUAGAACAAGUAAAGACCAAUUAAUAUAUUCUACGGAAAUCUGUCAGCUUUAUUUGUGGAUCAUAUUAUAAUCAAAUCUGCUAGCUCAAUGGUGGAGCAGAUUAUGACUAAAUGUGCCAACUCAUUCAACAAUCUCCUUUCUAUAAUGUUUUCAAUAAGGAAGUCUUCUUAUAUUUGGAAUGUGUAAACCAACAGAACCUUGGUGAGACAGAGAGGCCUUAUUGUGUAACUCUUAAUCCUCCUCACACACCGGAUCAUACAUUGCUUAAGUGGACCACCGGCCAUCCAGUACCUUCAGUUGCUGCAUCGAAAGCUUCAUCUGAGCUUUAUCAAAUCCAAGGCAAGAGAGGAAUAUGGUUUUGUGGAGCAUAUCAAGGUACUUUAAUAAUAUUCUCCUGAUUCUCUCAUCUUUGCUUCCUUCAGUGCACUAAUUUUAUAACCGCGUUGUUCUUUCACCACUCAUUGAUGUUAAAUUGCAAUACUACUUUCAGGCUAUGGCUUCCAUGAGGAUGGACUAAAGGUAGUACUAUAUAUAUAUAUCCUUCAUACAAGCUUACCACAUUUCAACUUGAAGGAGAAAUGAAAUCGAUGAACAAGAAUACACGAUAAUCUGUUUUUUAUCCUGCUUCUCAGGCAGGUGCUAUUGCUGCACAAGGACUACUUAAGAAAAACUUUAGCGUCCUGAAAAAUCCCACACACAUGGUACCUACCUGGCCAGAAACAGGAGCACGCCUCCUCGUUACUAGAUUUCUCAAGAGUUUCAUCGCGACAGGAUGCUUAAUGUGAGUUAUAACAGUUUCAUUUUCUAUCCAUCCAGUUUCAGCAAAACUAUUUUAAUGAGAAAGUAUGCUCUUAUAUACUUAAACUACAUAAACGAAUCAUGCAUACGUUGUUUUUAGACAAAAUUUUUCUGUGCUCAGCCUGUUAGAAGAAGGAGGUACAAUGUUCACAUUUGAAGGAACAGAGAAAAAAAGCUUUCUCAAAGUGUCUCUCAGAGUUCAUAGUCCACAAUUUUACUGGAAGGUAACUAGAGUUAGCUUUUUUUUCCGUUUCUCGUAUUCAUCGAGCAACUAAAGAAGAAAAAUGUAAAGGAAGGAUAAAUUCUUUGACAUAAACUAAUCACUUACAGGUAGCAACUCAAGGUGACUUAGGCCUUGCUGAUGCAUUUAUUCAUGGAGAUUUCUCUUUUGUUGAUAAGAACGACGGUCUUCUUAAUCUUUUCAUGGUGAGAAAAUGACUCUAUUUCUAUGUCAAUAGCUUUUUUAUUGGUACUUGCCAUCCUGAACCCUUUUACAGAUUUUUGUUAACAACAGAGAUUUGAAAGCAUCUGUCACAAAGUUUAGUAAGAAAAGGUAAAUAGUUGAACAGAAACUAUAAUCAGAACAUUACAACUUCCAUUGACACGUUAAAAGUUUUUUUCGUUACCUGUAUCUCCAGAGGAUGGUGGACACCACUUCUUUUUACAGCUGCAGUGUCAUCUGCAAAGUACUUCAUUCGACAUGUUUCAAAUCAGAACACCCUGACUCAGGCUCGUAGGAACAUCUCUCGUCACUAUGACCUGGUAAAUAACUUGUACAGUUAGUCACUUUCUGCUGUUUUCUUGUAACUUCAUCAUCUGCAUAAGCUGAUAAGUAUAUUUAUCGCUUCUUUCAGAGUAAUGAGCUCUUCUCGCUCUUUCUAGACGAGACAAUGACAUAUUCAUGUGCAAUAUUCAAGGUUAGAGGUCGAAGAUACAUUUUCUGUUCUUUAACCUUGUUCUUAAGGUGAUCUUUUUUUUCUUUUGUAAUUUUUCUAGAGUGAAGACGAAGACCUGAAAGUUGCACAGGAGAGGAAAAUUUCUCUUCUCAUCAAAAAGGUGAGUCGUCAACAUAAUAAAUAAUCCCUCGUUUCUACAUUAAGUUCGAGCCAAACUUGAUUCUGAUUCUGUUCUUUUUAGGCAAAGGUAAAGAAGGAACAUCACAUCUUAGAGAUCGGAUGUGGUUGGGGAAGUUUGGCUGUGGAAGUUGUUAAGAGAACAGGAUGUAAAUAUACUGGUAUAACUCUCUCCGAGCAGCAACUGAAGUAUGCAAAGUUAAGAGUUCAGCAAGCAGGCCUUCAGGUACAUAACUUCAAAUAACACAUGAUACAUUGGAACCAAUUUUGGAGAAUUGUGAUCAGUACUAACUAUAUUCAAUGAAAUGCAUUCACAGGAUCAUAUAACAUUUCUCCUAUGUGACUAUCGUCAAUUGCCAAAAAUGUCUAGAUAUGACAGGAUUAUAUCAUGGUAAGUCGUUGCAUACCUAAAUGUACAAGUCAAGACAGUGUGAUAUAAUUGUACUAAUAAUCAUUUUCAGUGAGAUGUUAGAAGCUGUUGGUCAUGAGUUUAUGGAAGAAUUCUUUACCUGUUGUGAAUCUGCACUAGCAGAAGAUGGCCUUCUUGUUCUGCAGGUAAUGAAUAUACGUUCCACAUUGUUCACGUCUUCCCAUCAAUUUCCUUACACUCUUCUUUACACAAACGUUGGCUUUCGUUAGUUCAUUUCAAUACCAGAUGAGAGGUAUGACGAAUACAGACAGAGCUCAGACUUCAUAAAAGAGUAUAUAUUCCCCGGUGGAUGCUUACCUGCACUAAGUCGAGUAACAUCAGCCAUGUCUGCUGCAUCUAGACUAUGGUAAACCAAGAGUUGAUUUUCUCAUUUGACACAAGCAUAGUAUGUUCUUUUGACAAAUGAUACAAAUGCAGUGUUGAGCACCUAGAAGACAUAGGAAUCCAUUACUAUCAAACGCUGAGAUGCUGGCGGAAAAACUUCCUGGAAAAACAAAGGUAACAACAACAACAUACAUUGUGUUUAACAUGUUUCCUACAUGAAUCAUUCUGUAGCUUGCUCUAAAGUAACAAACUAUCUUUAAUAACUUUGUGACUAGCCAAAUUCAUGCUUUGGGAUUCGACGAUAAGUUCAUCAGGACAUGGGAGUACUACUUUGACUACUGUGCUGCUGGAUUCAAAACGUGCACGUUAGGAGAUUAUCAGGUAUGGUGAAAAAACCUUCGAAAUACUUGUAGGCGUAAAACAAGCAUCCUUUUUUAACGUAUAUAUAGUAGAUGAUGAACUCCUUCCGCCCCUUGUGAAUGUUAUGUUGCUCAAUUAAUACUUGCAAACAGUUAAAGAAUGAAAAUAAAAAUGGACCUUGAUCUUCACCUUAAUACAUGGUUUCAUUGCUCAAACUCUCCAAAAAUAUUUGCACCAUGUCAGAUCCUUAAAAAAUGUCUGUUGAUAUUUUUGAAGAGUCCGAAUAACAGAGAGUGCUUCUACUUUAUGUAAAUGCUUACAACAUGUAAAAUUGUUUGUUCUCAUUCUGUUUUUUUCUGUAUAUAUAGAUUGUGUUCUCAAGGCCAGGCAAUGUUGCAGCAUUUGGUGAUCCUUACAAUGGUGCGCCUUGAGCUUAUUGGAGUUUAUUUCUUUAUACGAUUGAUCGUAGGCCUAUUUUUAUAAAUGUUUUGAGUUCAUUGUUUCGAUCCUACACUUGAUUUGUUGCCUAAAAGCGGCAGCGGCGAUAAUUUCUUUUAUGCAAAAAUAUUUUGAUUCCUUUACACGGCAAGAAGAACCUAGCCAAAGCCAAGAACCUAGCCAAAGCCGCGAGCACAAGGUUUACUCUUAUACAAUAGCUCGCAAAUCAAAGAAGUGUAUUUUAAAAAGUGAUCAUAAAUCAUUUCUAUAUGGGUUUAAUGAUUAUAGUUUAUUAAACAAUUUCCAAUACUCAAUCCAUAUAACUUACUGUGUUGCGUGUUAAUUAUUGUUAAGAUGACAAAUUUGGCAAUUACAACUUUAAGAAAACCAUGUACUCAUGAAAAUUACUGUAUAUGUGUGCCUUGUCAAGUUUCGAAAUCAUUCAAUACAGCGAUAUAAUCACAAUACCACUUUUGAUUGAUUAGAGAAAAUCGAAAAAUAUUUUUCUAAAUAAACAAAUUCCUUAAAAAUGAUUUAGUAACUUCACCAAUGGAAGUAGCGAAAACAAAUUCCACUAGUGUUCUACAUUAAUUGUAUCAUCGCUAUUGUCCAACACACCUCAUCUUCACCUCGACUCCUGAAAACAAAAUGAGAAAAUUGCAGUAUGGAAUGGAGUCUUAACAGGGAAGCCAACGUUUUCGAGUUUACUCACUCCUCUUCCCUGUUAUCCAUUAAGUACAUGAGCAACAAAACCAUCAGACUACAAGUUGUGUUUGAGCUCUAUUCAAAACAAACCGAAUCCAAUAUUUAAGUGGAGAAGGAUAGAGCGGGCAACUCAUCAUCCCCAUUUCUCAUUCACCAGACGAAAUAUACUCACAAUGGCCUCAACUUUGUUCACAAAGCAAAGGAGCUAGUAGACAUGUUAUUCAGGUAACAACUGUAGAAGAUGAUCUGUCACAAGUAAAUAGACAUGAACAUCUAGCCCCUUGAAAAGUUAGAAUGAUCAACACUCCAUACAAUCUGAAACUUCCAUCCAUACAAGGAAAGACUUAUCACGCGAUUUCAAAAAUGAAUGUGCUAGGAUAUCUCCAGUGUUUGACGAAAAGGCAGUAUGCUAAUAAGUUAACCUACUGAUAUAAAGUAACACAUGUGUGAAAAGUGUUGUAGAUGAAAAGUCGAAUCUUCUUACACAAAUGAUGCGACUUUCCAUCAUAAAAGGCUCAACUAACGACAAACUCCAGCCACAAUGGAAUUCUGAUUCUAAAAAAGGCAUAAACUACUAAGUUAUCCUACUGAUAUAAGAUGUAGCAUAAACACGGCAGACUGGAAAGCCGAAUCAUCUUUACACCAGUGACCUAACUAAACCAUGUUAAUUUCUAACAACCGAUCUGAGAAAAGAAUCCAUUGCAUUGUAAAAAACUGUUUCAAACCUAAAGAAGAAAUUCUGCAAGUUAAAUUGUCAAAGUACCUAAAUCAAGUUAUUGAGACACUAAAAGACUAAGUCACCAGUUUCAAAUGAACCAAUCGACACUCAACAGCAGUUGGAAGCAACAUAUACCAAGUGGAUGGUUGUUAGUCUCGACCCUGCACAAAAUACAACUCAGCAGCGCCUGCUUGGCCUUGGUCUGCUUCACCAUGACAACUUUCAGGACAAUACCCCAUCAAACAAGCCAAUCCAUAGUAAGAUACCUUUCUUUACUAACAUCUCCAGCACCCAGGCCGUAUUUAUCUCCGAGUGGGCUGUUCAUCACAUUCAGUACUCAGGCCUCUCCUCCUGUACAACACAAGGUCAAAUACAGGGGGAAAUGAUUAUGCCAUUCUCAAAAUUCAACUACCGCUAACAUUAUCGCUAUCCAUUACGUACUGAUCUACCAAGUCUGCUACAACUGCUCUCCUAUGAGUAAGUAGCACCACCAAAUCUCAUGGUCCAACUACAACACGCAAAGAAAAAUAGAAAGUGUUCUAUUCUUCUUAUUUAACAUUUUAACUUAAAAUAAUAGCACCGAACAUCCACCUGCUUCAGAAGACAGGUUAAAAUCCACUUCAAAUACUAAUUCCCCGACUGAUGGCUCAAUCAAAAAGUAAAUUCACGCAAGUUAAACACAAGCCAAUAUAUCUGGACUAUGGAAACAAAUGAACCACAUUAACUAACAAACAUAAUCAUAAGCAAGCGAGAUUAAGACUGCACUUAACAACAAUAACACGAAAUAGGUAAUACUAGCGACAGUACUAGUUAUUAUAAACUAGAAAUAAAUACUGCAAACUACUAGGGAUUCAAGCAAUCCAACCAGUCUCAUUUAGCAGGUGACACCUCGCAAGAGCAGCACUCUGCAUGUGAAACGCAAAAGUGACGCAAAACUCUCCAGUAAAAGAGAUGAAGUCCGAGACAACACGAAGCAUCUCAUUCACUGCUGCUGAGCUUGCCGACUGGGGGCACCACCAUAUCCACCACCAUAUCCAACUUGGCCACCAUGAGCUCCAUUUGGUGGGGCACCAUAAUUACCAGAACUUUGUGAGUUAUCAGAUCUCCAUGCUGAAUUCCCAUAGCUAGAGUUUCCACUUGCAUCAGCAUAGCCACUGUUCAUGUAACCCCCAGCACCUGAUUGCAUGUCUCCUGCAGCACCACCUCCAACGGGUGAGUUACCACUAGGAGCACCACUAGCACGUCCAACAGCACCAUAACCAGAUUGAUUUCCAUAGGCACCCUCAUUACCAGCAUAACCCCCAUAACCAUAACCUUGGUUCCCAUAUCCUGCGGUUCCAGUUGGAGAUUGACCAGAUCCUCCACUAGCAGGUCCACCACCACCACCACCAGCAUUUGCAGCACCCCAAGGGGCAUUACCAUAGCCCAUAUUCCCAUACCCAGAAGGACCCUGAGAGCCCCAUGUGCUUCUUGGUCCACCCGCUGGACCACUUCCAUAACCAGCACUGGCUGCAUUUGGAUUUCCAUAGGCUGCAGCAACUGCAGCAGCACCAUAGCCAGGAUUGGCACCCCCAUAGCCCGGAUUUGCUCCGCCAUAACUUCCAUAACCUCCAUAGCCCAUACCAUUGUUGGAUGGCCCAUAGCCAUAGCCUGGGGUACCAUACCCAGACGAACCAUAAGGAUAGCCAGCUCCAGCAUUUUGAGUUUGCAUGUACCUGUUGGAAUCCAUUCUACUGUCAUAAGAACUUGGAUUGUUACCUGAUCCACCAUACCCCUGAUAACUUCCACCACCCAUACCACUACCGCCUCCGCCGCCCAUGGAACGGCCACCAGCACCGGGGUUAGCAUCUUUAGGAAGAGCUUUCUUUACUUCUACCUGUUUACCAUUCAGAUCAUGAAAGGGCUUCUGUAAAACUCUAUCUACUGCAUCUUCAGAAUCAAAUGAGAUGAAACCAAACCCACGAGGUCGGUUGGUCUGCUGGUCAUACAUAAUUACUACAUCAGUGACAUUACCAAAACUUUCAAAAUAUUGUCGGAAUCCUUCCUCGGUCAAAGUGGGAGGCAAUCCCCCAACAAAAAUUUUCUUAGUCCUGGUGUUUCCACCACCUCCAAAAUUUCUGGCACUAUUUGUGUUUCCAGAUUUUGAGCCCUGCUGCUCCUCUCUCGACAAGGCCCUCUUAGCAUCAACCUGAACAAGAAAUAUAUCAGCUAACCCAAAAUAGAAGCAUACAUGAAACAACAACACCUCCCAGAAGAUCACCAUGAAAUAUCUUACAGCAAUCAGGUUAUCAAUUAAAAUCAUACCACACGAAUCAUAUUUGCGAUAUAGGAAAACUCUACAGAAGCUCAUGCCUGAUAGGGUGAGUAAAAUGUGUGCAACAAUAGAUUUGAUACAAUCAACAGACAAUGAGUGACUUGAGAGGCAUUGGAACAUGAAUCUUCCCUAAAAAAAAUUGAAAGGGAAUUACAUAUCUACAUAGGUAAAAGUCACUUGAGGAGUUGAAAUGCCAUCAAACAAAAUAAAAGAGCAUAUCUGCAGCAGAAGUAGUCUUUGCAAUGGAAAAUCAAGGAGAAAAAAGGGACAGAAACCAGAUGCACACUCAUAACAUAUCAGCACAAAUGCAAAACAUAGAGCAUGCUAAAGUUAUAGCUGACAAACAAGGAUGCACACAAUUCCAAGAAGCUAAACUACAGAGAAAAUCCACAAAUGAAGCAGAAAAAACUCAACAUACAGCCAUAUAUGACAUCGUCUACCUUCAAUCCGAUCCUAAACUAAGACUCAACACAACAACGCCAGCACCAAAAAGACAAGGAAUUUACAGAGCACCCACAAAACAAAUUAGGGAGAAAACCAUAAUAAAGCAUAAAAAUUUCCAAGGAAAAUCUCACUUCAUCAACGAAAUAUCUAAUCUUGAAGAACCCAAAUCAACCCUAAACUAACAACAACAAAAUCAUAUCCAGUGAAAUCACAACCCUUACACCUACUUCGUGAAGGUAAAUAGACUAUUCCCAAAGCACCCUCAGCUCAAAUGCAGCAAAAAACCAACCCUAAACUGACAAUAACAUCGUACUCACUGAAAUCACAGACCUUACACCUACUUCGUGGAGUUAGAGAGGUUGUUUCCAAAGAAAACUGAGCUCAAGUUCAGCAAAAUCAACCCUAAGCUAGCACACUAAGAACACAUCAUCUCUAAAACCAUAAAUCAAGUAAAUACACAACACCCACAAACAAAAGUAGACAACUUUACCACGAUACGCAGCUAAACAAUCAUACCUCUAAGGAAAACCUUACCAUACACCCCCAUCAAUAAAAACUCCAUCUUUAACAACCCAAUCAAGCUUAAAACAAAAACCCACAACCAAAUAAUCUCAAUUAACAAUAACCCAAUAAAAUCACACUUAACCAGAACCCAAAUUAAUGAACCCCCACCCCACCCACCCACACACUAAAGAAAAACGUAAAUUUCAAUAAAUCUAAGAACCAAAUCUUACCGUACGUCCAUCAAUAACAUGUUCAUCUUGUAGAACCCUAUCAAGAACAUUAGGAUCUGCAAAAACAACAAACCCAAAUCCUCUUGGCUUCCCAGAAAUCUUAUCCCUCAUAACAACUGUCUGCAAAACAUCCCCAUAUCCUUGAAAAUACUCCUUAAGCUUCUCUUCAGUUGUUUCCCAUGAAAUCCCACCAAUAAAAAGCUUUCCUUGAUCUGAAUCCAUUGGGUUUUCUCUGAGGGAUUGAAGAGAGAAGCGCCGACUUACAGAAAAAAAAUUCAGAGAGAGAGAAAAUAAGGGUUACAAAAAGUGAAGAAGAAAGACUAUGCGUAGCGUAAGAGGAAUCAACGGUCCAGAUUUAAUGUUAUAAAUUUGGUUUUUUUUUUGUUUUUUUUAUUUUGAUAAGUUGUAAGAUAUUUUUUUUCUUUAACGUCACUAUUUUAUGCUUAGAUUUUGUUGGCCUCUUUACAUAGGUUAAAAAAAAAAAAAAAGGUCAAAUUGUAUUAAUCUAUCAUAAUUAAAUAAUUUAAGUGCGUUUAAAUUAUAUUUGUUUUUUUUUAAGUUUUUCAUUCGGCUUCAAAGCUUAGCUUCGACUAAAUUUAAAUUGCAAACUGUUGGAUUCAUUCGGGAGUGACGCUUCCAACAAGAUUAUACUAAAUGUAUUAUUUAUUCAAAUUUUAUUUGUGAGAUUAUAUUGAAUGUAUUAUUACGCUUCAAGUGAACGGUUUGAAGAGUAAAUCACUGCACAUAUUUUAUAGAAAAUCUCAGAGUAACAAAUAUAAUGAGACUCUAUAAUUAUAGUUUUAAUAAUUAUACUUUAUAAAUAUAAUUUUAUUUGUUAUGGAAGCUGCGAUUUUUAUAUUUCGCUUUCGAAUAUACAAAUAAGGUAAGUAUAUGCGAAUUCUGUAUUUAUGUAUUUAGGAAUUUUUCAGAACUCCGUUGGAAAUUUUUCUUACCAAUAUACAAACAUAAUAAUUUAUUAUGAUUUUUUUUGGAAAUUGUAUUAAAAAAACUAGAAAACUAUAAAUAUGUACAAUUAAGAACCAAACUAUACGAAUCUGAAUUUAUAUAAAUCAAGGAAAUUAUAUAAAUUAAACGAAUAACAAAAAUUAGAAAAAUUGUAGCUGCCAAUUAUAAUUUUCUUAAACUAUAAUUAUAAUAGGCAAAAUGUUUACUAUUCUGCAUAAUUUUCUCAAUAUUUUAUUAUUCAAUAUUUCAAUUUAACAAAUAGUAAUUGCCAAAUUUCUAUUUUAAGAACAUAAUAUAUUCUACUAUGAAUGAUCAUUCUUUUUCUUUUUCUUCUAAAUUUAACAUAUAAUCUCCUGGUUUUACCUUAAAAAACUUUGUGCUCCUUCAUAAUAAAUCUAAAGAAAUAUAUAUUGACAAUAAUAGUAUAUUCCGUAUAAUUUCAUUCGAAAUAUUUUUUGGCAAAAGUUAGAGAAUUUGUGAACACUUUACCAAGCCACUUUUAAAAAAUAUAGUUAUAAGUAUUUUUGAUUAAUUAUUAUAAAUUACAACGUAAAAUUACUUUGUCUGAUUGAUUAAAUUAAGCUAUAGUUAAUUAGUUAUUUGAAAUAAUUACUACAUUAUGCAGCAUGAAUUAUUUCGAACAAAUGAAUAUAUAUUGAUAAACAUGAUUUUAUUUUUCUUAAAAAUGUUAAGCUAUAGUUAAUUAGUUAGUUCUAAUAUAUAAUACUUAAAGUGAAAAAAUCACAAAAUAUACAUAGAUAAAAAGGUGGAAAAUGAAAUGGAACAAAAGCAUAUUAUAUUAUAUUAUUUGUGAUUUGGAGUUGGACGUCAUUUUGAUAGUUAGAAUAUUGAGUGAUUAUAUUCUGAUUUUUACAAUAAUUUCCACUCAAAGAAUCAAAACUUUUUUCAUGGUUUCUCAUAGUAUUCGAUGCAAAGUAUUAAAAUGGUGUAUAUAAAGCGAUCGAAUAUCAUAAAUUAUAAUUAUUGAGAAAAAAAAUGUUAUAUAUCGCGAAAUUAUGAUAUAUAGUCAAACUUUUUUGGCUUAAAUAUUUAAUUGUUAUGAUGAAAUAUUUUUAUAAAAAACAUGUAAUAAAACAUAAUAUAAUAUCGAAAAAUGCUAUCAAAAUAAAAUUUGAUUGUUAUAAUGAACUAUUGAUAUAAAGAAUGAUUGUUAAUUUAUUAGGGAGAUUUACUACAACAUAAUUUAUUUGGAGCUUUUGAUUGUAUAAAUUGAACAUGUUAAUUGUAUUUUUUCCCCAUAUACUUUUGUAAGUUAUUGAUAAAAUUAAAUAAACAAUGAAAUUUUUGGAAAAACAUACCGCAUUUGUAUAAAAAAAUAUAUUGAAAUUUAUUUAUGGAAUAGAAAAGAAAGUAAACGAAUAGAACUAUAUUUAAAAUUUAUGUUUAUUUAAACGCAAGUUGCAACUUAUUAUAAUAUGAAUUGAAAUUUGAAUUUUCGUCAUCCUCAAAUAUUCAAAAAUUAUAAAGUAUAUCAACAUACAUACAUUGUGAUAUUGUAAUGAAACUUCUUGAUAAUAUAUAAUUUGAAUUUAAUCGAAAUUUUAAUACAAACUUUGACCAUUGAGUAGAAAAGAAACCACACAAUUUGUAGUAUAUUGAAAGUCAAUGUUUUCAUAAUUUCCUCAAAAUUUUAUGUAGCAAUUUAAUAGAGUUGGUACAUUUAAUUUUCACUAAACCAUUCCCUCUUAAAUGAACCAUAUGCAAUGUUAAUCUAAAUUUAUUGAGUUAAAAAAAUAUCAAAUAUAUAAAUAAAAAAAAAUCUCAAUAAAUCCUUUUUUUCUUUUUCCUUUAUUCCAAUCCUUUUUUUCCUAUAAAAAUAAAAGAUCAAGUUAAAAAGAAAGUGGUUGUUUCUAAAGUUAUUUAAAAAGAAUUUUAGAGAACAAUCCUUUAAUAAAAGAGAGUGAAUUAAUGGCGUUAUACAACAUUUUUAAAGUAUGUUUGUUUUUUAUCAGGUUAUUCAUUUUGGAAUUUCAUAGAGAAAAAAUAUAUUUUUUUUCCUUCGACUCUCACAUUUACUUACACCCUAUUCCUAUCGCACCCACUUCUUUGAAAAAACAAUUUCGAUCAUAAUGAAAUUCUUCGACGCGACAUAAAAUUAUAAAUUUAUAUCAAUUGUAGGUAUUAUGUAUUUGAUAUUCAGAUCUAUUUUAGUCUAAAACAGUCUAUAUUAAAGAUGAUUUCAUAAUUAAUGUCUAAAUCUACAACUUAUGGUUAAUUAAGAUAAAGAAGUUCUAACAACUCAAAUUGUAAUAGUAAAAGUAAAACAAUAACAUCAAAUAAAAUACACACAAAAAAAACAAAAUAUACACAAAUCUUACUCCAUCCAAAAAUCACAAUGUUAUAGCAAAGUCUCGAUUCUAUAAAAACAAAUACCACCAAACGAACUGUUCCAUACGUGAAUUACGAUAAAUAAAAAUAUCUCUAUCUCUUAUAUUAUUCUUAUUUAACGUAUUAAACAACCUGAUCAAACUCGUCAUACUAGUAAUAUUUUUUUUUUGUGAGCUGGCAAACUAGCUUGAAAUUUUGUCUUUACCCACUACCCCACUUAUAAUUAUUAUUAUUUACUUAGUAUAUACUUUUGUUAACGUUCCUAUUUUUUUCAAAUACCGUUGGAGGCAACAAACAUAUUUAAAUCUUCAUUGCCAAAAUAUAAAAACUCUGCAAAUUACACAGUCUAAAAUUCCUUCUCCAUUCUUCUCUGUCGAUUUUUUCUUUUUUGGGGGAAAAUCAAGAAAACAGAGAUCUUGAAAACAAAAACAAAAACAAAAACAAAUGGGAUGUUUUCUUGGAUGUUUUGGUUUUACAAACAAGAAACAAAAGCGUAUAAAGCCUUGUAACAAGUUUCAAGUAAGUUGCGUCUUAAAAUUCAAUUUUUUGUGUUCAUUUAUUUGUAAUCUAAAGACUUGAGUCGUUUAGAUACAGUGACGAAGACAAGAUUUUUACUGAAAAAAAUUGGAUCUUUGUUUUUUUAGAUGAAUCCUUUCGCCUCUUUAGCUUAGAAAUGAUGGUUGAUAUGUGUUACCUGAGGUGGGGUAGAGGCGGAGCUAGGUCGGGGUUUAUGGGUACAGAUGAACACAGUAGCUUUUUCGGCAGAUCCUGUAUUUGUAUUAGAAAAUUUAAAUAAAUAUCUAUGUGUAUUGGUUUGUGGAUCUCUAAUAAAAUUGAUUCACAGUGAAAAUGUAUUUUAUAUUAAUGCUCAAAUUCCUAGUUUUGAUUUCGCCUCGUAAAAAGGUUAAGUUUGCUUACAUGUAUACUCUACCCUAGCUCCCUAUACCUACUCGAUGGGAUUAUAUUGAAUAUGUUGUUUGAAUUGACGUAAAAAAAAAAUAUCAUUUUGUUUGAAUAUGAAGAAGUUUGCUUUUUUUUUUUUUAAAUAUUGUUUUUUAGGUGCAUCAAAAGUAUGUACCACUGGAUUCUGAGAAGGAAAUUGUUGUAAAUUCAGCAAAUUCUGAGCCCAGGUGAGUUUAGCAAUUCAUGUUUUUUUCUUUUUCCACUUUUUGAUAGUAAUCAUGUCUGGAUAAGUUUAUGCAUCUUGAUAAUUUCAUUGAGUUUGCUUUACUUGAGUCGAGAGUGUAUCAGAAAUCAUCGGAACACAUGAGUUAUUUCAGUUUAUCUCAGCUAGUAGUUAGUCGUAUUAAGGGUAAUACUGUGUACACAUCAGUGUCUAAAAAUUCCAUUUGUCUGUCCCUAAGUCUCACUUGUGAGAUUAUAUUGGGUAUGUUGUUGUUGUUAUUGACUAUUUCUUCGGGGUUAUGACAAUCAAGACUUAGGCAAAUGAGAAGAAUACAUCUAAAGUUUUUUUUAUCUCGAUUGAGAUUUGAACCUUAAUCUAUUUUCAUUGACUGCUAGGUUAUAUCAUGUUAGGUAUUCUCAUCAACUUCAUUAACGACUAGGUCGUUUUCAUGUGUUGUUUGUUUGUAGGGAUAAGCCAAAAGAAUCAUCAAAACGUAAGGUGAAAAAGAAAGUGAGUUUCAAUUUGGAUGUGAAGACUUACGAGAGAAUACAAGAUGAUGAAAACAACACAACAUAUUUCUCAGAGGAAGAGGAGAAGACAAAUAAACAAGAAACAGCCAAAGCAAGUAUGUCUAUGUACCCUUCGAGUCAUCGAUACUAUAACUGCAACAAUAGCUACGAUGAGGAGGAAGACGAGAUAAUACUUGAGGACAGUGAUAUCGAUGAUCUAGAUGACGAUGAAGAAGAAGAAGACUAUGGUGUUAGUGAUGACGAUGAUGAUGAUGAUGUUGGUGGUGAUGAAUCUGCAGAUUCUUUGCAUAUUGAAGCAGAAAACAAGUAUGGAAAUGUUGAAAAACUGAACACAGAUGAAUCGAAUGUAGUAAGUCGAAAUCAUAGGAGUUCUGUGCUUCUUCCAGUUGAAAAUCUCACUCAAUGGAAAGCAGUUAAAGCAAGAGGAGCACAACAAGUGAAGCAUCAGAAGGAAAACAUAAUCAAAUUGGAUGGAAAACCAGUAAACAGCCAUUGUGUGGACCUAAAUCCCAAAUACAACUCUAAGCCUAAGUCUAAGCUUCAAGGACAUGAUAUUUCAGUAGAUGCCAGCCUCUCUAACUGGAUGGUUUCAGCAAAAACAACAUCAGUAAAUGGAUCAGCUGUGUAUUACAAUCAACAUAGAGCUGCAGAUGAAGUCGUGCUCGAUGAAGUCAAUAUCAUAUAAACAGAGAAGGUGCAGUACCUAAAUACAUUUGGAUUGAUGUUUGUGUAAAGAAUUGAUUGUUUUUUUGCAUGAUUUAUGUGUGCAGUGUGUUGUAUUCUCUUCUCCGCGAGAGAAGAAAAGACAAUAAGAUUUUCAUCUGGGGAACCUGUAUUUGGUUGAUAGCAUAUCAUAUGCAUGUUGUAAUUCUUUUACUGUUACAGAACAAAGCAAAUGGACAAAGAAUUAAAGAUGUUAUAAAAUCAUUCUUGCUAGAACAAAGUCAUCAUCUGUAAGGCUCAGCACUCAUAUACAUUAUAAUUAAGCAAAAGAAAACAAGAAAACCUGAAGGGUUCUGUAUGUUAUCUACUAUAACUCGAAGCACUCAUAUACAUUAUACAAUAGAGGAAGUUAUUCUCUCUAUCUGAUUGUGUUCAACGAGAAAGGGUCGUUUCAUUUGGCUCAGAUAACUUGAACCAAAUUAGAGACAGUCGACUCUCUUAAAAACUGCUGUUAUUGUAUGCUAUAAAGAUGUGAAUCGAAGGAGAUUCAACAUUCUUGACUCACAAUUGGUUUGGUAAUGCAUUUAAUAAGAACUACAUUAUCCUACAAAUGCAAGAAUCUGAAUCAUCUUCAUCCGAGUCACUUGCAUCACUGCAGGAAAAACAAAAAGCUAUAUGUAAGAGCAAUCCUGAUAAACUGAAGAACUGUAGUAUAAAAUGCAAACUUCAGAUAAUGCCCAAAAGUAAACGGCUAACAAGAAACAAACUUGUACGUUCCAUGGCAAAGGGGUAAAGUAGUUACAUCCUAUCUUUUUGAUGAACUAACUAGAGAAAAAACAAAUGUUCACCAACUAGAUCAAGUAGUGCCUGCAACUUCAAUUGCCAGAUGACCAACACAAACAUUACUCGUUAAUGAAUUCAAGAUCUAGUGCUUGGGAUGUACAGCAUUAAAGUCAAGUCUAUAGUGAGAUAUUAUCUCAUCUUUUAUGAUGUUUCAUACGACACAUAGCCUAAGCUUAUAUAGUACACCCCCCUUAGGGAUGUUAAUGGGGAAGAUGGUGGCAGCAGGGCAAUGCUCAGGCAGAGUAGGCCAGGGGAGGAUGGGGCGGGUGAAUGCUUACUUUUCUAAGAUAUACCAGGCCGGGGCCAUGGGUGCCUAAAUGCCUCUACGACGUAACCAUAUUAACCAACGAUGACAUAAAGGUGCAGUGGGUCAUAUUCUGAGUGUGUUAUUGCCUCCUUAUGGUCUGGGGUCACCUCAUGAGCUAGCUAGCUUUUGGGAUUGAGUUAGGCUCAAGGUCCAUUUUUUCUUACUACCGUUUAGAAGAUCAUUAUACUUCAGUGCACAAAAAUGGAAGAAAAAAGGUUCUAAAAGGUGUUCAGCGGGGCAGGGAGGGGAGUGACAGAGCGGGUUAAAACUAUGGCAGGGAAAGGAUUCAUUGAUCCUGUUUAUCAUCCCUAGUUCCCCUAACUGAGCCUCUUAGCAAUAUCCAUAAAAUUAUUCUUAAUAGCUGUGCGAAGUCAGACAAGAAACAUUCAGAAAGUUAGGAACCAUAGAUCAAAACACAAGUGAAAAGGCGUCAAUUAGCACCUGCAAAACAACUUUCAGCAUUCUGGCCAAAAAUGAGAAAAUAAGCUUAUCACCCAUUCUUCACUUCAUAAAUCGUUCUACCCUUCCUUUUCAUAGCAUAUUCCAGUAUACAGUAAGCUUUGACCUCCUAGUUCAUAAGUCAAAGAAAGACGGGGGGGCAGUGUUACUAAAGACCAGAAAGAGUUCAACUCUAGUCACCUUACCAACAACAUACUUUCUGGAUGCUAAAAUUUUCUCAUGAUGCGUGUAGUCUUUGCCCAAUUUUAUUCCGAAGAGGUAGUAAAGAAAACUGUAGAACACAUUUCCAAGCAGAGGACAAUAUGCAAUAUUGCAUUGUUGAUAUCAGUAUCGACACUCAAUACAUGAGAAAGGGCUUUAUUUACCCCAAGCUAUUUAAUCCUACUUCUCUUCCCGAGAUGCACAAACAUUUCUUAGACCAAAAUUUCUUAAAAGAUUAUACAUUAUACUUGCUUCUGCAAGAGUCUAUUAGAUGUUUAAGAAACUUACAAUCAAUACAAUUCAUGAGCAAGUUAAGAUGAAACAAAUACUGACAGCUCACUAAAUGGAUAUAUUCCUCAAACAAGAUGCUCCUAAUUCCUAAAUAUGUGGAGUUGCCUCUACAUUCACUUUACAAUAAUAAUAAAGUGACAGCAUACUGCAUUUGGAUGACAUACUACUUAGACCUUUUUCUUGUGGUUUUGGAUAGCUUGAGCAUUUAUACUGUAAUAUUGCCCAAUGCGUAUAGUGCAGCUUAUAUUUUUUGAAAGAUCAUUCCCAUGAAUGCAGCCAGGACCUAAGCAUGUUCCUUUCAGGUCCUAUGGUUCAUCAGCUAAUAGAAUAAGAAAUCUAAUGAUCAUUGGCUUCUUUUCUUUUUCUUUAGGAUGAAAGCGGUGUCUAUGCUAUUUUCACACACCUCAACUAAUCCACCGGAUAGCCUGCUACUGCCCACAGUCACAGUUGCCGGGAACCAGUCUAUGCCCACAUUCCCAUGGCAACUCAUAAUAACAGUCUAUAUCAUGCUGCUUAUAUUAGAAUGCCAUGAACACUAUCGUGAAUAACUAAUCUAUAGCUGCGAUUCACGCAAUCAAUAUGCUUAUCACAAAAAAGAUUUCCCCACACAGACUACAUAUACAUUAUCUAAUACUCUAUUCAGAUUAGACAUAAGGCAUAAACAGAACAUCACACUUAAAUUAUUUUCAUCUUAUACUUUCACUUUUGCUAAAUAAAAGAUCUAAUACCAGACAGGUUCCUAUACCAUCAAUAGUUCUACAGAGAAUCAUUGCUUUACCACAUUAUUCUAGUGAUCCACCGUCCGAAAACAUGAACUUGAUUAACUACUGUGAUUUUCCACAAUGAGCAACAAACACAAAUCACACAUAAUCAGAGACUUCAGAACCAAAUUUUGUAGACCAAAACUUCUACAGAUUAACCAUAAGCUAAAUGAGGAGACAACAAAGAGAAUUUUUUUCUUCUAUUUGUUUUUUUUUUUACCUUGGCUCAAAUUCCAAAACCUCAGUAAGUUUAUUCCCAUUUGUAUCAUUCCACUGAACUUUCCUCUUUGGCUUAGCUAUCUUUUUUGACAAUCCACCUUUCCUAGAAGGCAACAAUGCUUUAGACUCAUCAUCUUCAUCUUUUCCACCAUUCAACACAGAAUUAGGAAGAGCUUCCACACUAUCAACAUACUGAAUUUUCUCCCCUUUUAAAUCUUUAUUACUUUUAGUAUCCAUUCCUCCAAACACACAACAACAACAACAAAAAACAAAUCUUCCUUCUAAAUUCCUUUACCUAAACAACCUCAAAAUCAUAUGAUUCCAAUGCAAAACCAACAACCCCAUUUCAACAAAAAACCUCAAAAAGCUCAAAUCUUUACAAGAAAAUUUCAAGAUUUAAUGCAUUAUCUUCAUAACCCACAAAAACCCACCUCCCAAAUGAUAUCAAAACAAGGAAUUUGUAGAUUCUUGAUCUUCAAAUCCUCAUAAAACUAUAUGGGUAUGUAUCAAAAAAAGCUAAAAAGCUAAUCUUUGUAUUGGUUUAGCUUUCAAGAAUUGGCUUUUUUGUUAAUUUUCCUUCUCUGAAUGUGAAGGAAAAUGGAAAAAGUAGAAGAAUUGGUAUAACAAUGAAUCAAAAACCCUUGAAUUUGUAUGAUUAGAUUUGAAAAAAAAAAAAGAGAAAAAAUAGAAAGAAGAUACAAGAUACAGUGUGUGAGAGAGAAAUGCGUUUACUUUUGUUAUUUGUGGAAGCUAAAUACAGUAUAAACUUUCACAAAAAUAAUUAGGAUUAAUAUUCUAUAUUUGCAUGUAAUUACUGUAGCUGACAAUCUUGACUCAGUGAAAGUACAUAGAAUAAUCCACAAAUAUAUGAUUCAAUAAAUAAAAUUAUUAUUUUUAGUUAUUAAUAUCGAUUUAAGUUUAAAUAUAGAUUUUUUUAUUGUGAGUAUUUCUCUCAAAUAAAGUCCUAGAUAUAAAUUCAGAUUAAUCUAAUGUUCAUAUAAAUAUCGGUAUAUAUAUGUAUAUAAUUUGUUGAAAUAUCAUAAGUGAAAUUUGAUGAGUAUAGAAUAUAGGUAAAAUUUCACCAUUAAAAUAAGUAUCAAUUCGACUGUACCAAAUUUAAGUACAAAGAAGAAGAGAAAAGUGUAGAAAAUAUAGCAACUACUAAUUAACAAGAAAAUUGAUUCAAGAGCUUAUAAAAAAGGGACAAGAACAACAAAAUAUAUAUCGUGCAAUAAUCUAAACAAUAUUUACGACAGAUAAUGAUAUAUAUAUCAAAAUUAGACACUACAAUCGUAUAGCUAGUUCAUCGAUAAACAUCAAUAAGUCUAAACUUUCAAAAAAAUAAAAAAUAUUUUAUUACAUAUUUUAACAUGUUGUACACAUUAUUCAUAUUUUUCUUUAUCUAAAAUUAUAUUUUCGUUGAUAAGAAGUUUCAUUACUCAUCCUUUCUAUCAUUUUCUUUUCAAUUUUUAGAUUUUUUAAAAUUUAACAAAAGUUAUUAGUGACCAUUUUUUAAUUAAACAAUAAUUAUUCAUAUAUAAGUCAAUUUAUGUGGAAGCAAUAGGUUUUACAACAUGAAAAUUAUUGUUUUUUAAAUGUUUGAUAAAGUUUUAACUAAGGGGAUAAGUGUUAAUAAAAAUAAACUCCAGGAUUAAUUAAGAAGUAAUUUCUAGUUAUUAAUUAAUGCCAAAAAAGGAGUUAGUUGUGAAGAUGACAGGUGGGAAUAUGGGGCCUAAUUGUUGAAUAUAAGAAUACUAAAGUGGAACACUUUGAAUUUCUUCACAUGAAGAUGUCUUUUUUUUUUUAUCUAUAUAAAAAAAUUAAAAUAAAUUUAUUUAUUUAUUAAAUGAAUAUAAGUUGGUAAGUUAAUAUUAUCAUCAUUAAUUGAAUAUUCCUUAGUUUGGAAGUAUUUCUUUCAUCUUACAAACCAUGUCCCCCUUCUUGUUUUUGAUUACUUAUUUAUUUUUACUUUUAUUAAAAAAUGAUGUCCUAAAGUUUAUUAAAAUCUUGAAAUUAUAUAGAUGGAAAUGUUAGGCCAAUUAGAGUAAACAACUUUUCAGUAUUACACUGCAAUUAAUUUAUUAUGUUAAAAGAAAUCGCUUUUUAUUCAUCAUAUAAUAUACAAGUUUGUGAAAAUAUAACCUAUAAAACAUUGAAUGAAUUUAGAUUUAAAAAUAUCUUAUUCUUUUUAUGAAAUGUUUUUUCGUAUUUAAUCACGAUAUUAAUUCUUUCUUAAUUUGACGAAUAAUUAUAGAAAUCUUGUGAUUUGUUUAAUGCUAUCAAAUUAGAGCAACUUAAUUGAUUGUGGUGUAUGAUGAUAUGGUGAUCUUCUUUACUUAAUAAAGAUGAAAUGAUAGUGGCAUUAUUUUUUAUUAUAACUAUAUUGUAUACGUAUACAUCUCGAUUAACUUUUUAAAAUAUAUAGUAUUUCUCAUUCAUGGUAAUGAUAUUAUUCUUAUAAAAAAGAGAAAAGAAAAUGAACAUGUUACUUCGAUUUUAUUUUAUUUAUUUAUUUUGGUUGGGCUACUUUGUUGUCAAAUCAUGGAGAAAAAAAAAGUUCAAUCACUCAUCCUAUUGAAUUUAUAUUUAUAUAUGAAAAAGAAAAAAAUGUCAAUGGUUAAAAUAAUAAGUGUCAUAAAAAAAAUAAAAAUAAAGUGGACAUGAUGGAGUUGGUUGAUACUCUAUAUAAAAUAAUUAAUUAGUGCAAAAUAAUUUCUUUAACUUAUCUCUUAGAUGAUUUCAAAAUUGUCUUAAAGAAUUCUUUAAUGUAGUUUUUAAUUUUCCAAAAAAAAAAAGAAAAAUGGAAGAAUUAGGGAUACGGGCGAAUAGAAAAAAAAUGGAAAAAAGAAUUAUAAGAUAAGAAAAUCGAAUUUCAAUCAAUAAAAUUGAAACUAUUUUUUUAAAUAAAAAAUAAAAAUAUUUUAGCAAGUGAAAAGUGAUAUAAUUAUUAAACUAAUGUUAUAAGUUAUUUACUUUUAUUAUUCCUAUUCUCAUUAUUUUCUAUAUGUUUUUUUUAGGAUCAAAUUUUCUUUUUUUAUUAAUUGUCUAUCCGAACCGAAUUAGCACUUCUCAGAUCAGGCUAGGCCUCUCCAGCUGAGCUGGGCGCCGGGGCCCUGGAUGCGCUAGCGAUUGGCACAUAGGGGAAUGGUUGCCCGGGUUUCUCGGCCUGGUAUCCUGCACCUCGCGCUCAUGAUAUCUACAUUCAACUGUGCUCCGGAGACACGGUCAAAGCACGCCCGUUCAGUGUGCUUUAUAUGUUUUAAUUGAUUCAAGUGUUUAUUAAAAAAUAUAUCUUUAUAUUUAUAUAAUAAAAAUAAAACUAGAUACACAUUACGUAUCAUGAUAUCACCUUUAUUGUUCGCUUACGUAUCAAACACAAAAAAAAAUCACUUUUUUCUUUCUCAAAAAUAUUUUCCAAUAAAAAAUUUCCUUUGAUAGCAAACAUAUGUACACUUAAUGGAAUAAUUACCAAACAAUUACAAUAAUGGAAAAACGUUUUUUUUAUGCUAAAUUAGAAGAAUAUAUAAUAAUUAGUAUAUGAUACUUUUUUAGAACUUUUUGUGGUGGUGGGGUGUUUAGCAACUGGCAUGAUAAGGUAUGUUUAGAAAAUAUACAAAAAUGCAUAUGAUUAAAGAUGAUUAAAGGGUCCAUAUGAGGGCAAAAUAGGAAGAAAAAAAAAGUUCAAAAAUAUUAAUGACUCUCAAAUUAAUUUUUUUUUGUUCUCCAUUUUUUUUUAAUUUCUAUUUGAUCGUGUAUAUUUAUAUUAGGAUUUGAUAGUAUUUAGAAAUAAUUUACAUCGAAAAAUUUCAUAUAAAAAAUAAAUGCAUUUUGAUUUAUAUUCAAGACUCGAACUUGAUUCGAAAUUUAUAUUUUAACGAUGAAGGAAUAAGUAUUGAUUACUCUACGACAACCCUGAUUAAUUACAAUACUAGAAAAGGAGGGAGACUUUAUUUAUUAGACUCUUUCAAAUAAAACUGAACAAGAAAUUGAAUUUGAUCAUUUCAAAGUUUGGUUAGGUUGAGAAUAAUUAAAUAAAUAGAUGAUUAUUUAUGCAUUAUAAAUUCGUCAUUGAAUUUUAAGUUCAUUUUACUUAUUAAAUUUAUUAUAUAGUCAAUGAAUUUCUUAACAAUAUAAAUUUAAAGUCCAAGUAAAAAGUAAUGAAUUUGUUCCAUAUCUAAUAUUGUAACUCCUUCUCCAUACGAGUUGUUCAAUCUAGUGAUAUUAUUGGAGAAAAAAAAAAAGAAGUAAGAAACGUGUAAUGAUAUUGGGAAAAAAGGAUAAAUAUAUCCCUGAACAGUCGUAAAUAGUAUAGAGAUAUCCUUUAUCAUACUUUUGAAAUAUUAAUGUCCUUAUCGUCCAAAAACUAGAGCUAUAUACCCUUUAUACUAACGGACCUAACAUAUUUACUAUUCUAUCCUUUGUGGCUGCUGAAUGUGUAUAGCAAAUGGUAACGUCUAAUAAUUUAAAGAAAAAGACAUAGUAACAAAUUACCAAAUUUGUGCAUGAUGUUAUGGCACUAGUGGAUAGUGAUGUAUGGAAUGAUGCAAAAAAUAAAUAAAAUAUAAAUAGUAUCGGAGAUAGAAAUUUAUAUAAAUUUGAUCGAAUUUGAUAAAUUUUUUCAAAAUAUAUUCGAAAAACGAAAGAUUUUUUCUAUAUUUAUUGACCGGAUGUGGACAAUGACACUCUCUUGAAUGACAAAAAAAAAAUGAAGACAUUCAUUGGAUGUAAUAAAGUGCUAUAAAUUUAAUACAUUGGUGAAGUAUAUUAAAUUUUGAACCACCUCAAAUUUAGAUCUAUAUUAAUCUAAAAGUACUUUAUAAUCAUAGUGGUUUAAACCUUAUUAAUAUGUAUUUUUUCCGUCCUUAAUUACUUGUUCAGUUCUGAAAGAUACGUAAUUAUUAAGAAAACAAUGAUUGACGUAGUGAAUUUACCAUUUUAUUCUUAUUAAUUACGAAAUGGAUGAAUUAAAAAUAUAAAAUUUUCAAGAAGUUCUACCUUUUUUAAAAAUAAUUAAUUAAGAAUAUCAUAGAUAAAAAAAAAGUUAUGCAUUUUUUAUUUGUGAAAAUAAAGAAAUAAAAAAAAUUAGACAGAUAAUUAGGAACAGAGGAAGUAUUGAUAUUUGUCUUUGUAAUUGCCAACUUCACUUUGUUAAAAGUAGGUAAAGCUAGUGUGUUGAGUACUUCAUAUUUUCUCUAGAAAGUUGUCAUUAUUUUUUUUAUUUCUUGAUUUUUCGUAUUUUAAAGAUAUUUGUCGUAAUUAUCGAAUUUAGUUGAAUUCAUUGAAUAUAGAUUAUAUUCACUUCUAUAAAGACGGAUGCAAACUUGUGACAUCGAUUCAUCUGAAUCAAGUAUCUUUAUUACGCGCGAUAUUUGGUUCAUUGGACUAAAAAUGAGAUGUGUGGGAUAUAAAAUAAAACAUGUUCUUGGUGUAUAUACACUAGAUAAGUUGGGAUAAACUUAUAUUUCCAAUUUUAACCUUGAGUUUUAUGAAGGACUUUGGAGGGAAGAGCCUUGGAAAAGGGCAUCAUUGUCAUUUGUAGUGUUUUAUCCCCAAAUUACUAAUCUCAAUUUCGAAAAUUCAACCAAAUGUAAGAUAAACUUAUCUCACAUAUAAUCGCGAGAUUAUUAUCUCUUGUACCUCCAAUCAAACGAUACAAUUCGUGAAAUUAGAAAUCUUUGCACAAUUUUGCUUCUGAUCUUGAUAAAGCUACUUUGAAUAAAUUGACAAGAUGUCAACGAUUACCUAAACUGCUUAAGACAAUCCAAAUCAACUCCUCCCGUGGUAGAAAAACAAAUAACUUCGAGUUCGAAUCAUAAAUUCACCUUACCUGAAAACACCCUUUUCGAUUUAGUAGAUUUUGUUUUAAAAUCCAAGUGUAAAUUGGAAUUAGAAAAAUAUACCAACCAUUAAAGAAAGACGAUUAAAAUAUCUCAAGAUUGGCCCCCACACCAUAAUAAGAUCCAACAAAUCAAUAUUUUUUUUUAAAAAAUAUAUAAGUAGUUCCAAAAAUUCAUUAACUUAAUUAUACAAUAAGAUCUCUUCUUGAUUGAUUUUGCACACAUGCAACAACCAAGUGAAGUGGAUACCAUAUAAUAAUGAUCAAUAAUGGUUUAAUAACCGUGCACUAGUAGAGUGUUUCACUCUUAAUCAGAAGUCUCGAGUCCGAGCUUUGAGUAUGGAGAAAAUCUUGUUAGGAGCGUUAUUCCCGGAUGGGCCUUGCAGUGCACGAUCUGAAUUUAGUUGGGCUCCAAUGUGAACUCCGGACACCGAGUGAAAAAAAAUAAAUAGUUCAGUAACCAGUGCAUAGAAUCAUAUAUAACAUGAUUAAUUAUUCCAUCUGUUACCUGAUCUUUGAAGACAAGCAUCGACAGAUAAUGAUCAUAUGAACUGAAGACAAAAAAAAAAUGUAGUGCCAUUUGUCUUGUUUGGUGAAUAAAUUGCUUCAAAAUACACUAAAAAUGAUUGCAAAAUUAGAAUCUUGCAUUUUACUCAAUAUAAAAACUGAACUACUUCUACCACAACAACUCAUCAGUAAAAAAGCUUGUUUUACAUACCUUCAUGUGAAGUUCAUUCCACUUUCAAGAUCAACAUCCAAAGCAUGGCGCGUUUUGAACGUGCAUCACCAGCAUUGAAGGAGAUUCUGCUCAGAUUAUACCGGUAAAAUGAACUAUACUCGUUGUUCUUCGUACUUCAAGUCAUGUACUCAAGAUUUACUUCUCAGUUAAGUCCACGAGUAUUCUUUUCCUGUAGAGGCUAACACAACAAAGCGUUUUAUUAGUUAUAAUAUAUUACUUUGCUAAUCUCAACACCUAGCAAAUGAUGCAACAUGUUUUUGUAUAUUAUCAUGGUGUCCUCCUGGCUAGCUUGCUUGCACCUUAACUAAUUCCACAGGUAUAUGCUAUCUCCGAACUCUAUCCACUUUCCACCAAGGCUUAGACAAAUAAGAAGAGAUCACUUAGCGUUUAAGAUUUCAUGGUUCUCAAACCACUAGGGGAACCGUUGAGUGCAACAAACGUAUUCAUCUGGAUGAGCAUUGCUGAUCAUAGUGUAGGGUCGGUCUAGUAUUCGAGUUCAGUUCCAAAUUCAAUACUAGGUAAUUCUAGUCUAUCAAAAACAUACAGUGAGCUCGCUAAGAUUUUCAAGAUAACAUAAUAAGAAUCAAGUUGAAGAGCGUCUCAUAAGGUAAAGAGGAGAAAGUACAGAACAUAAGGCAAUUAUAAAGAUUAAGCAGGAAUCAUUAGAUAAAGUAGAAUUAAGUUUUGAGAAAUACAUGAUUAGUUAACAUUGCCGAUGAAUAGUAAUUUGUUUAUAGUUAUGAUGUGGAAGCAGAUAGACAUUGAGUGUUCAGAAAACGGAUUCUAUUUGGCCAGAUAAAAGAAGGCGUUGUACAGGUAGAAUUCCAUUGCUGGGGCUACAUUUGCCUUCUGAUCUAUUAUCAAAUGUUGCUUUCAACAGUCAAUUAGUGACAGCAACACCGAGAAAAUUUAAAACAUGCCACUUUUUGUGAUCACAAGUCGGUAUUGGACUUACCGAAGUGCUUGAAAGAGACGAGCCAAUCAGCCAAGCACCAUAUUCUCUAAGUUCCUGCUAAGUUGGUCUUGCUGCAUAAACGACAUGCAGUUAUUGAGAGCAUACUCAUACAAACAAACUCAUUGGACUGAAUAAUCACGAUUUUAUAUCAAGUUAGACUACAAUUUGGGAUCAGCAUAUGAAUCCUAUCCGCAUCAUUACUAUAUACAACAGAUUUAUAUGAAACCGACAAAGAAAAGACACAUCAAUAAACAUUAAAAUAGAGACGUCCAUUUAGAAUUGUUAAGCUGGAACAAGUGUAAGUAAUUAACCUUUAGAAUUUACCUGAUGAAUUAUAAGCAGUACUCCGACGUGUUUCUUCUUAAGUUUUUGAAUAAACGUAUAUGUAAAAACCAAAACUCUUACCAUGAACAUGCUUGUUUUUUCUUGAGACAGAGAUGAAAGGGCUAUUGAUGCCGACCAUCACCUUCAUGAAUUUGGGUCCAUUGAAUAUUACAUUCAGGUAAGAGCAACUAAAAACCACAAGCAUACAUUGCAUACCUGAUUGAAGUUCAUGGCACAAAAGACAAGGUUUGUCUAAAGGAAGAUCCUUCGAACUGAAGAACAAUUCAAGCAACUAGUUUUAUAUUUAAAAAACGAACUCCAAGUUGAGAAAUGCAUUUUUUUGCUAAAAUGUCUGCUGAUUUUCAACAAUCCAAAAUAUGUGUCCAUAACUUCUUUUUUUUUGAAAUAUUUUGUCAGUCAUUGGUGUCAGAUCCCGAUCAUACCUACUUAUCAAUAGCAACCCCGAUUCUGUCUCAAGCAUUCCUGGUCUCAACUCGUCUUUCACGUUACACUAUACAGAAGGUAAAGGCUAUCAGUGCUGAAGUUGUGGAGAUUGUUGAGCCUCCAAAAGAAGGAUAUCAGCUGACUAUACGACUCAAUUUUGGUAGAAUGCCGCAUGGUAAAGGUUUGGAACUCCUCUCAUCAAUGCUGCCUACCACCCCUUUAUCCUGCUUUAGAAACAUCUCAGAAGCAGAAUAAUCGAUCAUGCAAUAAUAAACAAUAAAAUGUGGCACCACAAGUGAAAACAAUAAUGAAUUUAAAGUGGUUAGCAACUGCCACUUUGUUAUGGUGAUGCUAAGAUAUAAACUGAGCCAUCAAUAGUCGAACCAAAUUGAACUUCUUUCAAUUACUACUUUGAUAGCAUUUCACACUGCGGCGGUUCUCAUAAAAUUUGUGUUGUCUUUUGUUCAUUUCAGAGGCUAUAAAAAUGAUAACAGACAUUGCUGCUGUUCAAGGUGUAAUUCUGAGUUCUCAGCUGGAAGAAAUGCUGAUGAAUGUGAAUUCACAAGAUGUGGCUCAAGGGAUGUACAAACCAAUCAAACUUGUUUAUCACCCAAGAGAGCCGUUUUAUGUCAUAAAACAGGUACUUCACAUUAUGUGAUAAUGUUUAAGGACAAGUAAAUGAACACACCAUGCAGAUAAGUAGCUCUGCGCAUCGUAAGACUAGCUCAGUUAACAUUAACUUGGCUGUAGUUGAUCCUCAUCGUCGGAACAUCAGUAGAGGGAUUAAAUUGCAAUGUAGGGCAGCCAUAAAUGCUGAAGCCCUUUCUGAGAGACAAUUAGUUCAUUUGGCAUGCAGCUGGCAAUACUCAAAAUAAUGAAGAAAAAUUAAAAAUUAAAGUGAGAACAUAUUUCCCGAAACCAUCAAAUUUCAAGACCAUUUCAGACUUUAAUAUCUACAGGUGAUUUUUCUUCAAACCAUCAAACCAAAAGUCUUACCGUCUUGGAUUGCAAACCUACUUCCAGUAAACAUACACAUUGCAAACAUUAUAUCCACAGUUAUACCGAAAGUACACACCUUAUCUCACGCCAAGUCAGGAAACUGUGAAGGAAGAACUGGUUGCAGGCACUAGAAGCAUGUUUUAGAUCAAAUUAUAAACUAUGCCAUAUAAUACUUCCAAACUACUGAGUACAGCUACUGUGUUUUGCUAAGUUCAAAAAGUAUGACACAUGCAUAGCAACUAUAUGAUGGGAUCUGAGUCAAUUUGGCAUAUUUAAAGGAACUUGAACGAAGAGAAAUAAUUGUAUUAAAAAAAUGUACAGAAAAAUUCCUUCCUAAAAUAUGAGAUUUGUUUGAGAGAAUACAGCCUCAUGCUUCUUAAUAUGUAAACUAACAUUUGUGACAGCCCCAGAAAAUCACGGCAGUAUUCCCAAUGCGUUUCAAGGAGAAAACAGAUGUGAUCAUAGCAACAACUUUCUUCCAGGUAACACAAUUUUAUAACAUGUACGACUUUGUAAUUUUAUAAGCAUGCAUCACUUUGUUCAAGUGUCCUGGACAUUGACAGUUUCCGCAGCAGGAACUCAUGGAUGUUGCAAAUACAAAAGCAUGUGCCAAGGCACCCCAUUGCAUCUGGUCCCCUAUCCCACCUCCUGAGCUAAGAGGAGAAGCAAUUGAAGACUUGAGCACAAACGGAGGAUUUGUCUCUUUUGGUAUUUUCUAUUAACAACUCACACGUCUACGCAAAUUACUGUUUCUCUCAAAUAAAUGAAAACAUUGAUAGGGGUAAAAGAAAAGUAUUUAUAGCUUUGGAGAAAAGAAAACGUACUAGAAGAACCUCCUAAAAUGAGUAGUGAUUUGAAUAAGAAAUUAAUGAAGAGAAGAGGUCUACAUGUAAGCUCAGAAGAUACAUAUAUUAGUGUUCACCUGCCUUCUCUAAAUCUUGGAAUUGGAGUUGGCCUGAUAUUUACCUUUUUAUCAUGGCAUUCACAGAUAUCACUUCACGCCAUAUUGAAGGCAAAAGGCUAGACAAGACGGUGUGGAACCUUCUGAACUUUUAUGCAUUUGUGAAAAAUCAUGUAAAGGUAAAAAACCCUUUUAAGCGUGAUAGCAUUAUAGCUGUUAACAUCUUAUGCUUAUAUUCUGCAUCAAACAGACCACUCGAGGAUUCAUACAAAGAAGGAUGAGAACAUGUCUGCAAAGCCUGGUUGAGGUAAGGAAAUGAUCAAAUAAUCAUCCGAGUGGCACAUUAUAGUUCAUGAAGUAUAAACAGUACAACCGCACUCUGAGAUAUCGAUUUUGCAAAAAUACACAGUGAUGAACUACUGUAUGAUUGCAAUUUGUAGGUCUUACAGAAAACAGAACCUCAAGAUGAGCAACAAAGUAAAGAGGUGAAAGGUAUGAACCUUUGAUUUUGAGGUCAGAAUAUUUUUGAAUAGAAACCUAAAGAGAAACUAACAAUCAAAUAUAGAACGACAUGAUUUAUGAUGCUUGUGCACAUAUAAUAGAAGCAAAGACACACAGAGAUUCUGUGAGUUUAUCAUAGGUUUCAUAAUAAAAAGAUCAUUAAUUCUAUUAGCUUGGAGCCACUUACCUUCCAUAUGAGUACUUUUUUCUUUAUUUUUUCACAGUUUUUCUAACUCUAUACAUCCUUUUUCUUUAACUUUCUGCUCACUAUUUGUCAAACAACAUUCAUGCAGGAUACAAGCACAUGAAAAAGUUGGUAAAGUUCACAAAAUUCAAAAUAAUCAGAUAUAGAAGUGAUUUCACCAGUAAACUUAAAAGGAUCCGUUCGAGAUUAAAAAUCCAUGGGUUCAACCGUUUUCGUCGAAAAUGGUUGACAUUCCCCAUCUUCUCCUCCAAGACAAAAUACAGAAAGCUGGAAAAAGAUAUUUCUCUUCAACACAAUUAAUAAAUUUUGCUUAUGGUUAGAUUUACUGAAAAGGGACAAACAUAUCCUUUAAUCAGGAUAGUUGUUACACUCUACCAUGUAAAACAUCUUUCUAUUUGUCACUUUCUCAAAUGUUGUCAAUACAUAUAGAUACUCAUGUACCAUGUACAUUGUAAAAAUAUUCAAGUAAAAUAAACGAGUUGGUUAGCAGUUUUUUUAUACUUCUAUCACAGAUUAAAUCCAGAUUUGCAUAUUACUCUAGCUGUUAAGCAAGAAAAUUCCUUUUCUAUUUGAUAACCAACAGGUUGAAAGUGAUUAUUUUAUGCAACUGUCCAUAAACAUUAUGCGUUUUCGUAAACAGCCUCUCUACCUCCAUGAGGUAGGGGUAAGGUCUGCAAUGAUAAAAACAUUUAUGAAGUGAAAAAGCUUUGUAAAAGUGGGCCUCAGGAAUGCAAAACAAAUCUAUGGGAGGAGUUUAGGCUAAUGUUUGCUUUAGAGUUGGUGACUGAAUGAGAUCAGAUUCUGAUUUCUGAUGGAACCAAUGGUUAUGCCAUAUGCCUGAAGUUUGUCUAACACAAGAAAAUAUAAGGAGAAGGGGAUUAUUUUUGCGUAAAAAUUACUAAGGAGUUCAGGGGAUUAUAUUUGCAUAACAAAUACUAAGGGGUUUAUGGGAUUAUAUUCAUGUAAGAGAUACUACUUCUGUGAUCUGGAUACUUAAGACUCAAAUCACUUGUCUUUGCAUUGUAGAUUGUACAAUGCAACGUAUAUGCUUUAAAAUAAUUCAGGCAACAGUGAUGAUAAUAAGAACCCAAAGUCCCCAACAGCAGCUUUCUGAAGCACUGGUCUAGAAAAAACCGCUAUAGGAAUGCAAAAAAACAUGGUUCACUCAUUGUUGUUCCCUGUUUGCAUUGUAUGAACUCUUCAAGAGGAAAAUCUAAUCAUCCUUAUAGCAUCAAGACUUUCUGUCUUUGUUCGUUUGGUAUAAUUUUCAUUUGCAGAUAAUGUAAAUUAAGUUUUAUAUUUCAUAGGCUCUCUACCUCUAGAACAGAGAUGGCCUAGCUUCUUUUGUAAUUGACAGCAGUCCUUGGUCCAAAAAUAAAAAUACCUAUUUUUUUCUUCUAAUUUAGUACAAAGAUACUUUAAAGACAAGUAAGGAGCUUGAUUGAUUCGAAGAGUUCUUUCUUUGGCCACCAACAUUUUGCCAUUAACAAUCAGAUGAACAUAGAAAUAUAGAAAGACAAUUAUAAUAUAAUGAAUAGUAGAAACUCUCCUUUCAUUCAACGCUAAGGUACAUUGGAAAAGACAGAAGAUCAAGAAAAACAAAAGGCUAGAAUUUCCUAUAUAGUAUAAAAAAAAAAUCUGUAAAUUCAAAACUUACAAGUAAACCACUUCUGCAGUUUUUUUCAAAUGCUUCUCUAUCGAAGAACAUCCAAAGUUUCUCAUUCUAACUCUAAUUCAGGAAGCGGACGCAUCAACACACCCUCUGAUUCAACCUGAGCUAGCAACGGUCCACUUGUAUCGCCACAUCUCAUUCUCUUAUCCCGAUUCAAGAACGCAAACAACCCAAAACUCAUGACUAUCACCACAAUAACAUGCACUAUAAACAAUAGAUGUAUCAAUGCUGUUCCCCUCAACUUAUUCUCAUCAAGAUCACAUUUAACAUCAUUUUUCCCGUUCGAUAAACCCACCAAAAGAUUCUCACAUCCAUCUAAUGAAAACAUAUCAGUAUAUAAUGACAACCCAACUUGCAAAACCCAAGUCCCUUUCAACACAAGUACACAGGAAAACAAAAACUCCACAAAAAACAAAGAUGGCUUUACUGCUAGACACAAGCAACAACCACCACAAACAAAUGCCAACUCCCCAAAUGUCCAUACAUACCACCACUAACACCAACAAGUCCUUUCCCAUUCAUCAAGAAUUCAACAGCAAAACAAACACCAGCAAAACUGUAAACCAAACUAUCAAGAAUUGCAUAAAGAUCAAAACUUUCUUUAACAACAAUAAGAAUCAUAAACACCCAGAAGAAGAAAAUGACUACAGAUUGCUGUAAGAAUGAGAACUUAUACACUACAUUGUUCCCUGAGAAAGCUAAGAACAGAAAUAUAUGAGAGAAAGAGGCAAUAGGUAAAAUGAUUAAAAGGGAGUAUAAAUCAAGAUUUUUCCAUCUGACUUCUGAGAAAUACCAUGUUUUUGAUCUAUAGAGUGAUGGGUUUUUGAGGUAAUUGCAGAUGCAGCAAAGAAGACGAUGAAUACCAAGUGUAAAAAGGAUAACAAAUGCUGAAAAAUGGGUAGCUAAUGACAUCUCAAAAUGAGACAAUUUUGGAUUUUUUUUAAAGGAUUUUGAUGAGAUUAAGGAGAAAUGGAAGAUUGUUUCAAGUUCAUCAAUUGUGAUGUUUGUUUUAGCAAAAGUCAAUACCUGAAAAAUCCCAAACGCCGGCUGAUGGCAAGAAAGGAGAAAGAAAGCUUCAAAAUUGAAGAAGUGUUUAUUAUUAAUGGAUCCCUCUAAGUUUGUUGUUUGUUACUUUGAACCCCUAUAGACAACUUCUGAAUUUUAUUUAGACAUUAAAACUACCUUCUGUUUCGAUUGAACACUUGAAUACACGAAGAUGUUGAGAUUUUCAACAUGAAAAUUUCUAGGGGUUUUACGAUUUAUAAUUUAUGUACAAAGUUAUUUCAAAGUUGAAGUACUUCUAUUUGAUUGGAGCAUUUUUUUUUGUUUCACAUUCGAUAUUCGAGAUUUACAUUAAAAAUCGAGUAAAUCCAAAUUCGUAUCGAGAACUCUCACAUUGGAGAUAAAGCAUUCCCUAAUAAAGGCAAUUCCGUACUUGAGGGAAUUCGAACCUGAGACCUCUUGAAGCAAAUUAUUAUGUGUUUAAGUUUUCUAAUUCGAAUACAUAAAAAAAAAUUGAUAGCAAGUUUAAAAGAUUCCCUAUAUAUAUAUGCAAGUCCUUUUCUUUUUGUUCUUUUGCGGUUUAUAAGUAUUAGAGGUAUUUUUAAAGUAAAAUUAUUUUUAUAAUAUAAAAUAUUAUUAUUAUUAUUAUUAUUUUAUCAUAUAGAAAAUAGGCAAGUUUCACAUAUAACAAACAAAAAAUUCAUAUUUGUAUGCUAUAGUAAAGUUAGCAUAAUUUCGCUCCAUAGCAAAUCUAUAACUGUAUAAUUCGCUAUACAUAUACAACUGUAUAAUUCGCUGGCCUAAAUUGUAUAAUUCGUUGCCCUCUUUAUACAUAUACAAUUGUAUGAUUCGCUGGCCUAAAUUGUAUAAUUCGCUGUCCUAUUUCGCUGCAAUUGUAUAAUUCGCUGACCUAUUUCACUGCAAUUGUAUAAUUCGCUGGCCGAUUUCGCUGCAAUAUGUGUAUAAAAUUUGUUUUGCAUACAAUUGAAUCGAAGUAAAAUGUUUGUAUAUUGUAUAAUUAUAAGUGUAUAGGAAGAAGAUAUAUGUUUUUCUCUCGCUUUAUACAAAAAUAGAAACACAAUUUAUACACUUCUGUUAUAUAAAACUAGAGAAAAUUUUAUUUUACUGUAAUUGUAUAAUUCACUGGUCUUUUCCGCUGCAAUAUUUGUAUAAAAUUUGCAUUUGUAUACAAUUGAAUCAAAGUAAAAUGCUUGUAAACUGUAUAAUUAAGUGUAUAGCACAAAGAUAUAUGUUUUUGCAUGUGUAUAUACAAUUUUCUCUCGCUUUAUACAAAACAGAAACACAAAUUAUACACUUCUGUUGUAUAAAGGGAAUGAGGCGAGCAGAGUGAGAGUGACGAGCGAGAAUGGGAACGUGGCGAGCCAGAGUUUUGGGAGAGAGGCGACUGACAAACUUUGACAAACGUUUACUAUAGGGCACAAUUAAAUCAAACAGUAGCUACUCCAUUUAUUUUAGAUUAUUAAUUUGAUAUCAUAUACAAUUAUCCCAAAAAUACAAGAAUGAUCCAUGGGUAACACAACCAUUUAUAGCUUUUUCAUUUGAGGUUUUUUUUUUUUUAAAAAAAAAAAAAAAACGAGAAGUCUUAUUUUCUGGGGCAUUUGUGAUAUUUUUAAUAGUGGAAUCUCAGCUAUAUAUAUUCAUACAUGUAUUUGAUUGAAAUCAUAUUGAAAAGAAAAAAAGUUCAUCAAAUCAAAGAAAACAAAUUCUAAUAUCAAAGACGUUUGAAUGUCACAACAAUUAUAUAAUUUGUGAUACAAACAACUUGAAUAAUAUAAUUCAAACAAAUAACAACACAAAAUUGAUAAUUGAAUAAAAAUAUUCUCCAUUAAUAACGUUUAGAUUAUCUAUUAUUAUUACUAAAUCUUAAAAUAUUUGAUGUUCUCUAAAAUAUUCUAGUUAAAUAAAUUGUACACAUAAUUUUUAUUUGAAUUCUUUGAUUAGUGACACUUUAACUCAUCAAUUUACAUAAAAGAUGAAGCUACACUUUAAUGUGGAUACUAUCGGUAGUUCUCGCUUACUGUCUACUUAUCUACGUGCUUGUAAUUCCAAAAAUUCCUGACCGAUUGAUUACUGAAUGGGCUACCAAAAUUUUGUUUAGGCUUGCUGUUGAUGUCAUAACCUAAUUCCUUGCUAAUGUGGUAGUAUUGCUUGCUAAUUUUUUAAAUAGAAGAGACUAUUUUAAAAGAAAAUCAAGGUGAAUAGUUGAAUAUUUAUUCAUAUAAAUAAAUUGAACAAUACAAACAUUAGAAAGAGAUAAAGAGUACAUAAUCUAGGUAUUGAAUAUUAAAUAUUGUACUACCAAUUGCAUUUUCUUAAAUUAUUUUUGUAAAUUUAGUAUCAUUUCAAAAGAAAGAUUUUUUGAAACUUGCAUUUGUCGAUCUUCUUCAAUUGCUUCCAUGUAUUCAUCACUAUUCUCAUCAAAUAUUUCAUCUAUUUGGUUCAUUACCAGUCGGAAAAGAACCGGUUCAACCAAUUUAAAAUUCGAUUGAACUAGUACCGGACGGACGGGUAAGGGAAUCGAACCUGACUGGACGGACCGAUAAGGGAAUCGGAUCGGGCCGGACAAAAAUCGAUCUAUCUGCCAAUCUUAUUUUGAAGAAAUCAUUCGGUCAGGAUUGUUCGGAACUAGAAAGAUACACAGAAGUCCACGGUGAGUGAGAACUAACGCUAGCAUCCUCAAACCAAAUGUUCUUACCGAUGACUCCAUAUCCCAUUCACUUAAAUGAAACACCGAUGCAACAAUUGAUCAAAUAAGUUUUUUUUUGAAGGAUAAAGCCAUUGAAUUGAGCUUUUCUAUCACGAUCCAAAAAUGGACGUGAUGUCACUCGUCUUAUUCCACCAAAAUAAGUCGACCUAAAACUUGACUAUUACAAUAAAAUGCGAAAAUUGACUCAAAAGUACCCAAAAUUUGAUUGUCACGUGUACAAGCCUCUAAAGUAUUUCAAUUUAUUCGAGAAAAAAAAUGAAAAAAAUGUAUAUUUAUAGUGUAAAUGAGUUAGAAAGGAGUGGGGAAUUUUUUUACCGUUUUGGGCCCCAUCCCAACAGCUAAAAGGGCCCAACAGUCGAAUUAAAGGAUACUUAAAAAAAAUUUAAAAAAUCGGGUAAAUCGGUUCCUUACCGGUUCAACUGGUAAUGGACAAAACGGUACGGGAACCAAACUGAAACCGGACCGGAUCGGAUAAAAAACGGUCCGUCUACCACUCUUAUUUUUACGUAAUCAUUCGAUCAAAUAUGUUUGGACCUACAAAGACACAUUGAAGUCCAUGCGUUAGUGAGAACUAACGCUAGCAUCCACAAACCAAGUGCUAUUACCGAUGACUUCAUAUUACUUGUCAGCUAAAUGAAACAUCGAUGCAAUAAUUAACCAACUCAAUUUUUGUUUGAAGGAUAAAGCCAUUGAAUUGAACUUUUAUUUUUCUUAGCAAGAUAGAAUAUGAGCGAUGAAUCAGAAGCUUUACGAAAUUUGAACAAAAAAACAUUUUCGAAAUCCAAAAUUUUGAACAUCCAAAGUUUUUCAUCCUAACUCUAAUUCAGAAAGCGGACGCAUCAGCACACCCUCUAAUCCAACCUGAGCUAGCAAUGGUCCACUUGUCUCGCCACAUCACAUUCUCUUAUCCCGAUUCAAGAACGCAAACAAGCCAAAACUCAUGAACAUCACCAUAAUAACAAGUCAUAAAACAAGGAUUUUACCUAAUAAUGCAAGAACCAUGAUCAUGAAGAUUAGCAAGCGAUACUACCACAUUAGCAAGGAAUUGGGUUAUAACAUCAACAGCAAGCCUAAACAAAAUUUUGGUAGCCCCUUCAGUAAUCAAUCGGUUAGGAAUUUUUGGAAUUACAAGCACGUAGAUAAGUAGACAGUAAGCGAGAACUACCGAUAGUAUCCACAAAAGAAAUAUUGGUACCGAUAACUGCAUACUGUAUGUCACGACAAUGGCCCAGCUAUAUGAAAAAGUAAUGCAGCACUUAACAAAAUCAUUUUUUCUUUGACAAAUAAAGCCAUUGAACUUUUUUUUUUCUUUAGAAAGAUAGAAGAUGAGUAAUGAAGUUUGUUAAGUUCCCUGUAAGAACUUUCUAUGAGCAGAAAGGGGUAUAUCGGACCAGACCGGACGGACGGGUAAGGGAAUCGGACCUGACUUGAUGGACCGAUAAGGAAAUCGGAUCGGACCGGACAAAAAUCGAUCUAUCUGCCACUCUUAUUUUGACGAAAUCAUUCGGUCAGGAAUGUUUGGAACUAGAAAGAUACACAGAAGUCCACGGUGAGUGAGAACUAACGCUAGCAUCCUCAAACCAAAUGUUCUUACCGAUGACUCCAUAUCCCAUUCAUCUAAAGGAAACACCGAUGCAACAAUUGAUCAAAUAAGUUUUUGUUUGAAGGAUAAAGCCAUUGAAUUGAGCUUUUCUGUCACGAUCCAAAAAUGGACGUGAUGUCACUCGUCUUAUUCCACCAAAAUAAGUCAACCUAAAACUUGACUAUCACAAUAAAAUGCGAAAAUUAACUCAAAAGUACCCCAAAAUUUGAUUGUCACGUGUACAAGCCUCUAAAGUAUUUCAAUUUAUUCGAGAAAAAAAAUGGAAAAAAUGUGUAUUUAUAGUGUAAAUGUGUUAGAAAGGAGUGGGGGUAUUUUUUUACCGUUUUGGGCCCAUCCCAACAGCUAAAAGGGCCCAACAGUCGAAUUAAAGGAUACUUAAAAAAAAUUAAAAAAAUCGGGUAAAUCGGUUCCUUAUCGGUUCAACUGGUAAUGGACAAAACGGUACGAGAACCAAACUAAAAACUGGAUCGGAUCGGAUCGGAUAAAAAAUGGUCCGUCUACCACUCUUAUUUUUGCGUAAUCAUUCGAUCAAAUAUGUUUGGAACUACAAAGACACAUUGAAGUCCAUGCGUUAGUGAGAACUAACGCUAGCAUCCACAAACCAAGUGCUCUUACCGAUGACUUCAUAUUCCUUGUCAGCUAAAUGAAACAUCGAUACAACAAUUAACCAACUUAGUUUUUGUUUGAAGGAUAAAGCCAUUGAAUUGAACUUUUAUUUUUCUUAGCAAGAUAGAAUAUGAGCGAUGAAUCAGAAGCUUUACAAAAUUUGAACAAAAAAACAUUUUCGAAAUCCAAAAUUUUGAACAUCCAAAGUUUUUCAUCCUAACUCUAAUUCAGAAAGCGGACGCAUCAGCACACCCUCUAAUCCAACCUGAGCUAGCAAUGGUCCACUUGUCUCGCCACAUCACAUUCUCUUAUCCCGAUUCAAGAACGCAAACAACCCAAAACUCAUGAACAUCACCACAAUAACAAGUCAUAAAACAAGGAUUUUACCUAAUAAUGCAAGAACCAUGAUCAUGAAGAUUAGCAAGCGAUACUACCACAUUAGCAAGGAAUUGGGUUAUAACAUCAACAGCAAGCCUAAACAAAAUUUUGAUAGCCCCUUCAGUAAUCAAUCGGUUAGGAAUUUUUGGAAUUACAAGCACGUAGAUAAGUAGACAGUAAGCGAGAACUACCGAUAGUAUCCACAAAAGAAAUAUUGGUACCGAUAACUGCAUACUGUAUGUCAUGACAAUGGCCCAGCUAUAUGAAAAAGUGAUGCAACACUUAACCAAAUCAUUUUUUCUUUGACAAAUAAAGCCAUUGAACUUUUUUUUUCUUUAGAAAGAUAGAAGAUGAGUAAUGAAGCUUGUUAAGUUCCCUGUAAGAACUUUUUAUGAGCAGAAAGGGGUAUAUCAGACCAGACCGGACGGACGGGUAAGGGAAUCGGACCUGACUGGACGGACCGAUAAGGGAAUCGGAUCGGCCGGAUAAAAAUCGAUCUAUCUGCCACUCUUAUUUUGACGAAAUCAUUCGGUCAGGAAUGUUUGGAACUAGAAAGAUACACAGAAGUCCACGGUGAGUGAGAACUAACGCUAGCAUCCUCAAACCAAAUGUUCUUACCGAUGACUCCAUAUCCCAUUCAUCUAAAGGAAACACCGAUGCAACAAUUGAUCAAAUAAGUUUUUGUUUGAAGGAUAAAGCCAUUGAAUUGAGCUUUUCUGUCACGAUCCAAAAAUUGACGUGAUGUCACUCGUCUUAUUCCACCAAAAUAAGUCAACCUAAAACUUGACUAUUACAAUAAAAUGCGAAAAUUAACUCAAAAGUACCCAAAAUUUGAUUGUCACGUGUACAAGCCUCUAAAGUAUUUCAAUUUAUUCGAGAAAAAAAAUGGAAAAAAUGUAUAUUUAUAAUGUAAAUGAGUUAGAAAGGAGUGGGGGUAUUUUUUUACCGUUUUGGGCCCCAUCCCAACAGUUAAAAGGGCCCAACAGUCGAAUUAAAGGAUACUUAAAAAAAAUUUAAAAAAUCGGGUAAAUCGGUUCCUUACCGGUUCAACUGGUAAUGGACAAAACGGUACGGGAACCAAACUUAAACCGGACCGGAUCGAAUAAAAAAUGGUCCGUCUACCACUCUUAUUUUUGCGUAAUCAUUCGAUCAAAUAUGUUUGGAACUACAAAGACACAUUGAAGUCCAUGCGUUAGUGAGAACUAACGCUAGCAUCCACAAACCAAGUGCUCUUACCGAUGACUUCAUAUUCCUUGUCAGCUAAAUGAAACAUCGAUGCAACAAUUAACCAACUUAGUUUUUGUUUGAAGGAUAAAGCCAUUGAAUUGAACUUUUAUUUUUCUUAGCAAGAUAGAAUAUGAGCGAUGAAUCAGAAGCUUUACAAAAUUUGAACAAAAAAACAUUUUCGAAAUCCAAAAUUUUGAACAUCCAAAGUUUUUCAUCCUAACUCUAAUUCAGAAAGCGGACGCAUCAGCACACCCUCUAAUCCAACCUGAGCUAGCAAUGGUCCACUUGUCUCGCCACAUCACAUUCUCUUAUCCCGAUUCAAGAACGCAAACAACCCAAAACUCAUGAACAUCACCACAAUAACAAGUCAUAAAACAAGUAUUUUACCUCAUAAUGCAAGAACCAUGAUCAUGAAGAUUAGCAAGCGAUACUACCACAUUAGCAAGGAAUUGGGUUAUAACAUCAACAGCAAGCCUAAACAAAAUUUUGGUAGCCCCUUCAGUAAUCAAUCGAUCAGGAAUUUUUGGAAUUACAAGCACGUAGAUAAGUAGACAGUAAGCGAGAACUACCGAUAGUAUCCACAAAAGAAAUAUUGGUACCGAUAACUGCAUACUGUAUGUCACGACAAUGGCCCAGCUAUAUGAAAAAGUGAUGCAGCACUUAACCAAAUCAUUUUUUCUUUGACAAAUAAAGCCAUUGAACUUUUUUUUUCUUUAGAAAGAUAGAAGAUGAGUAAUGAAGCUUGUUAAGUUCCCUGCAAGAACUUUUGAUGAGCAGAAAGGGGUAUAUCAAUGGCGAUUUAACAAUCUAAGAAGAGAAGAAAGUAACUGUUUCAUUGUAUUAAAGCUUCAAUGAAAAAAUAUCUAAUACAAGCUAUUUAUAGACAUACUAAAUAUAGUAGAUUAUAAAGUUGUGGUGACAAAUACACGGGUUGGAUUAAUUGUGGCGAUUUAAAAAUGGGUAAACAUAAAAUGAAUAAUCAUUCAAUCCGUCCAUAUAUAAUAUGGACAAAACUGAGUUGGGUAUUAAGUGGGUCGAGUAAAAUACAAUUUACAUAUAUUUCAUGAAUAAAUAGUUCUUUACUUAAGAAUUUAAUAUAGAGAAAAUAUUUUAGUCUUUUUUUUUAGUUUUAAUUUAUUAUAAAAGUAAAAAAACUUAAAAAAAAGUUUCGAGGUUGGGUGGGGGGAUAGGGGAUGCCGGGGGUGGUGAAAAAAUUUGAAGUUAAAAAUAUUUUUCAAACAAACUUAAUAUUUAUGAAGGGAGUGGGGUUGGUUGGGGGUAGGGGGACGAUGGUUGGGGUGGGAUGGGUCCAGGGUAGGGUGAAAAAAUAAAUAUUUGAAGUUGAAAAUAUUUUUUUAAAACAAACUUAAUUUUUAUUGGGUGGGGAUAGGUGGGGAGAGUGAUUGGGGGAGAGGGGGCUGGUGUGGGGUGGGUUGCAGGAGGUCGAGGGUGGGGUGAAAAAAAUGAAAUUUUGAAGUUCAAAAUAUUUUUAAAAGGGAAAAGGGUCAAAUAUACCCCUAAACUUUUCGAAAAGGUCUGAAUAUGACCCCCGUUUAAAGUUUGGUCCAUUUAUACUCUCGCCGUCCAACUAUUGAUCCAAAUAUGCCCUUAUGGGCGUUAGUUGGCCACCUCGAAAUAUCCAACUCAUUUUACUUUUCUUUAAAUGCCCAAAUGAAUUUUUCACGUCAUUUUAAUAUUUCAACUUGACAUUUAUAUUAUAAAAGAGAAAGGGUCACAUAUGCCCCUAAUAAUCCGACCCAUUAAAAACACUUUUAUGACCAUAUUUUAAAUGACCUAUAUGACCCCUCUUUUAAAUAACUUAUACGAUCCAUAUCCGAUCCAAAACCCAUCCUUUUUAACCCACAACAAAUCCCUAAUUUCCUAAAUUUCAUUUUCACUGAAAGAACGUUGCGGUGCUGCUAGGGUUCUUGGAGACUUACACAAAUUGCGGCGCUAGGGUUAGAAAAUCUACGAGUUGAAGGUAAGUUUUCUCCUUUCAGUAAAUUAUAUAUUCGAUUAGGGUUACAUUUUCUUGUUAGUUAGGGUUAUUUAAGUAAAGUCGACGGCAUGUGUUGUAUUUGAUUCCCUUCGCUAUCGUAGAACAUCCGCAGUUUCUCAUCCUAACUCUAAUUCAGGAAGCGGACACAUCAGCACACCCUCUAAUCCAACCUAAGCUAGCAAUGGUCCACUUAUAUCGCCACAUCUCAUUCUCUUAUCUCAAUUCAAGAACGCAAACAACCCAAAAUUCAUGACCAUCAGCACAAUAACAUGCACUAUAAGCCAAAGUUUAUAUUGAAUUUAGAGUUUGAAAUUUAAUUUAAAGUUUAAAGUUUAUAUUGAAUUUAAAGUUUGAAAUUGAAUUUAAAGUUUAAAAUUUAUAUAAAAUACAAAGUCUGAAAUUGAAUUUAAAGUUUAAACUUUAAAGUUUAUAAUGGAUGUAAACUUUCAAAGUUUAAACUUUAAACCUUAAAAUUCAAUUUUAUAUUAAUGUUUAAAGUUUAAUCUAAUAUUAAAAUAAUUAACAAUUAAAUUUGUAAAAUGACAAGAAUUAAAUAGAAGAGACUAUUUUAAAAGAAAAUCAAGGCGAAUAGUUGUAUAUUUAUUCAUAUAAAUAAGUUGUACAAUACAAAUAUUAGAAAGAGAUAAAGAGUACAUACUCUAGGUAUUGAAUAAUAAAUAUUGUACUAACAAUUGCAUUUUCUUAAAUUAUUUUUUGCAAAUUUAGUAUCAUUUCAAAAGAAAGAUUUUUUUGAAACUUGCAUUUGUCGAUCUUCUUCAAUUGCUUCCAUGUAUUCAUCACUAUUCUCAUCAAAUAUUUCAUCUAUUCAGUUCCUUACCUGUCGGAAAAGAACCGGUUCAACCAAUUUAAAAUUCUAUUGAACCAGUACCGGACAGACCGGUAAGGGAAUCGGACUAGACCGGACGGACGUGUAAGGGAAUCGGACCUGACUGGACGGAUCGAUAAGGGAAUCGGACCGGACCGGACAAAAAUCGAUCCAUUUGCCACUCUUAUUUUGACUAAAUCAUUCGGUUAGGAAUGUUUAGAACUACAAAGAUACAUAGAAGUCCACGGUGAGUGAGAACGCUAGCAUCCUCAAACCAAAUGUUCUUACCGAUGACUCCAUAUCCUAUGUCAUCUAAAUGAAACAUCGAUGCAACAAUUGAUCAAAUCAGUUUUUGUUUGAAGGAUAAAGCCAUUGAAUUGAGCUUUCCGGUAACGAUCCAAAAAUGAACGUGAUGACACUCGUCUUAUUCCACCAAGAUAAAUCAACCUAAAACUUGACUAUUACAAUAAAAUGCGGAAAUUAAAUAAGUUACUCAAAAGUAUCCCAAAAUUUGGUUGUCACGUGUACAAACUUCUAAAGUAUUUCAAUUGAUUCGAGAAAAAAAUGAAAAAAGGUAUAUUUAUAGUGUAAAUGAGUUAGAAAGGAGUGGAGAUAUUUUUUGACCGUUUUGGGCCCCAUCCCAACGACUAAAAGGGCCCAACAGUCAAAUUAAUGGAUACUUAAAAAAAAUUAAAAAAUUGGGUAAAUCGGUUCCUUACCGGUUCAACUGGUAAUGGACAAAACGGUGCGGGAACCAUACCGAAAUCAGACCAGAUCGGAUAAAAAAUGAUCCGUCUACCACUCUUAUUUUUGCGUAAUCAUUCGAUCAAAUAUGUCUGCAACUACAAAGAUACACUGAUAUCCACCGUUAGUGAGAACUAACGCUAGCAUCCACAAACCAAGUGCUCUUACCGAUGACUGCAUAUUCCUUGUCAGCUAAAUGAAACACCGAUGCAACAAUUAACCAACUCAGUUUUUGUUCGAAGGAUAAAGCCAUUGAAUUGAACUUUUAUUUUUCUUAGCAAGAUAGAAUAUGAGUGAUGAAUCAGAAGCUUUACAAAAUUUGAACGAAAAAGCAUUUUCGAAAUCCAAAAUUUUAAACAAAAAAGCUAUUUUCGAAUUUCCCGCCUAAACCAAAAUUAUGAACAAAGAUGUUUCGGAUUCCCGCUUAAACCAAAAAUUAUAAUGGAAAUCUAUAGUGUAUUUUAGGUACAACUGAAAUUUAUCCCUAAAUACUACUAAAAAUAGGAAUUAGUGAUAGGUCAAAUUUUAUAAUUAACUAAUAAAAGUCAUGGACUUAAAGUUCUGAUUUUAUUUUUCUUUAAAUAAUCUAUCAUUUCUUUAUUCAAUAAUUUAUCAUUUAGGAGUAGAUUUAUAAUAGUGUAAAUACAAUGAUAGUUUAUUUAACGUUCGAUGAGCAGAAUCAAUAAUAUUAAAAAAGAGAGUUAAUUAAAAUAUAAUGAUAUAUAUAUAUAUAAAGUGUUUUAAGAUUUAUCAUUACUAACAUGUAAAGUGAAUGAUAGAUAAUUUAAAAAUGCGUCUAAAGUCAUAAUAUGACAGAGUAGCUAAUUUUCUUGGUUUUUUCAAAAAUAUCCCUACAAAAACAUUUUUAUUUUGAAUUGGCACAAUACAUAAACAUACAUUUAAUUCCACUGUCAUUUAUAUUCUUCAAUUUUGAAUGUGCACACGUAAAUAUUUAUAUCGUAUUACAUGUAAUACAUGAUGAAUGUGAAUUCACGAGAUGUGGCUCAAGGUAUGUACAAACCAAUCAAACAUCACCCAAGAGAGCCGUUUUAUGUCAUAAAAUAGGUACUUCACAUUAUGUGAUACUUUCUUUAUUCACUGAAUAUACAAUUUCAAAUUUUAUGACAAGUAAAUGAACACGCUAUGCAGAGUGAUUAUUCUUCAAACCAUCAAACCAAAAGUCUUACCGUCUUGGAUUGCAAACCCUACUUGCAGUAAACAUACAAAUUUAUCGACCAUUUACUUAUCCAAUUAAAUAUUUUCAUUAUCUUCAUAUUCAUUGCGUAGAAGUUACGAUGACGAUCUAUAAAGCCAAGUAGACAUGCUCAUUUGACAAACAAUUAAGUUGCUUCCAUGAAGCUUCACAAGACAUUGUCACAUACUAUUAUAUUAACGGCUGGAAAUUCUUAUUUGAAUGCAUAAAAUAUGAAACAAGAAAAACAUUUAUGACUUUACAAAAUACAAAAUCAAAUUUCCCAUCUUAGAGUCAAAAUUAUAUAUUUGUCUUCAAACAUUUUUACACCGUUUAGUUAUUAUCCACUAAUUGCAUGCCACCUAGCAUUCCAUGUUUUUUUUUUUUGGAUCCUUUAAGAUUUCGUGUAUAAUUCAGAACCAUAGAGGUUCAAAACAUGGGUUAAAAUCACACAAUUAUGUUGUGAUGAUCGGGACUGCUUCAAUCUUAAUCAAACGUUUCGAGUUUGAAUCCAUGCAAAUGAAAAAAGAAUAUGUUGAAAACGCUACGCUCAAAAAUAAAUUAGAUAAUGCGUGAAUUUAGUUGACUCUACUAUAAAUAAUGAACAUCUAAUGAAAACUUAAAAAAUUAACAACCUAGUCACGUAAAUUUCACAAAACUUUAUUUAAAUUGUUUUGAUUUGUAUCUUAAUUUGAUUAUACACGAAAUUAAUGAUGCAAAAAUACAUGUGAGAAAAAGAAAAGGUUCAAACUCCAAAAUUGAAAAAAAAAAUCAAUUGAUCAAAAGGGCACCACUUGGCAUAUGGAUAUGAUCAAGAUUACAAUGGUAGACCCUACAUGAAGAGAAAGAACCACUAGAAUAGUAGAUACAGAUCUCCAAACUGAUGGGAUAAAUAAAUAAAAUAAAAUAUUGGAAACAGAUAUAAAUGAUAAAGUUAUCUUCAUAUUACGUAUAGAUUACAACAAAGAGACGUUCAAUAACAACAGACUUUUUCCCUUUAGCGACAAUAUAUAUUACCAAAAAUACAUUUAGCAGCACUUGAGUUAAUAUGUAUCACUAUAUUCAGAAUCACUGAAACAUUUAACAAUAUUAAUAUAGAGUGUUGGUUACAAAUAUUCUAAUUUAUUAUUGCCGUGAAAUCCAUUAUAUGUUAUAGUUAUAUCAUAUUUAAAUUAAGGCACACCAUUCGAACGCAACACUAUUCGAUUUAUAUUAUCAGACUUUUUUAAAAAAAAUAAAUAAAAUAUGUGGACCAUUAAAAAAUCAAGAAGAAUCUUUUAUUUUUCAAGUAAAAAAUUUGAAAAAAACCAAAAUCCAAUAAAAAGAAGAAAAAAGACAAUCAAAAGCUAGCAAAUACAAUUGUGUGGCUCUAAAUUUGCCUCUUCAUUACCACUCAAAAUACAAACCAAACAUAAAAGGCUACAAAAAUUACAACAACAACCUACCUUCAUAAACCACACAAAAAAAUCUUAUAACAUAAGCUCAAAAACCCCCCUUAGCUCCAUUAUCAUCACUUUUAUAUUCAAGAAUAUUAUUUACUACUAGUAGUCCUAAGAAAAAAGGUUAUUUGAAUGGCAAUUACAAGUUCAAUUGCAACAACUUCAUUUUCUUCAUGUGUUAGUGGUGAAGAUUAUGGUAAGUUUAUGAGGAAAGUGCAACCAUUAAUGAAUGUUAAAUUUGGAAAGGCAGUGAGAUCAAGGAUAAUGAUGGGUAAUGUUAAUGAUGGAAAAGGAUUAUUUGCACCAAUUGUUGUUAUCACUAGGAAUAUUGUUGGCAAAAAAAGAUUCAAUCAACUUAGGGGCAAAGCUAUUGCUUUACACUCUCAGGUAAUUUAUCAUUUGCUCGAUAUCCGUUAUUAUCCAUCAGCAUAGAUGUCGUAUAAUUUUAAAUGUCUAUCGAGUGCAUAUGAGCAGAAAUCAUUUUGUUUUUGAAGAAAUUUUAUGUUUUUCAUUCAUAAAAUUGUCUACUAACAAUUUUUGUCUUUGCUUAUAUUGUUUUUGGGUAGAUCUAGUCUUUCUUUAGUGUUGAUAUUAUUGAAUAUGAUCUAUGAAAGUUCUAAUUUGGGGAUAAAGUCAAUAAAAAUAGCAAAGUUAAUUGGUGAAAAAUGAUGAAUUGUAAAUUAAUUUGUGAUGUUCAAAUUGAGAAUUAGAUAUAUAAGUUUAGUCUAUUUGGACUGAUUUUGGAUUUAUGACAAGAAUUUUCAAGUGUUAUGCAUUUAAAAUCAUUAAUUCUUAAUUUAAUAUUAAGUCUAAGCUUAGAGGUUUUAGUUCUCAAAAUUCUAGUUUAUUGUUCUAAACAAGUAGGUUAAGCUUUUCAAUGUUGGAUUUGACUAAUAUAUGUCAUGUAAUAUUAAAUUUAUUUCAUUUACUUUUUCAAAAGUAAACUUGAAAAAAAGUAAACAAACUCAAACAAUUCAUAAAAGAUUUCAAAGAGGACAAUUUGUUAGUAUGUUUCUCAAGUUAAAUGUGGUAUUUGAGUCUCCAAAAAGGAUAAAGGCCAAGAGGUCACAAUUUCAAUGGUAAUAUCAACCACCCAUAGUAGUGAUGGGCUUGUAGGUAACCCCCAACCCCCAUCCCACUACCCCACUCUUCUACUUACCUAGAGGUCUGAGGUACGAGCCUCUGAAAUGAAAUCGCCUUGGGUAGGGACUACGCGUUUUAUCUCUAAAAGUGGAACUUCCGAACACGAAUCUGCUAGAUUAGUUGGGUACCAAUUGCAAGUAUUCUUAACUAGAUGUCUGGAGUUCGAGUCUUGAAAAUGAAAUUUCCUUUGAUAGGGACCAUUUUACACCUAAAGAGGAACUUCCAACACUCGUCCACCAGAUUAGUCAGGUACCAAUCGUAAAUACCCCUCCCCCUAUCCUUAACUACAGGUCUGCAGUUCGAGUCUUUGAGAAUGAAGUCACCUUUGAUAGGAACCAUUAGAUUAUUAAACCCUAAGGUGGAACUUCCCGGUGCGGAAACCAAAGCUAAUGUUGAUGGAUUUGUUUGAUCAGGUAAUCACAGAGUUUUGCAAGUCAAUAGGAGCAGAUCAGAAGCAAAGGCAAGGAUUAAUUCGAUUGGCAAAGAAGAAUGGUGAAAAACUUGGAUUUCUUGCUUGAUGGAUGGCACAAAAUUAAUCAUUAUUGCCAAUGUGUUAUGAUCAAAUAGCUAUAGCCUCUUUUGUGUAAUUGAGACAAAUCAAUCAGAUACAACUUUAAUUUUAUGUAUUAUUCAAACAUAUAUAUAUGUGCUUUGUAGUCUAGAAAAUGUUGUCUUCAUGAUUUCAAUUUUUAACUUUUCACUCGAAAUUGGUUAAGUAUUAAACUUAAAUUGUCGCGUGGAAGAGGAAUUUAAAUUAAAAGACCUAAGAAAUAAAUUUCUUUAACGUCUAGGUUUUGGUGAACGAAGGCACAUCACACCCGUAUUUGAGAGACAUAAUAUAUAAACAGACCUUAGCUGACAAUUCUACUAUCAUAAAAUUAAACAAAUAAACAUACGUAGAAAAACUCACACAAUUUGGGAUGUUUAACCAUGUGAGUCUACGCGUUCAACUUUACUUUAUGAUAAUUUAAGUAAAUACUUGGUGCAUUUCUAUCUACGUUCCUCCAAAAUUCUAUUAUACAAGCACUAAAGAGGCUCAUUUUGAAGCAUUAAAUUACCCAAUGAAUCGACUAAGCUUUCUCCCAUAGAGUCUACUUGAGAUAUAAAGUGAUACCACAUAAAUAACAAACAUCAGAACAAAAUCUUUAAUGCAAUACAUCCAAACAUACAUCAAGUUCGAAUAAAUUUCAAUAAGAUCAAAAUUUGCAGCAGACAAGCGCAAAAAAGUGCUAAUCGUACAAUUUCAGUAUUGGUAAAGAGCUUAAGGAGUGGUGUUAAUUCCACACGAUAAAGAAAUUUCACACAGUAUAUCGGCUCUUAGCUGACCUCUCUCUUUUAGAAUCAUCCUGCAAUGACCAAAAUAAUACGUUGAUUAAGAAAGAACGAACAUCAAGAGGAAAGAUAAAAGACCAUUGAAUUUGCAAUAAUUGUAAGUGAUGAGAGGGAAGUUACAUGGAAACUAUAGGAUAUCUUUUCGGCAUCAAUGAUCUCCUUCCACUUCCUACCAAUGCCCAUCUACAACAUAGAACAAACCAGUUAUUUAUAAAAUGCAAAACCAUGGAGCAUCACGCCAGGAGGCAAAACAGUUCUUCAGACUACAGAGAUGUUAGAAGACCAAAAAAAGGCAUACAUACGUGAUUACAGACAAUACAAGGGAAUAAUAUACUAAAGAGACCUGAAAAACCCCUAGUUGAGCAAUGUAAAAGAAUUUCAAUUCACAACUUGUGUAUUACAAUGCUGUAAGAUGAACAUGUACAUAGGAUUACUAAACGGAGAAUGACGAAUACUUGGGGAAAACAUUCAAAUUAUACCAUCUUGGGUUUAGUAUCAAUGUGCUAAUUUCAUACAUCAAGAGAAGUUAAUGCAUAGCAAAACUAUCACAGCACAAUUUGGUACUUAAGCAAUCAGAAUGUUGUCCCUUCCUCAGUUUACUAUCAUCAGAUGAUACCGGUUUCACCACAGUAAUCCAGGCUGUUGAGUUAUAUAGUUCUUACAUGGAUCAUGGGAGGGCAUUCAAAGGGUUAAAUGAAAGACAUGAGCUACUUUAGUCAUUUCUUUGAUCUUGGGCUACUUCACAAAUGACCUAAAGAGUUUAUGGUUGGAUACUCAAAUUGUUUGACAUGGUAUCAAAACUUAACCUUCACAAAACUCAUAUCUCACUCUUGUACAUCAGAUGGUGCAGUGUUAAUAGUGUUUCACAUGGGAAGUAAAUUAGAAAGAAAAUUAUAAAAUCUUUAGCUACAUCACCCAUAGCUAAAUCUUCAUGCUUCGACUUAAGAAUUUAAAGAUCCUUUGAAUCAUAUACGCGCUAUAAAACAUGACCACACAAUAAUUUAGAUUUCAAGACACAUUUUAAGGGGUUUAAAGAAGAGCUCAAAGCAGCAAGUUGAAUAUGAAGCAGAUCUAGAUGCAUAUACAUCCAUAGAGCAGUGCAAGGGACAAGUGCCCAGAGCAAAGUGUUUUUUAUCAGAAUGCCUAAAGACAGAACAGAAAUCAGCGAUAAAUAACAUGAACAAAGCCAUAGAGAAAGGAGGUACCACUACAACAAGCAAAAAAAAACAUCUGCCGGAAUGGUUAAAGAACAAGCGAAGAGAAAUAUAUUAAGGACUUCCAUGCCAGGAAAAAGAAUAAAAGCUUCUGAUCGGGUAAUUUAAAUUAUAUAUUUAAUAAUCAACACCAGUGUUUCGUCCAUAGGACGGAAUGGGAAAAGGCAUUUUCUCUUGAUCUCAAAUUUGGUGCUCAAAUAAAGUCGCUUUUCCAGCUCUUAACAAAAAAAAUAAAUUAAAAAAAUGGAGAUAGGUCAUAUCAGCAUUAAGAAAAAAUUUAACGCAGCACAAGAACAUAUAAAUUGAAAUUAAAGAGAAAAGUCAUCAAAAUUCCUGCAAAUGUAUGUGUUUCAAGUACUCUGGUAUAUCAUUUUCUUAAAUAAUAUUAAUAAAUAAAUAGCCAAGGUUUUUGAGAAACUAAACAUAGAUCUGUCAUCUGGACCAUCUUAAAGAAUAUUUCUUAUCACAUUUCAGAGAUAGUGGAACAAUAACACAGAUUUCAGUUCUGAAGCUAUAUAACACCAGAGAUAAAAAAAAACACCUGAGCUGCUUCAUUGGUGGCUGUCUUAGUCCACAAGGAAAGUUUAUCCUGACUCCUACGCACACUAGCAACCACCCCACAUAUAUCUUCUGACUCAUCAAAUUGCUCGCCGACCAAUGCCAUCAGCUGUUUAAAAGAAGCACAUCCAACAAACAAUACAUGAGCAUCUUUAGCAAGAAAACUAAUCAAAACAUCACUUUAUAUGAUAUAACAUACUAAAUACAGAACGGACACCAAAUGGUAAAGAAGAACUAUUACUGUUUCUAGCCACAUAGUCUCGAGAUUAGCCUUUCUGCUGCUAGUAGCAGUCCACUUGCCACCAUUGGCACACUCAGGAUCUUCCCAUUUGGGCUCAAUCCCAGCUUUGAACAAAUGAAAGUCCGCAUUAACAGUAACCUUGCUGGGCUUGAAUAUUUGAUCAUAUAAACUGCAACGAGGACAAUCCACAUUUAAGAUAAGCUUCUACCCACCAUUCUUUCUAGACCAUAAUACCUCAUUAAUCAAUCAAAAUCAAUCCAUACAACAUAUAGGAAAUUUAUGAAAUUUAAUAUAAACAAGCACUUCAUUUCGUUAAUAGUGCACUGCUUUCAUGGACAGUGAUUUUAAGAAGCCAAUUUCACUUAUAAUUACAGUAGUAGUAGUUGAAGAAUAUUAGAAAUAGAACAUUGCAGAUACUAAUAUUAUUCUCUAAAGGAACAAACUUUUUCAACAUCACAAAAUAGAGACAGGGUCAUAAACCUGCUAGGAGGCACAAAUUCAAUCAGUAAUCAGCAGAAAGAGCUCUCUGGUGAAGAUCACAUAUACUAUUAGAUCAACAUACAUCAAAGCUAUCUUAAUUGACAGUUAAAAAACAAAAAAAUCCUCAAACGCAAUCAAUUAAUCACAUUAAAAAUCCAAAUCCGGGCAAAUUUAGGUUCAGUUAUAUUAGAAAAAAUGAUUUCAUCAGAAAUAUGAAUAUCAAUUUGUAAUACAAGCCAUAGAUAGGGUUUCCACAAUUUACGAGCACAAAUCUGAAUAAACAUAACAUGAAGAAUCUAUAAAAAUAUCUCGUUCCUAUUAUACAUAAACGACAUAUUUUACCUCCAGAAUUCCUCAACAGUUUCAAAAGUAUAAGCUUUUCGAAGAGAACUUCCCCAAGCGACGCCUUGUUUCGGUUUAGACUGGUUAUCGAACCAGAACGUCCACUUCCUCUCUAGCUUAUGCGGCUGCUUCUCCACAGUCUCCGCUGCCGCUACCGACGGAAUCUCCGUCGCCUCUACCGGUGCUUCGGUGGCCAUUGUUUUCCCGUCAAAAUCCUCUCCUUUUGUAUAGCUUUUUCACGACGGAGAGGCGUAAAGGAAUUAGAAAGAGAAACAGGUUUUGGCGAUGGAGUUGUAAUUUAUACAGGCCCAAUUGAUUGAUGUUAGUGGGCCUUGUAGCUAAAAAAGCCAUGGAAAGAUUAAGCCCAUGGUUGGUGAUAGAAUGGGCCAACAUUUUGUUUUAUUUUUACUUCAAAGUCGAAAAAAAUUAAGUCGAUCUAUAAAUAAUUUUGAGGGGCGUACUCAAUGUCUUGUAUGAUAAAAAUGUAUAAUAAAGAUAGAACGGUAGAUUAUAUAAAGUAGUGGUCAGAUUGACUAUGUUGUAUGAAAUGAAGUGUUGGGCCGAUUCGAAGAUGUAAGUAGAGAAAGUGAGGAUAUGGAGAUGAAAGUGUGAACAUGCUAGUACAAAUAGGAUCAUGAAAGAAGAUUUGCAUGAAUAAGAUGAAAAUCGCUUCCGUGAUGAGCAAGAUGAAGAAAGAGAAAUUGAGAUAAUUCAAGCAUAUGAAGAGGAAAUGCAUAAUUAUUUCAAUAAGGAGUUGUGAGAUACUGACUAUAGUAAAUAUGGAUAGAGGCGGAGGUAUGUCGAAUAAAUAUUGAAGAGAGGUGAUUAGACAGAACAUGACACAUAUUGCAGCUUAUCGAAGACAUACCCUUAGAUAAAAGGAUAUGAAAAUAAAAAACUAGUGUAUAAUAUUAACAGGUAUUCAAGCAUCGUCUAGUUUCUCCUAUUGAUAUUGUACAUUUUUGUUACUUUUCAAUUUUAUUACACGUUAGUUUCUUUGCUUCGAUUAAUAAAUUAUUUAUUGUUGUCGCUAUACUCUUCUCCUUCAUUUUCUUACUUUUCUUCGUUAUAUAUUUUUAUUUUCAUAUUUCACUUUGAAAUGUUUUAUGUUAGCAUUGAUUUAGCAAAAAUAAUUUCUCUAUGUUGCAUAAGAUAACCAUAAAGCUUAGCACAUAAUAUAUAUACCCUUCUCAAACCUUACUUAUUAUCUAAUAUAUAUACCCUUUUCAAACCUUACUUAUUAUUAGUAUAAAUUAAUCAAUUUAAAUAUAAAUCGAACUAAACGGAUCAUAUUUUUGACUGAUACGUGUCAUAAGCAGCACUAAAAACUGUAAAAAGCCACUUGUAACCUUUACAGAGGCUCCAUUAAUUCCCUCUUAAUUAUUUCACUUGUAAUUAAACUUUGUUGAUUUGAUUAAAUUUUAUAGUUUGGUUAAAGUAAUAAUAAUUAUAAGAAAUGGCAGAAACAACAAUUACUGGUGGAAUGGAUCAGAGAAAUUCAGCAUUAACAACAGAGGCAACUCUUGCCCCAAUCACUAUACAACACAAAGUUAGAACUGACUUGGAAACUUCUAUUCCAAAACCCUGUAAGUUUUUUUUUUUCACGUAACACUGCUUCGUCGAUCUUUUUAAUACUACUAUAUUAGAGGCGAAAUCAAAAUUACGAGUUUAAGAGUUUCAAAUUUUAGGACGGAAGAAAAAAAUAUUGCAAAACAUUGCUUCAUCAGUACUGUUGUGUUGAUAGUUUCAUCUGAGCUGUCAAUCAAUUUUAUUAACGGUUCAUAAUAACAAAAUUGAGUGCUACACAACAAAAUGAUUUGUGAAAUCAAAUAAAUGACUGAGUUUUUAAUCGAUCACUUUGGUAAUGAAGUUAUUUUGGAUACAUUUCAAAAGAUGAAAUUAUUAAAAUGUGACAUCGCUUAUAAAACUCGAAAAAAUAUUCAGAUAUGGCUAGGGGUUUGGUUGCACCAGACAUGGAUCACCCCAAUGGAACUUCUGGCCACAGUCACAAUGGCAUGAGCGUUCUUCAACAGCAUGCAGCUUUCUUCGAUCAGGACGAUAAUGGCAUUGUUUAUCCAUGGGAAACAUACUCUGGUAACUUAUCGCGCUAGUAUAUAAUUCAGUUCUUGUCGUCUAGAAUAAUUGAAUUCUAUAUUUUUCGUCCUGGUUUUGAACAGGGCUUCGUCAAAUUGGCUUCAACGUGAUCGUGUCAUUCAUCGUAGCUAUUAUGAUCAAUUCUGUCUUGAGCUAUCCUACUAUCCCGGUAAGUUUGAAACAGAGUGAUUCGUACUGACAUGCAUUUGAUUUGUGAGUUCAAUUAGCCAAAUUCGAUGUAAUGUAAUGGAGGCAGAGUAAUUCCCCUGUUUUAUGCUCGUGUGCAUUGUGUUUCUAUGUCUCUACGAGUUAGGGGUAAGGUCUAGGUACAGUCUGACCUCCUAAACCUCACGUUGCGAUAGUAAAUUGUUAAUUUGCAGGGGUGGUUUCCUUCUCCGUUACUUCCAAUCUACAUUCAUAAUAUACACAAGGGCAAACAUGGAAGUGAUUCCGGGACCUAUGAUAGAGAAGGCAGGCAAGUAAAUAUACGUAUGAAUCGUUUUGAACUCCUCGUGUUACAACCUUUCUGAGUAUCAUGAGUUAAUAGUGUGUGGAUUGAUUGUUCCUUUAGGUUUUUGCCAGUGCAUUUUGAGAACAUUUUUAGCAAGUAUGCUCGAACUGUGCCUGAUAAGCUUAGUUUUGGAGAAUUGUGGAAUAUGACUCAAGCCAAUAGAGAUACAUACGAUUUUCUUGGCUGGUGAGUUGUUAUUCAAACACGUAACAACUUAUUUAUCUCCAAUACUUGGUGCAUAAGUUGCUUAAACGCGUCAAGCCAAAUGAGCUAUAGCUCAUUAUAGUUGUUUUAACCAUUUUUUUUUUUGUCUUUUGGUUUGAUUUGAAGGAUUGCUUCAAAAUUGGAAUGGGGACUUUUGUAUUUACUUGCUCGAGACGAAGAUGGAUUCUUAUCGAAAGAGGCUAUAAGGCGAUGCUUCGAUGGGAGUUUGUUCGAUUAUUGCAAGGCACAAAUGGGAGGUGACUAUGCUAAGCAAGAAUAGGUUCACUUAGAAGUAUAAGUCCUAGUGUUUUUUGAUAUAAGAUGUUAAAAGAUUAAGCGAUUUUUCGUCUCACGGUCAGAGGAUCUUACAUCUUAUCAUUCCAUUUUGUCUUUUCAAAGACUUGGCCGAACAAGCUAACUAUCUCGAACAAUUCAGAAAUAUGUAUUUUCCUAUGAUUUUAUCACUCCCAUUAAAAAAAAAAUUGACCUGUUUUGAUAUGCUUUUCUUUGAAUCGAGAAUCUAUCAGAAACAAUCUCUCUACCUCACAAGGUAGAGAUAACACUCUAUCCUCUCGAGAUCCCAGUUAGUUAGUUGGUAUGAUGUUAUUGUUGUCAAAUAAGUUAACAAUCAACUACUAGUAAAUUGCAUGUUAAGUAGAAAUUUGUAUGAAUCAUCUUUAUUUUUGUAUAUUUACAUUCUUAAAUGUUCACAUGCACCUUUAGGUUGUGUAGUAGUUGACAAUUGCUUGCUCCAAUAAUUGUCAUAUUUAGUGUGAAAUCAACCAAAUCAUCAAAGAUUCUUCACAAAAUUAUUCUCCCAACAUUAAUCCACAUCACAAAAAACAACAUAUAACAUCCAAGAAAUCAUUUUCUUUUCCUCACAAAAACUUGACAAAUUUACAAGUUCAUAAUCAAGCAACAUAGUACAUUGGAUUUGGAAGUUUGAAUGAUCUUUUUGCACUUGGAAGACCAUUAAUGCUACUCCAUUGGUCUCCAAUAAUGCCAACAAUUCUAUAACCUUGACUUAUAAGUUUACUUCUUAUCUCUGCCUUGAAUGUCUGUGCAUUCUUGCAUUCAUCUUCUUGAUCUCUAAAAUAUUUACUUAAAAUAUAAGUACCAAUUGUAAACAUAAAAAUAAAAAAAUGAUUUUAAAAAAAUAUAUUCAAACCUUAGUAUGAGGCUAUUCCAUCCAUAGAAAUCAACUUUGACAAGAUUGUCGACAGUGGCGGAUCUAAGAUGUUCUCUUCUCGAAGAAACAAGAAAGAUUUGAACUCCUAGUUCUUUAAGAUGAUUGAACAACUUUAAAGAAUGUUCCAAUGCUGUUCCUUUCCCUUGGCUCAUCCAAUCCUCCAAAGAUGUCACAUUUAGCUUAUUUCCCCUAUUCCACCAACAGCAAAACAAAAAAGCAUAAGCAACAAUCGAUGAAUAUCGAGCCUUAACUCAAUCAUAAAAGCUAGUUCACGAUCUGAGGAUUAUUUAAUAGAUCAAAUACCCAUCGAUCCCACAAUCAUCGUGGGACAAAUUCAACAUCCCCCAUGCUAGACUCGACAUGGUCUGUCAACUUAAUAGUGGAUAACAUAAUAUGAAACUCAACAUCAGGUACACUAGAAUUUGGAUGAGUCUAGCUCUAAUAUCAUGAUAACAAAUGAAUCUUUUGCAAAAAGAGUAUGUAGCUGUAUAUAUGACUAAAAGAUUAUGAUCCUUACAUCUUACUAGUAAAGAGAAAUCCAUAAUUCUCAACUUGAAAAGUUAAUUCAUAAGGUGACAAGGAUCGUCUAAGAUCAUUUAUUAAAUCUCUAUCUCACAAGUCAUAAAAAAAACUCAACAGAUAGUAUAAGAGGUCGAUCAUAAUAUACAUUGUUAGCGUAAAAAACGUAAAUUAUCACUCUUUUUCUCAAUAGAUAGUAUAAGAGGUCGAUCUGAAUAUAUAUUGUCAGUGUACAAAACGUAAAAUAUCACCCAAAAAAAGGAAAAAAAAUGACAAAACAAAACUUACCCAAAACCAUUUUUCUUGUAGUAAGGAACUGAGGAAAGAAGAGUAUCAUCAAUAUCAAAAAUCCAAGCAUCUUUUCCAUCAUUUUCCAAAAUACAAUUAGUACUAAUAUAAAGUAUACAUUCAUUAAUAGUUCUUUCAAAAUCAACUUUAUAUUGAGUAGAAGUCAUAUAUUUUCCAAUAUAUGCAACACAUUCUUGAGGAACAACAACAUAAUCUCUAAUGUUGUGUAACUCAACAUUCAUUCUCCAACUCUCACAAUAAUUUUUUAGGCUAAUUUGGAGACCACUAUUGGUUUUGUGUUGUGACAAAAUGUUCCAAUCUCCAAGACAUGAAGUUGAAAGAAUACAAAAAAUUGUAAAGAAAAUUCCAAAUUUUCUUGCCAUUUUUUUUGAGAUUUGAGAAAGUUUGAGUUUUAGUUGAUUUUUAUGGAGCUACUUAUUGUAAAAGGGGGGGACUAGUGAUGAAUUUUGAAAAUGGAAGGGGUCACAUGGGUGAUGGGAAUUAGUUGGCACCAUGUAUAUUAUUUUGUCCUUAAUAAAACAUGAUCUAUAGGGUGGUAGAUUGAUUAAAUUAUGUCAAUCAAUGGUGUCAUGAAACUUUAUUCUAUAAAUUUUACUCCAUUCAUGUGAUAAUCAGCGUAAUUUUAUAAAUAAAAUUUUAAAAAAAAUAAAAAAUAAGCGAAUUUUUAUCUUCUUUUUAUAUGAUUAAAAGAUUUUUUUAUAAAAAAUUCUCGACUAAAAAAGAAAUAUUGUAAUAAAUAUACGUCGAGUUGUAGGAAGGAAUAAUAUUUAUUUUAUUUUAUUUUUUUUAAAAAAGGCGUAAAUAACAACAAAAAUUUCAAACCAAAUAGAAAUUUAUAAUUAUUAUUAGAAAUAAUAUUUGUCAUAUGGGUGCCACUAGAGAGUGCAACCUAAUUGGCAUAUAUCAACAUACAACUAUCUCACAUGGAAUUAAACCUAAUCAAAUUUAAAUCCCCAACCAAACCCUUUCUAAAUACUUAAUUACAAUAUUCCUUGACAUAUUUAUGUUAGAAACAUAUUCCAUAUCCACACAUACUUUUUUGUCUGUGCACUCCCCUUCAUUAUAUUUUUAUUUUGGCGUGACGUUCGAUAUUUAUUCAGAAAUUUAAUAAUUAAAAUAUUUUAGAUGUAACUAAUUUAUAUAUGUAAAUUAUUUGACUUUAACAACAUAUAAGAAGAUCAAAUAACUCAUUAUUCACCAUAAAUUUGAAAACUCAACCCUCUCCUUUCUCCUUCAUAGAGAUCAGAUAUCUGAAGUGUGAACAAUAAAAAAUAGAGACAUAUCAUGGAGUAUUAAACUGGAUCAAUUUCGAUUCAGAUAGUAAGUCAUGAGGUAAGGAUUAUCUAAAAUUUUGUAUAGAGAUCAAAUAACUCAUGAUCAAUAACAUGAUAACUCAACAAGAUUGAAAUAAUCCUUAUUAAAAAUGAUGUUAUUUCUAAAAUUUGAAUUCAAAACUUUUGAUUGAGGAUAAAGAGAUGCUUCAUCACGUUAGAUAGUCCCAAACAUUUUAUAUUAUUGAAAAAGUUGUUUCAAGUUUUGUUAAGACCAUAAACAAUGUACUUUAAAAAUAUGUUAUAUUUAGUUAGUAAUUAGUAAAUUAUUUGAAGUAUAAUAAGUCAAUAAUUAUUUCUUAUCACUCUUGAUGAGAUACGUGGCAGAGUUCCAUUGGAGGCUCAUUAAAUUAAUGAAUUUGCAAACUUUUAUACCUACAAGAGACAAAUGUCAACAGAUUUAAUUAUUAUUAAAAAAACAUAAACCACAAAAUUUAACAAAUUAUAAUUUGGAAUUAAUCAGCAAGUAGGUAGCACGUCUCUUUACACAUCUGUACUUUUUUCUUUUUUUUUUUGGUCAACACACCUUUGUCAACUUACAGCUAUGUCAUGCCAUUUCAUAAUUAUUAUUUUUCCGUUCGAUAAUUGAUAUUUAUAUUAAAAUUUAGCUAAUUUUGAAAGUGCUUUUAAUAGGAUUUAUUUUUUUAUAUUCAGAACUCAUAUUCAAAAACUUAACCAAGAAUGAAAGAAUCUCAAUUAUUUUACCAUUACUUAAAAUUUGUAAAUCGAUUUGUAACUCAAUUGAGAAAUAUUAAUCGUUUGUUAAGUUUUGUGAUAUAAACAAUAACGAAUAUAAUUGAUCUAUCUGUUUUUGCUAAGCAGAUAGGUACAUCAUAGAUUAUAAUUUAUUCAAUCUUAAAUAUUAAUCUUUUAGACCAAUUUUAAAAUAAUUGAAGUUUUUAAAUUGGAAAAAGGUCAGUUAUUAACGUCUUUUUGCAAAUAUACUCUUGAGGUUCAUAGAUAUGAAACACGUAAUCUCAUCAUUAUAAUAUUAAAAUGAAGCAAAAAAUAACAAAAUUAUUUAACUGACAUAAUUUUAUGGGUAGAUAUUUGUUCAAAUUUGAUUGUGAUUUGAUCUUAAUUUGGUUUCAAAUUAGAAAACGGCUAGAUAUAAUAAACAUAAUAUUUAUAACUCUCAAUAUAUUUCAUAUGGUACAUAAUAGCCAUUUUAAAAUCCGACUAAAUCAAAAUUCAAUGGAUGUCCCCUAACAAAGGCAAUUCAAACCCAAAGCUUGAACUCAACCAUCUUUCCUCGAUUAUUUUUUUGGACAAGUCUUUCAAUAAUUACGAAGCUAUAAUCAAAAACUAAAUGAAAAGUAAAUGACAGUGAUAUUUAGUAGCAAAAUAAGUGGGUAUUAUAUGAACUUAUAAAUCUUAGAGCAAUACAACAUUGCUGCAUUUGUUUGUAUAUAUGACAAUAACAGCACUCCAAAUAAAAGGUAUCAAAACUGCAGGUUAACUAACUCUUAGUAGUUCAGACAAUUGCAUUAGCUGCACUAGCAAUCCUUGGCCAUAGAUCAGCACACUCCUUUCCAAUUGGACCAGUGAUAGCAGAACCUACAACAACCAAAUGCAGCUCAUGAACAAUUCGUACAUCGACAAAAUUGUGAAAACUAAACAGUUUAAAUUCUUGAUAUAUUAAGUAGAUGAUAUCAUUUUCAAAGCUUUAAUGGCAUAUAGUUUAGAUAGAUACACUUGAUGGAGAUUAAGCAUAAGACCUCACCUUUCAUUUCUCCUUUGGGAUUCACAAUCACUCCAGCAUUAUCUGCAGAAGCAUACAAGACGUGUUAUAAGCUCAGCAAAAGCAAUGAUUUUCGUGCUUGAGAAGUAGAAAACAUAACUAUUGAUACACACUCCACCCAAAUAGCAAACUUCUAUGCAAAUUAUAUAACUAGCGGAUACAUGCUACAACUCGAGGAGUACAUAUAUAGAGUCCAAAUGGAGCAGAUGUAAGCUUAAAAAGGAAUCAACACAUCUGUAACGAUGGACACAUCUAUUUUCCAGCCAUGUAACUGUAUCAACCACAGUAUAAUAAGGUUGUAACCUGACUAAUGUCUGGAUAUGUUUAAAAUUCUACACAACAAGAAGAUAACAUUGAACUCAAUUAAAGUAAAGACACUGUGUAUACUUAACAAUGCUACAAAUUGAAAACAUAUGUAGAGUCCAAAUGGAGCAGAUAUGAGCACAACAGGAAUUAACAAAUCUGUAACGAUGGACACAUACAUUUUCCAAGCAUGUAACUGUAUCAACCACGGUAUCAGAAGGUUGUUACUUGACUAAUGCAUGGAUAUUUAAAAGUUAGACAUUGAAAUAGCAAGAUAAUUUUGAAAUCAGUUUUUGCAAGGACAUCAUUUAAUAUACAACCAAACAACUAAGAAAACAAUAGCCCAAGUCGACAUAUCCCACAUAUACGUGUUCCAGAAUGGAAGAAAAUAGAUUACUUCAUGUUGGGCCCAUAUGGAGCAGAAAGUGCUUGAAUAGUAUAAGCACAUCUGUAACGAUAGACAACAUUAAUUUCCCAGACUAGUAACUGUAUUAACCACGAUAUGAAAUGUUAACACCUGACUAAGUCUGGUUUUCAAAAUUAAUAAAAAUACAAACACAUGUUUCUUAAUUCAUCAGAAACAGCUGCACAAGCAGAUAUCCUACCUUGAUACCUACUCUCAACAAAAACAAGAUAAAGAAAGACCUAUGGUAAUAAAACUUGCAAUCAAAAGAUACAAAUUUGUCCCCUAACACACUUAAUCGGAACAUUCUUUUAACUGAAGAAUUCACUUACUAAGAUCAUAUGCUUCAAAAGUUCAAUUUUUCUCUGCUAUCUCUGGGUAGUGAUCAUCUCAAAGUGAGAAAUCACAAAAAUGAGGCUCAUUUGAGGUAAUCUAAUUCGAUUAUGAACCAAGAUAAUGUGAUUGGUUAGACUAUAACUGUCCAUACAAGUGCAGAUAAGCUCGUAUCCAAAAGACCAACUCACCCUUAUGACUUGACACAUGCACAAGGUAAAAAUUGGAUGAUUAUACUGUCAAACCAGCUCACAUUCGCACACUACUUCUACUAAAACAAGAACGAAUACCAAGUCCAGAAACAGAUCACUGGAUAAUUGCACCACACCCUAACCAGCAAAACUUAUGGAAUAACUACUCACUGCUUCAAAUUCAGGGAAAUGAACAAAGCUAAAUGUAUGAAUAACUAUAUUAGCAAGGAAAUCCAAUCACCCUAGAGUAACUCUGAUAGAUUGAUAUCCACAAAACCUCAAUGUGUACACCAACUAAUGUUAAUUUUCUCAAAAGAUCACAUUUUUAUAAUCAUUUCAUAUAGAUACUUCACAACAUACUACUAUAAAAUCAAAUGACACCAAAUCUGUUGUUGAUUCACAUAAUUCAUAUAAAUUAAAAACGCGAGCUAAGAACACAAUAACAAGCAGCUCAAAUCACAUAACAACCAAAAAUCUCAGCUCAAAUCCUUAAGCUAGCAGAAAAAUAUUUACCUUCAAAGUACAUGAAAACACCAUCCUUUCGUCUCCAAGGUUUACGUUGUCUAACAAUGACAGCAGGCAUCACUUUCUUCCUCAAAUCAGGUUUACCUUUCUUUACAGUAGCCAUUACCAUAUCACCUACACAAGCAGAUGGUAACCGAUUCAACCUACCCUUUAUACCCUUUACUGAAAUGAUGUAAAGGUUCUUCGCUCCAGUGUUAUCAGCACAGUUCACCGUCGCCGCCACCGGUAAACCCAGUGACAUCCGGAAUUUGUUUCCGGCAGAACCUCCACGCCCUAAACAUUAUUUUUCAAAAAAAAAUUAGGGAAAAUUGAAGAUAAUUAAGAACAAUCAUCUGAAUUUGAAAGCAACAUAAAGUAUACUGACCUCGCUUCGACAUUUUUGGAUCCUGAAAGUACGGUACAUUAGGGUUUUGCUAGGGUUUUAUAGAAAUGGCAAUUUAGGGUUUUAAUUUGAAGAAUGUUUGGUUAUGGAACUCUAUUUGGGCUUUGUCACAUACAAAUUGAGAUGGGCCUGGCCACUUUCUUUAAUUUACUUUUGUUUUAAGAGAAUGUUAAAACGAUACAUACGGUUCAAUCAACUAGUUUGUUAAUGUGAAAAAAUAUUUAAAUACGUAACUUAUAUUAUCAUAUUCUAUUCAAUUUAAAAAAAUUAUAAAAAUCUCUACUCUAUCCUAUUCUCGGAUACUCACUUUACGCGAUGUAUCGAGACGUUGGGUGAUGUAUCCCAAAUUGAGACGUGAUGUAUCAGGAAUGUAUCCAAAAUCAGGGCACGUUGUAUCAGGACGUUUUGGGAUGUAUUCAAAUUUCACCAAAUUCCUAAUAAUACGACCAAUACGGAUUGUGAUGGAGAGGUUAUAUUUCUUUAUUUUUUAUUAGGGUCUCGAUUUUGAGUCAACUUAAUUAUGAAGCCGCCUUUGUUAGAGAGCUUUACUCCUCAUUGUGAGACUUUUUUAUCAGAAUUUAAAUUUAGUCGGACUCUAAUGUAGGUAUGAGACAUCAUAUGCGGAAAAAACGAGUUUAUUAAUAUGGCUUAUAAUAUAUACCCCUGGUUUCCAUUUUAUGUAGCAUUAUUUGACUUGAUACGAUUUUUUUUUUUAAAAAAAAGUAACUUUUAGAAAUUAUCAUUUAUGGAUUAAUUUGGCAUAACCCCAAAUAAAAUCAUCAUCAAAAUUAAUCUGCCGCAAACUAAUUAAUACUUUAGUAGGUAAGCCAAGUCAAAUGAUUUUGUUCAAUUAUUACACCCUCAUUAUUUAGAUUUUAUCACUUAUUUGUGUAAAUAUAACCUUGCAAAAUUAUCCUUCAAAGAAAAAACAUUAGACUCACAUAUUACUCAUUAUUACAAAUAAAAAUAUUAUUAUAAUGCCAAAUAUUUGUAAUAAUUUAUACAUAUUAAAAGUCUAACGUCUUUUCAUAAAAUUUUUAAUUUGCUCGAAAUUUAAAUGGCGGUCCAAAAACUUCAUGAAUCAUAAAAGAAAUAAAGAAAAAAGAUUAUUUACUAAUAAUGUGUAGGUAAAUUUGAAUGUUAGCACACGCGUUAAAUACCUAGUUAGGUUAACAAUAAUAACAAUAACAUAUUAUUCAAUAUAAUCUCAUAAGUGAUGUUUCAGAAAAAUAAAAUAUACAUAAAUAUUAUCACCUUUUCGUAAAGAUAAAAAACAAUAAUUUCUGAAGAAUUCUCUAUUUAAUGAUACCUAAUUAGGUUAAUUUCCAUAUAUAGUAAAUUAUUUGUCAUUUAUUGAGAGGCCAUUCACGAGAGUUUAGCAUCAUUAUUAAAAGAAGAUAUAGUGGAAAAUUAACAAAAAAAAAAAAAGAUUAUUCCCUCUUCACGCGUUUUUACUAUUUAUAAAUACACUAUUUUAGAAAAUAAAUCCAAUUUAAACUUAAACUUUUGUUAGCACACACUUUAACCUAAAAAAAGUAAAGGACAAUAAGUUGAAAUUGAAAAAAAAAAAUCACAAAAAAAGAUUAUAUAAAGUGUAAUUUUAUAAAGUUAAUGGGGAAGUUUUCUAUAGUUAAAACAAAUGACUAGGACUUUCUCUCGGUUAUUAAAUAUGUCAUAAUAUUUGUAUCGUAACAAAAUCUUUUCAUUCCAAAAUAAAAUAAAAAAAACUUCUCAUUACGGGCAUAGAAGUAUAAAAUUAAUUGUUUACAAACUUUAAAACGUGUUAUUCAUUUUAAACAAAUUAAAUAUGUCAAGUAAACUGAAACACAGAAAAUAUUUUGAAUACUUGAUGGAGUUUUUUCGUGUUUUAGUUUCUGAGAUUUCGACAAGACUUUCCUAGUUCAUAGUUUCGAAAGAUAUUUACAUCUAACAAACCGGAAGUAUAUGCAAGGGGUUAUUUUGAACCUAUCCCUAAACAUAAAGGACUAUUUUUGUAAUUUUAACAAACUACAAGGACUUCAUGUGUAAUUUGUAAAACUUUCAAGAUUAUAAACUUGACAAACUUAAUGUCAAAUAAUCAUACACUAUUUUGAUUUUCUCAUUCUUGUGAGCAUUUUUUUCUAAGUUUUUUCAUUCCAUUUUUUAAAAAAAGAAAAUGGCAGAAGCUUUUGUCUCUUUUCUCAUUGAGAGAGUUGAAGGAGUAAUGAAAAUAAACAAAGGUACCAUUUUAUGUGGUGCAAAAAAGUAUGUAAAAGAUCUCCAAACAGAACUCAAGAAAAUGAAGGUUUUACUCAAAGAUGUUGAAGUAAAACAAAAGGAAAACAAAAAACUAUGUGAUAUGAUUGAUAAUAUUCGAAGGAUCGCGUUCAAGAUUGAUGAUGAAGUAGAAAAUUACUACUUUGAGGUAGCAAAAAGUCGAAAAAUAUGGCUUAAAGGUGUUAUGGAACACUAUAAGAGGAUAUAUUAUGGUAAGCAGAAGAAAUUUCAGUUGAGAAUGGUUAUAUAUAAUAGUCAGGUGAAAUGGUAUACAAGGAAAUUGGAAUGUUAUGGUGUGAAGAAGAUAGUGCAUGAAAAAGAUUCAUGUAAAAAGAUCGAUGGCUUAGACAGGUGGGAAGAAAUUACGACUACAGUUAAGAAAGUGGAGAGUGAGUUUGAAGAUGUUGAGAAGUCGAAGCUUGUGAGUGUGUAUGUGUUGAAUGAGGAUAAGGUGAUGGAGAAAGCAAAGGUGUUGGUUCAAAGUUUUGAGAGAAUUUGAUGUUAGUGUCUAAUCUUUAACCAUGUUUCGAUAGAAAAGAGAUCAUCAGAGUAUAACAGAAAAUCGAUUUUUCUUGCUCGACCUUCGAAUAUUUUGUUGUUUGUUGACUUUUUUUUUUAAUUAUUGUUGCAUGGUAAUUAGUAAGUACUAGACUAUUUCUUUGACUAUAGUUUAAAGUAUUUGGACUUAUUGUAAAGUUAUUAUUUAUCUCACUUCAUUUUAUAAUGUGUUUUUCUAAUUAUAGUUGUUUAUGGACUAUAUUUUGGUGUUACAUAGUAUGACAUUUCUAUGGAAGUUUUUUUUAACAUGUUAAAUUAAUAAGAAAAUAGAUGUAUUUAUAAAGCUAUACCGCGAUUACGCAAGGUCGGUGGAAGGAGUCAUACUCGUCUAAAGCACACAUUCCACAUCUCAAAAUAGUGACAUAUAGGUGAUACGGAGACAACUUUAUACCGUGACACAAACAUGGUAGAUAAUUUUGUCAUGACACAAGCAUCAAAGAAUAAUUUCAUGGCUCGAACAUGUCACAAAGAGACAAGGCUAUCCCCUUCAAUGCAAACUAGACAAUGAUUCAUGGAAAAGAUUUGUGACUUUGUGGUCCCAAAGUCACUAGCUAAAUGCAAGGUUUUAGCACAAGAACAAUAUAUUGAUGCUCUGAGAGUAUUGCAUUUUAGCAAAGAAAUGUUGUUCAAGACUUUUACCAACCAUCAACUCCAUGCUUAGAGUUAGAGGUUCGUGCCACACUCACGAGGGACUGAGAAGUUAACGAAGUAGAGAGUUAAAUGAGAUGUAAGAGUCAAAGGCGAGCCAGAAAGGCUUCUCAGCGUAUACUGGGCAAGUAUGUAUCCAAGAAGUCAUAUACUCAAAAUAAAACAUGUUUUUUCCAACAUAGUCAUGUGCAAUCUCAUCAACUGGUAGAACAUAACAUCAGCAGUACUUUUCAGAAAAACUAAAGUGUGCUUCUUGAUCGAAGCGAUCAACAUCAUGAGUAAGAAGGAAUCUUCAUCUGUGUUAACACCAGCUGUUCUUUUCCAGAAAUAACAAGACUGUUUCUUGUAUUACCUAUAUCAUAUCUAUAUGAGCUAUCGAUGAGAUCAGCAUCAUCAGUGAGGAGUAAUCUUCAUCAAUGUAUACUUCCUAGCUCCUGCAGGUAACGGAAUCUGAUUAAAUAUAAAGAAAUCGAAUGAAGUAGUUCAAAAUCAGCAAGUAUUUUGAAGUGAAACACGCGUGGGGAUGGCUUUAAGUUACUCUAUUCUACAACAAAUGGUGCACUAUGUAAGCAUUUCAAUGUACUAAAGGCUGGUAGGUAGAACUGUAAAGGAAGGAAUAUAAUUUAAUCAAUUGGCAGAUUGAUUCUGGUCUCGAGAAGAUAGAAAGGGCAGGAAGAGAUUUGUGUAUUACAUAUCAUAAAGCUCUAGAGAAGUACUCAGGUCAAUAUGCGCAUGAAAUAGUUGACAGAUUUCACUGCAGGGCGAGUAUAAGAAAGAGAGGUAAAAAGUUGAACUGACUCUUUAAAGGCCGGUGUCUCGACAAGAUUUACUUCCACAGCAGCACUUGAAAGCUUUCACUGGAUGAGUAUGAUCGGUGAAGUCAAUACCAUAAUCCUGCAAUGUAGCAAAUUUGUAAUGAUACUUAGUAUAUCUAAGUCAACAACUAGUCUAAACCAAAUUAUACUGAUCUUUGACUUAACUCAUGUUUCCUAUAUCAAAAUGACAAAGUUCUAAUAGUUAUAGAGUUCAACAUAGAUAGGGGCUUUACCCAAGUUAACUCUUCUAAAGCAUUAACUUUCCUCGUAGUGAAAAAAGCAAUCUGCAGUGACAUUAAAAAAAAAUGCUUGCUGUAGUUAUUGCACGGGUUUCUAAGUAACAGAGAGAUACUUCAAAAAGCGUUAAGAGAAAGAUAGAUAACAAGUACAUGGUAGUAGUGAUGAUCUGGAGUCUCUACUUCAACUGGGAUCUCAAUCAAGUUACCUUCAUAACAUCUGGUCAAGAUAAAAUUACAAUGUGGUAAGUUUCAGUCCACAUUGCGAAGUAAAAAAGAAUCAAUGCACUUUUCUUGAAUGUAAAUGUGAUUCUUAGAAACAAUAAAAGCAAAGAAUGAGCUGUUGAUCAUGCAAAGAAGAAAAAAGGGACUUCUAAUGGUGCUCAAUUGGGGGUUUAUUCCAUGCCAAAUGUACAUCAAAAAGAAAGCCAUAACAAAAGGAAUCAAUAUGAUUAUUAUAUCUCUACAUGCAAUAUAUAGGGUUGCAUCUAAUUUUUACCUAUCAGUUUUCUUUCCAAACUUGACGAACCAAGUAAUAGAAACAAAGAGAAACAUGUUGUUUGUUAGUAAGUAACAGCAGGUGGACAUGAAUAUUAUCUACUUUGUAAAAGAACUGUACAAAAUACAUAUCACCGGUUUAAUGUAACAGGGGAGAAGAAGAAAAAGAAGAAAGACAAUUACAAAGAGAAAAGGAUGAACAUUAGAGCCUAACCUAUGAUUAAUGAACCUUGCAAUAUUGCCAUAGUAUGUUGCAUCCAAACAAAGUGCCUCCUCAUCCUUCAGGACACCUUCCGAACCCCAGUCUGCAUCUAGCAAAACCGGAUAUGUGUGUCUCUCACUAGCAGUUUGCGUGUUUCGCUCAUACAACUCUGUGUUGGUCACUAUUUCUCCUACAUAUUCACAAACAAAAGCACCUCUAGGCAAAUCCUCCAGUGCCCUGAGACCCCAACCUUUCCCAUCAGCUGUCAUAAACACCUGACAUGCAGGAUAAGAAUGUGUCAAACACUUCUUACUACUCUAGGUUUCUUCAGAAAUAUAGAUCAUGCACAAAACCUUUCUUUCCUUUUCGGAUAAAUCAGAUCAUUUAUAUUCACACCAAGAUGGAAAAAACAAUAUAUAUUAUAGUUCAACCACAAAAGAUUACUCCCUCUGUCCCAAUUUGUGGCACACUUUCCCUUUUAGUAUGUCCCAAAAAAAAAUGCCACAUCCAUAUAAUUAGAAAUAACUUGACUUUAAAAUUCCCCUUUUAUGUCAUACAAGGGCCUAAGGUGUGUUUUAGACCACAUUUCAAAAGUCUCCCGUUAUUUCUUAAAUUUUAUGUCAAGUCAAAGGUGCCAAAUAAAUUGGGACAGAGGGAGCAUCAUGUUUUCUCAGACCAAUAAUUUAAAUGACUACUCCUAACAUCAUUCUCACUAGUACUGAAACAAUCUCCUAUUUUUUAUGUUCAUAAAGAGGCAAAGUUAUGGUACAUGAAACUCUUGGUUUGCAAUAUUUUUCUUACCUGCAAUGGCACUGCUAUGCCUCGCUGAAUAACACGAUUUCCACAUCCCCUGCUGCAGCCACAUUUAUGCCAGCACUCUUUGAUAAAUUUCCUCACCAGAUGACCCUUGCACAGGCCAGACACGCUAUUAUUCUUAGACCUUUCAAGGGGACAGUCCUGACAAUAUACUAAACCAUGCUUUUGGGGUUCACAACUCAUUGAGAUGCAACUCUCAAGAAACUUCUCCUUGAGCAAACCACCUGAUGUGUAGGCAAAUUCACCCCCUGUUUCACCAGCACAAGCACAGGGUAUAUCUUGGGACAAACAAUCCCCGCUGCAGUUUGAACAACAGCUGUCAUCUGAUAUACGAGCAAGAAGAAACUUCACAUAUGCGUUUUGGAAAAUAACAUUUUUAGGUAUGUACUUGAAGACAGGCAGGACAUGGCUGAAUGCAUUAAUCAACGAAAUUUUAUGCUCCUCUUGACCAUUGGAGAUGUCUUCAAUAUAAUAAACAGAAUUACGAAGACCAGGAGAUGAGUGUUCACUUUGAACAAGCACUGAAUUGUUCAUAGUUGAAGAGGCAAGGAGUUUAAGAAGCUUGUUAGUGUUGUCCUUCUCAGCACCAUUAAUCCUUGUACCAUUAAAAUCCACCAUGUAGCACAUUAUAUCCCUAUUUCCUGAAGCUGUAAAUGUUGGAAUUUGAGGUAAGAUUUUGAUCAAAUUCGACAAUUUGAAUGAGCCAUUGCUAGUGUCUGGAGCAAAGUGCAAUUCAUGAUUAGUAGCAUCAUAUCUGACACCUACUGGGUGAAGUUUCUGGGACCAUAUCCCAGCUGAUGGCUCAUUUGCUGUCCUGGUCCUGGUGCCAGCUGUCAGAUAGCAUUUACACAGAUUUUCCAUCAGACUUAGCAGAAAACCAGGUUGAGAAAAUCUGUAGGACUUCAUAUACUUUUCCUCCAUCCGCUUAAAGACUGCAUCUAAACUUGGUGGGCAAAAAUCUGAUGAAGAAUAUAUCUUAUAGACAAAAGAGAGUUUCACUUCCCCGUUCGGGGUGGAAGCAAUAUUUAGUCGUGAUGAAUUUGUUGCAUCUUCUUUAUUUCCUUCUGUACCCAGAUGUUCAGAGUUGAGACGCUCCAAGUCUUGUUUUUCAAUUCAAAAAAAAUAUGACAGAAUUAAACUUCUAGACUAUAGAUAACAUUCGCAUUUUGUAAGACUUGGAAUUUGACUACAAAACCAAGAGGAAAAGAAAACAAAAAAAAAUCCCAACUUCAGACAUACAAUUUACCAAAAAAAAAGAGAAAACUUAUGACCCCUUCUGAUUCAAUAAAUCUUAUGUUCUUCAUUCACAUAGCUUUUUCCUUUUCAUCAACCAAAAAUAUCAUCGGGCUUACUAUGAGCAGAAACUAAUAUGUAAUUACUAUAAACCAUAAGAAUCUUGCUGCUAGCUUAUAUGAAAGAUAAAGCUCAAUCGAGAGUGGAAGGGGUAGCUUUUUUUGUAAAAAUUGUGUAUACAAAUAUAAUUUCACAUCUUUGAUUUGUAUCAAGAUCAUUAGAGCUGGAACAAAUUCAUAGAACUUGCACUCAGAAAAUUGUAAUCAUUGAAACUUCAUAGAGAAGAAGAAUAUAUCACUGGAGAAAGGAUUGAUAUAUAGCAGUAUGACUUUGCUGUCUUUCUUUGGCUUUCAUCAGUUAACACAUUAACUUAAAAAUAUAUAGUUAUUGUUGUUAGCAAGUCAACUCCUCCGAUAUCUCUCCCUUUUAGUCAAUAAUUUCAAUAUUCACAUCCUCAGUUAGUGAAUAAUCACCCAAACUAGCAUAAAUGACAGUCAAAAGAGACUAUAAAGAAAAAUACAUCUAGAGGAUAUCAUCAGAAUGGGUAUCAAAACUCACAAAAAAGAACAACCCGUUGACAAUUUCAAAGUAGUAAACCAUGUCUGGGGAGAGAGCAGAAUAAUCUUAUAACAGUUCUCUAUACAUGGAGGGAAUACCUGAAGGAACAACAGCAAGAGGAACAUCAAAACCUGGCAGGGUAUCAGAAAGUGGCAUUGCAUCACUGAAGCUAUACUCAACCAGAGCACCUUCUUUGGAUACAUCAGUAGAACCCAUAACAUUUGGCUCUUCCAGGCUACUACUAUAAGCUAGUCUUCUUUUGGGUUUCACAGCAGAAUAUAAACGAGAUGUGUCUCCCCUUUUCUUUAGUUUCAAAUGAGAUGACAGAAUACGAGUUUCUUGCUUGUCAUCAUCAGACAGUACUACAAUGUCAUUAUCCUCCUCUGAAACAGGAGAAGCCUCUGAAGAAAUCUGUUUCUUACCUUUGCGCUGAUGAUGGUUCAAGAGAAAGCGAGGCUUCAUUUCAACAUCCUGAGUUUCACAAGACUCGGUGGUGAUAUCAGCCAUCUUCUGCUUGCCGUAAGGCUGCAACUCUGAAGUACAUGUGUCAACACUAGGGCCGGCAUCGUGUUUAGCAGCUGAAGAAUGAUUUCCCUGGGAGUAGAGCCUAGAUCUUUUCAAUGGUGGUUCAUUUUCUUCCGGUUCAUCUUCCAUCGAGGAUUUCUGCUUUUCCUGAUCAUCGGAGGAAAUAAAUGACAUGCUUUCACAUCGAAAAUUUUUGAAAGGAAAGAAUUAAAGAUGAAGGAGCAUCCUACUUUUCUAUUUGUGCAUGAUAUCAAGAUAGAUAUAUAUAUUACCACACAUAAUCUUCAUAAAGGAUUCACAUGUCGCAAAGGGUAUCAUGUGGUUAUGGACAAAAAUAAGCACUGAAUCAUAAGUAACAACAAUACCUUAGACUCUUCGCUGUCUAUAAUAGACUCCAAAAGAACAGAAUAAUUCUCAUCUUCAAUAAGCUUCCAGUUUUUGUUGUACAAAUUCAGAAGGUUCCUCAACACUGGCUUCACAACUGUUUCACUAUAGCCAAAAACCUUCAUUGCCUCAAAGGCCUUUGUAACUCUAGACUUCGAGUUUGGCGCCAUUUAUUAUACUAAUGUAGAACUUUAAGGAGCUCAAUGAGGUUAAGGUAUAUCUUCUUCCUUUCAAUGCCCAAAAAAAACAGAAAAAACAUUACAUCUGCAUUUAAACCACAAAAAAAAAAGCAGAAACAAUGUCUGAAUUUUACCAACAUGAUGACUGGAAUAAUUUAUGCAUAGCAUAAUAACUUAUUAGAUGACAUUCCAUGUUGAACGGUAUUCGAUACAGAUCUAUGAGAACUCCUGGCAUUUUUUCAGAAGCUAAUAGGAAGUACUAUAGAAUGUUGGUUUUAUCAAAUAACUACAUGAAUUUUUAAAUAGAAAACAGAUGAUAUUGUUAAGUAUCUAACCGAUAUGUCAUCAUCAUCAACAACAACAACAAACUCAGUGUAAUAACCUCACAAGUGGGGUUUGGCGAGGGUAGUGUGUACGCAGCCUUGCCCCUACCUUGUGAAGACAGAGAGGUUGUUUCUGAUAGACCUUCAGCUCAAGUAAAGUAUAAUAACAACAAGUAUUGAUAAACCGAUACUUCAUCAUGUUCAGAAAUUCCUAAAGAGAUCAGUCUGAGACAGUAUAAAAGAGUUGACUGCAUAAUAAUCAGUUCAUCAGUCAUCAUAUAUACGUCGUAACGCAAUUUUCUCCCACUGUUCACUAAGUCAUGUUUCAUCACUGACAUCUUCGCUAUUACUAUUUCUUUUAAACAUCUUCUCUACAAUCCUUUUAAACACGAGUAAGAGAAAAGUCAUCUCAUGACUGGAACUGGCGCAAGGCAAGGCAUUCCACAUUAAUUAUGUCCUUCAACCAUCCAACACACCUAAUCUUCGCCCCCUAACCCUUAUUCUAGAUUAUAACAAAUGUUUUUAAGAAAAUAUUUUUUCUGCUUACGUAACGGAUACAAGAAAAUAAGUAUAGAACCUACUUAUUUAUAUAUUUUGUUGAACGUGAUGUUCAAACCAGCUUUAACACACCUCAACUAAUUCCAUGGAAUACUUGCCUCCCACCGGCAACAAGUACCACGAAUCUCUAUCCACCAAGUCUAGGACAGAUAAGAACGGAUCACCGACUAUUUUUGUCUCCACUGAAAUUUGAACCUGAAACCUCAUGGCUCUCAACCACUUCAUUGACCACACAAUACACACCCUUGGGUGCAAGAUCCCGACUUAUUUUCCUAAAAAAACAUUUUCCUUCAUAUCAAACACACCCUAAUCCUCAGUAUACAUCAGAAACAAAACUAACGAGAUAUCACAGCAUCAAAGAAUCAAAACCCUUAUUUAACAGAUGAAACAUAAAAAUAGAAAAUAAUAAUUGAAACAGAACCAUGAACACCUUAACAUGGGGAAAUCAGAAUCAAAUUUUAUACAAAAGCAAAAAUACAUAACAACGAAAAAACAAAAUGUAGAAUAGCACAGAUUCCAAACUCCUCUGUUCUUCCAUAUCCAAACUCCUCAUCCCUUAACCAGAGACCUCGAGUUCGAAACCUAGGUAUGAAAUAAUUCUGUCUUGGUAGGAAGUGAGAAACCAAACAAAAACACACACAACAACAAUAACAAAAAAAUACAUUUCAAAAGUUAAAAUUUUUAUAUCAUUUUCUUCAUUUUUUCUUCUGCAUGAAACCAUUUUCACUCUCUAACAUCAAUGGGUUAUAUACGCCAACACAGAAUCACUCAAUGCAAGACUGACCCCAGUAGUUUUUCAUCGAAAUUCUUCCACAAAUCUCAAAAAAUCAAAUAAAGUUUUCACCUUUUUACCUUAAAAAAAGCUUGAGGAUCAAGAAACACUCAUGUGGACCAUACUCCAACGAAUCGCGUUCAUCUGAACUCAAUAAUUUUAACUUUUAAGCAAUAAAUAUGAACCUAUAACUUUAUAGAUAUAACGAUGGAUUCAAGCCCUUUAUAAUUCAAAUUCUGAAUUCGCCUCUUCCGAUACCUAAAAAAAGAAAAAGGAUAAAUCACUAUACCUUUUUAUGGAAAAGUUGAAGAAAUAGCUUUUACUUUAGCAUUUGGACUCCAUCAAAAAAUUCUUUUUUCAACAAUGGUGAGAGAUAAAAGCUCCAAUAAGAAUUUUCUAUGUAUAUAUAUAAAACCAAAUAAGUUAAUUCUAAGUAUAGUUAGUAAAUAUGAUUAACUAAUAAAUGUAUUUAAUAAAAGAAAUUUUUGGGAAAUCUUAUUCGUUGACUGAAAAAUGUUAAAAUUACCUCUGAAUUAUGUAAAAAAAAUUAUUUAUAUCUUCCGUUACAUUUUGAAAUCGAAAUUGCCUCAAUCGUUAGGUGGAGAGAUUCGUCUCACUUGUCAGAUUAUUAAAAAUUUUAACUUUUGAAGAUAUUUGUGAUCUUUUGGAAUAACUUUGAAGGCAUUUUUUUAUCUCAAAAUGUAAUGAAGGACGUAAAUAGUAUAUAUAUUUUGCAUAAUUCCAAAGUAAAUUUGACUUUUUUUCGUGAAAUAAAUUGUAUGACAUUCUAUUUUAUUUUCACAAAUUAAUGAAAUCUAAAUUUUGUACUUUUGGACUAUAAACUUUGAAUAUAUUUUUGUGAAAUAAAAAGAAAUUUCAUAUGACAUAAAUUAUUAGAUAAAUCACGAAUAAAAUUUGUAAAAAUAUCUACAAAAGAAAAUAGAUAUACUUUUUAGUUUUUACUGUCAAUUGUAUUUCUUUUUUUUCCUUUUUAUUCUACAAAUGAAAAAAAAAAGUUUGUUUUUAUUUUGGAGAAAAUGACAUGAAACAAUUUUACUGAUGUUGAUUAUAGGUUGAAAUAAUAGUUUUCCUAAAUUAUUAUUAUUUUCAAAAAAUACUUUUUUUAGACAUGCAAGUAAAAUUAGAUAUUAUUUGUUUUAUAUAUAUUAUAUCGAAAAACUUGAUUUACAUAUAUUUGAGAUGCACUGACUUUCUCCUCUCACGUCCCUUAUUUCACAAUGAUUUUAAGUAUUUAUAUAAUUAUCAAUUUUAUAUAUCAAUGUAUCUAUAAUCAAUUUUAUCUAAUACUUUGUCCAUAUUACCUUAUCCUAUUUCAAUAUAUUGAUAUGGCCAAUACAUUUAACUUAUUAAAAAAGGGAAAAAAGAAAUUGACAUUUCAUUAAUUUUGUAACGAUCAUUAUAUUUCUAGCAUAGUUAUUAUGUAGGCUGUUGAAAAAUUGUUUGAGAUAUAUUUGGAAUUCUACGAUAACAUUUAAAACAGAUGAAUACUUAUCACUUUAUCACAAUUUUUAUUGAUCGCCACUAAACUUUGAUCAAUAUAGACCAUCGAUUGUUUCAUCAAGACCGUUGAUUUUGUAGACUAAUCUUGACCACUCAUCUUCACUGAUCCAACGGUUCAUAUCACAAAAUAAGAUUCCCCAAAUCUCUUAUUUCCUGUUUGGGAAAACAAUCUAAAUCAAACAGAGGUUUACAGAACACUGCCUUUACCAUUUCCUCUCAAUUUGUCUCUUUUUACUCAAAACAAACACUGUCUUAUCAGCUUUUCUCAAAGGUAAUACUGCAAAAUAUUUACUCAUAAUAGGGGGAGAAUUUGAAAUUAUGUUCUAUUUGUAAAAAUUAAAUGUGUACUCGUAUUAUUUGACUAUACAACUACACGUUUAAUUUAUUAAUCACUAAGUCAUAUCCUUGAACACGUAUAGUUGUGCUAUUUGAUAACAAUCAUGCUUGUGUUAACCUUUUUUUGGUCACUUUCAUCGAAAAAUGUGACCUUAUUAUAGGUAUAUUUUUCAAAUUUUUUUUGUAUAUGUAUACAUAGUUCAAGCCAAAAGCAGUAAAUUCAAAAUAGAACAUGUCCAAAUGCCUAUACUACAGUUCCAUAACAAGGUCAUUCAUCAACAAGCUUGCUACUUCCAUAUGUAACACUUGACGCUACAACAAAACGAAAGAUAUAAUACAUAAACAUAACCUAACUUGACUUCAAUGGACAAUUAUGUCCUCCAACUUUGAGUGUGCGUAAGUAAGAACUGAAGCGUAUAUAAACUUAAACGAGUAGACACGCGUGUCCUACGCGACAUAAUACACAUGAGAUGCCAUGUAGGACACAUAAUUGUCAUGUAGAGUGUCAUGUAGGACGAAUGUGUCUAUUUGUUCAAUUUUAUACAAGUUUACGUAUCUACUUGUGCACACCCAAAAUUAAGGGUCAUGGUUGUCAACUGACGCCAAGUUAAGGGUCGUGUUUAUGUAUUAUGCCUUAACGAAAGGAUGAAAACAAUUGCAACAUAAACAUAAGGAACCAAAGAGUUUAACCAACCGUCUUCUGACCCCACCCCACACUUCUGGGAUUACAUUGAACCCACACUUCUGGGAUUACAUUGAGUACGUUGUUAUCGUUGAUUAGCACAAAGAAGUUUACAGGAUUGAGUUUUACCAUUGACACAAAGUAUGUCAUCUUAGAUGAGUUCCAAGAACUUGUGUAAAGAAAGCAUGAAAAUGCAGUGAUUCAUCAAUAUUGUCUACACUGUGAACAUAACAUCACACAUGCUAAAAUCAAUGAGAAAGAGAGAGAGAGGCCUCUUACAAUCAACGAUAGACGAUAUUGAAACAUAACUGAAGUUUCCGUUGAUGCCUGAAAGUUGCACUAGAGAUCAAAGGAUCAACAAACCACUCAAGAAUCAAUAUGUUUCGACUUUCAUUAACUUAAUCAACGGUACAAAUGGAUGUCCCCCCAUCCAAUAGACGAUUUGUACACUGACCGCUGCUUCUAAAGUGUAUCAUUCAUUACACUAACAAAAUGAUAAUGUGAGCUAACAAACGAAUCUCCUAUCUAAUACUCUACCAGCUAAGAGAGACAAUCAUAUGUUAUAUCUUUGAACCAUUUCUAAUGGUCGAUUUGUCUGACUUCUUUUAAAGAAAGAGAGCUAUAACAACAGAUACCAUACUUGGUGUCAUCUUACUUCACUUCCUGUACAGUUUCGGUCGUAGGAAAGGACUAUGUCUAUGAAUGAAAGCAGCAGCUAUGGCGAAAGACUGCAAAGCUGAUAGAGUCGAAUGAAAAUGGAUGUAAUACAAACCAUCAUGAAUAUUCGACAUUUUCAUGACUGGUGCACUUUGUUUCAAACCCUGCAAAAUCGUGGAAAAGAAAAUCGGUUAGUGACAUUUCAACAUUCCACAUAUUUAAAUGCAUAGUUGCUUGAAGAACAUAGAGAACAAAAACUUAUAAUGAGAUAGACCUGUAUAUAGAGAUCAAAAGUUUGACAGUCCCCGGAUGUAGUUUGUGAUGAAGCUUCAUUCCCAGUUUUAAGAACUGUGAGGGGGCACCCGAGAUCCCAGCCUCCACAAUCACAGUGCCCACCAGAGCUCCACCGCUCCAACAGGCUUGACGGCCCAGCAUGUCUGCUUCUAGGUCCACCAUGAAAACCACUUGGAAUUAUAACAUCUGUGCUUGUUGAGCAAUCACUGGUGCCACGUGAACGACAUUCCACCGAUAUCUCAGGAGGUGCAUUUUUACUUCCAGUCGGAGAUUUCUUGAGAAACUUCAUACCCCAGCCACCCUUCUCUGCCUCCUUGGAGCUGUCAUUAAGAGGAUCUCUGGUAACAACGGCAGCCAGCUCAAAAUUUGGCGGAAUCUGCUGAUCUAAAAGAGCAUUGCCGCAUGAAUAAUAAUCAUCAUACAUAUCUAUGGAUGGCGUCCACGAAGCAUCUUCAAGAAUGGCGCUUGUUCCCCCGAACUUGGAUAAGCUUCUCUGCUUAUAAGACUGACUAGUUCUGAACACAUCUGUUACUUUCUUUGCCAACUUUUUGUUCUUCCUGAGGAUAUGACUUGUUUGUAUCUCAUCCAUAUAUUGAUCCAUGGAACCAAACACAACAAAUCGCGUCUCCAUAAUCUCCAACUUGGUUGGGCUGAGUGUCACUGAAGUUGACACAGUCAUUUUACCUACAAGUUGUGAUUCCCUUGCAGAGAAGGCGCAUUCCUUUUUGCUUUCUUGUCUUGAAUGAAAUGUGUAAACAUAAUCGAGAAACUUAUCAUCAGGUGAGUCAAUCUCCAGCAGAUCAGCUACAUAAACUUCCUUUUUACCAUCUAUGGAAAAGACAUAAUGUGGUAAACCAUUUUUCCAUCUCCUCUGGAACAUUCCUUGAGAAAUAGGGGCAGCUGCUGAAAGACAUGAUUGAUCUGAGCAUGUCGAAGCUGUACUAGAUACAGAAAGAACCCUUCUGUGUACAUGCUCAGAUCCAUGAUCUGUCAUCUCCUUCUGUAGCUUCUGUGCUGAACUGACACUAAAACCACCGGGAGAGCUCAUGAAAUCAGAAAAACUUCCUUCUUCACUGUCAUUUAUAUUUUCCUUUCCAGAAUCAACAGUACAGUUAACAGAUCCAAAUUGAUUAAGUAAGGGACUCUUUAAAAUGUUCAGCAUACUCUUACUACCAGUUAUAGCACCAAGAAUCCACUCCGCGGAGGAGUCAGGGACAUAACUUGACUCAAUCCCCACAGUUUGAGGACAUUCGGUCGCCAGAUUACCAUUAGUGUGGAGAUUUUCAUUUCUAACCUCUCUUGAACCUGAACUCUUUGAUAUAAUUUGCAUCUUUGAAGAGAAGUUACAUGUGGAGUGUAUGUGUACCAAUUCAAGGCAGCGAAGGAAGUAUCUUUCGUCAAAACUUAUUAUAUGCUUCGGAAGCUUAUUUUGUAAGCCAAGAGAAUUAUGAAAGAGCAAUUUCUGAGCGCAAUUUCCAGUAAAAUGCGGGUUUUCUAAUCUACGUAGGUGCUGUGGUUCUAACUCUUCUAUUAAUCUUGUCGACAAACAACUAUUCUCCUCUGCUUGUUCUUCCUUGUUCACAAGCUGCAAUAAACCUUCUUUAUUAGGUUCAUCCUUGUCCAUGUUUCUGUUUUCCAUAUUCCACCUCCAAGGUGAUUAAACAUUAGAAAACAGAUAAAAUGAACUUUCUUCCUUCACCUUCCACAGUAUAAACACGGUUAUACAAAGAGACCGAAAUCCACCAGCACUACAAGAAUUUUUAUGCAUAAAUCAGAAGACAGAAUCUUUACAAGUUAAAUUACUCAAAAGAUUAAAACUUGAUCAAAUAAUGAGCUACAAGAGGGUAUACAAAACAAGUGUUUUGUAGGUGAACAAGAUUACAAAAUGGGGAAUCGAACUCAGGUAGCCAAUCAACUUAGCUACUAAGAUUCCCCGUCUACAAAACAAGUCUCAGACUGUAACAGCUGAAAAACAGAAGAAAAAAAAAUCAAAUCUUUGGCAACAAAUCUCCUUACAAAAACAGAAAUCUACUUGUGGUGAACUUCCCAAUAGCUGGGAGAGAUACAAACAGUGAAAAGAAAGAACAAAGAAGAAUGAACAGUGUUAUAUAUAUAUAUCUCAUUAAGCUUAAGCAGAUCCUAGUUACAUUUCAAGAAUCAACAAAAACAGUAUAAACAAUUGCAAGUUUGCAACAACUCCUAGACAAAUUGCACAAAAAAUACAAACAUAACAUGUUCAAUAAAUAGUAAGCAAAGUACUAAACAUCAAACAUCAGAAGUAAAAUCAAAAGUUCAAUAACUUCCUCACUCACCUCCAAAAAAAUAUGAAACCCCACUUCAAAUUCACCUUGCAGAUCAAGCUUUAAGCUCUUUCAAUCCCCUUCAGAAACAACAAACACCACAUAAAGAUAAACUUAAUGUUAGCCAAUUUCAAGACAACCCCACUAAACAAAGAUAAGAUAUACAAUUAGUCCUUCAAAAAGUCUAUUUUAAAACAAAGUAGAGAAAGAAAAGCAAGAAACUUUGGCUAUUAAAGAAAUAAAAAUUACUUCUACAAAAGUAUACCACAUGGAAGAAACCUCAUCCACCACUUUCACCUCCAACAACAAAAUAACUGUUUUUAGACGAAUCUUGAUUCUAGAAGAAGAAUACCAAACCAAACAUAUAAAUAAUAGAUAAAGGUGAAAUCUUUAGCUAAAUUCAACUAAAUGGGGUUCAAAGAUGAGAUGGGGUGCAUUAAGCCAUGUUUGGUUUCUUGGAAAAAUUAGGCAAAACUAUAGAAUAGGCAAUGGUGGGGUCCAAGAUUUGCUGAAAUCUUGCAUUUUCAAGGUCCAAUCUAUGGAGUAAACCAAACCCCCCUUAACCCCACCACCCCACAUCUAUAAACGAGUGAAAACAUGAUAGAGACAUACAGAAAUAUGUAUGUAUAGGUAAAAGAGUAAAGAGAGAAAAAGGCAAACAAAAAUGCCUUAGCUGGUUAGCACAAUAAGAUCAGUCAUGGACUAUUUGGCAACUUGACACUAUGUCAUGUAAUUUUUCCAUUUUUUUUAUAUAUAAAGAUUUUAUUAUUUUUCUAAAUUAAGCUCGGGUUUGAAAAUAGAUUUUGAAGUUGAAGUAUGACAUUUCGUGUUUUUGAAAUUGUAAUUAGAUACAUACGUAUAUUUUUGGAAAAGAAAAUUGAAGUUUCGCGAGUGAAAGACCUAAAACUAGUUAAAAGUUGAAGUCGGUUUUUGAGAAUUUGAAAAUCAACAUUCUAAAAUCUGAUUAAAUUUCAUGGUCAAAUAGAUAUUUGAAGAUCAAAUUUAUAAUCAAACAUAUAUUUCAAAAUAGUUUUUUUGAAAAUCUAUAAUGAACGCUAGUUAAAUAAUUAGUUGUAAUUUAGUCAUAAACUUUAAAUACUUUUCACUUUAUUUGGAAUUUAUAGAAUUGAAAAUAAGUUAAAUUUGAAAUAAGACAAAAUAUUUCACACAUUUAAAAUACAACUUUAAAUUGAUUAAAAAACUUAUCAUCAAACACCAAAUUUUAAUAUUAUUUAAAAAAUAUAUAUUUUAUGACCAAACGAGUACUUGUUGUUUUGAUUAAGGAAAAAAAUUUAUUUAUUGCUAUAAAUAAGAAAUUCAGAAGAAGAAAAAAAAGUCAUUAAGCAAUAACUAAGAAAUUUCUCAUAAUUUUUUUUUAUUAUCAUUGAUUUAAAGUCACAAAUGGUCACUAUUGCAUGCGGCUAAUUAAUGUUGUUACAUUUUGUUGAAAAUAAAUAACUAAAAUAUUACUUGUAUCAAUUAUUUAAAUUGGGGCAAUUCAUUCAAUUUAUGACAUUAUUUUAGAACAUCAUAUAAGUAUAUGAUUUUCAAUGUCACAUCUUUAAUAUAAAAAAAAAAUAUUUACACGUAAAAUCAAUAACAUACGCAAAAAACUUUCUAUAUUAAUAUAAUUUUUUUAAAAAAAACAAUUUACUAUAAAAUGUUAUAUUUUACAUUUAUACCUAGUAUUUUCAUAUAAAUGGUAUCCUACUCUUCUAUGAUGUCGCUUGGAGCAAGGUAUAUACGUGUUUACGUAAGAGACCGCGUCAUAAAAUUUAAAUAUAUAAAUAAAUAUAUUUAUUUUUAUAAUUAUUAUUCUUUUAUGUUUUCUAUUCGAUGUUUAUCCGCAUUAGAUUUUCAAUUAAAUUUGAAAAUCGCGCAUUGCAGAACUCAUUCGAAGAGGUGCUUUGAACAAGAUUUUUUUCGUAUUCAGGUCUCAAAUUCAAGACUUCUAAUUAAAGUGAAGCAAUUUUAUAAAUGCAUCAUGAUCUGUGAUAUUUUAUAACUAUUCAAAUUAUAUAAUAUGGUUCACAAAAUUAGUAAUUCUACUAGUAUGCCACCAUUGACCAUCCAAAUGCAAGAAAACAAAAAGACACUGCAAAGAUAUAAAUAAACAUAGGUACCUAACAACCUUGAAUCUUGAUACCUUUUAUCCAUCACUUUUCUUCAAACAUGUGACUUCUCUAAUAUAAUAUCGGAGCGGAGUGUGGAGUCAGUUUAUGAUUAGGGGUUCAUUCGUUUUUCUAAUGAUACAAAAAUUAUAAAAUUUAAUUUAAUUUUAUGUAUAUAUAUUGAACUUUCUUUAGUUCGUUUUUUGUGUUUACUAUUUUAGAUUUUAAAUCUUCUUAAUUAAAAUUUUGACUCUACGAUUAUAUUUAUAUUAUUAUUUUCUGACUUAGAUCAUGUACAGGGUAGGACAUAUUUUUUAUUUUUUUGUUUUUUUGGGGGGGUGUUAUGUUUCCAACAUGUUUUCGAAAUUAAUGUUAUAGACAUAAGAAAUGUUCUUUUGUGAAAUUAAUGUUUGGUGGUAGAUUUGUCUGUGAAAUAAAUUAAAUAUUAUCAUGUUUCAAAUUAUUGAAUAUUGUCAUGUUACUAACUUUUUCUUUAAUUGUUAUUGUUGUUAUCUUGACUAAUUUUUUAUUUUAUUUUAUCUGCGGCGCAAAAAUCUCAAUAGAUUGGAAACUUGUGAUGUAUUUGGAAUAAAAUAAAACAAAACAAAACAAUAAAAUAAAUAAUAAAAGAAAAAAAAAGAACAAAAUUUUGCUUUUUAAAAAAAUAAAAUAAAAGUGAUUAGAGAGAAUAAUAAAUUACCAUCCCUUAUAAAGUUAGAAUUAAAGUUAAUUGACUUUUUAGAUACUUCCAAAGAGGAUAUAAUUAAUUUCAAGUUUUAAACCUAAUUACUAGACUUUCGAUUUAUUCGACAUACCUAUAUGAUGGAAUAUUUUUUCAAACUUCAAGAUGAUUGAUUAAAAUAUUUAAUUAGUUAUAUCAUAGUUACGAAAAUAUUGAAAAAGAAAAGGUUAUUUUUAAAUUAGGUCGAAUAGAAGGAUCGUGAUCAAUCGUGCUUUAUAAGAAGAUCGAUUAGGGAAUUUGUCCUGAUAUGCUGUAUAAUUCUUUCAAUAAAUGUAUACCCCUUAAAUAUGAAGCCACUACAAAAAAAAUGAUCAUUAGCGAUAUUUAAUUCUUAAUUGCAGCUAAAUAUGUAUUUUUAGCGGCAAUUGUCACUCUUUGUAUAUGUCCCUAAAGCCUUUAGCGUCUUUGGUUCUAAUGACACUUAACUAAUACCGGUAAAGACAUUAGCACUCUUUAUUAGUGUCAAUACUUAAUGCCGCUAAAAGUUAUUUUGCUAUAAUGAGCCAAACAUUUUCUAUCUGGCGUUUUAAUAUUAUUCAGUUUGAAGCAUGACAUUCAAGGAUCGAAAAUAAAUCCUCUGAAAAUCUAACUCUAAAAGGAUACUAAAGUAAGAAUAUAUUUUGCUAAAGAUAAGGAAUAAAUGAACCAAAAAAUGUAUUGCACGGUAAAAUUGAGCAAUUUCGAUUAGUAUACAUAUCGAUAAGUUUAAAUUAUUUCCCUUGAUUUGGUUUUAGAGUUGUUGUUAGGUUAUUAGCAUUUUAAUAUUAAUAUUUAACCUAUUAAAUUGCUUUAUUUUGGAGUUAUAAGAAUGGAUGACUUCUACAUCAUCCAUUAGCAUUGGUUAUCCAUCAAUGUAUUUCAUUCUUAAUUCCUCUAUUACUCCCUUUGUAACCUAUGUAACAUAUGUAACUCCCUUUGUAACAUAUGUAACUCUCAUUGUAACCUAUGUAACUCCCAUUGUAACCUAUGUAACUCCUAAGGCCAUUAUCUUCACUAUUUACUACCUCCAUUAUCUUCCUAUUCAUUGCUAGGAAAACUUCUUGUAGUAUAAAUAGUGGUAGUCUUCAUUUGAUUUUAGAGACACACAAUUCAUAAGAGAAAACAAAGAGUGAAAGAGUUAGUCUAAAGAGAGUUCUUAUUAGUUGAAGGGAGGUGUUUUUUUUUGUGGAGCUUUGGACUCAACUCUUGUCCAGAGUUGUUGAGUUAUACUUUGUAAAGGCUGUUGUAUCCUGGAGGGGACAAGUCAAAGAGGACUACUGUUGGACCGGUGAAAACAUUUGCUGCAGUGGGCUUGAAUCUCCUUAAAGAGAGCGAGAUAUCCGCGCCUCAGCCUGAAGAGAUUACUUUCUUCAUUUUAUUUUCAAUUAUAAUCUUGCAAUUUUAUUAUCUUGUAAGUUUUUUCACUAACAGUUGUAACUAGAUGGACAAAAAGCUAGCAUUGUUAUUGAAAUAGAAUCGACAACAAUCAACAUGAGUUGUGGUUAGAUGAUCGUGAUUCAUUUAUCCUUAAUUAAAUGUUUCAAGUUCAAGCCUAAGCCUCUCGAAAUAAAACAAUAUCAUAUCGAGCGCCCUUCUCAAGCCAUAUUAAUUAAGAGUGUAAAAAAAUAAAUAUAAACACAUGUACAAUCAUAUAACUUUUGUACACCACAUAAUUUUUCAAUGAAAGACGUGUAAUGAACCACCCUUCCCUAUUCUAAUUAGGUGGCUUGCUCAUAAGUCCUGCAAUGUAAGAAUCUAAAUUUAAUCAGACUUUAAUAUAAAUAUCUAAAAUAAAUUGGGAAAAAAAAAAUAUUUGACAACUAUUUUCUUAUUGAGUGGUAUGCAGCAAAUAUAGUUGUUAUAUUUAAUUUCUUAUAAUAUAUUUUUUUUAUGCAUUAAAACCAUAGACAACUAUUAAGAUAGUGCAUGCACAUGGUGAUCCAUUAAUUCACAUAAUGGAAUGAACAAUUUGUUGAUUUAGACUUUUCAAAUGAUGAAUGAAGUGAUCCACUUAUUACACAAGGUAUUCAUAUGUUUUGCCUUGAUCAAUUGAUUAGUUCAAUGACUAAAUCAAUCAUAAUUAUUAGAUUUCAUAUCUAGAAACGAUAAGGUUCGAUGCGAAAAAAAAUAUUUUUAUAAAUUUAAAUAUAAAUACAUUUUUGUAGAUAUUUUAUAAGGAGACGGAAAAUAUUGUUCCAAAAGAAUAUAGUGGAAUGGAAGUAAGCGAGGUGGUAGCUAGCAAGGAGUAGGGGGUGGGAGGAGAUACUAUCACGUAUAAAUAUGUUUUUUAUUCAUCUUACAAGAUCAUUUUUUUAAUAAUAUUUUAUGAUGUUUGACAAGGAAACAAAAAAUAUUAUCGUAAAAAUAUGUGGUAGGAUGACCAUGUAGCGUAAAGUGUCAUUUUUAUAGAAUUUGUUUUCUCGAUUCCGUCAGUGAAGUUAUUUUUCUAAACGUUUGAUAAGAAAACAGAAAAUAUCAUCCCAAAAAUAUAUAAUGGAUGAGGGUGGUUAGGGUAUUGGGGUAGAAAGAAGACAGUAAUAUUACGAUGUUAUUUUAUUAUAGAACAUGUUUUUUCUACUUUUUUUUCCGAUUCCAUAAAAUAUUUUUCUAAAUAUAUUAAUUAAUUAAAUAUGUGAAAUAUAAAAAAUACUUUUCACCGUACCAAAUUCCAUUAAGCUUUCUUAUUUCACUUAAAUUGUUUGUUAAUUGUAAAAUUCAAAGAAGAGAAAAUUAGACAUUAGUCUAAAUUUGAAAAGUAUACUAUAAAUAUAUAAACAUAACACGUUAAUGUAAGAUUUGAAGACUUCUUAUUUUAGAUUAAAUGGAAGUUAUAAAGAAUUUUGUUUAACAUUUUAUUAAACCUUUUGAAUUUUCUCGUGUUCAAUAUAUGCUUUCAUCGUUUUAAUUUUUGUGAUAUUUUUUAAAUUUUGAGAUUUAAAUAAGUUUAUUUUUUAUUGUGAAUUUUUUAUAAAUAUUUUAAAUUAUCAAUUAUUGUGUUUUAUAGUACUUUUACGUUGUUUGUAGAUAUAUAAAUUUCAUUUCAAAAAAAAUGAAGAUUUCAUACGCACAAUUCUGAUCAAAUUUAAAUUGUUUGACUUUAUAAAACAAUUUAAUUAUCUCACAUAAAUUAAAACAAAUUGCAAUGUAUAUUGUCCCUAUUAAAUAAAAAGGUCCAAAUCAAAGAAAUUGUAACGUGUGACAAUUUCUAUCGCUAAACAAUAAAAAUUCAUCAAUCUAAUAUAACAAUGAGUUAUUAAAAAAUUAGUGAUGGUCUAUAUUGUCUAUGCAACAAAGACAACAACAUAUUCACUAUUUAUUUAUUUUUCAAAUUUGAAAUUCAAAUUCAUAAAAUGGACAUGAAUCCAGAAUAUGCUCCAAUUAUUGUAACACUAGAAAGUGUUUAUUAAUUUUUUUUAAUAAAAACAUUAUCUGAUUGAUUUUGAAUUUAAAAUUUUGAAUUUCAAGAAAUAAAUACAAAAGGGACAUGACUUUAUAAUCUAUUCACUUCUUUUCAGAGUUACAAAGUCAAAUUUAGUAGUUACACAAUUAAUUAAAAUUGUUUCAUUUUUGAAAACUCAAAUUCAGGUGGUGGUAGGGCCAAAUUAGAGAAUCACUCACUAUGAACCAAUUACGUGGUGGCGGAAUGAUUGUGAUUUUUAUACUUUUAAUUAAUAAAAAUUUUGAAUUCGAGCAACUCAAGAAUGAAAAAAAUAUUGAGAGUAUCGUAAUUAGAAAUAGUCAUGCAUUCAGACCAGUCAAGCUCUAAUUCGAAUAUUAAAGACAAAGAAAAAAACAUGUGAACAAAUGAGUAUUAAUGCAAUGAAUCGCAAUGAAAUAUUUGAUUGACAUAGAAAUGUUUGUUUGUUUGUUUGUACAAUUAACAACUAUUUAAUCAACUAACUCUUGAGAAAUAAUAAAUAAAUCCUUGUUGUUCAUCAAAGUCAAAAAUUUUAAAUGGUGACAAAUUAUUAUUACUGUUUUAAGGUUGAUUUUAUCAAAUGUUUUUACUCAAAUUAUUUGCAUUAAAUUUCUUGUAUUCCAGAUUAUGGGAGUGAAAAUGACUUGUUGAUUUAAUUACCAUCAAUUUAGGCAAAUUUAAUUAGUUUGAAAUUGGAAGUGUCAAUGUGAUGCUUGUGAUCUUUCACUUCAUCUUAUCUAAAUAAUAAACGGUGGUCAGUACUGCAGUAUAUAUCUGUUGAAGAAGAAGAAAACUGACGAUAGGAACAGGUUUAAUGCAGUUGACUGACUUGUCUACAUAGGUAGUCUAAUCUUAGUAUUCUUCAGUGGUGUUGUAACUCGCCAGUCAGCUUCGUUGGACCUGUUUCUUCGACAUGUUCCAAUCCUCAGCUUCCUUCUUCAUCAAUAUUUGUUGUAGACAAGUCAGUCAACUGCGUUGGUCUUAUUCCUUUGACAUGUUCCAAUUAUGAGUUUCCUUCUUCUUCAACGGUAUCUUUCAUUUUUAAUCAAGAAUCUCAUAUUUCAAAAUUUUAAAAUAAAGUGUCUCAUGUAAAAGACGUUUUACUCCUAAAAAGUGAGAUUUCCCAACACAACUAAUUCAGAACUCGACUAAUUAAAUUCAGAUUCACUUAAAAAAAAUUAUUCUAAGGAUAAAACACUUCCUAUAGAGAUCAACUUUAUUCUCAAAACUCAAAUUCAUUCUCUAUCAAAAUUAAUUUUAUUUUCAAAACUCGAACUCGAGACCGAAUAUUCACCACCCCAUUAGAAUCUUUUGGAGAAAAUGUAGCAUGUGGCCAACCAUAUAUCCUGUCUUAUUAACACCUUUUUUUGCAAAAGUUUGUAAGAUGAUUUUAAAAUGGAGUUUUCAAUUGCCCCUCCAAGAAAAGGAAAACUUUGUACUUUUUAUAAAAAAAAAAUAUAUUAUAAUAUAUGGUUUUAUAAAUCAACAUAUAUAAUCACAAGAGUUUUGGCAGUUACAUAAAUAAUAAAUUCAUGUCUUUGAAAUAUAUUAAAGAAAAGCACAUCAACUUUGCUAUCAUUUAAUUUUCAGAAAAUGUAUAUCUAGUAGUACAAUUUGAGGCUAAAAAAAAUUAAAAUUUGAAAUUUUUAAAGUAGGGUUUGGAUGUAUAUUUUACUCGAAAAGUAUUGAUUUUUAAUUAAUUAUAUUGAAAUAUUUAAACUUCGAGACCUUUUUUUGUGAAUGGCAGCCAAGUAUUUGGACUUCUUUGGCACCAAAUUUCAUACAUAUAACAAUUUCUAACAUUUUUAGAACCAUAUUAUAUAUAAUAAAUAUAGAUUUUCAUGUACAAAGAAAUCACAAAUAUUUCAAAAAAUGCUCCAGACAAUUUUUCAUAAUUAUUUAAUAUAUGGGAGUCAUUAAUCAAGAGCUUUCUGUUAUCAAUAUCAAUGUAUACAAAGUUUAUACAUAGUUCAUACAUACCAUUACAAUACACAUCUUAUAUAUAUACACAUUCCAAAACAUCAAAUAGGAGGACCAAAUUUGGAGGAAAAGCUUGAAAAUAAUAACAAAUCACCGUUCGGGAAGAAGGUCUGAAAUAUAUUCGAACUUUGAUCGAAAUUAUUAUUAUGAUACCAAAUUUUGGAAAAGAUUUUUUACCCUCUUGUACUAUUUAAUAGUGUAUUUUAAAGGUAUAUAUGUGCUCACGUAAACAUAAAAAUAUUGCAUAAUUAUAAACAGUAAUGUGUUCACGUGAGCACAUAUAUGCCUUUAAAAUAUACUAUUAAAUAAUUCAGAGAUAAAGUUCUCCAAAUUGUUCAUGCAUGUGACUUUUUUUUUUAUACUGACACAUUUUUAUUAGUUAAAUGUCAAUAACAUACUUAAAUUAUUGAUAGUGCGAAAAAUAUUUAACUUCUAAAAACACGUUUGCUGACUGAAAAAAAAUGUGUUUUGAUUUUUCUAAAGUGAAGUCAUUUGUUUCAAUUUAUAUUUUCAGUUGAGAUUGUUAAAUAUGUUAAUUAUGUGUUAUCACUUUUUGUCAUGGUGAAAUUGUUUUAAUUUCCACGUAACAAUCUAUGUGGAAACUUUUUUUAUUAGUAAAAAUUUAGGUGUAUUUUUCGUGCUCAGUGGCGGAGCCACCUUAUCAUUAGAAGGUUCUUAGAGAUUUGUUUUUCAAAUUUAUUAGUAAAAAUUUAGGUGUGUUUCUCAUAUUCAGUGGCGGAGCCACCUUAUCAUUAGAAGGUUUAUCGAAUUUUUUUCGGCGGAAAAUUAAAUUAAUUUUACAUGGUAAAAUAAUUUUUUAGGUAUAUAAAGUAGAUGUCGAACUCCAUUCGACUACUUCGUGUGUUCAUAUUUUUAGAUUUUCAACUCCCUUACUGAAGAUUAUAGCCCACUACUGCUCAUACUCCAAAUAGUUUAGGUUUGAAACUGAAAAAUUUAAGUGUGUUUUUUGGCAUUUCAUUAUAAAAAGGAAAAGAUUCAAAUAUAUAAUUGAACUUUGAAAAAAAAAAAGUUAUGUCAUGUGUUAAAAAGUUUGGUUCAUCUAUGUAAUUUCCGUUUGAGAAAAGACUCAUCCAUGCCAUUAUUUGUUAAUGAUAAUAAUUUUGAUUUUGCAAAACCAUUUUUUACACGUGAUCAAUUAUGAUUCGGCCAUGCCAUUAAUUAAAUUAUUUUUAAAGGAAUAAGGAUCAAAUAUGUCAUCAAAUUUUGAGAAAAGACUCAUUUAUGCCAUUAGUUAAAAGUUUGGUUCUUCUAUAUCAUUUUUGUUAACAAAUAUUGACAUGUAUGAGCCUUUUCUUAAACGAAAAUGGCAUACAUGAGCCAUUAUUUAAACGGAUAAUAUAAAUAUGAUUUUUCUCGAAGUUCAAUGACAUAUUUGAAUUUUUCCUCCUUUAAAAAAGGCAUAAUACAUACAUUGAACCCUAACUUGGCUUCAAAUAUUAACUUUGACCUCCAACUUUCGUAAUGCACAAACAGACACUUUAACUAUCCAAGUUUUAAAUAAAUAAACGCAUGAGUCCUACAUGACACAAUACACGUAGGACACCACAUAGGACAAAAAAUGACAUGUAGGACAUGUGUGUAUAUUUCUUCAACUUUAUACAAGUUUGAGUGUCUAUCUGUGUGCAUCCAAAAUUGAAGAGCAUAAAUAUGAUUUGAAACUAAGUUAAAAGACGUAUUUAUGUAUUAUGCCUUUUAGAAAAAUGUCUGAAGUUUGGCGUUGUUAAAGCCACAACUUUAGUAAAAAAACAAGUCUCAAAUUUGGCAUUGUCAAGGCCACAAACUUAGGUUUUUUUUUUCUAAUUAUGGGUAUUGACAAGGCCAUAACUUCGAUAAAAAUAUCUGAAGUCGAUCUUAACAAGUCAUUAUAUAUCUUAAGCCAAAAAAAUAUAUAUUUGAAGUUUCCAAAACACAAAAGUCUAACUUACAAUAGCAUAACAUUUACAAAAUUUACAUGCCCUAACUAAAGAACAUUGAUUAAGUUAUUACAAGUUAUUCUUUGUUUUCUCUAAUUAAUUAGUUUAUGACUAAUUAAUACAUCCCAUUGGAAACAAAUUUCUGCAAAAAUUGUAUCCAAAAUAAAAGUUGACAGCUGAUCAAAUCCAAGAUUGCUUGAUGCAAUAUUUGAUUCACAUCACACCAAUAAUAUAUAUAUAUAUAUAUAUAUAUAUAUAAUGAAUUCCACCUCUUCUUCUUUCACCACCUAAUACUGUCACACAAUAUAUUUUAAUGAGUUUAAUUAUAUACAUUAAUAGUAUAAAGUAAUUUUUACAUUAUGAAAACACCUAAAAAGUAACUAUAACUAUUCAUAGAAAAGUUGUGAUUAGUAACAUGACAAUAAGUCAGAUUAUCUGCUAUAACAUGCGAGGGCAAAUAUAAUUUCGGUAUAUUGAGUUUAUUUGAAUUCAAUAUUUUUGAUAUAGAGUAUAAAUUUAUACAUAAGAAUAUAUUAAAAAUUAUGAAAAAAGAGUCUGAAAAAUACUUUAAUUUUGGUAGAAAUUGUUGUUACGAUACCAAACUUUAUGGAGGACCUUUUACCCUCUGCACUAUUUAAUUGUGUAUUUUAAAGGUAUAUAUGUACACACGUGGACACAUUACUAUUUUAAAAAAUGUAAUAUUUAUGAUGUUCACGUAAACACAUAUAUAUCUUUAAAAUACACUAUUGAAUAGUACAAGGGAUAAAAGGUCAUUUCCAAGUUUGUUAUCGUAACAAAAAUUUCUAUCAAAAUUAAAAUAUUUUUCAGACUUUUUUUUCUAAAAUUAUAAUAAAUAAUAUAUAUGAACUCCAUAAAUUUUAAGAUAUGUUGGGUUGAAUAUUAUGUAUUAGGUAGGGCCCUCGGCCUUUUUUAUUAGGCAUAAUACAUAUAUUGGAUCAUAAACUUGAUUUCAAAUUUUAACUUUGACCUCCAACUUUCACAAUGCACAAACAGACACUUUAAUUAUCCAACUUUUAAAUAAAUAAACACAUGAGUCCUACAUGGCAAAAUACACUUAGGACACCACAUAGGACAAAAAAAUGACAUGUAGGACAUGUGUGUUUAUUUGUUCAACUUUAUACAAGUUUAAGAGUCUACUUAUGCACAUCCAAAGUUGAAGGGCACAAAUGUGAUUCGAAGCCAAAUUAAAGGGCAUAAUUAUGUAUUAUGCCUAUUUAUUAAUUCAAUCCAUUUUGAUCGUCCAAAGAAUUUGGUUGGCUUUAGCUAAAUAUGUAACCCUAAAUGACCUAUGGAGAAAUCUUUUUAGCUAAAUAUGUAACUAUAAUGGUACAUUUAUGCGUUAUGCCCAAAAAGAAUGACAUGUUUUUAUAUUUAGUGGUAAUAAUUUUAACUUUUAAAAUGACUAUUUUAUCCUUCGUAAGGCCUUUUAAACCUCACAAGUAUCUGUACUUUAUUUUAGAGCACAAGUUCCAAGAAAAACUUCUCUUUUUAAAUUUCGUGUCUAGACAAAUAGAUAGUUAUUUUUUUUUAAAAAAAACAUAGGGAUAAGGCACAAGGACCCCCAGACCAUGAUCGGAAAUCGAGCAACACUCCCCUCCCCCGAAUCCAUUCUUUUGUAAUUUUGUACGCCUUAUUGACUUACUUGGCAUCCAAAUAUCUCCCACACGCCUCAACUACGUGGAGUCACAUAGUGUCCCAUGUAAGCCAAAAGAGCAAUAGAACCUUAGUUUAGUUAAGAUAAGUCUCUGAAAUUUCGAUCAUAUUAAUCUAGGUAUACUUAUGCCUUAUUCCAAAAACACAAGAAGGGUUGUUAGAAGAGUACCUUGUUAUAUGUAGAGGAAGAACUUAUAGGAGCAUAUUGUAGAGCUUUAUAGGAACUCUUUAACUUAGUGCAUUUGACCAUCUGUACAAUAGAGAGGUGUGCACAUAUCAUAGGGACCAUUAGUAGUUGGUACAUGACAAUUUGAGGUGAAAAUUGUGGCAUUGUUGUCAUGAUGUGUUGAAGAUGUAACCAUAUUUGGAUGAUACAUUAUAUUAUUGAGUCCAACAUCUUCAUGACUAAUUGUAUCCUCUUCAAUAGUACCACAAGAAUUUGCUUUACUUGCCUCACCAAAUUCAUCAUUUCUUGCAAAUCUUCCCUUCACUCUUGGCCUACUAUCUGCUAGUGUUUUUCUGCAUGCAUACUGCGAUUUUUUGAAAUAGGGUUAAUUUCACGUAUAAUCACUGAAUUUCAUAAAGUUAUUCUUUUUGUCGCAAUUAAAAUUUCAUAAUGCUAAAUUGAGGUCAAUAUAUAUAGAGGAUUGUCCUUUUGUUGUAUUGUCUCGAAGAGACAAAAACACUUAUAUGAAUAAUGCUAAUUCUCAUGUUGUUUCUAGAUUCAUUUCGUCGAGAGUCUUCCUCUCUCCGCCCCUUACUCAUUUUUUGAAAAACACCGUCCUAAAUUUUCUUUUUGUAUAUCAAGGAAAGUACCUCGCUCUCAUCUUUUUGCAUUUUUUAAAAUUAUUAUUAUAGAAUUUUCUCGAAUCUCUAUAAAAACAAAAUAAAAACCUCCGGUGAAAGAACAAAUAAUAGGAGAGAGGAAAAGUAUGGGAAAAAAAGGAAAGAAGUCUAGUGCUAGAAGUGCAUCGCCACACAGAAUGUCUUCGUUAAAAAUUUAUAUUGUAAACAUAAAAAAAAAAUUAUACCACAUAUCAAAUAUUGAAUUUCUGUCUUCGCCAUUGCUACAAAAAAUUUUAGGAGGAGGAUGAGAUGGAAUAAAAGUUAAAAUAGUAGGAAGAUGUAGACCUUAAUUUUUUUGCUGAAAUUUCUCUCAUUUCUUUUCUUCAUGUAUCUAUGAAUUUUCUCCCUCCUUUCUUCAACUGAACACCUACCAGAUUUGAAGUUAGGAUCUUCAAAACUUGUGAUUUCUGUGGCCAAAGUGUUAGAACAACCACCACCACUAACCAAAUGUUGACUCUCAUUGCUCAAUGCCUACAUAAACAUAUCAAAAAGAAAAUCGCUUUACAUAUCAGUAUCAGAGUCAGGAUGUUCAUUCAGAUAAUUCAAAAUAUAUAAAAAAACAAAGAGGUUCAACAUAUAGUAUUCAUUAAGAUAAAUUUGACCUUUUUAUACAGUGUAAUUUUCCUGCAAAGGAGUAGCUCAGACAUAACGAUAAUCACAUUAGACAUAAGGUGGUUUAUUGCCUCGAUCAGGGAGAAAAAACUUUUUUUUGUUAUCGAAAAAUCCCUCUCCGAUUUAUUUAACUUAAUGAUAAUUACAUCAAACAUAAGGUUGUCUAUUGCCUCGAUAUGGGAGAAAAACUUUUUUUUGUUUUUGGAAAUGGUACUUACAUCGAACAUAAGGUGGUCUAUUACCUUGAUUUGGGAGAAAAACUUUUUUUUUGUUGUCGGAAAAUCCCUCUUCGAUUUAUUUUAACUUUACUCUUAGGCAAGAACUUACUCAUUUCCUUUUUACACCUUGCCUAGUCCGACAUGGGGUUCAUCUGAAGACACUUAUUUUUUACGCAUAUACAGUAGAUUGAUGAAUUCUUCGUGUGCAUACACAUGAAAAGAAAUAAAUACCUGAAUAUCAUUGUUAUAGAUUCUUGACAAGGAAUCAUGGCAAAAAAUUCUACCAUUUUCUCCUUGAUAAUCCAUUUCUUGAUUUGGCAGUUGAGAUCCAAAGAACAAUGCAUGACUAUUAGCAGCUGCAUCAAAUAUUGUGUUGUUGAUAUUUCCUUGAAGAUAAUUCACCAUAUUAUGAUCAAGAAAUGCGCAUGAAGGAGUACUCGUCACUCCUCGUAUGUAAGGAGGGAGAGAUGUCAACGAUUCAUCUUCGUAUAAUGAAGGCCCCAUAAGAUGAUGAUGAGACAGGGGAAUAACAGAGCAAUUUACGUCGAAUGGCUCCUCUUGUUGUUGUAAAAAAUGAUGAUCAGGAACAGUGAAAUUCGCGGAUGGGGUAAAGUCUAUUGAUGCUGAAAUAUCGUUAUCAAUCUCAUCCUGUGUGUCAAAUAUCAUCGACCUAUUAUUGUUAACAUUACUCAUAGCUGUUUUUGUGAUCGUUUCAUCAUUUUUCUCGAUUCUAUUUAGAUCGAAAUUUGUUGUAGUGCUAGUACUAUAAGAAGAAUUAUUUGAGGUAGAAGCAACAUCUGAAUUUUGUAUUUCUGAAAAAAGUUCAGAUUCACAAAAAUUCAAAAUUUGAUCAUUUAUUGGGCUUGGCAUCUCUUCCUACAAAAACAAAAACAAAAAAGCCAUAGUCAAAAUAUAUCACUUGUUAUUAAUAGCAUCUUUAUACUACUUUUUUCAUAGAAUAGAAUCAUGUCGUUACGUAUGUUAUCUAAAAACCAUCUCUUUUCAUGCACGAGACUCGACAGAUGCCUAACACUUUAAUGCAUGUAUAUUAUCUCUAUUUCUUUAUGUAAUCUGCACGAGACUCGACAGAUGUGUAACACUUGAAUGUAUAUUAUCUAAACCUAUGCUCUCUUUCUUUAUGUAAUUUGCAUGAGACUCGAGAGACACCUAAUACUUUACAGUAUGUUCACUUAAAAACUCUUUGUGGCAUCUAAAAUUGUACACAAAAAAAAAUAAAAAGGACAUGAAUUCUGAGGAUUAUGUUAGUGAAAAAGAAUCCUUUUGUAGCACUAAAAGGCUAUGUUGAUAAGCAUGAGACUUUUGUCUAUAGUUUUUAAGUUUCAUAAAAGUCAUUUUACAAGAACCUUAGACUAAAAAAACAAGAAUCAUUUUUCACAUGGAGAACUUGAGUAAUAAGCUUGAAAAGCAAAAUAUUCUUUGAUUAAAUGCAACCUAAGAAAAUGAAAGGAAUAAUAAUAUGAUCUAAUUCAAGGUCUUGAAAGAAAAAAAAAUCUAAGAGGAAUAAAAAAAUAAUUCAAUUCUCAAAACUCCAUUUCUAGUAAAAACUUGAAUCUUAUCUAUAUAAAUCUGUAAUAAUAAUAAUAAUUAAAUAAGAAUUCAACAUAACUUGUACAUUAAAAAGUUGAUGAUGUUCUUGAGGAUGAAGCAUCAUGUCUUGCAUCAUUGUUGUUUCUUGAUUUAAUUUUUCAAAAUCUUGAAAAUUUAUAUCAUGCAUAAUAUCAAAGGAGAAAAUUUUAUUAAAAAAAAAAGUGAUUAAAUUGAUUUCACUUUUUUUGUUACCUUAAUGAAACUCAUGUUUGUAACCAAUGGUAGAGAGAAAUCCAUGCAAGUAAAAUAGGAUUAUUUUUUGGAUUGAAAAAAACAAAGAUAAGAUAUAUAUGAGAUUAUUUUGAAAAUUUGGGAUUAUUAUAAUAUGAAGAUGGGGUGGGUUGGGGGUGGGUGGGUGGGUGGUGUUGGUCUAAGUGGAAAUACAAAGGUAUACAUUUUAGUUAUAUGGAUUGACCAUAUAUACAUUGAAAGUGAAACCUAGGUUGUUGGUGGGCCAGUCAAUUUGUGGGAUAUCUCAUGAAAUUUUGACACGUGGAGGGAGCAUUUCUAUUUUAAGAGUUAAUUACUUAGAUAUAUUCUAGUUUGAAGUAUUACGACUUCUAUAAGAUUUUGAUACAUCUAAAUAUGUUUAGAAUGUUCAAAUAUAUGUAUAACGGGAUACAUGAGGUCAAAAAUAGGUGCAGUUUGUUCUAGAUACAUUGUAUCCAAAUGAUUCAUAUAUUUAAAAUAUAUAAUAAAUAUCAUUCGCUUCUUUUCUAUCUUACUCGCCCCUCUCCAAUGUAUAUGAUAUUUCAUAUACAUACUAAUCAGUCACAUGUAUGAGAUAUAUAACAAAUUUAGUUUGUAUCCAUUGCCAUCUCGAUUGCCUUUCUCCCUUUGUUAGUGCAUAUGAUAGCAAAAAUACAUAUAUUUAGGUGUAUCUUCUUCAAAAUAUGAUAGAAAACUCUUAAUUAAUGGUAAAAUACAUAAUAUUUUAAAAAUAUAAAUAAUAAUAGUAGUAUAUAUAAUAAUGGAAUAUGAUUAAUUACGUAGUUUCUCCUUUAAAAAUUAACGCCCUUACGAUAGUGAUGAGGUAUAUCACAUAUACUAUUGAAUUCUCGUAUUUAUUGUUUAGCCUAAAAAUGAAGACAUAAUAUAUUAAAACAAAUUGUAUAAACAUAUAUUUAAGUUUAUCUCAGCUGAGAAGUAAACAAUAUUUCAAUUUGAGGUAUGCACAUUUAGACACUUCAAGUUCGUCUUUAGUGUGUUAGCUUGAACACUUCAACUUACAAAAAGUCAUAAGCUGAAUACAAUUUGUUACAUCAACAUCUAGUGUUCAUGAGACACAAUAACGAUGAGUUAAUAUAUUUCAUUGUUAGCGAUGAUCAAGUUAAAAGUGUUUAAAUAAAGCUUGGUGCCGAGAGUAGGUUUCGAGAACCCUCACACGAAUUGAAUGACUUCACUGGGUGCAUGGAGACCACUGGGCCACCCGCCUCAUUAUGGUAGAGGAUUCACAAUAAAUUUAUUUGUACGUAUUAUUUGAUAUUUUAAUACGUACGUAGGAUUUACGAAAAAGUCAAUGGAUUUGUCCAAACACCCUUCAGCUUACCAUAGCUCCACCCCUGAAUUAAGGUACUUGAAAGUAUAUACAACGCAACAUAUUUAUUAGAUAGAUAUAAACAUCGAAUAUGAAUAAACUUUUACCAUGAGACAUUACCGUAAAGUUUCUUCAUAAAUGCCAUAUGUUCAAUGAAUAUCAAAUGCCUUUCUUUUUGGAACUCCUCAAAAAUUGGGUGGCUGUUAUUUUUUGAGUGCACAUUAAAUAAAUUCGUUUUUGUGCGAUAACUCAUAUUUCGUGAUUCUAAAAGUCUAGCAAAUACUUUGGAAUAAAAUACCUAGUCCUAACUAGGUGGCUUUGCAUAAAAAAUCACCUUUAUAUGUAGUACAAAAUGGCAGACAAAACACCCCCAAGUUAUAAGAACCAAGAAAAUCAUGUGUUAUGAGGUACUAUCAAAGGUUAUUUUAAUUUGAGUCUUUACCAAAUCAAAAUAACGCGUGGAUUCAAAAUUUAAAUAUUCUAGAGGUCGAAGAAGGAAGGAAUUUCAUCAUAACCUAUUUGAUUUUCUAUAUUUGAAAUCUAUUUUCUGUACUUGAUGAACUCUUUUAAUACUUAUACAUAAUUUGAGCCAAAACUGUCGAAUUUGAUUGAACUCAUAAUUUGUACACUAGAUCCGCGUGCCAUGCAAACAAGUCUAGAUAGUCGUUUAAAAUUACAUCAAGGGUACGACAUAGUGAGUAUCAUUUUAGAUUGGAAACCAUGAAGUCCGAGGUUUCAAACUUUAAAUAUCAGCGAUGACAAAAUUACUGUAUGAUCUCUUUCCAUUUGCCUAAUUAAGUAUUGGUGGACAUAGUUGCUCAACACUUAUGACAGUAAGAUAUGUAACAAAUAUUCUGUAAAAUUAGUCUAAAUGCGUGAAAUCUGCGUGAAAAUACACCAUACUUGUUUAGUCUAGGUUCACACACACAUUGUCCUCAUCGGCUUCUAUUUACAUGCACUUCAUGAUAUUACCAAAAAUAGCAAAUACACCUUUCUAGAGACAUUUGCUUUUAACUAAUUAUAGAAAUAUUCUAGCUCUUCCAAUACUAGUUCUUGAAUGAAGAAUAUAUAUGUGAGCAAUAUAUAAAAGUGAUACAAUAAGAAUCAAGACUAAGGUUGUACAUGUUUGUUCUUUUAAUUAGCAUUAUUGAGCUAUAUAUAUAUAUAUAUAUAUAUAUAUAUAUAUAUAUAUAUAUAUAUAUAUUCUAUGGCAUUGAUGAGAUGGUUGUAAAUUGUAAGCAAGGUUAAUUUGUAUGUGUUGUUUAUGUCAAAGACUUUUAAUUCAUACAUGGCUGCAUCAAAUGCCAACAAUUGUGGAGAUUGGCAUCUUUGGGACUAACAAGACACUAAUUUCUAAGAUGAAAUGACAUUUUGAUUCAUUAUUUAUCAAGGUUUCUUGUUAUUUUUUGCAUAGGAAAGCCUAGAUACUAGCUAGGCACUUCUAUAAAGAUUUUAUCUUAUGUCUGGUUAAUUAAACUGGUCUGAAGAUAAUCUUAAUAUGGUGAGAUAUUUUAUUUUAUUGUUUUAGUCAAGUCUGUAUGAAGAAGAGUUUGAUAGAGGAGAUUAGAUAUGACAUGAUUCACUUGUAUCUAAUCGAGGCAUGACUCGAGAUAAGAAGUUACAUAUAUUGAGGAUUCGGAUAGAAGUGUAGUAUGUAGCCAUGUUGCAUCGAGUUUCUCUUUUUUGUAUUGUCAUUAGUACUCUCGUAUUAUCUUAUUCGCCGAUUUUCGCAUUACCAUUUUUUCUUCUUCAGACCUUGAUGGAGAUAGGAGGUUGUGAAGAUUGAGGAUUAGGAUAAAAGGAUAAUACGUACUUGUGUCGCAUCUCAUUUUCCUUUUCUCUAUUAUUAUUAAUAUUUUAUUAUUAUCUUUAUAACCUUCGAUUUUAAUAUUACCUGUUGUUUUCUUUUCUUCGAUUAUCAUAAUAUUUGCCUUUUGGUACUGUUCUUUUCUCAAGGUAGUUUCUACUUGAAAAUUUGUAUCAAUUGUAUCUCUCUCCAUCUUGAUUUGAUAUGGUUUAUUCGGGCCACUUUUCUAUUUGAAACAAUCUCUGUAUCUUCGUAAAAACAAGAUCUCCGAACUACAUGUAAGGAGAUAAGUUGACAAGUAGAGAUAGUAGUUUGUUUGUUUCAAGUUAUCGUUAUGUUAUUUUCAUACUCAUUUUGUAAAUUAUUAAUUUUUGUCCGGUCACAUUAUUACGAAGAAUAUUUAUCCUAACACCUUAUAUAUAUAUAUUUUUGAAUAGUAAAAGUUUAUUGUAUCGAACAAAUCUAUUUUUACUUGGGUUCAGAAUUCAAUAUUGGUCCUUUGCUUUUUCGAAGAGUGUAGAUUCAAAUACAAUACUCAAAAUAUAAUAUCUUAUGCUAAUUAAUUUGUCUCAAUAUGAUAUAGAGAUAGGUAAACUUUUUUUUUUUUAAUAAAAAAACUAUUAAAUUCGCUAGAUACCAUUUUUAUUUGGGCAAAUGACAUAAAUAACAUACUUUUAGGGCUAAACGAACAUUUGUCCCUUAUAAGUUUCUAAUGAUCAAAAUUCCUCAAAAAAAAAACAAAAAUACGGAUACAUAAUAGGGCUGUACAAUAAAAAAGUUGGCGGAUACAUUAUAUAUUUUUGUCACAUUUUUGAAUCCGCCUCAUUUUUUAUCACAUUUUGAUAUCCGCCUCAUUUUUUUAUCACAUUUUUGUGUCCACCUCAUUUUUUAUCACAUUUUUCUAUCCGCGUCAUUUUUACAUUUUUGUAUCCGCCUCAUUUUUUGUUACAUUUUUGUAUCUGUCUCAUUUUUUGUUACAUUUUUGUAUCCGCUUCAUUUGAUUUAAAAAUGAGAAAUUUUAGAUAUUUUUAAAACUAAUAGGGGAUAAAGGUAAUAAGUGAAGUUAAGGGAGGGAUUUUUGUUAUUUUUCCUUUUUAUUUUUAUUUUUAAAAUUCUUUUAUGUAGAAAUAUUAAUGUACAUGAUACUUAGCCAAAUUAAUAUAGACAAAAGAACCUUUUCUUUUUCCCACUGUUGUAGCCUGUAGGGAUGAAAUUUGGCUGAACAAAAUAUAAUGCAUGCCUCUCACAUCUUAAAAAUUAAUAAAAUGCUAAUUAAGCUAUUGAUUCUAUUUAGUUUUAGAAUUAGAAUAUUAGUACAUUUUUAUAUCUUUGUUCCCUAUGCCCCCCUUAUAUUGUAAAAGAAAUAAAAAAAGGCCUCAAAUGGACUUAACGAAUUGAAUCAAAGAUGACCUUAGACACAUACAAAGCCUUACAUAUUGUUUGAUGUAUCAUUGACAAUGAUACACAAUUAAGUGAUCAGAGUUAUAGUGGAGUAGUUGAGGUCCUUUUCUUUUCAUUCAUCGAACUUUCAGUAAUAAAAGAAAUUAUGUUAAAAGCAUUAUCAAAGCCUUAUAUAUUGUCUGAUGUAUCAUUGAUCAAUAGGUAAACAAUUAAAUGAUUAAAGUUAUGGUGGAAUAGUUGAGAUCCCUCCCUUCUUAAUCAUCGAGCUUUAGUAAUGAAAGAAAUUAUGUUAAAAGCAUUAUGAAAUCUUAGUUAUUGUCUAAUGUAUCAUUGAUCAACGAGAGACAAUCAAACCAUUAGAGUUAUGGUGGAAUAGUUGAGAUUCCUCCCUCCUUAAUCAUCAAAAUUUGUAAUAACGAAAAAAAUUUCGUUAAAAGCACCGCCUAUAGAAAUGAGCAAUACAAUACAUAUAUUUGAAAUUAGUUAGACCCUAAUACGAGUACUGAAAAAUCACGUAUGAAACCCAAAAGAAAUGAUUUUGACUACUUAAUUUGUCAUUAAUUUUAGAUACUAAGGUCUAUAAUUCAUUAAAAAAUAAUAAUACAUUCGAUUUUGUAAGUAUAUUAGUAUAUAUAACUGCAAUAUUUAAAAUAAAAUGAUUAACCUUAUUUGAACGUUUGAAGUAAUUUCUAAAAUGGCUAAACUUACGUAACCGACUACCGAGACUUGUAAAGAGGUAUAUUCGGGUCUUUUUGGGUCGGGUCGGAUCCUACCAUAUCCCAUUCUUAUCAUCUGAAACCCUCAAAAGUUAAAAAAAAAAAAAAUUCUUCAUUCAUCUCCCUCGCUCUCACUCUGCAUCAGCUCCUUUUGUGCUGCUUAAACCCUAGCUCUACCUCUUUGCCUUUCUCUCUCUUUCAACAAUGAACUGUUCAAGUAAGCUUCACUUUCUCUCUCUAUAUCGCUAUUUACUUUUUUUUUCUCUAUGCACAUUUUUCGUAAUAUAGAUCUUUUUUUUUGCGUCUCUGAUCUGUAGUUUUCACUGUUUUUUUUCUCAUUGCAGUUUCCGGCGAGGUGCCGGAGGAUCCAGUAGUUUCGAAGAAGUCCGGACUCCUUUUCGAGAAGCGUUUAAUUGAAAGACAUAUCUCUGUGAGUCUUUAUCUCAUUUUGUACUAAUUUUGUUAUUUACCUUCGUUUGUUAGUUUACUUAUCUAUGUUUGCUGUGUUAUUUCCAAUCCGUGUUUGUUAUAGAGAGAUAUCUGUAAUUUGUGUUGAAUUGAGUAAUAGCUUGAAAAUUAUCUGCAUUUCCAGAAUUUUAAACUCAUUUUUGGUGUGUGCAGUGUGUGUUCUUUUAGCAGUAGGGUUUUUUAUUUGAUCUGUGUGGUCGAUAUUGUGGUUAAGUUUGAAGAGAAAUGGAUUUAUGCCCGAGGUUGUUUCACGCGAGAUGUAGGAAGGAGAAAUUUGGAAUAAGUAUGGUGUUAAGGCGAACUGUGCAAGCUAGUUAGGGUUGGGUUAUAUUGAUCCUCUACAUUGAUUUUUUUAAUUUGUAUGCGUUUCACUAAAAAAAUUAGUUGUUUGUCUUUUGUAUAUUUAAGCCAGUGUAAAUUUUGAGUUGCUGGUCUCUAUCUUCCCUGUCUACACUCCUCACCUAAUGGGUUCAUAAUAGCUAAUAGAAACUUAAGUAGUGUCAACUGUCAACUCAGGCUUUUGUGAAAAGUGUAAAGGUUGAGCAGAAAGAACAGUAUUUAUGCAGCUUGAUUGUAGGAGAAUUUUUCAACUUGUCCGGUGGGAGUAUUACCGUCAUUUUUUGGUUAAGUGGUAUUUUUGACCUUUAACUGAAGACAGCAACAUGUUCUCAAGUGUAUGUGUGUUUCUUAAUCGGUUUGUUCUUUUGGUUGGUUCAGGAUUAUGGCAAAUGUCCUAUUACUGGAGAGCCAUUGACGGCAGAUGACAUCAUCCCUGUUAAAACUGGCAAGGUAGUACUGUCUGAAACUUAAAAUGUAAUUUGCUUCUAAUUUUCCCCGUAUUAGCUUUACGGUAUGAUCUCACAUGGGUUUACAACGUGAAGCUUACAAUUAUUGGUGCUUAUUGCAGAUAGUUAAACCCCGACCUGUACAGGCUGCUAGCAUUCCUGGGAUGUUGGGAAUGUUCCAAAUAGUACGUGUUUUUGAUCCUUGAUUUUCUGCUUCCCAUUUCUAAGGUUUGCUUAGUUCUUGAAGAUUCCAAAUAAAGCCUUAUUACAUAUAAUGAACCAAAUUCAGCAGCAUGAUUUUCUAGUUCAUUGUUGAUCUCUUAUUCUUUAGUCUAACUGGUUGUUUAUCAAAUAGCAUUUUCAUCACUUAAUUCUUUACGUGGUGCGACUGCUAAACGAAUUACCAUUUAUCUUGGAGCAUUUGUUACAUUGAUGCUUCGUCUUAAAUUCUUUUUCUCAUAGGAAUGGGAUGGUCUGAUGCUGUCAAAUUUUGCAUUGGAACAACAAUUGCAUACUGCAAGGCAAGAGCUGAGCCAUGCUUUAUAUCAGGUGAAGGAAGUAGCCUACUACAUACUAUUAAGCAUCUGGAAAACUUUAUUCUGGGGAGUUUGUCCUAGAAAUCAUAUUUGAUAACGUAGAUGCAAUGAUUAGUUUUAUGAAAAAUUGAGUGCUUGCUUAGACAGUAUGGCCAUUAGGGAAGCCUCAUAUACUAUAGAUGGAAGAAGAGAGAGGAAGUACAAGUUAUAAAAUUCUGAAACUAGGUGGUGCAAAGUUAGAAGUUCUCUGCUUGUGCUAUUUUUCCAUUGUAAUGUCAUUUUUUGUUUCAAGUUUCCUGUUUUGUUUAACGAGAAUCUUUUAUUUCUAUGGUUAAACCCAACAUCCUCUAUUCCCUUCGUAGGAUCUCAACAGUGGAUUUUUUCCGCGCUGGCUCCUUUUGUGACUCCAACUCCAACUUUAUAUUGGGGAUUGGGAGAUCCAUAUUCCUUGCUACCAAGCUCUCUCUCUUUUUUCCUAAUGGAAGAAAAUAUUUAAGCAUAGGAAAGAGGCAAGUAUUGUCCUAUAUUGCCUGUAAAGCGACAGGAACUUUUUCUUAUGACAUGAGUUCUCCUGUAAAGAAUAACACAAUCAAGACUAGUAAGAUUGGUUACACAUACUGGUGUCUGUAAGUGUCAAAAUUGUAGGAAUAAGCAUCCUAAUAUUUGGAAUUGGUGCUUAUUGAGCCAAUAAUCAGGUUCUAGAUUCACUGUACAUUUUGUGUUUGCCAUCUCUUCUAUUUUUUGUCCUGUCUUUCUAUUCCAGAGUUUCUCUUAUCAAUUUCCAAAGUUGACGUCUGGACAAUUUUCUCCCUGUUCUCUCAUUGUUCAUUCAUCUGGUAGCUGCUUGUCCAUAUUACAUUGUUCUGCGUGCUUCAUAUACUACAUGCCUUGCUAAUUUCAUGUCUUAUCUUGGCAGCAUGAUGCUGCUUGCAGGGUAAUUGCAAGGCUGAAAAAGGAAAGGGAUGAGGCAAGGGGGUUACUUGCCCAGGCUGAAAGACAAAUACCCAUGGCAGCCACUACAGCAGUUGGCACUACUGCUGUAAGCAACGGGAAAAGAGGUAAUUCUUUUUUACGCAUUUAUAUGUACCUUGUACCAUCUUCUUUAUCCCAACCUUAAUUAUUCAUGUUAUCAACUUAUAUCGAUAGUUGCCGAGGAUGAGGAUGUGGGCCCUGAUGGAAAGAAAAUUCGCCCUGGGAUAUCACACUCUGUCAUUGAGACUCUUACUGAAUGUAAUGCUGGUCUUUCACAACAAAGGAAAAAACGACAGGUAAACUCUACUACACAUGUUUGGAGGACUUUAUAAGUAGUAAUUUCCCUCAAUUCUCUUCUGAUAUUGCAUCACUCCUUUCUUUAGACUAAUGUAAGUUGGUGUUAUAUGAGCACUUCUCUUGCUGCCGCUCCUCCCAGCUAGAUGAAAAUUGAUUAUUUUUCACUUUCUUUUACCUCCUAGAUACCCGCAACAUUGGCCCCUGUGGAUGCUGUGGCGAGAUAUACCCAACUGAAUAGUUUUCCCCUUCACAAAACCAACAAGCCGGGCAUUUUGUCUCUGGAUAUUCACUAUGCUAAGGUAAGUUCUUUCUUUUGUUUUCCCUGUGAUUUGUUUUUCAUUAUUUUUCACAAGGCAGAUGCAGCCAAAAUAUUUUUCCUGGACUUGACCAUGUGUACUCAUCCAAUGUGGUUGUAUGAAUCUGGCACCCGUACUUGCACUUUUCAUGCCAACUAUUAGUAUGAUUUGAAGAAGUCGCAUGAAAUACUGAUGUGCAUGUCAUACCCAUUUGACAUCUAUGUUGACUCAAAUGGAAGAUCCACUUAACAUUGACUAAAAUAUAUUCCUGUUAGCUAAUAGAGUCAUUUGUUUUGAAACUUCUGCUUUUAGUAUAGCUGCAUAACUUUACUAGCUAUUGCAUUAAUGGCCUUGCCUCUGAAAGUUGUCUUUAUACUAUAGCUACAUAAAUAUUGAUUGCUUAUCUAGAUACAUGUGAUAUAUUGUCUUAAGGCUCGAGUGGUUCUACAGAAGUAUGUUCCUAUUUCUAUCUACUCGAAAUAGGAGCUCGCAAGUUAGAUUUAGAGCCUGCUCAUCCAUCUGCAUUAUCACAUUAGUGCAAAACAACUGAAUAAUUUUGUGUUAUUAAAAGAUUCUCUUUAUACGAUGGAACUUUUUGAUUAAUGAGAAAGUCAAUUGUUGUGGAUAUUUAAUGAUCAGCAUGUCUAGUUCUAAUUUAUGUUUUGCCAGGACAUAAUUGCUACUGGUGGAGUCGAUUCAAACGCUGUGGUCUUUGAUCGACCUUCAGGACAGAUCAUAUCAACACUAAGUGGUCAUUCAAAGAGGGUCUGUCAUCUUAUUGCUACUUACUUUUUUUACUGUCACUUGAUGAUUUAUUAGCUAUGUUUCGUUAGCAGAAUUUCUGUCUCAAUAUUUAUUUAUUUUUUUAAAAAAAUCUGUCUCAGUAUAUUCUGCCUUUAUAGGUUACCAGUGUUAAAUUUGCGGCUGAGGGUGAACUAGUGGUCUCUGGUUCAGCAGAUAAGGUGCACAUAAUUGUUUCUCUUUAAUGCGAGUUGACCAUACACUGCUCAUUUCAUAAUCAAAAGUAGCCUUCAUCUUCUUGUCUUGUUAAACCUUAUACUUUCUUUAGUAUGUUAUCCCCUUCUAUGGCAGGGUAUGUGCUCUACUUUUUUGGAAUUACUGGAAAGAGUUUACUUGUAAAGAAUAUCUAAUCACGAACCAGUGAUGUUAGAUGUCUCAGUAUGGAGUUUCUUUAAAAUUUUGCUGCCAAAUUUACUUUUUGCUAUGCUUCCAAGAAUAGAGUUAAUAAAAAAAAAGGAAAAUGAUUAUUUUGAUUCAAAAUUUGUGUUUUUGAUGAUUGCUUUGCCUCUUCAGUUCUAGACUUUCUAGGAUCAGAUUUAGUUAGAAGUAGGAUUUGGAAGUUCUUAAUAUAACAGCAACUUUAGAUUCAAAGGUUAUUGUCAUUUCAGAUGAUUUUGGCUCCUCCUCUAAGUAGUAUAAGUAUAAACUGUAACAUGCUGUUGCUUAAUGCACAGUUGCUUUCUUCCUUUGAUAUUUUACUAAACUGUGUAGCUGAUUUUUGCAGACAGUUCGUGUGUGGCAAAGUUCCGAAAAUGGAAAUUAUGACUGUAGGCAUGUCUUGAAGGAUCAUACUGCAGAGGUAAUUUCACAUUUACAACUUGAUCGAUACUGGAAGAACUGAUUUUGAAAUACCAUUUAUUAUUGAGGGAGACAAUGCUGGUAAUUGUCCUGCUUGAUUGCACAAAACUUGAUAUUCAUUCUAUAAAACAAGCUAAUGAGUUUUCUGGUCUUGAUCAUCAAUCUUAGUGCCCCAUUCACCAGUCCACUUUUUUGGAUAUUUCCUUUUUAGGCUUAGAUAUGGGAAUGAUAAAAUAGAUCAUUAAGAAGUGAAGGAUGGAGAUGGGACUAAUUUUUUUCUUCUUUUGAUUAGGUAGAUGAAAAUGAUCUAUUUGGGACUUGUGCUUCGUUGUACUAAAAAAAUGUAUUUUUCAAUAUCUACCUAUGUAGUAAAAGAGUAGAUCCAUAGUACAAAAAAUUUUGCUCUGAAAUUGGUAGAUCUUCUUAUUUUUCUGACAAUAGUAAGGUUGACUUGGGAAUAUAUCUUCUGUUGUAUGAACUAUCAAAUAGAAAUAAUGUGUUUCUUGUGUCCUUGGAGUUGUCUUUACUUCAUGUUAGAUUUAGUUCUUUUGUCCCCUAGACUAAUUUCAUGGUGAGAUUCCACUUCUUGAAUCAAUUACCUGCAUGCUUUGAAAAUUUUCUCCACAUUCUGCUUGAAGGAAAAUAAAACAAAGGGAAAAACAUUUUGCAGGAGGUAAGGGGCUUGUAGAAAUCAAUGUUAUGUCGUCCUUGCCUUCAAAUAUUAGCUUUGCAGACCCUUGAAAUUGCCUUCACCCUUGAUAUUUUGACAUUACUUCAUUUUUAGGUUGUCGCUUUCAACUGAUUAUAGUUCAUUUUCAAACCUUUUAAUCAGUAAUUUAACAUAUUGCAGGUGCAAGCUGUCACUGUCCAUGCAACCAAUAAUUAUUUUGUUACUGCUUCUCUUGAUAGCACGUGGUGCUUUUAUGAUCUUGCUUCUGGUUUAUGCCUUACACAGGUUGCUUUUCCCUUUCGGCUCUCAUUCUCAAAAAACAAUGUAUAGAUGGUUGGAAUCAUCGAUCAACUUUUAUAAACUAAUUGACUUGUUAAAAAAUAUUCAUAUUGUAAUUCAGGUAGCAGAUGCUUCAGAAUCUGAGGGCUAUACUUCUGCAGCUUUCCACCCUGAUGGUCUGAUCCUUGGAACAGGGACUUCAGGGUCUUUGGUCAAGAUAUGGGAUGUAAAAAGUCAGGUCUGUUUGCUCCAAAGACAUCAUGAUUGCUCAUGUCAUUUCUCUUCUUCUGUCCUAGUAUUCUUACUGUCUGCUUUUUAUGUGUUUUUUUUGGUGCUUCUCUUCAGGCAAAUGUUGCAAAAUUUGAUGGCCAUGUUGGGUCUGUAACUGCCAUUUCCUUUUCAGAAAAUGGUUAUUUCUUAGCAGUGAGUAUUCCAAUACUGAAUUAAGCUUUUGAUAAUCUUUGUUUCCUGGCGUAAAGCUAUGUAUGAUUGAACUUAUGACUGAUGUUUCCUUUCUACGUUAAUAAUCAGACUGCUGCUCAUGAUGGUGUUAAACUUUGGGAUUUACGCAAAUUGAAGAACUUCAAAACUUUCGCUCCUUACGAUGAUAACACACCAACUCAAUCAGGUAUACAUUAAUUGCAUUUCCUGAAGCAAGACACUGAAUCCAUUCAAAGAAAGCUUUGUCAGUUUGUAAAUAAAGAUAUUUUAGUGUCUGCUUGAGUAGUUUUGGAAGGUAAAAACAUUUGUUUCAUGGAUUACUGUAUAUUACAGCAUACUAACUUAUGUCUGUCAUUUAUGGAAAUUUCCUUUUUAGUCUGGAAAGUGUUUCACAUUAACAAAGUACUGUAUGUUUGAAAAUGCUAUCUCAAGUUCCACUGUUGUUUAUGGGCCAUUCCCUUUUUAAAGUCUGGUAGCUUUCUAAUUCAGAAGUCUACUUCAGAGCUUCUCAUUUAUACACUGUUUGCAUAUUGGUUAUGACUCAGACUCCUUUCAAGUAGUGUUAUAACUACUCCAUUGUACCUUCAUCUUUUAGGAUGUUAAUCUAAGCUACUUCUAUCAUGAAUUCAUCUUCUUUAGCAAUUUUAUUUGUCAUUAAAAAAAAGAUCGUCUAAUUCUGCGUCUCCUUUUACUUGCAGUGGAAUUUGACCAUAGUGGAAGUUAUCUUGCCUUAGGAGGCUCAGAUAUACGGUAAGACAUCUACACAAAUAUAUAGACCCUGAUACCUCUCAUUUUUCUUGAACUUAAAAGUAGUUCCCCUUGAUGGGUCUCAAAAGACUUCAGCGUAGCUCAAUCUUCAUAUUUUUGGUUUACACGGCCCUUUAGUAUCUGUUUCAACUAUAUACCCUUAUUUAUCAUCUUAAAUGAUUUAAAAUGUUUAAGCUCCUUUUCAAUAAAUAUAAAGAGUGUGAAUCUAGCAAUCAUAAUAUUGAAAUAUUUGUAUGUGCUCUUCACUUGGAUUUUCUAUGCUAAUUAGUCAAUGUUUAUUAUUUCCAAGAACAAUUAUUAGUAAGGGGAAAAUGGGAAGGAUGUACUCAACCAUCUAUUUAUAGCAAGGCCGACAAGGGGUUUGGAGGGAGUUAAAAAAAAAAAGAGAAACCAAGAGCCUUGGUGGAUUUAUCAUUGUACUUAAAUUGCCAUUAUGUAUCCCUUGUUAAGUGAUCCCUGGAGUAAUCUUUUUGACCAAUUAUCCUUCUUGUCAUUUCUUUCUGUGCUGAAUCAGAGUUUAUCAAGUCGCCAGCGUCAAGGCUGAAUGGAAUUCCAUCAAAACCUUCCCCGACUUAUCAGGCACAGGUAUAGUGUUUCCUCUCAUUUUAGACUCUCUAAAAUGUGCUCUUGAUGACAUAAGGUAAAUAAUAGUUAUCGUUAUCAUCUUAUGCAGGCAAAGCAACAUGUCUGAAAUUUGGUCCAGAUGCAGCAUAUAUAGCUGUCGGAUCUAUGGACCGUAAUCUAAGAAUAUUCGGGCUGCCUGGUGAGGAUCAAAUGGAGGAUUAGGCUCAUUUCCAGCGUUAAAGCAAACAGCUUUUUCCUUUGCAUCUGCUGCAAGAUCACAGUGCUAUCUCGAGGGUAGGAGGUCGAUGAGAGUCCUGUUCUUUAAUAUGUACUUCUGGUUUUUGCUAAAUUUUGGGGGUGGGCAAGCUAAUAGACAUAACCACAAACUUGAGAUAACAUCUGAAGUGCAGAGUUUAUUCGGUCAUCCCAAAACCAGCCUUGGGUUAUUAGUAUUCUGUUGUAUCAUUCUUGUGUAACCAUAUUGCCCUUCCUGGAAGCAAAACUCUGAAUGGAUAGUGAUCAGUUACAGUACAUCGAUAUUUCAUGUUUAGUUAUAGUCGAUAUAAAAUGCACUUUGUACGCUAUUAUUUUUUUUCAUGUUCAAGAGUUGAUCUGAAUUCAUUGUUGUGUACAUCAUGAAAGGCUCAAAGUAAAAAUAGUAAAUUUAACUUGUAGUUUGCUAUUACAUAAAAUCACAACAAAUAAAGCCUUCCCUGGCUUGAAGGAUUCAGAACCAAAAAUAUCAUCUACAUGAAUAUCAACUCACAAUUGCUAGACUUUCGUCCCUACGCUACAAUCGGCCCAUGUCCGGCAGAUUAUACAGACAACUGCUUCAUGGACACGAAAGAAUGAAUAGAAGUAUUCAAAAGUACAGCUAACAAAAAAAUGAACCAAGAAAAUCUAGGCUUGGCAUGAGGGAAGGUAUCGAGACGCAUGCGCAAAACCCCAUAGCUGCAUUAACAAGAAGAAAUUGUCAAAGAUGUAGUGAUAGAAUGACAACUAAGUCUUCAAAUAAUUCAUCAGUCUGCUACCAAAAAUACAAUGGUCUAGCUCUAGUAUACAUUCCUAGAGACAAUCUUCUCACAAAGCCAUAUGAUAAUCUUUACGCUACAAUCUUUAUCCAUAAGAAAAGGAAAAUUGGUAGUUUUACGGAUCUCUCUCUCUCUCUCUCUAAGUUGGUAAUACAUCGAUCCUAAGGUAGUGUUUUGAAACUAGAGUAAUGAACGGGUACAAAGACGAGGGAUUAAUAAAGAGAUUACCUCAACAGUCCUCAGUUCAAACUCUUGAUCAUGUGCCAAAAAUGAGUUCCCAAAUGUUUCACAAGGUCCACUGCUGCCAGAUAACCUUUGCAGAAAAUUGGAAAUGAGAAAAGAAGAAAUUUGCAAUUUGCGAGCACACAAUGUAAAGUGCAAGGUAGAGAAACUCACAAUUCACCGUCCAAGCUUAAAGCAAAGUUUCCGCCUCCUCCGAGUGCCAGGAUAUCAUUCAAACACAAGUGGAAAUAUCUAUUGGCGCCUAUUUCCAAAAUGGCAACAGUUUAGAUUACUUCAGAUCGGGAAUGUUGGGAUUUUCUACAACUAAUAUACACCUUUUGUAUCGUUGCAUUGCACGUAUCAUCAUAAUGAGUAUACAAAGUUCAUAUUUUAUGUCAACUACAAACACAAAGAGACUGAAUAAUAGACAAGUUUUGAUAUGUACCAAGCAAGAAGUUUAAUCAUACAAAAUGCUAAACAAAAACAUGAACAAUCUUACUAAAAAGACACUGAAAUUGAUUAUAUUUUGUUUUGUAUUCGGUUCCCCACAAAGGUAGAGGUAAGAUCUGCGUCCCUCAUAAUUCCUACCCUGCCAGACCUCACUAGAGAUGGGGUCUAGACUAUGUAUGUUCUUGGUGUUUACUUUAUAUUCGGUUGUCUGCUAACCGUAUAUGUUAGAACAAUUUGGAUGUUGUUCUAAUAUAGUAUAAAAUUUGCAUGGAUUACAUUGACGAUAAGUAGCUUCCAAUCAGCUGUAACAGAGUAAAAUACUUUCAAGGAUGCAUUAGGUUUAUCAAGAAGGCCUCUAUCUCCAACCAUCAUGGACAACUUUCCCCAAACGAACAUGAGCUUAAUAACUAUAAUAUCACAAUGCAGCUGCUGGAAGAGCCAGUUGCCAUAAAUAAAGUUUAAACGAAUUGACUCGUGUAUUUAACUGUGAGAGCUCAUAGUUAAUUCAUCCAUGCAGUUUCUCUCAAAUGGUAAUUUUCUAUUACUGCGUUUACACAAGCCGAUGUUGUAACAAACAUUCAGAACAAAUUUCUUACCUGUUGGUCUAAAUAACCUUGGUUCACCAUAUAGAGUUGUGAAUACAAAUGAUUGAUUUGUUCCCUGUCACAAUAAUACAAUAACCACAUAAGCAUUAGAAAUAAAACCAAUGCUCAGUGAGAAUGGAGAAUGCAGACAUAGGCAAUUGCUUUUUAACUCUUCAUUUGAAGUAAAGGGGGUUUGAAAUGCUUUACUCGCACCAAGUCAAUUACCAAGAGUAAGAUUAGACCAGAAACUGGUGGUUUUCUCUUCGAACAUUAGGUUGUAUCAGUUAAAAGAAAAUUAAAUACUGCAUGUAUUUGCUUCCUUACUUGGUAUUUCCUCUUUGCAGUAGGCUUUAACGGUGCCUCGAGCAACCCACCAAACACAGCACCCUUCUUAUCACCAGUAAUCUGACACAAACAUUAUAAAGAAAAUUCAUCUUCAAAAGAAAGAUGAGAUCCUUUAAAAAUUGCUAUAGAAGUCAGGAAUGUAUGCACGACAAAUAUUUGCAGCAAUUUAGGUGAACAUACCAGCAAGCAAGGACCAGAAAUAUCAGCACUCUUGCGAAUAAGAGUGCGGAGUGAUAUACCGUGUCUGGCCGUACUGCCCUUCAUUAGAAUGAACAGGAUAGAUAUUAGUAUUCAGGAUACUGAAGUUAUAAUAUACGUCAUAGCAGAAACUAUUUUAAAAUCAAGGUUACCUAUAUAACAAGACCCAUUGACAACCUUUCACUAUAUUAGGAAGGGAAGACUGGAAAAAAUCAUACAAAUUUGGAGUAAUGAAAACAGAAUCAGUAGUGAGAUAGGCCAGUGACUGCUCAAAGCUGUGUCUAUCAGGAGCAUCUUCAAAAGUUUCAGAACCGCUGGCAAUGCUCCCAGCAGAAGUAGGCUCUCCAUUAUCGUUGUCUGCAUUUACCGUCUCCUUCACACAGACUGAACUCCUGAUGGAACCAUUUUCACCUUCUUCUGGAUGAAUAUCUGGUAUCUCUUUAUAAUCAUUGUGAACCUCAAACUCAUCCAGAGGUUUAUCGCGCAACGAGAAACUUUUACUUCUCCACGUAAAAGAAUUUGAUUGAAGUGGUUUGACCUCUCUUCGAUCUCUUACAUUCACAAAAUAUGUUGAUGGUAGAAGGAAAGAUAGAAAUGAUGUUAUUGAUUUUCCCUCCUUAGUAUACAGCCUGGCCUAAACACAGAGAGAGGUAAUAAUGUUACAAAUUAUAUGCAUUGGAUAGUGAUAAAGACAACCCUCUAUCAAACAACAAAUCUCCUAAUGCAAAACAAGGAACGAAAAAAAUGUAGAGCUUAAUUUUUGCUCAAAUAAACCAAUGUCCUAAAUCACAAAAGAACAAAAACAAGAACAAUGUAGCAUGAGCAGCAGCUCACUGUCCAGCAGGAAAUCCAAACUCUAUAUGAAUAUAAUUCCAUCAAAUAGUAUAUCUGAAUGUCUGAUGAAUACUACUCCAUUUAGUGACAAACUUCUAUAAACAAACUUGAGCUUGAACAUCCAAUGUGGUUUACUGUAAGCUCUUUUUCUCAUAAAUAUAUCAACUAUUUCAUAUUUUGCAACCACAAAAUAAACUACCAUGAAACAACUAACUAAAUCUUUCGACGUUUUUGAAAGUUCACCUUUUCUUUUUUCAUCUUAUUUCCUUUUUUAGUUACUUGAUUCACUUCAUAUACAAAUUCCUUAGACAUGAUAUAUAGUUUUCAUCAUUUUCCUUUUCCUUUCACUCACCUAUUGCAUGCUCAUGUUCAAAAGAUGAAGGUAGCGGAGAUGAGGAUGCUCAAAUGGAUAGGUAGGUAUACUACAAGGGAUAUGAAUAGGAAUGAAGACCUCCGUAGAGGACAAGGUGAGGAAGCUAGGCUGAGAUGGUUCGGGCACGAGCAAAGAAGAUAUGUGGAUGCACCAAUAGAAAAGGCGUGGAAGGUUUACCACAAAUGGGUGUUAGGAGAGGUAGAAGAAUUGGGGGAGGUGAUUCGACAGGACAUGUCUCCCGUCUAAUUGAAUGAGGACAUGACCCUAGAUAGGAAAGUUUAGUGGUCGAGGAUUAGGAUAGAAGAUUAGUAGGUAGACGAAUGUUGUAGAAUCUUUAAGGUAACGGUCAAGAGGUUAAUCCUUCAAUGUUUGUUCUUCCGAGCCGAAAGUGUCUAUCAAAAACAACCUCUCUAUCUCACAAAGGUCUCCUACUCUCCACACACCUCACGUACGGAAUUACACUAAGUAUGUUGUUUUCGUAAUUACAUAUAAAAAUUCCUCAAACACCAUAUAAAGUUUUCAUCUUUUUCACUUUUUUUCAGCAACCCAACUCCUUAAACAUCAUACACAAACUAAUCAUCCCAACAAACAAAUCACCCAAAACUUAACAUUGCUAGCAAAUGCAGUUGUAAUUACACAACAAAAAACUACAUCAGAUCAAAGACAAAAUAUACUCAUAACCCACAAAAUCUCAAAUUCUAACAGAGAAAAGAGGGGGGGAAAAAGAACCUGAGAUUGUUGAUCAACAGAUUUAGAAGGAGAAGCUGAAAACAAUCGAGAUAGCUUCUCAGAAACUGUAUCUUUUACACCAUACAUAUCUAUCUUCGUUUUAACCAAUUACCCAAUUCAAAAUCUUUGAAAUUCCGAUAAAAAACUGAGAUUUCAAGGGUUAAUUUGAGAAACCCAAAUCCAAAAAAGUGAUAAAAAUGGCAAUGUAAAAGCAAAAGGGGGUGUUUUUCUUGAGUUACAUUCAGAUUUUUGUGAUCUGAGAAGCUGAAGAAGAAGAAAAAAAAACAGAGGUGAAAAUACAGAGCACCGACGAAUUAUAUUAAAAGCUGAAAAAAAUAUAUAAGAAAAGGAUAUUCUGAUUUUUGACUUUGUAAUAAAUUUUUUUCUUUUCUUAUGACUCGGUUUCGAUUUUUUUUGUUAUCUGGUUUUGACUCUGACAUAGAAUAUGACAAGGUGUUUUCGUUUUUUUGAUUUUGACUUGACGUAGAAUUUAACAAAAUAAAAAAAUAAUUUUGAGUCUUAUGUUUUUAAGGAUAUAUGAAAAGGUAAAAUAUUAUUAUUGAAACAGAUUAACCAGAAAAAUAAUAUGACAAAUAAAUUGAAAUGAAAGCAGGGGCGACGAUAGGUGAGGUGGAAUGAAUUUAAGUUAUGUGGAGCGGAUUUAAGUGUGAGUGGGUUGAAGUGAGUUUUUUAAGACUAGUGGGAGCGGGGUAGGUUGCGGGUAUAUGUGAGUAUAUGCGGGUUAAUAUUUAAUUUUAAUUUAUUAUACGUUAUUAGAGUGAUAAGAACAUUAUUUAUUAAUAUAAUUAUUUAUCAAUAUAAUAAUUAUUGACAUAGUGAAUUUACUAUUUUAUCCCUGCUAAUUAUAAAAUGGAUGACUUAAAACUUUAAGAUUUUCAAAAAGUUAUAUCUUUUUCAAAAUAAUUAAUUGAGUUAUAAUAGAUAAAUUUCUUUGUCCUUUCUUGAUUUGUCUAAAUGGACAAUUAAUUAGGAACAAAUAAAAAAAAUAGACAAGUAAUUAAGAACACAUGUUUCCCGUUGACCUCUAGAACAUUUUUUUAAAGUUAUUAUCUAUUUAAUUAAUACAACUUAAUGAAAAAAAAAAUUAUUUUUAUGAUUGUUAUUUUAGUGUCAAAUUUAAUUAGAAAAAAGAAAAUAUUAAAAAGAAAAAAAAUGUGAGAUGGAUAUAUGCCAGGUGAGUGAAGCGGGUUAAAAAUGAAAAACAAAUUGUAAAGCGAAAAAAAUAAAUUUAAAAUUUUGCGGAUUAAACUCUACCUGCUCCGCUCCAUUGCCAUCCUUAAACGAAGGGAGCAAUUUUCUUUAACGUGAUGAUUCUUUUAUAUUAAUCACAUAUAUAAAAGAUAAAUAUAUUAAUCACAUAUCUUUCAGUAUAAUAAGGUUAGUUCAUAUCAUUUUAUAUAGCGUUUUGAUAUAAGAUUUAUUUCUUUCGUAUUUUAAUAACAUAAGCUAAGAUUCCAAAUAUGAUUUUUUUUCUUACAUAUUUUAGGUGUAACUUUUUGUGAUCCUUCCUAUAGUAUUUUGGUGAUUUGUUUCAAUUUUGAGGCAUGUAUAAUUUGGAUUAAUAAAAUUAUUUAAAUAUAUUUUAUGUUAUUUUGAUUUUAAAAAUUCAUUAAAUAUGAAAUAUAGUCUUUCCCCAAAUAUUUUAACACACCCUGUCAAUUUGUUAUAUCUCGAGGAAAAUUUGUUCGAAAAAUACUUAACAAGCUAUAAAAAAAGAUAUCGAGAUAUCAUGUCAUACUUUUAUAUUGAUUUUAACUCGUUCACAUAGUUAAUAUAAUCGUUUUAUUUUAUUUUUAUUUUGGAUUUAUGUUUUGAAGUGUCAUUACCACGACAGUGACCAAAUUAGAGUACAUAAAAAUGACAAAAGAUUAUCUUCUAAACCUUAAUUAGUAAUUAUAGUUUGAUAAUAAUAUUCUUGUCUUCUACUUCAAUUUUGGAACAAAACAUUCUUCAAAAAAGACAAUAUUAUAUUUGAGAAUUAUAUUAAGACCCUAAAGACAGUUGCUUGGAGGUUAUGGUAUAGAAUAAUUAUUGUGAUUUAAAACCAUCAUGGUUUAACUUAAAAUAAGAAUAAUUAACACGAAAUACGAUGAGAAAAGUGAAAUCCCUCCAUUAUUUAUAAUAGAUUUCGAGUUCAAAAUUGAAAAUGAGAUAAUUUUUAAUAAGAUAUUGGUUAUAUCUCUUGUGUUAUCCACUUUAUAAAAUCAUUCGAUCUGAAUACUAAAACAUAAACUAGAUAAUGAAACAUAAUAAGUUAAGAUGUAAAAGAGCGUAAGAUGAGUGUGGCUUUAAUUAUAUCAUUUAUAAAUUUAACAUAUUAAUGAGAAUUCAACUUUUGUGUUUUUAACCAUAUCUUCAAAAAAAUAAUUUGAUGAUCACCGAUGGUGAGACUUGAUUCAGUCAAUUGAAAAAAAAAGCAACCUAAUCAAUCUCAAUCUCAUCUAAAAGUUUGAAUAAUAAAAUCAUGAUACAUUUUGUUUUCUUAUUUAUACUUAAUAUAAACGUGAUAAAAAGUGUCAAGAGUUUGCCUUGUCACAAGGCGAAGCGAGCGGCAAAACACUCACCUUUUUGAAGUGCGAUCUAAUUAAUAUUAAAAAAUUAAAAUAUUUAAUUGCAAAUACAAAUAAUCGAAGUCUCAAUAGUAAUAAUAUAUAAGAAAAUAUUUUAAUUCAAAAGCUGAAAAUAGAUUAUACAUACUUAAAACUAAGAAAAAAAUAAAACAAAAAUCAAAGAAGAGGAGGAAAAAGAAACAAAGGAAGAAGAAACCUGAAGAAGAAGAAGAAAAGAAAUACAUAUUGAUUGGACUUUGAAAUCACCGAAAAAUUCUAGCUAGUCGUCUGAGGAAUUUAGUAAAAAAUACUAAAAUUACCUUUUAACAUUUAAAAUCCUAACAUAAUCGCCUUUUUUUUAAAAAAAUAUAUAUAUAAAAGGUGGUGCCGUUGUCGCCCCUCGCCUUUCGUCGCCAUGACGUCACUUUUUGACGAUCGUCUCGCCACAAUGUUAAAAUGCCAUGAAGGGUUGCCUCACCUCGCCUCUCGCCAUUGACAAUGAGGCGCUUGCCUUUCACAAUACUGAGCUUUACUAACCCGAAUUUAAAAUAGUCAAAUUAAUAAAUUUAUAUACCAUAUAACUAUUUCAGAAAAAGGAAAUAAAACCAAAAUCUUUAUGAGGGUACACCAUUUCUAGUUAUAUCAUUUAUUACUACUAUUAGAAGCUAAUCUUUCAAAUCUUAACAACUUCAAGUGAAUAUUUAUAUUUUUGCUGUUGUCACAUGAUAAAGAUUGGUUGUCAUAACUAUGUCAAGCCAUUAAUAGAUUCACUAUAUUUAUUCAAACUCCAUUAGAUAAUGUUCAACUUCAGACCAUCAAUACAAAACAAAUAUACCAUGAAACUUAUUAAAAAUUUCAGAAUUCAAAAUCUUGAAAUUUUACAGUAUGCUUUUUCUACAAAAAAUAUUGUACUUUAGUCAAACUUACACAGUUAAUCCAUGUUUACUCCCACUCUCUUCACCUCCCUGUUACCUAGGGAAUAUUUUUUUACCACUUUAUGAGUUGUUCUUUUAUAAACAUUUUUUUUGUUCUCAUUCUCUAAAUACACCCCACCCAACCCCAAACCCCCAACCCCCAUUUGGCUUUUGUUAGUAAAAAAUAGAGUUGGGAGGUUAAAAAAUACAGUAUCAAAUUGUCCUUUUGUAUACAUAUAUAUAUACUGAUAAAGAUACAGAUACCCUAUUUUUCUCAGUUCUGCACAUCCAAAGAUAGACAAAUAGUAGGCCACUUAUAAUAAUAAAGUGAAUCCAAAAACACCACUACAAAAACCAACACCCCUUUUUUCAGAAAAAAAGUAACAAAUUUCAAGAAGAAAUAGUACUAGUACUAGUACAAGUAGUAGAAUCUCAGCCCUUCAAAAUCCCUUACUGAUUUCUUAAGCAAAAAAAAAAAAAAAGAGAACUUCAAGGUGCAAUCUUUUUCCUCUCAAAAUCUACAAAACAGCAAAAAACAACCACCAUGUAUAGUUUUUCAAGAAUCUCUAAAAAAUGGUAAUGGGGUUGUCCAAGAAACCAUUUUUAUGCAUUUUCUUGGCCAUUCUAGCCAUUUUCAAGAAUCUCCCAAAAAUGGGGUUGUCCAAGAAACCAUUUUUUUGCAUUUUCUGUGUUUAUUUAGCCAUUCUAGCAAUUUUCAAGAAUGUAGCACCAGCUGAAUCUGCAUCUGGAAACACUAAUUUAGUGUACAAAGGUUGUGCAAAACAGGCAUUAUCAGAUCCAUCUGGUGUUUACUCACAAGCCCUUUCAACCCUUUUUGGCACUCUUGUUUCACAAUCUUCAAAAUCCAAGUUCUACAAAACUACAACUGGUACUGGCCAAACUACAAUAACUGGUCUUUUUCAGUGUAGAGGUGACCUUACUAAUAUUGAUUGUUACAACUGUGUAAAUGGUUUGCCAAUACUGAUUGACAAGCUCUGUGGCACCCCUGUUGCUGCAAGAAUCCAGCUUUUAGGCUGUUACAUGCUGUAUGAAGUCUCAGGCUUCCCACAAAUCUCAGGAAUGGAGAUGUUGUACAAGACUUGUAGUGGAAAAAAUGCACCAGGGAGUGGAUUUGAGGAGAAGAGGGAUACUGCUUUUUCAACACUGGAAAAUGGAAUGUCUAGUGCUAAUAAUGGAUUUUACACUUCAAAUUAUGAGUCUGUUUUUGUUUUGGGACAAUGUGAAGGGGAUGUAGGCUCUUCUGAUUGUGGUGAGUGUGUCAAAAGUGCUGUCCAAAAAGCUCAGGUUGAAUGUGGUAGCUCAAUUUCUGGCCAAAUAUUUCUUCAUAAGUGCUUUGUUAGUUAUAAUUAUUAUCCAAAUGGGGCUCCCACAAAAUCAUCAUCAUCAUCAUCUUCAUACUGGUCUCCAUCUCCUUCAGCAGGUACUUUUCCUUGAAUUGACUGCUUAGCUAGCGCUUAGUCAUAAAUUUCAAAAAUUAAUCUUUGAAUAUCUGUUUGACCAUAUAUUUUGGAUCAGAUUUUGAAAAUCUGUCUUAAAAAGAUUUUCAAGUUCCAAAAACUGCUCCAGACCAUAUUUGUUUAGUCCUAGUCAAAAAAUUCAUGCUUAAGCACAAAAAGAGUUUCAGAAACUUAACUUGUCGAGUUUCAACUUCAAAAUUUAUGAUCAAGAGCUAAACAUGCUAAGACUGUGACAAUGGUUUCUGGUUUGGUUUGCUAGUGUUAACACUCUAAUCAAGAUUUUGUCUUUCUUAGAACUUUUGAGCUGUCUACCUCAUUUAAUUAGUUGUAUACUUCAAUAAAAAAUGGAUCUUGGAAUAAACAAACAAGGAGCAUGAUAAAAUGUGUUUUUUUAAAUAAUAUGUCUCUGUUAACAAGAUGUUUGUCUAGCUUAGAUUUGUGUGCUCUCAUUUCAUAUUUUUGUUAUAAAAAAGUUGUAUAGUAAUGAGAGUUGUGUAUGUUCAAUGAAUGUGUAGGGACAGGCCAAAACACAGGGAAAACAGUGGCUAUAAUACUAGGAGGAGCAGCAGGAGUUGGUUUUCUAGUCAUUUGCAUGCUCUUUGCAAGGAACCAAAUGAAGAAACAUGAUGGUAAGUGUGAAAAAUAUAUUUUCGAUCUCUCGAUUAUUGGUAAAUUAUGAUUUUGAUCCUCGUGAUAUAUGACUCAGACUUGUGUGUCUAACCUUUGGUUAGGACUAGAAUUAGAAUUUCUCAAUAACUGAGGGACUAAAAAUAUUAUGAACUCUAAAUUUUUACCAUGGUUUAAAAUAUUGCCACUUGCUUAUGUAUGAUUUAAAUAUUUGUUGCAGAUUAUUGAAGGGAUCAGCUGUGUAUUAUUAUUAUAAAAGGCUGGCAAAAGCUUUUUAUGAGGUGGAUUCUUUCCUUGUCAAGAUUUUCUACCUAGAAGGAAAAUAUAUUUUCUUGGAAAUUCCUGAAAAAAAGUGAGGGAGUUUGUGAGCUGUAAUUCUUGGAAUUAUUAGGUAAAAAGAGAAAAACAAAAAUACUAUUUUGGGGACAUAAAUUUUUGGAGAAAUGAUGUAACAAUACAUGUUUUUUUUGUCAACUAUGAAGAAGAUUGGCAAGAGCAUUAUAAUGUUUUUUUGGCCUUUUUCUCCUAUGGCCAUGUGCAUGUUGUAUCUUUUCUCUUUGUCUCUGAAUAAUUGUUUCACCCUUUUUUUUCUUCUUCUAAAGUUUUUUACUUUUAGAAAGUUCUCUUAGUGAGUGCAUUUCCACUUGUAUAAUAUAUACGAUAACAUACUCAGUGUGAUCUUAUAAAAGAGGUCGGGGAAGGGUAGAUGCAUGCAUGCCUUAUCCUAUCUCAUGAAGAGGUUAUUCUCGAUAGAUGCUCGCACUUGUAUAAUAUAUGAAUUGAAAAAGAAUUUAUGUUACUUGGUUCAAUAUCUAAGAACAAUAUUGUCAUUUGGUGGGCUUCCCUACAAGUUUAUGAAUGUAUAGAUAAUAUGCCAUGGCCCCCAGACCUAGCUUAAGUGACAAAAGGUGAAGGAUUUGUGGCUUAGGUCAGAGGUUCAGGCUCUCACCUUGCAAAGCAAAGUCCCAUAUUUAAGUGGAGAAGGAUAGAGAGGUGGAUCCGUUAUUCACCGAGUUUAGAAGGCUGUGAUUGAUCCAAAGGGAAGAUCAUAGACGGAUUUCUCCGUUAUAAAAAUAAAAUGAAAUGUCAUGCAUAUACAUUUUGAUUAAGAUACCCACACGAGUUGUGCGUGUUGUGUUGUAGUGGUGGGACUUCGCCACCCAUAAUCAUAGGUCUUGAGUUCGAGCCUUGAGUAAGAAGAAAAUCAAUAUGGAAUGUCGGAGACUUGUGUAACUUAUUUUUUCCUAUUUCUACUAGGGAAGUCAUUUUCUUCAUUUUCAAAAAACUUAUUUUUGCAAACUAUUUGAUCAAUCAAAGCAUGUUCUCGAAAAUAUUUUCCUCCGUAUCGAACACACCCUUGAUAUCACUCCUUUUCAAUAUAAGAAUCUUCUUUUUUCCAAAACUGAGCUAUCCUUUUCUUGUUUAUGACUCCUUCAUGUACCUCCCACUUACAUUAUGUGUAUAUAAUAAUAAUACUAUGUAUAUUUCUAAAUUAAUACUGAAUUAGGCUCCAGAAGCAAAGGUUGCUCCUUUCAACUAGAUUUAAGAAGAAGAUGCCUACCUUAUUCACCAAUUUUCAGUGUGUAACUUCAGUGUCAAAGUCAUCCAAGAGAUCAUCAGCCUCAAAGAACACAUUUUUAAGCCUCAUGAUCCAGUUCCUUUAGGAUCGAAAUAAUUAGGUGUCAUAUCGAAACUAACAAACAAUAAAUAGAGAUAUAUCAAAAGAAAGAAAAAUAAUUUAGCAUGGUCCCAUCAAUAGACAUAUCUCCACAGGCGAAGUUGAGCAAUACAAAAAAAAAAAAAGGCAUAAUAUAUUAAUAUUCCAGCUAUUAAAAGAAAAGGCUUGCAUCUACUUCCCCUAUUAUAUAACUGGUCACAUCUCUCUCCAAUCCUAACGUGGUAAUUUCCCAUCAUAGGCUUCCUAUUUAUAGAUUAAACAACUACCAAGGAGCUAAUUCAUUCAAAACAUAGUUGACUGGAUCUAUAGAGAAAACAGAGUGUCCUAGGCUCAACAUUAUAGCACACAGGGCUUCGGCACUACUAUAACAUCUCGCUAAAACUUGACUCAUAAAUCUAUGUCUUCAAAAACUUUGAGUGUGCAUAAGUAGAUACUUAAAUUUAUAUAUAGUUGAAGAAGUGGACGCACACAUCCUAUUAGCAUAACACUCGUGCAAUGCCACGUAAUAUGUGAAUUCUCAUGUAAGACGCCAAGUAGCACGUAUGUUUAACUCUAUACAAGUAUAUUACACACCCAAAAAUUGGAUUACGUAUAAGCCAUACAAAACUAAGUCAAAAGACAUGUCUAUGUAUGAUGAGGGUAAGAUAGAGUAGCCUCUUGUUUUCACUUGGACAAUUUGUCGAACAGUUGAUGAGUGUAUGCUCCAAAGAUUCUUUAACAACAGCUUCUCUCCACACAAACCUAAAACAUCCCCAUAUCCCUCAACUCAUACUAAUUGUUUAACUUGGACUCAACAUUACAUCUGAUUAUUUCGAUCCUAAUAAAUGAUAAUGAUAAGAAAAUUAAAGCAAACAUGUAAAUAUAUUCACUCACCUGAUGGCUACUCCCUUCCUUUCUGCUUCUCUGCAUCAAUAAGUACGGCUUGGAUAGAAGAAACUGUAGUAUGAUUUUGUAUGCUAGUGGGAAUCGAUGUCGUAAAAUUAAUCGAGAUGCGUAAAAAUUGAUUACUACGGAAUUUUGAAAAUGAACUAUCUUAGCAAAAUUUUAUGAAUUAAAAGCUGGUUAUGCUUGACACAUUAGUAUAUGAUACUGUUUGCAAUAAAUUUUAAAUAUAUGAAAAAUAAGUAAAUUAUACAAAUAAAAUAUGAAUAAAACGUAAUUUUGUUAAUUAAGAUAGCAGACCUCAUAUUUAUCCGUAAUAAUUGUAUUGAAAUUCAAUUAUUUUAAAUUCAACUCAUGAAUGUUCUUUAACAAAAAAAAAAUCAUAUUCAUGGCUUGUACUUACGAAGCUCUAAUUAAGACUGAACUUAUCUGAUCCACUACACCACAUCCUUAGUAUAUUAUCAUUAUUCACUAUUACCUUUGCUUUAAUUCUCAAUUAUAAUUUGGAUUCAACAAAUAUAAUACACAUUAGUACUAUGCUGAAAAUCAGAUCUAUAGACAAACCAAAAAUUAAAUCUGUACAUUAUUCCUCAUAAACAUAAAUAUAUAUAUAAAAAAAAAAACAUUGUUCCUUCAAGGGCUAACACAAUGAACAAUCAUGGAAAUUGAAGCAUCAGAGUAGUAAUAAUUCUGCAAAAUUGGCAACUUCAUAAUCUCAAACUUUUCACCAAUUAAUUCACAUUUUUGAUUUGAUCCUUUUGCUGAAAUUGAUUUAGCACUUUCCCUGUUUAACAACUUUGAAAAUUCAGUUGUCCAAAUAUUUAUCAAACCAGACAUUUUUCUGCAAUUUUUUUUUCUCCUUUUUUUAUGGUUUGAAGUAUUAUCACAAAGUGACUGUUUAUAUACUGAUGAAGUUUUUUGUAGCACACAAAAUUUAAGCUUGUGUUGUGUGCGGCUUCCUGUUUUCUAUUUUGACUUACGAGGCGGAGUUAAAAUUUUAAUUUUAUAAUUUAAAAUAAAAAAUAAUAAAUAUAUUUUUAAAUAAUGGUAUAUCGUAUAUUAUAGUGUUUAUAUUAUUAAAAAACUAGAGCAUAUAUAUCUUUUAAUUUAACGGAAGACUUGAUUCCAUUUUAUUUGUCGAUCUAAUAUUUAAUAAACGUAAGAUUGGUGGACAAGAUAUUACACAUGUAUGCUAGUUAAUAUAAAGAGUAUACAUGUUUCACUUUUUGGACAACAGAGGCACCAACACUGGCGAAACCAAAAUUUUAAUAAGGGGUUCAUAAUCUGGAGAAAUAAACACAGAAAGUAGCCUAAAGAGGUUCAACAACUAUUAUAUAUAUUUAGAAAAUUACUUUAUCUAUGUAUAAAUAAUAUAAUUUUCCAUCAAAAAACCCCUGAGUCAAUACUUCAAAAAUAUGACGGAGGAUAUCUAUCAACAUACUACCUACGAUAAUUCGAAUAUAUUUAUUCAUUUUUCCUUUUUAGAUGACGAUUUUAAUCAUUAAUAAUUAUGUUAUAAUUUUGAUAUUUAUGAAUAUAUUAUUAGAAUAAAAGUUAGGGAAAAUUGUAUAAAAGCAAACUAAUAACCUAAAUUAAAUUGAAUAGCUAGGGUUUGAUUUAAUUGUGCUCCAUAGCAAAUAUUGACAAAAAUUUGCCAGGCGUCUCUCUUCCAGAAGUCUCGCUCGCCACUCUUCCAUUCUCGCCUCUCUCGCUUUAUACACAGAAGUGUAUAAUUUCUGUUUCUGUUUUGUAUAAAGCGAGAGAAAAUUGUAUAUACACAUGCAAAAAUGUAUAUCUCCGUGUUAUACACUUAAUUAUAUAAUUUACAAACAUUUUACUUCAAAUAUUGCAGAGAAAAAGGCCAAAGAAUUAUACAAUUGUGAAUUAUACAGUUGCAGUGAAAUACAAUUUUUCUAGCUUUAUACAACAGAAGUGUAUAUAUUGUGUUUCUGUUUUUGUAUAAAGCGAGAAAAACAUAUAUUUUCUUGCUAUACACUUAUAAUUAUGCAAUAUACAUACAUUUUAAUUCGAUUCAACUGUAUGCAAAGCUAAUUAUACAAUUGCAGCGAAAUAGCUAGCGAAUUAUACAAUUUAGGCCAGCGAAUUAUACACUUUUAUAUGUAUAGCGAAUUAUACAGUUUUUAUGUUUGCUAUGGAGCGCAAUUAUGCAAAAUUUGCUAUAUUAUACAAAUAUGAUUUUUUUGUUUGCUAUAUGUGAAAGUUACCCUAAAAGUUAUUAGAUAUAUAAUUCGUAUUCGAACUUUUAACACCAAUUUUAAAUAUAUAAUACUGAAAAUAAUUUACUAUGUGUUCUAAAACUGUGUACACGUGUGAAUUUUGCCACACGUGGCAUGCAUUUUUGGUUAUUAAAAAAGUAAAUAAUAUUAAUUCUUGUUGUUGGCGGUUCAAAACUGUGUGCGCCCUAGUUAUUUGUAUAGCAUGUAUCUAUUCGAUUUGGUUUUAAGGGUUAUUUAUUUAGUUUAUUAAUUUUUAAUUUUUAAAUAUAUUAAAUUAAUAAGAUAUUUGUUAUUGAAUUUUAAUUUAUUGAUUUUUGGUUUUUAAUGAUUUUAAUUAAUAAGAAUAUACUUUUAAAAUAAAUAUAUGACUUGUUUUAAUCAUUUAACGUGAUAUAAACAUAUAUCAAAACAAGUUUAGACUAAAUCGCAAGAACAAAGACUAAAGUAAUACUAAAACUUAAAGGAUAAACACAGAAGUUUAGAGUUAAGUAGUAUUAAUUGUGUAUGGUUCUGAUAAUUAUAGUCUAACAUAGUUAUUAUAUUAAUAUUUUUUAUUUGAUAUUUAUGUACGAUCAAAAGGUUAAGUAGUAAAUUAUUAUAUUUUUAAUGGUUAUUGGUUAACCUAAUAUUAAAAAAUUAAUAUCAAAUGAUAACUUAAUAAUUUUUUUUAUAAAAACAUUAAAUAAUCAUUAACCCAAAUAGCCUAAUAACAAUAAAUUAACAAUAUUUUUUUUGUGAACAAUUAAAUCUCAAUCAUUAAUUUUAAAUUAUUACAUGUAUUUCUAAUCCAAACUAAAACUUAGGGAAAAUGGAGAGGGAUCGGAUCCAACAUUUAUAUAGCACUUAUAUCGUCUGAUAAUAAAGUGAGUGGUCACAUAAAAUUCCAAAAAGUAACACUUUGUUUGGAUCAUUGUUAUCCAAAUAUUUUAUAUGUAUUGUAUUCUAUUGUACUGUAUUGUAUGGUAGAUACAAUGUUUGGCUAGAUUAUAUUGUUUGUUGUUGUUUAAUAACAUUUUAGAUGUUUGGUUUGAUUGUAUCGUAUUAUAUUAUAAUUUAUAAAUUUACUUAAAUAUCCUUAAUUAUUCUAGGGUAGAAGGUUUGACUAGCUUUAAAUAAUUAAGGUAAAGGGUAAAAUGGUAUUUUGAAAUAUUAUGUAAAGAUAUAAUUGGAAAAAGAAAUUAAGUAACAAUGGGAACAUAGGAGUUUUCAUUGUUACGUAACAACAAAAUUUAACAAUACAGUACAAUACUUUUUAAGUAACAAUCAAAACAAACAUUGUAAAUAUAAUAACGAUACAAUACAAUACAAUUGAUAACAAUAAUCCAAACAUAAUGUAAAUAUCACAAAAUCAAGUCCAAUCUUGCUAGCAUUUACAUUAGUGGUCAAAUUAUAGUAUGUAUAUACACUCCACGUUUCAAAACGGUCUUUAUAUUUCGCUUUUCAAAAUUCAAUUUAAUUAAUUAUCAGAGAUAAGGUACAUUAGAUUAAUUCAAAAGUUUAAAAUUAAAAAAUUAAAAAUUAAAAAAUUAUACAAAAAUUACUACAAUAACAAUCUUCUCAUAUCAACAUGCUAAAAAUAAUAUAUCUUACUCCCUCUACUCAUUUUUACUUGUCACAAUUUGACUUGAUAUGUCUAUUAAGAAAAUAAUUAUUGAUAUAAGUAUUUGAUAAAAUCAUCCUUAUUAAAUGUUGUCUUGGAAAAUGCUUUGGAAAAUAAAUAUUCCACCCGUUUAAAAAAGAAUGUCCUUAUUUCCUUUUAAGUUUAUUUAAAAAAGAAUGUCUCUUUCUUUUUUUGGCAACACUUUAACUUUAACUUUUACGUGGCAUGUUUAAGACCACAAGAUUAAAGGACAUUUUGGUACAUUUGACAUAACUUUAAUUUUGAACCAUUAGAUUAAAAAGUCUUCUUUAACUCCAUUCCAAGUCAAACUAGGUUAUCCUUUUUGAAACGGAGUGAGUAUCAAAUGUUGAGUGUAAAAUAUGAGAAAAAAUAAUUGUCUUUUCUUGAUAUGUCAAAAAUAGUGUUUUAAAAAACGUAUUUAAGGCGAGUCUCAGGGCGGGGCAAUACCAAAGGGCGUAAAUAAAAAACGUAGAUCCAUAAGGCAUAAGUCCUAAAAUUUGAGGCGUAAGCCCCGAGCAUAAAACGUGCUUCCCGACAUUUUUAAUUUAUUUUUUAAAACUUUUUUUAAAUCACAUUUUUACUACCGGUGUAAUAAUAUUUCUCAAAUAGUAAUUAUACUAUCUUUUCUUAAUUAUUAAUUAUGAAUACUUAUCUCAAAUAAAAAUCAUAAAUUAUUGAAAGAUUUACUUUUAUUAGUAAUAAAACUAUAAAAUGAAAUAUACACGAGACUACGUCCCAUGUCUCGAGGCCUACAUCUCACCCUAUUCCGUAUAAAACGCCCCGCCCUUUUAAAUCACUGGUCAAAAGUAACAAGUAAAAAUGAAAGUUAAAAACAAGUGACAAGUAAAAAUUAACAAAAAGAUAAAAUAUUAAUCAAAAUUCAUAUUACUUGGCUUUUAAAAGAAAAUAACCAUAAAUUAGUGACACAUAUUUUGAAACAGGGAGUAAUGUAGCUUUGAUUAUCAAAUUGUAGUGCAUUUAUUUUAUUUGACUAAAUAUUUUUAGUUAUAGAUAUAUAGGAGUACCUAAAAGUCUACCAUCCAACUACAAAAGUCUAAAAAAAAACUACAUACAAUGAAUUUCACAAAGGUUCUAAUAGUGAGACUUUUCAUUAUUAUGAUGAUUUCUGUAGCAAAUAACAAUGCUACUAAUGGAGAAAAAAUAUCUUGUGAAUGGAAGUGUAGACUUGCUUGUAUCUUCAAUCCUAUUUGCACAGACAUUUGUAUAAAGAAUUAUUGUCCACAUUCUAUUUCUUCUAAAGAAUUCAAUUGUAAACUUGCUUGUUUCAUUCAACAUUGCUACAAGUUUAAACAAGGUAUAAUUCUUUCAAUGUUCUUUUUUAAUUCAUAUGGAUCGGUUGGAUUGAAUUAAGCUGAUUAAAAUAGAUGAAAAAUUACUUGAUCUGAAAUGAGUUUGAUUGAAAUGGACUAAGAACGAGUCAUGACCUAACCUAUCAAAUUAUUUCUUAAUUUUAAUUUCUUAAUUUUUUUGUAAGCAUUGCAUAUAACAUGUAAACAAAAACGAAAAGUAUUUUUAAAAUAUAUUGACGAGAUUUCUCAACGAUAACUAAUCAACAGUACACUCAGUAUAAUUUCAUGAGUGUGGUAUGAAAAGAUAGAAUCAGUAUCAUUUCAUAAGUGUGGUAUGAAAAAGAUAGAAUGAAGAUUUUACCCCUACAAAAUUGACAAGAUUUUCGUAAUAAAUAUGCGAUUUCAUAACCUACCCAACUUUAAGACGAUUGAACGAGUCAUAUUUUCAUGCGUUAAUUUUCUCACCCCCUAUGACCCCCCCCCCCCCCUCUCUCUCUCUAUGUUUGUCUCAAUAAUGUCAAGUUUAUGACUUACUUUUAACAAUUUUGGUUUUUUUUUCCUAGAUAAGGAGCUAAUGGGAAGGUGCUUGAAUGAAUGUUCAACAACAAAUUGCACCUAAUUAGAACUUCAUUUGCUAUAAUGCUAGUAUGCUACUUGUUUAUGUUGUCAAUGAAGUACUAAUUUUGAAUAUUCCUUGUUAUUUCUAAUGUCUAGUGAACUCUUAAGAAUAUUUAGAAAGAGAUCAAGACAUCAAAUAUUGUCUUUCUUAAAACGUACCUGGUGGUCAAAUAUAUCUCGAGUAGGUUCAUAUCAUCCUACAUUCAAGAAGUACAGUAUUAGCAACGAUGUUUUAAUUUAAUCAACUUGUGUACACCUCAACUAAUAUAACGUCUUUGAAGUGAAGGCAAAAUACUUUUAAUUCAUAUUAAUUAACCAGAGUAAAACCUCUUUUCAGAUAUUGCAUACAAGAAAAUGGCAAGUCAAGAGUAUUCUCAACAACUAGGGAUUUUGACAUGAUAUUCCUCAUAACCAUAUCUCUAUUAGAUUUCUCUAAACCUCUGCUCACAACAAGAGAUGUAUUACAUACCCAAGGCACAGAAACUACAUAAGCCAGACCAUUAUAGGAACUCUUACUCCCUAAUAGAGCUUCUUUAUAUGAUCGGCACACUUUCGAAAUAUACUUUCCCAUUGGCAAAAGGUGAGAACCAGGUGGAAUGAAAUCAUCAUCCCUGAAGUCUACAUCUGAGUGAAGGUUUACGACAACAGUUCCAUGCUCAGGGUGAAGUUGGUCUGCGAGAGCAUUGAGGAAUGGAGAGUGUGGAUCCCAUAGGGUGUGAGGAAAGAUAUCUUCCCCGUCAUAUGCGUCUAUGAAAACAAGAUCAUAAAGAUUUUUGUUCUCGAGGAGGAAUUUCUCAGCAUCUGAUUCAUGUAAUUGAAUCCUCUCAUGAAUGCCUUUCCAUUGAACUUCUUGGAUAAGAUCAGGAGUUGAGUGUGCACGGCUACCAGAUGGAGUCAUAACUGAGUAAGAUGGGAACCCCAUUGCUUGAACUGAGGCUGAGAUUACCACAGGGUCGAUUUCAGCUAUGUGCACUUCAGCACCUGAUACAUCGAAGAGGUUAAUUCCAAAACAGACAUUUCGCAAAUUGGUACAACAAAUUAAGACAAGCAACAGUUAGUUUCGGAACGAGUGUCAAGUCUGUCAAACUAGAAAUUGAAGUUGCAAUGCCAUUGAAGGGAUUCAAAAAGCAGAGAACAAAGUAGUUCCAAUUCUAGGUAAUCUGAUAUUCAUAUCUUUUCUCCGAGAAAAUGUUGGACAGAAGUACUAUGACUAUUAUCACUGAAAUUCGUAAAUAUAUCCAAGUGGAUAGUAAGGAAACACUGACUGGGAGAUAUGCAAUGCAAGAAUACAAGCUAUCCAAGGUGUUCAUUUUACAACUUUAUCCAAAAAGCCAAGAGUGAGCUUCAGAACUUUGUAAUAUUUGGAGUAGCAGUGCUUCAAAUUCUACUACUACGAACAACAGCAUAUCCAAAUUUACCACAUCUAUGUGAACCAAACAAGAACUACAGGGAUGAAUUUGUGGUAUGAUACACACAAUCUUUCAUUAUUUAAGCCCCUUGUCCUAGCGAUCCAAGCAUACAGUAAUGAAAUUUCUGUAGUUAAAAAAACACUCAUUUUUAUUAUUUGUUCUUCCAGCAGACCUCACAUCCUGUACAUAAUCUAUGAGAAAAUGGAAGUUCCCUCAGAAACUUGAAAGAAAUUCAGUCAAUAUUGUAUUUGAGGUCAUCCAGAGGAUAUCAACUAUAGUUGAAGAAAUACAUAAUCUUGAGUUUUCUGCAUCAUCUCAUGUCAGAUUACCUCCCCAAAAUUUACAUUCAAGAUAAGAUUUUACAUAAAAGGGAGAAAGUAUGUGUCUUUAAUAUCACAUCCAGUGAAAAGAAGGAUUGGAUAAUGAUUUCCCGUUCAUACUUUGUCAAAUACACAAUGUCACCCAAAAAAAUGCUCAAAUUCAGAGACUUAAAGAGCAGCAAAGGCAGGAAAAACAGCACUCAGUUCAAACCUUGGAUUUUACUAGCCAAAAACAACGGUAUGCUUCCUCCGCCAUGCCCAAUGCAUAAAAUUUUCAUUGGUUUUCUCCCACAAACUGCACUUUCAAGAUCGAAUCUACAAGAUGCAAUGGUAGCCAACCCAGCAGAGACCAUGCUCUUCACAUCUGUAGAGAAAACAUGAAAAGAUGCUGCAUUAAAAAUGUGAAAGUAUGAUCAUCAUUGAUGAUUGAGGAGAACUGGCAUAAGUACGAUACCUUAACUUCCAAUAAUUAAAUACUGUAUAAGCACGAUUUACUCUAAGGUCAUGUCAGAAAGGAUCUUGUAAAACAAAUUACAUUGGACCUUCAACGUCCAUAAAUUCUGUACUAAAUCGACACAUCUUUUUCUUAUCAAAUACACUGGACCUUGUUCAUAGUAAUACAGCAAAAUUAAUACUUGAUAACGACGACCAACCAACUCAAGAACCAAAUACAAAACUAGGAACAAAAGUACAUUUUUAAGAGGAUUAACCAGCUAUUGAAAAGAAUAAGGCAACAAUAGUAUCAUUCAUCCCAGUUUAUUGUUAGAGCAUGACUUGUUUUUCUUUUCUAAUGUAGACACUAAAUGUACAAGUAAUGAACUAUACUCCUAGAGAAUCAUAUAUUCCAUUUACAUGAUCAUACUAUUGCAUAAGAGCUGUAAAUAACGCGAUACAUACAUGGAACAGCGAGACACUCUGCCUGCUGCAUCAAGUAUAUAGAACCAGGAGCUGAAUCCCUAUAAGCAGCCAUUAUUUUAACUGUGCUUUGACGAGUCUCCUCAUUAAAGUGAAGAUUCCGCCAUUGGUAACCAAGAAUCCUGAAAUUCCCUUCCUGUUCAUCUCUUGGAUACAUCUUUUCAUACCUCUUUUGAAGCCAAUUCUCUGUUUUCCCCCAAUAACAGUUUUCCUAUUAAAAAUAACAUUUUUAGAGGAAAUAUUCACAUCCAAUAACAAAAACAACAACAUUUCAAUCGAAAGAAGGGAGAGAAAGAAAGACUGAACUGGUUUGGAAGAAGGGUAAGCUACGACAGAAACGACGCCGUUUCCUUUAUCGGAAAUUGAUCGGAAAACUGUGUCGCCACCACCGGAAGUUGUGCCCCACCAUUCCGAUGAAUAAAACCAGUCGCCUUCAUCUUCUACAGUUUGUCGAAUCGCCGUUGAUAAUCGUCUCAGCUGCAGCCAUGGCAAAUUCCGUUUAGGCAACUUCAACAUAUUUCCACCAAAAACCCUCUCUAAACCCCUCUCUAUGGAAGUUUCGGGUCUUUUUUAAGGGUCAUGUCUACCCGAAAAAUGCUCGGAGGACGAAGUUGCCUUUAUUAGUAAGCGUUAAAUUUUAAGUAAAAUUUUUCGUUAAUUUGGAGCGUUUAAUCUUCGAUGUGAGACUUUCUGGCCUGAUUAAGAUUUAGUCAAGCUCAUUUUCUGGCCUAAUUAAGGUUUCGUCGAGCGCUCUUGAACUACUACUCUGGGGUCUGAUACUGUUACUGAGUUAUCUUUAGUAGAAAGUGUUUUACCCCAAUGUGAGACUUUCCGGCCAAGUUAUCUUUAGUAGAAAGCGUUUUACCCCAAUGUGAGACUUUCCGGUCAAUUUGGAGCGCUUCAUCUCCAGUGUGGAACUUUUCGACACAAUUUGAAUUUAGUCGAAAUAUUGUCUAUCCAAGUAUUUAGCUCGAUUGAAACGUUUUACCCUAACGUGAGACUUUCCAACACAAUCCAAAGCGUGAAACUUUUCAGCGCAAGCCGAAGCGGCAAUUUGGAUUUAGCCAGGCUCUUAUAUGAGUAUUGGUCUAACGUGGGGCUUCAUGAUGCAAUUAGAAUUUAGUCAAGCUCCUAUGUGAGUAUAGGUAUAUGAAAUUUAUUUAAUCAGCUAUAAGAAAGCAAUCGAUAACAGGAAAAAAUAGAGCAAUUGAAAAGAUGAGAGCCAAUAAAGACACUAAAAUGUGUUCAUUCAUAAAGACGUGAAAAACUUCAUUAAACCCAAAAUGAGACUGGCACCAUUGUGUCUCUUAUUAUUGAGAAAUUUUUUUUUUACAGUGGUGAUUUAGCUCAUACUUCCCAAGCACACAUAUUUCAUCUCUAAAUAUUCAUCCAUCCCGUAUUUAGAACCUUCGCGGCCAAGACCUGAUUGUUUCACACCCCCAAAUGGAGCUACCUCGGUUGAAACUAGUCCUUCAUUAACUCCGACAAUUCCAUAUUCGAGAGCUUCAGUAACACGCCAAGCUCUUUUGAUGUUUGUUGAGAAUAUAUAAGCAGCUAAACCAGCAUUAGUGUCGUUAGCCAUUUGGAUUGCUUCUUCGUCUGUUUUGAACUUCAAAAGAGGGGCGACUGGCCCAAAUACUUCCUCUUUCGCCAAGAGCAUCUCACUGUUAACUCCAGUAACAACUGUAGGCUCGUAGAAAGUCAUGCCAAGGCUGUGUCUCUUCCCACCAACAAGGACUUUGGCUCCCUUUGAAGUAGCUUCAUCCACAAAAUAUUCAACCUUCUGUACUGCUGCUUCAUUGAUUAGAGGGCCUUGCUCUACACCUUCAGUGAAACCAUCUCCAACUUUCAUGUUUUGGACAGCUUUAGCAAAAGCAUUUGCGAAUUUAUCAUAUAUCCCUUCUUGCACAAGUAUUCUGUUCGCACAUACACAUGUUUGUCCGGUGUUACGGAACUUUGUUGCGAGAGCUCCUUUUAAAGCUACUUCAAGAUCUGCGUCAUCAAAGAUGAUGCAAGGUGCAUUACCGCCUAGCUCAAGAGACACCUUUUUAACGGUGGCAGCAGCACCUUCCAUCAAUUUUUUCCCAACCUUGGUUGAACCUGUGAAUGUAAUUUUUCUUACCUGUGGGCUUGCAAGCAGUGCGUCUCCAAUAUCAGGUGCAUUUCCCAUAACAACAUUCACUACGCCCGGUGGUAUUCCAGCUUGAAUGGAGAGUUCAGCUGCUGCUAAAGCAGUCAAGGGUGUGAGUUCAGACGGUUUAAUCACCACUGUGCAACCACAAGCAAGAGCAGGGCCAACCUUUCGGGUAAUCAUAGCCAAGGGAAAAUUCCAUGGGGUAAUUGCACCAACAACACCAACUGGUUGCUUUAAAACAAAUAACCGCCUAUCUGCUAAUGGUGAUGGAAUGAUGUCACCAUAUAUACGUUUACCCUCCUCAGCGGAGAACUCAAUAAAACCAGCCCCAUAACUAACUUCACCAAUAGCCUCUUUUAGAGGUUUCCCUUGCUCUAGUGUCAUAAGCUGUCCAAGUUCUUCUUUAUGGGCCAUUAUCAAAUCGUACCACUUCCUUAAAUAUCUGCUCCUUUCAGCGGCAGUAAGUUUGCUCCAUGAACUAAAUGCAUCAUAGGCAGAAGAAAUUGCAUCGUUCGUCUCCCUCCCUCCCAUGCAUGGCACAUCUGUUAUUACCUCCCCUGUUGCAGGAUUGUGGACCUUUAUAGUCUUCCCAUCAUAUGCAUCAACCCAUUUCCCUCCAAUAAGAGCCUGACUCCGCAACAAUCCAGAGCUGCUCAGCUUAGCAGCAACACUUUGUGUGUCUGUCGUCAUCAGUCGCACUGGACCUGAAAUUGAGGAACGAUAUAACAUCGCACAAGCAGAAAGAGCCAUUCUGGUACGCACACGAAUCAUUUGCAUCAGAGCACCCGAAUUCCAACUUCAAGCAUCCAAAUGAAUAAACUGAGAAAAUUAAACGGAAAAAAAAGAAGAAAAGAUGUUUUAACAAAUUCAUAUCACUCGUCCCACUUCUAUGCUUUCUUUUUCAAAAUUCAAAAAACAGGGAGACAGCAAUCAAUAGAGUUGUAAAUUCACCAGACUAUUACAGGUUCGAAUCAAAAUAUCCAUCAACAUACACAAAUCCAGCUCCUCAACCAAUACUCAGAACAAAACAAUACACUCAUCAUAUAUAAAUCCAAUGCCAAAAGUAUAUCAUACACGAGGGUAAAACAAAUUACUGGAGUUAAUUCCACACAUAGUCACUAAAGUUUACACAUUAUACAUCAAAAUAAUCACAAAACUAUUUAUUGUAUCAUUAAAAUCACUCACUUAACUAUAAUUUAGAGCCUGUUCGGAUUGACUUAGUUCACAAGCUACAAAAUAACGCGGUUCCUCAUAAUAAUGUCGCGAAUUCGAUCAAUUACACUCCGUCUCUUCUCACCUUCUCUACAGACAUAGAUAUACGUUUCACCUAAAGCAUAUACUUCCAAUUUCUUUUGCUUCGGUUUUCUCCUAAUACUGAAUCAUAAGCAUUUACAUUAACUCAUCAGAAAGUCAAUUUUCCAACAGUUUAGUGACCCAAAUGUGAAAUCAACCCAUAAAUUACCUAAACUAAAUUUCAAAAUGCAACGAUGAGUGAAAUUCUCAAACACAAACACAAAAUUCAACUUUUACAACAAUGAAUAUUCAGUUUAUAUACAAUGAAAAUACGAAUAGAAAGUACUCACCUUUUCCGUCGGAGAAUUGGGAGAUCUACCGGAGAGUGUGCGUGAGCGAUGGAACCCUAAAAGAUAAUAGAUGCUACCUACUACCUCAAUAGUAGUCAACGCAAACUAUAUAUUAUAACUAUAUAUGAAAAUAAGUUUCAUAUAAUGUGACACUUUUUAAAUUUCAAAAUUCAAAUAAAUUUAUUUUUUAUUAUAAAUUAUUCAUAAAUAUUUUGAGUUAUUAAUUAUUGUGACAUAAUAACAUUUUUUUACGUAAUUUUCAAAUAUAUAAAUUUCAUUUUUUUAAAAAAAGAAGUAAAAGGUUCAUACACAAAUUCUAGGUUAAACUUAAAAGGGUUUGAGUGUCGAAAAAAUAAAAAGUGUUAAAUAAAUCAGGACGGAUGAAGUAGAAAUUAUUGGAUUAAUUAUGAAAAUUCCACCUUUUAGUUUAAUUAUUACUAUUAUUCCCUAUAAGUUUUACAAAUCUUCAAUAUUCCUCAUUUUCGCACAUCACAUUAAUGUAUCUCUCACAUUUAAUUAGUGUAUCUCGCGCGUAAGAUUAGUGUAUCAUAUAUAAAAUGUACCUCGCGCAUCAAUUAGUAUAUCCCGCGCAUCAGAUUAGUGUCUCUCGCGCAUCAAAUUAGUGUAUCAUGUAUAUAAUGUAAUGUAUCUUACUUAACGAUUAAUGUAUCUCACGCAUUAAAUUAAUAUAUCAAUGUUUAUAUUAUCCAUUUUGAGAGAUUUUCUUUUCAAAGUGUACAGUCCAUAAAAGGAUUUGAUGGUUGAUUCUAUAAUUAUAAAAAUAGAAUUUUUUAUAUGACAAAGUUGAAGAUAUUAAAUUAUUUUAUUUAAGGGGAUAAUUAUAUCAAUAUAAAAUAUAAUCAUCAAAAUUUAAUGUUUUUGUGAGUUUCAUAUCACUACUAUCAGUUACGCGAGUUUUCUAUCUAAAUUAUCAAUAAAUUUUUAUCUCGACACAAUAUUGUUAAAAACGAGCCUUGUUGAUCAAAAGUAUGAACGAUAUGCACCACAACAUCUUUUUCGUAUCAAUUCAAUUAUCACUAAAGCAAAAUCUUAUUUAACCUGUUUAUUAUUUUUCAUUUACACCUAUAAAAUUCGAAAUCGAUAUAGUACCCCCGACACCUCUUCUACUAAUACUCAAUCAUUCUUGUUCUCGAUGCACUUCACUUGGUCCUACUUGACACCUCUAUUUGGCACGUUACAUUGCGUAAAGAAUCAAUAAAUGGAGAGACACAAAACUGAAAAUUGAAACUUGAAAGCAACCUGCAAUUAGUUGACCAUAUGAUAUCUUUCUUCGAUUACCUACCGUACAUGCUUGUGAAUAAGCAUCAGAUUCUGUCAAAUUUGCCGAAAGUGCUUCAAAAAUGGACCCUUUCUGUAUAGUCCCCACAAUUUGGCCCUUUUGACCUCUCAUACAAACAAUAUUGUUAAAAGAAUAGGAAAAGAAAGCAACCCCUUUUAAUGAUUUGUUUCCAUUUUCAAGAAUCAUUCAUAGUUUUUGGUUGAAUAUUCACAGGUUUCCACUCCUUUUUGUCACUUUCAUUACCAAAGAUUUCACCUUUUUAAAGAUAUCUAAAGCCAAACAGGAGGAGGAGGUGGAGAGUUUUGAGCUAUUUGUAUAGUUCUAAAGCAUAUUCUAAGUUAGGACUCAGGUGGGGUUUUUGGGUUUUGGGGUUUUGUGUUUUCUUGAUUUUUUUGAAUAUGGUUAUUAUUUUGCUGUUUUGAUCUUAUUUGCUGAUAUGGGUUUUCAUUUUUUUCAGGAAAAGAGAUAGCUGGUUGACUCUUGAUAGCUUCUGCAAGUUAAAAGACAAGUAGGUUUCAAUUUUGGUUUUUUAAUGGUUUGAGUAUAUUGGAUUCUGAUUUUGGUGCCUUUGCUGAAAAGGGUAUUUUGAUUUUGUUUAUUUUUUGAAUUUUGUUAAGUGUAUCCAAGGGUUAAGGUGAGGGUACAGAAAGAAGAAGAUGAUCAGUAUGCUUAUCAGUCUUUGCCAUCUUUGAAGGCUUUUGAAUCCCUUUCCAUAAGUGACUUCUCUUCUUCAGGUACACUUUUGUUUGUGAGGAACCCCAUCUUUCUUCAUCCUUGUAUGAUAUUUCAUUUUUGCUAAUAUAGCUGAGUAUAGUUGUUAUAUCAUAAAGUUUGUACCUUUGUCGAAGAAAGGUGAUUUUCCAAGAUGAUAACUAUUAGUUGAGUGAUCAUCUCAGAAAUCAUCCCAACAUAACUUGAUCUUUUGGUUGAUUCUUUAUAAUCAUGCGAUUAACUUGUGUUAUUUUUUUUUCUUUUUUUGUGAUUGACUAGUUUUGGGUUGCUCUUUUAUCAUGCUAGAUUAUUUGUAAAUGAGGUAUCUUGAUCAGAAUCAUAUCUUUCUAUGGCUUUAGUCCAACAGCAAGCUUUCUGGAGAGUAGAAUUUUUUGCCAUUUAGAUUUGUAUGUCAGUAUAGGGACAAAUGCGAGGUUUUGAGAACCUCUAAUGAUGGAGAAAUUUUAAAUUGCCUUAAAAGACAAACUAUUUGCCAAUAUUGGGAUGAAACUAAGUGAAAUGGAUGUAGAAGUUUAUAUAGCCAACAUCAUCUUUGGGGUUUAGGUGUAGUUGAAUUGAGCAGGCUUUGACUUUUGAGUAGAUAUAAAUGUAAAGGAUCAUUUUUGCUUUAAAUUUUCUCUUGUAAAGGGAUUUCAACAUGGCAGCAUUGUUUUGGAUUGCUUUUUAGUUCUUGAAAUGAUGUAUAGAUUGUUAUACACAGUUUACCUAACUAAUUGUAGUUCGCUUAGUUGUAUUAGUAGUAAUAUUUUUCUUUUGCUUGUCUUCUUACUUUCCUUAAACUGGAGAGAUUUUAUAUGUGGAUUUUAUUGUAAUAUACUGAUGCAAGCAAAAUGAAAAGUGCACGACAUCACAUUCUCUUUCACCUCCUAAGGAUUUGCUACUUGUAAAGAAUCCUGACAUUAGAGCAUUUCCAUUUUGUGUCUGUUGUUCCUGAACCUCAUCUAUUUUAAGCAGAAUCCCAAUGUCGCGCUGGAUUGGAAAUCCUUCAAGUACUCUCUAGUGUGUGAUGAUCCUAUUCAAAAGUUUUAGGCUGCAGCUUUCUACGAUAUAUAGUCGAUAGGCUAAGUUAGCUUCAGCAGAUGCAUAUCCACUUCUAUCUCAUUACUACGAGACUGUUUUCUUGACAUAUACAAAUUCCUUUCGUUCUUUCUUUGUUGUCACAUUUGCUGUCUUGCAUAGUGCUCGUUGAAGUCUUUGAUUCAUUGGUUUUAUUCACUGUAUGCUAUUUCCAAAACCAUGACACAGAGUAUAGAUGGUUGGAUUUAAGCAAAAGAUGGGAGUUUGCAUAUUAACAUCCAGCAAUAACUCAACUGAACUAUUGUAGUAAACUUAUUCCGUCAAUACGUCAUUGCCUUUCCAUAUCCAUCAUUUUAUUUGUUCUCAGCUCUGAUGGUGUCUGACUAGUUCAUUGUUGUUUUCUUCUCUCCUCUGCUUCUUUCUGAUGGUGUAUAAAGAUGAUUCGCCUACAUCAGUUGUGAGGAUACCCCGAGCAUGUAUUUUAAGCCCAGACAGACAUGGACUUCCAUCAUUGAGAGGUUACAUACUUCUUUAGCAACUUUUGUUACCACACACUUUGCAAGUGGGUUGACAUUCACUCGGUUGAUUGGCAGGGAGAAUGAAGGAAAAUAACCAAAGCAUUUUUGGUGGAAGCAAACCAAAUACAAGGGCCACUUCUGUCCCUCGACCACGUGCAGUCUUAUCAAGCCCUGGUAAUCCCUAACGAACUUUGCAUUCUAGAAUUAAUUCCUUCGUGGGGAAACACAAACUUGGACUUCUAAAUACUGAAUUGUGUAGCAAAACCAUAUCUUUUCAUGAACGAAGUGUGAUGGAAAAAACCUGGAAAUGCACUUGAGGAACAAUGAUUUAAUAGCAUUUUUUGUGAUUAUUGUUGACUUUAACAUGUAAAUAUUACAUGUCUUGUCUUUGCACAGUUCCUUUUCUGAUACUUUAAUCUUGUUAAUUCGGGGCCAGUUAAUGUGGCCGUGUGUAAGAGAAGGAAAUCCAUAAUAGGUAUGUAGAAUAGCUUCGUCUUCAUUGUGAGUGACUACAUGCCAAAUCAUACCCUCGCGUAGAUCGCUGGUGCAUAGGAUAUAUACUUCUGCUAUGGCUAUGCACAUAAUCCACAUUUACGUACUGGUUGUCAGUGAGACAUCAUGGGUAGUUCUCUGUAUUUGAUUAAGCACGGGUGAUCUGAUUAUCCUCACAUCAGAAUGGACAUACCAACACAUCUGACAAAUUUGUUUAGAAGAGAAACAGGAGUGUAGGAGUGUAGUUGUUCUUGAUUCUGCACUAUUUUGUGAAACUUGUUCAUGGGUUUUACAUGUUUAGCACGUUAAUUAACCGUGAAUCAGUGGUAGAUUGAGAUCAUCGAAUACAGUACCUCUUGUAAAUUUAUAACUGUUGUGCGGUUUACAAAGAUAAAACACACUAUACAUGGUGUAUCUCUUGCUGAAAGUAUUGUAUAUUUAUUUACAGUUAAUGAUCAAAUGAUAAGCACGAGGAGCAAGACGAAAGCAGAAGCAGUUUCAGACUUGAAGAAUCACAAUACAUGUCAAAACAGACAUCACAUCAAGUGCAAAACUUUUCCAAAAUCAAUUCAAGAUUCACAUCAUACAAGUGGAAAUAAGUGCUCAAAAGAGACCGAUAAUGGGAAACUUGAUCCUCGAGCAAGAGCAAGGCUAGUGAAAGGUGAUCCAAGUCGAAGAACACACCUUCAAGAAGACGAUCAACAUCCUGUUCGUUCAAAAGUAAAACAGUAAGCAGGGGUAUGUAGUCAACUCAUACUAGCCUGCAUAUUAUAGUAAUUCGAAAAGUUUGUGAGGUGAUGCUACUCUACUUGACCAAAGUUAUAACUUAACUUGAAACUCUUUAAACAGAAACCUUAUUAAGUUGAUUGAUACAUCACCCUCUGUGCAGAAAAUUCUGCUUUUUUAAGACUCUUGAUGUUUUGCGCGAUAUCUAGCUAUAAAUUUAUAUAGUUGUAUCAUAAUGUUUCAUAAGUUAUGUCGUAAAAGUCAUAACAAAUAUGUCAUAUGUCCAAAAAGCAUUAGUGUGUGUCUUUUAAAAAAAAUGGUGGCUUAUGUCUCAAAUAAGUAAAGAAACAAAUAUACAAAUCUUCAGUGAUCGUGCUUUUUUAUUUCAAAUCUCGAUUAUAUUAAAAUAGAUAUUCUGAGUCCUAAACUGAGUUGUGAUCCGCUAUAUUAAUCAUCAAUAAUCAUAUCUAUCCACAUUAGUUUAAGUCAUGUUAGUCUACCACAAUAAAAACAAAAUGAUGAGAUUGGCAAAAAAAAACAACGAGAAUAAUCUUAAUAUAUACUACUAGUAAUAAAAACAAGUACAAAUCCCGCAUGAACACAAGACAACAUUCAAUCAUCUAUCUGUUCAAUAACACAACGAAAUGAUAAGAUGAUAAAAGAACUACGAGAAUAGUCCUAACAUAUACUAUUAAUGUUUAGUAUGAAAGAAAAAGCAAGUACAAAUCCCGCAUGAACACGAAACUAUAUGUUCAAUAACUACAAAAUGACGAGAUAAUAAAAGAACUACGAGAAUAAUCCUAAUAUAUACUACUAGUGUCUAGUAUGAAAGGAAAAACAAGUACAAAUUCCGCAUGGACACGAAACAAUGCUAAACUAUCUACUAAUACCUUAAUGAGUGACCUCCUAUUUAUUAUAGGGCGGUUAAAAAUGGUGGUUUAAUUGAAGCAGGCCAUCAGGCGUUACUGGACUUGGGAAGCACCGAUUCGUUAUCCUUUCGCUGCUCAGAGCGAAAGUUGUCCGUUGCCCUGUGAAACCAGUCUAAAUAUAUACUACUAAUAUUAAAGGAAAAACAAGUACAAAUCCCGCAUGAACCCAAGACAACACUCUAUCAUCUAUCUGUUCAAUAACAACAAAAUGACAAGAUGAUAAAAGAACUACAAGAAUAAUCCUAAAUUAAUAUAUAUUAUAAAUGUUUAGUAUGAAAGGAAAAGCAAGUACAAAUCUCUCAUGAACACGAAAUCAUUUGUUCAAUAACAGCAAAAUGAUGAGAUAAUAAAAGAACUACAAGAACAAUCCUAAUAUAUAUUACUAAUGUGUAGUAUGAAAGGAAAAACAAAUACGAAUUUCGUAUGAACACGAAACAAGCCAAAACUAUCUACUAACCAUUUACUCUAAUGAGUGACCUCCUAUUUAUUAUAGACUUGGGAGGCACCGACUCGUUAUACUUCCACUGCUCAGAGCGGGAGCAAAAAGUAGUGGUUUAAUUAGAGCAGCCCAUCAGGCGUUAACUGAACUUGGGAGGCACCGACUCGUUAUCCUUCCACUGCUUAGAGCAAAAGCUAUUCGUUGCUCUGUAAAACCAGCCUCACGCGUUCCCGCCAAACUUUAGGAAUCAAGCAGCCCAUUUCUUCAAUUGGGCCACGUGAUCCAACUCUGAGCUUGGAUAGGGCAAGCCAGAAACUAGCCCACCAAGCCCAACCAUCUGGUGCAGCCCAAUAUCCCACCACAUUAAUGCCCCCAUUUGGGUUACAAGCCCACAUUACUAAGCUCGGCGAACAUCCAUCUCUCUAAUUCUAAUAAAAAAAAGUAAAUGUUCCUAUUCUGUAUCGAUGUGGGAGAAUUUCAUUUCAGUCUCAAGAAAGGUUGUUUUCUUGUUUUUAUGUAAAUUCUGAUACUGCAUUUAUGUUGUCUUUAACUAGAUUUGAUAACAUUUUCUCUGCUGAUGAAAAAUGCAAAUAUUCCACACAAUCGUAAUACUUCGUUUUAUUUAACUGAAUGCGAAGUUUGAGAAAGAAUUAAUCGAAAUAUGCACGCGCUUCAAGUAUUUGAUUGGUGGACAUGUCAUUUACAAAUUAUUACAAUUAUUUUCUCAGAGACAAAAAACCGAUUUCCCAAGCUAAGAGGCUUAUCAGAAACAAUCUCUGUAUCCUAGAAACAAUAGAGACAAGAUCUUUGUAUACCAUCAUACUAGUAUGUUAUUAUAUUUUCUUGGAGUAUUCAGAGGUCAACAUUUCGAUUGAUGCAAAUGAAUUUUUGCAACUAUAAAACCACAACUAAAAACAAUUCAAGUAAUUUUCAGACAAUAUUUGUUACUUCCUCUAUCUCAAUUUAUGUGACAGUAACGUAACUUCCGAGUGUCAAAUAAUAUAUCUUACUUGCUUAAUCCAAAUCAAGUGUACUCUGAAUAAAACCGUUAAGACGAUGUCGUCGCUAUAGUAGUCUAUAGACUACAAAGUGGUGACUGAACAAGCACCUAAAUCCAGAAAACAGUGACAGAUCAAUGAUUUGGGAUAUAAGCCACAGUACAGAGUGUAGGCCUGAGAAAACUAAACAAAUGUCUCACAAAAUUCCUCUGUUGUGUUACAAGCUCUCGUAAGCACAGCAAAAAAGAGAGGACGAAGAAAUCGGAGUGCUGCAGGGACCAGGAAGUGCAAACUGGGAAACUAAGAUUAUGAUGAAACCAAAUCAGGAGUUUCAGCUUCCACAGAUAACAAGGCAGUGUGUACUUUAUCCACCCAAUUGUCUAGCCGAUCUCGCAGUGACUUGAUCUGAGGAACACCCAAAACUCUUGGUUGAACCCAGGACACGUGAACAGUCCCUUCCACUUGAUCGAUUAUUCCCUCUAUCAGAUGUACCUACAGUAAACACAACAUCAUACCGGAGAAAAAUGGUUCAUUAGCCUAAUUUCCGACAUGUAAAACAUCACCAUAUAUCACAGGAAAACUUCAUGGGAUGUUGGAAAAGUAAACAUUCAUGACGAGAAAAAUAGAAAGGGGAACAGAAUGAGAAACGCAGGAACCUAAAACGCAUAAGAGAACAUAUAAAAACUUAUUGGUUGCAACAUUACAUACUGCUCAUGUGGAGGAGCUUUUGGUGGGGGCAUAAUGUAAUAAUGAGAAUUACUUCCAAUUGACUGUAGGGAUAUAUAAACUGCACAGCAAAAAAACUCGACCGAUGCCACAACUUAAGAGGUAAGAAAUUGACCAUUCACUUGAAUCAAAUGAUUUUUUUUAUAAGGUUAUCCUUCUUAUAGAAGGAGCUGUCCUACUUUUGAUGAUUUGAUAUACUAAGCAAUGAAGCUGAUCAUGGUUAUUAUACUUCCUCUAUCCAAAGCAUUUUGGAAGCCCACUUAAAUUAUAAGUUGAGAAAACGCAUAAAUUAGGUGUGGAGCAUAUGCAUGACUUGAGAACAUAGAGGAAAAAAUAUGUUGCCAUAUGACAUCCCGGUACAAUUGACCAUCCAAUAACAUUACAAAGAUGAGCAUUUCGUUCUUAUGCAUGUCAUGGUGCGUGGAAGCUAGUUACAGAGGAUAGAUUUAUAUCUUAAUUAAACAAACAAUAAUUCACUCACAGAGAGACUCUUCAUUAAGAGAUACUCUACAUCUUCCACGCUAAGUUUAGUGCGCUCUGCAAUGGCACUCAAUGGAAUAGUUCUAUCCUCUGCUGGGCGACUGCACGCAAAUGCUUUCUCUAUAAGUUACAGUUUAACAAAAAUAAAUUACAGAGGUACCACUAUAUGCAAAAUGUCUGCAAAACCUGAAGAUGAUUUCCAUCAAGCACAGAAUGUUGAUCUUCUCGAGAAGCUUUUUCUCGUUCUGCAAUAAUGCUGGUUGAGCACUUAAAGCAGCUUUAUGGACACGGCACAAUUCUUGAUAACGAACUAAAUCACCAGUGUUGAAUGCUUCAAGGAUAUGAUAUAGCCAUUCAACUUGUGUCCCUACCAAACUCUUUAUCUGUUAAAAAAAAGAUAAAGCCAUAAUGAGUUCUACAUAAUGUUGCCAAAGAAACCAACAUAAGAUCACCCUAUGGCUCUCUAAUAUAAUCCUCCAAUCAAUUCCACCACUUAUGAACUCUGAAGCCUAUUUGAUAGUCGAAACUGAAUUUAUGAGAUUUCACACAGCUUUGUGCUAUGGGUACACUGUAGAUACUUUAUACUAGUUUCUUCUAAAGAUUUUUUUGAUACUUUUUUAGCAAAAGCACCUGUUGGAGUAGAUGAGAUAAGUUCCCUUGGCGAAGCUCAAGUGGUCAACAUAAAUACCACCUUGCCAAACAGGAAGAACUCAUCAAACCAAAUCAAAUGGGUGGCUUGGAAUGAAAGACCUUCAUCUACACAACCAAAACCUGCUGCUGAAACGGUAGUGAAGAUGCAACUGUUAAGAUGCAACUGUGAAGAUGAUAUACUUUGGAAAAGAGUGGCAGAUGCCAAUAUGGAAAAUGGAUUAGAUGGUGUAAACAAGCAAACACCUAUCCUUAUGGGAUGGUCUGUGAAAGUUCAUGAGGAAGCUGUGGGAUAAAUUUGGUACAAGAGAAGCCCACACACUAGGAAAUGGAGAAAACAUGUGUUUUUGGCAUGACAGAUGGUUGGGCCAACUUUCUAUAAAAGAGUAUCCUCUGAUGUAUACCAUAUAGCUGCUGUGUCUGACACAAAAAAAAGGCUCAAUAUAGAGAUAGAAACUGCUAAAAUCUUUCUUUAUUUUUUAUGGUAAGUGGAACUGCAGGAACAUCGUCCUUGGAGGAAACUGUAAAGACUGCUAACUAAAAAAAUAUAAAAUUGCUGGGCAAUUAAAGCAAGCGACAGUGCAUACCCAAGUCAUGGACAGCCUGGAAUGGAAGGGAAUUGGUGGGACUACAUUAACAGGGAAAGCUUGCUACUAUAAACCUAACAAGAUCUCAUUCCAGCAAAAAUGACAACGCAAGAUAAGUCUAUACAAAUCUAGCAACUAGGAAGACAGCAACGCUAAUUCCUACAAUGGACAGCUUAGCCAGCAAAGAAAACAACAAUUGUAUUACAACCUACAAUUUUUGAGAAUAGUAGAGAGUCCACUGUGGAAAUUUUAACCAAACUUUAGUUUCAGUAGUAUUACUGUGUGUAAAGGAACAUCCAUAGAUGGAUGACUUCCAUGGAAAUUUCUUAUAUGCAUGACAUCAACUUCAUGUGACAUUCAAUAGAAGAUUUUGAUUAAUCCAAAUAAAAGAAAAAUAAAGAACUUACUAUAGGAUGAGCAAGCAACUCCCCAAAAUUGUAUACGUUGUCUCCCAGUAAAGCAGACAAGGACAAAUCAAACGCCAAAUCCUAGACAAGAUAGAAGAAACAAUUACAUAGAAGAGACAGUUACAUAGAAUAGAAAACCUCAAAUAUAUUGACAUUCAACCAAUUUCAGAUGCAUUUUCUUAAAAGACUGAGGUUACAGAAAGAAUCUCCAGAUCUCCAGGUAUGAAAAAAUCCUACCCAAAGCGUGAAAAGAAUCCCCCAUAAUCCAGUUUGCUCUAUUCAGAUUUUCAGGCCAAUUUCUCUAAUACUAAAUAAUUUGUCACAAUGAAAUGCGCACAAAUUAAAAAAAUCAACAGCUUAUACAGACUUUAUGUCAAAGAUUCAAUUCUCUUUGGGUACCAAGUAGUAUAAAAUGUAAGGAGCAUAAAUAAAUUUAAAAUGGUACUCUACAAGUAUAUCACGGAUAUCUACUAGCAACAUGUCUUAGCAACCUUCUUCAUGACGCCAACAGUACACCCCAUUUUAGACCUUAUUCAAUGUUAGUACUUUGAGCAAAGAGAUAUAUUACCAACAGCACUAAGGCAAGAGAAACCAACAUAUAGAGGUCAGAGAUCUGCUAGACACGGACAAUAAAUAGAUCGUUCUUUGGAUAAAAGGCAGAAAAUAAAAUGGCAACAUACCAGCUUGAAUGACUCCGAAAGAGAAUCCACUGAAACGUAUGCAAGAUAGAGGAGAGCGCUUUUGUAAAACUCUGCAAAUUCCUGCCGCGUUUUAUGAUACUGAGAUGAAACCCAAUAGUAACUGGCAUAAACAGAGGGGUCAACAUCGGUCAUGCUGUCAAUUGUAGCAUUCCCCUGUUCUAAAAGCCUCUUGCACUCUUUUUGAUCCCCUUGUUCUAGCUUAAAUAGGGCAAUCUGCAACUUAAUAUAAAGUAUUGGUUCCUCUAUCCGUGUCUCUUUAGUAUUUUGGAGCUUCUCUGCUACUCCUUCCAGAUAACCUAUUCCAGCAUCUUUCUCCGAAUAUUGCCGAGAGACGAUUACAGCGAAAUGUGCAAGCUUCAGAAGAUUGAUCUUUGUCUCAAAAUCAGUGAUGAAAUUGUGAUACAGCUGUAUCAACGUGUCACCAGCCUAAGAACAAAAUAAGGAAACAAAACGGAAGGCAUUAGAUCUGCAUACAAUACAAUAAAAAACAACUACGAUAACUGAAAAUCAAGCAUAUGCAAUUUAAGCUGCAGUUAGAUAAUGAGGAACAGAAUAAAAACACCACAUUUACUAUGCUAUAUGGACACAUAUUUCCAUGACUACAUUGCAAGAUUCAAGAACAUCUAGAACCCUGACCAUGCACCUACUCAGAGAACUCAAUUUAUCCUACAAGAAGUUGUGUUCAAAGGACAAGUCAAACCGAAUUUUAGAAUUAUUUGAAGAAUUAUGAAUCAGAUGAUUUAAACUUGAUGAACUGUAUAUCUUUUUUUUUUUGACUGUCUAUCGGAAACCUCUCUACCUCCCAAGGUAGGGAUAAGAUCUACCCUCUUCAAACCCCACUUGUGAAAUACCACUGGCAAGCAACAUCGAAAUGCAGACACAUAACUCCAAAUGCACAUAAAAUGAGGUAGACGGCAAUAACCAUAAUUCCAGAGCAAUUCUCAUUAGCACUCAUAACUAAGCUUACUCCACGCUCUUAUAUUUCAAGUUCAACACAUCACCACCUAAAAUCAUAACAAUAAAAGCUACACAACUAAAGCUCUCUUGUUCUUCAAUUCACUUCUCUUAUCUCCAAGAUGCCACCUUUCCAACUCCCCGAAACCCUAGAAUAUUCAUAAACCCCAAUUCCCAACACAAAAACCUAAAUUACAAAUCCCUAACUCAACAACAACAAAAAAAAAUCUCUUUUUCAAUACAAUUCCCAACCUUUCAUAAUCAAAACUCCUUCUUUUUUAAGGCUUCAGCUUAUUAAACCAAACACCCCUAACUUUAUCAUCAAUCACUACAACUCCAAAACUCAAAUCACGCAAAACCCCUAAUUUAUCACAAGAAGUCCCUAAAAACAACAAAAUAAGUAUAAAACGGGGAGAUAUACGAUAAAAUACCUGAAAAACAGCGAGAGCGACAAACUGUUCGAGCUUGAGAGAGAGCUGGUGCCAGAGCUUGCGUUGGUACAGAUCUGCAAGCGUCGUGUACCAAUCAGAAAGCUCUGGAUGAUCAUUGCGUAGCGAUUCCAAAUACUGUAGAGCCGCCAUGGCUGAUUCAGUGUUCGAAAAAAUCUCUCUCUUGAUGAAGACGAUGAAGAAAGAAACAAGAAGUUCUAAAAAAAUAGAAAAUAAUUUUUAUAUAGGAAUUUUUAUUCAAUUAUUUUACUUUAUUCGAUUAAAUUAAUUUAUUUAAAAAAAAAAAAACAAUUGAUGAACACCACUUUGAUAGGGUUGUUAUCAUUCAGUUCAGUUCAGUUUUGAAGCGUAUCAAUUUGACUUAUCAACUAUCAAUUUGUAGACACAUUAAAUUGUUCUUUUAUUAUUUUUAUUUUCACCUAGUGUUCGAUAUCUACAUUGAAACCCAACUAAUUUUAAAUUCGUGCUAAAGAGUCCCACAUUGACUGUUUUGUACCCAUAUUGGUGCCGAACAAAAUCCAGAUUCGCGUCACGAAGUCCUACUUUGGGGCAAUUUGAUUUUGAAGUUUAUCGGUUUGACUUAUAAGUUAUCGCUUUGUAAACACGCUGAAUCCUUUUUUUGUUUUUUAUUUCCCAGCUAGUGACUGAUACCCACAUUGGGGUUCCACUAAAUUCAGAGUUGCACCGGAAAGUCUCACAUUGGGUGUCCCGUACCCACAUUAGAGUUUGACUUUUUUAUUUUUUUGUUUCCCAUUCGGUGAGCGGUACCCGUAUUGGCGCCCCCACUAAAUUCGAAAUUGUGCUGAAGUCCAUAUUGGGUGUUCGGAACCCACAUUGGAGCCCGACUAAAUCCGAACUCGUGUCGAAAGUCCCGCGCUGGGGAGUAAAGUGCUCCCUAACAAAGGUGAUUUUGUACCCAAGUGGGCUCGAACCCGGGAUAUCUUGGUUAAGGAUGAAAGAAUACUUAAUACUCUAUCACAACCUUAAUUGGUCAUGCUAAAUUGUUUUACAACCAUUAUGACAUAAAGUUAUCAGUUAUCGAUUUAUCAAUUAUUAAUUCAGUUAUCAGUUUAACUGAGAUUACCUAGAAACAAGGUGACAAUCCAUCUAAACCAAGCAUCUCAGUUGACAAAUUUCAUUUUGCUCGAAAGCAAAUGCCGAAACAGUGUUGAAUAGCUAAGUGUUCGACAACAAAAUAUAGAAGUAUAUAACUAAACUCGGAGAAACGGAAUAGUAUAAAUAUUAGUUAUUAUCAGGUAAUUUAUUAUCUCAUUAAGAAAAAACUUCAAACUAUUAAAAAUUAAUUCUCGAUAAUAAGAAUAAUCAAAAUUGUCAUAGCAAUCUCUAAUUCAAUAAUCCAUUAUCGAUAUACCAAUAACUGAAAAAACUAUAAUUAAAUCAAGAAUAAUUUAAACUUCACAUCUUUACACCUAACUUCAAAUCUUUAGAAUAAUUGUUAACAAAUUUUAAAACUCAAUAGAAAUAUAUGUUUUCAGUUUUAGAUUUGUAUAUCUAAAAUUGAAUCUGAAAAAUGAUAAAAUGUUAUUAUUCUACAUAUAAACAUAUAAAAUUAACUAUUCUUGAAAUCCGAAUCAUAAAAAAGAGAUAUAUACAUUCGAUUAACUGAUUAUCAAUAUGAUCGAAAUACACAACAUAUACGGUAUAUAUGUUGGGCCAAAGUUAAAAUUGCUAUUUAUGCAAAUCAACUUACCUAGUCAAUGGGCCGUACAGGCCUAGUCCAUAUAUUGGGUCUUCCACGCCAGUAUAUCAAAUAUGUUGGGCCUUAUGCCUCACACAAGUUUCAUAUCCAUUCCUCUCCUCUCGAAUAUAUAUCACUAUUAAAUAGAUGGGCAACUUUCACAUAUAGCGAACAAAAAAUUCAUAUUUGUAUGCUAUAGAAAACUUUGCAUAAUUGCGCUCUAUAGCAAACAUAAAACUGUAUAAUUUGCUAUACAUAUACAAUUGUAUAAUUCGCUGGCCUAAAUUGUAUAAUUCGCUGGCCUAUUUCGCUGCAAUUAUAUAAUUUAUUUUGCAUAUAGUUGAAUCGAAUUAAAAUGUAUGCAUAUUGCAUAAUUAUAAGUGCAUAGCAAGAAGAUAUAUGUUUUUCUCGCUUUAUACAAAAACAGAAACACAAUAUAUACACUUCUGUUGUAUAAAGCUAGAGAAAAUUAUAUUUCACUGCAAUUGUAUAAUUCGUUGACCUUUUUCUUUGCAAUAUUUGAAGUAAAAUGUUUGUAAAUUGUAUAAUUAAGUGUAUAACACGAAGAUAUACAUUUUUGCAUGUGUAUAUACAAUUUUCUCUCGCUUUAUACAAAACAGAAACAAAAUUAUACACUUCUGUGUAUAAAGCGAGAGAGGCGAGCGAGCAUGGAGAGUGGCGAGCGAGAUUUUUGGGAGAGAGACGCUGGCAAAUUUUAGCUAAUGUUUGCUAUGGAGCACAAUUAAAUCAAACCCCAGCUAUUUCAUUUAAUUUAGGUUAUUAAUUUGCUAUUAUAUACAAUUUUCCCUAAAUAGAUCCGUAAGUUAUAUAUCCGUAAAUUUUUAAAUAUAUUUGAGAUAUUAUAAUUUUGAUGGAAUUGAUGUAAUUAAUUUUAACACUAUGAAAUUUAUGUAACUUUUACUAUAAAAAAUAAUGAGAAACUUACAUAAAUAUACUAUAAUAAAAAAAUAUUUACCAUUUAUAGUAAUAAUAUUUUUUUCACCUAACCACUUUUAAUUCAUUUAUAAUAUAAGUUUAAUACAUAUUACAAAGAACAAUUUAUUAUUCACAUAUAAUACAAGUUUUAAUGAUGGAUAAUACGUUUAUCACAUAUUUUAAUACACUUAUAAUACAAUGUGACAAUUUUUUACCCAAACAAACAUAAUGUAUUUCAAAAACAAUUAUAAUUCAAAUACACUGCAUACAUAAUUCACUUUUAAUACAUAUUACAGAUUUAUCACAACAUUGCUAUCAAUGGUAAUAAACAAAAAGUAUUGCUCAAAUCAAUAAUUAUUUUUUAAAAUGUAUUAAUUUAUAAAACAUCUCUAUUUUCAAGAAUAAUUGUCUCUUCUCUUUUUAUUUGUUCAUUGUUGGAUUGGAUUAUUUUUUCGAUAAGAGUGAUCUUUUGAGGUUUUUACUCUUUAUAUAAGUUUAAUAAUUUUAUAACUACCUGAAUGACAUCAAUCUAUCUUCCGAGUUUAUAAAGAAACUAUAAAUUAUAAUUAUAUCUGAAUUAUAUCAUUUAUAUACCUAAAACAAUCAUAUUUGCUCAUGUAACGCAUAUACAAACAAAUUUCUCAACAUGCCCAUAAUUUUUUGGGAGCAACUUGUUUAGAAUUUAGAUAACAUAUAUUAUCACCAUAUCUGUUACUUUAUUCAUUUUAAAUUAUUUAUUUUACUUUUUUUAGUUUGUUUCGUAAGAAUAAUUUUAUUCUUUUUGGCAAUUUCUUAAUUUUAAUUUUUCACUAAUUAUAUUUAAAGACCACAAUAACUAAUAAUAUUUUACAUUAUUAAUUUACGAACAUAAAACUUAAAAUCAGAUAAAUAAAUUAAAACGAAAUCAAUAAUUUUUUUCUUCUAAACCCUUCCACUAGAUUGCCAUAGACCUUUUUUUUAAUUUAUUGGUCUUCUCUAAAAAUGAUUGAAAUAUUCAACGAAAUUAUUUCGUCAAAAUUAUAAAAGUCUAGAAUGAUAGUAAUGUAUACCAAACAAUAUAUAUCCAAUAAUUUUCCAUUAAUAUGCUAAUGUUUUUACUUUAUGAAUUUAAUUUUGAAAACGAAGGCAAAUAUUAUUAUUAUUAUUAUUAAUAAUUAUAGUAUAUUUAAUUAAAAUCGACCUAUAUAAGCGCAUGAUAUUUAUCUGAUUAAACCAAUCAUCGAGUCCAAAAGUUUGUGUAUAUUAUGUAGUUAUGUUAUGAUUUACAAUACUUUUAUUUAUUUAUUUUCUCUAUUUCGCAUUUAUCUAAAGCGUUAUGUGCACCUUUCUUUUGUAAGUCUGUCAGUAUUUUUCAUUGACGCGUUUUUCAUCGAUUCGUUCUCCGUAAUUAACAUAACAGACAUCAUGAAUUAAUUAGUCACAUCAUUCGUUUAAAAAUGUAUGAUUUCUUUUUUCUUUUUAGGGUGUAUCAAGGAAAUUGACGUCUUUCGUUUUUUUUGCAACACUUUAGUUUCAGUUUUUCACGUGACAUGUUUAAAGUUACAAGAUUAAAUGUCAUUUUGAUAUAUUUGACAUAACUUUAAUUAGAACUAUAAAAUCUUUUUUAUUUUCAUAAAUUCGUGUCAAGUCAAAUUAGACCAUUUUUUUUGAAACCGAUAAUUCUUUCCAAAGAAAGUUCCUUUUUUUUCUUAUGAUAAGAUCUAAUAUAUUAUAUGAAUGAUGACAUAAAUUCUUACUUCAUUCAUUACUGUUAAUAAACAAUUAGUACAGCUAAGUACAUAGUUUGUUGAAACAAUUUUUGUAAUUAAAAAAUAUUGUAGUUGACAUUUGAGGUUAUUGUUUUUUGUUUUAUAACUAUCAUUUAAACGUAAUGCUCAACAACUAAUUAAUCAAGUCAAAUAAUCCACUAAAUUUAUUCGGUAUUAAAGAAUAUAUCGUAUAAACUUGUAAAAUAUAUAUAUUCAGUAUCUUCCCGUAUAUUUAUCGAGUUUAAUUUUUGUGUAUCGAUAAUAUAUAUGCUAAAAUGGAUUGAGUUAUAGUAAAAAUAAUAGAUAAAAUUUUAUAGAAAACUUGAUAUUUAAGUUUUAAGUAUGAAGAAAAACUUGUUAAGAACGUUAUCCUCGUAUGAAUAUUUAGUCGUAGUUCUAAUGUGAGUACCGAUGAAACGAAAAAAAAAAAGUAGAAGGAAUAAAAAUAUUACACUAUCAAUAUCAAAUGUGACUUUAUUAAUUUGCAAAUGUCUUCCUUGUGUAAUCAAAUAAAUGCAAAAUAGCUUUACAAAUUCCACCAAAAAAGAAAAAAUAGUAAUCAAUAAAAUACAAAAUAGCUUUACAAAUUCCACCAAAAAAAAAAAAGAAAAUAUCCAUAAUUAAAGCCCUUUUUCUCAAGGACCAUAUUAUAAAAUUUCAAUGUCCACAUAUUAUUUCGAAAUACAAUAAAUUGAAUGAAUUAUCGAUGCUUAUUUAAAUUAAUCCCACAAUGAGAUCAUCAAAAUAUUUAAAAGGUUUAUUAAAAUUAAUUUGUUAGUGGGUAAGCAAUAUACGAAGCAUAAAUGCAUGACGUACUAAAUCGUAAAUUUCAUUAGUUAAUUAUUCUGUCCGUUUACUUUUACUUAUUCAUUUUAAAUUUUAUAUAUCUUAAGAAAUAUUGAUAUUAGAAUUUUAUUAUAACACUCAUAUUAAUUUUUAUUUAGUAUAAGAUUUUUAAUUUUUAAAAUAAGUAAUUAAAAAAUUAAGGGACCAAGUAGAUUAAGUGCUAGUUAAGUACUUGAACAUAACCACAAGAAUUUUCUUUUGAUUGGUCAAAAAGGAGGGGCCAAUAAUUAAGCAAAUUUUUUAUUUUUUUCUAAUAAGUGAUGCAGUUGAAAGAUAUUUUUUUUAUGAAUUUCUUUUAAUUAUUCUAUUAUGGAUAUUCAUAUGUAACCUUUUUUUUUCUUCUCUAAUUAGUGAUGAAGUUGAAAGAUAUUGUUAUGAAAUUUAUUAAAUUAUUCUUUUAUGAAUUUGAAUAAAUUCUAAAAUUUCAAAAAUCACAAAAAAAACAUUUUUUUCAUCUUUCACUCUAAAUUACUCACAAAUAGUUAUUUCUUAAAAAAAAACUUUAAUAUGUAUUCAUAGCCAACACAACAUAAAUUUUAUUAUAUUAUUUUCUAUUUUGAAAUAAAAAUUAUUAAUUCUAAAAAAAUAUAUAAUAAAACAUGAUUAAACGACUACAAAUAUCCCUCGGGAGUGAUGAUUAAAAUUUUUUCCCUCUCAUCAAUUGGAGAAGGUCCUUUUUUUCUUAAAUAACCUUAUUUUUUUCUCUCUUUUUUUUCAUGUCCAAAUAGAGAUAAAUAUGAUACAAUAUAAUACGAUAUUAAAAUUUUGAUUUUUGAUUUUCAAAGAUACAGUACUUCCUCCGGUUUCAUAUUAAAUAAAUUAUUGAGGUUUUAUACCCUUCUUAUGAAAAAUAUUGAAAAACAUAUAUAGAUAACAAUUAUUUUUUUUUUUAUUUCCAAACUAUUCUUCUAAAAAAUAUAAAGGAUUUAAAAACCUCAUUAAAAGAAAAAUAAAAUUAUAUAUAUAUAUAUAUAUAUAUAUAUAUAUAUAUAUAUAUAUAUAUAUAUAUAUAUAAAGUCUACAUUUUUUAUUUACAUUAAUAGUUGUCCACUAUUGACUUGUCGUAGAAAUUAAGUAGCAACAAAUGACAGAAAUAAUCUACCAAAUCACCUUUAUAAAUAUAAGUCACCUAAACAUUGAAAAAAUAAAAUUAAUAGUAAAGAUAAAUAGACAUAACAUGACAAAUUACUCAUUGUUUUUAUAAGUUAGAUAAAUAUUGUUAAAUAUUUCGAAAUACUAUAGUGAGCAUAGGUGGAGUCAGAAUUUUCAAUAAGGAGUUCAAAAUAUCUAAAAAUAGAGAGUCGAAUGAGGUUCGACAUUUAUUAUAUAUAUACAUAUAAACUUAUUUUAACAAUAUAUAAAUAAUAUAAUUUUCCGUAUAUUUAAACCCCCUUCAUAUAAGAUAGCUCCACUCCUAAAUUAACGAACAAGUAAAAAAGAACAAAUCCCUUAACAAAAAUUCUGAAUCUAUCAUUGUUUAUCGAUAGAACUAAUAAACACUACAUAUUUACUUCCGCAAAAUUCUGAAUCUAUCAUUAUAUAUCGAUAGAAAUAAUAAACACUACAUAUUUACUUCCGCAAAAAGAUUAAUAAAUCUCGUACACUAAUAUCACAUCCCCACCCAAAAUAGUCAAAAAGAAAACAUUAAUGGUUUUAUUUGUCUUGUCAUGCCUAUUGGGGUUAUUAUUAAAGGUAACCCACCCACAAAUAGACAAAAUAUGUACAUUGAAUUUAAUAAAAUUAACACCUUUUUCCAAUCUUUUUGGGCAUAUUCACAAGAUUCUUCACCAUUCACACAAUUUAGUGUUUGGUCACCCUUAACCCUAGGAGAUCCCUUUGAAUCUUCUUUUUCCCACACUACCUACCUCUCUCUACCUUUCAUUCUUUAUCUCUUUUCAUCCUCCUUUCAUUUACGAGAUACUGACUAAAUCUGUAUACAUCAUAUUUUCCUCAAACCUCAUUCUCGUGAAUAAUAUUACAAUGUAUUAUUAUCAUUUCUAAAAUAUUCAUAAGAUUUAAUAAAUAGGUCAGUUUUAUUCUUUUUUAAUUCUUCUUUCGUAUUUGAGGAUCGAGGAUGAUUUGAACUUUUUCGAAAAAUAUCUUUUUAAAUAAUUAUAGUUCAUUUUAUACUAAGUUUAAAAACACUUAUUUAAAUAAGAUUCCAAGAAUUUUCAAAAGGCAUGGUACCAACUAUCCUUUUUUUAAAAAAAGUCUUUGUCAAUGAAAUUUCAAUAACCAAAACAAUAUAAAGAAAAAAAAUAUAAAUAGAAAAAACAAGUCAAGCUUGACGGUUCCAUACAUAAUAAUAGUAAAGUUAAAUAUAUGUACAAAGAUAAUUGGAUAUUAAUAGUCAAAUAUAGAUAACUAGUAGAAAAUAAUAAAAGAGGACAUGUUCACAUUAUCUUCAUACACAACCACUCAUUUUUACCAUUAAAAAAAUCCACUAUUUUUUUUUUCUUUUCACAAACACCCUAAUAUUAAUUUUAUAAAAAUAUAAACUAGACAAUUCAAAGAUACAUAAAUAAAAAGAUAAUUUUUUUUUUAUUUUUUUUUCUAAGUUGAGGUUGUUGGUUCAAUUCUUCUCAUUUGCAUUCCUAAUUUCGGAUCCUCUUCAUGAUAAUAAGCAAACCCACCAUGUCGGGUCAGAUCCAUACCCGCCAUUUCGUCUUCGGACGAUAUCCGAAGCAACUUGAAUUUAUGAAGUAUAUAAAAAAGCGGACCCAUUGUCGCGCUGACCCACCCGAUUAUAACGAGUAUCUGGAUUAUAUGCGCCCCGAGUAGUUUCCCUCCACCACCCAUAAAUAACCCGUGAGGUCGACCCGGUUUACCCGGGUAUACUUGAUCCACAAACUCCCCUUUAGCGAAUAACCCGGUAAAAAUUAUCCCCCAUGCACCACAACCCCCAUGUAAUUGUGCUGCUUCAAGUGGAUCGUCGUAUUUAAAUUUUUCCGCUAACAUGUUAAAACCAAUUAAAACUAAAGCCGCUACGAACCCACAUAUAAUCGCGGCCCACGGCUCGACGACCGAGCACCCAGCCGUGAUCGCUGCAAAUCCGCCUAGUAAACCGUUACAUACAUCGGUUACGUUCCAAUGACCCGAAAGGAUACGUUUACCGAAAAGAGUCGUUAGGGCUGCGGUGCAACCGGCUAGGGUAGUUGUAACCGCGGUACGUCCUACAGCGCUCCAUUGACCAUAAUACCCUCCGGAUGCACCGUAAGUAACUAGGAUUUUAUUAAAUGAACCGGGGUUAAAUCCGUACCAUCCGAACCAUAAUAAAAAGGUGCCUAGAACCACGAGUGACGCGCUAUGUCCACGAAGCGCAACGGAUCGACCCGUAUGAUCGUACCGCCCGAUUCGUGGACCUUCAAUCAAAGCUCCGUAAAACCCGGCGAUUCCACCUACCAUAUGAACUACACCCGACCCGGCGAAAUCGAUUACACCGGAUCCGAAUAAUAGAUUUGAAUUAGUCGGGCUAGCCCACCCAUCUGGGGUCCAAAACCAAUGAGAAACAACCGGGUAAACGAAACCCGUUAGAAAAGAGGAAUAAAUCAAAUAGGCAACAAAUUGGGUUCGUUCGGCGAUUGAACCGCUGGUGAUACCGGCGGCGGCGAUGGCGAAAGCCCAUUGAUAGAGGAAAUUACUGUAAUCGAAUGAAUUUGACGGGAUCUCUUUAAGCCCGAAAAAAUGUCGGCCGAUGAAUCCAUUAGACGGACCACCCCAAGCAAAAGCGAAUCCGAAUAGAUAGUAAAAAAGUCCACCGGCGGCGGCAUCGAGGACGUUCGUGAGCAUAAUGUUCAUUGUAUUUUUUGCGCGGACAGAGCCCGCGCAAAGCAUAGCGAAACCAAGCUGCAUGGAGAAAACGAGAUAAGCAGAGAAGAGGAGAUAUGUAGAAUCGAUUGCAUAACCGGUAUCGACGAAUCUGUCCGAUACACCUGAAAAUUGGUUGCAGAUGUAUGAAGCGGCGGCGACGGCGUUGGUGGUGUUAGGACCGAGGAACGGAGCGAGAGUAUCGACGGAACAAGCCAUUGGUGGGGUGGGGGUGGGGUAGAGGGGUGGGUGGGUGCGAAGAAGAUGAAGGGGAGAGUCUUAUUAAAAUUUGAAGGUGGUGAAUGUGUGAGACUCAGAGGAUAUUGCUUUUAUAUAGAGCAAAUGAAAGGGACAAAAUUGUCUUUUCCCUUUUUAUUUUAUUUUAGGAAAAAAUUUAAAUUAUCUACUUAGAGAAAUAUUCAAUAUGAAAUCAUAAUGUAAAAUAAUAAAUGAUUAGUUUAGAAAUAAUACUUCCUUUAUUUCAUAUAUUGGGUUGAAAUUUUUGGUCAAAAACUUGAGAUGAAUGUUUGAAUCAUUUUCUAAAUUUGUAUUUAUAUUUAUUAAGUUAUAUUUAUAAUUUUAAAAAAAGGCCAAAGAGAAAAAUAUGAUUUAACUUAUGUUAUUUAAUGUUUUUCUGAAUAAGUGUGCAGAGUUUAAAUUGUAUUGUUUAAAAGAAUUUGUAAUCUGUUAUAAACAUAUUUAUAUUUUGUUAAAUGUCUAUUUAUCGAAUUUGGAGAAACUACAGUAAUCUCUAUAAAUUAAAGAUCGGCUUCAUUAAAAGUUGAUCUCGACUAGAGAAAUAAUAAAUAUUCUCUCUACUUUUUUUUUUUAAUAAUUUCGUAAUAAAAUUUAAGUUAUAAUUUUAUAUCAUAUCUUCAAAUACUGAUUUUAUUUUGAGCUUGAUGGGUUGAUUAAUAUGUUAAUGUGUGAAUUACAAACCGUGUGUUUUAAAGAACGGUAAAUACUAAAUAUUGUAAAUUUCAAAAAUUCUUAAAUGUCAUAUAGCACAAAAUACAUAAAUAUUGUAAUAUAAACUCCAUGUAAAUAUAUUCGUCCAUAAGUGGUUUUCACUUUCAAAUAUUGAAAUAUUUUUGAUAAAAUAUAUGUAUGCUAUUUAUUUGUGCAAAAUUUUACCUUUUUGAUGUGUUUUACAUGAAUCUUACGUUUAUAAAAAAAAUCGUAAAAUAAAAAUAAGGCUUGUAAUAUAUUUUAUUCUUGCGAACUCAUUCGUAAGAUUAUCUUGACAUGUUGUUUUAAUCUUUCACUUUAUUUUAUAAAUAUUUGGUUGUAAAAUAUUUCCAACUUAGAGUUUGAGUUUUUUAUUUUCCUCCAAAUUUAUUUCUCAAUGCUAUUUGCAUAAAUUCUGAAUAAAGUCUUCACUUUUCUCUUUUGUAACAACAUAAAAGAAUAUAUAUAUAUAUAUAUAUAUAUAUAUAUAUAUAUAUAUAUGUAUAUAUAUAUUUGUCAUAAAUUUUAAAUUUUUAAUAUUAUGUUUGUACAUAAAUUUACUUGGAACGUUCAACAACUAAGUCUUUGAAGAUUUUUUUAUUAUGAAUAAUAGAACCUUUGAUUCCUCAGCUAUAAAAAUACAUUUUUCAUUUUUUAUAAUAUAUGACUUAAUAUAAUCAAUUUUUAAUUAGUUCACGUAUUAUUAUUGUUGAUUCCUUUAUAUAAGAAAUUAGUCUUUUAUUAUUAUUCAUAUUUCUUUUAUAAAAAUACAAAUUAGUCUCAAAUUAUUGAGUAACUAUACAAAUGGGAUAUAACAAUUGAAUAAUCAAUUGGGGAAUCUAAGAAAUAUACUUAAAUAGAUAUUAUUAAACUUUUUCUAUCAAUAAUUAAGUGACCAAAAUGUUGCUUCUAUUAAAUUAUUAAUUCGAUACGUAAAUAUAAAUUUUGUGAUUGAUUUUGACAAAUAAAAAUAUUUAGAAAAGAAUACCCGAUAUUCUGCAAAUGAAAUAAAAUAUAACUUAUAUUCCUUUUCAUUAUAAUUAUUAAUCUUAUCGUUAAACUCAAUUAAUUAACUCUUAAUUACGGUAUCAUGUGUCAGAAUGAAGUUAACCCAUACUCUUAAGAUUUAUUUAUGCACAAAAUGACAAUGAUUUUUUGAAAUUGAAAAUUAAUUAUAAAAUAUAUUUCAAGUUCCCCAUUAUAAAAAAUAUAUAUAUGGGGAGGUACAAAAUAAUAAAAAACGUAUUCUGAAAUUCUAAAUUAAAAUAUUAAGAAAGAUAAUCACAAAGUUAAAAUCUUGCUUAGAUUUUAAGGGAUUAAUUAAAUAUAAACCUACCAACGUUUACUAGCUGUAGUUUACAAUUCGAAGAUUAUUAUUAUUUUUUGGUUUUAUACUUUGGAGAUUACUUGAAAAAUAUUCUCGUACUUCAUCUGUUUCAUAUUAGAUGAACUUUUUUUUUAAUAAAUUUUAUAUUGUGAUUAAAAAAUUUAUUAGUAAUUUAAUUAAUUUUAUUAUUUUGUCUGUAUUCAUAUUAAUUAGCUUUUUUAUUUUGUAAAAAUAAAAUUAUCGAGUCUUUAAAUUUGCUUAAACUUUCAAAGGCCAUAUUAAUUAUAGGGGGUAAAUAAACUUUUAUAAAAUUAAUUCUAUCCUUAUUUAAUAAAUGAUCAAUUCAUAUGAUUAGAGAAAUUUUUUUAAUCAAAUAACCAUCUAAUAUGAAACAAAGGGAGUAUUAAUAAGGAAUAUUUGAUAAGGUGUAUAAGAAAUAUAUUGAUUAAAUUUGCAUCAAUAAUACUUAUAUUAGUAAUGAUUGCAUUUGUUAUACAGUGAAUUAAUUAUCAAUUAAAAAAAAAUUUCAACAGUUCGUUCAUUCAUUGUGACUAGUAAUCGAUGUCAUCAUCUAUUUUUACUAUCCUAUUAUCCACUAUUACUAUGCACCUGUUGUACAUAACUAUCAUUGUUAUCGAUAUGUCUACGGUUAACUGUCACUAUUACUAGUCACCGUUUAGAUCAUCAACAUUAUUAACCAUUAGUAUAUCAACCAUCAAUCACGACACUACUAUAUAUAUUAAAUUCUUAAUCAUUGUCAUUAGUUAAUUAUCAUUAUUAUUUAUCACAACUAUCAAUCAUUAUCAUCAAUUACCGCCGUGAAAUAUAUAAUGGCACCAACACUAGCUAUUAGCAACACCAUCCUCUAUUAACGCCUACCACCAAUAUCGACAAUCAUGAUUAUUAUCAAUUAUCAUAUUUUUUUAAAAAAAUAUAUAGAUUAAUUCAGUAUAUUAUUAAAUUUUAUAUUCAUAAACGUAAUUAAGUUGGUUUUAUAGCUUAACUUUAAUUGUGCACCAUUAUUAGUGUUUCUUUGUAGCUCUAAUUCAAAAAAGUUUCUAUUUAAUGGAGCACGUUUAACAUGAAAAAUAUAAAGUUAACCCUAUCAUUUUUUUAAUUAAUAAUUUAAUACCGUACCUUUAUUUAAAAUUGUCACUUUUUCACCCUUUUAACAAGUUAAAUUAAUGUAGAUGUAGACUUUAACAAUUUUUAUUAUUUUUUUAGGGGCUAGAUUCAUUGUUCUUCAAUUUUUUUUGAUUAAAAAAAAAAACUAAAUUAGAAACGACAAAUGACUUUAUUUUUUCUUUUCAAAUUAUAGCUAAUAUAAUGCUACCUUGGUCAAUGACUAUGGUCUAUCAAAGGUGGUGAAAUAAAACUAUGAUAAAUAAAUUCUUGAGUCACAUGGCAUGCUAUUAGAUGUUGAUAUUGACAAUUUUGGAAAAUUGAUAAUUUUUUUUUUUAUAAUUAUACUAAGAGAUUUAUGUUUUGAUAUCGAUCAGGAUUAUUUUGAUAAGAUGAAUAAAAAUUCUUCUAAUUAUAACUACAGACUUUAAAUAUGAAACUAAUUCUAAUAAAAAGUUUUUCCCUUUUUAAUGAAUAUUACUUUGACAAAAAUCAUAAUCAAUCGUUAUGUUAAUGCACUUAGCAAUACAAGGAGGAAAUUCAAACCAAAAACAAUAUAAUAUAAUCUUUAGAAUUGAUUGAAUCAAAUUGGUUCCUUUUUCUUUUUAUAAAUAAUAUUUGCCAACGUAACUUUCUAUCCACCUUGUUGUAAUAGUCUUCAAUUUUACGUGUGACGAAUUCGAUCAAUAAAUACACGGAUGCCAGACUCCAUACGAGAGAGAACAUAUGCUCAACCAAUUUAGUCAUCUUUACAAAUUAUUCUAACAGUAUAAUUUAUCUCCAAUCCAAGCGAUUCCUAAUAUGCAAAAAUUAUCAUAAUCUAGUCAAACAAUUACUUUUAAUCACGUAUACUCUAAGGAUAUAUCUAUCAAAGUCUUGAUGAGGUAUUAUUGAUUUUUGAUAUUCAAACCUCUAAAUCAUACGUAUACAAUUUCUUUAAUUGUAUUUAUCAUAAGUGGCUAUAAGAUUCCCAAAAUGUCAAUGGUAUCAAAUUAAUUAUUAAUCAAUUAAUUUGAUACCAUUGACAUUUUGGGAAUCUUAUAGCUAGUACUUAUUGCAAUUUGCUUUAUAUAUAUAUAUUUAUAUUAUUUGGAUUGUUUAACACUCUAAUUAAGGGGAAGGCAAAAAAUGUCUAGGUUGCUUAAGUUGACUUAUCCCUUAUACAGGAGUUUGUACCGAGAUGCGGAGUUAAUAUUUAAAAUUUAUUGAUUAUGAAUUUUUAUUCCUUUGGAGUUGUAGGAAUGUUCUGAAUAAAUUUUUAUACAUAAUAAAUAAAUUUUUUAAAAUAAAUAUUUUAUUUUGAAUCAAAAUUAUUAAAUUUUAUGUAUUUCUACCCUAUUUGUAAUAUAACAAUAGAAGACUUAGUCAACACACGAGGACAAACUUCAAAUGACUCCAAAAAAUUAUCUUUGUAAUUGAAAUCUAGAAAUUUCAAAGUACGUAGACAAUUACCACCUAUUAUAUUAUUUUUUUCCUCAUUGAAUUUUAGAAUUUAAUUACAUUUUGUAAUGCAUACAUUUUGAAUUUUUUUUGGUCAUUACAUUUUGAAUCUUAUAUAUUUAUUAAAAAUCAUCAAUUAUAGCUCUGUUUUUAGCCUAAGGGUUGAUGGACUUGUGACUUAGGUCACGCGUUUGAGCCAUAUAAUGUAUAAACUAUGUCAGAUAUUAUAUCUGAGAAAAAUAGAAGGACGAGACUAUUAUUACGAAGUUCUAAGGGUACAACCAGUCAUAUAAAUUGACCUCAUAUAGAUUUCUUGGUCAUAGUCUCAUUGAGGAGUUUAAAAGAUUGAGUUUCGUCAAGUUUAAGUGUUUAAUUAUCAAAAUCGUGAUUAAAAAAAUUCAAUUGACAAUCCGAACCAAAUACAUAGACCUCCAAAAUUGUGAAUAGACGAAACACUAAAGGGAAAAUGAUCGCUCAGAUUUUCUAAACAAAAUGACAAAAGAGAUAUCUAAUAUCUAGUAGUGAGAUAACGAUUAUACUGUCUGGGAUCAAUUUAUGUGCAUCUCCGUACUUAAUUUCACGAGAUAUCUGUUACUUUUUAUCAAUAAAUGAAUUGAGUUCUUCUGUCUAUUAAAAUUUAGACAAAUGAACAAAAAUUACUAUACAUUAUAUCGUCAUUAGUAUCUAAACAUAAAAUUUCACGAUUUUCAACUCACUUUAUUAAUCAAUAAACGCGAUAUUUCUUUUUUCUUAAUGGACCACCAGAAGUGGCUGAAAUAAAGAGGAAGGGAACUAGUCAAUGUUAGAGUUAAUUGCUAUGAAUUUUGUAUAUAUAAAAAUGUAAAUGUAUAUUUACGUUAAAAGAAAAUAUAUGUAAUUUCUAGUCAAUGUUAAAUUAAUUAUAAGGAAGUCAACGUUGAAUCGAUUGCAUUUAAUUAAAUUUAAUAUCAACGUCUACUUGUUAAUUAAUGUGUUACAUGACAUCAAUAAACAGUCACCAUAUUUUUUUAAAAAAAGGGUUUCAAGAGAUUCUUUUAUUUUUUUACAUGAUAUUUCGAUCAAUUUAUUUGUAUCUUAAUUAUUUUAAUAAAUACUUUUUAUUAUUUUUCAAUCGAGACUUAAAUAUGAAGAAAUUCUCAUAUAUUUAUUUUUAUCAGAAUUUAAAAUUAAAAUUUCAUAAUUCUUUUAUGGGAAAAUUGUAUAUAAUAACAAACUAAUAACCUAAAAUAAAUGGAAUAACUAGGGUUUGAUUUAAUUGUGCUCCAUAGCAAAGGUUAGCUAAAAUUUGCCAGCGUCUCUCUCCCAAAAAUCUCGCUCGCCACUCUCUAUUCUCGCUCGCCUCUCUCGCUUUAUACACAGAAGUGUAUAAUUCUGUUUCUGUUUUGUAUAAAGCGAGAGAAAAUUGUAUAUACACAUGCAAAAAUAUAUAUCUUCAUGUUAUACACUUAAUUAUGCAAUUUACAAAUAUUUUACUUCAAAUAUUGCAGAGAAAAAAGCCAACGAAUUAUACAAUUGCAGUGAAAUACAAUUUUCUCUAGCUUUAUACAAUAGAAGAGUAUAUAUUGUGUUUCUGUUUUUGUAUAAAGCGAAAGAAAAACAUAUAUGUUCUUGCUAUACACUUAUAAUUAUGAAAUAUACAUAUAUUUUAAUUCGAUUCAACUGUAUGCAAAGCAAAUUAUACAAUUGCAGCGAAAUAGGCAAGUGAAUUAUACAAUUUAAGCCAGCGAAUUAUACAAUUUAGGCCAACGAAUUAUACAAUUGUAUAUGUAUAGCGAAUUAUACAGUUUUAUAUUUGUUAUGGAGCGCAAUUAUGCAAACUUUGCUAUAGCAUACAAAUAUGAAUUUUUUGUUUGCUAUAUGUGAAAGUUGCCCUUCUUUUAUUACUUUAUUAAUCACUAGAUCAUAUAAACGUAAAAGAUGAAAUACUUUAAAUUAAAUAUGAGUAAGUUGAAGUAUGAUUUUGUAUAUUGAACCAAAACUUAGUUCAUUGUAAUUGGUGACAAAACUAACCUAUGAAAACAUGAUAUUUUUUGUUGUCCAAUCCAUUCAAUGAUCUAUUUAUUUAUUGAUCAGUUCUAUUUAACAUGUGCAAUAUAAUCAUUUAAAUUUAUCUCUAAAAGUUCAAUUAAUAUAAUAGCCCAAAUUUAUUCAUAAAAGUUUUUAAAACAAAUGGACGGUUCAAUAAUCAACGUAAGCGUGGACGAGUUGGAAGGGUUGUGAUAAUAUCGUUACCUCUAGGUUAGAAAAGGAUAUAAUAUACGUCACACAUUACCCCCUACCUUUGUGAGAUAGUAGAGGUUAUUUCUGAUAUACGACUCGAAAUUUCACAUUAAUCAAAUUACCUAAACUGAAAUAAACAUUCAAGAAGAUACUUUCAAGAAAUUCCUCUUGUACAUCUCACUGAAUAUUUGAUUUCAAAACCAAUUAUCAGAUAUAAAUAUAUAGUUUUUACAACAUGAUUUGGCCUUUUUUUAACUUAAAACUGUAAACUACAAAAUUGGCUGAGUGAUAUAUAGUUAUCGAAUUUCAUCAUAGUCGUUUACAUGAGCAUAGAGAAUCUAUACCCGAGUUCGAAUCCUCUAAGAGAAUAGACAAAGACUCACUCUUUUCCUUGAAGUUUUUUCUUCUGUUUUCGUCGUUGUUCGCGCAAACCUGUGAAAAGGAAACAGGACAGAGAUGAUAAGAAUUGAGGUUGGAAGAUAAAACGGAAACAGAAGAUGUCGAUGAUAAUGAUCAGAGAGCGGAGAGGGGAAUACGUUUUUUGGUUUCUCUCCUCUUUCUCCUUAACUCGGUUAUAUCUCUCCGUUUUUCAGCCAUAUCCUUCAGAUUCAACUUAGUCUGCGAGUGUAAAAGGGGCAGAGUAGGCAGAGUUUAGGAACAAAGUAGCAUUAACGUCUGUUUUGUUGAGAUAUAGUACGUAUACAAACGACUACUUCUAUAUUACCUCUGGACCAGCACUCCUAAGUGCCUGGAGGGGCUCGACACAAUCCUGACCAAUGACGAUCAUUUUCUUCCUUUUAACAUCUCCGGAAUUAUUUGAAUUUUUCUGUCUAGCUAAUUCCUCCAGCUGGUUCUGAAGGAGAGGUGAAACACCAGCCUGAAAAGAAAAUCAAAUCAUUUUAGACUAACACACGAAGAGAUGCGUGCGUCCUAAAUAAAUGUCAUCGAACCCCCCCAAAGAAAACGAUUGUGUUAUUUAUUACUUGAACCACAUAGCUUAGGAAGAAACAAUAGCUAUAUAAGGAUGGGUUUGGAAGAAAUAGCAGCCAUUCCGAGAAACAUCACAUUACUGUGAGAACUUACCCCAGCCAAGUAGCGUUUUGAGAAUGUUUUGGGUUGCAAUGGCCGUGAAAGAAGACUUUUUAGUUCCUGCAGUUUAAAAAAAGUUAAAUAUUUCAGUAUACAUCAGUCUUAAGACCCUUUGUGGUCCGACGCUUUCUGGACCCUGCACAUUGUAGGAGCUUAGUGCACCAGGCUGCCCUCUUUUUAGAUAUUAAUAUCAGAAAAUUUCAUAAUCAGAAUGACCUCUUGUAGAUUAGUUAGUUGAGCAGAUGUGGCUUUCUUUCGCUUAUGAUUGUUCACUCUUUCCUCCUCACUAUCAUUAUCUUCCAAAUCUAGUUCCAUUAAUUCAGCACUUCGCUCAAGCCAAUUUUUCUUGGCCUUGUCCUGGAAAAAAAAAGGAAACUAACCAUGAACGAAAUGUAUAAACGUGAAUACAAGUUACCGGCGGCAAUAGGAGGAAACAAUAUUCUGGAACUUUAAGAUCAAGUUACUCAGUGGAUACAGAGAAAACAGUUUGCUAAAUAGGUUAUUUUCCUUUAGAUUGUGAAUACCACCCAUCAAAUAGGACAAAUUUGUAUUAGCCGAUCCCCAACUAGCUUGGCGAAGCGUAGUGGUGGAUGUUGCUUAAAGCAAACACCUUCUGAAAACCAAAACCCAAGGGCAGGGCCCAUCAGUGGCUAUUUCCUACUUUGCUCCCUCGGUAACACGAAAUUUCCUUACCAGUUACCACGAAGCUAUUCCUUGUUUUGGGUUAAUGCAGAUAAGUUAGUAAACAUUUUUGCAAGGAACCCAAUAAGGGAGAAGUUUCCAACUACUUCCAGCAGAUUCUUUCUUACUAAAGGAAGAUCAAUUAAGAGUUCUUUUAUACCUAACAUAUACGGUACAAAUCCCAAAAGAAAGAAAAAAUAUCUCACUAAACACUAGCAAAAAUCCUUCUUUUAAGCUCUUUAUGGAAUUUAAAGCAGAAUAGAAUAAGAUUUCUGAAAGGAAAACCACUUAUUGUAUCAUAACCAUGUUAAUUUGUCCCAAAAAAAAAAGAUAAACCAAUAAGGUGGAAGUUUUCAACUUAUUGUGUUAGAUUCUUCUUAGCAAAACAAGAAUCAUCGUAUCUUCACUAUUUUGUAUCCACGGAAAACAUUUACACAUCUUUAUCCCUUCAUUGAUAAUUCAAAACAGUAUACAGCAUUCUUCCUAAAAAAGAAAUUACUAAUUGUCUAGUAACCAAGUUGGUAUGUCCAAAAAUGUGAAGGAAUUCAAUGUUCAAUAAAGUGAGGCUAACAAGAAGUAUAUGGAAAACAAGAUGAAAUCUUUCACUUGUCAAAAGCUACGUUUUUUGAUUCAGCAGACUAUAGUGAAGAACAUUAGCUGCUUAAGAACAAAAGAGGCUUCUGAAGUAUAAAGUAAAUGGCAUUAUCAAGAAAAAUGCAUUUCAAUCAUCAUAGUUAGAUUGGUCAGAGAGACUCAUGACCAUAGCAUAGGAAGAAGCAUUUUAACACUCAGAGAUACGUGGGACCAGAAGAUCACCUGAGAGUCCUUUCGGGAAAUCUUGUCUAUUUGACGUGCAAGGGAUAAUCGCUUCAUAACUUCAGGCAUGUAUGACAUUUCUAAGGGAAACCGCUGGAAGUUAUCCUGGAAAUAGCAACAAUAUCCAUUAGUGCAAAACAUUGCUACUCGAAUAGAGCUUUCACAAAAAAUAAAAAAGAGGGUUAAAUGUAAAGACAAGAGGGAGAAAAAAUAAUGUCUUGAAUGAGUGUCAACCAAGACAAGCAUACAGCUACAAUUGACCAACCGAGAAAGAUAGAAGCAAGAAACUCUACAACAUCAGGAAAGAGAAGCCAGAAGCAGUCUGCUUAGAGGGAAAUAAUGUCACUGCUCCAUCUAAUCAUUUUGUAUAUAAUACGAAAUAAUCACAAAAGUUGAAAAUCUAAAAGGAAGUACUCGUAAGCUAAAAAAUCAAUAUGUAUCGAGUCAACCUCCAAACUGAAUGGUUUUCUCCCUUGCGCUCAUUUACAGAGGAUAUGUAUCUAUAAAAAGAGUAUUUGCUCAUUCCAGUGGCUAUUCGAAGAUUACCUUUGAAAACGACCUGCAUAAAGCAGCAAACUUUGAGGUAUCAUUUGGUGUGAUUAGAGCAAUGCUACAUCCAUCAGAAUGAGCCCUAGCAGUUCUUCCACUUCUAUGAACGUAAACCUGCACAACAAUUUUCAUAGAUUGAAAUUGUGUACGUGGUAACAAGCUACCAAUAAGAAGGCACAUUACGAACUUACUUCAGCUGAAUGAGGUAGCUGAUAGUGAAUGACGGUUCGAACACCAGGAAUAUCCAAACCUCUGGCUGCAACAUCUGUAGCAAUGAGUAUACCAUGCUCAUGUCCCCGAAACCGGUCAAUUGCCUGCAUUGAACAAAAUGGCUAAGAAGAGAAGGCAACAGAAUAUAGAACAUGUUUAGUAGUUCCAUGUUUGUGAGAAGGAAAAGCUCAUUGAUGCGACAAUUGGACAAGAUGGAAUAAAUUGACAUCUUCUGUCUUCUCAAUUAGAGAAUGAAACAAUCUCAUAGCAAGUGGAUAAAAUGUCAAGACUGUAGACAUAGAAAUCCUAACUACUGACUUUUGGCUUAUAGCCAUAAGUUAUAAGCUCAUCUAAACAGGCUCUAAAUAAUUCCAGAACAGAUCAUUGGUGUACCAAUCAAGAGCCACUAGAUUGAACAUCUCCUCCUUUUCUCCGCGAAAGAAUUACUAUAGAAUUUGAAAGUAAAGAAAAUGGAGCAUAACCUAAAAUGGGAAAGAAAUCAUAAAAGUGACCUUAAGUCGAGCUCUCUGUUGCAUCUGGGCAUGAAGUGUCCAGACAUUGACGCCAAGGAUGCGCAAGAGGGAGGAGAUAUGGCGUAAAGCUGCAAUGGACGUACAGAAGACAAUUGUCCGACCUUGUCCAUGAACACUCAAAAUGUAAUACAAAUACCCAUCUUUAUCUUCAUCCCUGCAGCUGCGACCCAACAAUGGAAUGAUCAGUUUCACACCAGGGUAGCAUGCAUGGUGAAAACGAGUACAUAUUUACAGCAGCAGAAAUAUGUAUGAAGCUUCAGUUUAAUAUAAACUAUAGCAAUUUAAAGGAAAGGUAUCUCAGACGAAAUAUAUACAAAAUUUGCAAACUCUAGGCAAAGAUUAAACUUCACAAGCACAUAAGCACAAAUUAUAUUGGAAACAUGUAUAUAGAAAGAUGAGGUGAUGUUAGGCCAAUGGCGAUAAAGUUGGCACAAAUCAUUCUCAAAAGAAAAAACAAGAAAUACCAACUUACUCUAUAAACGACUCCUCGAGCUUGUUGGCUAGAAUUGAUGCAUUAGUCAGAUCAAUGAUUGCCGCAUCUGCCCUCAUUCCUGCUCUCUCAGACAGAGUUUCUAUUGAAUUCAACUCAUCGUUUGCUUUUGAUUUUUGUGAUCCACGCUUUAGCUUCUUCCUGAAAUCGGCAGACAAAGCAAUGGUUGCAGAAAACACAAAUGUUUGCCUUUUCUUUCUUUGGACACUGGAAACUGUUUCACAAUUUUGUGAUUUCUGAGAAUCGUCAUCAGUCGAUUUAUUAGCCAUAGGAAGCAUGUCAACUAUAGACUGCAACUCGUGGAAAUGGCCAUUUUCUAUCAUCCGAUCGGCCUCAUCCAGCACAAAAAAUGACAGUGAGUGCAACUGCAGAAGCAAAAAAGAAACUAAUAUCAUCCACUCUAUAGAACGGAUAGAAACAUGGGAAUGCAUGUUUCAACCUACUAUAACAAAUGUGGAAUAACUGAAAAGGACCAUUCAGAUUAUCAGGUGUCAUGAGAAGCGACAACCAAUAAUUGAUGGACAGCUAGUCUUAAGCAUCACAAUCCGUAGUUUGAAGUUAUUCACAAUUGAGUUGCAAUUAUUAAGCAAAAACCAGGUAACAGACACCCCCAGUGAACAAUCUUACUAGGACUCGCAUUCUACGUUAGAGUAAACCUUCAACCAGUUGAAACAGAGGAUUUUGAGGGGUACACUAACAUAAAUAAUUUUAUAUCAUGAAAAGAACAGUUCAUACAAAAAUCUAUUUCAUAGAUUAAGAGGCAGAAUCAACUCUCUCUAUCUUUUGCCAGCUUAGCCAAAAGAUCGUUGUCUUUUUUCCUUUCUCCCUCCUUUUUCUUUUAGGCUGGAAGAAGGGAGACAUAUGAAGAGUCACCUUGUGAAACAAUCCUAUCACGUGUCAUAAAUUGCCACUAACCUCCACGAGAUGAGUUUCACCACCAGACAUAAGCUCCCAAAGCCUCCCCGGAGUUCCGACAACAAUUUCAGGCCUUGUUUUCAAAAGUCUUUCUUGUUUUUCACUUGACAUUCCACCAACAAUAGGGACAACCCUAAAAUUUGAAUGUUUUGCUGCUUCCUUCAGAUGAUCAGUGACCUGGAGAGAAGAAAUAAUUAGAAAUUAAAAAAAAAUAAAAUGAUGAGCAAGAAACUGCAAAUGAGAAGCCCCUCACAAUGUGCAAUCAAAAUGAGUUGCAGUAAACUAACCCAGCACCAUAGCCAAGUCUACAGAUAUAAAUAGCACUGGCCGGGCAAAAAUAUCGAAUAACAAAAGGAAAAUCCAACUAGGUUAACAAGAACUGCAGUGCAAAUAAAACAUGAAGUCCACAUUCCAUUCUGAAGGACUUAAACAGGAUAGUAGCAGCAAAUAGGAACACCCAAACUUGACAUAAUAAACCAUAAGUUAAGCAUAUAUUCUUUUCCUCUUUUUUCUGUUUUUUCCCUAGUGUUGGUUGGAUAAGGGGGACUACAGGAAAUAAUAUCCUGAACUUGAUGCAACACAUAGUAAGCCUCAGCAUCAAUAAAUUUUAGUUACUGUGACAUUAUCACCUUCAUCUUGAUCGAAAGAGAUUCCUGGGUGAUUACUUAGCAAUGCUUGGCGCCAACGGCGUGAAACCCAGAAGGAAAAACUUGUCAAACUGCUGUUUUUCUACUACUAUACAUAUUUUGAACAAGCAUUUGGGGCCAGAGACAUGCAUACAUAUAUUUUUAUUUUUUUAUGAAGCGACGUACAAAUAUAAAUGUGUGUGUGUGUGUGUGAUGUCAAGAUAUCAGCUUAUUAUUUUGAAAUAAUAUACGAAAACAGUUGUAACAUGAGAAUUAUCACCUGAAGGGCAAGCUCUCUUGUAGGAGUAAUAAUUAGAGCGCGGAGGAGACCUGCGGAGGCAACUUUAUCAUCCAAUUCUCCAUUUUCUGGAAGCUGCCUUUCGGCCUUUUCUCGCUCCUCAAGCAGACGUUGAAGAAUGGGCAGACCAAAUGCCAGUGUUUUCCCAGAACCUGUCUCUGCAGCACCCACAACAUCCUGGCACACAAAACAACCAGCAUAAAUAUCAUGGUAUAUGACAUCAUCUCCAGUGAGAUACCUUGAUUUUUAUCACAUAACCAACCUUUCCUUGGUGAGAACCUGCAGGAAUGCACGCUUGUUGUAUUGGUGUAGGUUCUUUGAACUUGAGCGCGUAUAUCGAUUUCAUGAGCAGUGGAUGAAGUCUCAGUUCAUUCCAUGCAUAAUAUUCAGUUUCAUCUACUGAAUCUUGUUCUUGGUCAUCAUUUCCAUCAGUGACUGUUCGAGUCAGAUUUCAAAACGAGAAUUAAUACCAAAUCAUAAGAGAAGUCUUCAACGUGAGAUCAUGUUGCAAUGAUAAAACCAAUGGACGAGAUCCUAGUCAGUCGUUCAGAAAGAGUAAUUAAGGACUCUAUUGACUGCAACAUUAACUCACACCAGUUUCUUUUCCAAAUAAACAUAUUAGUCUACUCCAAAUUCGUGCAAGUUAACAUUGUCUAUAUAUAAAAACAGUUAAACGGAAGUAGGUCAAAAGCUUUCUAGUGAGCACCACUCGCAGCAAUAGAAUAUUUAGAAGAACUUGUAGGAAUAGCAAGUAUAUGAAAGUAUGCCUACUGUUUUUCUUUUUUCUUUUAUAUUUAUAACAAUUAGAAACCUGAUGAAUGGCCAAUAAAUUGAGGGAAAGAAUCACAUAUCCUUCUGGUCUAACUCCUUGCAUUUACCUUGCAUUCUUCCAACAUUCAAGCAGAGGUAAAAUUUCUAUUUUAUUACUGGAACUGAAUUCAACUGACACAAUAUAUAUCACUUACAAAGCCAUUUCAAGAACCCAAAACACAGAACAUAGCUUAGUGAAACAAUAGGUCAAGAUAUUAAAGAAUUGACAUCCAGUAAAUACCUAACUAACAAUAAAAUUGUUGAAAGAUUCGCCAAUGUGAUUAAAGGUUGUUACCCAUAGACAUUCACUUGAAAUUGACCGACUGAUACCAGAAUUUCAGGAAUUAUGAAAACAUCCAGAGACUCAAUGAAAGAACAAGUUAGCAUUAUACUAAACUUAAAAAUUGAGAAGCCUUUACAAAAAGGAAAAUAUCAGAUUUUAAUGCAACACUAACCAGCUGGCGGCUCUUCAUUUCCUUCAGCUUCAUUUACAGCAUCUUUAUUGAUCUUAUCUUUCUUCUUCUUCUUCAUCUUCUUUUUCUUCUUUUGUUUCGUUUCCUUUUCCACCUCUUCAAUCUCCUCUUUGCUCUCACCCUUAGCUUCACCAUUCAAUUCCUCAUUUUUUGUAUCUACUUUCUGUUUCUUCGGUUUUGUCUUCCCCUUUUCUUCACUUCCACCAGAUGAUUUGGCAAUACCCAAAUUGUACUCUGAUUCAUCGAUCUCUUCAAGACAUAAAAAACCUACACUCAAAACACCCAAACCUGUGUCAGUCCUUGGAACCCAAAAUUAUUUGUGCUCAACAAUCCAAAUCAACAAACACAUAUGUUUUAACUAACAACAGGGGAAAAAAUCAACAGAAUACAAGAAAGCUUAACGACUAAUGCAAAAAUACUCCGACAGCUAUUGUUACGUUAAUGUUUGCAAUCUCCUAGGAUGUGCAAUUUCUUAAAUUCGCAACAUAACCACUCGAAAAAAGUUGUUCUUUAAAAAAUAAUUUCCAACAGAUAUAAGGCCAAAAACAUGGAUCAUUUCUGCCAAGAGAAUACAACAGCAAUGACAACAGCAAUAAUAACUACACCACAACCCCAAGCUAGCUGACGUUGGCAUAUGAAUCCUCAAUAUAAAAAAUGUUCUGUUUUGGUCCAUAAUAUAGGCUAACUAUUCCAUCUUUCACGAAAUGCUAGAUUUUUUAUUUGACAAUAAGAGUAUACAUACUGAAAAUUUCAACUGUGAGCUUUCUGUAAACUCUCUAAAAUUUCAGCAGAUCCUAAAAGAGGUUAAUGUAAAAAGGGAGAAACAAAGUGGCUUUCUUCGAACUCCUUGAAUCCAAUUUUUUUUUUUGAAACUGUAACAUAUUCCUUGAAUCCAAUUUGAACUAAAUUAUUUAUCUUCCCCAAGAGACAAUAAGCCAAAAAUCCACUCUUUAUAUUGUUGCUAAACCUGCAAGUUUAUACAAAAACAAUCUCUACCCAAUUGUGGGGUUUCUCAAAAACUAUUGGAAAAGAACAAAAUAACUGAUUCAAUGCAAAAGGUCAGAAAAAUAAACCUCCUUCAAGCUCGUUGAAUCCAAUCUGAUCUAAAUUAUUCAUCUUCCCAAGAGACAAUAAGCUAAAAAUUCAAUCUUUAUACACUAUCAAUCCCUCUCCAAUAAUGGGGUUUCUAAAAUACUAAUAGAAAAUAACAAUACAGCUGAUUAAAUGCAAAAGGGCAGAAAAAUAAACCUCCUUCGAACUCAUUGAAGCAAACCUGGUCUAAAUUAUUCAUCCUCCCCAAGAGACAAUAAGCUAAAGAUCCAAUCUUUAUACAAUAACAAUCCCUAUCCAAUUAUGGGGCUACUCAAAGACUAUCAAAUAGAAACAAUACAGCUGAUUCAAUGCAAAAAGGCAGAAAAAUAAACCUCCUUCGAACUAAUUGAAGCUAAUCCGGUCUAAAUUAUUCAUCUUCCCCAAGAGAUAAUAAGCUAAAAAUCCAAUAUUUAUACAAUAACAAUCUCUAUCCAAUUAAGGGGCUUCUCUAGAGUUAUCACAAAAGAACAAUACAGAUGAUUCAAUGCAGAAGGGCAGAAAAACAAACCUCCUUAUAGCUCAUUGAAGCCGAUUUGGUCUAAAUUAGUUAUCUUCUCCUAGAGACAAUUAGCUAAAAAUAACAAUCCCUAUCCAAUUUGGGGUUACUUAAAAACUAUCAAAAAGGAACAAUACAGCUGAUUCAAUGCAAAAGGCAGAAAAUAAACCUCCUCAUAGCUCAUUAAAGCCAAUCUGGUCUAAAUCACUUAUCUUCCCCUAUAGACAAUAAACUAAAAGUUCAAUCUUUAUACAAUAACAAUCCAUAUCCAAUCAUGGGGUUACUCAAAAACCAUCAGAAAACAACAAUACAGCUGAAUCAAUGCAAAAAGACAGGAAAAAAAAGAAACCUCCUUCAAGCUCAUUCGAGCCAAUAAGGAAAGAGAAGGCAUCAUCUUUCUCUGUAAGUGUUGGAUUCCAAUUAAGUGAGUUGAUUCGCUCAAAUUCUUCUGAUUCAACUCUGCUUCGUUUCUUUGUUUUCUUUGUUCUCUUUUUAUCUGAAAUUUGAGAAGCCAUUGCUACACAGAGCUCAAACACAGGGUUUAGCAACAAGCAUUUAGGGCUUUACCCUUUUUCGAUUUAUAUUACUUUUCGUAAAUUACAAAUACAUCCACACUAGUUUUUGAUAGUUACACAUACAUCUCCUUUAGUUUUCGGAAUGUGAAACUUUUUGGUAUAAUAUAUAAACGUGUCAUUUGAUUUGGUCUCGAUACGCAUUCAUGUUAUCUCGCUUUAGAAAUAUACAAUUAAACACUUAAACUUGUAUAAAAUCGAAUAUGUAGAUACACCAAUAUUGUAUCUGCUUAUUUAACUUAUACGAAUUAAAAUGUCUGUUCCUGCAGACCUAAAAUUGAUGGACAUAUAUAUUAACGAAAAUUCAAUUAAAAAAUAUAUUAUAUAUUACGCCAAAUAAAAGAAAUUGUUAUACCUGAUAAAAAUAACAAUGCACCUUAAAAUUUACUAAAAAAUGGAUAAAAUGAUCAUAGAUUUAUAAUUAUCAUCAAAGUAUAUGCUAAUUAAUUUAAACACUUUUAGUCUUUUAAAUUGGCCUUGUACAAAAAUUUAAGAAUUCUUUCUACUAAUCGUUUAUAAGAAAUGUGAAAGAAAAAUUUCUAAUAUUGUUGAUCUAUUUUUUGGUGUCUAAUAUAUUUCCUUUUUUAAUAAAAUAAAUUUGUAACAUGAAAAAAAAGAAAUUAAGAGAGAAUUAAUUGGUGAAAUUAGAACUAAAGGAAAUUAAAAAAAUCAACGAACUGAAUUAUUAAGUUUCUUUUUUAAAGUCUAGCACAAAUUUUAUAUGCAAUUUUUAGAAUUUAACAAACUCUUUCUUAAUAUUUUCGAUUAAAUCUUCAUUUUUACAAUUUUCAUCAAAAUUUAAGAUAUAAAAUUUAUUACUCAAAGAAGAUCAUAAAAUGUUUAGUUUUUAACAAACAAAGGAUCCAAAUUUACUUCCAAACCAACAUGAGUCAUAGUAAGUAUAUAUUAAUCUUUAAUAAGAGAUUUUGUAUAUAUAUUUUUUUGGAUAUCGAGUUAUUUUUAUUAAAGUGUUUAAAAUAUUCAAUGUAGAACUAACGCAAAAUGAGAAAUAAAAAACGCUACUUCCAAACAUAAACUGUCAUUUUUAUCAUUUUCUCUUUUAUUCACCAAAAAUCAUAAGAAAACAGUUUCGAAAAUAAUCUAUAAGAAGUUACAAAAUAAAAUCAUGUACAAUAAAUUUAUAUGAUAGAAAUCUUUCUUCGAACCCUAUACUUAGCGGGAGCUUUAUCGCAUCUUUGUCAUCUUCUCCAACAAACCAAAUCUUUAAAAAAAAUCCCUUUUUUUUUCUCUUUCCACUGAUCAGUGCCACUUGUUUUUCUUUGCUAAAAUCACACAGCCCAUUGAAACCUCUCACCAUUCAUUAUCUGCAGAAUAAAUAAAUGCAUCUUCUUCUGUCAAAAGCUUCCCUUUUUUUCAAUCCAAGAGUUAUUUUUUCUUCUUCAACAACAAUGGCUACAUCUACUUCAAUUUCUGUUUCUUCAAAACCCCGUUUAAAGGGUAUUGUAUUUGACAUGGACGGAACCCUAACGGUCCCUGUUAUUGAUUUUCAGGCCAUGUACAGGGCUGUUCUGGGUCAUGAUGAAUACCUUGCUGUUAAAUCUAAGAACCCUUCUGGGAUUGAUAUUUUGCACCACAUUGAAAGUUGGAGCCCUGAUAAGCAACGUAGGGCAUAUGAGGUUAUUGCUGAUUAUGAAAAACAGGGUCUUGAUCGACUCCAGAUUAUGCCUGGUGAGGUUUUUUGUGUUUGGGGGUAAAAAUUGAGUCUUUUUUUUUUUAGUUUGUGGGUGUUUUUGACAUUUUGAUUUUGGUUUCAGGUGCUGCUGAACUUUGUAGUUUUCUUGAUUCUAGGAAUAUUAGGUAAGACUGACUUAUGGAAUGUAGAUUUUUGUCAUUAGUUUUUAGUAAGUUACAGAGUUUGGUAUCUCAAGCAUUUCUAAAGGUUAUUUGAGCAUCUCUAUUAGUUGCUAUGUCUCCUUUACUGUAUUUUCGAACUGCUUUGAUAUGCAUUACUUGAGUUGAGGGUCUUUCGGGAGCAGUCUCUCUACCUCGUCGAGGUAAGGGCACUUUGUCGUCCUUAGUCCUCACAUGUGCGAUUACAUUGAGUAUGUUGUUGUUGGACUCAAAUAGAUCCAAAAGAUAUGGAGGAUUCAUAUAGCUGAACUCAAGUACUUAAUUCAUUGCUCUUUUGUUUUCAUGUGGAGGGGGUAAUGGUAUAUAGUUGGGGAAUGGAAAGGGAGAGUUGGGGUGAGAAUUAAGCUUGUAGCUUAAGGAUGGAAAGGAAGCUCCCACUUAAAUUUUAUUUACGAUGUAAUGUUUCUUGUGAGCUAUGUGAGCUUUUCUCUUUGUUCAGUUCCACGAUGACCAGUUUGAGCAUUUUCCUACAUCAAAGUAGUUAUGGUUCCUGUCUGUCUCUCUCUUGACUUUGCCAUCUGUUUUAUAGUGUCCAUUUCAUGGCCUAAGAUCUAAUGUGCCUAAUCUUUCUUUAUCAAUCCUUAACUUUGCUUAUUCUUUGAAAAGUUUCCAUCUUGAGGUGUGGUUGAGAGUUAAAUUGCUUCAUGCGAUGAGGACACAGGGUAUGCAGAUCGGCCAGUUCUUUUAAACCAAGAAAUCCAGUGUUCUCAAAUCUCAACACCAACUGGAAGAUCAUGGACCUGCUUCUCUACCCAUUUCUACUCAAAUACGAGACCUCGUUCACUAGUCUGGAUGUACGGUUACUGCACAUUCCUCUUUGUACUACCUUCGGCUUCGCUAGUGAACCAAAGCCCUGAUAUGCAAAUUGGCCAGAUAUUUUUUCCAUUCUUUUGAGUACUUACUACAAUAUAAUUCCCUGGCAAUUUCUUGACAUUCCUCUCAUGUGUAAAACUUUUCUCUCAAUUUAGUGGUCUUUUACUAUUAGACUUCUGUUUUGUACUGUCUAAGGAUGUAUCACUUACUGUUUUACUCCUUUUUGACUGUCAUGAGGAUGUAUCCAAAUUAUAUUCAAAUUGGUGUUGGAAAACUUCUCAAACUUAACUCUCUUGCGACAAAAUUGUAUACUUGUGAGUUAAAUUUGCUUAUAUCUGUUAGAGGCAUCUUACGUUAUUUCAUGCCCUUCCACCUUCAAUCUCAUUAUUUUAUGCCCUUCACUGCGGAUGGAUUCCCUUGGACCACACUUCUGAUUCAAUGAGAGAGAUGACAUAUUUAAGGAAAUGCUUCACAUUUAUGUGUUUGUGGUACUGGACAGAUUUGAUAAAUGCUUCCCUCUUGUUAAGAAAUACUGAUAUUGACUAAAUGUAAAAGAAGAAGAAGGUUGUUAUUUCAUGUUUCUGGCUCUUCGUAAGAGAAUAAUUUAAUUGUUUUGUGAAUUCUAUUACAGAAGGGGAUUAAUCACUAGAAAUGUCAAAGAUGCAGUUGACUUGUUUCAUGAACGCUUUGGAGUAAGUAUUUUUCCUUUCAGUUAAAUAUAUGAAACAAUUAUUUUGGCAUGAAUUAUAUGUUGAUAUUGUAUGCUGAAGUAAGUGAACAGGGGUAAUUGGACUUUCCAAAAAUAAAAGCCCAUCCUAGUUCUAUAUAGGGAUGAAACAAGAAUCAUCACUGCAUAGGAGAAGGAAGAAUAUAUCUUCUUUCUUAUGCUUAAGUUUCUUUAGUUUGUGAAGUAAAGACAAAUAGGAAAACCGAAUGGAUAUUCAAUAUUAAAAUAAAUCUUCUCCACUCAUUACCAGUCAGAGGAUCACGAGCUGCUAAAGGUCGUGAUGGCCUAAGAUAUUUGCGCAAAUAGUGUGGUGGAGAAUCUAUACUUUUGUUAUAGUCAAAUAGAGAAGGGUAGCUCAACUAGAGGAUGUAUGGUUUCCAUCACUAGUAUGUUGCUCUAAGCUCCAUUGUCAUUUAGGGGAAGAAGGUAUAGACAGUUCUGAGCUUAUGAGAAGCAGAUAACAUGCUCAAUUCAUCUCUUUACAGGAUCCGCCUUGUGGCUGAACAAGGAUUUAAAAGAUAAUCUAAGACGCUUUUGUAACAUUAUGUAGAAUUUCAUGUAGCUGACACAUGUAACACGGCCUCUUUCUGCUUUGUUAGCAAAAUUAAAGGAAAGAUAAGACUAAAUCUGUAAAUGAUAUUUAAAAGAAAAAUAAGAGACUUUUUUCAUGAAAAGAAACAUGCAAACCUAGUAAUAAGCAGAGAUAUGGGUGAAGUUGCAGUGAAUUCAUCUUCUCACUAAAAGUGAGAAAAAAUCCCUGAGAGAUUAAAUUUUCUUGAUCUUCUAUCUACUUGGGUCCCGCUGUAGGUAGCUCACAAGUUAUAAAACCAAUGCAAAAUCGUUCUGAAUAGUCACAAGGAACUGUUCACUCCAGCUCUUAAAUCCAAUUGUUUGCUUGCUUUUUAGUAGUUUGCAACUGCAAAACUUUCUAGGAUGCUCAUGCAUUUCUUUUGAGAUAACACUUCUUUCAGCAUUUAGGUAGCCAGCCAUGUACUUUCUAAGAUAUUGUUAUAGUUGGUUGAUUCAACUGAGCUUAAUGUGGCUGGUCAACCUCAACUUCAGUUCUGUGUCUGAGUAGAUAAUUACUGUGCCGUGUGAAAUCCUGACAAAUAAUAGGAAGCAUUGCGCGCCAGUUAUCAGUGCCAGUAUGGAUGUGCUCAAAGAAGGGUCCACUCAUGAAUGAUAUUGUAGAGUAGUUUGCAUUCUGGAUAAGAAUUUUGGAAAGAAAACACCCUAUGCGCAAAAAUUGCACUAAUUCAAAGGUAAAAAAAGAGUGGAAAUAAUGCUGAAACAGUGCCGAGCCUGCAAUACCUAGGCUUUAAUACUUCAAUAAAUUUGUCCCCCCCCCCCCCGAUUUAUGUGUGGUAUUUUUGCUCAUCUUUUUGUAUUCAGAAGUAGGCCCCCAUGGCUUUGGUCUAGUGGUAUGAAUGCAAAAUGUGAUUAUAUGAUGUCAUGUGUGGGUGCACGUGACAAGUUUGAACUAACCCCAAACAAAAGAUCGGUAUUUAAAUGGAUAAGGGUAGAGAGUUAGGCACAUUAUCCACUGAGUUUCAAACUGUGUGCCACUGGCAGUCGAGGAUUUCUCGUUUAUAAAAAAAAUCAGAAGAAUCUAAAAAGGACAAGCCUCCUAAUCUUUUCUGUUUUCCAUCUGCGCAGGCACUAUCUGCAGUUAUUGAAUCUCAUUAUUUGGAAAUUAAAGAUGGUGUUUGGAUUGGGAAACAGUUUAGGGAGAAUAGUCUUUUGGUUAGGUUUCCAGAGAACAGUUUUCUGAAGUGAACAUAUCCAAGAGGAGGAAAUCUAAUAUGCAUAGUAGUGUCUGAGUCCAAGAAUGAGUGGACAAACUUCCCUUUCCCAUCCUAUUAUUUAGUAUCUUUCAGAAUGAAAGAAUAAGAGGUCAUUUGCUUUAAUUUUCUGGCCCCUUAGAAUCUUGAAUUCUAACUUCUAGAAAAAAAGGUAGCUUGAAAUUUGAGUGGAUUCUCCAGGUGUCUAAGGAAGCUUGAUCUCUGAGUGGAGUCUCCAGGUGUUCCACUUAUGGUUAAUCGCCUGAGAAAAGAAAUCUCUCCAUUUCUGCUAUAAUAUACCUCUCACCUCAGCUCAAGCUGUACGUUUAGUUCAAUAGUCUUUAUUACGUAUACCAUAUAAAGCUCAAGUAUAGAAUCUCUUUUUGAUACAGGUGAAAUUUUCUCCUGCACUGAGCAGAGAAUAUCGUCCAUACAAACCAGAUCCAGCUCCAUUGCUGCACAUUUGUUCAACUUGGGAAGUUCAAUCUAAUGAAGUAAUGAUGAUUGGCGACAGCCUUAAAGAUGAUGUGAGUUUCCUCUCAAGCUGACCGCCUUCUUCUCUUUCACGUCCACUCUUUGCAAUAGGUGACUCAAUGCAUCGCUGUGAAAGAUGUGACAUUUUCCUUCGACUAAGUUCUUAACUAAUUCAUAUAGGUAGUAAUUGUGCUUGGCAUAUGAUACUCAAAGCAAUUUUCUGCUCGAUCUAACUUUUGCUUGAUCGUUAGCAGUUCUUAGCAUACGAGCUUUGGCUCCCACCUCUAAGUUGUUAGUUUUAUGAUUUCUUGAGCCUUGUGAACUCUUUUUUUCGUUCAUGCAUGUCAGUCGUCAUGCCAUUUAGGAAGUCAUGGUAAAAUUCUAAGAUAUGUGUUGUUACUUACUUCCAAUGAAUAUUUUUCGAGUUUGAUAUACAGGUUGCUUGUGGCAAACGAGCUGGAGCUUUUACUUGCUUGCUCGACGAAAGAGGAAGGUAUGAUGCCCCAGAAUAUGCAAACGUUCAACACAAACCAGACUAUAAGGUGUCUUCUCUUGUUGAGGUUCAGUCACUACUAGAAAGAGAUUUCGAGCUGACAUCUUGAUUUUUGCAAAUCUUUGGAACCCCUCCUGGCCUGGCUGAGCAACGAGACAUGGUUUACCCUCGUAAGCCUCCACGUAGCAUUCCUGCAUACACGUUUCUUUUGGUUUCUGCAAGAUCAUAGGAAUUAGAUUGCAGCUUUGCUCAAGUGAGAUGAUCAUAAUUCAUUUUUCAAGCCAGAAAUGGGGAAUAUGAGUUGUUUUUGUUCACUCUUGGUGGUGAAACUGGUGAUUUACAGAGACUUUGUAUCGAUUUAGCCUGGUUCGUUGUGGGUGACAUAGUCACGAGACCAUGACUGUGUUUUCGUAUGAAGUGUUCUUGUCAUCUCUUUGCUCGUAAUGGAAGCUCUAGCUCAGCUCUUCCACGCGAAUAGUAGCUAAGAUUUCUUAGAAAUAAUUGUACUUGUUAGUGCAAUGAUUUUCACAAGCUAGUCUCAGUUUUUGUUCUCUUUUUUUGGUAUCUCGAGACGACUCACAACCUCUGUCACAUCCUCUGUCCUUUGUCAUGUAUGCAACUUUUUUAUUUUUCAUUUCCUUUUGUAUUCCAACAUAGUAGAUCAAAUUGCAUAGUUCAUAUGUAUAUAUUGGUGGAUGAACAUUAGCAAGUAUUGUUAAAUGCUCCUCUUUUCACAACAAUACGAUAGUUCAAGUAUGAGAAACUACGAGAAUAAUUCUAAGACUAUUGAUUAGAAAGGACAUGACGAAAAAUGUGGCGUUUCAAACUACAAUCAAGCUUAUCUGACUAGAAAAUGAGACGACGCUUCAUUCAUGAUCUGUUUAUCUAAAGUCAUAUCCUCGACAGACUGAAAAUGUAUCGUUGUUAAAACUAUGUACAUAAGCAAUUAAUUAAACGAUAAAUGUAUUUAAUCAGAUAUUACGUAUAUUAUAUUUAUAUGAAUAUUUGAGGGACUAAAUGUGCAAAACCGUUAAAUUCAACUGCUAACAAAAUUCUGUUUAUAUUGGCGCACUUAAUCAGUUCUCUCUUCAAGAAAUCAGUUGAAUGAAACAGAAAAAAACAGAGCAAAAUAAUGACUUUCAGUAUUCACGGUUGCUCCGCCGUAUUCCGCCACCCAUCUGCCACCGCCACCGCCACCAUAGCUGUCUUCUCCGGUGAAGAUUGCAGCAUCAAGAACGAUACUAAUGUCUCUCUGAAGAGAAAAUCUAUUUCACCGAUCUCUUCUCCUUCUGAACCAUCCCCGAAAAGGGACACUCUCAAUUCACCACCAUCCUCCGCCGCCAUUGCUGCUGCUAACAAUGGUACAGACCCAAUUUCACCAAUUACUUCACCAUCCGCUAAAAGGGUUACUCUCAAUUCACCACCACCCUCCACCGCCACUGCCAUUGCCGCCGAUAAGGAUGGUACAAACCCCAUUUCACCAAAAACUUCACCAUCCCCUGCUUUUUCACCCUUCUCCAAAAGGGUGUCUGAAAAAUCACCUUUUGCCACCACCAACGCCGCCGCUGCCACCGCUGCUGAUGCCACGGCGACGCCGCCACCGCUCCCGUUUUCAAGAUUCACGAAAACGCAGCCGUCAAAUAAUAACAAAACUCUGCGGCGAACACUAUCCGAACCGCCAAUUUUCAAUUCUUUUACUGAUUUCUGUCGUUACAUGAAUUCCCAGUCACCGGAAAACAGCAAGAACAAUCCAAUCUCUGUAAAAUCAACUCUUCGUAGAUCAACUUCUGAUCCCACUGCUGCAAAAAUUAUUCUUGCACCGGCACCGGCACCGGCAACUGCAACUCCGGCACUGACUUCAGGAACAGGGCAUGAAAAAACUACAAGAAGAAGCAAGGUAAAAUAAAUAGGUCUUUUUCUUUUCUUUUUACAGUAAGUUUUUAUCGUAUUUUAUCGAAUUUUAAAAAUCUUUAUUACUUUCUCAAAUUUUAUUUCGAAUCAUCAAAUGGUACAUAUACGUUAAGUAUUACACGCUAAUCUUAUUAUAUUUUGAUAAAAUUAUAGAUCACUAGAAAAUCUUUAUUCCGAAAUAAAAUUAUUUUCUGAAUUAAAAUAAAUUAUUACUCAUAUUUUAAUACGAAUGAUAGUAACAAUUUUUAUUUAUUUAAUCUUAUUUUUUCAUUUUUUUUUAAUUAUAGAAGUGUUAAAAAGGUGGAAGCUGCUGAUAAAUUGGCUCUGCAUGAAGAUGGUUCAAGUCCAACAAGAAUUUUUCAUUAAUUUCAUACAAAAUAAUAUUCAUGGAUAUAUUUUACAUGUUAGUUUUAGUGAAAUAUAUUUUCCCUCUUUUUUUCUUUUUUUGUUCUUUUAAUUUGUUAAUAUCAUCUUAUAUGGGUGAUUUAGGAGCAUUUUGAUCAGGGUGUAUAUUGAUUCGAAAAAUAGACGAAUUGAAUUGAUUAAUAAAAAAAUGGAUUACAGACUCGUUUACAUUACUUGGUUCAUAUUAAUUUUACGUUAUUUUUAGAAAUUUAAAAUUUAUUUUUCUUUAGUGUAUCAUCUUAAAUAGUAUUUCUGAAUGAUUUUUGAUGAAUAUCAAGUUUACACGUAGGGAGAUGAUUGAUAUUUUCUUUACUCCUUUCCAUUAUAUAAACAUGUAUAAUAUUUUUAUUAAUAAAAUAUUUUAUUGAUAUAUUAGUGAAAUUAAUUAAUGUUUCAUAAUCAUAAUUAAGAACAUGCCACAUGUAUUAAGUUAGUAGUCAUAUCACAUGUCACAUGUCAAAAGCAUAGCUAACGUUUGAUAUAAAUUAUUUUUAAAAAAAUUCAUUAAUUUAUAAUUAGUUACGAUGAUUCAUCGAUAUAAUUUAUAAUUUUUUUUGAUAUAAUAUUUUUUAUAUUUUAUGUAUAAUUUUAUAUGAUUAUUACAUAUUUCAGGAUUAUAAUAAAAAAGAUGAAUAAUAUUAUUACUCUCGAGAGUUGAUAGAUAGAAUUAUAGUUUGGGAUAUAUAACUCAUAGUUGAUGGAAUUUGUUAUAUAAAAGAUAUAAAUUUGAAGUAUUAAAAUUUUAAAAGCACUUAACAAAGUAUAUAUUUUGGCCUAAAAAUCAAAUUUUUUUGCCAAAUCCUUUUUCCAAAACUUGACAAAAUUUUAUGGCAAAUAAAUUUUGCCAAAUUAUUUUCUAUAAAGUGCUUGCAAUAUCUAUGGUCAAACAAGUUUUUAUUCGGUCUUAAUUUAUGUAGUAUUAUUUGAUUUGAUAUAAAAAGAUAAAUAUAUUUAAAAAAAUUAAUGUAGAAUAAAUUUUAAUAAUUUAUAUGAUUUAUGAAUUAUUUCCUUAAUAGCAAAAGAAAAUUUUACGAGUGAAAAAAAUAUCCACUAAUUACAUGAGAGGUACAUUAUGAAGUUCAUAGCUUUUAAAAGAGUAAAUUUAAUAAACAAAUAAAAAACAUGCCGCCAUAUUUAUAGAAAAAUACGUGCCGUUAUGAAUUAAAAUUGUAUAUAUUUUAAGAAAUAUAUUCUCCAAAUUAGUUUCACUAUUUUGCAUAAAAAAAAAGAAUCAAAUAAGUUUCUCUUUCCUUAUUUCGUGGGAUUUUAUUGGGUAGGUAAUAUGCAAACAUGUUUUUUUUUUCUAAAGUAAUUUAUUAUACAAAUUUUUAAGUAUUUUAAAUUAAUAAUUAUUAUGAUUUAUAGUAUUUUUAUAUGUUUUAUGUAUAGUUAAAUUUCAAAGAUUUUAAUGAUUUUAUGUUCAAAUUUAUAAUCAAAAUCGAGUUACUUGUCUUUAAAAAUUCACAUUAUGCCGCAUAAAUUGAAAUAUAAAAAAUUAUACAUUUUUAAUUUAAUUUUUUUAAUUUUUUCUUACCCGAGAUAUAAAUUAGUUAUAUAUAAUAUUUAAUCUCUUUUAAUUAUACAUAUUACCAUUAAUUGAUCUACAAAUUAGUCUUAACAAGAAGUGCAACUUCAAUUGAUCAUGAUGUACAUAUAAAUAAAAGAAAUUAACGUAUAUUAUAUGAUUUAUUUAUCUCCCUAAUUAAUAUUUAAAAAUAUACAUAAAAAAUUUCAAAUUUUGAAAUCAAAUAUUUAAUAAGAGCAGUAUAUUAGGGGUUAAAAGUGUAUAAAGUUUGUUUCUCUCUUAAACAAUAGUUUUGAGUUCGAGCCUGAUUGAAAACUUUUUUGAAAAUAGAAUUCUACGCGUUAUAAAUUUGAAAUAGUCGAACUUUAACGCGGAUAUCGGAUACGGAAAUCAAGAAAAAAAUAUAGGAAAGGCGCGUGUAGUGCAAACACCCAACGUGGUACGUGAAUGGGACCCUUCAAAUCUCCAUAGAAAAGAACAGAGAAAGCUGCAGUCCAAGGAAUAAGCUGGAACCCUCUUCAAUUUUCUUUAGAAACUAUAUAAUAUAAUCUUUCUUCAACACAAAUUAGGAGAAAAAAUUAUAAUUAAAUUUCUAUAUAUAAACAAAAAAAUUAUGUUUUCUAAUCAUUAUUUUCAUCAUCUUAGAUUUCUCUCUUCUCUACGAUUAUCAUAUUCAGAAAUAUUCAGAAAAUCAUCCCAAAUCAAGAACCAAAAACUUGUUUUUUUCUCUAAUUUGAAGUUUUAUUCAAGAAAAAGAAAGCACCCUUUUGCUUAGAAUCAUGAUAUGUUUAGUAGUUCCUAGUGGCAAUGUUCAAGAUUUCAUAAAAAUCCAAUCUUUAUCAUGUUGUCAGCAUCUUUCCACCAAGAAGAUGGCUUGCUCAGUAGUUUCUAGAGGAAACCCUUUACUACCCAAUGUACAAAAAUUCAGAAAGAUUCAAUCUUUAUCAUGUUGUCAGCAGCAAAAUCCUUCCACCAACAACACCAUUGACAAACAAUGGAAGCCCAAAAGUCAUCUGAUAAAGAUAUUAGAAGACCCUCAAGUUGAGAAAGUUUAUUCUCCUAAGGUCAAGAAAAAAAUGGUUUUUGAGGAGAAGAAUGGGGGUUUAUCUCAGAUGAGGAGUCAAUAUAUGGCAAUUUUGUGUGGGGUUGGGUAUUGGGUACAGGGGUUUAGGUGUUUUCCUUGGUUGGGUCUUAACUUUCAUAUGGCUAAUGGAAUGAAUAUGCAUCCAUCAACAUUGCAACUUGUGCAGUAUUUUGGGAUUUUACCAAUGGUUGCUAAGCCUAUUUUUGGAAUUCUGUCUGAUGCUGUUUAUAUUGGUGCUGCUCAUAGAAUACCUUAUAUUUCUCUUGGAGGUAAUAAUUUUUUACUUCCCCUUUUGUAUUUGGUUUUGUUUGAUUUGCCAUAUCUUUGGAUUUUGCUGCUAUAUUUGUUUCUUUUUGUCAUCUUCUGGAAUUUCAAGAUUUAGCAGUUUACCAUGUCUUUGUGUGUGGUGUUGGUGUUGUUUUGCUUCCUUGUUUUUUUGGUCCUUGUUGCCACUUUGUUUUGAUUCUGGUAUCUUUACCAACAAAGCAAAGAAGUUCCUUGAGUGUAAAGGUGGCUGGAAUAAAGUUAGUCAUCUCUUUUAGUUUCCUUUAACAAUAGGAAAAGUUUCUAUAGAUGAGAAUACUGAUUUAGUAAAAGCAAGUGAUACCCUUCCGAAUGCACUACUUGGAAGUUGAAGGUCAUGAGAUUUUAGACAUUUGAAAGCCUCACUUUGUGGAGAGCAGUGACGGAUCCAAAAUAUAAAGAAGUAAACAUAGUAAGAAGCCAAGGGGGUUCAGUAACUACUAUAUUACGUAAAAUAUAAUUUUGAUCGUGUGUAAUUCUUUUAUGAAAGACGUAGUGUAGCGUAGCUUCACCCCUGGCAGGGAGGACGGCUACAAUGGAUGUAAUUUUGUGUAGCAAGUCAAAAUUUUUAAGUACUAGAACCAUUAAGACAAGUCUAAGUUUGAAGUGCACCUGUUUUUAAUUCCGUUGACUCUCAAUGUUACCGGAAUUCAUGAACACUGAUUAUUUAUAGGUAAGUUUGAGAGUUCACCUAUUGCAAACCAAUAAAGCUUAAGUUUUCGGUAGCUUGAUGAAAAUGAUCCAAUAUGCAUUAAGACUUCCUUAGUUGAAUUACUUCUUUAGCAAAUUCUACUUAUCGAUCUCGUUUUUGCUUAUUAGCUGUGUUUUCCUUUCCUUUUCUUAUUUUUUCUUUUUUUGUGAAGAAGUUGAGGUGGUCGAGGAACUUGUAGUCCUAACUCUCUAUCUGUAUAUAUAAAGGUAUAUAGUAAUGUACAAAGUAGAAUCUCUUUGUAUAAGUAUUGUAGAAGCGCCUAAUAAUGUGCUAUUACAGUUCUCCUCCAGGUUUUGGCGUGGGGUCAAUUGGCAUUAACCUCAGCUGCGAGUGAAGCUCUUCCUGCUCUUAUGGCAUGUGUCCUUCUUAGCAACAUUGGAGCGUCCAUCACAGAAGUUGCCAAAGAUGCUCUUGUGGCUGAAUAUGGUCAAAAAAACAAAAUGCCAGGUCUACAGUCUUAUGCAUUUAUGGCUUCAGCUGCUGGUGGAAUUUUAGGCAACUUGAUCGGAGGAUAUUUCCUACUCAAAACACAGCAGCCUAAGUUAAUGUUUCUAGCCUUUUCUGCUCUGCUUGCUCUGCAAUUAGUAGUAACUUCAGCUACCAGAGAAGAGUCCCUUGGUUUAGCUCAAUCAUCAAAUUAUUCUGUUGUUAGGAAACCAAUCACGAAAAUAUUUAGAAAACAGUAUUCGGAUCUUAUGGUAGCAGCUACAGGCGAAAGCAUUGCUCGUCCUCUUAUAUGGAUUGUUAUGUCAAUUCUAGCAGUCCCGGUCCUCUCCGGAUCUAUCUUUUGUUAUCAGACACAAUACUUAAAUCUUGAUCCAUCAGUUAUAGGGAUGUCAAAGGUGAUAGGCCAAUUGCUGCUUCUUUCUUUGACAGUCUUUUAUGACCGGUACGGCAAAAGGAUUCCAAUGAGAAAACUGAUUGGUAUUGUGCAGAUAACAUAUGCUGCUUCUCUUCUUCUUGACCUUGUACUUGUCAAGCAGCUUAAUCUCAAAUUGGGAAUUUCGAAUGAAUGGUUUGCUCUUUGCUUCUCGGGUCUAGCAGAAACUAUUGCAAUAUUUAAGCUCUUACCAUUCCAUGUGCUGUUUGCAAGUUUGGCUCCAUCAGGGUUUGAAGGAUCUCUCAUGUCUUUCUUGGCAUCAGCUCUGUGUCUUUCAUCAGUAUUUAGUGGUGUUUUAGGUGUUUCCUUGGCUACUUUCCUUGGUUUAACUCCUGGUAACUACUCGAGUCUGCAUAUUGGGAUUCUUAUCCAGUUUGUUGCAGCGUUACUACCACUGAGAUGGCUCAGUUAUGUCCCUAUGGCUCAACCUGCAGCUGAAAAGGGAAAGAAGAGAGGUCAAAGUAAAAGGACGAGAAAAUAUAGAAGGGUAGGGAGAGUCGUCGUUGAUUCGUUCUAUUCUUACAGACGCAAAAGAGAAUCUGAUUUUGAUGAGGAUCCAUUACUGACUAAAUGAUCAUUCUGCUGCUUCAAGAAAUUUGUUCAUGUCCUAGUCCCAAGAGGAAAUGACAACGAGAGUGGACGACUCAUGACCAGUCUCUGGUACUUAGUAGAACUCAUCUAUUGGUUCUUGUCAAGUUACAAUGAUGCAGUUUGUUUCUCGGAUCAUCUCUGAACUUUCAAGAGACGUAUCUUUUACUCGAGCAGAUUGAAGAAGGACGGUGUAGCCUUAUCCCACGUUGUGUAAAACUGUUGAGUUGCGGAGAGGCAAGAGAGAUAGUCUUUUCAAGAUCUCCUCCCCACUGGUAGUUCUCACUGAUCAGAGACUUGUUUCGAGUAGGAUCCCUCGCGCUCUAUUCCUUUUGUAGAUGAUGGCAGCUUCUCAGUUUGUGGGAGGUUUGAGAAAAAUGACAAUCCAGAGCAACUAUCCUGACUUGAGGAGUACUAUUUCUGCAAUGGAAGGUUACCUUUAGUUCCAUAGAGCUUGUCUAAAGGAAAAGAAGCAAACAAAAGUGAGCCAUGAUUUUGAGCUCAAAAAGGUAUUGCAACAUUUGGUGAUUUCUUUUCAUCUGUUAAGCGUUGACAGCAGAGUUACUUGAUAUUUGUGCUGGCGGAAGAUAGUAUGUCCUGAAAUAGUUGAGUUGAGGUGUGCGUAAGUUGGUUGAUAUUUGUGCUGGCGGAAGAUAGUAUGUCCUGAAAUAGUUGAGUUGAGGUGUGCGUAAGUUGGUUGAUAUUUGUGCUGGCGGAAGAUAGUAUGUCCUGAAAUAGUUGAGUUGAGGUGUGCGUAAGUUGGUUCUCGCGAGGAAAGGGUAUGCUUGUAAAGUUACUAACUUUUUAAGUGAAUAAAUUACUUCUACACUUCCCAUUGUGAACACAUUUUCAAAUAUAUCAUUAUAUGCUAAUCUUUAAUACAUUAUACCAAAUAUCAAAAUAAUAAUAACCAUGUGUUACAUUUGAAAGUACUCUCAAAAGUUUUAGAGAUGAAGAUAUUCAUUAUUAUUUUUAUUUUUUAAAAUAUGAAAGUGGUCAAAGAUCACUUAUUUAUUAAAAAAAUUCACUUUGAUAUAGAUAGUUAUUUUUACACUUCCAUUGAAACUUAGAAGUUUGAAUUUUGCAUGACUAGUAACAACAAAUUUUCAAUAUAAACUAAACACUACCAAAACAACACUUACAUAACUAUGCUACAUUUAAUUUAUAUUGUUGAACGCACCAUUAUAAAGUUACGCAUUAUUUUAUUCGAUUUGCAAAAUAAUGUUACACCAAUCGAAGACCGAACAUAUGUAACUUUUAAGAAGUUGAUACAAAUUAAAUGACGAUAUCAAAACAGACUUACCAUCGAGUUUUCACUAUUUUAGGAGUUGUCUCUCAAUGAAAAUACUUAGGCCCACAAAAAGCCCAAAAUUUAGCCCAAUAAAGUUACAAUAUAUAGCUUCUUCCUUCAUACUCUCGGUGAUGGAACACUGAAAUUUUGUUCUAUAUUUUGUUGAAAGAUCUUUCUGAAAUUGCUAAAAUUACUGCUCUCUACUCUCAUUCCUCUAAUUCUCAGUAAGUUUCCAUACCCAUUUUCUUCUUUUUUUUCACUUGGAAAUCCCUGUUGUUAUGAUUCUUUGUUCUUUUUUUUGAAUUUUAGUACUGUUUCUUGAUUUUUUUCUGAUUUUGUUGAUGUUUAAGGGAAAUGUUGAAGAAAAACAUUGAAAUUUUAAUGGGUCUGUUUACUUUUAUCUUGUUUGAAUUCCCCUUUUACUUUUAUCUGGUACUGGUUGCUGGUGGGAGUUAGUAGAAAUAGAGAGGCAUGCAAAAGCUGAAUGGAUAUUGGUUAUAAUAAAAAAAGAAGAAAACUUUGGCUGAAUUUGGUGAUUAUUUUUUAAUAAAAUUAUCUUAGUGGAUUUUUUAACCUUUCGGGAAUAGUUUGUCUACCUCCACGAGCUAGUGAAACACUCUCAACUUUCAUAGACCUCACUUGUGGGAUUUCACUCGAUAUAUUGUUGUUGUUGUUAUCCAAUUCGACCUUUUUUUUGGGUUUGGUAUGCAUUUGUGGGGAGGAGGUACUUUCUUUGGUAUGUUAAGAGUGAAGUUUUACUUGUUAUUGCUUUUGGUUUUGGUUGCAUAAGACUAGAAAGUAUCUGAGGCUGUUAAUUCCAAUGUGAACAAUCCAAGGUGUAGGUGGAGAAAGGCUUAGAAUUUUACAAUCACAAAGCAAAAACUGAAAUGUUGAAUAAGAGCAUGUAUAAGAGUAUCUAAAGAAAAAAAUGUUUUUACGAUAGGUAAUGCCUAUGUUUCUGUUGCAUAACAGUUUCCGCAUUAAUAUUCAAUGCAUGAAUAAACUCUGCAUUAUGUCCCCUCCAUAACUAAUCCGUAAAUCAAACAACCCUUGAAGAUGGAUCCCGGAAGUUCAUUGACCUCCAUUGUGGAGGUUACUGUUUCUCAGCGCAUGAGACUGCUCUUUUGCUUUUCAACAUUUUUUUCCCUAAAAGUUCCGUUCCACCAAUGUGGAGGUGUAGGUAUAAUUUAUUGAUAAAUCAAAGUUUAUGGUGGUAAUAGAUUGUCCUCGUAGAGAGACAACUCUUGAUGAAAGGAAUUUAUCUUCCCUUCUUUCUUGUUCGCGAUAUUUUCUCCCUCUCUGCUCCCUUAUAUUCGUAAUGCUGUCUUCCAUUUACAUCACUGAUUAAAAAGAAUGAUGUUUUCUCCUUACAUAGUUCUCAUACCUCUAAUAAGUACGUAGUCGUACAAGUCGAGUUGAAUAUUUUUCAUCAUCCAAUUCUUCUUGAACUAGGUAGUUGCUUAUACAUUAAUUUCUCAUGUGAUGUUAGAAUGGCAUCCCAAGGAUCAUUAGAGGUGCCUUCAGAGGAGUUUCCUACUAGGAUCAAUUACCGUCCAAAUGGCAAGCCCCGGAUUGUAAUUGAACACUACAUGCCUGAACUGGAAGCUUAUAUGCCAAGAGAUGCUGAACCAAUUGAUUUAAAUGUGCUACGAGAAAUCAAUGAUCGAUUGACAGCUAUGCUAGAAGAUGUGAGAUUGAUGAAGAAACGACUCACACGUAUCAUGAUUUUACAGUUGCUAUGCCUCUUUGUUGCAUUUUCAGGUCUCUUUGUGAAGUUGAUUCGUAAGUAAGUACUGUUACUUUUGUGAGCCAUUUAACCUUCUAUCAGUGCUGCUCAGAAAUAUGUGAUAGGAAAAUGGAGUGUUAAUAGUUCUUUGAAGUUUUGUGCUUUGAGUCUGUACUUUCUACAGCCUUUGUGCCUCAUCAGCUUGUGCUGUUGUAAAUAAGUUCUUGUAAUCAAGUUUUUUGGCUUUUGUUCAUUGAAAAGAAAGAGUUUUGGUCUUCCUAUUUAUCUUCUCAACCCAGUGUGAAUGAUUGAACCAAAUGUAUGCCCAAAGUUUAAUUAGUUGAAGUAAUUAGUAUGUGUAUUUGUUCAAUUUCUUGCCUACUUCAUGUUAAGGUUGCACGCCAUUGUAUGGAUCGCGCUUAUGCUGAAAUUUUUAAUAGUGUAGUUUGAUGGUAUCUCAAAUCUGUCUGAUCAUUCCGAAGAAUUGUUGAACACAAGAAAUUCAAUGAAUGUAUUGAUAGGCUACUUCUCCAUCAUAUUCAGUACAUGAGUGUUUCUCCCUUAAGUUUCAAUAGAUUCCAAUAGUUCAAACUCUCACAAACUUCUGCAAACCUGAGCUCUUUUUGGACUCCAGAGUAUAGAGCCUCUUACUAAGUUGGUCUCUUAGGUCAGCAGCUGCGGCAAGAUAGACGUUUUUCUCUUUGAUUUACUGUAAGAAGACAGGCUUGCACUUCUUUAAGCUUCGUGCAACCUAUACAAGGUGUUGCUCGCUUUCUCUCUGUUACCAGCGGGCUUAUGUGGUGGAUAGCAUCCCCAGAUGCUCCUCCUAGCCACACAUAUGCUCCAAACUUGAAAUCGACUUCUUUUUUUCACCAACAUCAGCUUUUCACUGUCCCGCUCCUUUUCAGACCAGGACUAAGCUGCAUCGUUGUACCUUCAUGCCUCUGCCCUGAUGUACUGAUAAAAAGGUCAUCUUAGGCUGGUGUGUUAACACUUGGCACUAAUUGUUGUUCAGCACUACUUCUGUUUACUUCCAUCAACUCUUCAUGAUUGUAAGCAUAACUACACAGCCUAGUUGGAGUAGGCUGGGAGGGCAGCUCUUGAUUGGUCAUGUUAGCUGCACACAAUAAUAAUACACAUCAGUUCAUCUUGACAAUUGCAUCAUCCUGCUUCGAUAAGAAGACCUCAAGUGCAAUGAUCCUUCCAGGAAGAAAUUGUGUAUUCAAAUUUGCUUUCGAACUGUUGUAACUUGUUCAUUCAUAAACCUUCAGAGUAUCUUCAAAGACAACACCAUUAUCAUCUUGUUUCAUUGCUAAGAUGAGUUGAUCUAGCAUCUCAUAAAUCACAACAGAACAAGGAUGAGACUUGUUAGCAACGUAAAAGCUAUGAGUUUCAGUGUUAACGCUAAUCCAACUACAACCAGGGAACUUCUUCAGCCCUUUAUCUUUCAUCAUAGUUCUCACUUGAGCAACGACAUCCCAUCUCUUUGAAGAAGCAUACAAAUUUGAAAGAGACACAUAAUUGGAGGGGUUCUCGGGUUCCAUCUGUAUAAGAAACCUAUAUGCUAAAUCGUGUACUUCACUAUUUCCAUGGAUUGCAGAGGCAUUCACAAGUGCACCCCAUAUACUAGGACCUGGUUCCAUAGGCAUGGUCUUGAUGAAAUCCAAUCCUCUAUCAAAUUGGCCUGCUUUACCUAACAUAUCCACAAUGCAUGCACAUAUCUCCAAAGUUGGUUCUAAAUCAUACUCAUUUACAGCAGAACUAUAUAUCCGGAUGCCCUCGUCUACCAAUCCUGACCUAGCACAAGCAGAGAGAACCCCAACAAUCGUAAUCCUAUCUGGUCUCAUCCCAUGUUGAAGCAUUUUCUCAUACAAAACGAUAGCACCCUGACCAUUCCCAUGUAAGGAGUAAGCAGAAAUCAUUGAACUCCACGAUAUAGCAUCCUUAGUAACACAAUCAUGUUCAAAGACUCUUCGUGCACAACUCAAGGAUCCCGACUUAGAAUACAUAUCGAUUAGAGCAUUACAUAGAGACACUUCGUGAUUCAACCCUCUCCUAGUUGAAAAUGCAUGAAUCUGUUUUCCACCUUUCAAACGAUCAAAUGAGCAACAAGCAGGUAUGAUACUAAUAAGCGAAACCUUAUUGGGUUCUACACCUUCCACUUGCAUGGCUUUAAAGAGUAGCAAAGCUUCAUCAAAAUCUCCAUUCAGCACAUAGCCAUUGAUCAUUGCUGUCCAAGCAAAAACAUUUCUACACUUUAACCUAUCGAAAACCCGCCUCCCCAAUUCAACCCUGAAACUUUUUGAAUACAUAUCAAUCAAACAACAUUCCAAAUGAACAUCAUAAGAAUCAAAUAAAUCUAACUCCAAUCCAGCUUUCACCACAUAGCAAUGCAGCUCUUUUCCAAAGUUCCAGUUCUUCUUCACCUCUCCACACAACGAAAGAAGCGUCGAAACCGUAAACGCAUCAAACUUCCAACCUUCAUAUAGCAUAUCCUUCACAAAAUCCCACAAUUUUCCAUCCAAAUUUUUCUCUUUUACACCCAUAUACCCUGAAAUUACAACGUUAAAAGACGAAACAUUCCUCUGCGGCAUUUCAUCAAACACCUUCAGUGAAUCUUGAAAAAUCCCACAUUUGCUAUACAUAGCCAUGAAAGAAUUAGCAACAACAGUAUCUAAAACAACCCCAUUUCUCACACACCUCCCAUGAACAACUUCCCCUGAAACAACAUCUCCUAAUUCACCCAAAAUUUUCACUAUACCCGAAAAAGUAAACUCAUCAGGGGUGACUUCAGAUUUACACAUUUGAUUAAAAAGCUUAAUACUUUCCCCAAAUAACUUACUUUUCGCAUACCCAUUAAUCAAUAUGUUCCAAAGAUACUCACUUUUGUGUUCAAAAGUGUCGAAAACAAGCUGAGAAUCAAGUGGGUUUUGGCAAGCAAAGUAUGCAGAGACGAGUUUAGUUGCUAUAACAGAGUUUUGAUCAAGUCCAAGCUGAAGGAUUUUGGCGUGUAUUUUUUGUGUAUCUUUUAGAGAUUGAGAUUCAAUGGAAAACUGAAGCAAAUCAGUGAAAUUAGCAGUUGAAGAAGAAGUGGAAAGACGCUGGGUUUUGGUUGAAAAUUUCAAGAUUCUGAUUGCUGAGAGGAUUAUCAUCACAAAUGAUUAGAAAGGAAAAAGGGUUUAAGAUUUCGAGUUUCACUGAGUUUAAGUAUUCAGUUGACAAAGUCGAGUUGGAAUGAGAAUUUGAGACAAGGUGUCCCGCCUUAGGAUGAUUUUCAGGCGAAAAGAAAGUCAUUGCUCCAUUAUUUUUAUAAAGACACCACUAUAAUCUUUAUCGACAAUAAUCGAGUCGAUCAAUGGAAGAUAUUUCUGAUCGAGUAGUAACCAUUAGUAAUAGAGCAAAAGUAAGGGGACGGACAAAGGAAAGAGUAUAAUUAGAUUUAGGAUAUAUUAGCGACGAAUUUUAGUUAGUAAAUCUCAAAUAAAGUAAAGUUCUUUUUCGCGUCAUACAAAAUAUAGUUUAUUUUAGUAAACAUAAAUUAUUUUUCUUUUAGAGAUAUUCAAUAAAAUUAGAACAAUAUAAAAAAAAUUAAUACGAAUUUUUUUAACGAUAACACACAAAUCAAGUAGAUCCUAAUGUAACAAUUGUUAUUGGAUAAUAUUUUUGAGCAAAAGUUUAUCAAUGCUUUCAUAUACUCAUAUCAAAACAUUAAUCACCAGUACUGGGCUAAUUUUUGCAGCUCAGAUAGCAUAAAGUACAUAAUAUUCUAAUAAAUUACACUACACUACUAAUUAAGAUACCUUAUUAUUAUAAGAGACUUACAAAUUAUUGAACCUUCAUAAGUAAUCCAGAACAAAUUGUAAUUUCUCUCUUGGUUGGAUAAUGAACCUUCUUUGGUUAAUUCCCCAACUAGCAAAAAGUAGUAAACAAAAAGUACAGUUCGAUGCACGAAGUAUCCUGCAUUGAAUGCUAGGUCCAGGAAGAGUGAAUUGCACCCCAUAGGAGGUGUAAUGUAGAUCGUCCACCCUAGCUGAUUCCGUGAAUCGAACAUGUAACUUAUAGAUCACACAGAUACUGACAAAAUUAGGAUUGAAAGAGGGAAAUUAUUUGUAGUGAUUUGCUUGAGGGUUUUAAUAGAAAGUUGGAGUAGUAGCCAUUUGUUGUAGGCAAGGAAUAGUGUUGGUUUUGUUAUUAUAAGUUGUAGUGUUGAUCAUAAAAUGGCCAUAAAAAUCAUCCAAGUUCCAUAGGUCAUCCCACAUAAUAUCUUCAUUCGAUGAAGAGGGUUCGGACUGUGAUAUAGAAGUCGAGUUAUUGAGUGAUGAGUAGAAGAAGUCAGCUUGAUCUUGUUGAUCAAUCAUGUUGUUCGGGUACAAAAUGGUCAUUUCUUGCUUUCCUUGAGGCAUAGUUGGUAAUGACAUCACAUUUUUAAUGUCGAUUUGAUUGUUGAUUUGUUGUUGUUGUUGUUGUUGCUGCUGGAACUGUUGUUUUUUCCAAAGACGUGCUCGUGAUUUCUCAGAGUUAUCAGACGAGUUCUUGGUCUUCUUCUUGAAAUGCGUCCUCCAGUAGUUCUUAAUCUCAUUAUCAGUCCUCCCAGGCAAGCUACGAGCAAUAGUUGACCAUCUAUAUAAAUUUGAAUUUAUUUUUUAUCAAAUAUUAGGUUUAAUUAAGAAGAUGAUCAAUAUAAUUAUAGUAAAGUUAAAAUUUACCUAUUGCCCCAUCUAGAAUGAAGCUCAAGAAUGAUCCUCUCUUCAUGUGGGGUUAUUUGCCCCCUCUUCAAAUCUGGCCUCAAAUAAUUCACCCAUCUCAACCUACAACUUUUUCCAUUUCUCCUCAACCCUACAACAAACCAAUCAAACAUAAGUCAUGAUUUAUGAAAAAAGGAAAACGACUUUCUUCUAGAGAAAUAUUUUUCUUCGUACCAGAUACACAAAAGACUAUAGUAUAUAAUUUCGCGAAUAUAUAUAUAAUUAUUACCUGUAAGUCUAGCAACAGAAUUCCACCUGCCUUCACCAUGCAACUUGACAUAUUCAAUUAGUAAUCUGUCUUCAUCAGAAGUCCAAGGCCCUUUUCUCCAUCCAACUUCUUCAAUAAAACCCCAGUUACUCCCCAUUUGUUCACUAAAUAUUUCACAAACCAUAGUAUAUAAUAAAAGACUUUAAUUUUUUUUUUUUUAUGGUGUAAAAGGGGAAGUGAUAUAUAUUUUUUAGGUAUUAAGCUAUAUGUUGCUUUGUGCUAAAAAUAUUCUGUGACAUAAUCUACAAGUGUUAGUUGGGUAUUUAUAUUUGUAAGACAAAGCUAAGACACUAUUUUAUGUGUCAUUUUCAAAUAAUUUUUUUUUUUUGUUACAAGCUAGAUAUGAUAUGUAUCAUAAUUCAUACCACUUAAAUUGUAAAAUUACCAUAUUGUCCUCAUCUAUUUUGUUUUAUAUAUUUUUUCUUGAAAGUGGAAAAGAAAAAAAGAUCUUAAUGUGUUUAGCCUGAUCGUAAUUAUCGUUCAUAUAUAUUCAGUAUAUAACAAGUGUAUAAUCAAUGCGUAUAUUGAUUAUACAACGGUUAUACUAGCUGAAAUCUGUAAAAAAAAAAAAGGUUUGAUUUAGUUUUUGUUAUGAUAUUUGUCGAGAGACGUUGUUGUAUAGUGUAAAAAUUUCGAAGGAAAAUGAAAACGCAAAUUGAAUCUGCCACUCUUAGCAAUGAAGUAUCUAAAGAUUAUAUUAAAAUAUCAGUUGAAGAAGCUGAACAUCAAAUUAAGUGUACUUUACACGUGUUAUUAUAGUGUCAUGUUUGUCUUGAUUCUCGAUUGAUAAAUAAGAAGGAAAAUAAAAUGAUUUAAUUUUAGAGAUGGUCAAAAGACACCUUUAAAUUCAUAACUAAUAGUUUAUAUAAUUAUGAUAAGGUGAAUAUAUAUAUAUAUAUAUAUAUAUAUAUAUAUAUAUAUAUAUAUAUAUAUAUAUAUAUAUAUAUGUUUUAUUGCCACUAUAUUUUCUACAAAAAUUAAUAUCCAAAAAGGGUAGGAAGGGAAAAAAAAAGCAAAAAAUAAGAUUGCUAAGGGAUUGGGUGACAUGCUCACAUCUUUGAUCAAAUCACAUAACUAUAUUUAAUUAAAUAUUAUAAUCAUAAAAUUAAAAAAAAAGUGAUUCCUCUUAAAAUAAUAAUUAAAAUAAAAAAUAUUAAGUUUCAUAGAGACAAAUGCCACGUAUAGCAUAGGUUAAUGCAUUUGGACAACUUGACACACUCAAAAACACACUUUAAAAGGGAAUUUUUAUGUUUAAAAACUUUAAUUAAUAAAUUAAUUAGGUGGAUAAUUUUUUAAUUAUGAAAACCACUAGCUAGCCUAUAAAAAAGAACCAGGUGUUGGAUUAAUUUACUUCUUAAGGAGAUUGAUAUACGGUAAUCACCAUUAUAUAUUUAAUUAUAAUUUAUUGAAUUCCAUUUUGGGUAUUUGGGGGUCCAUUAAAAUAAUAUUAAUUUUGUAAAAAUAUCACACUAAACAUGUCCUUAAUACGUCAUUAGUGAACAGGUGGUGUUCAAAGUGAUGACUUUAUCCUUUUUUUUUUUUUUUAAAACGAUGAAACUCGUUUGUUAGGUAAAUUAAUCCUCGAUAAGUCGUGUGUGAUAAGUUUGAUUGAAGGUUGAAAGCUUGAAAGUCUCGUUUUAAAGAUUACCUGCUUAACUAACUCAACUAUCUUACAGAUAAAGCAAUUUCGAAUAUAUAAGUUUUUACAAAUUUGAAUUUGUUUAGUUUUUUCUCAAUAUUAAAUAUAAUAUUAAUUUUAGCUUAGAAGGUUAAAAAGUAUAUAUAUUGUAUCCAAUUUUUAUGUUGUUAUAAGAACUAAUAUUUGAUUUGAUGGAUUAUUAUUCCCCUCUAAAAUAUGCUUAUACAAAUAAUAUAUUUAGCUUUUCCACUUAAAAUUGUCCUUGUUAUUAUUUAAAAAGCCAAGUAAUUAGUGGGUAUCUUUAAAAUACUUAAAAAAAUAUUUAGCAAGAUAGUAAUUUAUUAAAUUGGAAACUAUCUUAUAUCAGCAUUCUAUUUUUAUUUUUUUUAAUUAAAAAAGAAUUGUUCUCUUUUCUUUUUCUCUUUUUUCAAAAUUUUAUCUUAAUAUCGUACUUUAAAGCUAUAUUUACUUUUCAAUCGUUGCUAUUUUUAACUUUAAAAAGUCAUGUAUCAUGCUCUUAUUUAAAUAUUAGCGGAAUAUAUAUUUCAAACGCUUUUACGCAACAAAAAAUUAAACUAAAAUCAUAUCAAAAACCACUUUGAAAGAUCCAAUGAAUGAAUUUUAUAAAAAAGAAACAUUAGCAAAAAAAAUAAAGAAAUUUUUUAUAAAAAUUACCAAAAAAAUAGCAAUAAUCCGUGUGAUGUACGGAUGUAAUAAAAAGAGAAAAAAGAUGAGAUCUUUUAAUGGGGAAGUACAUCGCAACUUUACACUAUGCAAAGCAUAUUGUUAUUUUAUUUAAUUAAUCAAUAAUUAGUGGCUAAAUAGUUGUCUAAAAACAAUUAAAAUAGUAAAAGUGGAGACAAUCUUGAAUUAUUGGCCUUUUCAUCUUAUACUAAUCGUCUUUUAUAGUACUUCUUAAUUUCUUAUUUAUUUCGAACGGGAGCCCUGGAGCAACAGUAAAGUUGUCUAUGUGGGAUCUAUAGGUCACUGAUUCGAGUCGUGAAAUCAGAACAAGCUGCUUAUAUACAUCUCAUCUCUCUAGGAAAUACGACCAUUCAUAAAUGCGUAAAUGCUUAGUGCAUCAGACUAUUUUUUUUUUUUAAUUUUCGAUUUAUUUUAAUGAUUUUUCUUUUUUGAAAAUGUUGUCACUUCAAAGUGGAUAUGGAUAAGGAACUUGGAAUUUGAUUAAAGUUUUAAUCACUUUUGUUCUGCUUAAGCUGAAGGGCAUGUUGGGAUAUGCCAUAAAUUAAAGUAUGAUAAUUGAUAUCGUUAGCGUGUGAUGGACUGGUAAUUAUUUUUUAAUUAAAAGUCUUGAAUUUGAACUCUGAGUAUAAAAUUAUUUUUGUUAAUAAGUAUUAUAUACCUCAAUACAUAAAACUUUUCAACGCUAAUCUAAAUUUAAUCAGGUCCAAUAUGAAUAUCGAUCAGAGAGUAGUAAUAAAAAGUUAGUGUAUAUCAUGAGUUAUACCCUAUAGUUUAUUUGAUAUUAGCAUAGUCACUGGAUUUGGAGAAUCUUAAAUAUAAAGCAUAGUCCUGUAUGAGGAUUUUCAAACUGAAUUCUUUAAUCCUAGGUUUAUUAUCACUUUAAUAAGGUGGUUUUUUUUCUUUAUUUUUGUUUAAUACAUAGUAUCUCAUCUUUGAUCAUGUUUGUCUCCUUAUAAUGUUAAUUUCUAAAUAUACUUUAAUUAAUCUUUUUUUUUAAUGUCAUGAUAAUACUGUUGUCCAUAUGGUUAAAUCGUAGUGGUCGUUUGGUUAUCGCGAUGAGUUAGAUAAAUAUAUUUUAUAGGUUAAAAUAAAUCGAAAUAUUUCAUAGAAUUCAUUUUUAUAUAUUUCAUAUGAAAUAGCUAAACACAUAUCUUAAUAUAAAAUAUAUUACAAACUAAUUAAUAUUCAUAAUAAAAUGUGAAAUAAAAUAAGAGCAACAUUCACAUAUAGCAAAUAAAAAAUUCAUAUUCGUAUGCUAUAACAAAAUUUGCAUAAUUGCGCUCCAUAGCAAACAUAAAACUGUAUAAUUCGCUAUACAUAUACAAUUGUAUAAUUAGCUGGCCUAAAUUGUAUAGUUCGCUGGCCUAUUUCGCUGCAAUUGUAUAAUUCGCUAUUCUAUUUCACUGCAAUUGUAUAAUGCACAAUUGUAUAAUUCGUUGCCUAUUUCGCUGCAAUAUUUCUAUAAAAUUUGCUUUGCAUACAAUUGAAUCGAAGUAAAAUAUAUGUAUAUUGCAUUAUUAUAAGUGUAUAGGAAAAAUAUAUAUGUUUUUCUCUCGCUUUAUACAAAAACAGAAACACAAUAUAUACACUUCUAUUGUAUAAAGCGAGAGAAAAUUGUAUUUUACUGCAAUUGUAUAAUUCGUUGGUCUUUUUCGCUGUAAUAUUUGUAUAAAAUUUGCAUUUGUCUACAAUUGAAUUGAAGUAAAAUGUUUUGUAAAUUGUAUAAUUAAGUGUAUAGCACGAAGAUAUAUGUUUUUGCAUGUGUAUAUACAAUUUUCUCUCGCUUUAUACAAAACAGGAACACAAUUUAUACACUUCUGUGUAUAAAGCGAGAGAGGCGAGCAGAGGGAGAGUGGCGAGCGAGAUUUUUGAGAGAGAAGCGACUGGCAAACUUUGGUUAACGUUUGCUAUGGAGCACAAUUAAAUCAAACCAUAGCUACUCCAUUUAUUUUAGAUUAUUAAUUUACUAUUAUAUACAAUUAUCCCAUUAAAUAAAUCAUAUUUUAUUUUAAAUUAUUAUACUUUAUCUCAUCGACUAAACAAGCCCAAGUGUGUUAUAUGGUAAAUAAUGUUAGAUAUUAAAUAAGAAUUUAGUAAAAGGACUUCCAUUUCCUAUUUUAUUAUUAUUAUUUUCAUCUAUCAAAUCACAAUAUAAUCUCUAGAAGAUAUUUCAUCAUCUAAAAUCGAGUUAAUCUUAGCAAAUACAUAUCAAACAAAGAUAUUUACUACUUUAGCAUAUAAUAUUAUAUGUGAUCAAAUCAAACUUCUUGUCAAAUAGUUGGAAAAGAUGGCGUAAAAUAUUAAAUUGAUUAAUUUUUUUUCAUAUAAAAUAUUUACAUCAAAUUAAUAUAUAUAUGAUAAUUGUAAAAAAAUUACAAAUAAGUAAAUUGAAUUAAAACUAAAACGAAUACAAAUAAGUUAAAUUAACAAAUAGGUCAUUGUUCAAUUACAUGAAGAAAAUAAAUUGAAUUAAGAUGAGCGCAAAAUGAAUAAUAAUAUCACUUUAUUCUUAUUUUUUUUAUAAAAUAAAGUUUUAGAAGUUAAAUAACAAAGAAAAAAGAUAAAGCGUAGUAAUAUAUUUCCUUCCAAUACAUAUAUAUAUAUAUAAAGUAAAAGAGCAUUUCUAAUUAUUUAAAGUCAUGUUUAAAUUCUAAAAGUUAUGAAAAUACGUGUAAAUUUGCUACAUAACAUUCGCAAUUCAUUAUUUAUAAUAUAUUUUGUCGUUUUUUAAUUAUGAGUGAUAUAAAUAAAAUUUUAUAUACCGUCAAAUCUCUUAUGAUGAUAGUGUUUGGUUAAAUAUAUAACGAUAUAUAUUUAAGAAAAAAUUAAAUCAUAAAAAUCUAUUAUAUUCAUAGUCUUAUCCUGUAAUUUUGUAAAAAAAAUUAUUUUUACGAUUCAAACCAAAUUAAGUUUUGCAUGAUUAAUGGAUUAGUUAUAAAAUAAUAAAAGAUUAUUUGAGUCAUCCUCCAUUAAUUAAUUAAAAUGAAACUUUUACUUGACCCCACAAUAGAACAUUCUAUUACUAGUUGUUGAAUUCCAAAACCAAAACCGCAGUAAAGAGACUUUCAACACUCUUAAGUAGGUAUAGAGAAAACUAACCUCAAUCGUUCAAAUAUUCGAAAUUAAUCGAUCUGAUUAAUUUAAAUUUAUAUUAAAUCAAAUAAAUUAUAUGAUAAAAUAUUUACGAUUAAAAAGUUUUUCAUCUCUAGUGAUUAAUUUCAACUUUUAAGUGCAUUACACACGUUAUUGAACACUUUUGAGCUGUAAUUUUCCUUUGACUCAACUAUUUUAGUGUAUUUAAUUACCAAAGACCCUUUUAGAUGUUACAAUCAAGGAAGGUAAAAAAUAAAAAAAUAAAAAAACAAUAUAGUAAAUUUCACGCUAACAGUUAUUCUUAAACUUAAAAUAUAUUAUAUUAUAAUAUAUUAUAAUAUCUGUCAGACAUGAGAAGAAAAAUUAUAAUAUAUAAAUUAUAAUAAUAUCUUACACAAGUUGGCCUCAAGGAUAAGUUUUCAACACUCAAUUUAUCCGUUGUGAUUCUUUUUUAUACGUUCCUUAAAGAUACGAAUCAGGUUAGUUUGAUUGAAUAAUUAUAACAUUAUUCAUAGUUGAAGAUUUUGUAGUUUUCAGAAACGGUAACUACUAAGGUAAAAUGAAAUAAUUUUGUCUCGGACUUUUAAAAAGAUAUUUUCUUCGUCCACUUUUAUUUGUCAUGCUGCACUUUUCGAAAGUCAGUUUGAUUAAUUUUCAAUGUUGAAUUAGAUUGCAUUGAUUCAAUAUAUUUUAAACAAAAAAAAAUUAGAUAUUUAAAAACUAUACGAAAAGUACUAUACAUUGCAAUUUGUUUACAUAUCAAUAUGAUGAAAAAAUAUAUCGUAAAAUAUUAGUCAAAUUUUAUUAGUUUUACUAAAAAAAUGGAAAGUAUAAUAAUUAAUAGUAAGUAUAGGUAGCAUAAUUUGAGAUACUGUAUAUUUAGAAAUCGCGAUGAAUAGUUUGAAAAUAGAGAGUAACUUCUUUUCUACAUAAAUAAUGGCCAUCUUAAUUAUUCAAUAAUUCAUCAUAUUUUUUGUUCUUUUGAUUAAUUAUGUGAUAUAUAAAAUUUAUUAUUCAGAUAAUUUCAUAUUUUGCAUUACGUAAGAUUCAUUAAGACAGAGACGCUCCCUAUAAUUAAGAGUUCUUUUCAUUUCAAAACUUAAAUACGAGAUAUUUAAUUAAGGAUGAAAGAAUUUCUACAAUCGCAAUAUUAACGCAAUUAUACACUCACCAUUUAGAAAAAAUUUUGAACUUUCAACCACUAUGUUUAUUACUAAUUAAGUAGGACUAUGGUAAAAUUAUGUGAUUAUAUUUCGUAAGAGUUAAUUAACCAAUUGUGACUUAAGUCAAAUUAAUUGUCCUUUGGCUUGACCUUUAAUUCCCUGUCAUUAAUUAAUUAGUGACUAAAUUAAUUAAAAAGCUAAUUACAGGAACCUGGCUAUCCGUACAUGCUUUGAGCCAUGUUAUGAAAAUGUUCUUUGAAGAAUAUAAUGAAUUAAAUCAUUAAAAGAAUUAAGAUAUUAAUUAGUAGUAUCGUAAUUAAAAUAAUGUUAAAGUAGUAAGCAUGCAACAUAAAUUAAAGUGGGAGAUUUUUGAUAUAUUUUUAUCCCCCGCAAGAUCAAGAGUCGACUAAUAGUUAUUAUCUGAUAAAAUUAUUACUAUUUAUUUUAAAAAGGUAAAAUUAUAAAAAUAUUAACUUUCUGAAAUGAUAAUAAGUAUUUGUGAAAUGACGAUAGCCGAUAAAAAAUCAAUCCAAAAGAAGUAGGGUUCUAGCUACUUUAUAUACUAAAGUUACAAAUAUUUUGACAAAAAUUUUUCAAAGUUGUUUUUAAUUUAUUGUUAUUGUGAAAAUAGUAAUAUAAUGCUUCUUAAAUAGUUUGUGUUUAUUGGUGUGUGUCAAAAUUAUUAUGUUGCAUCAAAACUUUUCAUCGAACAUAUUUCGAGCAGAGUUAGGUGGAGAUUUAUGAGUUUGGAUAAAUUGAAUAACAUUUUCAUAAAUCUUGUAUUUAAUUUAUACUAAAAAAUAACUGUAUAAAGGACAGAAAUCACGUAAUUUUAAUGUAAAAUUAUCAUUUGUCCUCUUAUAAGUUUAUAAUUACAAAAAUCUCUCAAACUGAUACAUUAAUCUGAUUCUCGAGAACAUUAAUCAUUAAGUAAGAUACAUUACAUUUUAUACAUGAUACAAUAUCUGAUGUACAUUUUAUACAUGAUACACUAAUCUGAUGUGCGAGAUACAUUAAUCUGAUACGCGAAUUACAUUACUUUGAUGUGUUAAUACAUUAAUCCGAUGCGUGAAAUAAUUUUUUUAAAAAAAUUAGUAAAAGUAAUAUGGAAUAAUGGUGAUAAGAGAACUUAAAGAUGGAACUUAUGUCAUUUAUCCUGUAUUAAUUUGUGAAAUCCUAAUAAAAUUAAUUGACUAUUCUAAAGAAAUUUUAAAUUUUCAAAUUAUUAAUCGUAGCUUCGUCUCUAAACGAACAUUAAAUAAAUAUAAUUAAGAAUUUAUGAAAGUAGUGCCGUCCAAAUCCAAGAAGUUAGGCAUAAAAUAAAAGUAUUUAUUAUAUAUAUCAUAUUUUGGAACCAAUAUUUUUAAACUUUUUUUUUUACAAUAAAUGAUUACUAGCUAGCUAGGUUGGUUGGGUUGUCUUGCACUAAGAAAUUCAAAUGAUUCAUUCACAAAAUUCCACAACAUAAAAUAAUUACACUUUUACAAGCAAUUAUUUAUCCAUUUGAACUCAAAAAAUCUUUGACCCUAUCCUAACUAUGAAGAAUUGAAUCGCGUGUUUUCUCUGUUUAUUUUUACUUAUCGUGUUUACGAAAUUGAACUGAAUUUAGAUAAUUUCAUAUAUUCUAAAUAUUGAAUUUGUAAGUGUUUUUUUAAAAAUUAUACGAAAGAUACUAUAAAUUAUCAUCUUUCAUACGUCUCGUCUAUACAGCAUGACAAGUUAUAUAACAAUUUAACAUCGAACCUCAUUUUAUCCUUUGAUGAAGCUAAGUGAUAAUCACACAAAUAUUUAUGAUAUUACUUAAAUCAUAUUAUUUAAAUGCUAAUCUAAAGUUCAUACACCUCUUCCUAUAAUUAUUCUUAAUGGAUAUAAUAUUUAAAGUUGUGAUCUUUUUGUACCCUUUUUGUUGUGUUUUUAGGUUCUUUGCAUUAUUUGUGAUCUAUCCUAACAUUAUUAUAAUAUAUUUUGGUGAAUUAUUAGUGAUUCAAAGGGAUUGUCAAAUAUGAAGUUUGACCUGGUCAACGGUCAACUACCUAGUCAACCAUCAAAAUUUUAUCCAAUUGCCCCCUCACCCCAACCCCACACACCAAAAAAUAAAAAUCUUUCCAAAAAUAAAGUGGUUGAUAAAGACGUUUUAUUUUUAAAGUGAGACUUUUCAACAUACAAUUUAUCAGACGCAAUAAAAAGAUUACUAUCAUCGCACAUUUAUCGAGUUAACUACGUUAAUCAAAAUUAUACAUAUCAAGUAAUUUUGUAUUACUGUCGUCGUGCAUACAUCGAAUAACUCCAACCAUUAUAUAUAAAUUUUAUCAAACGCAAAUAAAGAUCACUAUCAUUGUACUAUCAUUGCACAUUUAUCGAGCAACUAUAUUAAUCAAAAUUACACAUAUCAAGUAAUUUCAUAUUAUUAUCGUUAUACAUACAUCGAAUAACUCUAACCACUAUAUUUAACAAACUCUUAAACAUAUACCAUAUAUAUAUAUAUAUCAAAUAACUCUAACCAUCAUAUAUUAAAUAUAAUUAUGCCUAUCAACUAAGUGACCUAUACCACACAUACAUCAGAUAACUCUAACCACGCAUAACUCAACCAUCGACAUUCAAACUAAACAUAUAUAUCGAAUAUAACUAUGCCCAUAUAUACCAUACAUAUAUCGAAUAAUCUUAACAUAUAUAUCAAAUAUAACUAUGCCCAUAUAUGCCAUACAUAAAUGGAAUAACUCUUAACAUAUAUAUCGAAUCAACUAAGUAUAAGAUAUCACUCAACCAUUGGCAUUCAAACUAUACACAUAUGCCAUACAUAUAUCGAAUAACUCUUAACAUAUACAUCAAAUAGAAUAACUCUUAACAUAUACAUCAAAUAUAACUACGCCCAUCAACUAAGUAACCUAUACCACACAUAGGUCGAAUAACUCUAACCAUCAUAUAUCAUUAUUAACCAGCAUUCAGAGCUAGCUAUCAUUACAAGUAUAUCGAAUAACUCAUUAUUAACCAGCAUUCAAACAGAGCUAGCUAUCAUUAGAAGUAUAUCGAAUAACUCUGUCCAUCAUAUAUCAAAUAACUCUUCAACUUCACGCAUGAACAUGCGAAUCAAAUAACCGCAUCAAAUAACUUUAUCUAUCAUGACCAUAACACGUAUACUAGGUGAAUUAUGUCCAAUAAAAAUUACCAUUACAAGUAUACCGAAUCACUCGUAUCUAUCUAGAAAAAAAAUUAAAUAAUUGGUUUUUUUGUAAAGCAAAACCCCAACUACGUAGAAUUUUUAACCCCCCUCCAGAAUAGGGUCAAAUAUUUCGUUUUGCAAAGGUUACAAAAUUACUUCAAAUUAGAGAAACCAAAAACUAACAGCACACCAUAGUGUUCCAACAUUAAAAAGCAAUAGAACAACAUUUGAACAUAGUCAAGACAACAUAUCUACUUGAAACAACACUAAACCCUAGCUCCGGUGUAACCGGUCCCCUUCUCCGGGAUCCCGGACCCGGGAACUCCACCGUGCGGUGGAACUCCACCGUGCGGUGCACCAACGCCAUAUUCGUUGUCCCUAUAGCCCGGACCGUAGGUGCUAUUGAACAAUCCAGAAUGAAGCAUAAGAACGUAGAGUAGUUCAGUAAUUCCAAGAACUAUUAUGAAACCUUCAAGAACUCUCAGCCUCCAUCCUCUCCAUCCUCCUAUGUUUAUCUCCUUACAUGCCAACCUAACAAAAAGAAUAUAUCCGUAUUAUAUUUUCAUGAGCUAAUUUUACUCGUCAAACAACACAAUGCCAUGUGUACACUAGGUUAAUUACCCGAAAGCAAGUGCAGUAACAGCCCACGCGACUAAAGCAGAUGAACCCGCAGCAGCAAGACUAUCAUUUCUCCAUGCCCUUAGGUGAUUCGCGCCUAAUAGCUUCGAUAUUAUGCCCAACACUGAUGCUAAUAUCGCGAAUGUUAGGAAGAACAUCGUCGCUCCAUUUCCUCCAAAACCUAAAAAUAAACGUUACAGAAUUUCAAGUAAAAUAAACAUGUUAUAAGGUCACAUUACAUUUUUGAUCUAGACAUAAAGUCGCGGAGCUAGAUAGGGCCCAGGGGUAAACAAACCCAAUUACUUUUUCUUAAAAUACAUAAAAGUUGAAUAUAUAUAUAUAUAUAUAUAUAUAUAUAUAUAUAUAUAUAUAUAUAUAUAUAUUAACUUGUGAGCUCCUAACAAAACUGAUUAACAAAACUGAUUAGUGACUUAGUGGCUUAGGACCAUUGAACCCUAAAUCCCUAAAAGAACCGUUCAUGAUCUUGAUUUCGCCUUGAUAAACAUAUCCUAAAGUGUGAUUAGGACAAAAAGAUUGAUCAAAUCUACACUAAAUUUAUAAAUGUGUAAUUAAAUGUAUAAUUUUACGAGAUUAAGAGUCAAAUAGGGAUAGCUUAAUUAUGUUGAUUAUAUUGUCCUAUUGUAUAACGUUACUUAUUCAUUCAAUUGAUAAAAGAUCAUAAAAAUUAUCAAUCAAUAUACAAGUUACAGCCUCUACACACGUACUACCAGAAAAAUAUGAAUUACAUGAAAAUUUUUAUCUACAAAAUAUAAUUUUCCUACAAAUUAUAAUACUAAUCUCCAAAAAAUUCACAUGUAAUUCACAUUUUUAAUAACAAAAUUUAGCAAACAAACAGAUCUUUGUAACAAAUCGCAAUAACACUCGAAUUAUGACAAAUUUCAUGUGUCGCGAACCUUAUAUUAGCUACAAAAAUUCACAAGCAACGACAUAAAUUAACGAUAAAUUUCAAAUUUCACAUUUCAUGCGUCUCGACAAAUCUAUGUUAUCUUAUAUUAGCUACAUAAGAUAAAUUCGCAAGCAACGACACAAAUUAACAACAAAUUUCAAAUUUCACAUGUCGCUAUAAACAUGUUAAACUACAAAAAAAUUAACGAUAAAAUUCAUUGAAAAUAAGACUUACUAGGAUGAUUAGUUUGUCCAUUGAUAAACCUGUUAAGACACCAACUAGCAAAACCUAAAACAAUAAGAUACAUUAAUAAGUUCAAAAACAACAAUGGUCCUGCUAAACUUCUUCCCACAGCCCUUGCCAUUUCUUUUAUCUUUUAAUAAUAUUAAUAAUUAAAACUUUGAUCUAAUUUUUUUUUUCCACUUCUUUGUUUAUCGAUUUUCCAAGUUAUGAGAGGAAAAAAAAUUAAAACUAUAUAUAAUGAAAAACAUAUUAAAAUACGUGUCAAAAUUAUUGCUUAGUUUGAUUGAAUAGUUAACAAGUGGAGGGACACUUGUCAAUUUCUGUAUAUAUUUAUUGGAUUUGCACUUUAUAUAAUGUUUAUCCAUAUACGAUAAUAUUUCUUAUUUGACGUUUUUUUUUUGUAUUUUUUUGGGUGUCAUUUGCUAAUGUUGAGGAAACAUAUAGAAGUGUAUCGACAUUUUUAAUUUUGAUAUCGUCAUUUAAUAUUUGUGUUUGUCUGUUUUAAUUGAUUACUAAUUAUUUAUUUUUGUAUGUGUGUGCAUUGUUGAAUAACUUGAGUGUCAAGUUUUAUAUGACUUCGAUGAAAUGUUUAAAAUUUCGGACAUUUUGUUUGAAGUUUUAUGUCGUAAAAAUCUUAUUUUAAACGAUAAAUUUGUAGUGUGAAUAUUGAAAAAUAUAUAAGUAUGUAAAAUAAUGAUAAUAUCUUUAUUUUGAAAAUAAUGGAUAGAAGAAGGGAAAUUAUAUAAGAAAUUAUAAAAAUCAAGCAUCGAAAUAAAAGAUUUAUAUAUCUAAUCAACUGAGCUACUAAAUUUUCCGUUAAAAGGGUAAUGUCAAAAUAAGUUUCUUAUGAAAUUUUUACUCAAAUUUACUUCAACAUGGUUUGAUUCGAAGCUUUGGCUAAUGGGUCGGACUUAACUAAGCCCAAAUGCGUUGGGCCAAGAAUCCAACUUCAUUUUGGUCCGAUUUUUAAUUUUUGUUCUUUAAAUUUGUUUUUUUUUUCCUAAUGCACAUUUAAUAAAAGUUUUGGAUCAAAGUAUUCAAAUUUUCCAUGUACAAGUAAUUUCAUAAGGCAAGAAUAUUUAGUUUGCCUUCUUUUGAAAACUUUUAUCGUGAGACAUAGAGCUGUCAAAAAAGAUUGGUCUAAGUUUCGCGGGUCAAUGUAUUUGAAAGGAUAGGUUGGGUCGAUCCUUCAUUUGGUAGGGCUUAAAAAUGCUUAACCCAGCCCAACCCUAAAAGAGUCGAGGGUGAGCACGGGCUAGCCUUUUUUUUUCUUUUCAAACUUAAAAUUUUAUAACAUCAAAAAAACGAGAAGAUUUUCAAAUUAAACAUGGCAAACAAUGGUGUUGUUUCAACAACACUAGCAAAAAAUCUAGUAUCGUUAGCAUGUAUCUCGUAUACCAGAUACGCGAACGAGAUAAGAGAGUGUGACAAAUAUAAUAUAUAUGUAGGACAUACCAAAAUUUUGUAAGUACAAUAUUUCUUUUCUUUUAAACUGAACUUAUGCCUUGCGAAUUUUACUCCAAUAUUAAGGACAUUUUGAAUUAUUUUUGUUAUUUAAGACUUUUUUUAAAAUUAAAAAAAAAAGAUAAAAAUUAAAAGGACAAAUUACAGAAAUACACACUUUUUGUUUCACUUAUUUCCAUUAUCCCUUAUUACUUUUAAAAAUCUCCAAAAAUCUCUUCUUUAUUUUUAAUGUAUAUGAGCUGCAUAUUAAUGAAAUCGAGCGAGUAUUUAAUGUAUUUGAGGUACAUGUUAAUGUAUCUGAGCCAAUAUUUAAUAUAUUUGAGCUACAUAUUAUGCUACCCGAGCUAGUUUUCAAUGUAUUUCAGCUAUAUAUUAAUAUAUUCGAGACAAUAUUUAAUGUAUCCGAACUUCAAUUAUUGUAUUCAAAUUUUUUAAUUCUUAAGCUUUAAUGUAAUUAGAAAUUUAUUAGGGAUGAAUUGUUAUUUUAUAUUAAAAGUAUGAGAUUUAUGUAAUUUACACAAAAUAAGAACAAUUUGCGUAAAUAUUCAAGUUCAAUUACAUAAAUCUACUUCGUUUUGCAUUGGACCAUUAAGUUAGGAUCUCAUAAAUUAUAUUUACAAGAAUAUAUUCUAGGCCCAUUUUGAAUUUCUUAUUAUUCCAAAUUUAUCUCAUGUCUAAAUUUAUCAAUUACAUUUUUUUUGUUGGUGGGUGCCCCUAUUAAUCAAAGUUGAUAGCAAAUAAGUGAGUCCCACAAUGAUGGUGUGGAUGGUGACUCGGGCCGUUUGGUCAUAAUUUCAAAUCAUGAUAUGAAAUUAUUGAUUAGAUUUCAUAAUUUGCUUACUAUCAAAAUUUCACGAUUUUUUAAGUCGUAUCAAGUCAGUAAAAAUAUAGCUCAUAAAUAAAGGAUCAGAAUAUCUUAAGAUAUCGUAUUGAUAAAUUAUAUAUUUUAUGUUCCUUUUAUAAGUGAAUUAUUUGUGAUUAUAUUUAUUAUAAAUAUUAAAUUAUACAUGAUUUUACAAAGAUCCAUCGAUUCAAUAAAUUAAUAAUAAUAAUAUAUCUAGAUCACAUGAUUACGAGAAUUUCUUCAAAUUGAACAUGAUAUCUGGUUGCAAAUUUAAAAUUAUGAGUCUCUUUUUUUUAUAAAUGUAGAUUUAUAUAGUCAUGUUUUAAAUUAUAAGAAAAUUGAAAUCACAAAUUUAAAAUUAUGAGUCUCUUUUUUACAAAAUAUAGACUUAUAGUCAUGUUACAAGAAAACUGAAAUCACAAAUUUAAAAUUAUGAGUUCUUUUUUUUACGAAAUAUAAACGUAUAACCAUAUUUUAAAUUAUAAUAAAGUUGAAAUCACAAACUUAGAUUGAACUCUGGCCCUUUAAUAGGAUUUGAGAUUUAAAAUGAUAAGUUUCAAAUAGAAUUGUCAUAAUAAACAAUUGAAGUCAAAUUAUUAAAAGAAUACAAGUAUAUAUCAUUCAAACACAUUAAAGUAUUAUGAAUAAUUAUAUCAAUAAAGUCAUUAAAUCAUAUAGAACUCUUUCGGUAAAAAAUUAUAUCACAAAAAUUUAAAAAAAUAUUUAUUUUUUAGGUACAUAAUGAAUAUAACACAAAGUCAAAAUAGAUUUAACGCUGAAAAUAUAGUUUCAAAUUGUUAUGAAUACAAAAAUAAAUAACUACAACUCUUUUUUUGGAGAAAAAAAACUAUAAUUUUCUCUUAGAUGAGUAAAACUAAGACUUUUAAUUAAUUAAUUCUAUAGUGUGGUUGAAUGAUUCAAGAAAAAUUAAAAUCUUGCCACUGAAAAAGUCAAAAGUGCCAACAAAUAAAAACAAUUUUUUUUUCAGAAUUUAGCGCCAAAAUCUGUUAAUGAAAUUCAAUUGGAUGGCAACUGAAAAAUAAUAUCCAAUAAUUUUUAAGCAAUAAUUUUUUCCUACCAAAAAAAAAACCAAAUAAAUAAAAUUUUCUGGCAUUUUUAACAUUAUUAUUAUAUUUAUACGCAUGAAAAGUCGUAAAUGCUACGAUUACUAUUAGUGCAAAAACUUCUUACCAUCAAAACCAACACAAAAUACAUUAGAAAAAUAAAAAGUCGAUUUUGUAAUAUUUUACAAAAUUUAUUAAAUAUAUAAUGAUAUUUUUAUGAGAGAAUGGUAAAAUUUGAAGAUUGAGUUACUUAUUUUACUUGAUAUUAUAAUUGAUCGUAAAAAAUCAUUUCCUUAUUUAACACGCAAUUUGAUGCGUGUAAUUGUUAUCAUGACUUUGUCAUUUUUUUUGGUACUUGUGCAUAGUGGAAGACAACAAAUUGAGUUGUGGGUCCCAUAUGAUGGGAUGUUUUAGCUAAUCAAUGAUAAUUUAUCGUCUUUUCAUCUGUUUCAUUUUAUAUGAUAUUAUUUUAUUUAAAUGAAAUAUAUUUCUAAUGUAUAUUUUUACCUAAUCAACAAUAGUUUGUUGUCUUUUCAUCCGUUAAAUUUUAAAUAUAUUAUUUUAUUUAAAAUUAAUAUGUUUUUAGUUACGUACAUUCUGAAAUAUUUGUGAUUUUAUAUUAUAAUAUAUAUAUAUAUAUAUAUAAUAUUUAGUGUAAUAACUAAUGAUAUAAACUUUGAAAAAACGAUUAAAAUAAUCUCUAUAGUGUUAAGGAAUUUGUAAUUAAGCUAGGUGUUAAAUUUAUAUUAUUAUUUUUUUAAAAAAUAGUUUAAUCAUAACUUGGAAAAUCACAUAAAACAUAUUGUUAAUCGAUCCACGACUCUACAAUUUACACAAAAUCUAUCUUAGGGGGAAAAGAUAAUUUUUUGUCAAAAUUCACCUUCAAAUCUAGUGUAACUCUUGCUAUUUGAUUUUGAGCUCGUUUAUAUUGAAUAUUGACUUUGGUCAAACUUUACAGAAUUCAAAAUUAUAGAUUUCUCCGGAAUUUAUUUUAUCACCUCAAGAAUCGUGUCAAUCAUCCCCACAAAUAUAAAAUGACAUAUAAAAGUUGUUGAAAGAAAAAAAAAAUCAAGAUAUGCUGAGUGAGAACACAAAAAGAUAGUACAAAUCGUCACAAAAUAAAAUUUUGAAUUCAAAUCAAUUUGAUCUCAUAUCAUGUCCAAACAAACAUUGUAUUUAUUAUUCUCUUAGGACAAGAAUGACUUAUAAGAUAAUCUAAAAUACUUGAUUUUAAAAAUAAGAUGUUAAGUUUUUCUACAAUAAAAAUAAAAAUUUGAUUAUAUAUAUAUAUAUAUAUAUAUAUAUAUAUAUAUAUAUAUAUAUAUAUAUAUAUAUAUAUAUAUGUUUCACAUUGCUAAUCAAAUUAUCAUAAACAAAUUUAAAUAGAGCAAAUACCCAAAUAUUGCACUCCAAUAUCCAAGGAUUUAUAAACUCUAAUAAAACCCCAUUGAAAUCUAAUCGAAGUACUCAAUUAAUUUACUAAAAUGACUUCGAAAGUGAGAAUCUAGAACUUUUAAUAUCAUUUAUUUAAUGGAUAAAAAUCUUUGGUUUUAAAAGUUCAAGAUCAUAUCAUGCAUUCGAGGGUGUGACAUAAUAAUUAAUAAAGUGGAAUGAAAAUUACGAGAUAUCGAAAGUAAACCUCAACAAAGAUAGUAUUUUAUACAUGAUUUUCCUCCUAUUUAUUUUAACUUAGCGUUAUUUUAUACAUGUUACUUAUUUGAAUAUGAUAAUCACGUGAAUUCAAAGUAUCUUCACCCUUAUUUUUUUCAAAAAAAAAAAGAAAUAUUCUUUUUGUUCCAAUUAAUACGAUACAUUUCAUUUUUCAAAAGUCAAACAAUUUAAAUUUGAUUGAGAAUUUGUGAAUGAAUUUUUCAUUUUUUAAAAAAAUAAAAUUUAAAUUUGAUUGAGAAUUUGUGAAUGAAUUUUUUCAAUUUUUCAAAAAUAAAAUUUAAAUAUUUAUAAACUACGUAAAAUGUAUUAUAAGUCACAAUAAAUAACAACUCAAAAUAUUUUAAAAAUACAUAAAAAUUUACAAUCAAAGCUAAAUUUAUUCGAUUUUCGAAAUUCUAAAUUUAAAAUGUACAACAUAAAUUAAAAUGGAGAGUAAUAACUUAAAAUUUCCGACUUUUAGAGCUUAUGGUCCGCAGACACGUCAUUAUAUAGGAAAAGUCGAAAUUGCCACUUGUCACAAAAUGUUUUUCCAUAAUAGCCACUAGCCAAAACAUUAUUUCCAAAUUAGAUUUUGUAAUUUUUUUAAAAAAACUAUUGUAAUCUCAUUUUGUAAAGUUAAAAAGGAUUGAUCUAACUUAUAAUAUAUAAUUAACCGUUUUAUACAUAUAUUGAUUUGAUAUAAAUAUAAAAAAUAUAUGUAACUUACAUAUUUCUUUUGAAUGACAAAUUUUGAUGUAAACACGGAAAAUACGUGUAACUUGUAUAUUUCUUUUGACUUAUAAAUUCUCUGGCAUAUUUAAAAAGUAUCUUGUAAUAUAUAAAUAAAACGUUUUAUGUAUUUAUUAAUUUGAUGCAUGUAAAUACAAAAGAUACGUGUAACUUACAUAUUACUUUUGACUAACGAAUUCCAUGGCGUGUUUUAAAAAUGUCUUGUAAUGUAUAAAUAAAACGUUUUACACAUUUAUUAAUUUGAUGUAAAGACUAAAGAUACAUGUAAUUUACAUAUAUAUUUCUUUUGAUCGAUAAAUUUCUUGGCAUAUUUCAGAAUUACUUUUCUAUAUAUUUAUUAAUUCGAUAUAAACACAAAAGAUACGUGUAACUUACAUACAUUUCUUUUUAUUGACAAAUUCAUUGACAUGUUUCAGAGUUAUCUUGUAAUAUAUAAAAUAAAAUGUUUCACAUAUCUAUUGAUUUGAUGUAAACAUCAAAAAUACGUGUAACUUGCAUAUGUCUUUUAAUCGAUAAAUUCUUUGACCUAUUCAAAAUGUAUUUUAUAAUAUAUAAAUAAAAUAUUUUAUAAAUCUAUUGAUUUGAUGUAAAUACGAAAGAUAAUUACAUAUUUCUUUUGACCAACAAAUUCCUUGGGAUAUGUGCAUUGUGGAGGACAACAAGUUGAGGUAGUAGGUCCCAUAUAAUGGUACCUUCUACCUAAACAACAAAUUAGAGUUUUUUUUUCUAGAUAAUUCCAUUUGUUUUAUUUUAUAUGAUAUUUAUAUUAUUUAAAGUUAUUGACAUUAUUAUUUUUCUUAUAGCCAUUUAAUUUCUUUUAAUUAUAACAAUUUUUGUUAUAAAAUAUAUAUUAUUUUAUGCAACUUUUGUCCAAAAGGGAAAUACUUUAUACAUGCAUAUUAUUUACAUCAAAUAACUUAAAUAUAUAAUUAUUAGUAGCAAAUUGAAAUGAAACUAUAUACUAAAUAAUAAAUGGAUAUAAAUGUAACGUUUCAUAUAUUUAUUGAUUUGAUUUUAAAGUCGAUAAAAGUAAGCAUAACUUCUUACUUUUAUGACUUUGACAAAUGCAUAGGAAUGUGUGCAUUGUGGGUCCCAUAUGACAGUGUCUUUUACCUAAUGCAUACGAUUCCCUUUUUAAGGUCUAUCUGUUUCAUUUUAUAUGAUAUUAAUAUCAAUUUAUAAAUAAAAAUAUAAUAGAUAAAAUCAUGAAGACAAAUUUAUUUAUAAAAUUAUAUUAAAUAUAUUGUGCGGAGUUAAACUAAAUUGACUACAAUGAAAUCAAUUCAUGUAAUUCAAUCAAUUAUAUAGUCAUUUUAUGUACUUUUUAAAGUGAUCUUAAUUUAUUUCGGAGUUACUUAUAAUGUACUUAUUUGUAAAAUCAAGCAAAGACAUUAUAUGAUUAUUUUUAAAAUUCCACAUAUGGUUUGUUUAAUAUUUUUUUCUCCUAUAUUAAUUGGUCAUUUUUCUUUUUAUGCGUAUAUUAUGUAUACUAAAAAAUCAUAAAUAACAAAAUAAUUUUAUUAAUUCAUCUUUUAAUUUUUCAAAAAGAAUUAAUUGCAAUGGUAACAUAAGAAAAAUUUAGUUAAUACUUUCUUAAUUUAGUAAACUGUACAAUUAAUACGUCUUUUUAAGAUAAUCAAUUAAUAUGAAACUAUAUAUAUAUAUAUAUGAAAAAUUUCUCUAUUUAAACCACAAAAGCUUCUAAAACAAUAACCCUUGUCUUUUUUUGAAAAAAAAUAAAAAUGAAGAUUUGUAAUUCUGACCAAGUACAAAUAUUAAAUGUAACAAAAAGUACAUCAAGAUCUACUAAAGAAUAAUCCUUAUAUUCUUAUUAUAUUUUAUAAAAAAAUAAAUAAAAUCCAAGUGAUGAAAAGUAGAAAUCUUUCAUGUACUUACACACACUAAAUUUCCAUUACAUGAGAAUUAAAUUUUAAAAUCAUAAAUACAUUUUAAGGGCUUAAACAUUUAAUAUUAUUUUCUAUUAAGUUUUUAUAUAUCAUAGCAAAGUCAAACUAUGCAAAUGACUAUUAAUAUUACUUUCCUAGUUUCAAAAUGUAUUUUGACUAAACAUAAAAUUUAAGUUUUUUCAAUUGUAAUUUGAAUAAAUCAAUGAUAUUUAUAAUAAUUAUAAAUUAUUUUAUUGAUAAUUUAAUAUAUAAAUUUCAAAUUAGUUAUUUGAAAUAUAAAAAUAAUAUUCUUAUUUAGUUUUUCAGAGAUAAAUUAAAAAGGAAAGUGUAUCAUAUAAAUUGAUAUUAAUAGGUGCUAAUUUUUAAUAUUUAUAAUAUUACAUCUGUUUCAGUUUAUAUGAUUUGAUUCAAUGUAUCAAAUUAAUAUCCAAAUAUGAAAUCAAACAUAAAAUCUCUCAAAUAAAAUUUGCAUAUUAAGAGUCCACAUAAAAAAUACUCUAAAUUAAAAUAGUAAUUAAUUCAAAAUAUUUUUAAAAUAAAACUACAAUAUAUGUAUGUAAAUUAAAUAUUUGUUUAGCACAAAUAUCAAAAGAUUGUUUCACCAACAUUUCCCUAUCACCUACCCCAACAAAAAACAAUUAAAAAAUUUGAGGACAUUUUUGUCCAUAAAAUAAUUUUAUUUAUUCAUUUAUGACUUUAUUGACAAUAACAAUAAUAGUAAUAAUAUUAUAAUGAUACAUAUAUAGAGUUUUGAGAAGGUAAAAUAUAUAUCGAUUUUAUCUUUAUUUAUAGAUAGAUUUUUUAUUUAAAAAUUCUUGAUUUCAUAAUAACAUAUUUAAUAUUAUUUAAUAAAUAAAAUUUUAAAAAUAUAUAAAAUAUCAAAUUUUAUGUGUAUCUCGUAAAUAUGGAGAAAUUAUAAUAAGAAAUAACAUAUUUAAUAAAAUUUUAUAAAUAAAAUUUUAAAAAUAUAUAAAAUAUCAAACUUUACGUGUAUUUCGUGAAGGUAUAGAGAUUGUUCUCGAUAAGCCUAAACUUUUAUGACCAAAAAAAGGAAAGUAAAAUUCAUUAUCUUAAUUCUUCUUCUUCACCUCUUCACUCUCAGUCCCUAUGAACAUACUUGCCAUUUCUGCAAAACCUCAAAGCUUUGUUCUUUGUUUGAUUUCCUAAAAACCCAAAACCCCAUUUUUGAUCUGUGAAAUCCUUGUUGUUUUGAGUUAUAGAGGAAAAAAAAUGGGUUCUCUAGUCCCAUUUCAAGACCUUAAUCUUCAACCUGAAUCGACUAAUUUUACAUCUUCUACAACCCCAAAUCCAAGAAUUAUCCCAAAGAUUGAACCAAAGCUUGAACCCCUUGAUGAGUAUACACAAGCUGAUCUUCAAACCCCAGCUUUUUUUUCCAACCCUAGUCCCAAUUUCAACACAAGUUCUGGUUCAGCUUUUAGGAGGAACCCACAAUUAGCUACUCAUGAGGCUGAUUCACAAUCACCAAGCUCGAUUAUACCGGAGGUUCCACCUGGGUGCGAUAGAAACAAUGUUUAUGUUUAUUCGGAGUAUAAUCGAAUUUCUGAGAUGUUUAAAGAAGCUUUUACUGAGAAAAUGCAGCGGUAUGGAGAUGUUGAGGUGGUUGGAAACCAGAAUCAGGAUUCUGUUGAUGUGGUUAUGGAAGACGCUGAUGCUCGAGCUAUAGUUCCGGUGAGUAAUAAUGAUACACAGGUUGCAGAAGUGGUGGUUGCUAGAAGGAAAUAUCAACAGAGAUCAUCGGAAUUGGUUAGAGUGACAGAUCUUAAGGUUGAAGAUCAGCUUUAUUUUCGAGAGGCUGUUAGGAAAACCCGAAUGCUGUAUGAUUCCUUGCGAAUUCUUGCUAUGGUGGAAGAUGAUGGAAGUCAGCAUUUGGGUCCGUAUAGAAAGCCAAGAGGUGAUUUGAAGGCUUGUCAAAUAUUGAGAGAACAUGGGUUGUGGAUGAAUCGUGAUAAACGGAUUGUCGGGCCGAUUCCUGGAGUGCUUAUCGGGGAUGUGUUCUUCUUUAGGAUGGAGCUUUUGGUUGUUGGAUUGCAUGGGCAGGCUCAAGCUGGAAUUGAUUAUGUACCUGCAAGUCAGAGUUCGAACCGGGAGCCAAUUGCUACAAGUGUGAUUGUUUCAGGUGGCUAUGAGGAUGACCAAGAUGGAGGAGAUGUGAUUAUAUAUACAGGUCAUGGUGGACAGGACAAGCAUUCGCGGCAAUGCGUGCAUCAGAAGCUUGAAUGUGGGAAUUUGGCAUUGGAGAGAAGUAUGCACUACGGAAUUGAGGUAAGGGUAAUUCGUGGCUUUAAAUAUGAAGGAAGUGGAAGUGCAAGUGGUAAGGUCUAUGUGUAUGAUGGAUUAUAUAGAAUUGUCGAAUGCUGGUUUGAUGUUGGAAAGUCUGGAUUUGGAGUGUAUAAAUACAAGCUUGUUAGGAUAGAGAAUCAGGAAGAGAUGGGAAGUGCUAUUCUUCGUUUUGCACAGAAUCUUAGGAUCAGACCUUUGGAGGCAAGGCCUACUGGUUAUGUUACUCUCGAUAUAUCAAGGAAAAAAGAAAAUGUGCCAGUGUUUCUUUUCAACGAUAUUGAUGAUAAUCAUGAUCCGGCUUAUUUUGAAUAUCUAGUAAAACCUAUUUAUCCUCCACAUGUUUCUCUGAAUGUGCACAGUGGUAAUGGCUGCCAGUGCAUUGAUGGGUGUGCUGAUAAUUGUUUUUGUGCUAUGAGAAAUGGUGGCCAAUUUGCCUAUGAUUAUAAUGGGAUAUUGUUGAGAGGCAAACCGUUAGUAUUCGAAUGUGGACCACAUUGUCGAUGUCCUCCAACUUGUCGGAAUAGAGUGACUCAGAAAGGUUUGAGGAACAGAUUUGAGGUGUUUCGGUCUAGAGAGACUGGUUGGGGAGUUAGGUCACUGGACUUGAUCCAAGCUGGGUCCUUUAUCUGUGAAUAUACUGGGGUCGUACUCACACGAGAGCAAGCCCAAAUUUUUACAAUGAAUGGUGACAGUUUAGUCUAUCCAAGUCGCUUUCCUGAUCGAUGGGCAGAAUGGGGAGAUUUGUCUCAAAUAUAUCCUAACUAUGAGCGCCCAGCAUACCCCUCCAUUCCUCCUCUGGAUUUUGCUAUGGAUGUGUCUCGAAUGAGGAAUGUAGCAUGUUAUAUUAGUCAUAGUUCAAGUCCCAAUGCUUUGGUGCAGCCUGUGCUUUAUGAUCACAACCAUGUAGCGUUCCCCCACAUGAUGCUCUUUGCAAUGGAGAAUAUUCCCCCUCUAAAGGAGAUCAGUAUUGAUUAUGGGGUAGCAGAUGAAUGGACAGGAAAGCUUGCCAUCUGUGAUUGACUAACUUAUAGUGGUUGAUUCAAUUUUGAAAAUGAUGCGGCAAAGCUGUUUCUCGUACAUUAUUUGCUGAGGUAAUUUAAACAUUCAAGACAAUAAUUCCUGUUAAACUCAAAAUUGUAAUGACUUUCAGCAUCAUGUUCUCUUGAGGGAUGACUGCUAAUUACCAGUCUACUGGUAUUAGUCGUCUUCUUACUCCAGCUACCUAUUACUUUUGUUCUGAAUCUCUUCGUAGACUAUUUGAGACCUAUUUCUUUAAAAUAUUGUGCCAGUCUUAAAUUUAUCUGGCUCUGGAGACUUCUGGACUUGCUAUUCUCCUUCUAUUGUGAAUUUUAACAAGCUGAUUGGAACUCCAGUUGCUUUGUUGAGUUUCUAUCAAUAUGCUUUAUCUCAGUUUGAAUGCAUCUUAACUGAUUUAUUGAAUGAAUUUGAACUUUUUUUCAUGCUCGUCUGCAUACAUGGUAUACUCCCAGACCCCACUUGUGGGACUACACUGGCUAUGUUGUUGUUUCAUACUAAUUGAUAAGAAUUUCCCUUUUGUCUCUUUGCUUGUCUUUUUAAUGGCUUAUAGCGUGAUUUUGUUUGUAUUUGGUUGUGCUUUUGCCUUGAUAGAUCCCUUCCUCUUUAGAUUUCAUCUCUAAAGAACUGUUUGCACAACUGCUGAGUAGUACUUCCUUGUCCCAUAAUCGUUGUACAACUUUUUUUGGCACCCAAAGAUGUGGCCGCUCAAUAAAGCGGGUAAAACUGUAGGAGAGCGAGGACAAAAACUUUAGAAGAUUUUUCCAUCCACCUUAGUCUUAGUGGGCAGAGCUACCCAAUACCUGUGUUGGUAUCCAGUGAAAUAGUUGAAGUUUGCAUGUUGACAUGUACACCGCCACUGUCACCGCCACACACUACUUUGACUAGCUAUUCUACAUGGAAAAGGGCAAAUGACAGAAAUGGAAUUGAGUGGGAGUUGGGAGUUUUCUUUUAGGAAGGGUACUUCGGUGAUUACCAAAAAAUUGGGGAUGAAGUAGUAAAAAUCUUGUCUAAUCUAGAAGUGCUUAUAAGCUGAAAAGUGCUAGUGCUUAUACAAUAAGUCAAUCCAACUUAUAAGUUUUACCAACACCCUAGAGUAUGAUAGAGGGUUAAAAGGGAAGUUUUGAUAAUAAUUAGUUGAGAAGACGUCGAGAAGCUUGACGAAAUUUUUAAUUUAUACAAAUAUCAACCUCGUUCAAGGGGAGGUUUAUUUUGGAAAUGAACCUUAAUGUGAAGUAUGUUAGAUAUGAACACAGUGGAGGCAGCUAUACUAAUGGAAAUGUCUUUUGGUUUUUAGGAAAAAAGAAUGUCUACUAUUCUGAAACGAAGGUAGUAAUGAUAUUAAGUUAAAUACUAACAGGAUCAACUGGAGGAAAAAUACUCUCCCUAAUGCCAUAGUUUAUUAGUUUCUUGGUGUCCAAGUGUCAAUUGCGACAUGAGCUAUGCUGUUGAGGUUUUGCAUGCUGUGAUUGCUAAUUUUUUCAUUUAAAGAAAUGCUCAAAGGAUGUCCGUUAUAACUUGAAGUACCUUGAACAGAUUGGACAAGUUACAAGGUGGGUUGUAAUGGCUUGAUUACAAGGGACUCAGCUUCCUUAAGUGGUCGAUUGUGGGCACAAGAAGAGAAAGAGGUUGGGGAAAAGAACUUGUCUCGGGACUUAUCAAUCUUUGUGAAAAAACAGUAUUGUAGGUAUCACCUUUACAAACUAUGUCAAGUUUAAAAGGUAAAUAAAUUCCUUACUAUUAGAGGAGAAUGGAUAUGGCUAUGUUGGGGAGCCAGAACGGAUAUGGCUAUGAGAAUGGAUAUUGUUUUUUGUAUUUUCCAAGUUUGGUUUUAUAUCAUAUAUCAAAUAAGUGUGUUUUCUCUUUAGAUGUUAAAUUUAACAUUUGAAAGAAGAACAUCAAUAUUCUAUAUGAACAAAAGAAUAGAAGACAUUUAGAUAAUAUUGCUGGAUACCUUGCCCGUAGAUAGAUGGGAUGCCAGAGGUGCACCGUUACAUGACCUCUUUGCUCCCAAUUUGGAGAUAAUAAUUUGCUCUUCCACUCUGUUGGGUUACAUCUAAGAGUUUGGCCAAGCCUUUUCCUAUUCCACUCUUCUCUCUUUCUGUCCAAAGAGGCGGAUGUAUAAUUUAGGUUCCCUCUUUGGUUAGAAAAAAGAUGGAAUAUGAUGCGUUCUUGAUGAUUAAUGAGCAUGCACAUGUAUAUGAUUUCACCAUUUUUUAUGUUUUAUUUCAUAUGAUCCUAUUGUUUAUUUGUUCCAUUUCAAAAAAGUUUUUACCCAAAAAGUAGACCAAACCUUCAAGUUAUAUUUUCUUAGUAGCUACUAGGGGUGUCAAAUGGGCUGGUUGGAUUGAAACGAGAGACAUUAAAAUGGGUUGAAUUAGAAAUUGGGUUGGGUCUUGAUUCGUCCAAGUUUACUUUUGGGCUCAAAUGAGCUUAAAAAUGGGUUGGGUCUUGAGCCGCCCAAUUUGACCUGCUUAAUCUCUAAUGGUUUGAAUAUAUUGUUAUUUAAGUUUUAUGACCACAAUUUGAAUUUCAACUCAAGAAAAUUUAAAAAAGAAGUUACAAAUGGAUAGAUAAAUCCUAAAAGAUAUAAAAUAUAGUUAUUCAUACCUUCAAUAUAGGAACAUACAUUACAUCAAUGCAAAUAAAUAGUCUUAAAAUGAGUUGAAAUUGGAGAUUAUAUUGGGCUCAAUUGAGGAUUCUCUUAAAAUGGGUUCAGGCUUGAAUGUGUUAAGAUUGAACCCAAUUCAAAUUGUCUUGAGCCCAACCUUAAAAUUUUAGGCGAGUUACCUAUUGUUGGGUUCAUUUUUGACACCCUUAGUAGCACCCCAAUGUUUUGGCCUAGUGGUCGUUGUAGUGGGAGAAGAGCCAUGAGUUCUUAGCUUAGUUGCGUGGACUCUUCACUUUGAUGCUGAACCCAUGUCGGACUUUCCAAAAACGCACUACUUUUGGCAAAUCCGACGUGCACCCGUUGAAAUUUUUGAAGAGUCCGAGCAACAUAGGUUCUUAGGUUGAAUCCUAGGGGAGGCAAAAAUCACUAGGUGACUAUUCGACAUUUAUGUUGGAGGUAGCAAGUACUCAAUGGAAUAGUCCCGACCCCCCCACCCAAAAAAAAUAAAAUCAUCAGAAUAAAGGGUUUUAUUUCUUUCUUGAAGUUUGCAUGUCUGCCAAAUCUGUAAUUUUCUGCAGCAGAAACAUGCUAGAUAACAUUAAUAAAUUUUUUGUUCUUUGUACUUGUUGAGUCUAAGUUAUUUUACAAAAUAAAAUGUGACCAAUAAAAAUAAGAUCUUCUUGUUCAAAAGAGAUAAUGUUACUAAUCUGACCGACACUGAACUUGGUAAAAUGAAAUUGUCGAGUGAUUGAAAAAUUAGAUUAUUCAUGAAAUACAUAUUGAAUGUUGAUAUUAUGCAUUAAUUUCUAAAUCUUCACUUUUGUACUCUAUCUAGUACCUUUUUGGUAGUGAUGUUGGUAAAAUUAUUAUUAUUUUAUUAUUCCCUCCAUUUCAAAAAGAAUGACCUCCUUUCCUUUUUAGUCUGUUUCAAAAAGAAUGACCUUUCUUUUUUUGGUAACAUUUUAAUUUCAGCUUUCUAGGCGGCAUGUUUAAGACCACAAGAUCAAAGGACAAUUUUGUAUAUUUGACCAAAAUUUAAUUUAGGACCAUAAGAUUCAAAAGCUUUCUUUAUAUUCUUAAACACCGUGCCAAGUCAAACCAAGUCAUUCUUUGUGAAAUGGAGGGAGUAAUUUUUUUUGUUGACUUGUUCAACCUGACAAACAUUAAUGAGUCACUAGUCCAACUGCCCCUCGAAAGAUAAGUGUUAAGAAGUCCCACAUUGGUAGAGGGAUGGGAAAUUGGUCUCCUUAUAUGGACUUGGAUGAACCUCCCUCAUAAGCUAACUUUUAAGGUUGAGUUAGGCCCAAGUACCAUAUCUUAACAUGGUAUUAGAGCUAGGCCCAUCCCAGUUUGUUGUUCACUUAUGUGGGACCCCCAUUUAUAAGUGUUCACGCUCCAGUAAAGGUUUGAGCGUGUGAGGGAGUGUUAAGAAGUCCCACAUCGGUAGAGAUGGAAAAUUGAUCUCCUUAUAUAGACUUGAACAAACCUCUCCUCGUUAGCUAACUCUUGAGGUUGAGUUAGGCCCGAGUACUAUAUCUUAACAAUAUCUUAACAAUAAGGUCGAUAAGUUCCAUGCAAUUGACACCGAAUCUAUAUUUAGAAACUUUUAUAUUGACACACAUUCUAUAUUUAGAGCCUGUUUAGAUUGACUUAAAAGUUGGUCAAACCUACUUUUAAGUCAUUUUUAGCGUUUGUAAGUGUUUGACAAGGUUAAAAAAAUUUAAAAUAAGUUGAAAACCUAAAGUAGGCCUUACCCUACUUUUAUUUUUUUGACUUAAAAGUCAUUUUUGUUUGAAUUUUUUAUUUUUGAUUUAGAAACUACUUUUUUUAAGCCAAUCUAAACCGGCUCUUACAAAAUUUUAUCAUGAUAUUCUAGCCUUUUUUGCUUAGCCAUGCUCUUAUAAGAAUUGACAUUACAUGUUGAUAAGUAGUAAGUUACUCUUCCAUUAGUUGAAAAUUUUAAAUUUAGGAAGUUCACAUAGACGAUAAAUUAUAGAUAUAUUAUAAUGUAUGCAGGAAUUGGAUAUAUUUGUUUAUAUGUUAGAAAUAGUAAUACUGCUCCCUGAGCUUCUGCUCCGUGGUAAGAUGAAAACAUGAUGUGUGGAUUAAGAGCGCGUCAAGAGUUCGAACUCUGCUGCAGUCAAAAGCCUGAUAUUCAAGUGGAGAAGAGUAGAGGGAAAUACCUAUUAUCCACUGAAAGUCUUGUAUGUGAGCUGGUCCUUUGGAAUCUCUCGGUUGUCAAAAAGAAGUGAUAGCUACUUCUGUCAAACGUAGAGGAUGCUUCUUGUCAUAGUAAUACACAGAAGGAUUCUCUUUUCUUUCUUGCUUCUUUUAUCUUCUAAUUGACCUUGAAUUGUCGUGUUUUCUGAUAAAUUGAACUUGCAUGCUGAUAAUUUUUGUCUUUUGCUUUUUCGACGCCCCUGAAGAAGUUUGCUUCUUCCUUCUUGUUGGGUGAAUUUCUACAAAGUCUCCAGGUGGUUCAUAUUUUUAAACUUAUUAGUUUUGUGCAUUUGACAAAAGCAACUUUAUGAUAUUCUGUAUGUGUACUAAAUGUGCUUCCAUGACCAACCAGUGUUGUUUAGAUUGUAUUAGCUGACUGUCUAGUGAGAUACAAAAUUGAAUUUCCCUACCCUUCAUUUGGUGCUGUUGAGCUAAAUUAUGGAGAAAGUCACCUUUGUUGCUCUUAGCAAUGUGUUCGAUAUUAGCCAGAGAUCACACUCCUUUCCUCUUUUUAAAAAAUUAUCACCUGUCCUUGAAUUCCGCUUCGACAUUACUGCUGGUAGUCAGAUGGAGAUCAUAGUUAUGGUUUUUUGUCAGUACUAGUUAUAGCAUACCUUUCAAAGUUUUUUCUGGUCAUACACCCUUUCAGUUCUACUUCAAGGAUUUUAUCCACAGCAAUUUAUUGUUUGCAUAAUCGUAAUUCAUAAUAUAUUGUUCAACCUCUGCCAUGAUUACUGGUUCUGGAAAUCAUUGUUUGUGCUGCAGAUACUUUGUUUUGUCAGGAAGUAACCUUCUAGGGAAUGGUUUUGAUUAUGAAGAUAUCAGCUUACAGUUGUCGCUCAAAGCAGCUUACUGCCUAACCUUGUGCUGUUUCUAAUUAUUUUUUUUUAUCUCAUGCAGAUGAAGGGCACUGUUCUUGACAUUCCCGUUAUCUUGGUGACAGUCCAGACCGCAUCACUAGAUUCCUAAAACAAGUUGCUCUGAUAGCUGUUUUCUGCACCAGCUUGUAGAUCCUAUGUUGUAGAUAGCAUGGUGUUCAAGACUAGCUACAAGAGUGAAGAAAGUGAUAUUGCUGCUUCUCACUAUAUAUCAGCGCUUUGGUAGGAACCUUUUUAACCUAUGUGUGCUAACCUGCCACUGAUGUUCUUGAUUGUAAGAACUUUCCUUGGUUGUAGUAAUAGCUUGUAUAUAUGAAGAUCAAACUUGCUUAUUCUGUACAGAAGAUUGUAUUGAUUUCGUGUUACCGGAUAGCUGUAGUUAAGUUAAAAUGCUUUUGCUAGAUAAAGAGGGAAGCACCUAGUAUGUGGUCCAAGUUAGGUAUGCUGGGAAUUUUGGAAGGAUCAAAGAGGCACAGCAAAUAUGUUACUACCAGAUUUUCCCUCUGGAUAUGGCAAUGCAAAUUUUAUUCAAAUUAUUGAAUUCUUUCUUAUGCUUAAACCUAUAUUUUUUUUUCUUCUCAUUGUGCUGUUUACCCUAUUGAAAUACAGGAAAUAAACUCAUUUUGCUUGAUUUAGCCAAGUUAUUUCAGAAACUUGAGCUGUGAUGCUGAGUGUCAAAUUUUAUACUUAAAUAGGAAAAACUCAGUUAUUUGGUUGUAUAUUUGCUCUUAUCACAAUUUCAGAAGUUGUCAUUUUAUUUUCAAAGUCAGUGCUUAUUCAAACAUCAUCACAUAAAUCAGAUUUUUGAGUUAAUUUGUGCAACUAUAUUUGGUGAUGUGGCACUGUUGAUUGGACAGUGACAUGGAAGCUAACUGGAAAAUGUUGCAUCAAUGCUGAUGUUUCAACUUACUAGACAAAUAUAAAAAUCUUGAUUUGAAAGAUCAUCAAUUGACAUAGAUGGUAACUUGAGAAUUAGCUUUGGAAUGUUGGUUUGAUGAGUAAUUAGAUAGAGACUACUGAAUUACAGCCCUGUUUUGCCAUUUUUAAGCUAAAAUUAAUUAUCAUUCAAAGAGUUUAAAUUUGAUGUUUUUGGUUAAAAAAGAAUACUGUGUGUUACUGAGCAGCAGAGCUAACUUGUGUCCUGUUGGUAAAGGCAAAGAUAUGAUAAGAACUGAGAAAGCAAUUGCUAGUACAUUUGACUUUGACACAUAGAAACUGAACAUGUUAUAUGGCAUAAAAUUGUCCAAGUGCUGCAGAAUUUGGAUACAUGAUGAUAGUCAUAUCUGUUAAUAGUAUACACAUAUACAACUGAUAUUACGAGUCGUAUCGAUCAAAUAGCCUCGUUUUUGAACCCUUGUCAAAGAUGUAGGACUGUCAGAUGGUGGUUCCAUUCUUUUCAAGUUCGCGUUGUCUGGCUCUUUCCAUCUUUCGCUUACGCCAUUCCUCCACAACUGUACACAAGUUUAUUAUUGAAGGGAAUGAGUUUAACGAACCAUCGUAAGACUUAUUAACAUCUAAUGGUUUCAAAAUGCAAGAAGAGAGUACUAGCAGUCAAUACCAGAACAGAGUCGCAACAGUUUUCAGCCAUGUAGCGCGACACAUACAAUUAAAGGAGCAGUAUCUCACAGGUAAAGUCCAUUAUGACAGCAGAAAACACUGGCAAGAAGCAGAUGAGUAAAUCUAUACUAAAGAUGCAUUGCUAGCUCAAAAUUCUAUUUGCCAUUCAAAAAGACGAGAACUUUUGAUGUCCAUUUCAUGUAGGCCAUGCUUAUUUCUCAUAACUAUUGGUUUUCAUUAGCAAGUAGGAUGACUCAUGCAUGAAAGGAGAAUACACAAGGUAGGAGAAACCCUGCAAAACCAUCUUGAGGUUGUCGUAUAUGCUCCAAAAGCACAUGUGAGAGAUGCACACAACAAAGUCCUCAUGGAUAUCCCUGAUUUAAGAUGCUUAUUGUGUGACUAGUUGAUACCCAUUAGUCCUGACUCCUGAGUCUUUAUGAAGAUCAACAGGAUCUAACACCAGCGAUAGAAUGCAGUUCUAGCACUUCAGACUUUUUACACUCGAUUGCAGUGCACUAUCUAUUAUCCAGGUUUAACACUGCUACAUCAAUGCUGCAUCUCAGACUAUGCAAGUAGUAAUAAACAGGAUUUCUGUACAUACAAUUCAUGCUGCACGAUAAGAAGGAUGACAUAUACUGUUUACACCUAAGAGAAGGAAAGGGAAACUACGGCAGGGCAAGAAAUGUCUUAACGUCUGAAAUUUAAACAGAGGAGGAUAAAUGUAAAUGGAUUAAUGUUGUGAUGGACAGUGGUUAACUAAGAACAGUGUUUUCUGUUGAAGAUCAUACAUGAUUUGUAUUGAUUUGAUUCGAUAGCUGUGAUUUAUCUUCAUUAGGAGAUGUAAAUUUGCCAAAAACAUCUAAAUUACCGAAGCAAUAAUCAGUGUACUUAGUAUAAAUGUCCAAACAAACUUGAGGGAAUAAUCAAACUCAACGAGUCUCUCAGUCUUUCACGUAAUUCUUCCUAGUGUCUUUUUAGAAUACUGGAUAAGACAAACUACUAAUUCCUAUAUCACAAUUCAGUCCUCUUCGAGCCUACUUGCAUCGCUCUCAUACUCGUACUAAAACCGAUGAUAUAAUUAUUCUAUAUUCUCUGGGUAUGAUCUACUUGUGGACACUGUCUUAGAUCUUAUAGAAGUAGAAUAUCAAACUUUGGUCCCACAAUACGUGCCAUCAUCUGAUUAAAAUUACUUCUCCAAGAGGUAAGGUGCAUUGAGUUAACACAAAUAAAGUUGAUGUGUUCCUACUGACAAUUAAGUUGUCCUUCAUAUAGCCUCAAUUCAUUGACCGAAUUCAGAGGAAAGCAAAUGAACUGUUGAUUCAAGGGAAUCAGAUGACCGAUAUAUUGAUAAUUGUGCUUUUUAGAAGAUGUACAAUUGACUGAAGCUUGCUAUGCCAGUUAGUUUAGCAAAAAGUUUCUUUUACUGAUUCCAAGAGCUGCAGAAGACAUUGUUGACGGACUCACCAUGUGGCUAAGCGUUAUAGAGGUCUUUUUGUAUCUAAAGAUAAGAUAUAAAGAAUGUCCAAGAGGGUUGUUGAUUAUUACCUUUAACGCUGCCUGAAUCAGUAUAAGAACGAUAAUUGUUCAGUCUAGAUAUGAGGUCUACUGCAGCAGUCUGCUUUGCAUCCUUCUGUUGGAGAGGAUCUGGUUCGACAUGCCCUUCUUUCUGAAUUUCCUUCACCUAUCACGACAGAAGAUAUUGUAUUCUCCAAAAGUCACAAAAAAUAGAAAACAAAACAUUACUAAUACUAUUGAUGCACAGGCACACAUCAUUCUAAUUAUUCAGCUAAAACCAAACAAUAGGAAAAAGGAGGUACCUACUCUUUUAAUUAGCUCCACAGGCAACAUAGCACGACGAAUCUCUGCUGCUUCCGUUAUAUACCUUUCAACUGCAAACCAAACAGUAAGAUGCCAUAUUAGCCAUUCUCUCACCAAAACUAGAUUAGGUGCUCCUGCAACAGCUUUUUUUUUUUUUUGGGUAACUAACAGUAUUAUAAAUCACCAAAGGGCAGUCAUUACAGAAUUAGCUAGCUAAAACAGCUUGCUAUGGUCUAGAAUUGUAACAAAUUUACUCACAGAAUCUGACAUACUGAUGAUUAAAACUUUAAACUAGAGACUAAAACUUGAAUGUCAAGGGUAGCUCGCACAUUGCAUAUGUACGCUAGAUCUUUAGCCAUUGUUUUCACUUAUUUGCUUCUUUUUUCAAAGAGUCGCUGAUUUCUAUCUAUGUACAAUUUUUAAAGAGCAAAACUGUCUGUGUAGAAGUCCACCUUUGUUUUUGAUACGCAGGAGGGAUACGGGAAGAUUCCUCUAACAGGACUUGUACCAUGCUAUUCUGGAUGAGAUUUGAUAAUUUUUGCCAUAAUGUUCAUUCACAAGGCAUUCUAUUAUUCAUGUUCCAGCCAGUAUACACUACCUUAACAGAUUCUGAAAGAAGUGGAUAUCUUUUGUUUCCGUCGAAUCACAAGCUGGUGCAAGGACAAGCUUUUAUGCAAUUUUGACUGAGGUUACCAAGUAAUCACCCAAUUUUACCUCUAAAUUGACAGAUAAUCACUUCAAAUAGGUACUUCCAAAGGGUUGCAGAAACUCAAAAAGGGUCAUAUGGCAACUUACAAGAAACCUUAUUUUGUGCUAUUUAAGCAAGAGAUCUCACUAAUUAGUUUAUACUAUAGGGAGUACAAAAGGAAGCCAGUAACUUUCUAAAUCCUAAUCUCAUAUACUCUCAAUUAUGCUUCCCCUUUCUGAAAUUCAAAGUUCAACACUCAAUUAGAUCAGAAAAUGCAGCAAUUCCAGAUCAAAGUAAUCAUUUUUUACAUUUCUUAAUCAAACAGCAAAAAACCUCUAAUCCUAUAUGCACUUUCUCAAAAUUUAUGUUUUCUAUUGCUACCCUAGCAAAAACCCAGAAAAAAUCAAACAGAAAGAAACACAAUUUACAGAUUAAGAACCCCAAGAACCUAAAAAUGAAGCAAAUUUAAAGGGAAAAAAAAGCAAGAAGAGAUGGAAACCUGAAGAUGGUGUGGUGGAAGAUGAAGAAGAAGAGAAGAAACUGUGAAGUAUAAAAAGGGCAGCAAUUAUAUUGACGAAAGUGACAAUAAUGGUGGCAUUCUUGAACGACCACCUUAAUCUCCACCGAUGUUGUACAUGUACCACCUCCAUUUUCAACCCUCAGCUGAAAAAAAGAAGAAGCAAGGUUCUUGAUUUGCUAAAUGGAAGUUUCUCAUAAAUUGGAAAUUACUUUAAUUUUGUUUUGAAAAGAAAGGAGAAAUAUAUCUCGAACAACCAUAAACGGUAUCCCAAUGUUAUACUUUUGAGAUGCCGAUGCUUUUAUCGUACAAAAACUAAAGUAAAUAUGUCAUUUAUAUUAACCGACUAUACACAUAUUAUAAUGAAUAUCGAAUUGAUAAAUAAAAUUAUCUCAUAUACGUAUCCGUUAGUAUAAAUAAUAUAAUAUGCUUUAGUUUUUGUACAUUAGGAGUACCAGUGUCUCAAAAGUAUGAUAUAGAAUAUCUCCAUAUUAUUUACGAUAGUUUGAAAUAUACUUAUUCAUUUUUCUUUUCAUUUUUAAGAGUCAAAUCAUAAUAACUUUAACUUACAUUAACAAUGUUUUUUUUAAAUGUAUUGAUAUAUAAAAAGUCUCAUUGUAGUAAAAUGAUCGAAAUCCUACCUUUAUGUUCUGUUAUUACCAUUAUCCCCUAUUAGUUUAACAAAUCUUCAAAAUUCCUUAUUUUCACGUAUCAGAUUAAUGUAUCGCGUACAUCAGAUUAGUGUAUAUAAAAUGUAUAUCAAAUGAGUGUAUCAUGUAUAAAAUAUAAUGUAUUUUACUUAACGAUUAGUGUAUUUCGCACAUCAUAUUAAUUUAUCAGCGCUUAUAUUAUUGUAUCAGUUUGAUAAAUUUUUGUAAUUAUAAACUUAUAAAGAAUAAAUGAUAAUUUUGCGUUAAAAAGUACGUGAUUUCUCCAUUUUGCUAAAAAAUUAAUAUAAGCGCUAAUAAUACAUUAAGUAUCUAAUUUUUUUUUUGUUUAAGUUAUUGAAUUAACGAAAAAAUAUUAGUUAAAUUGACUUUUUGGAGUAUUUGCACCACCCAAACAACCCUUCAGUCAAUUAUUUUUAGGAGUAUCGGCGGCAGAGAGCUUACCGGAGAAGAGAGAAGAAAUUAGGGUUCAGCAUGGCGUCACGAGGGAUUCUGUCGAGGGCAAGUAGGAUGAAGACGAAGCUACAAUCAGCACUUGAAGCUAACAUAAUUGAAGUCGAAGACGUUUCUUACCAGCACGCCGGUCAUGCCGCCGUCAGGGAAACCGGAACAAACGAGACACAUUUCAAUCUCAAAAUUGUGUCAAACAAGUUCGACGGACAGAAUCUUGUUAAACGUCACCGUAUGGUGUAUGAUCUCUUGACUGAUGAAUUCCAAUCUGGUUUACAUGCUCUAUCUAUAGUAGCUAAGACACCCAAAGAAGAUGGCAUGUAAUUGUUCAGUUUGAGUUGAUUUUAUUCAGCUGAAUAAUAUUUUGGUUUUAUUAUGUUGAAACUCAAAUUGAGAUAAGCUAUGAAAGUGUUGUGCUGAUCAUAAUUACUAUUGUUUUUAUUUGCUUUAGUUAUCGUAUUGAUUGUUGUUGCUACUUGUUCGUUAUUGUAUUUAUUUUUACAUGCUUGUGUUUUGCUAUGCUUUACUUGAGCUGAUUGUAUUCAUAAGAUAGUGGUAAGUCUGUGUACACAUUACUGUCCUUAGACAUAAUUUGUGGGAUUACGUAUUGUGUUGUUGUUAUUGUUCCUUUCUUGUUGCUUUCCUUAUUAGUUGUUAUGUUUUCGUCUUCUUUUUGACUUAUUUGCUGCGCUUGAAAGUUGAACCGAGGCUCCUUCAGAAACAACCUCUCAACCUUGACAAGGGGUAUAGAUAAGGUCUAAGUACACUCGACCUUCUCCAGACUCCAGUUGUGGAUUUCACUAGAUAAGGUUUGCGUAUACUCUACCUUUUCCGGAACUCAGUUGUGGGAUUUCACUGGAUAUGUUGUUGUUGUUGGAGGUAUGGGGGAUCAUGAGUUCUCUCCCAUCUAUUUGUUCUUAUUAACAACCCUGUUUGAUAAAAGCCUGUGAUUUCUCUUGUUAAUUGCUUUGCUUCUCUUGAUUUUUCAGUCAAGUAGAGACGUCUUGUUGUUUACCCAUAGCCAGAUUUCAAAGUUAGGAAAAAGGAUGAUGUGAUCGAAAAGAUUAUUGGCUAAUGGGGCUAUUCAAAAAGCUUUUUUUUUGUCUCAUGUGUUAAUACUAGUGCAGGAUGCUUUAAGACAGCUAUUUUGUUCUGCAAAACUAUGGCUAUCUACUUAAAAGAGUCCAAUCAUUUGAUUAUGCCGUCCUCACAGUUCCUUACCUCUUGUCUUGAGGGUCUGCUGCACAUUGAUUUUUAUGGUAAGUUUUUUUCUGAUCACUAUCAGUUUAAUUUAGUCUGUCAUUUUUACAAGGUUAUUGUCUAUUUGAUUAAUCUUUAUCUAGAGAUUUACAUUAUAAGUGACUUUAUCAUGUAAGUUUUUACAUCGUCAGUACAUAGAACUCAAGUCCUGUUUGUUUUCCAUAUUUCUAGUGUAACUCUUCUUUUACCAAUGUUGAGUCUUGCUUCUGUUUGUUUUCCAUAUUUCUAGUGUAACACUUCUUUUACUAAUGUUGAGUCUUGCUUGGUUAUUUUUGUCAUUUCUUUGACCUCUGAUGUUGUUCUUUUAUGCCAGGCCGGCUUUAAGAGAGAAUAUUUAGAUGGAGGUUUAGCCUUCUUAUAAGUUUGUCUCUUUAUAUACAUAGUAAGAUGUCAAAUGGACAUAUUUGUUGCUCUUGGAUUUUGUCUUUGUCAUUUCUGUUGAUUCAUUGAGGAUAGAACAAGAAAGGAUUUUCCCAAAAAACAAAUCCAAAGGCUUAUAAGUCAGUGUAAAGUGAAUAUGCUCUUCCAUCGUAAAAAAGUGUGAAGUGAAUAUGCUCUUCAUAGAAAAAAGUGUGAAGUGAAUAUGCUGACUUAAAAGUCUACUUCUACAUAUUUUCUGUGACCCUAGUGUGGCUGAUCAUCGCCUUUGUAAGUUAUUGCCUCACCAAUAGUUAAUCAGACACAAGACCUUCCUCGGGCAGAUUCCUCCUUUUGCUCCUCUGUCCACAGGUCUUAGCAGCCGUUUCCAGCUGUCGUUCCCCUCUCAAGAGAGGUUCUUACGCGUUAUCAACCAUCCACCAUUGGAAAUAGCACUUUCUCUACGACUUGAAUGUGCUAAGCAUGGUGUCAGAGAUCAUCCGGAGCCAGGAGAGGACUAUUCUUCUAGUUGUAGUCAUGCCAGAAAUAAGAAGAAAGCCAACCAAUGUAGUGAUCAUGUUGAAGGAAGACAAGGUUCUCUUAGACAAGGUUUGAAUGAGUCAAGUUUUCAAUUGUCACUUGGCACUUCUGUAUCUCUUGUUCUAUCUGCUCCGACCAUCAAGAAAAUAGCCAAACAAAGAUUACUCAAUCAUAUUUCACAGAAAUCUGAUCCUUAUUCCAUCAUUAUCAAUCCCCUUGCUGUCUCCUGAACUGCUGCAGGAUCUGGACCUAGCUGAACUACUUCAAGCUUCCCCUCCACUGGUUGCAACUCGAACAUUUGAUCGUGCUAGAAAGCUGCUAAGCUUGUGUAACCAGUCUGCUUCUGCUACUGGUACGCCGGUUCAGAAAAUAGUGUAUUAUUUCGCUGACGCUCUUCAACACAGAAUUGAUAAGAGAGAUGAGGAAAAUGCUAUUUACUGGAGAGGAAGAUAUUGAAGCAUAUUUUCUAUUCGUUUAUGCAAGUUGUUGCUGAUCUUAGAUAAAUGCGCAUACUCGUCUAAUAUAUCUUAUGUUUGGACCUAAUAACUUAAAAAUGUAGCCCGUUAUUUUAGUUACCAAACUAAAUUUGGUUUAUCAAAUGGCUAAUCAUUUGAAAUUCAAUAAAAAAGUUAUUUAAAUACAUUGAUGGUUCAUCUGUUAUAAAUCAUAUAGUAUUUUUUUUGAAUAGCUUACAAUACUGAUUUUGAUAGUAAUUCAUUUAUUUCACAGGACUCACCUGCAAAGCGCGUUUACUCUUACUAAAAGUGGGAUGCUUCAAAGAUAGAUAGAAAGUAGGAUUAUCAUUUUAAGCAUAGAUUAAAUCAAACAUCUAAUUAAUUAAAUAACAUUAUUUUAAUUAUUUUUUAGUGAAUCAGGAAUUGAAGUUUCGUAAAUGGUAUGCAGCUACCCUCCGUCAUACUUUUGGGAGAUUGGUGCCCUUGUCGUCCAAAAACAACAAAACGGGGAACACAAAAACAAACGUGGUCGGCAGGAUUCGAACCUGCGCGGGCAAAGCCCACAUGAUUUCUAGUCAUGCCCGAUAACCACUCCGGCACGACCACUUGAUGUUCGUAUUUCUCGCAGUAAAAAUUUAUUACUAGAACAAAAAAUGAAUGUGAUUUUUGAUUUUCCCUUUAUCUUCAUCAAUUCUCAUUCUAGUGUUCGAAUUUCUUCAGUAUUUCAAUUUUUCUAUGCUCAUACUCCAUAGAAACUGCUUAAACUUCUUGACUACUUCUCCCUACAGUUCAAAAAUCCAAUCUUGCACCAUUUUUCUUUUAUGUCAUAGCAUUUCGGAGUAAAAUCUUGGCCCCUCUUCUAAAUGUUUCGUGUAUGAGACUUUCAUCAGUGGCUGAAGCUUUUUAGUUCAAGAUAAAUCCUGGGUAUUCUAUAUUUUCAGUUUUAUUUAUCAGUUUCAGCGUAAAGUUUCAAUCUUUAUACACUUCAAGGCAUUUUCUUUAAAAAAAAAAAAGGGAUAAAUUUGAAGCUUAUGAACCAUGUGUUUGAUGAUUUGCAGGUGUAAUUUAGUGUGUUUGUUCUGAUAGUAAGAUGGCAUUGACAUUCUUUAGAGGGAUACAGCUUAACCCGUCUAUGUUAUACCCUUCCUCAUAUUUUGCAAGAAAACAUGGUGUUUUGUAUUGUUGUAUGAGAAGUGCACAGACACAAACUGCAACCCAAGAAAAGGAACAGACUAAGUUGAAAGGUUCCACACAAAGUCAACCUAAAGCAGUUGAUAAGUUUCUGAAGGAUUUUGAGGCAGUUAUAGGGAUAGAAACCCAUGUUCAACUUUCCACUCUUACUAAGGCUUUUUGUAGCUGCCCUUAUAACUAUGGUUCUCCACCUAAUACCAGUGUUUGCCCUGUUUGUAUGGGUUUGCCUGGUGCAUUGCCAGUGUUGAACUCAAAGGUGAUAGAGUGUGCAGUAAGAGUUGGCCUUGCACUUAAUUGUAAACUGUCUUUGAAUUCUAAGUUUGAUAGAAAACAGUACUUCUAUCCUGAUCUUCCCAAAGGGUAUCAAAUAUCACAGUUUGAUAUCCCAAUUGCUAGUGGUGGUUAUCUUGAUGUGGAUCUUCCACUCGAGUAUGGCGGUGGCCAUAGAAAGUUUGGCAUUACCAGGGUGCAUAUGGAAGAAGAUGCAGGGAAGCUGCUUCAUACCGAUGGGGGGAGCUACUCACAGGAAAGAACUCCUCCUUCAUACAUUCGCAUCCCCCCCCCCCCCCCCGCAUCACAUUGUAAUGUUAUCGCCAUUGAUGUUUGUAUCAAUUUAUAGUGAUUUACUUUGUAUAUGUGCAUGAAUAGAGUUAGAUUAUUUGAUCUAACAUACUUGUUGCUUCUAUUAAUAAAGUACUCACUGUGAAUUUUAGGCAGGUGUUGAUUUGUUUGGCUCUCUGAUACAGGUUGACUUAAAUAGAGCUGGAGUCCCAUUGUUGGAAAUUGUAUCUGAACCAGAUAUGAGAACUGGUAUUGAAGCUGCAGAAUAUGCUGCAGAAUUGCAAAGGUUGGUCAGGUAUCUGGGAGUGGGUAAUGGGAACAUGCAAGAAGGAUCACUUCGCUGCGACGUCAAUAUUUCAGUUCGUCCUAUUGGUCAAUUAGAGUUUGGUACAAAGGUUUGCAUGAUCUGCUUUCCGUUUCUAUUGCUUUCCCUUAUGCAUAGGAAAUACUAAUUUAUAGCUAGAUGAUUCAGGCAUGAAGAUUCUAAAUUUUAGUUUGCUUUCCUUUGUGGAUGUUUUUCUUUCUUAUCUUGUUCUGCCAUUUUUCUUGGUGGAUGGUUCGGUAAGUUGUGUUUCAAGUGAUACAUUGGCUCCUAUUCCAUUGUUCAUCUAUGCACCACAAAGAAUGUCUCCUAUAUAAUCUGGUCAAUUGACAACUUAAUUUAGUGCCAGGUGUAAGUCCAGUUUGGCCAUUGCCCAUUUAUGAAAUUCUUGCUUUAGCCUUAAAAUUAAUAAGGGAAUUUACUCGUCAUUUGAAUGUGAAAUGUGGUCUAUGGUGGGUCCCAGAGGAGUCUAUAUCUGCAUUCCAAGUUUUGUGAACCCAGUAUUUUGUAUUCUGAUGAACAUAAUCUCAGCUUCAUUUGGUGGGACUGCCUUUGUUUGAUAAAACUUGAAACUGGAGACAUGUUUAGCAUGCAAAUUUUUUGUCUUAAUUCGUCAAACUACAUAUUAAAUACCAUUCAAGACUUUAAGUUAGCUGUCCUUGUAUUUGUCGCUAGAGUGAGUGAGUGACCAUGAUUUCCCCAUUUCUGCAACUUUCAUGUCAAUUACAUUGUUUCUUCUCUAUAAUGGAUCAAGUUUUUACUUCAUCUGGUGUUAAUUCUUUAUUGUUGCCUUUCUAUGAUCUGGAAAUUCUCAGCAGUGAGUGUUUAGUUUAAGUUGCAUAUGUUAAGUCAGCACUCUAUAUAAUGAACUGAUAUAUCUUUUUUUUUUGUGUCAGGUUGAAAUUAAAAACUUGAACUCCUUCUCAUCGAUGAGUAGGGCCAUUGAUUAUGAAAUUUCAAGACAGGUGGAACUACAUAACCAAGGCCAGAUUGAUCAAAUUGUACAGGAAACUCGUCUAUGGGAGGAAGGUGCUCAGGUAUGCAACUGUACUUUUUGAUACUACUGCAGUAUGUAUGUCAGACUAGUUUACUCAAGUCUUUCCGUGGAAAACUUAUAUGCUUAACCUUCUCAUACAUCUAGAAAACAGUAACCAUGCGAAAAAAGGAAGGACUUGCUGACUAUCGUUAUUUCCCUGAACCUGAUCUCCCUGGUGUUUCUCUCACCGAGGAGUAUGUGAACAGUAUCCGUGAGUCAUUGCCUGAACUUCCAGAAGAUAAGCGUCGGAGGUACGAGAAACUGGGCCUAAGCAUGCAAGAUGUCCUAUUUCUUGCCAAUGACAUCAAUGUAAGUGCUUCUCAUUGUCAGGUUCUGCUUAUACUGCCUUAUUGGCAUGUAGACACUCCAGUACUGAAAUCUAUCAAGCUGAUGUUAUUUCGUAAGGGUUUAACCUGUGAGUGAAGUGCUUCUCGCCAGAAAUUUAAUAUGAUGCUUUAAAUCCUUAAGCAUCUAAAAGGACAAGCAUUAUUUGACUUUUAGAUACACAUAAGUCCAUUUAGCUAUAUGCCUCUUGGAAGUAUUUACCCUCCCUUCUCCCUUCUCCCUUCUCCCUUCUCCUUCUCUUCCAUGAGUUCCAAUGGCCCAAUGAGACCAAAGUUGGGUGGGUUGGUGGUGGGUGGAGAAGAGGGUGCGGACUUGAGUAAGUAAAGGAAUAGAAGUGAAGGAUGAUGUUGUUCAAGAACACUAUCAUCCUUUCAUUGACUUAUGGUUUAACAUGGAUGGAUUCCCCUAUCAAGUUUGUCUUCAAAGGAGCCCGAAAGUAUGACAUCGUCAUCCUGUUAUUAAAAUUCUGGACUAUUAGCCUGCAUAAUCAGGCCUUUUCCAGCUUUUCCCAUUAUUUCUUUGUAGAAAUAUCCAGUUCCACUGAUAAUUGCAUGUUACAGAUUGCAGAUUUUUUUGAUGCAACAACUGCAGGAGGUGCUGAUAUAAAGCUUGCUGCCAAUUGGAUUAUGGGAGAUAUUGCUGCGUACAUGAAAAAUGAAAAAGUGACUAUCAAUGAGAUUAAACUUACCCCUCAAGAACUGGGGGAGCUCAUAGCUUCCAUUAAAGAUGAGACUAUCAGCGGAAAGAUUGGGAAGGAGGUAAAUGCACUUUGGGCGCUGAUAUAACUAAAUUUGUAUGGUUGAAAAUCACAUCUUAUGGUUUUCCUAUACAUUACUAAUAGAAUUUUUGUUUUGCUGAUUUUCUUCACCAUUUAGAAUAUUUUUGGGUGCGUUGAGGUUGGGGAUUUGUCCAGUCACAAGUAACUAUCUGUUAGGCUUCUUAAUUCUUCUGCAAAUCACUGACCUUCAUUUGGUUGCAGUCCAUGUUGUAUUUGAGAAGCCAGGAAUUGGUAUAACAACAACAACAUACCUAAUGUAAUCCCACAAGUGGGUCUGGGGAGCUAGAAUGUAUGCAGACCUCACCCCUACGGCCCUACCUUUGUGAGUGAGGUACCUGACGCAGGAUAGUGAGAAAAGAGACAACAAAGUAGCAAGAUACAAAAAAGAUGCAACAAAAGAUAGUAAUACACAUUGAAGAAUAAGAAACUAUGUGAUAGUUGAUAAUAAUACUAAAAGGAGAGGAGAAAACUAGCCCAGUCCCUUCCCCAUUCAGAAUGCGACAACACUCAUCUACCUACUAACCUUCAAUCCUCAUCCUCGACCUUCAUAUCUGAGGUCAUGUCCUGAGUCAGCUGAAGUUGUGCUUUGUCCUGUCUAAUCACCUCCACCCCCAGUUCUUCUUCAGCCUACCUCUACCUCUCCUAACUCCUGCUACAGCCAACCUCUCACACCUCCUUACUGGCACAUCCUCGCACCUCCUCUUCACAUGUACGAACCAUCUCAGUCCACUUCCCUCAUCUUGUCCGAUGUUUCUUAUUGGUGUUGAUGCUUUGGUUUACAAUGUUUUAGAAACAUUAUAACUGAAGAUGGAACAUAUAUCAGGAAUUUAACAUAUACCUUCUUCAGACAGUCAUGACUGAUGAGAUCUGCUAUAGAGGCCAAUUAAGAAGUCCCUAUGUUAGCAGCAAUGUAGUCUCUCUGUAACUUCAGUUUAUUGUUGUACCGUACUUUGUGACUAUCAUAAGCUGUUGUUUGAGUGUGAGAAAUCCGUACUGAUCAAGAGUCUUUCCGGCAUGACUAGUUUGGCAUGAAUCAUUUUUGAUGAUACAUCUUAAUAUCUGCAUGGAUGUGUGCAUAUAAGAGAGGGAAAGAGUAUCACUUGUGCAUAAUCAGUAGUAUUCUUUAGAAAUGCAUAAAUAUAUGGUAACGGGUCACUCUCUUCAUUGGCUUUACUUUGAUCCACUCUGUUCAAUUACUAUGUUUCUGACCGAUAAUUGUUGUUGAACUUUACAGAUUUUAUUUGAGCUAAUCGCCAAGGGUGGAACAGUCAAGGGGCUGAUAAAAGAAAAGGAUCUGGUUCAGGCAAGUUGGCUUGCAAUAUUGCAAGAGCUCUAGUAUUUUUCUCUUGUUAUAAAUAAUUAUAUAAUAAAAUGAUUUUACUGUUCUGUUGAUGAGCUUUAUAAUCAUCUGUUGAACUGGAUUCUUUUAAAUCUCAAAAAAAAAAUUUCUUGAAUAAACUUUCAAGACCACUAACUUAUCACCUGUUACCAAUGACGCUGUUCUCUCAUUCUGAUGGAUUAGAGUUAAAAUUGUAGCCCGUGUUACCUGAAUCGUAGUUAUUUGGAGACCCUUUGAUUGGAUAAGGAAACUGAUCAUGAAACAACUACAAAUAAAGAUACUUGAAGAUGAAUAUUGACCCCACGAAGACACUGAGCCAAUCAACUUUAGAUUGCUUGAUGACUGUAAAUUAUCUGAUGUAUUGAUACUUAAUCUUACUUCCAAGGUUUCAGGAUUUACCUAGUAGAACCUUUUUAUAACAAGUUGUAGAUGUAAGUUUUGGUAUUGUUGUGAUAUCAAAGUCAAAUGAAUGCUAAACCGUUAUUGUCUCAGUUUGAUAAAAGCCUCAGCACAGUUCCGUUAACCUGAUUCUAUGAACUGCGUGGAUAAUCUAUUGCGGAUAUCAUACACAUCACUGUUAAAGUUUCCAUUACUUAUCUAUAAAUGUUCAUGGUUAAAAGUUCCCAAAAUUAUCUUCUGAAGUGUGUCAAACUGUGUGUAUUUGUUCUCGAUUACACUGCCUCAGAAUUCUACCAUGAGCUAUCUUGUCUAGAAACAUCUUGACCUAAGUGACCAUGUGUCAUUCAGACUGACUGCCCUUGUGGUUGUGUUUAUUGAUGUUAACAAUUUGUAUAAAGUGGUGUUGUCGAUUUACACGACUGGCAUUUUACAACCAAGUAAGUAACUGAAGCAUAUUUGUUAUUAAAGGAAUCUAAUCUACUUUCUCAUUUUUGAAUAAACAGAUUGUUGACACUGCGGAGAUUGAGAAAAUGGUAGAUAAGGUGAUUGCAGAUAGUCCAAAGCAGCUGGAACAAUACCGCGGUGGUAAAACUAAAUUGCAAGGUUAUUUUGCUGGCCAGGUAUGUUUUCAUUCAGUCCUUGGAGUUUGUUGUUUUCAUAUCAUGCUGGCUAUUGACCAUUACUUUUCACAUUGUUGUGCUGAUUGCUAGGUGAUGAAGGAAUCAAAAGGCAAAGCAAAUCCAAAACUUUUGAACAAAAUCCUUUUAGAGAAAUUAAAUGCCAAAAGCUGAUCAUGUACGAGCUCCGUCUAGCUCUUUCUUUUCCUGGUCCAUAUAUGCACCAUUAGUCAUUUGCUUUCCUCUCUUAUCAUAUUGCUUAUGUUCCGUUUGGAUGGCAUGAUGACUAUUACCAUCUUUGCAACGUGAUUUCAGCGAUUGGCUACUGAUGAAGAGUCGAUAUUAACCGGUGAUAAUCUUCAUAUCACCAGCAAGUGCAAGCACCUGAUUAGAGCUUUUCAGAUCAUUUGCAAAUCAUCAGAACUGAGGAAGACACAUGUAGCAGAGGUAGGAUAGGUCAUUAUUUUCGACAUUUUUUUGGACUAGUUCUUAAUAAGUACAAUGAUGGUAUAUUUCGAACUACCAAAACUCUGAUUUAUGUACUAAGCAUCAGGGGAGAAUAAGCUUAUUGUUAAUGCAAUUGCAACUGAUACUUUCUUCCUUCAAGUGUAAUAUAGCAUACACUUUACUAUGGAUUGUCCUUUUUGUUAAUGACUUUUGUUGCCUAUUUGACAUAAGUGUGAGCAUAAAUUAGCUUAGCUUGCUUAUGAGCCCAGAGUUUGAGAUAUUUCAAUAAAUUGGAGAAGUUGAGACUAAUAUUCAAGAUCACACUUUACUAUUGCAAUUUUUUCCUGAGGAUUUGUAUGUAAUGGUUCUAUCCUGAUUUUCCUAAAGAAUUAGGGUUUAAAAAUAGGAAAAAUAUUCUAUCAGUAACAAGUUAAAUAGCAAAAAUUUAUUAUCCUUUCAACCUUGAGAGGUUGACAUUCAUUUGGUUUUUCUAAUGGCUUUUGCAAACAACAAAAAGGGCAUUAACUUUAGGAAUCACAAUUUAUUAUAGACAAAAAAAAAAAACUACCCUAUGGCAGCCUCAUAUUCUUGUUUUCUUCUUUGUUUACCGUUCCACUACCAUACCCACAAACGCUGGUUUUAUCAUUAGGUAGAAAAACCAACGUUUUACGGGCGGCGGUGGACGGUUAGUGGUGGUGGUGGGGCCCGGUUCGCGUAUUAUAAUGACCAGAGACCAUAUUAUGGCAAAUGGGAAGAAAUCAACUAAGAAAAUAAUGGUGGUGGCUGAUCCAACUCGUGAAUCAGCCUCUGCCCUUCAAUACGCGCUUUCCCAUGCAGUCGCGGAAAAUGACACGUUGAUUCUUCUGCAUGUUGGUAAUCCUAAUGCAUGGAGGAAUCUCCUUGGUGCCUUGAUCAAGAAGCCAUUGCCAAACUCGUCCACGUCGACGUCCACAUCCACGUCCACGUCCCCAUCGGAUGGUAGUCCGUUCAGUACUUUCUUUAGAAAGUCAUUGACAAACAUAACAUCACCGCCGCCAACAUCUGCGGCCUCUCAUGGUGCCGCGGAAGACGGUGGUGAUGAUGUCAAAGGGUGCACAGGAAAGGGAUACAUGGAUUUUCUUGGUACAAUGAAACAUGCAUGUGAAGUUGCACAACCUAAGAUAAAAGUUUGUACAGAAACAGUAGAUAUGGAUGGUAAUGCAAAGGAAAAAGCUACUGUCAUUCUUGCUAAAUCUGCAUCUUUUGGUAUUGAUAUUCUUGUUAUAGGUCAGAGAAGGAGUCUUUCUAAUGUAAUACUAAGGUGAGUUUACAUUCUUUUCAUAUCAUCUAAUUUCAAAAUUGAGCACGAUCACGAGUUUUAAUUCAGUCAUAUUGGUAUUUUAGGAGAAGAAAGCUAGUAAAUACAUAUUUUUGAGUGUGAACUCCACUCCCCAACACACACACACAGACAGAGACAAACCUCCUUUAUUUCUUCUCUUUUUGGUUGAACAAGUAUGAAUCAUCCUGCAUUUGUGUGUGGCAGGCCUAAAAGAAGUGUAUCACUAAGAGGGCUGGGGCUGGAUAUGGCAGAUUAUUUGAUUGACAACAGCAAAUGCACCUGUGUUGCAGUUCAGAAGAAGGGCCAAACAGCAGGAUAUCUUCUCAACACCAAAACUCAUAGAAAUUUCUGGCUCUUAGCAUAAUACUAAUUUUUAUAUGUAUAAAUUAGUUUCUUCAUCCACCUUUUUCUGGUACUAAAUGGCUUGCACUCUAUAUACUUCUCUAUUUUAUUUGGUUAUAUCUACAUAAGAGUUGCUGUUUGUCAAUUUUGUGGAUAUAAAUAGGAAUAGAUGUCAUUUCAUUCUGCUAUAAUCAUUGCGAAGGCUUAUGUAAUGCCAAAGUACAAGAACACAAACAGUAUUGUACCUGUAUUCUCUGAAAGUUACUGGACAUGCAGUGUUUAUCUGUCUCUACAAUACCAAGAUCAAAAAACAUAUAACCGGUGAAGGAUCAACUCGAGCUGUGAAUAAAGGAGACAAACGAAUAUACGAUUUCUUGUAAGGCUGUAACCAAGAUAUGAAGCUUCAUAGAUGAAAUUUCAUGUAACAAAGAAAAUGUACAAAGUUAUAGAGAAUUUAAAGUUCAUCAUGCAUUGCUUGUUCUAAGGGUACAUUUAACUCAGGAUUCAUCUGAACCUGAGCAACAUUUGCACCUUGUCUACCAGCUUCAGCUAUUAUCUCCGCUUGUCCAGCUGUACCGGACUUCACAGCUUCAAUGAGCUUACGCUGCAACUUGAGCAGCCCCAUACGCUUUGAAACCACGUAAAGCACAGCCAAGGAGAAAAUAAUAAAUCCAACCACCAGUAUCACCCUGUUCACACAUUGUGUUAGUGUUGCAGUCGAGGUUAAAUGCAUUUCCAAACAACGUAAUUAAAUUGCAAUGGCAUUAUAAACUCAGCAGUACAGGUGCAAAGCAAAGGUCAAUGUUAUUUUACAAAGUCAUUAUCACAUGAUACCUGUCCAGAAUGUCCUGCCGUUGCAUUGUGGACAGAAGGUUUCGAGUUCGCGAAAGCAAGGAGCGGUGGCCCUUGUAUUCACUCUCGGCUUUCGUUAAAACGCCUGUUGAUUCAUCUGUAAUAUACAGAAUAUGUACAUUGUCAUCUAGCCUCGACUUACAUACUUUUCACAUUUAGGAUAUGAAGAAUGGCAUCCAAAAGUCAUGGAAGCAGUCACCAUCAUAAAAAAAUUGGAUAACAAAGCCCACAUUGUUGUCAUCUAAUGAGAGGUGUAUCUCUUGAACACAUCAUUGCAUUGUCAAGGAAACUAAACCGACUCAUGCACAACGUACCACAUUGGAUACGUAGACCCAUCGAGUCAUGUAAUGAAUAAUAUCAAUGUAUUUUCUGGUCAUGAUCUAGUCGUAUUUUUCCUUACAACCAUUAAUUAAGCUUUGAUGCUGCAGAUAGUGUUUAUCUAUAGGGUUACUUUUACAGUAAGGUAUAUUUAAGUGCACUUUACUAGUAGAUAACCUGGGUAAUCAGUCCUAAUAACACAAGGCCUAACUCAUCUUUUUUAUACAAGGAACAAUGCUUAUCUGUAAGUUGAGCUUUGAUUAACAACCAAAAAUGGCAUAUAUCCGAAAUUGAGGUUUACAAUGUUUUAUUUUCCAAUACUCAGAUGCAUAAUCAACAGAAACAAAAGUAAAAAUUUAUUCAAAAGCAAACAGGAUACUUUUCAAUAGUGGACUUGUUUUCAUUGUAACUACAAAAAAAUUAUUCUAUAGAAUGUUCUUACUAACAUAUGUCCAGAAGCAAUCCUAUCAUUCUCUUUGUAUGGUAUGAAGAAAUGCAUUCUUUGAUGUGUCUUUCGUUAUAAGACCAUUCUUUAAAGUAAUAUCUAAUACCCCCCUUAAAGAGAAGGGGGGAAAUUUUUAGAAGAAAAGAAAAGAACCUUUCAUCUCAAUAUGACCUUUUCCUUAAACAUCCAUUUCAUGCAAUCAAUUUUUCUUUUUUUAGAAGUAACAACAACACAAAAAUAGCAAAAGAACUAGAGAAGACAAGAAAAACGUCACCUGGCUAAAGCAACAUAAGCUAAAACAGAUAAUAAAGACAUGUCAUGACAAGAGUGACUGUCAUUCAUAAACACCGAAAGGUACUUACCAACUGUCAUUAGAGUGCUUGCACUUCUUUCAACCUCCUGUAAGCAUAUUACAAACAGCAAGAGAACAGGGAGUGUUAUGCAACAUAAAAAGCUCAUAAAUAAAUACAUCAGGCAAAAAAAUUUAAAAGAAGAUCUUAAACCAAGCAAAUGAAAAUAGAAGAAAGAUGGCAAUAACCUGAACCAUAAGUUGGCGUGUGCGGCGCAGGCUCUCCGUGAUGCUUUCAGCUGCAGAUGUCAUUCCAGCUUUUGUCCUGGCAAAUAGAUUCAUAAUUUAGAAAAAAAACAUUCUGAUACUUCUGUCCUCAAAAGCACAGACAUAUGAGCUUUAAAAGUGGAGAUAACCAUGGUAACGUAAAGACUAAAAGGGUACCACAUACUGUAGAUUUCGUCUGCGAACUGUAGAUUCUUCCCCACCUCCCAAGAGAAGCUCCCUCUGACAUCAUAUGAAGGCAGCUUUUAGUAUGAAACAUUUUCCUAAUAUUGGUCCAAAAGAGAAGAAAUUGCCGGUAAAAGAUUUCCAUGGUUCAACAUCAUUUUCAAGGCAUAUGUCAGCAUGAUAUCUCUUGUGAGUAUUAUGCUAUUAGGCACAAUAAGGGAUGAAAUGCAGGAUGUUGACACGUUAAUAAUUCUGACAUGCAUCCGAAAAGGGCAUUCUCAUAUCCUAUUGCCUUGUCGAGCAGAAUCUCUGCUAUUACAGUAUUACUAUCUGGGAAUUGCCAGGAGAAGCACAUUUUUUAAAUCACAAUUCAUAUCAUUCUCAAAAAAUAAUUCUGACAUGCUAAAUUGUACUUGUCUUCUAUACAGAUAAACAUACUACCUCUUCUUGAGCAGCUUUCCUCAUGUUUGCCUUUGCUUGUAAAUUAGCAUUUCUUAAACUCAACCUCAAACUGCAACAUACAUUUAAAAGAUCAUAAAGGGAAUAUAGUACUAACUAACUUCAUACACAUGAAGUGAAAAUAGUAUCACGGUCUUCCACCAUGACACGGUUAGAGAGUAAAGAGAUAAUACAUCCGGUGAACAAACUCACAAAUAGCCCAAAUCUAAAACAGCAGAUGAUACCCAAAGAAAGCUAUAAAAAAUCAACCAAUAGUUCUCCAAAAAGCAUAUAUUUUUUUUAACUUAUUUCCUGGAAGGGAGUUUUUCUCAAGAGGACAGCAACAAUAACUAUGCUUCAAUCUCAAACCAGUUGGGGUUGGCCACAUAAAUCCUCUACAAUCCUUUUCACUCUACUAGAACAUAUUUGAUUUAAAUAUUGGUAAGUAUUUUAUCUUUUGAGACAGAUCAGAAGUUCUUCAGACUAGGAGUUCCCUAAUUAUCAUUCUUAUUUAAAUCCAAACUUAAUGUAACUAAAAGCUAAAUCAGCCAACUACAGUUGGUGUAUCAAAUAUAUGAAUCCUUUACUUCUACUUUUGUUUUCUUAGCUUAAUCCGCAAUGAUUCUAGGUGUUUUUAACAGCUUCCUCCAUAUGAUUUUAGAUCUUCUGUAUCCCUUUAGUAACAUCAAUCACCAUAAUGCCACACUUACGAACUCAUACAUUCAGAGACUAAUGUGAUACAUGGACAAACUAUUCAGACAACCUUCUCUUAUCUUAUCCUCCAUGUGUGUUAUUUGAACACUUUAUUUUGAUAUGACCGUCUCUUGUCUUGUUCAAUCUUGCAUUGCAGCAUCUAUCUUAAUAUUCACAUUUUCUGCCAAGUGUAAUUUUAUUGAUAAUGAGAAAUCUCCCAUGUACAAGAGGUAUACCAACAAGUAGAGAACUCUACAUAAAGAUAUAUAUUCAAAGUCGAAAUUACAACAAUAAGGGAAAAUGUAAUCCUUCUGGAUAUCAAUUCAUUCAUUAAAAUGUCACUACUAAGUUAUAUACAAAACAAUUUAGUCUAAUAGUCAACCAGAAAAAGGAAACACCAUAUUUUGUCAAGAUCCAUAAUGUAUUACCAAGUAAGAAAAACUAAAAGAAACAAGACAAAUCAAAAUUUUCCUAAUCUGAACCAAAAUCUGACUUCCUCGCAUUACUCUUCUAUAGAUUAUGGGCUGAAACAGAUGCAAAUAGUGAAGAAUAAAUAAGUAUAGCUGAACCAAAUAGUUCGGGAUGUAGACUUGCCCACUCGAUCAUCUAAAACCCAAUGAAAGUAAACACACAAAGAAGCCAAAGGGAAUUUAAUAUCUACUAUAUUAUACAUAUUUUGAUCCGCACAAAAACAAUGUAAUUUUCCAUUGGAAGGGGUUCGGAUGACCCUACUUGGUUCCGCCCCUGCUGAAAGCAAGAAACUUGAAAUCAUCCCCAUUACUUGUUCAACUUCCCAACCCCAAAUCUUAGUCUGUCCUAAUCUGAACCAAAAUCUCCGACUUCCUCACAUUACUCUUCUACACAGUAUGGGAAAUGAAACAGAUGCAAAUAGUGAAGAAUAAAUAAAUAUAGCUGAACCAACUAGUUUGGUAUGAAGACUUCUCGACUCAAUCAUAGAAAAACAAAUGGCAGUCAGUAUGCACUAAGGAAGUUCAAAAUAUGAAAAGUAAACACUCAAAGAAAAAACCAAAAGGGAUUUAGCAUCUGCUAUAUCAUACAUAAGUAUAAUUUUAACCACGUAUAAACAAUGUAAUUUUCCAACAAGGGGGUCCGGAUGCCUACUUGGCUCCACCCCUAAAUGAAAGCAAUAAACUUGAAAUCAUCCCCAUUUCUUAUUCAACUUCCCAACCCCAAAAUUCUGAAUUCCAAGCAGUGUAAUUUUCCACCAAAGCAGUUUACUUUGGUUCCAUCCCAGCUGAAAGCAAUAAACUUGAAAUCAACCCCAUUUCUUAUUCAACUUCCCAACCCCAAAAUUUCUAAAUUCCUCACAUUACUAUUCUACAGUUAAAAUAACCCUAACGGUCCUAAUAAAAGGGAUACAUAUGAUUCAUAUAAAACAAAGCAAAGAUGCAUAUUCGUUUUUAGCUACCUUUGGAUCUGAGUUUUCCAUGAUUGUGCCAAAGACUGAGUUUUUUCAACUUGAUCAUCUAAAGGGAGUUGUGGGGCUAAGAGAUCAAGCUUAAAUUGAAGUGAUUGAAGCAGAUUCAUCCCAUCUUGAGCAAGACCAUUCAAUCUUGGAAGUGAACUUUUCUCUUCUGAAAUUAAUCUUGUUGUUCCUGAUUUUCCAUAUUCAUGAAUAGAUUUGAUGUGUUCUUGAGUCUGUUUGUAUGUUUCUUCCAACUCUUUCUUCACAUUUUCUACUUCUUCCACCACUUGAUCCAUUUGGGGUUCCUUCAAUGGUGAGAUUUUGCAGAGAAGAAAAGGUUUUUGGGAAAUUCGUGGGAAGAAGAAGAACUUUUUCGGGUAAUUUAUCAAUUUUAGUCCUUAAAAAAAAUUUUUUGUUCAAUUUUAAAUAUAAACAGCUUAGAUUUAUAUUAAUAGAAUUUUUUUUGUAAAAUUAAAUCUUUAACUCAUUUUUAAAAUGUUAUUUUUCUAUCCCCGUUACAGUUUUCGUUAAAUUAUACUUAUGAAGAGAAAAAUAGUAUCAACGAUUCAAAAUAAAAUUUAAAAGGAAAAAAAUAUUAAGUAUAAUUUUAUUCAAUAGAGGAUAAUAUAAAGUAUAUAACUGUUGUUAAUGAAUAUCUUCGCUUUUUUAGCGGUUCAUAGUUCACAAUCAAUGCAAUUUUUUAAAGUUUUACUUUUAAUGUGAAAGAAAAAUAAGAGAUUUGAUCUUACUAUUCAAAUUUCUUUAUGUAAAAUAAUAUGAAUAAUAAAAUAGAUUUUUUUUUUAAAAAAAAAGAAUUUGCAAAUGAACCAUCUUAUAAAUUUCAACUCCUAAAAAAUUAAACAAAUUCUCCUUAAUAACUCGUUGAAUUAUAAAAUUUUGAAUUUAACAAGUAAUAUUUUUUUCAUUUUAGAGUAAAGACAUAAACACAUUAUUAAAGUUGUCUUGAAUUUUCAAGAAGACAUAUUAAUUGUCUCAAAUUUUUAAAAAGACACAUUAACUUUUCGGGCGACUUAUUCCUCAUAAAAUAUUAAAUAUCUUUGUAAAAGGAUCAUUUUAUCCAUUUUCUCACAUGUGAAGCACACACGUGUUUUUAAUUAAUUUAAUUUAAAUUAAUUCGAUCCAAAUAGUUUCAAAAAGAGAAAACUCUUUCUUUUUGUUGUUUUCCAUUUCUUUCAGUGCGAUUGUUCAAGAUCAUUUGCUUCAGUUAAGAUGUUUUUUUUAAUCAAAAUUCUUAAAAGACUAGCUGAGUAAACAAGAAAUUGAAGGUUUACUUUUCGUAAGUGAAAUGCAUAUUUAUAAUUAAGAGUUCUAAGGAUAAAGAGUAUCCAAAUCAAUUAUGUUUUCUCCAUCUGUGCAAUUAGCUAAGAAAAUUACUUGAAACAAUCAUAACGUCACUGUAUAAAAGAUUAAAUGAACAUGAGAAGAUAACAUUUCAGAAUCUAAUUUUAUCGUAGAAAUGAAAAAAUGUGACACUUUAAUUAUUUUUUUUAACAAAAAUAAACUUUCAUGCGUGACAUCUGCGUGUUUCACAAACAAAAUGAGAAAUACAACGACAUUCAAUACAUUUGUGGGGAAUAGGACGUGACAAAAUUAACGUGUCUUUUUGAAAAUUUAAAACAACUUCAAUAUUAAUUUUAUUUUAUUUUUCUCUUCUUUUUAUAGUAAAAUUUAGCAUAUUCAAAUCAUUAAUAGCAAUAGUGAUUUCAUUUUCCUAAAUGAAAUGAUGACUUAUAUUAUCUUUCCUCAUGACUCUUAGUUUGAAUAGUCUAAGGUUAAGAUUCUUUGUAUAAGAAUAUUUGAAGACAAAUAGUUGGGAGAGAAACAUUUGAGAAAAUGGCUAAAUGAUUUAAUUUCUUGAGACAUAAAUUUCGUUAAUAUAAAUCUAAGUUAUUGUAUAAAAAUUUGACAUGAUAAUUUGUUAAAUACUUAGAACUAAAAUCGACAACUAUAUUGUUAAGGAACUAAAACUGGUAAAUGUAUAAUUGAUGAACCAUCCCUAUUUAAAUUGUUAAAGAACUAAAAUUAACAAGUGUAUAGUUGAACAACCAUUUUAGACCUACUCCUACAGUCAAUGGACUAUUUUCUCGAUAUAAAUAUGUCAAAGUAAACCCUAAUAGAAUAUUGGUUAAAAAAUAUUGUUAUAGUCGUCUCUCAUAAUUUUUACGCACUUCAUUAGCUAGUAGACCACAUCUUUGUCAGGACACUAAAACUUAGAUAUCAAAAGUGUUACAAGGCUUAAUUAACCCUUAGUUUCACAGGUGAUGAUGUGAUAUACAUGUGGAGAAGCUAAAACUAACCCAAAAUUGCUGCAGCCACUGAAAGUUGAAUUACUCAUCCCUUGAAAAUUUUCAAAAACUAAUACAAAUUUUAUACACCAACUUGAGCUCUUCCAUAGCAGAAUGAUGAGUUCAUCUAAGCGCGGAUGAAGGUUCUGGGGAGAGAUUGGUUGUGCCAAAAUUUCGAUGCUUACCAUCAGCAACGUUUGUUAGCUGAAAACCAUGAUUAGGAAGUUGAUUUAUUAGAAGAGUUUCCAAUUGGCAGGCGAUGCUCUUGCCAGAGACUAAGAAAUAUAGGAAUGACGCGUUUUCCAUUCCCUCCUUCAAGCGAUGAGCACGUACUCUGCCCUCAAGAUCAUCAGUCUGUACAUAUAAUCAGAAAGAAGAACGUUAAGAUAUAAUAUGUCGAAGGAAGUAAUAGCUCACAAUAACCGAAAUGAAGACUAGUGUUUGCACUUGUGUGCCCAUAGACUUCAUUUGUAUGACUAAAUAAUGUCUGUCUAUUGACCAUUUAUCUCGAGUAACUUUAAACAUAAUUACCUCCACAACUUUAAAAGAACAUUUCGGAAAAAGAAACUGAACACUUAAUUCAGUUAUUCUGCAGACAGCAAGACAAUUUUUUACAACAAAAUGAGGCUCGAUUCUGAAUGGCAUGCAAUAUGUGCAGGCGGUCUCCCAACUCGUUAAGCAUCUCAAUACAAUUAAAUCACAUAAAAGAAUUGAUUAGACAAAGCAUGCACUUUAAGACUCAACCUGGAAAAAGGAAAAGAUGUACCUGUCCAACAUACAACUUUUUGUCAGGUCUUAGCAUUAUAUAGACACUUGAAGCACCAAUUGUUGAUGGAGCCGGCUGUUCCCUGGCAGCAAUAAGAACGCAAUUCACCAUUGGCAUUUCUGACGGAUUUUUCAUUUUAUACAGCUCAAUUAACUUCUUCUCACAGAUAAGACAGAUAGCAUCUUCAAGUUUCUUGCUUGAAAUUCCCAUUCGAUGCAUUAACUUUGUGCUAGAAUCCAAAGCUAUUUGUCUUGUACCAUUUAAUUGGUCAGAACUGUUAUCUGUGCUAUUGAGGUCAAUAUCUGAACAAAGAGGUCUUAUUUGGUCUAUCUUCCUUGGUAUCUGAUUCCCGUAAGCUGAAUUAUACAAUUCUUCUGCUCUUUGGAUUAAUAUUUCUGGAAUUCCUUCUCUCUGAGCUGUUUCAAAUGCUAGACUCUCUUUACAGAUCCCAUCAAUGAGUUUCCAAGUUGGUAUUGGUUGACCGUCAACAUAUUCAGCUCCCAUUGCUUUAUACACGGUCUUCUUGAUUUUCAGGGGUAAAUCAAAUAUUCCAUGCAAGUGGGUUGAUACAAUUCCCAAACAGCCAAUUUCGUCCAGGGUUUCUAUGACACUUCCAGCAAUACAUGUCCCUUUUGCUGUUUCUGUUCCUCGACAUAUUUCAUCUAUAAGUACAAGACUUCUUGAAGUGGCACCAGUAAUCAGAGACCGAAUUUCAGACAUUUCAAUCUGAGGCAUGUUAGACAAUUAAGAGUCAUAAUGUUGCCUUCAAAAUGCCAUGAGACUCUACUAUGUCAGCAAGGAAAAGUGAAAAAUGAUGAAUAGAAACACCAACACCUAGAGUCAUGAUUGUUAUGUACACAAACGAAUGAAAUAGCUUCUCUCAGAAAAAACAUAUGAUAGAAGUGGAACUAACAUCAUUAUCACCGACAGAUUAAUCCAAGAGAACGGUGCAAAGGAAGAAGACUCCAAAAUAAGAACCAAUAAGUUAACCAGAAGAGAGAUUGCCUUUUUACCAUAAUAACCACAGUAGAACUACCAGUGUUGUGAAUGGCGAGCGCCUCAUCGCCUUUGGCGAAAGGCGAGGCGAGGCCUCCUCGCCAUUCCCCACUAAGGCGAGGCGGUAUGCAAAAGGCGGCCCAUGGCGACCUAAUGGCGCCAGAAAAGGCGGCGCCUUUUUUUAAAAAAAAAUAUUUGACUUAAACAAUAUUAGUCAAAAUUAGGGCUUUUUUUUUAUAUUUUCAAAAUCUUCUGCUGCGCACUCUUCUCCCCAACUCUUCCCCUCGCGAUCUCUUCUCCUUGUCUUCAUCAUCUUCGAGUUGCUGCUGCUGAAGACCUGAGGUAUACCUCUUUUUUUCUGUUCUUCUUCAAUUCUGGUUUCAGACUUUCAGUUCUGUUUUCUUCAAGUUUUCUUCACUACUCUUUUUUUCCUCUAUUUUCUUCACUCUCUCUUUUGUCCCAGAUUACUGUAAAAUGCCUUCUGUUUUCACUGUGCUGUGAGUCUGUGACUGCUGUCCAUUAUUUUUUGAAAAAAAAAUUAAUUCUUUCUAUAGUAAUUAUUAUAGUAUUUGUAAUAUAUGGAGCUAUUGAAAUUUUGAAUAUUAUAUGUGCAAUUAAAUAUUUUUAAUUUUUGGUAUUAAUUGGCGCCUCGAUUCAAAAAGGCGAGCGGCGCGUGGCGAGGAAGGCCCUUGUCGCCUCUCGCCGUCCAAAACACUGAGAACUACUAUGUACUAAAGAUUCUUUUGUCAACAGGCACAAAAUUUUUGUUGUACAUCCACUAUACUCAAUCCACUUUUUGGGAUGGAGAGAAUAAUAAGAUCAGUUGUGCCAAAUGUCUAAGGAAAUCACUCAUGGAAUUGUGCAUCCCUGAUGACUACAGUUUGCAAUCAAAUACAAGUAGUCUUAACAAGCAAAAUCAUCUACAACAAGCAAAAUGUAAACUGCUUAUCUGCUACAAUCGCAGCCAAGCAUCAUGAUACAGCAUUCAUUUCUUGUUUUAAUUGCAGAUAAAUUACUAGGUUCCGAGCAAACAGGACAAGAAGAAAAUCAUAUAUGCUACAAAUCAAGAAUAUAGAACAUAUUACCUGAAAUGAACUUUUUCCAUCAACAGGACUAUCAUAUGAUUUCAUAUGCAGCAUAAUUGAGUCAAAAUGAGGAAUGACAGCUGAUUCAGCUGGAACCAUGAACCCACACAUUCCUAGCAAUGCAGCUGCACACAACGAACGCAGCAAGCUUGAUUUGCCCCCACCAUUUGGACCUGUUAAAAGAAACAUGGACUGCAUAUCUACUGUAUUCUGUACACCAGUCCCUCGUGCUGCAUCAAACCAAUAAGGAGAUAGACCAAUUAUCUUCAUUCCAUCAGUUCCAUUAAGUGCCUCUGUGUCCUGCAUUUUAAUGGCAUGUAAUUGGAUCACAUGAAUAGCAGAUAAAAAUAUGAAGACUUCAUGUCAUAUUUUUCUCCAUAUGAAACCGGCCACAAAUUAGAUGGGAGGGCCUGGCGGAGGCCAAAGCUCAGGAGAUUGGAGAGAAGUUGGUGGCUAAGGGGAGUAGUAGUUACACAGAUAAUAUUUUUUUUAGAAAGAUAAUGUUGUAUUCCACAGCAUUAAGGAUAUGCUGAAGACCUCCAAAAAUUGGUUUCUGUUAGGAACCACAACUCUCUAUUAAGUCUGUAAAUUUCCAAACACAAGACAGAAAUAGGAAUAACACUUCAACUAAUAUUUACUGCUACAGAUAAUUAGAAUAAGUUAUACAAAUAGUUAGUAGAGAAUACUUCUAACAUUCAAGGAAUUUCGAGGAACCUUAACCUCCAAAUCUGCCUGAGAAAUCGUUACCCAAAAACUGUCUGCAUUUUCCUUCUUCCCAGUAAUAUUUAUCCCCAAAUACUACCUAAACUGCUACAUAACUACUAGAAAUAGAUUUACAUAAUAAUUAAUAUAUAAAACAACUACAUUUAAGCCUUAUCUCACCCUUCUUUCUGCGCUUAUAGACCUUAGUAACAACAGGUCUAACAGUUUCCAACAAGAGAAAAAACAAAAUGGCUAAUAGAUUACAAUGUGCCUACAAAAUCCAAAUUUGAGAAGUUUCUUCUAUCCCUUCCUCUUUACACCAACACAUAAAAAGUAGUCAAGCAGUUCCAUUUGACUUUCUCUAUUGAAUUAGCCUUGUUAGCAUAGCAUCUGCUAUUUCUUUCUUUCCAAAUAGACCACCAAAUGCAUGAUGUAUUACUCCACCACUUUUUCUAAGGUCUCCCCCCCCAUCCCCACCCCUCCCCUGCUCAUCAAGCAACUAAGCAAUUCUGUUUUGUAUGUGUUAGUCCUAAAAAAGGGUUCCACAAUGUAUAGUCACUCUGCAAUGGAGGAACAGAUGGUUGUUGGUUUCUCAGUCUCAUUACAUAGAGAGCACCAAGAGGCAAUACAGAAACCCCUCCUUCUCAAUUUCCCAAGUGUGGAGCAUGCUCUUCUGGCAACCAACCAAGAGAAACACUUUAUCUUGAUUGGCACCUUGUUCCUCCAAAUCUGUUUCCAGGGGCCAAGCUUACCACCUGUAUGCUCCUUCACCUCCUUAUUAUAUAGCUUGUUGACAGAAAGGCUUCCAUCUCUAGUGCGUUUCCAUAUGAUAGAAUCUUUUUCUGCCGAUAACCCAUUGAACCCGUUCAGAACAUGUAAUAGCUCAGUCCCUCUCCCAAUCUCCUCAUCAUUUAAAUGCCUUCUAAACACAAAAUUCCAUCCAUGUUCUCCAAGCUGAUACCCCAUAAGGACUAUUCACAGAGUUGGAGACCCAGUUUCUAUUCAACCCCUACUUGUUGACUAUCACCUCCCUCCACAGUGCUUAUUCCUCAGUGUUGAACCUCCAUAGCCAUUUUGACAAGAGGCAUCAAUUCUGCAACCCAACCAAGUUUCUGAUUCGAAGUCCAUCAGAUUGUUUUUACAACUGUGCAGUCUGCCAUUUGACUAAAUGCAAACCUUCCCUUCUCUAUUCCCUUUCCAAAAGAAAUCUCUUCUUAGUUUGUCAAGUCUUUCUUCCACUUCGGCAGGCAUAGGGAAUAAAGACAUAACAUAAGUUGGAAGAGAGUCCAACACAGAGUUCAUUAAAGUGACUCUCCCUCCCAAAGAUACUGAGCUUUUCAAUUGGACAGUUUCUUCUGUCUUUCAAUUUUGCCAUCCCAAAUUCUAGCUCCUUACGUUUGUGCCCCAAUGGCAUGCCCAAGUAAGUAGUGGGAAGUUUUUCUACUUUACACCCCAAUAUCCUUGCCAGGCUCUUCAUUUUAGUCUAAUAGGUAUCGUUAUCCCUCUGCCUCUAGGUUUUCCCCGUCUUUUAAAGUUAAAUGAGAUUCUAAGUUUCUUAGCUCCUUGGGUACACUAUGCUGGUUGCUGUCCCUCUUGGUAGCCUCUUCUUUAUAUAAGUAGCCUCUCUUUUGGUCCCAUCUUCAUGAGUAAUUCAAAGGUUGUUUUAUCACAACCCUAGAAAGCUGCUCCAAACCUCUUGCUGAAUUGAAGAACGUUAGAUUUCACCCAUAUUGAGGCUCCAUCUUUCAUUUCCUUUUCUGAGAGAGGUUCUUCCAUCAUUUUUAUUCGAACCAUAAUCCUUCUUCUUAGAAGAAUUUGAGCAGACUUUGUCUCUUACCUCAGUGUGUUGCAUGUUGUCGGCUAAAAUGAUAAACUGCAUAAGGGAAGAAACUAGAGAGGUUUUAGGGGUAUCGCAGGUGGAGGGACAAAGGGGUUUAAAUUGGAAUGGAGAGGUCCAAUGAAAAGUGUUAGCGAAGAAGCCUACCACUUUGUAGAACAUACCCAUAAGCCUUGAUGACACAAUCUUAUCGCACAUUCUCCUCCAUUUUGCCCACCUCACUCCACUACCUUUGACAUCAUCAUUAAUCUCCCUAUAUCCGUGGAUUAUGGACCCAAGGUACUUGAAGCUUCUCUUUUGAGUAUGACUUGUGCAUCAAUCUUCACUUCCACCACUGCCUCAUGCAUUACGUCACUGAACUUGCACGACAGGUUCUUUGUUUUAGACUUGCUUAAUUUGAAAUCUUUAGGCUCUAGGAUCUAUCUUCGAACUUCCAGUCAAUCAUUAACUCAACCGCGAGUCUCAUCUAUCAGUACUAUGUCAUUUGCAAAUAACGCACACCACAACAUCUCCUUUUGGAUCUCCAUGUCAAUUCUUCCAUUACUAAGAAAAAUUGGGAUGGGCUAAGGACUGACCCCUGGUACAACCUCAUCACGACCGAAAAGUGUCUUGACUCACCUCCCACUGUUCAUAUCCGGGUCUUAGCUCCAUCAUCAAUGUCCUUAAUGGCCCAAAUGUAGCCCACUGGCAAACAUCUAGAAGACCUCCCUAAGGACAUUGUACACCUUUUCUAGGUCGAUAAACACUAUGUAUAAGUCUCACUUCUUGUCCAUAUACCACUCCAACAAUCUCCUUACAAGACGAAUGACUUCUUUAGUCGAUUGUUCUGACAUAGAUUCGAUUUGGUUUUCGGAUAUAGAGACACGCCUACUUAACCUUAUUUUCAACCAUCCUUACCCAAACUUUCAUAAUAUGACGUGGUAGCUUGAUACCCUAAUAGUUGUUGCAAUGUUGAAUACCACCUUUGUUUCUUGUAAAGCACACAAUUGUACUCAAUCUCCCUUCUUUGGCAUUUCAACAGUUCGAAAAAUGACAUUAAGCAACACAAUCAUCCACUUCAUACUUGUCUACCAGUGUUUUUCUUAAACUCUAUCACUAUCUCGUUUGGCCCAGUUGCUCUUCCUUUUCUCAUAUUACAAAUAGCCCUCUUAACCUCUACAUUCUGUAUACACCUACAAUAUCCAAAAUCUCCACGACUCACGGAAUACUCUAACCCAUCCAACAUGAUAUCCAUGUGCACUUAUUCAUUCAAGAGCUAGUGAAAUAUGUUUGUCACCUCUCUUCUUGUCUUUGAUGCACUUCACUUAGUCGUGGUCACAAUCCCUCUUCUUUCUCAUCUUGGCAAGCCUAUACAACUUUCCAUCCCCACUCUUGCCCUCGAGUUCUUAAUACAUGUGCUCAAAAGCUUCUGAUUUAGCCAUCAUGACUGCUAGCUUUGUUUCCUACUUUGUUGUCUUAUACCUUUCCUUUUUUUCUCUCAUUCUCCUCGUCUAAGCUUUCCACUAACACCUGUGUGGACAAAUCAUGACAGAAAUGAUAAGAAAUGAAGUUAAUAUGGGGCAAGAUAGAAGUGGACUCCAUAGCAGACAAACUAAGGUAAGCGAAGCUGAGACGAUUCGAGCAUGUGAAGAGAAGGUGGCGGAUGAGCCAAUUAGGAGGUGUGAGAGGUUGGUUGUAAUUGAAAUUGAGAGAGAUAGAGGUAGGUCAAAAAAAAUCGGAGGAAAGUGAUUAGACAAUACAUGACAACUUCAACUUACUAAGGAUAUGCCCAUACAUAGGAAGGUGUAAACGUCAAGGAUUAGCAUAGAAUAGUACGUAGCAACUGUUACCCGUUAGGUGGGAGAGAUGGGGGCCUAGCCUCGUCUUCUCUUCUUUAAUAGUAUUAGUAUCUAGUAAUCACGUAAUUUCUUGUUAUUCAAUGUGUUCUUUUGCUAUUUGUUGCUCCAUGUUGUUUCGUAUCUUCACAUUUUAUUGUCACUUUCUCCUUCUUGCAACCCUUCUCCGAAUAACCUCUCUUUUAGAGUAGAGGGUCUAUCCAAAAACAACUUCUUUACCCAUAAAGAUAGGGUAAGUAGUCUACAUACAACUUACCCUCCUAAGACCCCACUUUUGGGAUUACAUUGAGCAUAUUGUUGUAUUUUUCUCCUUGUGUUCUUCCACAUAGGAAAAUAUAACAGAUACUAGUGCACCAGUCGCCACAAGGCCCACAACCAAAUUCUGAGUGAAGUUUUUAAAGUCAUUUGGUGGUGAUGAGUGACGUGUUAAGUCUAUACCAAAAUGUGGAGGUACUAAUAUUUAGAAAAUGUCAAAGAAGCAAAUAUCCUGAAGAUUACCUGACAUUUGUUAAAUUGUGUGAUUGUUGGGAAAAUCCAAUUUCUUCUUCUUCCUUCACUGAAAAGAAAUAAAUAUUAAGAUUAUGGGCUCAAAUCACGGGAAAAGUAAACAGGUGAUUGAAAAAUAAUAGCUCUGAACACAUUCAUAUACAAUUCUUCAAAAUGAAAAGGCUUUAGCUAUUGGGCACUGAUGAGAAAAUUUUAUGACAUAUCAAUAUAAAACCGACAGAAUAUAACAGAACUCCUAGAGACAAUUCAAGAAAGCCCCAUCUAUAUCCAAAAUUCACUCCAUAUGCACCAAUAAGUUUUUACAAAUCUAUGAAAUAGAUCCAGCUAGUACCACAUGCUAGCACAACUUAGCUUUCACUAGUUCCUUGGUGCAGCCUGGAGCUAAAUUCCACAUGUAAUUUAGAGAAAAUCUAAUGUGACUUAAAAGGUUUGCUUUUUACUCAACCCCAAAAAACUAGCUCAUGAAGAUCGCCCAAAACCAACAUAGGACUUUGACAACCACCUAGGGACUGGACAAAUAGGAGAGUGGAUAACAUAACACAAUGGUUCUACAAUGAGAAACACAACAAGGAUUGAUGGGUUUGGCUCUGAUACCAUGAAGAAAUAGACUUUGGGCUUAACUCAACCCCAAAAAGCUAUCUCAUGAAGAUCGCCCAAAACCAACAUAAGACUUUGACACCCACCUAGGGACUGGAAAAAUAGGAGAGUGGAUAACAUAACACAAUGGAUCGACAAUGAGAAACACAACAGCAUGGAUUGAUGGGUUUGGCUCUGACACAAUGACGAAAUAGACUUUAGGUCUAAUUCAACCUAAAAUGCUUGCUCAUGAGGGGAGGAUUGUCAAGACCAUAUAAGGAAACCCCAACUCAUUCUCUCAACCAACAUGGGACUUAACACAAGUAAUAAGUUUUAUAUAUCAACUAAACAGGCACUAACCCUACUCUUAAUAAUGCAACAUCGUUCUCUACAAAGUAAUGUGGUCCUGGAAACACAAUGGUAUUUCAUGUGUAACCAAAAAAUACAGCAACAGUUUAGCAUCUGGAACAAAGUCUCUCUAAAAGACAUGAGAGUACCCAGUUACGUCCCUUUUGAAUUUUGUGCACCAUUGUGUUAGGAUAGACAAUGACUUAUCCUUCUCCUCCCACUUCCCCUGAUUCUUCACUAGCGCAUCAGCUUAACAGAAUUCAGAACUACGAGGUACAAGCUCAUUAUGUCCAUAUCAUGCAAUAGAUGAAAUAGCUAUGAUGUCACAAAGUUCUAUUAUGGCUUAUUACAGACACUACGAUUCUCGGUGUAGAGAAGUAACGAUUAAGUUGUUCAUCAGUGCAAUGUCAUAUUUUUGAAAAGGAACCUUCCAGAUUAUAUAGAUUCAUGAUCCAGUUGCAAAUACACAUGUAAGGAAUGGAAGCAGAUUAAAUGUAAAAGAUGAAUACACUCUUAGGCAGUUUGAGUCAACAAACCAGAAAUUGCGCAAGUGCCACCCACCCACCAAAGGCGGGAAAAAAAGUAGUAAUCCUUAUGGAAGGUAAGAAACUGUUUUCAGAUAAGCAGUAGGUUUCUGUCACUAACCUCACAUGAGAAAAUAAUGAUUUUGCUAUCACAUUCAAGACAGAUGCAAAGAUAAGGAUAUUGAUCUUAGAUAGUAAUUCAGAAGAAAGUCCCCUUAGCAAUUCCAAGACCCUUGACUUUGCCUUAGCACUUGCCUCGUGAUACCUGCGAAAAACAUCCAAACAAUUUUUUACCAAAGAAAGUAUUUCCAUGUAAGAAUCAGAAAUUGGCUUCAAUGUAAGCAAAGAACCUAGCUAUUGCAUCUUCCACCCUCAUUGUAGUGAACCAUUCUUCUCCAACCUUCUUCCCCUUUGAAUCUAGAGCAGGUCUGAGUUGCUUAAUUUGUUCUUCUCCAGCGGUUCCAGCCCAAACAGUUGGUACAAAUCUCUUUCCCUUAAACCAUACAGCUCCAUGCUCACGGGCAUACAAAAUCUCCCCUUUAGUUCCUCCAAGUGGGGCCAUCGUGGCCCUUAUUCUUGAAAUAAUAGGUAGGAAAUCUUCUGUUAUCUAGAAACAGAAUGGAAGACCUCUUAAAUAUUUGGGAGAUUGGUUGUUAAGUUCAUUAAUUUGAGAUUUUUGUCUCUUUCUUCUUUAUUUAUUUUUUUUCGAUUUGGCUGCUAAUCUUGGAACUGACUUGCAUGGUUACUUCUAUAAAGUAUAGGUCGAAAUUCUAUAAUUCAAGAUCUAUUUGCCUGGAGCAAUUAUGACUACUUCUCCAAAAAAUUAUUUUUAUAGAUCAUUUGUUUAGACUCAGAAUCUCAAUCUGGUUAGUCAACCAGCCAAAGCAUUAUACAUGACUAUAUAGAAAAAGCAAUUUAUAUUUUAGCUAUCCAGAAGAGUACUAAAGAACCAGAUGCACAACUUGUAAUUAUUAGAAUUAUUAUUCGGGGUGAUAGGAUAGGAAUUAUUAUUUGGGAUGAAAAGAGACUCACGGCUAAAGAUAAAGCAUCCGCAGCCUUUUCUACUUCUGCAUAUGCUUCCUCCAAAUGGAUCCUCUUGACACGGCCUUUCCACAACAACUCCAUAUCUUCAAAGAAAUCAUUUGGGAUGAUAGGAUAGGAACUAAUCUUUUGAUCAUUUUCACCAUGUACGGAUAUUAUUUCACUGAUUCUACAAGAAAUCUUUCCACAUUCAUUUACCUGAAGUAACAAGGGGUUAAUCUUAAUCAGAUCUACAAUCAAAGCACCGUUUGAAAGAAUUGGGCGAAAACAAAUCUAAGUCAAAUUAGUCAAUACAUGAGCAGAUACGAAGAGCACCUGGCACAUCGAUCAAACUAAAAAAGGCGAAAACUAAAAUCAAUAUAAACCCUACAAGAAAGAACGAAUUGCAGAAAAAACUAGAGGCAUAUGCACGUGUCGUACCACCAGGAAACCAAAUAUGAUCAACAAAGUUAAUAAUUCUAGUGUACUGAACGAUUAUUACACGCCUCUAAUUGUUGUUAGCCCAUGUAUAAGCUAUAAAAGAGUAUGUCCAUCUAAAGAAGUAUCACAAUUUAGUAUUUUCUCAACUCUUUUGAUGAUCUUCAUGCCUAUACAUUCUAUUGAGCACCAGUUAUGAGAAAAAAGGUUCUCGCCAGGUAUAAAAUGUAGCCAUGCUUUUACAAUGUAGAAGAAAUUUAAAAACUUAUACAGGAAUCAUUCAAUUAACAAGAUACAUUCUUGCUAGACGGUUAAAGUAGCUCCACACCGUCAUCUUUGAUCUCCAAGCGCAUACAAUGCAAAAGCAUUUUCAAGAAAAGGAAAAAGGAAAAAAAAGAUUAAAAAAAAGAAAAAAGCUGAAUGAUUCCUGUCCACUUAUCCUAAACUGGACUGCACGAGAUACUUGCUCUUUAUGCACCACUGAAUAUUUAACUGUACAGGAAGUCUUCGUAAUUGGAAGUGGAAUAAAAACCCCAACAUCACUUACUAGUGUAUCAAAAUCAACUUUCAACCCAGUUGCCACCCAAGUAGGAUCCAUCAGUAACUCUACAAUAGCACGAAGCUCUGAAUUUCUAUACAACUGCAGUAUCUCUUCGACCAUGCUCUUUAUUUUGCAGAACUCAACGUGAUUUGCCUCCCUCAACUCAAGCAGCUUGACCAGCUGUAAAUAGAUAACAAAAAGCGCAGCAGUAAUGCUUACAAACUGAAGCACAGAAAGCUAAGAAUUGUUUGGGAAGGGAAAGCAGCUUGAGGAAGAGAAUUCUUCUUUUAUAUAACUGUAGUUUUCCUACCUACCACAAGGUUUGAAACUCAAAACACAUGACAUAAUGCCAGAACCAAUUAUCUAUAGAAUGAAUAGUAGACAGAAGUAGCAAUGCUGCUAAACUGAUGACAAAGUUCAGAAUAGUAGAUAGAACCGAUGGACUUAAUAUAUCUCCCAAAAGUCGAAAUUUAUAAAAGAAAUUCAUAGCAAUCAUCUGUUUAUGAUUUCUUCUUCUUUUAUUGAAGUAAGGUGUUAACAUUAAAAAGGCAUAAGAUGCAUAAGGUGCAAAAAUUAGUGAGGACUGUUAGCUCUGCUAUUACAGAAAAAUAUAUGCCCUAUCAAAGAGUUAACACUCACUACAAAAGAGUGAUGACUGUUUUGUGUCACUACAAGAGAGUGAUGUUUCCAGAGAUAAAAAUUCGACAAGACAAAUCAAUCUUACCUGAAUCACAAAGAUGGACAUACGGACAGGAACCAUGUGAUGAGUUCAGACAAAAUAAUGUCGGUACACAAAAGAGAGAAUCAACCAGUCAUUGAAAUCUCAGCCCAGAGUUUUUAGGCAUCAGCAAUAAAAUGUAGGCUCUUAUUUCAGACAAGAAAUAAUACUAAAAUAACAUAACCCAACUUAAAAAGUUAAGAAGCAAAAAUUGUUACAGCAUAUGAACAGAAUAGGUAAGUUUUGCAGUGACAAUGAAUUGAAUAAUGAAAUGCAACCUUUGCAGAUGAAAUACAGGUAAAAUCAGGAAUUGAACAUGUGACACUCAUCAUAAGUCUGCAUGCCUCUGCAAAAACAAAUGAAACAUAUUAGUAAAGAAAAAUUCAUUGUGUUUGUUAUAAGCACUGAAGACAAGAAAUAAGGAAGACAUAUAAGCCAUAUAUGACACUACAAAAAAUUGCUUGGCACAAAAAAAUCAGCCCCCCCCCUCCUCCUCCUCGUGGCAAAAGAAAACAGUAGCAACUACCCAAUCCCAUACUAAUUGAGUCAGCUCAGUGAAUCUUUCAAUUCAGCUCAAUGUGACGAAUUUCGUUCCAAUACUUAAAAGCUUUGUCUUUUGCAGAUAAGGAUUUAUUUGUUACUAGAGAUUCUCUACACUUUCUCCAAACAAAGCUCUCGACACACUAAAAAGAUUGCAACCCUAAAGUAAGUUUGCCAACGUGACAUAUCCCUAAUGAACUAGUUGGGCAUUGCCCCAAUUAGGAAAAAUUAGUCAUUUUCUCAACAUCUCAUUUUGUCUCAAAGUCCACCAACCCCUUGCGCUUUAGGAUACAUCUAACUCAAUCAAAUCUCAAAGCUUACAACUUGAUCUUAACUUCACUGGCAGUGACAGCGUGGAGCUUCUUAUUGACAUCAACUUUUAUUUCCAAAAUAGUAGCAAAAGAUAUUUGUUAGUAGAGAACAGACAAAAAAACAUGCUCCACACGUUUGCUUCAAAUAUAUAUAACUAAAUAAGUGAACAAUUUCAGCAAAAUAUGAUCUUCAAUAACUUUUGUGCAUAUUAGGACAAUUUUUGUGUUCAUUCAAUUUUGGUGCACUACAUAAGGCCCUAAUCAGCAUAAAUGAUUGGAUCCUUUUGGGGAGAACCACGUUUUCAUGUAGGUUCUCCACUUCCUGUAAACUACUUGGUCCACUUGUACACAGUGACUUUCUGCCUAUAAAGGAAGUAAUUCUUUAUAAGAGAAAUGAUUUUUCACAAUCCCAAAAUCUUACUAGAUCUGAAGUUUGUUACAAUUGUGCUAUUUGCACAGGAAGUCUGAAAUAAAGAGAGAGACAAAGAGAGAGAGACGAGAUAAGAAGGCAAAAACAAUAUAAUUAUUAUGGAAUCAACUCAUGAUAAGAAUGACAAACAACAAAAGUUAAUUACAACUCUCUUUACAGAGAACAUAUUUUUGAGAUUUUUUUGAGAAUUUCUUUUAAGAGAAUGUACUUGGAAAACCACAUAAUCGAGGUCCACCAAUGCAAGAGAAAAGAAGAACAUUAUUCUUUGAGUGAGUAAAGUAGGAACUACUGAUCAAAUGCCUGAAUCAUUUGAAGUGUUGCAAUUGUCUACACCUAAACAACGUGUGAGAGACUAUAUUGCUCGGACUCUUCAAAAAUGUCAAGAGGUGUGUGUCGGAUUUGCCAAAAAUAGUGUAUUUUGGAUAAUCCGGCAUGGGUGAGGCAUCAAAAGUGAAGAGUCCGCACAACUUAGGUGAGAGAAAGGGUAGGGUUGGGGCUGUAGAAAGACCAGUCCUAAACGACCUAAACUCGGAGCUUCCUGGUAGUUUAAAAAAGAGACGAGAUGAACCCUUCCGUGUGGCCCAGUGGUUUGAGCUUGGGACUUCCAUGUUGGAGGUCUCAAGUUUGAAACCCCUUGUCAGCGAAAGCAAGGGUUUGCCUUCUGGGUCGAGCUCGUCGCACCAGGCAAGCGGUUACCUCUCCUAUGUGGUUUGCGAGCUAUUGCAUAGGAGCUGGGGUUUUACCCUGUGCGCACCCAAAGGGUAGCAACUGGGGGUUUCCCUUGUCAUCAAAAAAAAAAAGACGAGAUGAGAUGAAAUGAAAAGGCAGUCUGGAGGUCAUAGGCUAUAGGUGGAACAGAAGGCAGUGGUCAUAGUCAUUGCUUGGGUUGUAAUAUUUGCAUAGGCUGUGGCAGUGACGGGAAAGGGAUGAAACAGAUAAAAAACAGAUAGAGAGCAGGGGGUUAAAAAUGAGUGGUAGGGAGCACGAAGGAGACGUUAACAGAGAACAGUAAGGAGAAUAUCUAUGCAAUGUCCAUGAUCCAGUUUUUGUUUGACCAGAAUAACAAAAAAAAUUAAAAAGAAAUAUCUUGUUUACCAUAUAUAUGUUAAUAGAAAUCUUAAUAGGUGAUAUCGGCUCACCAAAGCCAAGUAUGUAAGCUCGAUUUAAUGCUCAAAAGUUAAAUGAGCUGAACCGAAAGCACUGACUUGAGACAACCCAGCUUAAGCAGCAAUCAAGCUGCCUUAGCUUGGAUGCAACACAAAAUGUGAUGCCUCAUAAUUGGCUAUCAAUAGUCAGGAGGAUGUGCUUCAUCAAUUGAAUCGUGGUGCAGAAUUCUGUCAAGCAGACCACUGCUGGUAAUGCAGUCAAGCGCUCUCAAGCUGAUUGCAGCCCUAGAUGUGAUAGAGCUCGUAACAGGCCCAUUAAGAACCAGAAAGACCAAAAUUUAUCAAUUGAAUCAUAGAGCAGAUCUCCAUCAAGAAGAAAAGCAUCGUGCUAUAUUGAGUGCAUUUGAAGGAUUUAGAUAGCCAGUAGAAAUCCAAUACAAAGAUGCAUUUGGAGGAUAUAGACAGCCAGUAGAAAUCAAAUACAAAGAUAAAAGGGCGAAGACAAGUCACAGAGCCUGCAAUGUUUCCCUACUAGCACUCAUGUGGAUCCAGUUGAAGGAAAGAAAUACGAAAGCUUUCCAGGGGAUAGAGAAUUACAACACACACUUAAUAACUUAAGCUUUAAGAAAAGUAGGUUAGGACAUAAAUUGAACAUACUUUUCCAUUUUUACCCUUGUUAAUUAUUGUCAAAAAUAACUACACAUUAAUUAUAAUAACUAAUUCCAAUACUAACUUAAAGGGUAAAAUUGGAAGAAUAUUUUGAAAAUAGUUUUGAAAAUUGAAAUUGUAAGUUAAUUUGAAAAAUGAAAAAGGGCUCAAAGCUUAAGUUAUUAAGGAAUGGAGGGAGUACUUUCAUUCCUAGUUAUCUUUUGGUGCACACAUGAGGUUUCAGUUCGUACAGAAUAUUGGGCGUCAUUCAUUAGAAAUUCAUACUUGAUGUAAAUCUCUACUUUUGGGUAUACCUUUUUUUUCUACCCCUCACUUGGAGCUCCCACCUUUUUGCUCUGUUGGUGACUUGAACUCACAACCUUAUAGCUGGAAGUGAAGGGUGCUUACCAUCUGAGCAACUCCCUCUUGUCUACUUUUGGGUAUACUACUUGUAUACAGGAGAUUGUCUCAUUAUUUAUAAAAUUAUUUACCUUACCGAAAAUAAAAGGAAGAAACCAAAUAAUGAAACUACACUCACUAUGAUAUGACAAAAACAAGAAAGUUAAAGCUGUCAAUAUGAUCUUAAAGUUGAUCAAAUAUGUGAUGUAGUUAGUAAAAUGAUUGUCAUCAUGAACAAGUGAGGGAUGCAUGAACAUCUACAAUAUAUUUCUCACCUUGAAUGUCUGAAGAAAUCUCAUAGGCUGGUGGAUUUAAAAGAAGAUCCCUAAUAUACCUGAUAGAGAUAAUCACGGACACAACAAAUACCAGAACAACAUCAAAUGUAAAAAUAAGAAAAAAAAAUGAUACAAGAUAGACAAAUAGAUAAAUGUCAUAAAGAAAUAAGUGAACUAUCAGGAAGAUUAUAUAAUCACUUCAAAGUAGCAUUGAAACAAAAAUCAGUAUUCAGAAGGUCAUAACUGCUGAAAGAAGAGGAAGCUAUCCACAAAAAAACUUUUUUCUAAGAAAAUGCUAAAUAGAAAAUACAGAGAAAGGCCUGUGUGCAUACUACCCUCUCCAGACGGGCAGACCCCGCUUGUCGAAUUUCACUAGGUAUGUUGUUGUUGAGAAAUACAGUGAUAUAAUGAGGCCUGAGUGAAAUUAGCCACGUCUUAAAUUAAGCAACCAAAUCAGAAGGAAUACCCCAUUUUCGUCUGUGCUUCCUAGGGGUGACAGCUCUUUUAUAGCUUGUACAAAAUCUACUUAACCGACACUGUGUUUUUCUAAUGACCAUAUGAGUUCUUAAGGAGCUACAGGUUCUCAAUAUCUGGAAAACAAAUACAGUCAAUAGUAUAAUGCUGCUGUAAAGACGAGUGAUCCAAAUCUUUUGAUAAUUCUGUGCUACGACAAGGAUUAUUGAAAUGGCAGCUAGGUGGAGCAAAAACUAUAGCAGCACAGGUACAAAACAAUUACUGCUGGUUUACAGGAGCUGGGGUUCUAGAAAGAAACAGAGAGAACUCCAUGCAGUGAGGGCAGACAAUUGUUUGCAGUAAAAAAAUGCUCACUUACAGGACUGGUAGACCACUGCAAUGAGGAGGAAGCAACACCUUUAACAAACAUGGAAUCCCUUCGGUUGGAAUAGCACCUAAAGGAAACAAAUCCAGGAAACAGAUGUUUCAGCUUAGGGCGACAACACCACAUAAUGACAGAAUAUAACAGAAUUAAACACAGUACAAUCAUUACCAAUUUGUGUGGCAGUUCCAAGGUGUAAAGGACGGGGCCUAUUUUCUGAAACAACAGUGACAUUUCUGAAUGGAAUGUCAUCAUUGAGACCAUAAAGCUCUUUUACCUGAAAUUUCCAUUACUUUGCAUGUAACUUUAGUAAUGAGGAUCACAAGCAAUAAAACAAUGUGAGGCCAAACCUUGAACAAAAGCUCAUCGAUAGGAUUGCCAUCCAACCAUUCCUGCUGUCUAGCAUUACAUUCUCCCCACAAAAGUCCACCUUCACCAAACUCUCCCCAACGCGAUGUUCCUGUGAGGAGACCCUCCAGCUAAAUGAAGGACUGAAUAACAUAUACAUAUAUAAAUAGAGUAAAUUCAGAACAGAUGUGUUGCCUUCUAAUCUAAAGUUACAUGCAACUGCCUAAACAUCAUUGUUGACUCAAAAACACAAUAUUAGAUCAAAUAAACAUACCAAUCUCCCCCCCCCCCCUCUCCUUCCCUCUUUUUUUGGAACUGGAUAGCAAAACAAAUUGGUUGAGUCAAUGGAAGACCUAAAAUUAAAACAGAAAUUGAGCAUGUUCAGGAAGUGUCCACAACAAACUCUUCAAGGUUUUUUCCAACCAGUCAUAUCCUAUGUGGUUAUCAAAAUUUAAGUGAAGGCUAAUUCACAUAUAAACUUGAAUUGCUUCCUUGAUUAAAUAUGAAGAACCAAAUUGUUAACAACUUAACAACCACCCGGAAUGCCAAAAUUACAAAAAGAUGUUGAAGUAGUUUUAUCCUAUGGGAAAAUUCUAAAAAAAUUCCUCUUCUUUUAUCAGAAAAGAGAUAAGGAGAUUUGGAGAAUUCCCCAUAAUAUAAAACUGCUUCUCGGAGUGAAUUUCCCCUGAAACCAUUCUCCAAUGCAAGAAACAUACAUGAAAUGACAAAUGGAGAUUUUCAUGCUUUCAACUUAUCCAUGUUGCAAGGCAAUGACCUAAUGUGGUCCUUCAUGCAAGUUAUUUUUAUCAAACUCUCCAUUUUACCUAUUAUCGUCUCGAUGUAUCUCUAGCUCAUACCCCCCCCCGGGUGUUAUCCUAUCCUAAAAGGUUAUUGUUAAUGUUUUAGGACACUAGCAUGUAUGUAUAUUGAUAUAAAAUUAACACCACUCAAAACGAGGAAUCAUCCUUACUUACAAAAGCGAACAAAUUGAUAGUACUCCUCUUCCUUUGUCAUUUAAUCUCACAAUGAUUUUUUCUAUGAGACAACACUUAUAGAAACCUGAUCUUCUAAAUACGUCUUUUUUGUCACGGACUUAGACUCUUACUUUUACACACCAUGCGGCACUCGACAACUCGUUCCUUUGCUUUUACGUCUCAUGUCGGGAGUGCUAGAGCCAUAAAAUGAAUCUUGCAAGCUCAAGUACGCUUUUUUGACACUAGAUCUCUAAGGAAUGUUGGAUUUAGGAAAGACAUGAGAGAAUUGCAUAAGAGGGUUUGUGCAUUGCUCAAGACUUGGAAGAUUUGUCUGAUUCUUGCUUAAUUGUGUUACAAAUGAGUAUCUCUCUAUUUAUACAACACACCGAAGGGCUAAGAUGCAAAGUAAAAAUUGCAAGUCUCUACACAUUUACAUAUAAGUGUUAUUUCUAGAAUACUCUACACAACUAGAAGAUUCCAAGGACUUCCAAUGCAAAUCCAUGGAAUCCUAAGGCCUUCCAAGGGAUUUCUCCAAGUCUCUAGAACCUUCCAGUAUGGACUAGCUUUCUUCCUAUGCAAGGCUUCCACAUGGAUAACUUUAUGCCACAUGGCACCUACAUGGCAUGAUAACAUUGCGGGUCAUCACACUUUACACCAAAAGUAAAAAAGAGCUAGCCAUUUUGAAUACCUGGUAAAUCACCUACCAAAGCUUGAUUUUGAUCUUAUAAAUCGUGGAACAUAAACCUCAAAUGCAUAAAUACAAUGUUUGAAACUCGUAAGACACCCAAGUAGCCUCAUGGUAAUAGCUUCAUCGCCGAAGUCUAAGGAGAACUUGGUGAGAGAAAGGGAUGAAAUGUAGAGCUUCCUAAGAGAACAUUUGCAUAUUGUAUUAUUCGAUUAAAAAAAGUAAGAGACUAGUACACAUCGGAUAGAGGUUGGGUCAGAUUGGUUUUUUAAUUGAAUUUGUAUUUAUUAUUUUUUAAAAAGUACACCAUCAGAAGUUGGAUUUUCCAGCAAAUGAUUUUUAGGUUACUAAGGGCAAAACUUGUGAUUUUUGUGUUAAAAAAUAUAGUUCACUGACUUAAGUGAAAAAGACUGAUAUUUAUAUGACAUCUAUGAAACUUACCCAUUUAGUACCUCAAUUAGAACAAAUUGGAGUUCGAGUAUCUAAAUGAAUUUCGCUGACAACUUGAGGGAGGGGCCAUAUAUAUAUACAUAUACAUAUAUGUAUAUGUAUAUAUAUAUGUAUAUGUAUACAUACAUAUAUGUAUACAUAUAUAUAUAUAUGUAUAUGUAUAUAUAUAUGUACAUAUAUAUGUACAUAUAUAUAUAUCUAUGUACAUAUAUAUAUAUAUAUAUAUAUAUAUUUAAACUAACAGAUAAUAAUAUUAGGUAGUGUUACCUUCUCAAAAAAAGGAUAAUAAUAAUUAAGUUCCAUUUCUUUUGUAUCUUGAAGUUGGUAGCAUAAUUAGUAUUCAUAUGAAAUUGGUUAAUCAAGUGUUACCUUCUCAAAAAAAGGAUAAUAAUAAUUAAGUUCCUUCCAUAUAUUGAAAAUUGGUAGCUUAAUUUAUAACUUAUAUGAAAUUUGGUAAUCAAUUGUUACCUUCUCAAAAAAAGGAUAGUAAUAAUUAAGUUCUUUCCAUUUCUUCUGGAUCUUGAAAAUUGGUAGCUUAAUUAAUAACUCAUAUGAAAUAAGGUAAUCAAAACCUCUAUAAAUACCCAAGUGCUUAACAUUUUAUUUUCAUCACAUUUUACAUAAAGUUGAGCAUCACCUCAUUAGGUUAGUUUCAUUAUUUAUAUUUCUUCACAUUAUUUGUUCCUAUAAAAGUUGAAUCUCUCAGUUGCUACUUCUUUCAGUUGUUAUAGAGAGGUGUGACAACUACAUCUUUUCUAUUUUUCCUAGUGUAAUUAGUGUGAUUAAUUAACUGUGGAUACGUCCUUCGGGAUGACUCAGUUGGUUUGGAGGGUGUUUAUCCACACGGAUGACCCGGGAUCGAUCCCCUCUCAAUACCUACUUAGUCGAGCGUGUCGCAUAGGGCUUUCCUAGUGCAGUUACAUCCCCUAUGUGGUUUGCAGGUUAUUACACAGUUUGGGGGGGAGAUUACCAAGUGCGCACAAAGUGCUCACCCGAAGGGCAAAGGUUGUAGUGGUUGCGGGUUAUCCUAGGGUGUAUAUAUAUAUACACACACACACACACACAUCAUCAUCAUCUAUAAUUAAUUGUUGUUUUAUAGAGAUAAGUGGUAUAGAAAAGUUUGACUUUAAUAACUAAUUAUUUUUCCUUUUUUUAACAAUUAUUUAACAGCGGAAAUGGCUUUGAAUUCUGGUCACAAUGAUGGUCGCAUGCGCGAAAUCUGUUUGGAGCUAGAGGAUGCACGCCACCACAUAAGAGGGUUGGAGUUGCAAAUGCGAGAUGCUAGAUUAGCAUGCAACAUUGGAGAGUUUGUUAGUCUGCUAGAUAGGCGUGCUACUUAUCUGGAGAAAGAAGCUAAGCUCGAAAAGGAACUCAAGACUAAAUUUAACUUUUUUUACCGUAGGUUUCUGUAGUUGAUUUUAAUUUUCUUCCCUAUAUGUAGGAAGAUCAUAGGAAUUGUUACAAUAAUUGAAUGUUGGGAGAAAAACUGAAAAAGUUAAUACAGACAAGGGAAUUUAAUUCUCUUUGGAUUUGAAAACCUACACCUAAAUGAUGUGUUCGCUUUAAUGUAUAUGUAUGUUUUCUGCUUUCUUUAUUUAAUUGUCAUCACAAGGUAGGGUAACUACCACUUUUUUCACAAAAAUCACUUAACUAGCAUUUCUAACACAAAAAUAACUGAACUUUCGAGUAUACAAACACAAAAAUCAUAUAACCUGAAAAUACUUACUUCCCGGUGGAUAACUCAAUUUUAAUUAAAAAAGAAAUUGAUAAAUAACAAUUCAACUAAAAAUCAUUGACCUGACUCAACCCAAAACCCAUAUGAAGAAAGUAAAAUAGUUAAAGAACGGAAUAAGUACACAAUGUACAGUGAUUUCAACAACUACUAGUCCUUCUCACCCCUAACUAAUAUUUGCAUUGAUCUUGUUUAUAUAUUUCAAAGAAAGAGAAGGAUAAAAAGUGUUAAAGAAAUGACAAAAAAAUGGAUUUAAAGUUGCCUAGAACAUACUGUCAUGGAAUCUCUGCCAUAUCAAUUCAAGGCAUAAUCAACAAAAAAAAUAUGUGCUAGUACAUUUUCUAUCAGAGUUGCUUUCAUUAUCAGCAUAUUUUAGGAAAAGUCACUACAACAUGAAAACAUGAUAGCUUAAAAUUACAAAUAUCAUUACACCAAUAAUAAAAUCAUGACCUAUAGAAAAAACACUUUUAAGGCAACAAAAAUGAAAUUUAACACCCAAGGCGGAUGCUUUUACGACCGCGACUUACAACUUAAAUUCUAGGCAUAGCCCUAUGGAUCUACGCCUUUCAUUUUCACCCCGGAGCAUUUUUUGGUACACCCCACCCUAGAACUUCCCAAAAAUUAGCUUUGGAAACAUUGGUGGCAGGUUGCUCCAUUUUAUUAGGAGGAUCGUCUUUUUAUCACUAUUGCCUUCCCAAAGAAAGUUUCUUCCUAGAGCAUCAAUCUUGUUGACCACAAUUACAAGAUUAGGAACAAGGACAGCAUGUAAGUGGACAUAACAUCUCGGAACCAUUCAUUAGGUAAACAAGACUUUUGUUCAGUUAAGGUUGAUCUUUUGUCCAGAAAUAGAUUCAAGGAGUACAAAAAUUACUCUCAAUAGCUUUCAUAGGCCUCUAUCUGGACCACAGAAAAUCAGAGUGUCAUCAACAUAUUUAGGUGAGAUAUUUCCACGUAACAGUCGCCCAUUGAUUAACCUUGAAGCCCCUAAUCCAGUUGUUUUUCUGUGCCCUCUAUAUCAUAUCAUCAGACCCUACAUUGCUACAGUUAAAUAAAUGGGGACAGUGGAUCCCCCUGCCUAAUUCCUCUCAUGGAAAGAAAGAACCCUGUUGAAUUGCAUUUAACAAAAACAGAAAAUCUGGCUAUACUAAUGCAAUAUUUGAUCUGCCUAAUCAACCUCUCUCCAAAACUCAUCUUCUUCACUGAAUACCAGGAGUCUUGUUUCUGCGAGUCUACACAUUGAUUAGCAAUUAGUGUUGCAUCCAUCAUUGUAAUCCUUAUAUAAAGGUUAUUUGUUGUGCAUCUAUCAACCUCGCCACCACUUUCUUAAGCCUCUCAUUCAACAGUUCUACCUCCUCAAAAAAAAAAACACUUCUGAAAUAAUUUUGUAAAUACUCCUGACUAGCCUGAUGGGUCUGUAGUUUUUAGUUCUUUGGCACCAACUUAGUUGGGGAUCAUGGCUACCAAAGUUGCAUUGAAGCAUUUUCCAAAUAUGCAUUGCUCAUAGAAAUUCUGUACAGCAGCUAUGACAUAUUUCUUGCCACCUCCUAGCACCAAAUAAAGAAAUGUCAGAGUAACCAGCAGACCUUGGGACUUUAUCCCCUGCAACAUACUUCACUGCUUCCCUAUCCCAUAUCUCUUGUGGGAAAAAUGAGUUUUGAAGCAUCUCAUUAUCCUAAACUCUUAUCCUGGGCCAAUAUCUCAUACCACCUUGAGGCCUCCACUCCUUUGUUUAUGUGUAGAGGUUCGGGUAGAAAGACACUAUCUCUUCUUUAAUAAUCUUUGGAUCUCUUGUCAGUACCCCUUCCACUUGCAAUUGAUCAAUGUUGUUAUACCUUCUGUGGCAUAGGCUGCUCUAUGAAAAUAGCUUGUAUUUUGUACUCACAACUUCAACCAUAAAGCUCUGGAUCUUUGUCUCCGUGCUUCUUCUCUAUGUUUUGCAAUCUCUUCAUAUUCCAUAAAGAGGGAUAUCUUGGUAAAAUUUCAUCAGAGAGAUUCCUCUAAUCAUUAACUUUAUUCAAGUGAACACUCCAUGCUUUUCUUUUUCAUGCACAAGUACAAUUGCUUGGUCCGCAGAAGUAAACACAUACUGGUUUUCUUCAACUUGUUACCCAUCUUUUUCUUCUGAGUUCUCCAAGAACUAUGAACUAUAUGCCUCGCAAGAAUCCCUUUAAUCGUUUGACUGCUUUAUGUCGUAGUAUUAGCAGACACUUCUUCGAUUAGUGGAUUAGACUUUUAUAGAGGAAGGGCUUCUUUUGGUUCAUUAUUCCAGCAGAUUUUGAGCAAAAUGACCGGGGCAAACCUUUUUCCCCUCUGCUUUCCCAGGGCCUCUAGAAAAGGAUAGCUCAUGUCCACGUGUUAGGUCAUGUUAGUUAUAAUUAAAUCCUUAUGCUUCCCUGCUGCUCACCACGUGCAGUGUCCCGACUUUUUGAAUUGAGCUCAUCCCGACUGUAGGAUUCUUCUGUUAUCAUUUGGCUUAUACUUCUUUCAUUCUUCUCCGCUCCCAUCGAAACUCUGACCAAUACGUCCACUUAUAUCGGAUCUCCAAUAUUAUGCCUCUACGCACACCUUUGACAACAGUGGCUCCACCAGUGAAAGAAAAUCUUGAAAUUCAUCAGGAACCAGGUUCCUUCUAGAAUAUGGACCAUCAAUAGCUUCGAGGAGAGGUAGGGAUUAUUUAAUAGUCACGUAGUCUCUUUUUCGUCAAUAUGUAUAUCUACCUAUUGCCUCAUUUAUUUUGUAUCUUGCUAUUUUGUUAUAUUAUUCAUACAAUCUUGCUUCAGAAACAUUUCUUUUGAGCCGAAGAUCUAUCCGAAACAGCCUAUCUACCCCACAAAGGUAGGGGUUAGGUCUAAGUACAUUCGACCUUCUCCAGACCCCACUUGUAAACCCUACUUGUGGAAUUAUACUGGAUAAGUUGUGGUUGUUGUCGCUGAUAGCUUUGACGAGAAACUAGAAGCUAUUGUAACCCAUCUCAAAAAUAUUUAUAUGUAUCUGCUUCCAUAUGCUACUCACCCAUCUGCGAAUUUCCAACAGGAUUGGGACGUCAAAGGUUGUUGUUGACAAUUUUCCAACCAAGCUCGCUGUGUGAUUGUUCACUCUCAAUAUAAAGGAUCUCCCCAUGCCUGGACUUCGCAGCUCCCAUCUGUCUUGAGGCCCAUCAGGACAGAAUCCGAAUAUAAGAGCCCUGAAUAUGUUGUCUUAAAUGGUCUUGGUUCUGGAUUUCUGGUUGACACCCUUAUUUAAUUGACUUAUCAAUCUUUUAAGGCAUUCUCCAUCUAACCUGUAUUAAAUGUCAUCUCAGGGACAAUAAUAAUUCAUGUCCCCCUGCCUUGAAUGUUAAUGAUUGUAACGUACCGGCCACUUCACCUACGAUGUUUCCUUUAGUGUGUCACACAGCCACCUCAUUGUCUUACUCUUGAACAUUGUUGUUCUGAUAAGAUUACGGCCUCUCUCAAUUCAUUCAUACCAUUCCCCUGAUCUGGAUCGUUCCUAACAACUUCAGAAAAUAUGAAACCAACUGUGAAGUGUAUUGUAUUGAUCCUCAUGAAGAUUUGUAAUAAACAGACUAUUCUUUGUAUGAUGAUUCCAGUUGUUGUACAUGAAAUGAUGUAACCUAUAAAGGGUGGACAUCUUGUCAUGUCAUUCCGGUGAGACUUCUUAUUUUUUUUGACAAGUUCAUUCAGGUGGAACUUUGUAUCUUAUACGGAUCAAAAGUAGUAUUUUAUUGUACUACUUUCCAUGAGCACAGAUGGGCCUCUAUCCAAACGUUCUAGAUUUCAAAAAGCCAUUGGGAUCAUACUUUAUGCUUUCAAACCAAAUUGUUCUCCUACAAAGACACGGCGAAUUGGUCUCUAUCUCAAAUUUAACUUCACCUACAUACAUCCAAACAAAUAUAUGCAACUAUAACUAGAAUGGCAGAGUAUGUGGGUAUUAGGUCCCUUAGCCGAGCUACUUAACUCCCUAAUAAGCAACAGUAAAAACAAAAGAGCAGUCUGCAGACCUGAGGAAUUGUUCUUCAAUGAAUUAUGCAAAAAAAAAUGAUGGCAUCGACAAGUACGAAGUUUGGUGACUACGGCUUCUUCAGUUAGGCCAUCUUCCACAGAGUAAGUCUUCAUAGUCUCGUAAACAGAGAUAAUGCAAUACCCCUUCGCUGAACGGGAUAUUCCUGUACCCACCAAAUAAGAAUCUUAGUUUGUGAUUUGCAAGUGAAAUUGCUUAAUCUUUCAUAACUAAUAAAUAUGAGGUGCUAAUGAACAAAAAAACUGUUUGCUACUUAAGUGAUCAAGGGAGCAGUCACUAGUCAGUAGAAAUAGGACUUUUAGCAUAGGAAAGUUCUGAAUUAUAAAAUCUUGGAAUGAAAUGGGUCUAAAUAGAGAGGAACAGAUAGUGAUGAUUCAUGUCUGCCUAGGAGGGUUUCUAUUUUUACUUGGCUAGCCACUAGAGGGGUUAUUUUGACAAUGGAAUAUCUUAGAAAGCAGAAGCUUGUCUGCUUCAAUUGGUCUUACAUGCGCAACGAGGCGGGCAAGGAUCUGGAUCACCUUCUUCAUUAUUGCGGGCUUACCAUAAGGUUAUGGUGGGAUAUGUUUAGAUGGUUUCUCACUCCUUGGAUAAUACCAAGAACCGUGAAAGAUUUGGAUGCUCAGUUGGACGAGCGAGAGGAGGACGAGCCAAAGGACUUUGACCGUGGUUCUAAUUGCAUUAAUGUGGGUUGUUUGGAGAGAGAUAAAUAGGAGAGCUUUUGAUGGUGUAGAGUCAAGUUUCUUGCAGUUGAGGAGUAGUCUCCGCUCUCUUAUUUUCUUUUGGUGUAAACAGAAAGUUCUUUGUAGAAUAGUAAAUUGGGCGGAGUUUGCAGGGUAUCAUAUCUUUUCAUAUAACCUCUGUAUAGGCCAUUUUGGUCAUGUUUAUGAAUGAGAAUAGUUUUACUUGAUUAAAAAAAUAGUCUACCCAAAUUAGCUUGGAGAGAUUAGUUGCUUGCCAUAUUCUGGCUUUUAGCCGGAGAAUAAGUGGUCAAGCAGUCAUGACAGAGGUUCAAACCUGGACAGUGCAUUUGGUGGGAAAAUAUUGAUAAACACAAGGUCAGCAUUAUGAGUACUGAAAAAAGUAAGAAGUCAGGCUUGGAAAAUUAUUUACAUAAAUAAACAUUGGUACCAUGCAUGGGCAGCAAUUAUUUAGCUUUAAAACUAAAUAGCAAGAGAAACCAAUUUAUGCAAGAAAAAUUUUCUCCGUCAUACCAACAACAGGCAUUGGUUCUGGAAAAUCAAGAUCUUGAUCAUCUCCAACAAGGCCAAAAACAUAGGGACUGCCUGGAUGUGCAUGCCUAAAAUAUUGAGACCAAUCCAAGUGUAAGGCGCCACAGAUUAGGAUCAUUCAGCAUCCUUUCUAAGAGCAUAAAAACGUCAGUGAUGUAGAUCUUACGAAUAUGUAAGAUAUUUUGGUUAUGCUAGCAUGCUGAAAAGCUUUACUCAUUUCUCACAACUAAUAUUUUUGCAUCUUAGCAGACAUUAGUAGAUUCAACUGACAUGAAAAAAUCCAAGUGAUACAAAUAAAAACUGUAUAAUAGCACCCACAAGUAAAAUUGUACUUGUAAGAAAUCUUGAGCUAUUUAUAAGUAAUUACCCUGAUAUAAAUCGACUCUUACGAGCACGAGCUUGAGUUGGACCCUGAACUUCCUCCACGACGCACUACAAAUGCAAACAUUACACAGCUGUACAAAUUACUAAAUCUGUUUUGUGCAUGACUAAAAGGAAGUGAGGACAGAGAGGCACUUGAAGCUAUAUGUGGAAAAAAAGUAGGAGGGAAGUAGGAAGAUAUCAAGUCAAAUGGUUGAAAGAACAUCAUAAGAAAUCAGCACUUCAAGACAUUAAUCAGACCAUAACGUCACUCACAAAAGACAUCAAUUUAAUUCUUUAAGAGAAAAAGCCAACUCUGACAAGUUCAUUAGCAUACCAAUUUAAUUUUCCACUUCAGCACUCAUGUAUAAGAAAUAUAUAAGAACUUAUCCAACAAAAGGGAAUGAAAGUUCCAACUGACAGUUUGGGGAUGGCACUAACCACAGAGAAACCAUUACGUGUGAGAUCAUCAAGCGUCUGUCUUAGAUUCUGCAAAAAAAAAAAAAAAGUAACACAGUUUACAUGAGAAAGACGGAAUAAAAUCUAAUAGAUACCAUAAAUUUAUCUUGAAAAGACAACUUAGGGACAUCAGAAAACUCAGCAUACUCUGCUGGCAGUUUCUCGGGUAUAAUUGUGCAGGAGGAUGACGGAAUAGAAGUGCAGAAAUUUUAUUUUAUAUUGAUAUGGAACCAAUUCAAGGAAAUAAGGCAGUCAAAGGUAUUUUCACUCCACGAGCUUCAAAAGAAGGAACCAGUUAGGCUUGAAAGUAUUAAAAAAAAAGUAAAAGGAAGGAAAUAAAAUGAGAAAAUCAAAUGAUCCCCCAUUUCAUUGGCAUAUUAACAGCUUAGACAUAACUAAAAGCUUCUUCACCCUGUUAAAAGAGGUAAAGAAACAAAUCCAGUCUCAAGCUUGGUUUCUACAUGGUCACAAAUCUGAUUCACAAGAGUAAUCGGUUCUGAACCCUACAUUAGCAUUCAUGCAAAAUAUGCAAUCCAUGUUAUAUAAAAACCUUUUGAACGGAAAAUAAAAAUUGAAAAAAUAUAAAUAUAAGAAGAAAAUGAAAACAGUACCACAACUGGACAACCAGCUUUUGGUAUACUAUCUGAGUGCAGGCCACCAAAUGGAUUUAAACCAGCAUAUUCCACAAGAAUACAAGCAUCGAAUCCAAUAGCUUCAUAAAAAUCACCUACCUGGAAAGUCAAAGAAGAACAAGAAGCACUCUUCAUUGAUUUUGAUCACAGCAGGCCUCGUUAAUUAAGGAACUGAUGUGUGACUUUAAAAGAAGGGUAGAUGAAAGGGGUAAAAGCAUACUCUACAGAGCAAAACUUCACGUGGAAAUUUUGACUUGAACUGCAACAUCUCCGAGUUAAGUGUUCCCUCUUUAAGACUGAUAAAUUAACAAAGGUAACCUUUGGUAAAAAACUUCAGUAACAGACAGACAAAAACACAAAGCGACACAAGCAUAUGAUAAAUUUACAAAGGUAGACUUCGGUAAGAAACUUAAGCAAUAUGAGACAAGUAAUAGAUAGACAAAGACGCAAGGAGACAUAAGCAUAUGUAUAUUACACGUGUACACUUUUACAUUUCUGUGUGUAGACCUGACAGUUAGAACUCUGUACAUAACUUUUUUUUGCUUCUUGAUAAGGUCAAACUUGAACUGUACCCUACAAUUGUUUUUUGGACGAAUUUGUUGCAACCUGGAUUCAUUUUGCUUUUAAACAAGGUUUCCUAAACCGUGUCAAAAAUCAAAGAACAUCAUUAUGGGUUUUCGCAAUUUGCAAAGCUUGUCAAUCAUCAUUCAGCGCGUAUUUUAUUAAUAUAUUAUAGAAGUAUUGAAAACACCCUUAAACACGGCGUGAACUAUUAAUUCCAUUCCUGAACUAUUGAUAGUCUUAAAAACUCCCCUUUACUUGACUAAGUGAAUUAAAUACACCCCCCAUUUUGCAACAUAAGUGAAAUACAUCCCUAAAUUUUUGCCAACUUUAGAGUGUUUUCAACAAUUCUCUUGGGCUUUUAUUAAGACUUGAGAGUCUUAUACUCUUACAAGAGUUUGAGACUUCUUACUAUGUUGUAUAUCGGGGGUGUAUCUAUGUUUAGUUAGUCAAGAAAAGGGGUGUUUUUUAAGGCUGUCAACAGUUCGUAUGGAACUAAUAAUUUACACCAAGUUCAAGGGUGUUUUCAUUAUUUUUCUCUUAAUAUAUUUAUGUCCAUAUGAUUAUAGGCAGAAAAUUCAGCAUGAAAAAAUUGAAAUACCUAGAUAUUGGAGUUUGCAUUUUCACAACUCAACAACUCAUUCCUGACAAGAUUAUAUCUAUAUGAGGAAAUUAAACCAAGAAUGUGCAAACAACAAGAAUAUCAACGAGGAAAGACAAGGAGAUCUCAAAGAAAGUUUAAAACUUUUCUCAGCGGAGCUUCAGAUUCCAAUCUAUAUAGGAAUAUGUUAGAAUAGGAAUAGGUAUAUGCGAUCCUACUUAAAUAGGAAUAAGAAUGAGAAUAGGAAUAGAAGUGGUAAAUAGCAUCCUACUUGGUAAAGGAUUGUACGGUGGUGUCUUUAAAUAGGGUCUCUCUCCUGUAAUAAUUUGAAUACAACACAAUGCAAUAAUAUUUUUCUCCUAUAUUCUCAUAGAAUAAACUAAGAAAUACAGAAAAUCUAUUCAUGUAGAUUUACAAAUUAAAACCUGUAGUUGAGUUUAUGGAGAAAAACAAAGAAACUCUCCCAGAACCCUUCUCUUUUUUUUUCCUUUUGAAAUGGUAAGGACAGCAUGAAAGAACUAACCUUCCAUUUCUCAAACUCGGAUCCACACCCAGCAAGUUACAAUAUGUAAGCCUCUUAGCCAGAAGAGCGGAAGAAGGCUUUCUCAAGAAUUCCAUUCUCUAAAACAUAAAAUCAUGGUGGCACAACAAUAUAAACUAAUUAAACAAUUGUUUACACUUGUUAAAAAAAGGAAAAGAAUCACAUAUUUAAAUUCUGCAAUAAACCAACUCAGUCAUAAAGAGAAAUGUAGACAACCUCUUUCCACCACAUAAUAUUAACAUAGUCUUUUUCCUCUGGAAUACUUUUUGGUUGUUUGAGUUUUUUUGCCGUUGUGGCAAAAAACUUCCGCUCCUUCACGCAACGUAUCUGCUCUCGGCACCUGACACUCAGCGGGUGACAGAAAUUGCAAACAAAAUUAUUUGGAUUCAGAAAUUUGUCAUCAGUAGUUGAUACGAGGGAUAUAUAAGAUAAUUUAACCAAAAGAAGCACAUAUUAUCUAAUCCCGAAACUUAGAAUGAUUAAAAGGAACUCUAUUUAAGAAUUCUGAGUUAACUAUCAAAUAUACAAGAAAAACUCUGAUCCUCUUUACACCUUAAAGCCUUCUAUUUCUAUCUAUUCAGUCCUCAAAGCUUUAUCUUUCCAUAAACCAUUUAAAGAACAUCACAGGUGCAGUAGCUAUCAAUGAUUCAGCCUCAAACUGAUAUAAAGACCUCGAUGCAGUUUCAAGAAACAUUCUACAACUUGUCCAAAAUAUGAAAUAUGCAGGCUUUAAUAGUGCAUCAAGCCCAAACAAGACAGUAUCAAAACCAUCAGGUAUGAGAGUUCCAGAAAUUAUAAAUACGAAAGAGAAAGCUCCUCAUUCCAUGGCUGAAAGAGCAAGUUUUCAGUUAAUAAACCAAACCCCCGCCCAGUGGCGGAGCCAAAAUUUUUAUUAAGGUGUCCAAGAAUAAAGGUGUGUGGCUGUUAAAAUAAAACAAAAAAUAUUAUACUAUUUUGGGUUCGAACCCGGAACUUCUUCAUUUAAAUGGACACCUAUUACCACUACGCCAAAAGCAUAACUUUUGUUAAGGGUAUCCAACUUUAAAUAUAUAUCCUUUAAAUGUAGAAUUUGACAAAUAUAUACAACUUAAUUUUCCAAAAAAGGGUGUCUGACUAGCUCUAGCUACGCCCCUUGCCCCGCUAGUAACUAGGAAUGCAAGGGAUUAGAUAAUCUAUCAAACGUUGUCUUAUUGUGGAGGAAAUUGAUUAUAUUAGAAGAGAGAGCCAUUCGCUUCUUAUAUAAUUCAUCUAUUUAUUUAUGGAAAAAUUACUUGGAUUGAUACCUUUUGAUAAAUGAUUACUGAUUUUAGCGAUACUUUUUAUUUAUUUCCACAUAUAGCAACACUAUGUUAAACCUUCAAUAUGUAUUGAAAGUGAAUUAUGUAUGCAAUAUAUAUGUAUUAGAAUUGUUUUCAAAAAUAUAUUAUGCUUGUUCGGUAAGAAUCGUUGUAUUAUAAGUGUAUUAAAAUGUGCGAUAAAUGUAUUAUUCAUCAAUAAACUUGUAUUAUAUGUGAAUAAUAAAUUAUCUUUUUAAUAUGUAUUAUAAAUGUAUUCAAAGUGAUCAAGUGAAAAAAAAAAUAUGUUAUUGCUAUAAAUGGUAAAUUUUUUACUAUCGUAUAUUUAUGUAAGUUUCCCAUUUAUUUAUCUUAUCUUGUAAUGCACCAUUGAGCCUCAAAUCGAGUAUAGUCAAAUCUUUGCUAACACGGUGCCUCAAGGAGAACCUGAAACUGGCUGUUACUUCACAACAAAAAGCAUAUAUAGCAUUCACAAAGAAAUGGUGUACAUGGAAGGAAUAAAGCAAUGGUGAGAGACUACUCAGCGAGUGAUACUUAUCUUAUUUUCCCUUUUUUAGACAACAAAGAUUAUAAAGUCACCCUUAUACAAAAGUAAUGCAUCAAGUAUGGAAUCACAUCAGCUGCUACUGUUUGAUAGCCUCGUCAAAUAGGAGAACUAAGGGUUUCUGGUAGAUAAAAAAAAAUUCAAAUUGGAGAGAGCUUUAAAUUCUUAGUAUGAGACAGCUCAUUUACAGUUAAUGGAAAAAUGAGAUUAAGUAGAUCACCAAGCUAGCGGAUAGGAAAGGGUUGUAUUACUACUCCUGCGUGAACUUUUUGAAAAUGAAUCACCUAUUCAAGCACAACUCAUUUAGGUAGCUUGUGAACUAACAUUUAAUAUGAGCCCAUCUUUCUAACCUAUCAUUUGAUGGACAAUCCAUCUUGCAGCUCCUACAUCACGUGUGUCUAUAUGGGAGCUAAUGUAUAAAAACUAGUUCACUCGGACAAAUCGAACAGAUGAUCUACAUACAUAACUUUUUGCUAGUACUUCCAUAAUUGUGCCUCGUCAUCCACCUGUACUUCUUCUUAAUUUAGAAAGUAACAAAUUUAAUUUAUGCUUGGGCAAGAAAGGUGCCACAUACAACACCAUACUAUUGUAAUAAUCCACCAAAAAUGUUCACCGAUUCCAAUAGUACUAUAACUUUUGAAAAAAGGGUGGAAGCAGCAUUGGCGCGAGGCGGAGGCCAAAUAUAGUUUAUCCUUCAUUCAUGCUUAUGAUCUAUCUAAACUCCAGAAAGCUCAAUUGGUCUGAAGUAGAAAAAGGUGGAAGCUUGGGCAGAACUAGUCACCCUGACAUGAAAGUAGCAUGAGUAGGUGAUUUUCCACAUAUAUCGGAACUAAGAAAGGUAUGUUUUUUUACUUGACUAGCUACGAGGUGAGUGAUCCUGACAGUGGAGAAUUUGAGGAAGAGAAAGAUAACUAAUGCCAGUUGGUGUUUCAUAUGCAAAGAAUUAGGUGAAGAUGAAUCACCUUCAUCUACAUUGUCGGAUAGCUUCUUGUUUAUGGUGGGAAUUCUGGAUGGUUCAUCCUUGAGUAAGUGAUGGUGAGCACUGUGAAAGAAACAAUAUUAUAUUUUAUUUUUUGAAAAUGGUAAUGUUGUACUCUGCAGCAUUAGGGAUAUGUUGGUGACCUGCAAACAGAAGGGAACAAAAGAAGAGAAAAAAAAUACUUACAACGAUCCUAAGAAUCCUACAAGGCAUGAGAUGUUGCACCUCUAGCAUUUAUGUGGAUCACAUAGCGAGAGAGGAAUAGAGGAGUUUCUGAGGGAGUAGAGAAAGACUUUGUUUACUUGAAGAAUAGCUUGUUUUCUCUUAUUUCUUUUUGGUGCACCCAUAGGAUUCUCCUACAUGUAUAGAUGAGUGGGUGUUAUUUGUAAAAAAAAACAUGUCCUAUUGUAAGGUUUUCUAUUUUAGGUAUACUUGUUGUAUACAGGCAAGCUUUUGCCCUUUUCUAAUGAAAUUUAUUACUUCAUCAAAAAAGAAAGUAGCAUGACUAUGUGUCAAUUUUAACAGUGAAAUCCAACAAUUUGAAAUAAAGAAUGACAGUGAAUUCAAUUAACUUUCUCACUUCCAAUUACAGAAGUGAAUUUUCAGGUACUAAAGAUUGAAAACAUCAACCUUGUGGAACCUCUGUUCAGAACCUCUGUAUCCCUGUAUCUUGUACUCAAAAGCACAAUCAAUUUCAAAAAAGAUAUACUGCAUUCGGUUCCUAUUAUUGAUGAUCUUACUGCAUUUGGAUCCUCUUUCAACUUCACAAAGCAAUGAGUCCCUCCUCUCGAAAUCCAUGAUACAGUCUCACACCACCACCACCCACAUCCUCACAAAACACCUACCUAAUAAAAAAGGGUACUAGUUGGUAGAUCAAAAAAUUAAAAUGGUGUUACCCUCAUUUAUGCAUCCAGCAUCUAAGACUAAAGGCAAAAAUUUAACUAACCCAUCAAUAAGUCACCUUUUCUCCACACCCAGAAACAAAUACAUAAAAAGCUUUCAACUUUAUGCAAGAAGAAAAAUCCCAUCUUUUUUAAACAAGAUAACAAAUUAUUGCCUCUUGAGCUUCCACAAACCACCCCACCCUUAACUAACCCAACAAUUACUGACCUUUUCUCCACACCAAGAAACAAAUACAUAAAAAUCUUUCAACUUUAUGCAAGUAGAAAAAUCCCAUCUUUUUCAAACAAGAUUACAAAUUCUUGUCUUCUGGGCUUCCACAAACCACCCCACCCUUAACUAACCCCACAAUUAGUGACACUUUCUCCACACCCAGAAACAAAUACAUAAAAAGCUUUCAACUUUAUGCAAGAAGAAAUAUCACAUCUUUUUCAAACAAGAUAACAAAUUCUUGCCUUCUGAGCUUCCACAAACCACCCCACCCUUAACUAACCCAACAAUUACUGCCCUUUUCUCCACACCAAGAAACAAAUACAUAAAAAGCUUUCAACUUUAUGCAAGAAGAAAAACCCCAUCUUUUUCAAACAACAUAACAAAUUCUUGUCCACCCCACCCUUAACUAACCCCACAACUAGUGACAUUUUCUCCACACCAAGAUACAAAUACAUAAAAAGCUUAAAACUUUACGCAAGAAAAUGAAAGAACUUACAGAGUAUGUGGAGAGAAAGAUAAGAAACGCCGGCGAAGUGGUGGACGGAGGAAAAGGGACAGUGAACGCCAACGGGGAACUGAAACGACGACGUUUUUUGCCGUAACCCAAUACAUUGCUCGAUAUCAGUGCACAAUACACUCUCUCUCUGUGUAUUUGUUCUUCCCGGCAGAGAAAUGGUGUACUUUAUAUUAUUUUCAAAAAAAUAAAAUCUGUAGGAAUUACAAUUAAACAUUAGGCAAAGAAUGUUAGUAGAUAUUGGUAUUUGGGACGAAUUAAUUACUUAAUAAUAUAAUCACAUUGAAAAUAAUAAAUCGUUGAUGAUUGAAGACAAUGACGUACGCGUUAUUUUUUUUCAAAUGGUAGAAGGAAAAAAAUUACUUAUUGUAUUUAUAAGUUAUAAGUAACUCAACUGUAUAUUUAACAUUGAAUCAAUACGUCAACAGAUAUCUUUGAUUAUCUAUUAACUUAAACUUUACGCAUAUCACCUUCCUGAACUGUUUAAAAUUGAAAUUAUCAUCUCCAUAGUGAAUGUAUUUCACUCCCUGAUAGAGUGAGCACCAAAACAAAUAUUUUAUCUUCUUCCUUAUUCUUUUCUUUGUUCUUCGUAGAAAUUUUUUCGUUCUUUGUUAUUAGAUUUGUUCAUAAAAUUUUCGCAUUUUUCUUGAUUUUAAUUUGUGUAUGGAAUUAAGAGUUUUUGAAAAUCAACUCUUUAUCGAUAUUAUUGGAGUUGUUAAUCAUCCUUGUACAUGGUCAAACGACAAAUUAAGGUCAAUUAGGUCGGCAAAUUCUUUUUUGGUUCUUCAAAGCUCCAAAUUUGUAAUUUUAAUUCAAACAAACGAAGAAUUUUAAAUUUUUAAUAAAACCCACAUUCGACUUUCCUCCAUUGUUAUUCAUUUACUCUAAUUUGAGAAAUUUGACACAUGUAUUCAUGAAAAUGAUCUUAGCACCAACUAAGUAGUGGGCGAAAUGACAAAUAAGAAUCAAAAUCACUGCCGACCUUUUCGUUUUGAAGAUUGUAGUGAUUAGUGAACCUUUGGUGUUUAUGAUAAUGGAGAAAAUAGUGAAAAUAUUUUUGUGUUGGAGAGAUGGUGAAAAAAUAGAAGAAAAGAAUAAAGAAUAAUGAAAAAAUUGAAGAAAAACUUUUUCUAAUGGAUUUUUCAUGUGUCAAAACGCGUGAGUUUCACUCAUCAACAUAAAUAUGGUUAUGGCUUUUUAGGAGUACAAAAAUUUCAAUUUUAAACAGUUCAGGGGUGAUAUGACCCCUCUAAAGUUUACGUACGUACUUAGAAAUCGGACAACAGAUUAGGGGGGGCAUUUGACCUUUUUUUUUUAUAAAUAACUUUAAGUGCAUAAUAACUGAUGAACUAACACAUCAAUUAUGUUUUGCUAAUACUAUCAUUUUAUUAAAUAUAUUUAUGAGUAACUGUAAAUUCAUUUGUGACGAGAUAUGAUUUUGUGUGAGAAUGGUAAAGACUAUCCUCUUCUUCUUACAAUUUUAUUUUGUCAUCUAGUCCUACUGUACACUACUAUUUAAAAAUAUACGUAUCUUAUAUUUUACUAUUUGUUCUUUUAUUUGUUGAUUGUACUCUUUAAAUCAAGAAUUUAUCGAAACAAUUUUAAUAUAUCAGUAAUUAAACCUACUGACAUAUUAUUUUUAUAAAUUCUUGAUUAUGACAUUACACUCAAAUAUAUUAUUAUUGAUAUCACUAUUGUAUUUAGGAUAAAUUACCUUAGACAUUUUUGUAAUGUGAUUUAAUUGCAAAUUUUACUAAUUCAAUGGCUAUUUGUUUUCCAAGCACAAAUAAACAUCACCCUAAAUAAUUACUUUCUCAAAAAUUAUUUGGUAUGGAUGUCCCUCGAUUGGACAAUGUUAGCUGGUACUUGUUGCUGCUGGGAGGCAAUGGAUAUCCCUCGAUGGACAAUGUUGAGGCAACGGAUAUCCCUUGGUAGACAAUGUUAGUUGGCAUAAGUUGCUGGUGGGAGGUAAUAGGUUUUCAAUGGAUUUAGUCAAGGUUUUAACCUAAAUGGACAAAGUUAGCUGAUACUUGUUGCUGGUUGAAGGUAAUAGAUAUUCCUUGGUGGACAAAGUUAGCUAGUACAUGUUGAUGCGUGAAAGCUGACGGAGUGAGUACUUUCUAGUUUCUGGUUAACUUUCUUUUCCUAUUGAACAGCACAUGAAAGACGUUGAAAAUGGUAAAACUAAAUGUCAAGAUUUAUGUCUUUUAUGUCACAGACUUAGAGUCUUACUAAAGCUCCAUGCAGCACUUGAUAAUUUGCAUCUGGAAUCGGAAUUACUGAUGCUGGUUUUGUUCAGAGUGUUAGUAUAUUUGAAAUAGAAAAUGCAAAGGAAUAUUGAAUUGAUUCUUUGAAUUUUCCUUUGUUGAAUGAUGUUGAAAAUCAUUUUGCAACCAUUGUACCAAAACUCAUUUCCGCCAUCUACUUACGCAUCCAUAUUCCAGUUCUUGAUUGGCAAGAAUUUUGUUAAACUUGGCCAACAAGUUCGUACUCACAUGGAUGUUCGAGGGGUUUCUCCCAAUGGUUUAGUCGCAGCCAAAAUGGUAGCUCCGGUGAAAUCGACUCUGCCAAAGUGAUGACUGUUAUGUCACGGACUUCUCAAAUCGGACAAUACUCCGUACGGCACUUGACGGUCUACUCACGAUUCUUGCACGAUCUUGUAGACUCAAGUAAGCCUUCCUCUACUUGGAUCGCUAAGAGAACUUAGAAAGAGAAAACAAAGAUAGAUUUUUGGAAGAAAAGACUUGUAUUGAUAUGUUAGUGGAUUGUUGGAUGCUUUACAAAAUACAAUGACCCUACUAUUUAUACUACUCUAACCACUAAGAGUAAAUAAAUACAACUAUACAAGCCCCUAUGUUCAUGCACUUAAGGCAUGACUCCUAAGUCUUCCAAAAAGGGACUCCUAGCCUUGACUAGUCUGCCCCACGUUCUGCCAAGCCUCUCCAAGGCUUAAAACUGCCGCCCCAUUGAUUGUUGUAACAGCUGUAACGGCUGUAACUGCUGUAACAGCUGAAACUGCUGAAACGGUUGCCCCUCCAACUGCUGCCUGCCCCUUUGCCUGCUGGCCUGCUUGGGCAGUCUGCCCCUUGCGCCUGCUGCUAGCUGCCUGGACGGGUCGCGAUCUGCCGGGGUAUCUGGCGGGUCGUGACAGUUAGCUCUGCUAGUACAGAAAAAUAUAUGCUAGAAUCAAAAGAGUUAACAGUCAGUACACAAGAGUGAUGAUUGUUUUGUGUCACUGCAAGAGAGUGAUGUUUCCAGAGAUAAAAAUUCAACAAGACAAAUCAAUCUUGACAAUGAAUUUUGCAGUGAGAAUGAAUUGAAUAAUGAAAUGCAACCUUUGCAGAUGAAAUACAAGUAAAAUCAGGAAUUGAACAUGUGAAACUCAGCAUGCCUCUGCAAAAGCAAAUAGAACAUAUUAGUAAAGAAAAAUUCAUUGUGUUUGUUGUAAGCGGUGAAGAUAAGAAAUAAGGAAGACAUAUUAGCCAUAUAAGACACUUAAAAAAUUGCUCCACAUUGUGGCAAAAGAAAACAGUAGCAACUAACCAAUCCCAUACUAAUUGAGUCAGCUCUGUGAAUCUUUCAAUUCAGCUCAAUGUGAAGAAUUUCAUUCCAAUACUUAACAGCUUUGUCUUUUGCAGAUAAGGAUUUAUCUGUUACUAGAGAUUCUCUACACUUUCUCCAAACAAAGAGUAAGUUUGCCAACGCGACAUAUCCCUCUAAUGAACUAGUUGGGCAUUGCAUUUUCUCAAUAUCUCGUUUUAUCUCAAAGUCCACCAACCCCUUGUGCUUUAGGAGAGCCUCUAACUCAAAUCAAAUCUCAAAGCUUACAACUUGAUCUUUAACUUCGCUAGCAAACUGUGGUAGUGUGGAGCUUCUUAUUGACAUCAACUUUUAUUUUCAAACUAGCAGCAAAAGAUAUUUGUAAGCUAAUAGAGAACAGAGAAAAGACAUACUCCACAUGUUUGCUUCAAAUAUAAAUACUCCCUCCGUUUCUUAAAAAGAAUGACCUCCUUUCCUUUUUAAUUUGUUUAAAAAAGAAUGACCUCAUUCUUUUUUGGUAACAUUUUAAUUUCAGUUUUCUACGUGGCAUGUUUAAGGCCACAAGAUCAAAGGGCAAUUUUGUACAUUUGAUCUAACUUUAAUCUAAGACCACAAGAUUCAAAAGUCUUCUUUUUAUUCUUAAACUCCGUGCCAAGUCAGACUAGGUCAUUUUUUGUGAAACGGAGGGAGUAACUAAAUAAGAGAACAAUUUCAGAAAAAUAUGAUCUUCAAUAACUUUUGUGCAUAUUAGGACAAACUUUUUGUGUUUAUUAAAUUUCGGUGCACUCCAUAAGGCCCUAAUUAGCAUAAGUGAUUGGAUCCUUUUGGGGAGAACCAUGUUCUCAUGUAGGUUCUCCACUUUCAAUAAACCUCUUGGUCCACUUGUACACAGUGACUUUCCACCUAUAAAGGAAGUAAUUCUUUAUAAGAGAAAUGAUUUUUCACAAUCCCAAAAUCUUACUAGAUCUGAAGUUUGUUACAAUUGUGUUAUCUGCACAGGAAGUCUGAAAUAAAGAGAGAGGGGGGGGGGGGAGAGAAGAGAUAGGAAGGCAAAAACUACUAUAGUUAUUGUGGAUUCAACUCAUGAUAAGAAUGACAAACAACAUAAAGUUAAUUACAACUCUCUUCACAGAGAACAUAUUUUUUAGAAUUAUUUUUUUUGAGAAUUUCUUUUUAGAGAAUGUACUUGAAAUACCCCAUAAUCGAGGUCCACCUAUGCAAGAGAAAAGAAGAGCAAUUAUUCUUUGAGUGAGUAAAGUAGGAACUAUUUAUCAAAUGCCUGAAUUAUUUGAAGUGUUGCAAUCAUCUCGACCUACACAAUGUGUGAGGGAAAGGGUAGGGUUGGCUCUGUAGAAAGACCAGUCCUAACGACCUAAACUCGGAGCUUCCUGGUAGUUUGAAAAAGAGACUAGAUGAGAUGAAAUGAAGAGGCAUUCUGGAGGUCAUAGGUUAUAUGUGGAACAGAAGGCAGUGGUCAUAGUCAUUGCUUGGGUUGUAAUACUUGCAUAGGUUGUGGCAGUGAUGGGAAAGGGAUGAAACAGAUAAAAACAGAUAGAGAGAAGGGGGUUCAAAAUGAGUGGUAGGGAGCACGAAGGAGAUGUUAACAGAGAACAAUAAGGAGAAUAUCUAAGCAAUGUCCAUGAAACAGUGUUUGUUUGAACAAAAUAACAAAAAAAAUUAAAAAGAAAUUUCUUAUUUACCAUAAAUAUGUUAAUAGAAAUCUUAAUAGGUGAUGCUCACCAAAGCCAAGUAUGUAAGCUCGAUUUAAUGCUCAGAAGUUAAAUGAGCUGAACAGAAAGCACUAACUUGAGACAACUCAGCUUAAGCAGCAAUCAAGUUGCCUUAACUUGGAUGCAACACAAAACGUGAUGCCUCAUUGUUGAAUGCCUUGAAUCAGACCCGCUACAAACAGAAAGGACGGGGGUCUCGCUGCCCGGUCAGCGAGUCGGGGGGUCCAGGGGGGCGACGCGCCCCCUGGCCUGGGGGUUCGGGGGGGCGGAGACGCCCCCGGCCCGACGGUAUACAAUGUUGUUGUAUUGGGCCCUUUAUUUUCUGUUGAUUCUGUAUGUUGGGCCCAAGCCUGUUAGGGCGUAGCUUAGCACUAUAUAUAGACGCUAUGGCAAACCCUAUUCUGUAAUUCUGUUUUUGCCUCUCCAUAAUAAAACUGCUCCCCCUCUUCCCGUGGACGUAGCCAAUUUAUUGGUGAACCACGUAAAUCUGUUGUCUUAUUUUUCGCGUUUAUAUUUUCUCGUAUUAUCUCAAAUUCCGCACAACACUCAUAAUUGGCGAUCAACAGUCAGGAAGAUGUGCUUUAUCGAUUGAAUCGUGGUGCAGAAUUCUGUCAAGCAGACCACUGCCGAUAAUGCAGUCAAGCAAUCUCAGCUGAUUGCAGCCCUAGAUGUGAUAGAGAUUGUGAGUAAUAUAUGGGGAAAAUAUUAUUGAAUUGUGUAUCUAAAUUGUUACAUUAAUAUCCUAUUUAUACACUACAUUGGAAUCCUUUUCCGACUAGGAUUCCUAUAGCUAAUCCUAUUCUAAGUAGGAAUACUUAUUUCUAUUCUAACACUCCCCACUCCUCCUCAAACUGGUGCAUACAAAUCAUAUGUACCUUGUUUGUUACAAAUGUAAUUAAUACGAGGACAUGUGAGGGACUUGGUGAAGAUAUCUGCAAGUUGAUCAUUUGACUUCACAAAUUUCGUAACAAUAUCUCCAGAGAGUAUCUUUUCUCUAACAAAGUGUCAGUCAAUCUCAAUGUGCUUAGUCCUUUCAUGAAAGGCUGGAUUUGAUGCGAUAUGAAGAGCCGCUAGAUUAUCACACACCGGUUCCAUCUGAUCAAUUUUGCCAAAUUUUAGUUCUCCCAGCAACUGUUUGUGAUCCAAACUAGCUCACAAGUUGUUGUCGCCAUUGCUCGAUAUUCUGAUUCUGCACUAGAUCGAGCAACCACAUUCUGUCGAACAUCUGUCAAAGGUUGAUCUUGCUCAAUUAGCGUCAGUAUAUCCAAUGAUAUGCUCAUUGCCUUGAUCAUCAAAGAGUAGUCCUUUACUGGGAGCUGACUUAAUAUAUCGCAAAAUACGAACAACUGCUUCCCAGUGACUAUCACAAGAGGAAGUCAUAAACUGACUUAAAACACUCACGGAAAAAGAGAUGUCAGGUCUAGUCACUCUAGGUCUAGUCACUCUGUGAGAUAAUUCAACUUUCCAACAAGCCGUCUAUACCUUUCAGGAUUACUACGUGGCUCCCCCUGUCCUGGAAGGAGUUUAACAUUCGGAUCCAUAGGAGUGUCAAUAGGUCUACAUUCCAUCAUUCCCGUCUCCUCAAGAAUGUCUAGGCAUACUUGCGCUGAGAAAUAACAAUACAUGAUCUAGACUGAGCAACCUCAAUACCUAGAAAAUACUUCAUUCAAUCUGCCAAGGUCUUUCUUAUAUUGAAAAAGUACAUUAAAAGAUCACCCAUCAAAAAUUGGAUUAUCCAGCAAAUGAUUUGUGUUACUAAGGGCAAAAUUUGUGAUUUUUUUGUUAAAAAAUAUAGUUAACCGACUUUAGUGAAAAAGACUCAUAUUUAUAUGACCAUCUAUGAAAAUUACCCAUUUAGUACCUCAAUUAGAACAAAUUGGAGUUCGGGUAUCUAAAUGAAUUUCGCUGAUAACUUCGAGGGGCCAUAGAUAUAUAUAUAUUAAACUAACAAAUAAUAAUAAUAAAAGUAGUGUUACCUUCUCAAAAAAAAAAGAUAAUAAUAAUUAAGUUCCACUUCCUUCCAUUUCUUCUGUAUCUUGAAAUUGGUCACUUAAUUCGUAUUCAUAUGAAAUUAGUUAAUCAAGUGUUACCUUCUCAAAAAAAGGAUAAUAAUAAUUAAGUUCCUUCCAAAUUUUUUUCUGUAUAUUGAAAAUUGGUAGCUUAAUUUAUAACUUAUAUGAAAUUUGGUAAUCAAUUGUUACCUUCUCAAAAAAAGGAUAAUAAUAAUUAAGUUCCUUCCAUUUUUUUCUGUAUAUUGAAAAUUGGUAGCUUAAUUUAUAACUUAUAUGAAAUUUGGUAAUCAAUUGUCACCUUCUCAAAAAAAGGAUAAUAAUAAUUAAGUUCCUUCCAUUUCUUCUGUAUCUUGAAAAUUGGUAGCUUAAUUAAUAACUCAUAUGAAAUAAGGUAAUCAAAACCUCUAUAAAUACCCAAGUGCUUAACAUUUUAUUUUCAUCACAUUUUUCAUAAAGUUGAGCAUCACCUCAUUAGGUUAGUUUAAUUAUUUAUAUUUCUUCACAUUGUUUGUUCCUAUAGAAGUUGAAUCUCUCUGUCGCUACUUCUUACAGUCGUUGUAGAGAGGCGUAACAACUACAUCUUUUCUGUUUUUUCUAAUGAUUAAUUAACUUUAGAUAUGUCCUUCGGGAUGGCUCAGUAGGUUUGGAGGGUGUUUAUCCACACGGAUGACCCGGGAUGGAUCCCCCUCAAUACCUACUAAGUCGAGCUUGUCGCAUGGGGCUUGCCUAGUGCGAUUUAAAUCCCCCUGUGUAGCUUACAGGCUAUUACACAGUGGGGAGUUUACCCAGAGCGCACAAAACACUCACCCGAAGGACAGAGGUUGUAGAGGUUGCGUGUUAUUCUGGGGCUCCAAAAAUUGACUGUGGAAAUGCCCUUGCUUAUCCUAUCCUGAUAUCUGCAUCAUCUAUAAUUAAUUGUUGUUUUAUAGAUAUAAGUGUUAUAGAAAGGUUUGACUUUAAUAACUAAUUAUUUUCCCUUUUUUUAACAAUUAUUUAACAGCGGAAAUGGCUUCGAACUCUGGUCACAGUGAUGGUCGCAUGCGCGAAAUCUGUUUGGAGCUAGAGGAUGUACGCCACCACUUAAGAGGGUUGGAGCUGCAAAUGCGAGAUGCUAGAUCAGCAUACAACCUUAGAGAUUUUGGUAUUCUGCUGCAUAGGCGUGCUACUUAUCUGGAAAGAGAAGCUGAGCUUGAAAAGGAACUCAAGACUAAAUUUAACUUUUUUUACCGUAGGUUUCUGUAGUUGAUUUUUAUUUUCUUCCCUAUAUGUAGGAAGAUCAUAGGAAUUGUUACAAUAAUUGAAUGUUGGGAGUUAAACUGAAAAAGUUAAUAAAGACAAGGGAAUUUAAUUCUCUUUGGAUUUGAAAACCUACACCUAAAUGAUGUAUUUGCUUUAACGUAUAUGUAUGUUUUCUGCUUUCUUUAUAACAUAUUUUAGGAAAAAUCACUACAAUAUGAAAACAUGAUAGCAUAAACCACAACUAUCAUUACACCAAUAAUAAAAACAUGAUCUAUAGAAAAAAUACUUUUAAGGCAACAAAAAUGAAAUUUAACACCCAGGCGGGAUGCUUUUACGCCCGCGACUUACAACUCAAAUUCUAGGCACAGCCCUAUGGAUCUACGCCAUUCAUUUUCACCCCCGUGCAUUUUUUGGUACACCCCACCCUAGGACUUCCCAAUAAUCACCUUUGGCAACACUGGUGGCAGGUUGCUCCAUUUUACUAGGUGGAUCUUCUUUUUAUCACUAUUGCCUUCCCAAAGAAAGUUUCUUCCUAGAGCAUCAAUCUUGUUAACCACAAUUACAGAAUUAGGAACAAGGACAACAUGUAAGUGGAUAUAGCAUCUCGGACAACAUUAAUGAGCACCAAGCUGCCUCCUAACGAUAAGUACUGGCUCUUCCAAUUGGAGAGUUUCUUCUCAAACGUCUCCAUUUCUCCAUUCCAUAUCUUUUUGGAGUUACGUUUUGCCCCAAAGGGCAUAUUCAAGUAAACAGCGGGUAAUUCUCCAAUCGCCCCCCCCCCCUCCAAAGUAUAUAGCUAGUUCAAGCAAAUUCUUGUCGCUCUGGAACCGUUUACUAGGUAAACAAGACUUUUGUUCAGUUAAGUUGAUCUAUUGUCCAGAAAUAGAUUCAAGGAGUACAAAAAUUACUCUCAAUAGCUUUCAUAGGCCUCUAUCUGGACCACAGAAAAUCAGAGUGUCAUCAACAUAUAUUAGGUGAGAUAUUUCCACGUAACAGUCGCCAAUUGAUUAACCUUGAAGCCCCUAAUCCAGUUGUUUUUCUGUGCCCUCUAUAUCAUAUCAUCAGACCCUACAUUGCUACAGUUAAAUAAAUGGGGACAGUGGAUCCCCCUGCCUACUUCCUCUCUGGGAAAGAAAGAACCCUGUUGAAUUGCAUUUAACAAAAACAGAAAAUCUGGCUAUACUAAUGCAAUAUUUGAUCCGCCUAAUCAACCUCUCUCCAAAACUCAUCUUUUUCACUGAAUCCAGCAGAUAGUUCCAGUUUAUAUGAUCAUAAAUAAGCCUUUUCAACGUCUAGCUUACAUAGGAUGUCAGGGGUCUUGUUUUUGCCUUGUGUCUACACAUUGAUUAGCAAUUAGUGUUGCAUCCAUCAUUGUAAUCCUUUUAUAAAGUUCAUUUGUUGUGCAUCUACCAACCUUGCCACCACUUUCUUUAGCCUCUCAUUCAACAGUUCUACCUCCUCAAAAAAAAAAAACACACUUCUGAAAUAAUUUUGUAAACACUCCUGACUAGCCUGAUGGAUGUGUAGUUUUUUAGUUCUUUGGCACCAACUUUGUUGGGGAUCAUGGACACAAAAGUUGCAUUGAAGCUUUUUCCAAAUAUGCAUUGCUCAUAGAAAUUCUGUACAAUAGCUAUGACAUCUGUACUGACCACCUCUUAGCACCUUAUAAAGAAAUAUCAGUAACCAUCAGACCUGGGACUUUAUCCCCUGCAACAUACUUCACUGCUUCCCAAUCCCAUAUCUCUUCUGGGAAAAACGAGUUUUGAAGCAUCUCAUUAUCCUGAACUGUUAUCCUGGGCCAAUCCCUCAUACCACCUUGAGGACUCCACUCCUUUGUUUAUGUGUAGAGGUUCGGGUAGAAAGACACUAUCUCUUCUUUAAUAAUCUUUGGAUCUCUUAUCAGUACCCCUUCCACUUGCAACUGAUCAAUGUUGUUAUAUCUUCUGUGGCAUAGGCUGCUCUAUGAAAAUAGCUUGUAUUUUGUACUCCCAACUUAAACCAUAAAGCUCUGGAUCUUUGUCCCCAUGCUUCUUCUCUAUGUUUCACAAUCUCUUUAUAUUCCAUGGAGAGGGAUGUCUUGGUAAAAUUUCAUCAGAGAGAUUCCUCUGAUCAUGAAUUUUAUCCAAGUGAAUACUCCAUGCUUUUCUUUUGCAUGCAGAAGUACAAUUGCUUGGUCCACAGAAGUAAACACAUGCUGGUUUUCUUCAACUUGUUACCUAUCUUUUUCUUCUGAGUUCUCCAAGAACUAUGAACUAUAUGCCUCGCAAGAAUCCCUUUAACCGUUUGACUGCUUUGUGUCGUAGUAUUAGCAGACACUUCUUCGAUUAGUGGAUCAGACCUUUAUAGAGGAAGGGCUUCUUUUGGUUCAUGAUUCCAGCAGAUUUUGAAGGGCAAACGGUUUUCCCCUUUGCUUUCCCAGGGCCUUAAGAAAAAGAUAGCUCAUGUCCACGUGGUAGGCCAUGUUAGUUAUAAUUAAAUCUUAUGCUUUCCUGCUGCUCACCACGUGCAGUGUCCCGACUAUUUGAAUUGAGUUCAUCCCGACUGUAGGAUUCUUCUGUUAUCCUUUGGCUUAUACUUCUUUCAUUCUUCUCCGCUCCCAUCGAAACUCUGUCCACCGCGUACACUUAUAUCGGAUCUCCAAUAUUAUGCCUCUACGCACACCUUUGACAACAGUGGCUCCACCAUUGAAAGAAAAUCUUGAAAUUCAUUAGGAACCAGGUUCCUUCUAGAAUAUGUACCAUCAAUAGCUUCGAGGAGAGGUAGGGAUUAUUUAAUAGUCACGUAGUCUCUUUUUCGUCAAUAUGUAUAUCUACCUCUUGCCUCAAUUAUUUUGUAUCUUGCUAUUUUGUUAUAUUAUUCAUACAAUUUUGCUUCAGAAACAUUUCUUUUGAGCCGAAGAUCUAUCAGAAACAGCCUAUCUACCCCACAAAGGUAGGGGUUAGGUCUAAGUACAUUCGACCUUCUCCAGACCCCACUUGUAGACCCUACUUGUGGAAUUAUACUGGAUAAGUUGUGGUUGUUGUCGCUGAUAGCUUUGAGGAGAAACGAGAAUCUAUUGUAACCCAUCUCAAAAAUAUUUAUAUGUAUCUGCUUCCAUAUGCUACUCACCCAUCUGUGAAUUUCCAACAGGAUUGGGACGUCAAAGGUUGCUGUUGACUGUUUUUCAACCAAGCUCGAAGUGUGAUUGUUCACUCUCAAUAAAGGAUCUCCCCAUGCCUGGACUUCGCAGCUCCCAUCUGUCUUGAGGCCCAUCAGGACAGAAUCCAAAUAUAAGAGCCCUGAAUGUGUUGUCUUAAAUGGUUUUGGUUCUGGAAUUCUGGUUGACACCUUGAUUAAUUGACUUCUCAAUCUUUUAAGGCAAUCUCCAUCUACCCUGAAUUAAAUGUCAUCUCAGGGACAAUAAUAAUUGAUGUCCUCCUACCUUAAAUGUUAAUGAUUGUAACAUACCGGCCAUGACUGUUAUAGUUUCUUGCGCAGCAAGUGUCUUAAACAUGGUCACAAAGUCUCCAACUUUUAAUAGAAUACCCCUUCACCUACGAUGCUUCCUUUAGUGUGUCACACAGCCACCUCAUUGUAUUACUCUUGAACAUUGUUGUUCUGAUAAGAUUACGGCCUCUCUCUAUCCAUUCGUACCAUUCCCCUGAUCUGGAUCACUCCUAACAACUUCAUAUUAUCUGAAACCCACUGUGAAGUGUAUUGGAUUGAUCCCCAUGAAGAUUUGUAAUAAACAGACUAUUCUUUGUGUGUCCUAAUGAAGAUUCCAGCUGUUGUACAUGAAACGAUGGAACCUAUAAAGGUUGGACACCUUGUCGAUGUCAUUCCAGUGAGACUUCUUAUUUUUUUGAUAAGUUCAUUCAGGUUUAUUCUACUACUUUCCAUGAGUACAGUUGGGCCUCUAUCAUAACGUUCUAGAUUUCAAAAAGCCAUUGGGAUCAUACUGUAUGCAAUCAAACCAAUUUUUUCUCCUACAGAGACAUGUUGAAUUGGUCUAUCUCAAAUUUAACUUCACCUACAUACAUCCAAACAAAUAUAUGUAACUAUAACUAGAAUGCCCGAGUGUGUGGGUAUUAGGUCCCUUAGCCAAGCUACUUAAUUCCCUAAUAAGCAACGGUAAGAACAAAACUGCAAUCUGCAAACCUGAAGAAUUUUUCUUUGAUGAAUUAUGCAAAAACAAAUGAUGGCAUCGAUAAGUACGAAGUUUGGUUUGUUUACCAAUUCUCAAAAAAAAAAAAGUACGAAGUUUGGUGACUACGGCUUCUUCAGUUAGGCCAUCCUCCAGAAAGCAAGUCUUCAUAGUCCCAUAAACAGAGAUAAUGCAAUACCCCUUCGCUGAACGGGAUAUUCCUGUACACACCAAAUAAGAAUCUUAGUUUGUGAUUUGCAAGUGAAACUGCUUAAUCUUUCAUAACUAAUAAAUAUGAGGUGCUAAUGAACAAAAAUGCUGUUUGCUACUUGAGUGAUCAAGGAAGCAGUCACUAGUCAGUAGAAAUGGGACUUCUAGCAUAGGAAAGCUCCGAAUUAUAAAAUCUUGGAAUGAAAUAGGUCCAAAUGGAGAGGAACAGAUAGUGAUGAUUUAUGUGUGCCUAGGAGGGUGUUUUUUUAACUUGGCUAGCCACUAGAAGGGUUAUUUUGACAAUGGAAUAUCUUAGAAAACAGAAGAUUGUCUGCUUCAAUUGGUCUUACAUGCACAACGAGGCGGGCGAGGAUCUGGAUCACCUUCUUCAACAUUGUGGGCUUACCAUAAGAUUAUAGUGGGAUAUGUUUAGAUGGUUUCUCACUCUUUGGACAAUACCAAGAACCGUGAAAGAUUUGGAUGCUCAGUUGGACGAGCGGGAGGAGGAGAAGCCAAAGGACUUCGACCGUGGUUCUAAUUGCAUUAAUGGGUUGUUUGGAGAGAGAUAAAUAGGAGAGCUUUUGAUGGUGUGGAGUCAAGUUUCUUGCAGUUGAGGAGUAGUCUCCGCUCCCUUAUUUUCUUUUGGUGUGAACAAAAAGUUCCUCGUUGAAUAGAGGAUUGGGUGGAGUUUGCAGGUAUCAUAUCUUUUGGUAUAACCUUUGUAUAGGCCGUUUUCGUCAUGUUUAUGAAUGAGACUAGUUUUACUUGAUAAAAAAAAAUAGUAAACCCAAAUUAGCUUGGAGUGAUUAGUUGCUGCCAUAUUCUGGCUUUUAGCUGGAGAAUAAGUGGUCAAGCAGACAUGACCAACAACAGGCAUUGGUUCUGGAAAAUCAAGAUCUUGAUCAUUUCCAACAAGGCCAAAAACAUAGGGACUGCCUGGAUGUGCAUGCCUAAAAUAUUAAGACCAAUUCAAUUGUAAGACACCGCAGAUUAGGAUCAUUCCGCAAUCCUUUCUAAGAGUAUAAAAAUGUCAGUGAUGUAAAUCUUACGAAUAUGUAUGAUACUUUGGUUAUGCUACCAUGCUGAAAAGCUUUACUCAUUUCUCACAACUAACAUUUUUGCAUCUUAGCAGAUAUUAGUAGAUUCAACUGACAUGAAAAAAUCCAAGUGAUAUAAAAAUAAAUAUAAUCGCACCCACAAAUAAUAUUGUACUUGUAAGAAAUCUUGAGCUAUUCAUAAGUAAUUAGCCUGAUAUAAAUUGGCUCUUACGAGCACGAGCUUGAGUUGGACCCUGAACUUCCUCCACGACACACUACAAAUGCAAACAUUACACAGCUGUACAAAUUACUAAAUCUGUUUUGUGCAUGACUAAAAGGAAGUGAGGACAGAGAGGCACUUGAAGCUAUAUGUGGAAAAAAGAGUAGGAGGGAAGUAGGAAGAUAUCAAGUUAAAUGGUCGAAAGAACAUCAUAAGAAAUCAGCACUUCAAGGCAUUAAUCAGAUCAUAACUUCACUCACAAAAGACAUCAUUUUAAUUCUUCAAGAGAAAAAGCCAACUCUGACAAGUUCAUUAGCAUACCAAUUUAAAGUUCCACUUCACCACUCAUGUAUAAGAAAUAUAUAAGAACUUAUCCAACAAAAGGUAUAAUGAAAGUUCCAACUGACAGUUUGGGGAUGGCACUAACCACAGAGAAACCAUUACGUGUGAGAUCAUCCAGCGUCUGUCUUAGAUUCUGCAAAAAAAAAAAAAGUAACACAGUUUACAUGACAAAGGGAGACGGAAUAAAAUUAAAUAGAUACCAUAAAUUUAUCUUGAAACGACAACUUAGGGACAUCAGAAAACUCAGCAUACUCUGCUGGCAGUUUCUCGGGUAUAAUCGCGCAGGAGGAUGACAGAAUAGAAGUGCACAAAUUUUAUUUUAUACAACAAAUUCUUGCUUCUGAGCUUCCACAAACCACCCCACACUUAACUAAACCAAAAAUUAGUGACCUUUCUUCACACCAAGAAACAAAUACAUAAAAAGCUUUCUUCACACCAAGAAACAAAUACAUAAAAAGCUUUCAACUUUAAGCAAGUAGAAAAACCCCAUCUUUUUCAAACAACAUAACAAAUUCUUGUCUUCUGAGCCUCCACAAACAACCCCACCCUUAACAAACCCAACAAUUACUGACCUUUUCUCCACACCAAGAAACAGAUACAUAAAAAGCUUUUAACUUUUUAUGCAAGAAGAAAAUUCACAUCUUUUUCAAACAAUAUAACAAAUUCUUGCCUUCUGAGCUUCCACAAACCACCCCACCCUCAACUAACCCAACAAUUACCGACCUUUUCUCCACGCCAAGAAACAAAUACAUAAAAAGCUUUUAACUUUAUGCAAGUAGAAAAAUCCCAUCUUUUUCAAAUAAGAUAACAAUUCAUGCUAAUGCCUUCUGAGCUUCCACAAACCACCCCGUCUCCACAAGUAGUGACAUUUUCUCCACACCAAGAUACAAUUACAUAAAAAGCUUUCAACUUUAUGCAAGAAAAUGGAAGAACUUACAGAGUAUGUGGAGAGAAAGACAAGAAACGCCGGCGAAGUGGUGGACGGAUGACGUGAUUGUUCUACCAUUUCUCCAAUCAUCAACCUAUUCCAUCUCUGAGAUAUAGUGUUUCAGUGCGUUUGGAGAUAUGACAUAAGCAUUGAUAGUUGGAGAAGGGAAGAAAAUUUAAUUAUUUUUGCUGAAUAGUGUCAAUUUAUUAAAUUUAUAUGUGUAACUUAUAAUUUUAGUCAUCAAGUACUAUUUAUCAAUGCAUUUGUCUUAUAUUUUACUAUUUUAAUUUUUUAUUUAUUGAUUAUACUCCUUAUGAACCAAACAUUUAUCAAAACCAAUUUUAUAUCUCACAUAAUGAUAAAAUUUACCAAUAUAAUAUUUUUCUUAAUUACUGAUUAUGAUAUUAUGCUCGAAUAUAUUAUUAUUAAUAUUACUAUCGUAUUUAUGAUAAAUUAUCCUACACAUCUUUGUAAUGUGAUUUAAUUGCAAAUAUUACUAAUUCCAUAUCCAUUCGUAUUCAAAGCACAAAUGAAUAUCACCUAGUAAUAAUCACACCCUCCGUCUAACUAUAGUUGCCAUUAUAUUAUUUUUAGAUAUUCAAUAAUAUUGUUCAUUCUUCAUAUUAAUUAUAUAUAUUUUAAAAAAUAUAAUAAAAUUGUCCUUUUAUUUAUAAUUUUUUCAAAAUACGCAAAAUUGAACAAAUUUAUUUGUAAUUUCAUAAAUAAAAUUAGAAGGUGGAUUGAGAACAUAUUCAAUGAACAUUAUGACUGUUGAUCUAAAUAUUUAACCUUUAAAUUUGUAAAGCAAAAUGUGAAAUCAUCAUGAAAUUUUUCACCAUCUAACAAAAUGUUUAAAAGUCUUACCACGUCCGUAGUGGAAUGAAGUAUUGAUCUCAUUAUUAUAUAGAUAUUCAGUGGAUUUAGUCGAGGUUUUAGCCUUAGUGGACAAAGUUAGCUGGUACUUGUUGCUGGUUGAAGGUAAUAGGUAUUCCUUGGUGGACAAAGUUAGCCGGUACAUGUUGUUGGUGCGAGGUGAUAAAUAUUCAUUGGAUUCAAUCGAGAUGCGUGAAAGCUGACGGAGUGAGUACUUUCUAGUUUCUGGUUAACUUCCUUUCCUAUUGAACAACACAUGAAAGAUGUUGAAAAUGGUAAAACUAAAUGUCAAGAUUUAUGUCUUUUAGCUGUCCUAGGUGCAUGUAUGAAUGACCUUUUGUAUUAUCUAGUAACUUUAUGGUAUUAAUGUGGCUAGAUUAAAGUGUACGUGUGGAAGUACUUAAUAUGUGUUAUUCUUGAAGACUAUUAAGACCUAUAUAAACUUGCUGAGAGAUGUUGAUAUGGUCGAGAAAUUUCGUUGUCCAGGCAUGGAUGUCGGGUCCAAGUUGAACUCGAUUUGUUCUUGAAGGGGUAUUUGAUGUUAAUGGCAUAUAACUUAGCUGUCAUAUCAGAUGUGUAUAAUGCUAUCUUAGAUCUACUUUGAUCAAGAAACUGUACAAUAUUAGAAAAUGAAGGACCUACUCUUAUCUUUUUACUGUCAAUAUCAAAAUCUAAUUGGUAAGAUUAUACUUCAUUGAUCAAUUAUGAUUCUUUAUUUCAACAUUCAACAGCUAUACUAGUCACUUUUUGCCUUCGCACAUUUUUGUUCUUUCUUAAAUUUUGUGUCAAGUCAAAAUCAUACAAACAAAUUGAAACGGAGGGAGGAAGUAAUGGUCAAAAAACAACAACAUGCAUUUUUUCCCCAUAUACAAAUGUCAUACAUGAUCUCUUACUACUAUUCACAAAGGACAGUUCAGAAGCUAAGUGAGUUCUCUGCUACUGGAAAUGGCUUCUUUUUCCACCAGCUCUACUUAUUGUCUCAGCAAGGUACGAGAAUUCGUGCAAAAUUCAUUUUUUUUUUCAAGAAUUGAUCAAAAAAUCACUGUGAUCCAACUUUGGUUUUUCUCUUUUAUGUGCAGAAUGUUGUGUUUUUAUCUGAUUUCUCUCCACUAAAUCAGUUUCCCACUCAAAGUCCCAGGAGAAGAUUUUCCAAGAAAAUUGUUUCUAUGAUCACACAACCAAGUUCAAGAAUGCCUGCCACCACUGGCUCAGUUGAGUUUAUAUUGUUUUCUAUCAUAUACCUAUGCGUGUGGCUUAGUGAUCAAUGAAGUAACUUGAUAAGUUUAUUGUUCAAACUCUAGCACAAACAAAAACAAUAGGUGAUCUCUUUCUAUCUGCCCUACCCUUGGUUGACAGACUUAGCUGAUAUGUGACGUUGGUCGGAGGAAAUAAGUAUCCCGUAGAUUUAGUUGAGGUGCGCAAAAGCUGGCCUAGACACCACAGUUAUAAAAAAAAUACUAGGUGAUUUCUUCCAUUGUCUUAGUCUUAGUGGACAGAGUUACAUGUUACUAGUGGGAGGUGACAAGUAUCCCAUGAAACUAGUUGAGGUGCGAGAAAGUUGACCUAGACACCGCGAUGAUAAUAAAAUAAUUCCCCUUUUCAUAUUUGGGGAAUAAAGUUGCAAACUUUCCAUAUAGCUUAAUGGUACUUGAUGCUUGUGAUUGUGAUUUUUUUGUUUUUUUAGGUGAAGAGUUGGAUGACUAUGACUGAGAAGUUGCUGGCUAGGACUUCUGAGAAGCUUCAUGUGGUUCCAGGUGAGAAUUUGUGGGUCAAUGUCGAUGUUUUGAUGACAAAUGAUAUUACUGGGCCUGGUGCUAUUGGAGUAUUUAAAAGAGAAUUUGGAGAAAAUGCCAAGGUAUGCUAAAAUAGCCAUAUCGUUGAAUUUAGUUGAGUUUCAUCUUUGUAGUUAUAUAUGGUUAGAGAUUUAUGUCUGUAGGUUUUCCGGAGUUUUUGGUUUAUGAACAUUCACAAUUGACGAAAUUUCAUGUAUAAACAAGAGCAAGUUAGAGUUUGAUGCCUCCAAAGAUAUGAUUCAAUAUCUUACUCCUCAUUCUGACAACUUGAAAAGGGAUGCUUUCGUAUCUCUACUUAAAAUCAUUCAUAUCUUGAACUUUUCCUCUCUUGGUAACUUGAACUCCCAAGCUCAUGGUAUAAAGAGGGCAAGCAUUCGACUCGUGUGUAGUUGGGUUCUGUAUCACCUAGGGAAGUAGAAUUUGUGCAGUAACUUAACUAUACAAUAUACCCCGCGAUGAAGCAUCUGCACAGGAUCAGUGAUUCAUAGUUGAGGUACUGAGAAAAGUUGAUGCGGAGUACCAUGCUUAAAUUCUAAUCCAGUAAAAAAUUCACUUGAACAGACCUUGAUUUUCCUGUUGGGACACUUCUAUGGCUCUAAUAGUGCCGGGGAUUGUUUGUUUUCUUCAUAUCUUAGGUCUGGGAUCGUGAAAAGGUAGUUGUCAUACCCGAUCACUACAUUUUCACAGCUGAUGAACGAGCAAAUCGUAAUGUGGAUACACUGAGGGACUUCUGCAAUGAGCAAAAUAUUAAGUACUAUUAUGACAUUAAAGACCUCGGAAACUUCCAGGUAUGAUAUUGAGUCUAUAUCCCUUAGCAACACAUGAUGGUUACUCCGAGCUUUUGUUGUCGUUUUAUAACAGUUGCUAAAACAUAGUGGACUGAAUAUGUUGACAGGCUAAUCCAGAUUACAAAGGAGUGUGCCACAUUGCUCUUGCCCAAGAAGGUCACUGCAGACCAGGAGAGGUGAAGUUUGUGCUACACACGCAAAGAUCCUAAUACGGCUUGUCCUUCAAUGCCCUUCUUUUGACUUUACAGUUUUGUUUGCAGGUUUUGGUAGGUACAGACUCUCAUACAUGUACUGCAGGAGCAUUCGGUCAAUUUGCAUCUGGAAUCGGAAAUACUGAUGCUGGUUUUGUUCUGGGUACUGGAAAGAUUUUGCUCAAGGUAAGUAACUUCUCAUCUGGAGACCACAUUCCUUUGAUUCAUAUACUUGUUAUUGUGUAUAAGUAGAGAAAAAGGAUAUAUACCUGUCAUGAAUAUCUCAAAGUUUAGUUAAUUUAGCGUGGAUCGCAUGUCCAUGUCUCAUUUUACAUGUAUAGUAUGUCAAGUUCCUGCAGCUCUCACAUAGAUCUACUGUGACAUACAGGUUCCUCCAACUAUCAGAUUUGUAUUGGAUGGUGAAAUUCCGAAUUACAUACUAGCUAAGGAUUUGAUUUUGCAAGUGAGUUACUUCGACAGCCUCUUACUAUUUUCUUUACUUUCCCCUUUUGGCAUGUGCUACGUAUUUGUAUAUCACUCAGGACAUGCCAGGUUAUUGGUGAAAUUUCUGUAGCUGGUGCAACAUACAAAACAAUGGAAUUUGUCGGUACUGCUGUUGAAAGUUUAACAGUUAAGUUUGUUGAGUUUUCAUUUGAGGUAAUCGAGUUAUAUUGUUCAGAGUUAUUAAUAUCUCUAUGUUUUACGUAUGACAAAAGAUGGAAGAGAGAAUGACAUUAUGCAAUAUGGUUAUCGAAGCUGGUGGAAAGAAUGGUGUUAUUCCUGCUGAUAAAACAACAUAUGACUACCUUAAGGUAAGUUUUAACAUUUCCAGUUUAGCUUAUGAUAAAUCAACAUAUGAUAGAUGUCUUAAUUACUCCCUUCAUCUGCUUGGUUAAGUGAAAUAAGACCAGUUCUCUUGCUUAUGAACGUCUUUCGUGUUUUCUGGUCACAGGACAAGACUACUGUGCAUUAUGAACCUGUCUACAGUGAUGAGCAAGCCAGGUAUCCAACACAAAAGACAUUGGUAUAUAACCACUUGUGUUUUUCCUUAGCCAUUACGUGUCUCCAAUUUCAUUUAUGAAGGAGAGCGUUGGAGCAAUGUUAAAAUUGUCUCCGUGUGACUUAUAGGUCACUGUUUCAAGCCGUAGAAUCAGUCACUGAUGCUUGUGUCGGGGUACACUCACUUGGGGUGCAGGCUCUUCCCUGGACCUUAUGUGAACACAGGAUGCUUCGUGCAUGAGCGUCCCCUUUAAAGUAGAAGAAAUAGCUUAGCAUGUUUGGUAAGAUGAUAUUCAUUAUGACUUAUGAGGUAAUUGCCAUAAAUUCCAGGUUUCUUGCUAAGUAUCAUUUCGACAUCUCAAAGUUGGAGCCCUUAGUAGCAAAGGUAGGUGAAUUUGGCUGUUAAUACUUUGACAUAUACAUCAUAAAUACAAACACAUUGUCGUAGACGCCAUGCACUUAUUUAUGUCUCUUCAGCCUCAUUCUCCUGGCAAUCGUGCUUUGGCAAGAGAAUGCGAAGAUGUUAAGAUUGACAGAGUAUAUAUUGGAUCUUGUACCGGUGGGAAAACAGAAGACUUCAUGGCUGCUGCCAAAGUUUUUCUAGCAUCAGUAAGAUGAUAUCUCUUUCUCAAUAACUUCACUAUGCAUAUGAAAAGUAUACAUGUCUAUUCUGUAACACUUGUCUUCUGUAAUUUCUUAUACCGUCCGUUUAUUGACAUGCCUGUCUUCCUGUUAAUGCACAAAAGUCCCUCAAAACGCAUGCCUUGUACCUUUCCAAAUAGAUCCUAUUCCUUUGAUGUAUAGCUGAAUAAGCAUUUUGUGCUUGUUAAGCUAUGUUCAGUACUACACCUAAAGGUGUCUGCGUUUUGGGGUUGAGUUAGGCUCUAGUGUCAUAUCUUUACAUGGUAUCAGAGCCAGGGAUGAAUCAUCCCUGUAUGGGCUCCCGUUGCAUGAAGGGAGGGGUGUUAGAGUCUGUUAGAGUCUCAUGUUGGUUGGGGAAUCGUGGUCUGCAUAUAUGGAUAGACUUGAGAUAAUCUUCCCUUCGUGAGCUAGCUUUUGGGGGUUGAAUUAAGCUCAGGUGUCAUAUCUUUACCGUGCUUAAAUGAUACUUCUCGGUGGAAGUUUGGGAUGUGACAUAAACUUUUUACCAUAUUGAUCACUAAGAUUUCUUGUUUGGUUUCAUCGCUAAUCCUCACAGGGAAAGAAGGUCAAAGUUCCAACAUUUCUCGUCCCUGCUACGCAGAAGGUUCGUGCUCUUAAUGUAUUGUUCUUCCGGACUCAGACACACCUAUAUACAACAUGAAUGUCAUGGUGGCAUACCAUAUGGUUUGACAACAAUCGGAAAUUAUCUGUCCGUUAUAAACUUAGCAAUGUUUCAGGUCUGGAUGGAUUUAUAUACUAUCCCAGUUCCAGAAUCUGGUGGCAAAACAUGUUCACAGAUUUUCGAGGAUGCUGGCUGCGAUACACCAGCAAGUCCUAGUUGUGGUGCUUGUAUGGGUGGUCCUAGAGAUACUCAUGCUCGGUUGAACGAACCUCAGGUAAGUUUCACCAAUGCUAGUAUGAAAAGUGAAAUAGGAAAGUUAAUCGCGCUAUAGAAGUGUGGAACAACAUUGAGCUGAUCAAUGAACGAUUCGAUUUUCCAGGUAUGUGUCUCAACCACAAACAGGAACUUCCCGGGGCGAAUGGGCCACAAGGAAGGUCAAAUUUAUCUUGCAUCUCCAUAUACAGCUGCAGCAUCUGCAUUAACUGGCCAUGUUACUGAUCCUCGAGAUUUUCUGCAGUAAACGCGUUAUUGUUCAUGUUAAAACGCGAUAAAGCUUGAACUUUUGCUUGUAAUGUACACCAGAAGAUGUUUGUGUUUCUGAUUUCAGUGACAAAAUGCAGUUUUGUCAAGUACUCUUAGCUGUAGUUACUUAUAUUUGCUUGUGGAAUGUGUCAAAGACGAGCUGAAUUUUGUAAAAUCGUCUCAUUUAAAAGAUUAAUAUCUCGAUAUAACUUCUCUAUCGUACUCUAAUAACAUGUUGAUAACAUGGAAAUAUCCUAUUUGUGUAAAUCACCCUAUACAAAAUCAUCACAAGUUAGUUCAUUUUCUAAUUUUGUGUUAUGAUAGAUGUACAAGUAACUAUGAACCACAAAUUACAUUGGUCAACAAUUUUCCCUCAUAUAUUAGAGAUUUUAAAAAAAGUAUAAUAUAUAAUCAUGAUGGUUACACUUUUAAUCAGAGGUUUCGAAUUCGAGCUCUGGAUAUGGAGAAAAUUUUACUGAGAGCGUCACCUCAAAACAAGCCCCUGUUUUUAAUAGAAGCUUCAAUAUGAAAUUCGAACAUCGAGUGAAAAAACGAAAAACCUUUUUUUUGAAAGAUAAUUUGGAAGUGACACACAUUGGUGAAUGAGAUCUGAACUCAAAUAGUUUCAUCAUUGUGUAGGGUUCCUAUUGUUAGGAAAAAGUGAAGAAAAAAGAACAAAACACAAUGGAUAGCGCAUGAGGUUUAUUAUACUUUAUGUUAGGAACCUCCUAGAAACACUAUACUAUUAUAAUCAGUAUUUGUAUCGGAAAGUAAAUCUUGAAGCAACGAUAAAGAUAUUUUUACGUAGUCUAUAGGUUACAUAUUCAAGUUCCGUGAGAUAAAUUAUUGACCUUUGCUUUACGAUAAGAUAUCUACGUAUACACAUAACAUACUCUUUUAAGAUAUAACCUUAUUAGCGUGUAUUCAUUAAUUUAAUAUAAACAUCGAAUGAAAGUAUCUUUUAUCAUACUUUAUCUUGUUUCUUUAUGGACUCCACAAGGAGUAUUGGAAUACAGUUGUCACUUGAUCAAUGAAAUAAUUAUGUUUAGAAUGACUAACAUCAGUCAUAAUCAUAAUUAUUUCUUCAUAAGAAUAUAAAUUUAUAUAUAGCAGUCUAUUUGUUUUUUAGUAUUCCAACCUUAUCUAAACUACUACUAUGUGAUUAGACAAACUAAACAUAGUAUAUACUUGUGUUUAGGAAGAAAUAAUAAAACAUGACUCGAUUUUAACUUACUAAAAUCAUACCGUUAAUAGGAGGGUCUAAAAGUCGAGCAAAAGAGUAGAGGAUCCCUCUACAUGAUUGUUUCUUCCACGCAGUAUGUUCUACCCUUGUCAAGCCUCACUUAUGAGACUAUAGACUUCACUUGCGAUAUUAUAUUGAUAUGUUAUUGUAGAAUUUAAGUGCAUGCACUAUAUCUCAGAAGAUGACUUUAGCACCAAGCACAUGAUAGGACUUUGGACAAACUCAAACUUAAAUUCUCAAUUUUUUUUCAGUCAUGUAAUGAUGGACACAAUCCACAAUAGAGGAUUUGCUAAGAACUUUCAACAACUAGUGUCUUUAAUGACUUCACCACUAGCAAAUUCUAUAUAAUAUAUAUCUCUAUAUACCACCAAACAAAAAGAGAUUGAUCAACAUUAAAAUAAACAAAUAAAUAAAUAGAAUUUCUUGCAACAAACACAAAACACACAAAAAGUGGAAAAUAGCAUUCCCAUAUUUACAUCAUGAGAAAGGUAGGUAAAAUUUGGGGCAAAAACAUUGGUAUAUCAACUAUAUGAUGGGGGAGCUUGAGACCUAAACCAAAAAAAAAAAACACAAAAAAGUGGGGCACUUUUUGAAGAGUAAAUGGUGCAAAACAAAAAAUGCAACCAUGAAAAAAAGUAACAAUAUCCCUAUUUCUGUUUUACUUUUUGUUUCUUCCAAACUUUUUUUUACCAAGCAUUUUCCUUGCACCAAGCAUAUUUAGAUAGGUUUUCCUUUGUGUUUCUCUUGCUUCUGAGGGAUUCUUGGAGCUGAAAGUAAACCAAUAACUAGUGUUAGAGCUAAGGAAACAAAAUGACAAAAAGGUUAUAUUGCUCGGACUCUCCAAAAAUGCACUACUUUUGGAUUUGGAGGAUCUAACACACCCUGCACCUCGGAGUACUUUUGAAGAGUUUUCGAGUAAUAUAACAAAAGGAGAGGUUGAGUGUGUUCUUUUGGCAUGGCUAUGUACAUACCAAGUCCAUUAGCCUCAGAAGUCCUCAUGAUUCUUAGCCUUUUCACAGUGUUGAGAAACAUCCUAUAUAACACAUGAAAGUAUUAGAACAUAUAAAGAACUAGAGUGGGGAGCUAGAAAUGAUAACAACUUGAUUUUGCAUAAAUGAAGAUCAUACUUUCUAUGCUACUUUUUCAUGACGUGUAGGGCCCGUUUAAGGAAAAAACACACUUUCCAAGAAUUUCUUCAUUUUCAAGACUCAAACAUGAGACCUCUAGUUAGAGAUGGACCGAUUACAUAUAUCUAACCACAUCAAGGUUGAUGGUGUUUCUCCAUGCUACUGAUGUACUAUGGAUAUCCUUUAUACUGAUAGUUUUAUGCCCCUAUUGUUUUAUUCGUUUUCGUUUUGUACUUCCUCGUUGGAUGAUGAAGGUGUGAUCAUUUGCUUUCAUGAAUUAGGUCCACCAAAAGCACCAUGCAUAUAAUAUGAUAUUAUAUAUAUAUAUACAUGAGAAUUGAGAUCAUCAAUACCUCAUGUUUGCUAAUAUAUUCUCUUCUUUUUUUUGGUUUGUGGGGCUUGAUGAGAACUUAGGCUUCUAAUAUUUCGAUGCUUUUUGCAAAAAUGACAUAGUACUAAUUAACGGAAUUUCUUACCCGAAUGGAACAUCUCCAACAAGCAUCCAGUCUCCUUCUUUAUCCUCAUAUGUGAGCACAAAUUCAGAUGAUCCAUCCAAGAGCUUAAAAGACUUAGUUGCUUGUUCCUUUUCACCGCCUAUAAAAAAAAAUGGAACAUCAACAAUCACUUCAUAACAAAAACAUCACAAAACAUGCAACCGAUUUGUUUCAUUUAGUCCUUUUUCUACCGUAAAACAUGGCGUGGAAUAGGGUAUUCCACGCCUAUGUAGUAUGUAUAAUGCAUGGGAGAAACAAAUAACUACGCUUGAUCUUAGCCAAAGGCCGAGAAAACUAGUAUUUAGAGCCAAUUUAAGUAACGAAACAAGAAGUAAACUUCGAAACAGAACCCGUACUUUUGGUAGAUUUAAAGAACAUAUCCUCCAAGGUUUCGGCUAACGAUUCAUAGCAAGUAUGAGCAUUCAAAUCCACCUUUCUUCCAAUAGGCAAACCAUCCAUAUUCACCUUCACAAAACCAAGAUGCCCCUUUUCUUUAACCGAUGCUGCAUCAUCCUUAGUGUUCCCAUGAUUGAUCUUCUUCUUCGAGUGCUCCUUCUUAUCGUUCCCGCCAACUCCCUUCUCAUCAUCAGCAUUUAGAACCUUUGAUUGAUUAACCAAGCUGUUCAUUCUGUAUGCCCUUAUGGGUGGCCAUCCCACAACCUGACUGCUUUUAGAAAUCAAAAUAAAUGAAUCAUCAAUUAUAUACUCAAUCAUCCAUCAAGAUCCAAAUUCAUGAACUUAGUUAUCUAAGCUAAAAUGAACAAGUCAAAAGAAAAGAGUUAAGAAAGAGAGGAAAGAGGGCAUAUGAAAUUUUGCAAAAUGAUUUUCUUUUUCUUUUCAAAAAAGUACAAAAAGAAAUUGUCAAAAAUUAUCAAAGUUGCACUAAAAGUAGGAUUAGAGGGAAUAUAAUGAUAGAUUAUCAUAAUGACUGGGCAACCAAAAGCAACUUUUUUGGCAGAUUUUAGAUUAAAGGUAAUGAGAUGAACAAAAGGUGAUGCAUGCUCUGCCAGCUUCUAUCAGUAAUUAAACUAAUAACUCAUCAAAGACAAAAGCUAAAACAAAUUAAAGGAAAAUAUACUCUAACUAACAAAAAAAAUCCAAGAAACAAAAUAAAAUCCAUUCUUGAGUAGCUUAAACACAACUUUUCAUAGACAAACAUGAAACUAAUGUAAGAAAAAUUGUAAUAUUAAAGGAAAGAACUUUUCUUCAAGAUCAUUAAAACCCUUCAAGGAAUACACUAUUUCUUGAGUAAACUAAACUUAAACUUCAUUGUUAGUCAUGAAAUUAAUGUAAAAGCUCUAAAAUCAAAUGAAAGAACUCUGCUUUAGGAACCAACAAACAACAAAAGCAAAGAGAAAUUCAAGGAACACAUGACAAAAAUCCUAAGAAAAAAAAAGAAACUUUACAUAAGAACCUAAAAUCAUUUAGUCCCUUUUGAGAUACACAAUUUCUUGAGAAAACUAAACAUACCACCAUGACUAAACAUGAAGAAAAUGCAAAAAGAUCACUAAAAUUAGCGAAAAGAACACAUUUUUAUGAAAAUUUAUGAAAUUCUUGGAAAAAAUGAAAACUUUACAUGGGAACCUAAAAUCACUAAGACCCUUUGAGUAAACUAAACAUGCCACCAUGACUAAAAAUGCAAGAAAUAUACUAACUUUAGAAAAAAGAACACAUUUUUAUGAAAAAGUUGUGAAAUUCUAACCUUGCACCAGUAGGAGGAGAUCCAACCUCAGUUGUAGAACCAGCAAAAUCAGCAGCUCUUUUAGUACCAGAAACACCAACAUUAAUGGAUCUCUUAGCUGAAAAUCCAUUAGGAAAAUCUUUAGCAGUUAAAAUCCUACCAUACUCACCCCAUGGUGAUUUCUUAGUCUUUCCCCCCACCCCACCACCCCCACCCCCACUGUUAAGGCUAAGACCUAACCCCAACUCAAGCUCUGUUUCAUCCUCAGAACACAUACCCAUAUUGUAAUCUUGCUCCAUUUUUGUACCUUUUUCACUAAGAAUUGGUUCCAUGAAAAGGGGGUUUUCAAGAAUGUAUGAGUAAAUUUCAAGAAAAUGUAUAAGAGUAAAAUGGGGUUACAGGGGAUGAAGAGAAUGUAUAGAUAGGGGGGUUGUGGGGUAGGGGGUGGGGUAAAAUGGUGGAGGUAGUGAUGAUUAUGGGACCCAUAUGUCUGGUAGUGCACCAAGCACUGUCCUUACAAAGAUAAUGAAUUAUAUUUCUUGUUUGUUCAUCAAGUUUCUUUAAUUUUUCAAUUUUCAAGUAUUUCGUGUUCGUAAUUUAUAUUAAAGUCUUAAAUAAAUUUGAAUCACGCAAUUUAUUUAAAGACAAUACUUUUAAUAGAAUUUCUUUUAUAUUCAUCGUUCAAAUUUAAAAUAUCUAAUUAAAAAUAAAAUAAUCUCAUUACUAUAUCACGGAAAAAAACAUCAUUUUGGUUUGGUUUUGUAUUGCCAUGCUUGCUUUUUUUUGGUAUUAAUUAGUACUUGAAAGUGUUUGUUUUUUCUUUGUCCCCUUUUGCCACCUCUUUUGUCCAAAAUGUUGGAAACAAAAAAAAAUAGUAUUGGAAUCAUUUUGUAUUUCUUGAGUUCUGUAAUUGUCUAAAAUUAACUUUACAAAAUAUUUUCUUCUUCACUUUUAAUUAUCAUACUGUAUUUUUUUUAAAGUUAAUUUAAUUAAUUUUAAAAAUUAAAUUAUAUUAUAUUAUCUUAAUAAUUAAAUAAAAAAUUUAAAUAUUUAAAAAAUCAUACAAACAUUAUUAUAAAUUGUAAUUAUUUACAUAUCAAUAUAAUAUAAAAAGACAAUAUAAAUAUUAGUUAAACUUCUAAUAGUUUGGCUCUAAGAAAGUAAACCAUGAGAAUUCAAAAUGGACGGAAAAAGUAUAUUACUCCCUUCGUUUUGUAUUAUUUGACUCGUUAACUCGUAAUCAUAUCUCUUAAACAAAUUUUAAUUAAAAUAUACUUCGUCCAUUUAUUUUUUCUUGUUUUAUGCUUAGAAGCUUUUAAUCUCUCAAAUUUAUUUACUCGUGACAACCUUUCAGCCGUUUAAAAGCAAUAAAAAGGAUUUUCGAAAUAAGAGAAAUUAGGGAAGAGGGAAGCUUUAGUCCGUCUUAAGGCAUGUAUAAUGGUCUUUUUUUUUAAAACUUUUUUCGGUGAGGUAAGAUAUAAAGUAAAACUCACCAGUAAAACGUUUUUAAUUUACUAAAAUGAAAAAAUAAAAUAAUUAUUUUUGAUAAAGAUGUUAAAUAAAUUGAAACAAAGAAAGUAUCUUUUUUGUAUUAAAAUACUUAUGAUUUUACUUUAAAAAAAAUAUAUAUGCUAUCACAAAAUACCAUUCCUUUUUAGUGUUCAAGAUAAAAAAAAAUUCUCAUUUUGUUUUAGAGUUAAUAGUUUUCAAGGAAAUAUAUAUAUAUAUGUGUGUGUGAAGUAAAUACCGGAUGAAGAGAAGCUAUAUCUUAGAAUAUAAAUAAUAAUAAUAAUAAUCAAAAUUUUCUUUUUAACUAAUAUUUUUGAAAUAUAUUAUAAAUAUAAAUAUGAAAAUAUUUUGAGAUUAUGAGAAUAAUUUAAUCUUGAAAUUUUAUCAAUUUAAAUUCAUAUUAUAAAAUAUAUAUUAAAAAUUCUGUUAUAUUUAGGGAAGUUUUAGUGUUACAAGUAUAAUUAUAAUUAAACAUGCAGCAACUACAUGAUUGUCCAUUCAACUAAUUAAUCAUUCUUGAUCUCAAGCAUGCAAAGCAGGACAGCUAAGGAGCAUUUUUUUUUAUUUAAUUACACAAAUUAUUUGUUACAAUAAAUAUGUAUUACCACUACUUAAGUGAAAUUUUAUUUUACGUUCUAUCACGCAUAAAAUAAAUUUCGUAUAAGCUACGUUGGUCCGGAAUUUAAUUUCAAAAGAUAAUAUAUAAUUACGGGUAAAAAGAAAAAUAUACACCCAAACUGUCGCAAAGAGUUGUAGAUAUUUUCUGGCAUACUUUGGGACAUUGAUGCCCUUAUCGUUCAAAAACUAAUUAAAGCAUAUCCUUUUAUACUAACUGACAUACACGUGUUAUCCACCGGCCCAGCAAUUAUUAAAUAUUGAAUUGAUGAUAAAAUUGUGUCGUGUGUCCCUAUUUAGUUUUUCGUUAGAGUGAAGGACAUAUAUGCUCUAAUUUUUAGACUAUAGAGGCACUAAUGUCCCAAAAGUAUGACGGAGAUAUCUGUAUAUCACUUGCAAUAGUUUAGGGGUAUAUUUAUCUUUUUUCCCAUAUUAUAUUAGAGCAACGUGUUAAUUAUCGAUAUAUAUAAGUUAAAUCCUUAAUUUUGCAUCCAAAAAGAUAAAAAUUUAGGAGUAGAGAGAUGGUUUGAUUAUUUGGAGAACAAAAUGAGUUGACAAAACUCUCUAAUUCCUGUGAUUGUCUUCCAAAAACACAUGCACAUUGAUAUAUUACGAUGUUUUGACUAAAUUUUGUGAUGAACUACAAUGUUUAUUGUCACACAAUUUUCUGGUUAAAUUAAUCACAUUACGUAUAGUUAUGACGAGAUGAUAGAGAUUUCUUAAUUUUUUAAAAAUUAUGUGUUUGAUCAAAAUUUUUUAAAAAAAAAUCCUGUUAAAAAAUAUCAUCUUUAAAGAAUAAGUUUAUAUAUAUAAAUUUAAAUAUAAUUAUCGAACCUAAUAGAAAUAUCGAACUAUCAAUUGAAAUUAAAUGGAAAAUUGUACUAAUUUUCUUUAGGAUAACAAAGAAUCUUUUAUGAAGGCCCAUUAAUGUCUGCCACAAUAUGUUGAAGGACCUAUUAUUAGUCUUAAAUAAAAGCACUUUAACUUUUUUAUUAGACAAAUUGUUUUAUAUAUAGUACUAACUUAUAGUACAAGAAUAGAAUUUAAAUAUAUUGAGAAAAAAAAAUCUAAGUGACUUUUAAUUCCAUUUUCAACCUUUACACCAAAGCGUGAAUCUUAAGAGAGAGAAAGUUGUUCGGAUGAUAAACAUUUUUUAUUUUCAAUUCGAAGAUUGUAAGUUCGAGUCAUUAAGGGAUAAAUAAAAUAUCUCAAACUAUCACCGACUUUAAUUCUAUUGAAAAAUAAGACAACGCUCAAUUACCUACUAACAUUUUAUCCUAAUAUGUAUUACUUAUUUUUUCUAUCUAAAAUCAUAUUUUUUUAAUAUAUUAAAAUUACAUUAUGUCGUAUCUCAUCAACUUUCCGCGAGUGAAGCAUCAAAGGUAAAAGAAAAGAAGAAGGCAUGCAAGAAAAGAAAAAGAGAUAGAAAGACAAAGUGUCAUAUUCAUGAUGAAGACUAAUGAAGAUUAUUUAGAAGACUUUUGCCUAAUAAUAAUCUUUAAUUAAGCAUUUGUCAUUAAGACAAACAAAGAUUUAAAAAAUCUUAAUCAACAUGACUUGUCAACUUUAGCAUGAAAAAUGAUAGUAUCUAAAAGUUGAGCCUUUUUUUAAGGAAAAAAUAUGUGAAAAGUUAAUAUAUUUGGUCGAUCGAUAAAAAUAAUUAUGUUAUUGAAAAAUAUUAUUUUAUAUUUUAAAAAACAAUUUUAUUAAUAGUAAAAUCAUUAAUUUGUUUUUGACCAAAUUUCAAAAAUAUUGACGGGAAAAAUAUUUUCUCUACGUAAAUAAAUUCCUUAGAAAAAAAGAAAAAAAAAUUCUUAUCAUGGUAAAAUAGUCAAAUUUCAUAUUUAAUUUUUUUCCAUGAUUUUUCCCCACAAACUAAACACACUCUAAUGCUAUUAAUUCUUAAUUCCAAUGAGUGCAUGUUCAAAAUGAUUUGAUUUUAAAGACAAAUAAUAUAAAUUUAAAGGGAAUAAUUUCUAUGAGAAGGUGAGUUUAAUAAGGAAAAAAGGAAUAGAAUAUUAUUUGUUUUUUUAACCUAGUGGAAUUAAUUGAAUCAUUUUUUAUUUAUUAUUUUGUUGCUUUCAAUAAAAAAUUUUAAAAAUAGGAAUAUGAUACUAGCAAUAUACUACUUGAGGUCUACAAUCCUAGAAAUCCAAAAUUUAAGGGAUCAAGAAUCACAAUUUGGGGCCACCAUAAAUAAUUUUGUUAUUUUAUUGAGAAUUUGUAACAAAAAAAAAAUAUAACAAACAUAAACAAAAAAAAAAAGAUUUAUUAGUAGGAUAACUUAAAUAAAUAAAUUUUUACCCUAGCAAAAAAUUGUAACAAAAAUAUUUGAAAUAGACCAGUAUACAACAAAUAACAAUAUAAACAACAUAAACUUGUAAUUAAAUUUUUUUAAAAAUUAUAAUAUAUAUAAAUUUUAUUUUUACCUUCGUAAAAAAUAAAAAUAUUGUCUUCGAUGAAUUUUAAGAUCAACGAAAAAGUAAUCAAACAUAAAUAAAUGCAUUUAUAUGUGUUUGUAAAGAUUGGAGUACUUAGUAUUACGUUAUCUCAAAAAUCAACUUUUAUAUCAACUACGAUAUAUAUUUCACAUAACAUAAUAUUUUCUUGAGAUUUUUUCUAUAUAUUUCAAACACAGUCCAAUAUUGAUAUUGAUAUCAAGAUUUGAUUAAAUUUAAAUCUAUGUAUUGCAAAGUUUAUUUUAGAAAUAGUUCUUUCAACUUUCCAUUUAAUUUUCAAUCUCUAAUUAAAAUGAAGACAUUAUAUAUUAGAAAAUAUUUUGUUGUGAUAUUUUGCAAGAACCUAGUAUAUAUUAAUUAAUUAAUACCACUAUUCUUUUAAUUCUUACAAAUUUAUUAUCCUUUAGCUCCAAUCUUCCAAAUUAAAACGAAAAUGUGGAAAGAAUAUGAAUAAAAGUAAAUCACUUUUUUUCUUUUUUGUUCUUUUUUAUCGUGCUUGUUAAAAGGGAAGAAGAAAAUAAUUUGUGUUAUCCUUUUUCCGUUUAAUUAUAUUUGUCCACUAUUGAUUUUGCAUGUUUUUCAAAAAUAUUUAAAUAAAAAUACAAUUUUAUCAUAUAUCUCUUUGAAUAUUAAAAAAGAAAAAAAAAUAUAUCCCUAAAAUAUCAUAAAUGAUAUGUUGAUACUCUUCCUCAUACUUUUGAGACAUUAGCAUGUAUGCUCUUCACUUAAACAGAAAAUUAAACAAGAACACGUGAUACAAUCUUAUCUGUCGAUAUAAUAUAUAAUUAAUGACACAUUUGUGAAAUAAUUAUGAUACGUGUAUGUUUGUUAGUAUAAAUAAUAUAUAUGUUCUACUGUUUAGUCAACAGGGACAUCGAUGUCCCUAAAGUAUGAUGAAGAGUAUCUAUAUACCAUUUACGAUAGUUCGGAGGUAUAUUUAUCUUUUUUCCCUAUAAUAAAUGCAAUUGUUAUUUCAUAAAAUGGUCAAAUAUUAUUAGAUAUUUCGAAACGAUACGAUCGAUAAUAAAAUGAAAAUAUCGUGAGAUAAUAGAUGAUACGAUAAAUUGAAAAAAUAGGAUAAUGUAAGAAGAAUCCAAAAAGUGGAAAACUUGUCUUAUCGUAGGGACAAACCGACAAAGUGGGGCCCAAAGUCACGUGAUUUAGAGCCACGUAAGCCGACAAAGAGCGCGGCUGACCGGGUGGCUUUGUGUAUGUUUGUGGGACCCACACAUUUUACCUCAGACAGCUUAGGACUUAGCACCCAUUCACACCAACAAAAACAUUUGUUCUAUGUUUUUAUGUUUACAAUAAUAAUAAAUAAUAAUUAAAAAAAAUCUAAUAAAUUUCUUGAUUAUAGUAGUAUAUUAAAGUUACGAUUUUUAAAUUUUGUAAUCUUAAAUAAUAUGUCAUUCUGAUAUAGAGGUGAGUUAACGAUGCUACAAUCUUUUAAAGUCUCGUUACGUUAAUGAAUGAUCAGUUGAGCUAGACUCUUAUCGUUAUUGCUCGAUUACUUUUCUUUUCUUACUUCUUAAAUUUUAACAAGGACCUGUAACAUCAUGAUCGUGCAAAUUUUACAUUAAUUAUUGUCUUUAUGACUUUUUUUCUAGCUAGGAUAACAAAUUUUUUAGAAAAGGUUGAAUGUAUAUAAUAUUUACGAGUAAAUAUUACAUCAAAAUAAGCAAAAAUGAAGAUUUAAAGGUGUUGGGGUGGUAGAGGACGUGGGUUGAGGGGGAUAUAUUUACAAUUUUUUUUUUAAGAAAAAAAUUAAUUUUUAUUCCGUUAAUUAAAUAUUUAUAUGUAUUAAGUAAUAUUUUUUAUUUUAAAUAUGAAAUAUGAUUUAAGCAAAAGAUACUAAUUUAUCUAAAUUCUAAGUAAUACUCUACCUCUGUUGUAAACAAAAGCUAAGCAUGAGUACAGAUACAACAUUGCGAUAUUAAAUUCAUAUAAAUUGUAAAUUUAUUUAUUAAAAUUAUAGAACUAAUAAAUAUGUUGGAACCUAUAACUUUUAAAAUAUAAAAAAAUUAACAUUAUAAAUUGUAAAUUUUAAACUUAUAAAACUUAAUUUUAAGUUAUAACGAUUUAGAAGUAAAAGUAAAAUAUUUGUAUACACACUAACCGAUUUUACGUUUUCUAUUUUACCUUUAAUAGAAAGAAGAAUUAUUUUACAAAAAUAGCAACCAAAAGCUAAUUAUUAAAGGAAUAUAUAACAAUAUUCAGUUUCACUUUAACAUAAAAACUUUAUUAUAUACGAUUCCAUUUUGUCUUGCAAAUUAGUAGAAAAGUAGAUAUCUAUUUUAGUUACUAUAUAUUAACAGAAAUUAUAGACUAAUUUUAAUUCGUUAAAGCAAAAAUAUAGGCGUCCAAUCGAAUUGUAUGACGAUAUUUUUAAUUUAGCAUAUAUAUUAUUUAUUUAGAAUAUAUCGCAACCGAUCAAGUGGUAAAGAACACAAUUUCAGGGUGCCAAACUAGCAUCACAUCGACGCACUACGAUAAAAAUAACUUUUAAAAAUUAGGCUCUAAUAAUAUUUUUAAAAAUAAUAAUUUUCUAAAAUUACAUAUUAUUUUUAUUUUAUUUUUAUUAUAAAAAAAAUGAUUUUACAAAUAUAAAAGGGACCCAAAUGGAAGGAGGAAGAUAUUCCUCAUAAUUCGAGAGCUGAAAUAUGAGAUACGAACAAUCAUUUUGUCUCCACGCCAAUCUUUCUUUUCUUUGUAUUUUCAGUAUUUUUUUUAAAAUAAUUUUUUGGUAUUAAUAAUAUAUUAUUUAUUUAUUUUCGCAUCUCUUUCUUUUAGCAUUUACCAACUUCUGCUAUCGGUGAAUUAUUCAUUUCGAUUCAAUUUAUAUGAUGAAUAUCUUUUAAAUUUUGAGAAUCAGAUGAAUUUUAUUUUAUCAUGAUUUUGCUAUAUGUACUCAUGAUAAUAAUUGUGCAAGUAGGUUUGUGGAGGGUGUACGCAUGUUUGGCUUCUACUUUGGGAGGUAAAGAGGUUAUUUCCGUAGAUCCUCGAGUUAAGAGAAAAAAUUUCAAAGCAGAUCGGUAAAAAGAUAGUGGAAAGAGAAAAGAACAUGACAAAAUACGAUAGAAAGCAUGUUAAAACAUUUUGAAGAAAAAAUUAUUAUAAUAAAAUGAUAUGAUAAUCAGAAUACAAAAUGUAAAAUAGAUAGUAACGUAUCAAAAAUCGAAGGACCAAAAGUAUGGGAAGAUAAGUGAGACAACGCUUUAUUACCUAGUAACUUUACAUCCUAAUUUAUGUGAACCUCUUAUCUAAGGUCAUAUCCUCGCUUUCACCCUAAUUCAAUUUCCACAUUGGAUCAUUUCUAGAGUCGAAUUUAAAAUUUAAUUGAACGUGAUUCUAUUGUACUUUAUAUAUAUAUAUAUAUAGGUGGAAAACAAUAAAUACCUAUAUCAAUAUGCUUACUAUUAAUCAUGCUACAAUAUUGAAAUUUAUCUAAAGAAAAUGCUGAUUCAAAUACCAAAUCAACAUUAACAAUGACAAAGUGAUAAAAGCCAAUAACAAAAAUAUAUAGAACAAAUAUAUUUAUGUUACGUUCGAUGGUACGAUUGUAUCGAAUUUAAAAUCUCGAAUAGAAUAACAAAAAAAAGUAAAUUGCAAAAGUGACAUAAUAAGAACCUGGGCUUUGGGCCUUCAAUUUUAUUACACUUGGGCCUUCAAAAAAUUAUGACCUUUGCUUGGGCCUGGGCUUUUUUCAAAAAAAUGAUCUGCUGCCAACUGAUGGGCUAUAGAACCUUGUGUUAUAUUUCUUUUGAGGCUUACCACAAAUGCAUUGACAUUCAAACCCCAUUAUGUUACCAAAACAAGAAAACAAUCCACUCGAACCACGUGCAUGCCUCCUUGCGUGGCGACCGGUCGAACGGUAGCUACUCGAGGCCUGACCCCGGUCGUACACUGGUGGUACCUCCGUCCUCCACCUCUCGAGUUUGGACCUGAGCCCCUCAACGCUCUCGUCCAAACUCCAACCAUCCAACAUCGAGCUCUUUUGAUCAUCCAACGGGUAUUUUUUCUCGGCCACGGCCGCCGCAACCUCGGAUGCUGAAGGCCCAAUUUCUGAGUCAGUCCAAUGAUGAGCAUUUCCCUUGAUUGGGCCUCCAAAUACAAAUUUUCCAUUAUGUCCUACCCCUUUUGGGCCCCCAAACUCAUAUCCAUUAUAAUUUUGAAUGGGCUUUCCAAUAACUGUUAUGGGCUCUUUGGGCUCAUCAACUUUGGGCUUUGUGAGAGAUUUUUCUUCAACUUUGGGCUUUGUGAGGGAUUUUUCAUCAACUUUCUUUUCAUUUGUGGGCUUUUCUUUGUUCUCAAGCUCUAAAGCUAUAAGUUUGAGUUUGGGCUUAUCUUCUUUAGGCCCAAUAUUAUAAAGUGAUGACUCUUUACUAACAAUUGAAUCACUUAAAACUGAGCCUGUUUUGCCCUUUUUAUCUUUGGGCUUUUCUUCUUUAGGCCCACUUACCAUUGAACUUGCUUUGCCUUUCUUUUUUACCAACAUUUGUGGUGGAGGCUCCAAAGAAAUACUAAGAAUUGAGCUUUCUUUGUCAUAAUUAUGUGCUUUAUUCUUCUUUUUUGAAGGUUUAGCAACUAUUGAACCACUAGACUUUGGUACAUCAUCGUCGAAUUUGACACGUUCGCUACGUUCACUCUUUGUACGUAACAAUAUUGGUUUUAUAGUAGUCCUGUUGUUAUUAUUGUUGUUGUUGUUCGUGGUGGUUUUUUCGUUGUUUGUUUUCUGGUUGUGGUGGUGAUGAGGGAGUUGUUCUUCUUCCAUCAAAUCGCGAUAUCCAACAGCAGACUUGUUUAGUUCAGUGUACAAUGGCAUACUUCUCAUGGUACUAUCAAGUAAUGCAACACCAAUGUUCAAUAUCCCUUGAGGUCUCCCAGAUGGACGACGUACCUAAUGAAAAAAAAUAAUACAUAAAUUACGAAGAAAAUAUUUAUAAUCAUUAAUUAGGUUAGUUAUAAUAAUCAAAUCCAUCUCAAUAUCCAUGACUAAUUAAUCCAUAUCAUUGAAAAUUCAAUUAGAAAACAUAUAUUCUAAGCAAAUGUACGAUGAAAAUUUUAUAUUGGUCAAAGAAUAAUAAUCUUGAAAAAAAGUAUAUAAUUAAAUACAUUUUUUUUUAUUUAUAAAUAACAUGCAUGCAUGCAUGCAACUUUUACGUAUACAUGUUAAACAAAAAAUUUCAUAUUUAUAGAAAAUAUUGGAAGAAUGAAAUCAAGAAGAAUGUGGUUGUUACGUUAGGAAAAUGUUUUUCAUGAAAUAAUAUAUCGAACAGUCAAAUAUGAAAAAAUUGGAAAAUGUUUUUGAAAUUAAACCUGAAGUGCAACAAAACGCAUGCCAAGAUUAUGAGGAUGAUGAUUAUGGUGUGUCCUAGACGGAGAAGGGAUGAGGUUUCCGACGAGGACGCGAACGGACCCCACAAGAGAAUCCUUAAACCAAUGGCCACAAUGAAUUUCUAUUUGUACGGCUGAGGUGUCUUGCCGGAGAAACUCUUCAUCCACACGAAAAACAAAUUUAUCGUUCCACGUUGGGUUGUUACCUCCUUCAAUGUCAACCGCGGUGGUUAGCUUCCGUGUAGGGUGGACCCACACGGUCGCGUAGGUUUUCAUUUUCUUGGACACAGGUUCCAAAUCUUGAGCGGAGAUGAUGUUGAUCUCCAAGAGCUGAAACGGUUUCAAAAUCCCCAUUUUGAAAAUUUGAUAAAUUCGUGACGUUUAAUAAAAAAAUUAAUAAUCACGAAUUUAAUCCUUAUAAUGAAAUAAGAAAGCUUCGCUCGUCGUUCCCUGAAUGGAACGACGAUCGAGAAAGGAAGAGAGAAGGAGGAGAAGGAGGGGGUGGUGAUUUUCUCGAGGAGAGAACAUUAAGGCAUUGUUACAAACGAAGAAAAUGUCUUUUUUGAAAUAAUGUUUUUUUUUUUGGCCUUAAGGUUCUUCAACCCUUUUUAUUGUAAAUAAAUAAUUUUUUUAAUAUCUGACUAAGCAUAUUUAAUAUUCAAAUAUUAAAAUGUGUGUCCAUUUAUUUGUGAAAAAUUCACAAAUAUUACGUAGUCACUACUUGCUAAAUUAUAAGUAAUAUGAAAAUAACACUUUUUAUUACUGAUAUGUAGAGAAAAAAACACUUCUUAUUACUGAUAUGUAGAGAAAAAAACAAAUUGCGAAUACUAAUUAAUUUAAUUUACAUUAUAAUUUUCUUAUAAUUAAGUGAUAUCGAACAAGAGUAUUUCUUCAUGCAACAAAUAUAAUUUUAUUAUGUUUUCGGUAUAAUCUUUUUAUUGUUAUAUUUUUCUUUAUUUACACACUUAAUUUUUUAUAUGUUCUACUUAAAUCUUUCGUCAGAAAUAAUUUUACUAUCUUUCACAAAGCAUAAAAUUUGUGUAUUUUCUCACUUAUAAAAUUACACCGAUAUUUAUCGUUUGUCAAAUAUUCCUAAUAACUUGUCUCGGAUAGCUUGUGAGGUUUACUCGAUGUUUAUAUAUAUAUAUAUAUAACAUAUACUAAAGUUAGAUGCAUUAAUAUAUAUAAUGUGCUGUAAAUUUUUAUUUCUUUUUCUAGAUAAGAAUAUUUUUUUAUUAGAUAUUUUUUAUAUAUUUAUAAAUGGGAAAAUUGUAUAUAGCAAACUAAUAACCUAAAAUAAAUGGAGUAACUAGGGUUUGAUUUAAUUGUGCUCCAUAGCAAACGUCUGCAAAAAUUUGUCAGGCGCCUUGCUCCCAAAUAUCUCGGCUCGCCACUCUCCUCCAAUCUCUCGCUCGCUUCCUCACUUUUUUUAUAUAAACACAAGUGUAUAAAAAUUACUUCUAAUUGUAUAAAGCAGAGAAAAUUAUAUGAAUAUAUAUAUUUUUGUUCACCUGUCUCCCCUCUUUCAGAUCUCGCUCGCCACUGUCCCAAAUCUCGCUCGCCACCCUCGCACUUCUCACUUAUACAAGCAGAAGCAAAAUGUAUAAAUUGCAUUUCUGUUUGUAUAAAGCGUGAGAAAAUUGUAUAUACACAUGCAAGUACAUAUAUUUUCGUCCUAUACACUUAUAAUUUUACAAUAAAAAUACUACUCUGCCUAGUUUCUUUUGUCUUUCUUUCUUUCUCGUUUUAUACAAUUUUCAAAUUGUAUCUAAUUUCUCUCUUUAUCAUUUUAUACAAUUCGAUUCAAUUGUAUAUUCCUUGUCAUGUCUCUUUUGUCUUUCUCUCUUUGUAAUUUUAUACAAAUUUAAAUUGUAUAUAAUCGUUUGAUACACUUAUAGUAAUACAAUUCGUUUUUAUACAGUUCUCUGCCCUAAGUGUCUUUCUCUUUCUUGUUUUAUACACUUCGUUUUAUACAAUUUGCUUCAACUGUAUAUGUAUAGCGAAUUAUACAGUUUCUAUAUUUGCUAUGGAGCGCAAUUAUGCAAACUUUGCUAUAGCAUACAAAUAUAAAUUUUUUAUUUGCUAUAUGUAAAAAUUGCCCUAUAUAUAAUGUGCUGUAAAUUUUUAUUUCUUUUUCUAGAUAAAAUGAUUUAUUGAUUAGAUAUUUUUUAUGUAUUUAUAAAUAGCUAAUUAAUGAAUGAUACCGAAUUAACAACUAAAACUUGGUUAACGAUCCAAAAGUAUCCAUUUGUCAAUUUCUCCUCCUCAAAAAUCUCCAUUUUGUCCAAAUUUGGUCCAUAACUAUCAUUUUCUAAUACAUUGAAAUGCCAUUUUUUUUAUAAAAAAAAUUCACUUUAACCAUUUAAUUAUAUUUAUUUUAUUUUAAAAAAAGAAGAAGUGAAAUUACAGAUAUGGCAGCCACAACUCCACGUGAACACUUUAAUUAUAAAGCUUUAUUUAUUAAAAUUUAAUUCUUACUCCUCUGUCUCCAUUUUAAUUCAUUUUUCACGUCUAUAAAAAAUUAUAUAUAUAUAUAUAUAUAUAUUUAUCAUAUGUUCUCGAGAUUUGAGCUCUACUAAAAAUAUUCUUUAAAUUAAUAAAAAAAUCAAUAUUUAAUGCAAGAGUUUGGGUUGAAAAUAAUUAAAAUACAACUCUUAUGUUGUAGAGUACUAAUUUUAGAAAGAACAAGUAAAAUAUUUUUUUAAUUAGAAUUUCUACAAAUUAUUUUAAGUCAAGCUUUGGGAUUGAGAAUCACAAAGUCCAAAAAAAAGAUAUAAUAUUUUCUCUUAUCCUAAAUUAAAAAUUUUAAAUUCGAACUUCUUAAAUUAGAAAUUUCAAAUAUAAAUAAAAUUUUAUUAAAAAUAUAAGCUUAAAAUAAAUUUUACAAUACAUACUCCAAACUCCGAGUGGAAAAAAAGAACUUGGAUAAUACUCCUACUUGUAAAAUCCCAUAGUCUUCACAUAAAAUCAUUUAGAAGAGCUUAAUUUGAUGGGAAUUUAAAAGGGUUGUCUUGAAAUACUUCAAUUUUUUCUAAUCUUGGAAAACUGUAUUAAGCUCAAAGGUGACAUUUUUAUCUUGUCAUAAGCAAGAAAGUUCAAAAUGUUGCCUAAAGAACCAUCAUUUUGUAUAUAUAAUACUGAAGAUGGGGUUGAUGAGAUGAAGGAAAAUCAAGAUUUGGUUAGGUCUGUGACAAUAGGGGAUAUUGUAUCAGAUAUAGGUAGUAGUGAUUUCAGUUUUGGGAAAAAGGGGAUGGGGUUGAUUGAGGAAGAUGAGAAUGAAGAUGAGGAAAAAAGGGUUUUUUAUGAGGUUAAUGAGCUAGGAUUUGAAGAGAGUGAACAAGUAAUUAGUUCAAAGUAUCAUGGUGGGGUUGAGUUUGAACCUUUAGAUUUUGAUGGAAAUGGAGAUGUUGAGGAAUAUUAUAAAAGGGUUCUUAAAGAAGAUCCCUGUAACCCUUUGUUUUUGAGGAAUUAUGCUCAACUUUUGCAGGUCAGUCUUUAUGUCUUGUUCCUUUUGAGAAACCAUUUUUCUCUUUCCAUUUCACAUUAUUUUAUUGUGGUUACUGCGUUUAUUCCCUUUUUCAGUUGCUUAGAAAUGCUUUAUUUAUAAGCCGAGGGUCUAGCGGAAACAACCUCUCUAUCUCUAUGAGAUAAAGGAAAGGUCUGCGUACACUUUAUCCUUCCCGGACCCCAUUUGUGUGAUUACAAUGGACAUGUUGUUGUUGUUGUUGUCGUCAUUGUGUUUUUUUAGUGUUUGAUGGCAUGAGUUGAACUUAAACCGGAGAAAAAUGGUCAGUGAGGAGUCAUAUAGCGGACUGGAAUUUGGGAUUGAGGUCAAGUAUUGUAGGAUUGCGGAAGUCCGUUUCUUGUGAGUUCUAUAACUGCAAACUUAGAAUUCUUAACAUGGUCAGUGAUUAUCCAUAUAGCCGACCAUUAUUUGUUUGGGAUUGAGAUCAUAGUUGUUGUUGUAUACAUGUUUGAUCCUCAUUGUAAAUCCUUUAGAGAUUCUAGGAUUGUGAAAGUAAGGUUCUUGUGAGUUCUAUAACUGCAAAGUUAGAAUCUUAAACAUGGCUAGUGAUGAUUCAUAUAGCCGACUGUAACUUGUUUGGUAUUGAGAUCAUAGUUAUUGUUGCUGUUGUAUAAUUGUUUGAUUCUCUUUGUAAGUCCUUUACAUAUUCUAGGAUUGUGAAAAGUAAGUUCUUGUGAGUUCUAUAGCUGCACAGUUGGAAUUAUAAUUGUGGAACUAAAGUCACCUCUGUGAAUUUGAUCUCAUCUUUGGCUUCUUGCUCUUGCUGUAAGUUGCCCCAAUAAAAUAAACUAGUUGGAUGAGUAUGCCAUGAUAGUAAUAGUAGAUUGAAUAAAUUUAAACAAAUUAGAAUCCAAUUUUGAACCUUCUAUAAUCAGUUCACUCAUUUCGAAGCUUAAAUCUUCUAAUACUAUGGAUUAGCAGUUGCACAACCAGGUCACGAGAAGGGAGUAAGUGAGAAGACUCUUCUUUCAUGAUGUUCUAGGAUGCCAAUGUACGUCGACAAUAAAUUUAUUAGUGGUUUGAAAUGUAAAAAGCAUACAACAGUAACUGAUUCAUGUGCUAUUCUGUUCUUCCUAAUAGAUACUUCGGAAAUCUGGUCAUUAUAGCUGUUGUGAUUCUUUGACUGGAAAAGCACAUAACAUGAUAUGCUUAGAUGCUAUGUGGUUUUAGAUAUAUCUCCAUCUUUAUUUUUGUCUUUUUCUUUAGAUCUAGUCCAAUCUUGAUUAUGUUUCUCUGGCGACAACUUUUUCUUCAUGUAACCCACUGUAUUCUUGUCUCUAGUCUAAGGGAGAUCUUCCUGGAGCUGAACACUAUUACUUUCAAGCUACACUAGCUGAUCCAAAAGAUGGAGAUACCUUGUCACAGUAUGCUAAGUUAGUAUGGGAGCUGCACCAAGAUAAAGAUAGAGCAUCAGAUUACUUUGAACGUGCAGUACGUACUGCUCCUGAGAACAGGUUAUACUUGACUUGCACCUUUCGUUGAAAUGAGAGAAUGAGUUAUUGGUUCAAUUAGAUAUUGAUUUACAAAACCUGGGCAUGUGAAGAAUCUAUUAGUCACCUCUCCUCAUCUUCUCCUUUUUAUUAGUAUUUGUGUAGCAUCUUAGUCAUAAAUUUUACCUAUUGCAGCUUCUUUGCUUUGUUCAUCUUGCUAUUUUGUUGUUUUUAUUUUUUCUUUCAAUCCUGCUUUGAUUAAAAUUCUUUUGAGCUGAGGGUCUAUGGAAAAAGCCUUUCUAUCCCACAAAGGUGGGGGUAAGGUUUAGGUACAUGUAACCCUGCCCAAACCCCACUUGUUGAAUUACACUUAUGUCAUUGUUGUUGAAAUCUAUUAUUGUUUCCAGCCAUGUUCUUGGAGCAUAUGCUAGUUUCCUCUGGGACAUUACUGACGAUGAAAGUGAGGAUGAAAUGAACACACAGAGUGAUAAGACUAAGGUUUCUUCCGUUCGUUCUGCCUCAACGAGUAUAUAUGUGUGAACUCUGUUUGACUUUAAAUUUCUUCUGGAUGUGUCAGAUUGAGGAAAGUGGGGAAGCUACUGUAUCCCGGAACUUAGAUUACGAAGAAGCUGACAGACCUGUUAGCCCUCCCUUACAUCUUGCAGCAGGAUUAGGAAUUGGGGUUAAUCUAGUUGGUGGCAGCUCUCCUGUUGAUUAUACUGCAGCUGUAUCUGAUAUGGACGGAAAUGCCGAGGAGGAGUACAUGAGAAUGAUCAAAGAAUAUCCUCAUCACUCCGUGCUUUUAAGAAACUAUGCUCAGUUUCUUAGUCAGGUGAAUGUUUCAUAUUUUCUGCACUAAAUGUUCUUUAUUAACAUGUAUAUCAUCCAUCAUAUGCUUACGACAAUGCCCAUUUGAUAUCUAUAUAUUAUCUUGAUUUAGAAAUGUGUGAUUGUCCGAAGCUGCAAACAUCGACACAGUCGUUCUCCUUAAGUGUCUGAGAUGUCUCAAGCUCCCUCCCGAAUAUGCUUUUUAAGAUUUCAGCCCUUUCUUUAAAUUGUACAAAAGAACAGCUGGUCAUCCUAAUUCAGUAGGAUUGGGAUGGAGAAAUAUAAAUGCAUGCUCAAAUAUGAAAUUUUCUUGAACAUUAUGUCAUUCCUUUCACCAGAUCUUUACAAUAGCUACAACAGUUUAUCGUUUACUUGUCAGAACGUAACCAAAAACAAGAAAAGCUAUCUCCCUUCAUUGGUGCUUACAUAUUAAUAAUAUCGACUGGUCUUGCUAAUUCUGACAUUUCUCAUGUUUGCUGUUGGACUGGCAGUCUAAGGGAGACCUACUAGGUGCUGAAGAAUAUUACUCACACGCAAUACUAGCUGAUCCUACUGAUGGAGAAACUAUUUCACAGUAUGCCAUGUUGAUAUGGCAACUUCAUCAGGAUAAAGAUAAAGCCUCAACCUACUUUAAGAGGGCAGUACAAGCUUCUCCACAAGACAGGUAAUAUUGAAUUGAAGCCCCUCGGUUUUUUAUUCGCAACACGUUGAAUUAAAAGUAUAGCGGGAACUUAAUAACCUAAGCACUUUUCCUACUUGGUCAGUUAUUAAGAUGAUUUUACAGAUUUAUGUGAUGUGAACGAAAUCUGCUACUGUUUGAUAACAUUGAAAAGGUUAAUGACAAAAGAUACUUAUACAAGGUUGAUGGUAACUUGGUAUUAUGUGAAUGUAUUCGUGGAAAAAUAUAAGAAUUUUGGUGAUCUUUGGUGUGAUAUCAAAGCAUUUGUACGUUGCGUUUAUAAUUGCUACUUGCACAUCAAGUUCAUUUUUCUCAUUGUCUGAGACACUGAGUUACUAGCUUGCUUUUUUGCUUUUCAGCGACGUGCUUGCUGCAUAUGCUAGGUUUCUCUGGCAAACAGAGGAAGAUGAAGACGGAGAAGAAGAUGAAACGUUAGGUGAUCACAAUGGAGCGCCACUUCUGCAAGGAGUCGCCUAAAGCCUGAUGUCAAAUGAAUUUCACAAUCCAGAUUCUAAUUCAUAUUUUAGUUUCUCAAGCUUUUCGCAUUAUCUAAAGACUUGGAGAUUUCUCUUGUUGUGGAGGAUCAACUAUUCUGGGAAAAUUUUUAGAUGGUAAGUGUUGUUUAAUGAGCAAUAAAAUGUGCACAAUAAUGUUAAAUUGACUUUGUACAAUGUUAUUUUUGGGAAUAAUGAUAGCAGUUGAAAGAGUUGAAUGAAAAAUUAAAUAGUGACUCUGCAUUGUAGUAAUAUACUGUUUUGUACCUCUAUUUGUAUACAACAUUCACAAAUGACAACAUGAUUCCUCUAUGGUUUGACAUGCUAAGUUUUAUACAUAUUAAGAAUGAGUCUCAAUGGACAAAGGCAUGAUCUAAUAGUCAAUGAAGUUGGAAUCGAGAAACACGAUUUAUGAUUGGACUUUUUCUACUUAUUUUAACAGCCCGCAAUCUCCCACUCCGGGGUACAGGCUAUCUCCUACCAGCACAAGUAUCAUAUAAUUCUAUCCACAAAGGACUCACAAUGCCUCUUAAGGGCCAAUGCAAGUGAUGACAAAUGAUACUUUGAACACAUAGCCAUCCAAUAUUUCAAACCACACCACACCAGCAUAAAUCAAGACCCUCACCGCCUCGUCCCCACUCCUGGAGAGAGUAUGUAUGCAGAACAAUCAGUAAAAAAGAAACAUAUCACAUGAGAAACUUGCGCAAAAUAUCGACUAGCAGGUCAGAACUGCAUAAAUAAUCCUUCAAGUAAAAGUCUAUUCAUGUACUGAAAACCAACACUUGCUAUUUCUGCCAAAAAAAUUAUAUGAAUUAGGGAUGCUUCCUUCCACAAAUCUAAAUUUUGAUGCUUCUCAAAGUAUACUAAUGUUUUGGAGAACUAUGAAGACAAAAAAGCUGUUGGCAACAUGGCUUGUACUGAAGGUGUAUUGUUUGUCCUUCAUGAAUUCAACUUCCAGCUUAUUCCCAUGAGUAUUGCUCAUUUCUCAAGCUUUGCUGAUUGCUAGGGUAAGCUCUUUCCUGCCGAGGAGUUUGUCUAUAAUAACCAUUUCCCCUUGAUCUGCCAUAAUCACGGUCACCUCCGUCUUGACCACCUCUCCCAAAACCACGGCCACCAUAGCGCCCCCUUCCGUCCAUGGAGUAGCUAACUCUGCCUCUACCCCUUCCUCCUGUGUCCACAUUUUAAAUAAAAACAAAACGAAUCUUAAUAUUUUUAGGAUGCAUGGCAAAAAAAAUAAAUUUCAGGACUUCAAAAUUUAAGUUAAGAGUCAGCUUUCAGACAAGGAACAGGCUUAGCAAAAUGAUACCUAAACACAGUUCUAUUUUGGCUAUUACAUGCACACAGGAACGAAAUAAUAAGCCUUAUUUACCUGAAGUAUAAAUGAAGGCCACUUGUUAUUUACUACUAUGAGGUCUUAAGUAAAUUCCAAUGAUACCAGCAUAAUGAUUUGUUUUGAGACUAAUACCAUGGUGAAGAUGUAGGAGCCAAAUAUUUACAUCAGUUGCAGCCUGACAAGAAUGCAAGUCAACUGGUGUAACAAUAGUCCCCCACUGAUUAUUCUCUACUUUCUGCGUUUCAUUAUUCAUCUCGAAAAUAAGUAUUGCAAGUAGAUCCAACAAAGUACUCCCUCUGUCCCAAUUUGUAUUGACUCGUCUUUUUAGUCAAGACUCAAAAAGAAUCGUAACAUUUUUAUACUUGGAAAUAAUUUGGUUUUAAAAUUCUCAUUUUAUCCUUCAUGAAAUGAUUUGUCACACAAAGAUCUACAACUUAUUUUAAACCUCGAGUUUGAAGAGUUUUUUUUCUAAAACUCUGAGUCAAGUCAAACUAACUCACAUAAAUUGGGGCGGGGGGAGUAGUACUGUUCACUUUAUACUGAACUGCUUUUAUGAAAACACAGCUCUCUCCAGAGUUAAAACUUCCCUCCGAGAAAAAAAAAAGAAGGUAUGAGGACAGGUUGGUUGAUCCAACUCUUUUACAUCCCUUAUCUUCCACCAAGUAGGAAUCAAAGUAAAUGACAUGACACUUGACAAAACAAUGUAGAAAAGGUCUCCAAACACCUGCAAGAAGAGUAUUUAAAAUUGUUCUUCUUGCAGGCUGGACAUCUUUUCUACUUUUGUUUUGUCAAGAGUCAUGUCAUUGACUUUGAUUCCUACUUGGUGGAUGAUAAGGGAUGCAAAUUGCUAAAGGUGUGUCUAGAGAUCACCAGUAGAAAAAUAUAAUGCUUAGGAAAAAACAAGAAUUUAGCUUGAAGAUGUGCUUGUUUCUGUGAAUGAGAAAUGCAGUAGUUUAAUUAUUGACCUACAAUUGAGAAGAUAAAGCCACUUACUUCCUCGAAUUAAGUUAUUUCUGUUCGGUCUCCUUCCUUCAAUGUACAACUGGUGUCCACCAAUCUGAACAGUAGAUGCCUGCAACAAAGUUUACAUAGAUUUCAGUAGCUACUCUGAAUGUAAAUGCAGUAAUUAGUCUUAGCUGAAGGUAUUAAUAACAAUUCAAUGAAGGAGAGAUAAAUAGAACGAAAAAGAACAUAUUCAUAACUCCCACAUAAUUUUACAUGGAAUACUUCAAACUUGUGCCAGUUUAUUACUUCAUUUGACCUCAUACAUAAAAUGUAGCAUCAUUCUCAAUUAAUCAAAUAACAAAAACAUAGGCUGUUAGUUCAACCCUCAAUUGCAUUGAAACUUUAACACGAAAAGGAUAAUAAAGAUGGCUCAAAAUUUUGAAAUGUCAAUUCAAACCUCAAUUGCAUUCUGAACCCCAGUUACAUCUUCAAAUUCGACAAAUGCAUAGCAUACAUCAAUGUCCUGCAUCACAUCAAAUUCCAAUUGAACUUAAUAUUGACCUUAUCUAGAUUUAAGAGUAUAGGGCAAAAGAAAGAUGAUAGAACAAACCUUUCGCGUUCUAAUGGCAACAGCAUCAGGCUUUAAUUUACCAAACUUUUUGAAUUCCUCCUCAAUUUCAUAAGCAGCCAUUGUGGUAGGAACAUUUUUGACAUAUACAGACUUGACUUCAACUGCAAAAGGUUCAAAAAGGAAAAUCAUAAAAGCAUAUCACUCAAAUGAGGUCCCUUAAAAAAUAACUCACAUCCCUGAGAAGACAGGAUGAGUACAUUAUGCCAAAGUACGAGAAACUAACCUUCAUCUUCAACAGCUGAAGCCUCUUCUGUUGCCUCAGUAUACCUCUCAAUAGUAUUAGUCGAAUGAACUGAUGGCAAAGCAGGAGGCUCUGGCACAUGUUGCCACUCUGAAGGAGGAGGUGUAGAUUUGUUGAGAGAAGACUGUGCCAGUCCUUGUGCAGAAUUCCCUUUAGUAACUUGUAGCUUCCAAAUUAGAAUCAACCAAAUAAAAUUAGUUGAUCACAAAAAGCAUACUCAAGACAAUAUGAGAAUGUAACCAUUAAAAGAAGGUAAAAGGGUCAUGGCAUACAAUAGAAGCAUAAGUAUGCUUUUGGGGCUCUGCAACAGGUUCCUCAACAGGGCAGGAUAAAUGGUCUUGUACUGCAUUAAUUGUACUCUGAAGUGGGCCGUUCGACUGAACCGCAAAAUUAUCUUCAAGGAUAUUCUCAGCUUCAGAGACAUGCUGAAGCCGUUCCUCCGGAAAACUAUAGUUAUUGACUGGCCCGUUAUCUUCAAUUUUAGGAGCAUCAACAAACUCCCUUGCUUGGAUUUCUCCACCAAACAUGUAGUUGGGCACUGCAAACACCAUCAUUAAUCCUUCAUAUAUGCACAUUCUCUUGUCUCGUUGUAUUGCAGCAUUAGCAUGUAGAAUUACAGAAAAAAAGUAUCGUGGUAUUGCAGCAUUAGCAUGUAGAAUUACAGAGAAAAAGUAUCCUGAGUCUUCUUUCAGAAGAAUUGUCAUUUAAGUACAUAAUUUCUUCUCACCAAUAUAUAGCACAUCACUUAAAACUACUUCUCACCAGAAAAAUAAAAGUACGAACAUAGGGAAAAUAGAGAGCUUCAGCACUUGAAGCUACUAGUAAUAUUCUCCCCCAAUGACAACUUAUUUUAGGGGUGAGGCAUUCACCAUGCUCCCCCUCGCAGCAUGGCUCUGUUCCAAUUUCACAACCCAGGACCCUCUCUCCUCCUCCAGAAAAGGUACAACAUACCCAGUGUCAUCCACAAGUGGGGUCUGGGGAGGGUUAGAUGUACAUAGGCGUUACCCCUACCUGUGUGGGGUAAAUCCUCCAAGAGAAAGGUAAAAAUGGCUUCACCAUUACAGGAAUGAUUUUUCUUUAAAAAAGUCAUUUUUUAAGGAUAGUAACACUAAUCUAAAAGACAGUAAUAUGAAACAAAAGAAGUUAGAGAAUCCCCCCCCCCCAAAAAAAAACAAUCAGACCAAUCUUAGGAUGAAAACCUUGAAGAUUGAACUCAUACCUUGCUCCUGAAGUGCAUUGGAAACAUUCAGCUUUGAAUCAAGGUUCGAAUGUGCUAGAUAGGCCAAUGGUUGCUGAAGAAUUUGCUCCUCAUCAACAUAGUGAAAGAUAUCAUUGAGGACAAAGUAUCCUUUUUCCUGGGGUGCAAGGAAAAAUGAUUGAACGAACUUCCUACUCCUAUUGAUACCUUUCACACUGACAGAACCUGAAACCAUCACAAGGACACCACCAUUCCAUGAUUCCAAGGAAUGGAGUGUUUUUAUCUCUAUUCCAGUGUACUGUAGCGACGUGACAAGGGUGUGAAUUUGCUGCAGAACACAGAAAGAGCAAUGAAAAAAGAAGUAGAAUGAUUUAUAUUGGGGGCUAAGGGAAUAAUACACAUCACGAACCAUGAUUAUUAGUUAGCUGAGAAUAAUAGAAAUUUUAUUACACUGAAAUAGAAUUAAUUAUAGAAGCGGUUCAAAGAUAAAAUCUCCCUUUAUUGUGACUUAGAAAUCAUGUAAUUUUAUUAGUAUAUUAAAGCAUGCAAGUAUCAACUCAAAGGUAUAGUUAUGAAUUCUUUUAGAUAAAGUAACCCACUGGUAUAUGAUAUUAAAAAGGAACUCGUCACAGCAGCAAAAUAAGAAGCUCCUCUGAUGGAAAUGUAUGCCUUGGGGAACUUGACACUCUUUCAGAUUUCAACUUCUAGCAGACAGAGAAAAAACACUAAUACAGCUGACUGGAGAGACAGAGAACUUGAUUGACAAGCUUCAAUUUUUGUUUUUCAGGAAAAACAACUUUUAACCUAAAAAUCUAGGACAUGGAUGUUAAGGCAGCCUCAUAUGAUACUUUUCCAUAUUAGGUGCUCUGUUUUGGAACAGGACUACAUCAUGAAAAAUCUCAAAACUAAUCUAGAACGUAUGGACACCAUAUAGAUGGCAUGACUGUAGACAUGAGGUCCCAGUUAAGGACAUGCAUCUAGAAAGAGCAACCAAUCACUGGUUAGCCAAUUACAACCCAUAUAGUACUAACAAUCAGUUACACAAUAAUUAGUGUUACAAAAUUGGUAAUGAGCUCCAAAAUUUGCUCAUGACAACAGAAAGAACUACACAGAAUCAAAAAAUGCUGGUCUAAUGUUAAAGUCAGCCACGUAUAACACAUCAAGAGCAACAAAAUGAAGAAUAUUAAUUAUCUAACUAGUUUAUGUGCAUUUGAGGUCCAAUCUCUAGAUAGACAAACUAGAGAAUGGUUAAGCUUUGUUGUUAAUCUAUUUUUUGCCCAAAAAGAUAGUAAAGGCACUAGAAUAAAAAAAUUGCAGCUAGGUUUCACCAGUGUAAAUUGAAUAAAUUUGGAUCAGCCAAGCUCUAGAAAAAAGCAACCAAAGUCCAACACAAACUCCAAAAGCACUUAAUUUAGAAAUAACUUCAAAGAAGGUUUUACUCAUAAGGAAAUUAAAGAAGGCACUUAAGAUAAAAUACCAGCAUUCCUGAAGCAGUCUCUCUGGUGCUGGAAUCAAUUCGAAGCACAGUACUAGCAUCACUGUAGAACUGGUGAACAAAAUCCGGUUGGGUCUGUAACAUCUGAUAAUACUGGCCCACGAAGUAUGUCCCCACCUGAAUCAUUACCCAAAACCGCAGAAAGAUGAAAUUCAAAUCCCAGCCAUUAAAAAUCAAUCAAACAACACUUCAAUCCUAAACAAGUUGGGAUAGGCAAUAUGAAUUCUUAAUAUAUUCCCCUCUAUUUAGACUAAUUUCAUUGUAACACUGAUAAGUAAUUUGACUUCUAAAGAAAAAGAAUGGUUCUAUAUGGAAUAAAUGAUCUCUAAAUCUCACACUUAUCCUUACCUAAUCUAGUGUAAGUCAGGUGAUAACAACUAACCUAGAUAGGUUAGUCCUAAUUACUCCAUAACUAACUGUUUCUUGGACCAUUUAUCCUUAACUAGCUGGUAGUUUUUAUAUAUAUCGUUUGUUUCUAUUGUGCUAUAUGCUUAAUUAAGUUUGCAUUUAUCACUAGAUUAGAAACUCUUUUUUCAGAAAACCUGUCUCCAUUUAGGAUAUUUAAUCACUACACCAUCACAACUACAUACAUACGCAUUUAUAGGAAAAUUAAACAAAAAAAAUUCCUCUAGUAGUUCCUAUAUCUCUUGAUACAGAAUAUACACACUCGUAUCCGUGAAGACUUUUUCUUGAAACAGGUAACAUCAUAAACAUAAAAAGUUCUUCUUUAUACUACAGAAAUGUCUUUUGGAACAAAAAGAUUUCAGAUUUACACUACAGAAAUUUUACAUUUCCAAGUCACUUAACAGCCACAGCCAAUUCGUAACUAGCAAAACAGGGCACAUGACCAUGGCCAAAAACCAAGGCAACCCCUUCAGCCAAAAAUCCGUUCAUAUAUAUAUAUAUAUAUAUAUAACCACAGAUAUAUAUAUAAAAUUAAAAAAAAAGAGCAUUCCUCGCUCCAUUUACAAAUGACUAAACAAGCAUGCGAGAAACAGCAAAAACACAAAUUUUCCUUCACAUUUCUACCCAACUUCUCUUCAAAUGACUUGUACAAUCAAAGAAUAAACGGAUAAAGACUCAGCAGAAGAGAUACCUGAGCAGCAGUGACUGGCAAGUGAAAAGGCGUCGCCAUUUCGUAAAACCCGGUGGCGGCGGCAGCUUAAACAGCGGUAGAAAUGAACUCGUCAAUCCAAUUAGAGUGAGAAUCUCAAGAAAAACUAGAUCUACCAAAAGAUCUAAAAUCCCCCCCAAAAAAAAACCCUAGAUUUUCACAGCAUUCACAUUUGCGCCGCAAGCAAAAAAGCAGCAACAGGGUCUUCUCCCAUUACACUCCACAAGCAGUAAAUAGCACUGAAUUCGUUCGUCACUGACUCUACAAUUUCUAGAGAGAGAAAAUGGAGUGACCGCUUGAGACCACUGGUUCUAGAGAGAGAAAGAGUGAGAGCUGCUGAAAUUUAUAAGGUGUUGCUGGCUGUGUUUUUUGGGACGGUGGCGCUGCUUUUUUAUUGGUUGAGUGAAUGUCCGUUUGUUAUCCACCGUUGAUUUAGACCUCAUGAUAGGGCUUCUUUUUAUUUUUUUAUAUUUGCUUAUAGGAUUAUCUAAUAACGUGAAUGUUUUCCAUGGAACAUGUUUUGGUAUCAACGAAAAAUGUGUUCUUGGAAAAUAAGUUGAUUUUAUUUUUAAAAAAAAUUAUAUUUGGUUGGUGAACGGGAAAUAGAAUUGGCGAAUGAUUUGUUUUUUUGAAAAUAUCUAUUAUUUUUGGCUAGAGGAUAGAAUUUUUAUUUUUUUAGGAAAAUAGUUUUUGACGUGAGAACCAACUCAAUAGUUGAUCUGGCACCGGGCUCCAUCACCUGAUAUAAGACCUUGACCUCUACUCUCGACAAUCGAACUAAACCUAAUCUUGACUAUGACUUGAAUUGGGUAACGAUCUCGAGAUCCAACCUAGAAUGUAAUCCCGACUCCUGAUUCGAGAACUCGUGAUGUAACUUUUGAAUUGGGUUCCAACCUUCCCGAUCCAAGACUCGAGACCUCCCAUAAACGAUUGUUGACUCUGACCCUAACAUCUGAUUCAAGAUCCAACUUUUGAAUCGGGAUAACCUGAAGACAACCAUCAUUUGAGACCUAAACCCGAUUUCGGCCCGAGACCUCAACACCCUAUCCAAACCCAAGAUCUUACCCAAACCUUGACACCCAACUCGAGACCCAACCCUAACACCGAUCCGAGACCCGACCCCCGAGUCCUCGACCCUAACCCCGAACCCAACCAUGAUCCCGAAGCGACCCUAAUUUUGUAAUUUUAUUAGUAAGACAAGAUAUGACUGAUAGAUAGCGAGGCAAAACAAGAAAUUACUCCAAUGAAGUGUUGUGAAAUAAAUUAAAAUUUUAUUUUCUUGAAAAGUACAUAUAGGGUGAGGUAGGGAAGGGAUGGAGGAAAUAAGACAGACGAUCAAUGAUCAUAGUUUUCUUGAAUCAUAAUGAUUAUAUAUACUUAAUAAUAAGUAAUUAUUAGAACCAAGCAGGAUUGACUAUAAUAUACAGGGGUGAUAUACGAAUUAAAUGAAGUGACUUAUAAUACAGGCUCACAUUUUCUUUACUUACUCUUUCACUUUCAAUUCAUUUAAAAUUCAGCCCGCUCCCGACUGUGGUCUAGACCUCUCUCGAACAAGGAAGGACAACAUAGCAUUAGUUUCAAUUAAACAAGCUCAAUCUUGAAAAGAAAAGAUUGCAGAGCAACAUUGAACACUUCAACUUGGCCACCGAAGAAGGUGAAAAUUAGAGGAGAGACUAGGUUAACUUACUACUGAGCAUUAGGCUCCAUAAUUGAAAAUAUAUUCCUAUUUACUUAGUAUAUUUCUACAAGAAAUAGGUCCCAAGCAUUAUCUAGUGAAGUUGCUUGUACUAAAUGACUCAAUAGUUUUCUAAAAUAUGAUAGAAACAAUUACAUUCUCUCUCUAAAUCAUAAAAUAAAGGAAAGAGAAGAAGAAGAAAAAAGAAAGCUCAUUGUAUGUGUGAUGUAAUACAAAUAGUUACAUCUCCUUUUGACCUAGUAAAAGCCUUUUUAGCCAUCUUAAUCCAUGAACUAAAAUUGUUCAUAUGUAGAUGGCAAAUUUCAACUUAUACAACUAAUAUACAAAGAAUUUUGUCCCAUCUUAUUGUUUCUUCCCUUGUGCUAAGCUAACUCGCAAUGCCCUUCCAUCCAAUUCCUGAUAAAGACAUAUACAAAAGGGUAAAAUUGUAAGUAGUUAUUUCAUUUUUCUCACGAAAUUGAAGUUUCGUGUAUCAACGAUAUACAAUAUUUAUGCAAUUAUAUCACUUAUGAUAUACAAUAUUUAUGCAUUCACGUGAGAUGCACUCAAACUGAUUUGAAAAAGAGAGUUCAAGAAAUGCAUACCACUCCAUUGAGAUUGUUAAGAGCAUUCUCCAUUUCUUCUCUAGUCUCAAAGCUCACAAAACCGUAGCCACGAGAUCUCCCGGUCUCACCAUCAUACAGUACCCUAGCACCAACAACAGUUCCAUAUUCUUGAAAUGCUUGCGCUAAACUUUCAGAUGAGACUGACCACGCCAAAUUACCAACAAAGAGUUUGUGUUCUGUUUCGGGGUAAAGUGGUUCUUUUGGUUUAGGCUUAUCCGAGAAAUUCACCCUUAGGGUUCUGCCACCAUACUCCUGAAAUCAGUAAAUCAUGCUUUAGUGCAUAGCCUCAGAUAAGCUCAACGUCAGAAAUAUUUUGUAAUAUUCAACAUCGAUUCACGAAAGCAAAUUGAAGUGAUCUCUUACUCUUCCAUCUAGAUUUUCGACGACUGUCUUGCAAUCUUCAAGAGUACUCAUUGUCACAAAUGCAAAUCCUCUGCUUUUACCUGUGUCCCUAUCAUAAAGAACCUGGAGAAAUUGUAUAAAUUAGCAUGUAAAAUACAUUUGGGACAUAUAUAGGAGGAACAUUUUGGUUUUGAUUAAGAGGAAGUUUUCUCGUAGCAUUAAAAAGAUGGUUAAAUCGGAGCAUACAUGCUUUUGUAACGUUUUAAUUAUGAGCACAGUUCCGUCAAGUUCAAUCCCAGCUUUUCAAACCUUUUUGCGCGCAAGUGAUCACCUUCGCUCUCAUUAUUUCAACUGACUUUCACUUAACUAACUCAGUCAAAACUGGAAAGUAUAAUUUUCUAAAUACAAUCACAGUGUUCAAUUGCGAACUUUCAUAUUCAAGUUCCGGUUCAAAUACUAGUCACUUUUGGAACUUAUUCAUGAAGCAAUACGCUGCACUUGUUGGCUCUAUUACAUGAACUUGUAGACGGGUAUGUAUCUACGAGUAUGUGUAAGUAUAUGGAAAGGUAAAUUCAUUUUUUGUUUUCUAUUUAGUACAUCUAUAGGGAUUUCGACAAUGCACCCAUCUCUAAUCACAUUUUUUCGACACAAAUACGUCAAGAUAUAUAAGUGAAGGAUCUACAUAACAUAGCUAAGGUGGUACGACGUACACUCAUAUUUUAGCACCUAUUUAUUCUACGAAUACUUAUUUUCCAUGAGAUAGUAAUCAAGAUCAUCAACAUCAACAACUCUAUGUAAACACCUAACGCGUCAAUGUGGUUCACAAAAUGAUAACACAAAAACCAGAGCAUAGAUCAAACACCUUAAUCUACUUAAAGAAGUAACUAUAACACAAUAAUAUAUCGAAAUUCAAUCCUCAACUAAACAAUUCAGUAAGAACACAAAUCCCACUAGUUUAGAGCCUAAUUACGAGUCUUCCCAUGGGUUUUUGAUAUUACCAUUUGUGCCAUAUUUUGGUCCUCAAAUACACUAUCUCAUUUCGUUAUCUCGAAUACAUAGAGUCAAAAAUCGAUGUAAUUUGUUUCAGAUACAUUGUAUUCAAAUGGAUUCGGAUGUAUUACGAGAUACGAGACGAAAUUGGCUAUACGGAUACUCAUACUUCACUCUAAUUUAUGUAAAAAUGCAUACCUCAACAAGUUCAGGACUAGCAUAGUCUUGAACAAUCCCAGCAAGUUGUGCACUAUCACAAAGAUACGGCAAAUUCCCAAAAUAAAGCUUAGUAUUAACACCUUCACUUUCACUACUCCCAUCGGAACCCUCUCCUACCUUCUCCUCCUCAUCCACCGCCGGCGCCGGCACCUCCUCCUCCGUCACCGCCGCUUCCGCCUCCUCUUGCGCCACCGCAGCUGACAGCCUGGGCAAUACCCUCCACUUCUUGUAAAUCGACGUCAGUUCACUUACCGACGAUGAAAUUAAAGUUAGAUUUGGAGUUCUAGCUGAUGAAAUUUUAAGUAGAUGAUCGGAAUUAGUCAAAUUUGAUUUAGUACGUAUAGAAUGAAGACUGGAAAACGAAGAAGCUAUUGCUGUGGCAGCUGCGGCCGCCAUGAUUUCGCCGGAAUUUCAAUUUUUGAUCGGAAAAAUUUUUCAGAUAGAGAAAGUAGAGAGAAAAAAUGGAGGGAUAUUAUUAGUGAGUAUUUUAUUUUAUUUAUUUGAGUGGUGAAAUGGAGAGAUGAAAAUCCAAAGAGAUAGGGAAAAAAAUAUAGAUGAGGUGGAUAUCGUAUAAUUGAUAAGGUUUUUGGAUUUUUGCUUUUAUAUUUUUUUUUAAUUGUUUUUAUUGAAUUGAAACUCUUUUUUUAUUGGCUAUUUUGGUUAAUCUUUUUUUGUAAUGUUGGUGUUUUAUUAGCCACACAAUAUGGGAAACAAAAGUACUAAACAUAUGUAAUGUCGUAACAGAGAUAGAGAAAUUAUUUUUAAAAGACCUAUAUAUUUAGUGCAUGACAGAUUAUCGUAGUUUUGAAAAGGAAAUACGAUAGUGAAGAGAAUACAAGAUUGUAUUGAGUAUUCAAAAAAAAAGAAGGAAUAGUAAUAAUAAGGAAAUGAUGCGGUGACUGAAAUGUAUGUCGAAACCAAAACACUACGUUUCUAAGAUAUCUUUUUUUUAUCGAUUGACAUCUGUUCUCCCAUAUUUAAUUCGUCAUUGAGGUUUGCUUUUUUGUUGAAGAGGAAGGAAACUGACGACUGAAACAUAUUAAAGAAACAGAUCCAACGCAGUCAACUGACGUGUCUGCAGCGAGUGUUGAUGAAGAAGGAAGUUGAAGACACUUGCUGCAGACACGUCAGUCAACUGCGUUGGAUUAAUUAUGAAACUAAUAAAAGAUGCAAUAUAUAAAUCUAAUCAUAUCAUAUAUAUUUGAACAACACAUUUUAUGUUUAGUACAAACUUUUCAUAACUAAAGCUUGUCUUAUCUUAUUCAAAGUUCUUUCCAUGACAUUAUUAUUAUAUAGAAAUUGGAAAGAACACACACUCUACAACAACAACAACAAAAUAAGUAUAAAAACUACUAAAACUCAAACCCCUUAGUAUGACUCUUCAAUUCAGAUACGUGCAAGUCUGAUUCUUUUUUCAUCAUUUAAGCGUAGAUGGAAGGAUUAGCGAGGAGGUAAUCUUCGACAGCCUUGAAAAGUUCCAUGGCAUGUUUUUUUCCUUCAUUGUGUUCUUCAUCCUUUAAAACAUAGUCACCUUUUGUGUGGUACUCAGUUUUAGUCUUGCAAACACAACCUCCAUUUCCAGCAGGUUCAAAUUUGACAUCAUGGGUAAUUGAUUCCAAUUUGUCUCCAAGAACAUCACCUUCUAUAAGUGAAUAUUUUGUUACCAAAUUCUUGUCAUCAAUUGCAUGAAUCUUGUGCUUCAAAUACUUUAUUGGACCACCUGAUGAUAUUAACAAAAAUAAUAUAUAAGUUUCGUAAUAUAAUCGAUGUAAACAUUUCGAAGAAUAUCUAUAGAUAUGUUAAAUGAACGAGUUGAAAUCUAUUGUAUUCUAUUAAAAACACAUUAAAAAAGUAUUUUGAUUUUUUGAGUUUGAGUUUUAUAUCUUGUAGUGAGUUUUAUAUCUAAAUUAUCAAAUGUGUGAAUUUCAUAUAUGAACUAUCACCAAAUAUUUAUCAAAAUACACUUAAACUAUUAGUUGUUCAGUUUUCUUAUCUGAACAAUAGUGAUAUUUUAGGUAGAAAAAAUAGUUCGAAUGUGUUUGGAGAAACAUUUGAUAGUCUACGUAGAAAACUCACAUACAUAUCAAAACACACUUAAAUUAUCAAUUGUUCACUUUUCUUAUCUGAACAGUAGUGAUAUUGACUGAUAGUUCAAACGUGUUUCGAGAAAUUUAAUGAUAGUCCAGACUUAAACACCUAACAGUUCAGCUUUGAACCUCAAAAACCUGAGAAUUUAUUUAGUCAUAUGCAUUAACGAUAUGUAAAAGAUAUUUACAUAAUCAGAUUAGAUCGUUCAUUUAUAUUAACAAGGUAGUAAAAAUGAUAAAUGUAAAAACUAAUUAUAUUACCUUCAACAAAAUUUAUCUUCUUAAUGCUUCCAUCUCCCUCAGUCUCAACAUUCUUAACAUUUGGCAUCAAUUUUGGAAUAAGAUUGUCACCAUCAAUAACCAAAGCUUUGAACAACCUAUUAGGAGACACUGUGCUUGUGUCUUCAUGUGUAUAGGUAGUGACACCCAUAAUGUUAAAUAUUUUUCCAAACUUGUAGUAAUAAAAUAAAGGAUAUAUAAGAAGUGAAAUUAAUGUGCUAGCUAGUUUUGAGUUGAGGGUUAUAAUGCUAAGUUUUAGAUGGUAUUUAUAGGCUAGAAAAUAGAGUGAGUUGAGAGUUUGAAGUCAUCACCAACCUUAGCUUUAAUGUUUAAUUUCAAUAUUCAAAGUAGGCCAUUCUUGACUUCUAUAUCCAUUUUUUCUAGAUGGUGAUGAUAGUUAUCAUUUCGUCUCGUAAAAAGCAAAUUCAGAAUUUAAAUUUUAUGUUUUAAAUUCAUUAUAUUUCAAUGUUAUGGAUUUAUGCUAUCUAUUAUUAGUUGCACACAACGUUAAAGAAUGAUAAAAGUUCUACUCCGGUGAUUAAUGAGAUGAGUGGACUCCUAACAAGGCUUAUACAAUCUUCCUCCCGUUAAGCUAGCUUUUGGGAUGUGAGUUAGGCCUAAGACCUAAUUUCACAUGGUAUCAUCAAAAUCGUCCACGCACCAAAUCUAAGCACUAGGUAGGAUGUUAAAGUUAGAUAAGGUGUGAGUUAGGCUUAAAACCUAAUUUCAUAAUUUUUAUGAAUUUAUUUUUAAAAAUAUUAGGUUUAAAUGAAUCUGUGAUAUUCACCUUUAUCAUUGCUCUAAAUCAAAGUUUUUCAAUUUUGAAUUCUAAAGAUGAAAACAACUUUAUUCUUAAUCACUUAUAUUUUGAAUGUUGAAUCCUAAAAUGAAGAUGAUUCUAUAAAGAAUAUUUUUUUUCGUUUUAACAAACUUUACAUCAUUAAUCGAAAUUGAAAAUAAUAUCGAAUAUCAGAUAAAAAACAAAAAUAUAUGUUUCAUAUUGCGCGUCACUUAGUUCAAAAUUAAUUUGUUGGUUGUGGCGUUGGAUAACUUCAUGACAAAAUGGUCUAACAAUGAGGCUUGAUGACACAUUAAAAGUAUACUCCAUAUCAAAAUUGUGUCAUAUAUAUCCAAAUCCUUUGUGUUUUUUCUUUGUAUUUUUUUUAAUAAUACACAAGAUAAUAAUUAUAAUUAAGAUAACAUAUACAAAUAACUUUAUCAAAAAAAAAAAUUGAUAUUAUAAUCCAUAAUAAAAAAUGAUUAUUGGACAUAGUUUUUUUGUGAAAGUGAAUAAUUUUUUAUAUGAUGAACGUUAAAAUUAAUAUUUUUUUUAUAUAUUUAAUAAAUAUAUAUCAAAAGAUCGAUUCAAUCUACCUUGCUCAAGCUUUACUAAUAAAUAAGCUUACUUGAGGUUUAUUUUUAGGUAAGUUUUGAAAAACAUAGUCCAAUUCUAUCAAAUUACGAAUUAAUUUAGAUUGAUAUAACAAGUCAACAUAGCUGAAUAUUAAAUAUAUUUUAAAAAUAAUUAAAAAUAUAAAGUAAAAAAGUUACUUUUACUCGAUAAUGUUUCCACAUAAAAUAAAACUAAUAAUAAUAAUAGGUUAUUGUUUGUUGCCUCGUAGUAAUUGGGUGUGUAGGUGGGGAGGAUAAUAUAAAUUAAUUAAGAAUAUGGUUUUAAACGACUUUCCACGUGUGUGUCUGUUUGUUUAAUUUUAUACAAGUUUAAGUGUCUAUUUGUGCACACCCAAAGUUGAAGAGCGUAAAUAUGAUUUGAAACCAAUUUAAAAAAAACAUUUAUGUAUUAUGUCAUUUUUAAAAUAUCUAUACUGAUUAUAUAUUAUGUAUGCUUGAGAUGUUACACAUGUCUAAAAACUAUAAUAUAUACAUGGAUUGUGAUAAAAAGAAUAAUUAUUGAGAUUUUUUUGUUUUUAAAUCAACUCAAGUUUAAAUUUUUGAAAAUAAUAAAAAUCUUGUCAAGAGCAUAUCUCUAGAAAUAAGCUUGAUAUUAUAUAAAUUUAAAUUUAAUCAAAUUCAAAUACGAAUAUAGAACCUGAAAAAUAUUUUAUUCGAAUCUAACUUGAUCUUUUUUAGAUUAUGUUCAAUUUAUUUUAUGAGAGUUAAUUAGUUUUUUUCAUUUGAUUAUUUUAUUUUAUGUAUUAUUAAUUUUUAUUUUAUCAUAGUAAAAAAAAAAUCUCUUUAUCAGAUUGUUGCUAGUCUAUUCCAUCUUUACCAACUCUUGUUGUGAUUAUAACAUCCAAAAUAUUUUCUACAAAUUUGAGACCUAAUUUUAAUGUGGAACUUUGACAAUGUCAAAGUACGCAAUGGCUAUCGACUUUAAAUCUUAAAUUCGUCUAUCUCGUUGAGAUAUUAGGAGAGAAAUAAUUAUGUACUCGAAUUAAUCAUCCACACUUAUUAUGAUGAUAUCGUAUGAAGUAAGGAAACUAUACUAUAGAUGGUCGGAAUUAUUUGUUUUAUUACUCCAUUCGUUUCAAUUUACAUGAUAUAGUUAGACUUGACAUAAAAUUUAAGAAAAAAUAAAAGAUCUUUGAAACUUUUGAUCUAAAAUAAGUUAUAAAUAUUUGUGUAAAUAUACAAACUCAGUGUUCCAAAAUUUCAACGCCUCUAAUUAAUUUUUUUGAGAUAUGUAAUGUCAACAAGGAUCAAGUAAUAUAAAAAAGGGGAAAAUAGUAAUAUGUCUCCUUUUAACGAGAGAAGUAUUGAAACAUCUUUAAACUAAUUGGCAUGAAUUACAAACUAGUUUCAUUCUCAAACUAUUGACAGCCCUAAAAACACCCUUUUACUCGACUAAUUGAACUUAAAUACGCCCCUAAUCUUGCCUCGUGAGCAAAAUACACCCCUAAAUUCUCUUCAAGGUUUGAGUGUUUUCAACACUUAAACUUGAUUAUUUAUUAAGAGUUUUGAGAUCACUUGUUAUGCUAUGUAGAAGAUUGAGGUGUAUUUAAGUUGAGCUAGUCAAAUAAAAAUACGUUAUAAAAUUAUUUAUAGUUUAAAGAUGAAACUAAUAAUUCACGUUAAGUUCAGUUGUGCCUUGGGCUUUCAUAUAAUAUAAUUGAAAAGGAUAUUUUAAGGCUUGGUACAAGAAAAAGAAAGCAAAAGCAUUCAAUAUUUAUUUAUUGGAAGUUCUUUCCAUGACAUACAAAUGGAAGGAACAAAACACACAAUAAAAAAAACUAUAACAAUAUAAAACUCAAGCAAAACUCAAGUUUAUGAUCUAACUUUUUUUUUAAUUGUCUCAGCUAAAAGUUUAAACUUUUUAGAAAUAGAACACACGUAUAUAUAAUUAUAUAAUAUCACAACACGUCAUGAUUAUCUCUCACGUGUGGAUCUUUGAUUCAUAUUUCAUCACUUAAGCGUAGACAGAAGGAUUAGCGAGGAGGUACGCUUCGAUGGCCUUGAAUAGGUCAAUGGCUUUCCCUUUGCCUACAUUGUGUUCUUCUUCACUAACAACAUGAUCACCCUUUGUGUGAUACUCAGUUGUUGUCUUGCAAACACAACCUCCAUCUCCAGCAGCUUCAAAUUUGACAUCAUAGGCAAUUGAUUCCAAUUUGUCACCAAGAACAUCACCUUCAAUAAGUGAAUAUUUUGUUACCAAAUUCUUGUCAUCAAUCACAUGAAUCUUGUGCUUCAAGUACUUAAUUGGUCCACCUGUCAUUAACAAAAAAAUUAAAUUAAGUUUCAUAUAUAUUAUCGAUGUAAAUAAUUUUUUACACUAUGAAAUCAUUCAAACAACAGGGUCAAAACAGGUUUAGUUAAUAAAUAAGCAGAUUACUGAUCCGUCCAAAAGUUAGACUGAAAUGUAGGUCAUAUAACACAACAUGUCCAAUUAUUACUAAUUUAGUUUUUUUUUUUCAUGUAUAUAUAAAUUUUUUGUAGUACCUUGUAUAUGUGUAAAGUAGUAACAUAUUAAGAGCCUGUUUGACUUAGCUUAAAAGCUGGUCAAAUUGACUUAAAAGCUGAUUUUUGACUUAUUUAACUGUUUGGCAAUACUCAAAAUAGCUUAUUUUAAGUUAAAAAAAACUUAUUUUAAGCCAAAAGUUAAAAACUGGGGUAGGGGUGUUUUUUUUUUUUUUUAGCUUAUAAGCUGUUUUAAGUUGAUCACAUCUUUAUCUUUUUGCCCUUAAUAUUUUUAUACAAUUUCCAAGUUACACAUAUAACCCUAACAUCUCUUUCUUCCAUUUUUCGCUUUUCACGUUUGGCAUAACAACUUCAGCACUUUUAUCCAAAUGCAUAACUGUUUAUUUUAGAAAUAAGUUUCAGCACUUUCAAAAGUACUUUUUUAAAGCUGUUUUUAUUAAGCCCAUCCAAACGGGCCCUAAAUAAGAAAAUAUUCUGACAAAAAUUCUCAUAAAUUAAUUUAGACUAUAUAUUAUUUUUAAUUUCUUACCCAGUAAACUAAUAAAUGAGUAGGUCAAUAACUUUAAUUUCCCAAACUUAGGUGGAUUAGACAUGUUAGGUUGAUAAACUAACUCUGUCACCUUUAUCUAUAUUUAUGUCUUUAAUAAUAUAUGAGAUUUGACUUCGUUAUAUAUAUCGAACAUCGAAUCGAAAAAAACUGGUUUAAGCUGAGAUCAUAAACAUAAAACAAACCUUCAACAAAGUUCAUUUGCUUGAUGCUUCCAGCACCACCAUCUCCCUCAACAAUCUCAAUGCUCUUAACAUCAUGUGACAACAAUUUAGGUACAAGGCUAUCAAAAUCAAGAACCAAACCUUUGAAUAGCCUUGUUGGGGCAAUUGUGGUUGUGGACUCAUGAGUAAAGGUGUUUACACCCAUAAUGUUUGAUUAAGUAUUUAUAUUUUGAAAGAAAAAAAGAUAUGAAAGAGAAAGGAUAAGAUGAAUAUAAUGCUUUGAAGUGUGUGUGAUAUAUUGAAAGUUUUAGAUGGUAUUUAUAGGACAAAAAAUGAAGUGAGAUUUUGGUUGAUUAUUAUGUAAGUUUUGUCCCUACCUUGAAAAGUCAUAUAAAACUCGAUCAUGUUCGACAAUAGUUGUUCAGUACUAUAUUAUUAUAAAAUGUCCAAUAAUACUUAUCCACGAUAUAUUAUUAGUUAUAGUCAUUUUUAUUACAUUUUUUAAAACGUUAUAUUUAUAAUCAUAUUCAAUGAGUGAUAUAGUAAAAUUAUCCUUUUAUUUAUAAUUUUUAAAAAAGUGUCCACCGUCAAUACUGAACAAAUAUUAUUAGACAGAAAAAAUAUAAACCUUUGGACAAAUGGUGAACAAUUACUCGUAUUCAGUACAAGUAGAGUGAAAGCUAUUAAAAUCUUUUGAAUUUAUCUUAUCAAUCAUGAUCGAAAAAGACGAAGAUAUCAAACAAAAUAUUAUCUAAUAAUUAUAAAAGUUAUAAUUAAAAUAAAUCGUUAACGCGAUCUAAAAGAUGUAUAAAUUGUUGCAAAAGUUAUAAUUAAAAUAAAUUGUUAGAUCGCGAUCUGGAAGGUGUAUAAGUUGUUGGAAAAGUUUGGUGAAAUUUUAGAAUUCUAGUCAUGAACAAUCUUAACUUUAGUAUUAAUUUCAACAUUCAAAGCAGUGCAUUGUUGACAAUUUUGUCCAUUUUUUAUUUUUAUUUUUUUCUACAUGUUGUGUCACUAUCUUUGAUAAUUAAUUUUGUUAGUUGUGACAUUGGGAGAAUUUUAUAUAAUAUGGUCUAUAAAAAUAAGGCUUGCUGACACGAUAUUAAGUUUGAUUGGACUUUAGGAACCUACCAACUUGGUAGUGCUCAUCAUGUUUUUUCUCAUCGAUAUUAUUCGUGUUGAAAUUCGAUUAAAUAUAAAUUUACACUGAAAGAUCUCGUAUAAUAGAGUUUAUUAUAUUUUCUAAGACCUCUCGUUAAGAAUAAAUUAUAAGUAUUAUCAUUUCAACUACGAUCCUUAAUAAUAAUAGUGUUCAUUAUAUUUGGAAGCUUAGAAGAACGUUCGUUUGCUAAUAUUAUUAUCCAUCAAUAUUAAUUUUUUGAAUUCAAAAUUAUCUAGUUUCACUCAUUAAAUUAUAUAAUAAGAAAAUGAGUAAUGAAAAUUACGGUGUCAUGAGUUUGAAUUUAAUGAUAUUUUGAUAGGUGUUUUUAUGUAUUAUAAAUAAAAAUAUAUUUUUAUAUUUAUUACUGUUUAUAUUAUGUUAUAAUACUUUAUUUAAUCAAACUUUAACUCUGAUUGCUUGGAAAAAGAAAAACUUUUCAAAAAAAUCAUUUUGAAAGUAACCAUUUGUCAGUUUAUAUUUAGGUAAUUAAUUUGUAAAAUAUUUUUGUCAAAUAUUAAUGUAGUAUAGCUUAAUGUAUUGUUUAAUUAAAUAUCUCGUAGAGAAGUAAUGGAAUUAUUUUUUAAUUUGAUAUAAAUUAUUAGUUUUAUUUUUAAAUUAUUAAUAGCUUUAUAAGAAUUUUUUUACUUAUCUAACUAAAUCUGAUAUACAAGUGGUUUCAAAUUCUUGUAGAAAAAUGAAACUUUUCAUAAAAAAUCGAGAGAAGGGUUGAAAACACUCCUAAAUCUGGUGAAACUAUAAAGAUGUAUUUCACUCAUCUUAUAAAAUUAAGGAUAUUUUUAAGUUCAGCUAGCCAAACAAAUGAAUAUAUUUGAUAUUAAAGAUGAAAUUAAUAAUUUACGUUAAAUUCAAAUGUAUUUUAAAUACUUCUCUCUAUAUCUUAUAUAGUUGUAUAAAUAUCGAAUACGAAUAAUUUUUUUUUUAAUACUUAUCUUUUUGAGAGGCUAGUUGGUCUUUGAUAAUUGGGUGGGUGGGUGUGAGGAUAAUGAUAUGUAGUGUAUACCAUAUAGUUUCUUCUCUAUAGAAAAAUCUUUUCAAUGUCUACAUCUAAUUGACUAAGCCAAACAUUGUCUUAUAGUAAAAAUCAUGGAGUUGAUGAAAUCUUGACUAAAGCCAUUUGGUAAUGUGAAAGUGGCAAUUUUUGUAUGCACUCUAACUUUUCUCCCAUAUCAUCAAUUUUUUUAAUUAAAAAAAAAUUAAAUUAAUUUUUAAAAAUUUUUUAUUUAAAAAUUAAUAAAAUGAUCGAAUUAUAAUUGGUCACGUCAUCAUUUUUCAAUAAAAUAAUUAAACUUCUGAAUAAAAAUUGUGUCACUUUUUUUUAUUUUUUAAUUAAAAAAUUUGAUAACGUGACCGAGUUACAAUUGGCCACGUGUCAAAAAUAAUUUUGCAAAAUCAUUGUUAAAAAAUAAUAGCAUGAAUGAGCAUUUACUUUAACGAUAAUAGCAUAAAAAUUCAAUGGCAUAUUUAAGUCUUUUCCCUUAAAAAAAAUUAACAAAGGUCAUUUUCAGAAUGUGAAAUUUGAUUAAUUUGAAUUUGUAUUUUGUAGAGUUAUUCUGAGCUCGUCAUCUUUAAUUAAAAAAUAAUUAAAUAUAAAAUUUAAAUCGAGACUUAAGAUUAAGAGUAAAAAGAUCUCAACCAUUCACUAUAACAAAAAUAAUCAUUGGCGACAAAAUAUAUUUCUAAAGCCUUUAGCGAUAUUGGUUCUAAUGGUACUUAACUAAUACCAAAAAAGACUUUAGCAUUCUUUAUUAAUAUUAAUAAUUAAUAUCGUUAAAAGUCGUUUUUAUUGUUGCGAUUAAAUGGGAUGUUUGAUUGCAUAUAAUAUUAGAAUAAGACAACAGUAACAUAGCAUGUUCAUGUUAUUUUAUAUAUUGAUGAGAAAGAAAUAUACAAUUUUUUUCUAAAAAUCUUGCUGCAACUAGGUAUAUGUAUUAUUGUAUUAUUUUAUUAUUCAUUUUACCUUCUAUUUAUCAUAAAAUAAUAAUAAUAAUAAUACAUGCCUCAUAAUUUAUGCAUGGUUCCCUCAACACAUAUAUUAAGAUGUAUGAAUUUUUAAAUCGUAAACUAAAUAUCGUAUUAUAAAACUUACUGUUAAUUAUUAUUAAAUAUGAUAUUAUUUAUAUAAAAUAUAAUAUUAAUUUCCACGCCUUUAAAAUAGAGGUGGAUAGAAAUUCCAUAAAAAAAUUUGCUUUCAAAUUAAAAUGGGAAAUCAAUCAUUUUUAAUAUUUCUUUAGCUUUUCAUCACAAUUUUAUUUUUAUUUUUUUUUGAAAGUUUUGAACUUCCGAAGAAUCGUAAUUUUUAUUACUCUAUCAAUAAUUGAGAUAUUGAGUUUGAUUCUCUUAAAAUAUGAAAUCGCAUUUGUUAAGAAGCGCUUUGCUUUCAGUAUGGGACUUUUCAACACAAAUUCUUUAUUAUUUAUGAUCGUAAUAGAUGUUUGAUUAGAAACAUAAAAGAACGAUGAAACACAAAUUUACAUGAAUUCAGUAUCAAAAUUACUACUAAUUAUUUCUAAAUAUCUAACUAUAAACCCACACAAAUAAUCAUUUAUAGCUAAUAUCACUUUAAAUCACUCUAGAAAUUCGUAAAAUUCAAAUCACGAAAAAUAAUAUUUGAGGAUUAGCUUGUGAUAAUAUUCUUUAUUGAAAGUUCUUUCCAUGACAUACAAUUGGAAAAUACACACACAACAUCAAUCAACUUCUACGUCUCUCAUUCGAGAGUUUAAACUUCUUAAAAACAACACACACAUUUUAAAUUAUUUAACAUCACAACACGUUCACGUACAUGCAUAAUUUCUCACGUGUAGACCUGAUUCUUUUUCAUCAAUAUUCAAGCGUAGACAGAAGGAUUCGCGAGAAGGUAUGCUUCUACAGCCUUGGAAAUAUUCAUGAUUCUCUCUCUGCCUACAUUGUGUUCUUCUUCACUAACAACAUGAUCACCCUUUGUGUGAUACUCAGUUGUUGUCUUGUAAACACAACCUCCAUUAUCAUUAGCUUCAAAUUUGAUAUCAUAAGUAAUUGAUUCCAAUUUUUCUCCAAGAAUAUCACCUUCAAUAAGUGAAUAUUUUGUUUCUAAGUUCUUGUCAUCAAUCACAUGAAUCUUGUGUUUCAAGUACUUUAUUGGACCACCUGUCAUUAAUAAGAAAUAAUAAUUAAGUUUCGUUUAUUAUAGAUGUAUAAAUAUUUUUUACAAUUAUCAGGUUAUUGAUAAAAGUAUUAAAUUAACUAGUUAAAUUGAAUUUAAGCAGGUUAAAAUAGAAUAAAUUUAUAAAUUCAAGAGUCAAAAGUUACUUGGGUUGAACUAGUCUAAAAUAUGGGUCAUAACACUAACUUAUUCAAUUAUAAAUAGUUUUAAAUUUUAUUCUCUUUAUUUGUUCAUUUGUAGCUUUUUUGUAGCUUAUAAAAUUAUUUUCUCUCUAUAUUAUGACUAUAUAAUGUCAAUUGUCAAAAGAAAAUAAUAAUUUUAAAAAAAAUAUUCAGACAAGAUUUCUUAUGAGUUAAUUUGGGCUACAUAUUAUUGAUAGGUUUAUGAGCUAAUAAAUAAGCAGGUCAAUAAAAAUGAAGUGAUCAGUUGGGCGGGUUAUAAUUUUAUGCACUAAUUUAUCAUGCAUAUCCACGGAUAUGUUUUCCAAUGAUACGAGAUAUAAAAUCUUGAAAGUAAGACGUAUUAUAAUCGCUAUCUAAGUAACCAGUAAGUAGAAUUUCGAAAAAAUAACAGACGCCGAGCGAAAGAAAGAAUCAUAACAAACCUUCAACAAAGUUCAUUUGCUUGAUGCUUCCAACACCACCAUCUCCCUCAAUAGUCUCAUUGUUCUUAACAUGUUGUGACAACAAUUUAGGUACAAGGUUGUCAAAAUCAAGAACCAAAGCUUUGAAUAGUCUUGUUGGGGAAAUUGUGGUUGUUGACUCAUAAGUAUAGGUAUUCACACCCAUAAUGUUUUUGAUUUAUAUUUGCUUUUAUAACAAAGAGGAUUAUAAGAUGAAUUAAUGUUUUGAGGUGUGUGUUUUAAUGAAAGUUUAAGAUGGUAUUUAUAGGGAUAUUGUAGGGUGCGUUUUGGUACAAAAGGAAAAUAAUUUUUUUUUAAAUAAUAUAAAAUAAAAUUAUUUAUUUAUUUUCAUGUUUGAUUAACUUAAAAAUAUUGUUUUUUUUCCAUUAUUUUCAACAUGGGUUUACUCACUAUUAUAUUUCCUUUUCAGCUUUGAAUUGACUAACUUGAGUCGAUGGAGGAUAAGGUAUUCGCGUAAAAUACAUUGAAAAUUCGAGAUUAAUACUUGACUUGAUAUUAUUAUUUUCACUCCCCGCUUCAACUCACUCAUAUAUAUAAUAUUUUUUUACUUAUUUAUUAAAUCGUCAUAAACUACUUAUCUUUUUAACAAAUAUUAUUUCAUAAAAAAUAUUUUAUUUCGUAUCAAACGCAUCAUAAGAGUUUAGUCAUUGACUCUAAUCUUAAUUUCUACAUUCAGAGCAGUACUUUGUUGACAUUCGUGUUUUUUUUUAAUUUUUUUAUCUAUAUAUCGUGUCAUCAUUCUCUAAUAAUUAAUUUAUUGGACGGUGGAAACCUAGUAUGUAUGUUACUAAUUUUAUUUUUAUUAUAUAUAUAUAUAUAUAUAUAUAUGUUAUACUAAAACAAAUUAUUACGAAUAAUAAUAUGAUAAUUAACAUACAAAAAGUAAUAAGGCUAUAGCUUAAAAUAUGAAAGGAUAAGCAAUAAUAUAACGUCUGAUUAAAUCAUUUUGUUUAUUUAAAUUGAUGUAAAAUAUCGAUCACGAAUAAAUAUUUUUUUAAUUUAUUUUUUUUGGGACUAUUUUUCCUUUGAUAUUUGGGUUGGUGAGAUAGAGGACAGGGAUAUAUAGUUUGUAUUCUCUGUAAAAAUAAAAAGUAUAUACAUUUAAAUUUUGGCAUCUUGACUAAUUAAGCCAAACAUUGUCUUAUAGUAAAAUCUUUAGUGUUGAUGAAAUCUUGACUAAGCCAAUUAGUAAUGUGAAAGUAUAAAUUUUAUAUGCACUCCGCCUUAAUGUUGAGGUUCGAUAAAUUUAAAUUUAUGUAAUAAAUGAUUCAUAUUUUAAGUAGGGUUAUUGUUUUAUUUUCUUUAAUGUUAUUGUCAUUUUAUAAUCUUCAUAUAUUUUCAAUCACUAAAAAAUAAUGAAAUAAAUAAAACUAGGAGUUAUUUGAUAACUGAUUAGAAUUAUUAGCUAUUAUACUUUCGAUUCUUUAUAAAAUAAUGGGAAACGACUCAAAAAUACUUUUAAACUAUGUGAUAAGAAUAAAAAUAUCAUUUGUUUAUAGUUUGGCUCAAAAAUGUCUUUACCGUCAAUAUUUUGAUUAAAAAAUAUCUUUGUAAUCAAUACUUUGGUUUAGAAAGACCCUUGUAGUUACAAAAUAGGUCAAAAAUGACCCUUUUCAAAUAAAUAUAUUAUGAUUUUCUUUUUAAACACAUCUUCUUCCUAAUUAAGAUAUUAUUAAAGAAGACUAUUUUCGUUUUCUUUCUUUUAAAAUCACUUUAACAAAUAAAAUGUAGAAAAUAUUUUAGUUCUUUUUAAUCUCAUUUUAUCAAUUAAAAUAGAAUAAUUUCGUGUACACAACAUAUAUAUAUAUAAAAUGAUAAUAAAAAAAAUCAUUCAUUUUGUUCUGAAUUGAAAUAAGAUAAACAGUUAAUUUAAAAAAUAUCAUUAAAAUAAAUGUGUUAAAAAGAAAAUAAUAAUAAUAUAUUUAUUUAAAAAGUGAGCAUUUUUGACCCAUUAUAUAUAACAAUACGUGUAUUUUUGGACCAAAGUAUUGACGGAAAGACGUUUUUAGACCAAACUAUAAAUGGAGGGCAUUUUUGUUCAUUUUGCUUAAUUUAAGGGUAUUUUUGAACCAAAAUAUUAAUAGCAAAGAUAUUUUUGAGUCAAACUAUAAACGAAGAUCAUUUUUAUAACUUUCACGUAGUUUAAUAAUAUUUUUUACAUUUUCCCCUAAAAUAAUACAUUUAUAGAACUUUUGAGGAAUAGAAGCUUCUAUUUGACUGAUAAAUUUUAAAAGCAAUUUUAUUUAAAAUUUAAUCCUAAAUUUUACAUUGAAAUACCCACCUAAAUGGAGGGUCAUUUCGGGCAUUCUAUUUAAAAGAAUUAUAAUAGUUUGAUUUGGUAAUUAAUAAAAAUGAAAAUAAAUAAGCAAAUAAAAAAUAAAAUCGAGUACUUGGAUAAAUCAAACAUUGACGUAUUAUUUAGGAUGUAUUUAUUUCGAAGAAAAAUGUUCUUAAAUUUUUUCAUGUUUAGUUGACUUAUAUGUUUUCUAAAUAGAUUUAUUUAUCAAAUUUUUAGAAAAUGAAUUCCCUUCGUAAAGUAAGAAUUUUUUUUCAAAACUAUCUUUCAACAUCACCAUUAAGUGUCGAAUAGCGGCUCUCAACCUCGACUUAGGAUUUGAAUCCUAGUUUCGACUCUAACUAUGGAUCCUGACACGGUUUAACUUAUUCACAACCUCAACCUUAUUUCCAACCCAAACACAGGUUAAGAUUAGGUCUCGAAUCGACAUCGAGGUUGAAUCUUGUAUUUGUCUAUAUAUAUUAUAUUUAUAUAUUUUUAAAUAAUAUAUUAAUCAAACAUGACCUACAAAAAUAGUGAGUGUCAUUAAGGAAAACCAAAAACCUUAAGUGUGCCAAAAUUCUCAUAUUUUUUUUUCUUUCAUAUUAAUACUUUAUCUUAACUUACUCAUGAAGAAUUCAAUUUAGAAGCAAGAUGAAGAAGAUUUAUUAACCACUAAACAUUCAUGUAUCAAUUUUCUAGCAUCCUUUAAAAAGCAUAAAUGUAAAUGAAUAUAUAAACUAAAAAUAAUCAAACUAGUCUUUUGAAGUGUACACUCUUAUUUGGUCUAUAACACAUACCUUAUAUAAUUGAUACGCUAAUAAUAGAGUUAAAAAACACAAAAAAAUUAAUUUUUUUUUGAAGGUUUGAACACAUAAUAUAAUAUACACAUAAUCAUGUGUUAGUACAGUGAAUAAAAUUACUUUUUCCUUCGUCAAAUUUUGAAUUCGAAUUCUGAAUCGAAGAAAAACAUAUACUUAUAAAAUCUGAAUUAAUCCGACUUUCAUAUGGAUACUAAACCAAAUAAAACUUAAAAUUCUCCAACAACAUUAUCUAAGAUAGUACUAUUAAUUUAAUAUAUAAAGAAUGUACAUUUCAAGAACAUCUAGAUAAAAUGACACAAAUGUCAAAAAUGGACUACUUUGAAUGUUGAAAUUAAGGUAAAAGGAAUUAAUUGUUGAUUUAAUUCUAAGAGUGUAACUUUUUUUUUUUCACCUAUAAAUACCAUAAAACAAUAUCUCAUUAUCACACAUUCUCACACACAACAUUUUAUAUAUCCUCUUUUUUUUUGUCUAAUAACAUCAUGGGUGUCACUAGCUAUACACAUGAAACCACAACACCAGUUGCCCCUACUAGGUUGUUCAAAGCUUUGGUUGUUGAUUCUGAUAAUCUUAUUCCUAAGUUGAUGCCACAAGUUAAAAAUAUUGAGGCUGAGGGAGAUGGAAGUAUCAAAAAGAUGAACUUUGUUGAAGGUAAUAUAAUAAUCGAUCUGAUUGUGUAAAUAUUUUUUGCAUCGUUAGUGGAUAGGACUAAUUAAAUUAUAUACUUGAAAUAUUAGACGUGUGAGUUUUCUAUCAAAAAUUCUAUUGCAUUGAUCAAAAUGUUUAACUUUUUAAAUUUUCCAAGAAAAUACUAUAUUUUCACAAGUGAGGUCUGGGGACUGGGGGAGCAGAGGCGGAGUUGUAUAGACCAUAACCUGUCUUUUGUGAAGUAAAGAGGUUAUUUCUGAUAGACCUACAGCUCGUUAAGUUCAUUUUUUUUUUUUUGGAAUAAUUGUAGGUUCACCAAUCAAGUACUUGAAGCACAAGAUUCAUGUUGUUGAUGACAAGAAUUUGGUGACCAAAUAUUCAAUGAUUGAAGGAGAUGUUCUUGGAGACAAACUUGAGUCAAUUUCCUAUGACCUAAAAUUUGAAGCUCAUGGAAAUGGAGGAUGUGUUUGCAAGUCUAUAACUGAGUAUCACACAAAAGGUGAUUAUGUGUUGAAGGAUGAAGAACAUAAUGAAGGCAAAAAACAAGCCAUGGAACUUUUCAAGAUUGUUGAAGCAUACCUCCUCGAGAAUCCUUCUGUCUACGCUUAAGUGAUGAAAUAAGAAUCAGGUCCACACGUGUUAUAUAACGUGUUUGUGACAUUAUAUAAUAAAGUAUAUACCCUCAUUAAAAAGUUAAAAAUCUUUUAAAUGAGAUUUAUGGUUUGAGUUUUCAUUAAUGUUAUAGUGCUUUUUGUUGAGUUGUGUGUUCUUUUUCCAAGUUUAUCAUUGGGAAUUAAGAACUCUUAAUAAUGUAGCAACCUUUAAUUUUGCUUAUCAAAUACUUAAUAGUAAAAAAAUAUUUUACUUUUCGAAAAUAAAAAUUGUGGUGAUCAGUUAGUGUUACUAUUAUAUUUGUAGAAUGUUUCGACUUAGUAUAUAUAUCGACUAAUUUUCGUAUUCAGUUAACUAAUAUCAUAUAAAUUGAAACAAAAGGAGUAUUACGAUUACGUUAGAAUGGUUUUUUAGCAGUGAUUAUUAGUAGAUAAAAUGUACACAUUAACAUUUCUUUUAGAGACUGAAAUGAAUUUAUACCACAUCGUUAUAAAAUAGGUACAUUUAGUUAUUUUUAAUAGAAUUAGAGAGAAUGUUGUAUGCCGAGCUUAGUAAUGUGGGCUUGUAACCCAAAUGGGGGCAUUAAUGUGGUGGAAUGUUGGGCUGUACCAGAUGGUUGGGCUUGGUGGGCUAAUUUCUGACUUGCCCUAUCCAAGCUUAGAGUUGGAUCAUGUGGCCCAAUUGAAGAAAUGGACUACUUGAUUCGUAAAGUGGGGCGGAAUGCGUGAGGCUGGUUUCACAGAGCAACGAUAAGUUUCCGCUCUAAGCGGUGGAAGGAUAACGAGUCGGUGUUCUCUGAGUCCAGUAACGCCUGAUGGGUUGCUCCAAUUAAACCACCAUUUUUCUUUUUGGAAAGUUACGAUAAACCACAACUUUUUCUUUUGAUGGGCUGCUCCAAUUAAACCACCAUUUUUCUUUUUGGAAAGUUACGAUAAACCACAAUUUUUUCUUUUUCAUUUGGGGGGAGUUACGAUAGUAGAUAGUUAAACGUUGUCUCACAUUCAUGCGGAUAAAGUUGGUGCAUCAUACUUGUUUUUCCUUUCAUACUAGUAAUACAUUAAACAUUAUUUUCGUUGUUUUUUACCCUUCGAUUAAUUCACAAUUUUAUUGUUAUUUUUAGUAGACUAAAAUGACUUUAACGUAAGUGGAUUAUUGAUGAUUCAUAUACCAGAUUCCAACUCGUUUAUGACCGAGUCCAGUAACGCCUGAUGGGCUGCUCCAAUUAAACCACCACUUUUUUUUUUUGGGAAGUUACGAUAAACCACAACUUUUUCUUUUUCUUUUGGGGGGGGGGGGGAAGAGUUACGAUAGUAGAUAGUUAAACGUUGUCUCACACUCAUGCGGAUAAAGUUGGUGCAUCGUACUUGUUUUUUCCUUUCAUACUAGUAUACAUUAACAUUAUUUUCGUAGUUUUUUACCCUUCGAUUAUUUCACAAUUUUAUUGUUAUUUUUGGUAGACUAAAAUGACUUUGACGUAAAUGAAGAAAUAUGAUUAUUGAUGAUUCAUAUACCACAUUUCAACUCGUUUGUGAUCGAAAUAUAACUAUUUUUAUAUAAUCGAAAUCUGAAAUAAAAAGACAUUGAUUAGUGAGAAUUUAUAUAUAUAUUUGUUUCUUAUUUGAGAUAUAAGCUAAAUCAUAAUUAUCGGUAGAAGAAAUCGUUGCUAAUAUACUAGCAGAAUUAGAAACGGAAAUAUAGUUUAAGAAGUAAUAAAAUUGUGUUUUCUUUAGAUAUAUAUAUAUUAUAUUAUUUGGACAUAAAACAUAUUUGUUGUAUCUUUUACGACAUAUAUCGUAAGAUAUUAUGAUACAAAUAUAUAAAAUUAUGCUCCUAUUAUACGUAUUUAUUUGUUAACUUUUGUAAGGAUACUCGAUAAUAGAAAAUUUUGAAACGAAGACUUCUUCUGCGAUUCCUAUUUUCUCUAUAAGGGUCAUUUGAUCAUGGAAAAAUUAUAUGAAUUAAUACAUUUUUAAAAAUAAAUAUUGAUUUUAGCGAUACUUUUUGUUUAUUACUAUGUACUGUGAUAAAUUUGUAAUAUGUAUUAAAAGUGAAUUAUUUAUGCAAUAUAUUUGAAGUAUAAUUGUAUUUGAAAUAUAUUAUGUUCGUUUGGUAAAAAAUUAUUACAUUAUAUUAUAAGUGUAUUAAAAUAUGAGAUAAAUGUAUUAUCCACCAUUAAAACUUGUAUUAUAUUUGAAUAAUAAAUUUAUCUUUGUAAUAUGUAUUAGACUUGUAUUAUAAAUGAGUUAAAAAUGGUCAAGUAAAAAAAAUGUUAUUGCUAUAAAUGGUAAAUAUUUUUUUUAUUAUAAUAUAUUUACGUAAAUUUCCCUUUGAUGAUUAUAAUUGAUUUGAAAUCCAAUUUAGUGAGGAUUCUUUUAAUUGAUUAAAACUUAAACAUUAGUAAUUAGAAACUAAAGAAAAGUUUGAGAAAUUAUGUUUGCCUAGAUCUAAAUUCAUAAUUAGUAAAUAAGAUAAUCUUUAAUUAAAGAUCCAAUAAAAUACUUUAUUCUAUAUUUUAUUAUUUUUAUCCACUCAUUGAAUAAAGUUUAAACUUUUAUUUUUCUUUUUGCAAGUACCACAUCGAAAAUUUAAAUCAAACUUUGGUACUAUAUAUUGACCUGAUGGACUUUAUCUUAUCGCCGAGCUCAGUAGCGUGGGCUUAUAACCCGAGUGGGGGCAUUAAUGUGGUGGAAUGUUGGGUUGACCCAGAUGGUUGGGUUCGGUAGGCUUAUAGUCUGGCCUGCCCUCUCCAAGCAUGGAGUUGGAUCACGUGGCUUAGUCGAAAGACCAGGUUGCUUGAUUCCUAAAGUGGGGUGGACUGCGUGAGGCUGGUUUCACAGAGCAACGAACAGCUUCCGCUCUGUGCAGUGGAAGGAUAACGGGUCAGUGCUCAGCGAGUCCAGUUAACGCCUGAUGGGCUGCUCCAACUAAACCACCACUUUUUUUGCAGAGCAUAUAUUAUUUUGGCUCGAACUCUGUAUUUGUGCUUAAAAAGCCACUUAAUAUGUAUACAUACAUAGUUUAUCGAGAAUCCAAUAAGCUAUGUUUUCUAUAUCCAGAACUCAUUGACUCAAAAUUUUACGUUUAGACUCGGUAUGUGUGGUUAAAAAGCCACUUAAUUAUGUAAACAUACAGUUUAUCGAGAACCCAAUAAGCUAUGUUUUCUACAUCCAGAACUCAUUGACUCAAAAUUCUAGGCUCGAACUCUGUAUGUGUGGUUAAAAAACCACUUAAUAUGUAUACAUAUAUAGUUUAUCGAGAAUCCAAUAAGCUAUGUGUUCUACAUCGAGAACUCAGACUCAAAAAUCAAGCUCCGCCUCUGCGCUGGAGCAACUCAAAUAGACAACAAAAGCUGUCUAUUUAUAGCAUUUUAGUCCAUGAAGCCAAGAAUGGGAACAUGGAAAUCAAUAAUCUUAACAAAAGGGGCGUAUCGCUAGUCGCUUCUGGUCUACUUAACUUACCUUUUUCCACAGGUAUUUUUGCUGUUUCAGCUGAUGAUUUAUCUGAACUUUUGCUAGAUUGCAUUUCUUGAUCAAGUUCAUCCCACCCUCCGAAUCUAGAUACCUCUCGGUCAUCCUUACUAGCUGAAACGUCACUGUUGGACACCCAUGAUUGAUAGCCCGUCUUUCUCUUUCGUGUCUUGGAGCUUCCUCCUCUUCUCCAAAAGUUUGUCUUGCUUGAGUUGGGAGCAGCGCGUUGUCUCUUCUUAGCUGUACUCUUGCGCGUUGGUUUGUUUUGUAUCACGUCCAGUAUCUUUUGGAUUGCAAAGAAAAGCGUAGACUGUCCAAUGGGAAGGGCGAAUGCCAUAGCAAAAGCUUUAGCUCCUCCAGUAGAAAUCAAUACUAUUAGAAUUGGUAUUAACACAAAACCGUAGGAGCAGAAGACCUGCACUGGCCAAGAACGAUAACUUGUAAGUUGUUUGACGAAAAUCAUCUUACCUACGUUUCAAUUUCUACUCGAGAACGUUGUAGCAAGACUAGUCAAUAGUUAGAUAGCUAUAAUUAGGAAGUCAGUCGAAAAUGUAGUGAAAAGAAAGCUAUUGAAAGUAUAGACGAACACAUCGAGCAUAGCUCUUAAAUGAUUAUAUUAACAGAUUUAUCAAGAAUCAAAGAGCCUUUCAAGUCCAAAGCCUCGAGAUCCUGGUUAGUAGUACUGCAGUUAGAUAAUGCACGAUUUAUACUCAUAAGUUGCGGUGGAGCCAGGAUAUCGGACAUGGACAGUGGAUAGGGGAAACUUUCGGAUUUUGGAAGAUUUGAUUGGGCAUAAGACUGGAAGAAAGGCUUGGGCCAUUGGGCGGGAGGACGUUUGAGGACAAAUGGUAAUACUCAACCAAACGAUAUACAGGAAGAACGUCUGAAACUGAUGGAAGAUCUCAGAAGAAUAAUUAGCAUAGGAAACUAGUAAAAUGUUGAAGUUCUUGAGUUUUGAUACUGAUUCACUUCAACGGAAGUUACUUUGGAGCCUAUCAGAAACAACCUCUCUACCUUCACAAAGUAGGGGGGGUAAGGCCACGUACAGUCUACACGUUGUUUCAUAACGGAAAUCUUGGAACAAUCAACUGUUCUAUACUAAAUUCACUAAGUUAGAAUCAUGUACUUCAACAAUUUGAACUCAAAAGAACACAACCUAUCAUUUCAAGAAAACAUUAUACUAAAUUCACUUAAUUCUAAAUCAAGCUAAUGUAUCUAAAUACACAAAAGCAAUCUGGUUCAGUCUCAGCAUAAUCCUAAAGGCAUCACUUUACACUAAACAUCUUAUUUCAUGAAAAAAAUACAAAACAAAAUAACAACAUACUUCCAUCUUUCUCAAAGAAAAAUAAAAUGGAUUCAGGUUAAAAGUACAGAUUCCACAAAAACCUCAUCUUCCUUCAAUCCAAGAAGUACCUAAAAAUGUCAAAACUCCAUAUCCAUGCCAAAAAAAUCCAAACUUUAAGCUGAAAACCCAAAAUUCAAGUACCCCAAAAUGUCAAAACCCCACAUCCAUGCAAAAAAAUCCAAACUUUAAGCUCAAAACUCAAAAUUCAAGUACCCCAAAAUGUCAUAACCUCAUAUCCAUGCAAAAAAAUCCAAACUUUAAGCUGAAAACCCAAGAUUCAAGUACCCCAAAAUGUCAAAACUCCAUAUCCAUGCAAAAAAAAUAAUCCAAACUUUAAGUAGAAAACCCAAAACUCAAGUACCCAAAAUGCCAAAAAGAAACCAAACUUCACAGGAAAAAAAAACAGGAACACAAGUUUAUAAUUCAAGAAAUAAAAGGGGAGAAGCAAGAAAAGCCACUACCUUAAAGAUCCAAAUACUUUCAAUAUACUCAGCAAAAAAUUGAGCUCCUUGUUCCAAGAAUUCCUCCUCAUCAAGCUCCUCUUCCUCAUCUUCAAGAUUAUUAAAAUUCUGGUUCUUGAUGGACUCAGCAUUUGAGUCCCACUUACUAGAAGGCCUACUGCAGCAGAUGUGAAGGGGCUGCUGCUGCUUCUGCAGCAGAAGAUGAGAAGAGAGUGGAUUUAGAGGGUUUAAAGAAAUGGGUUUUUGAGUAAAGAAAAGAAGAGGUGAAGGGCUGGGGUUUAAGGGUAAGUGAAGAUGAAGAAGACCACCAUCACCCCUAUUGAUGGUGGUCUUCAGUCCAUUCCAUUGGCCAAUAUUACUCAUCACAUUAUCCUCUCAAAUAUAUGACUAUUUCAAUAAAUGAAUUGUAUAUAGUCCCCAAUAUUUGUGUUGUUUGGUUUUAACAUUUUAAAGUGAUGUAAAAUACAUGUCAUGAAUAUUCGAUAUUGAAGUUCUACUCUCUUUAGCGAAUGUUUCUUCAUACUCAAAAGAAACUUUAAAUUCGAAAUCUCUAAAUAUGGACAAAGGAAAGGAGAUGAUUGGCCAAACUUUAAAAUCUAACUCAAUUAGAAGACAUUGAAUAUCUCUAAAUAUAAUUUUCAUAGAGAGAACCUUAAACUAAACACUUACAUAUUCGCAUCCUUCGUUUCAAUUUAUUUAUUGUGUGUCAAAUCAAAAUUAGACGAGCAAAUGAUAGAAGUAUUUUAUAUUACCCUACUUUAUAUUCCCCUUUCCCAUCUAAUGAACAUAUACCAAUUGAAGUAGAUUAACUAAAUAAUUUUGUCAAAUCAAACUUGAUAGAAUUCAAUUAAUAGUAAAAAUGGAAAAACCAACUCUUUUCUUUUUCUUUCUUUUACCAUUAGUCUACAAAACAGAAACCAUUAAAAAGUACAAAAUGUUGAAUACAUAAUAUAUAAACACUUGCAUGUUUGUGGCUGGAAAUUUUCUUUUUUUUCUUCUUGAACCUUCACUUGAAAGAAAACCAACUAGUCUAUUUCAAUUUCUGAUGUACAUUUGAAGCCAUAUAUCAAUACAACGAAAUGUCAAACUUUGCAGAAACAGCAAUCCCAACUUUUCGACGACAUUUCCUCUUCUAUCAUGUUAGUAUUUUCUCAGCUCUCCUGAAGCCACCUUAAGCACAACGAUUUUUGCACUCUCUUGUAGCACGAAAAAGAUCAGUCAGUCUGUAAUGUCUAACGUAAGUACACAACCGGAAGUAAAAAUCCUCUCUUUGCCACCAGUGGCACACAUUCAACCAACUAUACAGCAAACCAUCAGCAACACACUCAACUUUGAAGCCACCAGUCAUUGUCCUGAUAUGUGUAUUUUCGUUACAGCCUGAAUAAUCGGAUGUGUUAGACAAACAAAAUGUUUCAGAGGAACAUCAAAAGAGCAUAAUCAAGAGGUAUAACCCUACUCUCUCAUGAAAAAAUGGUUUGACGGUGAUGAUAAAAGAUGACAGAACAUGACUCAGGACUGAAAUUAAAACAAAUGAAGAAUUGGAAUUCAUGCAACACGGUGGCACUUGAAUCAACUUUCCCGGGUGAAUUUGACUUUCGAGUUCCAUCAGUUUGGUACUUCCCUCCAAACUGUUCUUUGUUGUAUUUUCUAUUAUAGAUAGUUGUUUCGACAAAUCUCAGGGUUAUGUCAAAACACAAAUUGGUCCAUAGAUUGAAAAUAAAAUAGACAUAAAUCAUGUACUAUUUAGUCAUAUGUUUCCUCCUAUCAAGUAGAUCAACGAACAAAUAUCUAAAUCUAAGUCAACCACCCCCAAUCCAUAAGGGCCCUUCAUCCAAAAUCGGUUUCAAGAAGCAGGCUUUCAACUCAUAAGGAUGUAUGUGAAAGCAUAGGAAAGAAGCCAGAAGCAUCAAUAUGGCAACUAUUGACAGAACCAUGGAAAAGAAACAAGAUAAUUACCGAGUUUUACAACUACAACCAUCUGCUGACAUCAAUAGUUUCUAGCCUUCUAAAGCAUAUGUUGGGACCUGCAUCACAUUUGCAAAAUAACAGUGUCAUUAGCAGAAAUGAAUAUCCCACACCAAAACCCCCCAGGGCAUCAGUCAUGGACAAUUAUUAUUUUUUUGGUUAAAGAUUUUAGUUCUAGUUGUCUAUAAGAAACAACCUCUCUAACCCGUAAGGUAGGAGUAAGGUUUGCAUACAUCGCAGACCUCGCUUGUAGAAUUGCACUGGGCAUGUUGUUUUUGUUGUAUUACAGUUCUAGUUGACACAAAAUUAUGCAAAUAAACUUGAUGACUGGCUUCGGUUCCCAAAGGUGCAACCACAUCACUAGAGGAGUUGGUACUUGUCAAUUAACUGGAGUGUCCACAUCCGGAUACUCUCUUUCCGCCCUUGAUUCAUACAAAGCUAGCUCAAUCUUUGAACUACUAUUCUUCCCCAUUUCAUUUUCUGUCUGUUACCUUUAAUGCUUGUUAAGAGUGUAUGUGAUCAGUCAUGUUUCCGACUGAUCUUCAAAUCCCCACACCUUCCAACAACUUAAACUAAAGUAUAUUAAGAAAGAGAACUAAUGAUAUCAAAUACUCCUGACUGUACCUACCAACCAAUCAUCCCCCACCCCACCCCACCCCACCCCCCCACCCCAAAAAAAAUUCAAUUGGUGCAGCAGGAUCAAGUUGUUGCUCUACUAAAGUCAUGAUUUAUAGAAGUCCAACCAGAAUUAAGAUAAACUUUAAAAAGCUUUAGACUACCUCGAGCAUGUCUUCAUCAGGGGAACAGGAUACUGUAGAGUCCAAACCAUUUGAUUUAUCAAAUUGCAGGAUCCUCAAUUUUCCUUCCUGCACAAUUUAAUGUUAAAAAAAAGAAGACGAAUACUUUUGAGAAUAUGAACAAUUUUAUAGUUGUAACCAAAAAAUGAGAAACUCAUACAAUGUCUGCAUAACUACCUUAGUUCCAUAUACUAGGCCACCACCAACCAAAGGAUGGAAACAAGCAACGUUAACCUCAUCCUCUGCACUGGGAAGAACUCUCACAAGUUCCAUAUCCGAAACUCUAUAGACCUGAUUCAAAGACUCACAAUCUGAAUUAACUAGAGAAAACAAAUAUAUACACCGACAUUGUGAACAAACCAAAUUCAUUCUUCUUGCAGGUUCAACCAAAUAAUCUCAGUAAAAUGUGAGCGAAAGCAUAAUUCUCCCUUUUUAAGUUUUAUGAAGUUCAAAAACAAAGUGCAUCAACACAAAAGAAAUUAUUUUGACAUACUAGUAAACUAAUUGAAUUGGGCCUCUUCAACCUUAAAAGUGUCCUAAACACAUUGUCACUGCACUUGCAUAUCAAGCUAUAGUAGCUCCAGUUUAUCUAGCCCCAUUUUCAUCAACUUAAAUCCAGUCUUUCUAAAGUUAAACAUAUCCUGCAUCACUUUGCCUAGCCCACCCCAACUUGUUUUGGACCAACGUAUAGUAGUUGAGGUUGUACUUCUUCUUCCCUUUUUAAUAAGGAAAUGAGGUUGUGCUUCUAAAAUUAGUUUUUGGUUGCACUGCAAUUGAAAAUAGCCUCAACAAUCCAUUUAUGCCAUACUAUUUGACAGGUACAGGAGAUUAAAUUAGAUCAAUCAACAUGUCAUGUGACCGAUGACUGAUGUGAAGAAGAAAAUGGCAAUUUGAGUUUUCUGUACAAAGAGAAGAAAAACAUAGUAGCAUGAAAUCAAAGGUAAAUUCUUCAAAGUUGUGAAAUGUAAUUUAAAUUCAUCUAAUUUGUAAAUAGUGCACAACAUAUUCUCGUGCCAUAUCAAUUAUCAAACCUUCAUGGACAUACCAUAGUGAAACAUGGGUGACACAACAUGGGUCAGAAGGAAUUAUAUGGCUAACCCUCUGUGAUUAACUAGACUCUAGAACCAACUGUCCAUAACCUAGAUUGAUUGGCUCAGAGGUUAAGAAGUCAAAAACCCUUGCAUGUUUGCAAAGAGUAAAUGAAAUAUUUGAAGAACUUCUUAGAAAUGUAAGUGACAGAACAAAAACCUUAUCAGGUUUAAAACCAAACUUUUGAAACUUCCGUAUGUCAUAUAAUUAUGUCAAUCAUUUUCACGAUGUUCUAAAAUAAGAAGUGUGCUACCAUGACCCAGUCUUGGUGGUGGUGAAAAACUGACAUUCCAUAAGAAACCAGGAUAUAAUCAGGUACUCACCUCAAGAAUAGUGUAGACAGGUAGAGUUGUAUCUCCAUCGAUCACAAUACUUUUCAGAAGUGAUCCAUGGCGACGUCCAUAGGCAAGUAAAAGAUGCUCAGAAGUUGGAGAGAACUGCAUUUUCAAUAGAUGUGGAGCAACAAUCAGUUUCCCAUAUCAGAAAGAUAACAUUUCAGUCUAUAAGAGCAAUUAUUACUGCAAUUUAAAGGUGCAUUUCAUAAAAUUGCCAUUGUGAACAUCUCUUGACUAGUGAAAUCACUUGAGACACAUUUCUUUAUCCAGGAAAAAGUAGGUUCUUUUUGUGCAAAUAACAAUGCACAGAACGAUCUACAUUUAUAAUUAAACAGUAAGCAAAAUCAAAUAUAACGAAGUAUAGAAGUGAACGAAACAAGAUAAGGUACAACACCAACCCAUAGGAACUUUAAACAAAAAAAGAAAUUCUACUCUCUAAAGGAAGGAUCAAUAUUUGUGCCCAGGAUUUCUUAUUGAACAAGUGCUCAACCAGUUUUAAACUUCAUAUCCAAACAAAACAACGAGAGAGCACUUCCCCUUCAUUUUUGUUCUCAUCUAACAAUUCAUAUUUUGCUUUUACUUCCUCAAAGGAUUAAGACAAAAAUGCUACAACAAGAAAACCAUCUAUAGUUCAUACUCCCAGAAAACCAAAAAAUCUUACCACAAAACAUAAUUUAGGAUUAUAAACCAAUAUGUGCAGAGCCCGAGGAGUACUAACCUGAAUUGAAGUCAAACAAUGAGCAGCUCUAAUUAGUCGAGAUGCAAGCACCCUACCAAAACUGCAACAGUGAAAUAGAGUUCCCAAAUGACCACCAAACAAAGACAUGAAAAGAAACAAAGAAUGAAGGACAAAAAGAGUAGCAAGUGUAAGCAGAGAGGAAAAGGAACAAAGACAUUAGAAUUGGUAUUUACUUUGCCUCCUCCAAGGAAUAUAUACGUAGCUCAUACAUAACCGGGUGGGCUGCAAUUGGAUGUCUGGUAGGUGAAGUUGCAGCAUCGUGACGAAAUUGUCCAUGGAAACCAGGAUCAGCUUCCAUGCCAUGACUAAUACAAGCAACACAAGCUGCUAAAAAUCUUCCACAUGGUGAAAAGUGGGCACCCAUUUCACUGAAAUAAAUAAUGUAUAUCAUGUAAGCACUAAGGACAGUUAAUUGCACGUGAUGUCAGGUUUUACAAUGAAAUAACAAUUAGGAAUUGUCAAACAACGGUAAGAGGAGAAUCAUCAAUUAUCCCUUAGAGAAAGUUAGAUCAAGCAUCUAGAACAACAUGAGAACAGCUAAAUAGCCCAUUAUCCUUGAAGGCAUAUGAAAACCUCAAGCCAAAGCUUUGAAACAAUAGAAAUUAUCUCAUCUACAAAGCACAGCAUGUGGUAUCAUUAAGCGACAACAGAAAUUAUCUCACCUACAGAGCACAGCAUGUGGUAUAAUUAAGCGACAUUUUUCAGCAUCAAGCGGCGCACAUGGAACCUUAAUAUCAUAAGGCCACACUCUGAGUUUCACAGUACAAGGUAAUUCAGAAGAAGCUGCUGCAGUCAGGGAAGUAGCUAUCUCUGACUGGAACCGACUCAUAAGAGCUUGAGAAUCACUUUCAUUAUGUGCAAUGUUAAUGGGAACAGCACUAUCACCAGAUCCAGCAACAGGUAUUACUCUAGAGCGUGAAGAACGGUGCCGGGAACCAGAUCUUCCAGACCUUGGAUGAUUACCGUUUGAAAUGAUGGACGGAACUGCAGGACGAUGUUCUACUUCACCAUAAGCUGAUACAAUGUUUGUGGCACCACUAUGCUCAGAAUGAAUCGCUUGUCGGCCUGCUUGGCUUUGGCCAAUCAACCAUCCUUGCAAGAAUGGUAAGUCCCAGUAUGCAGGGUCACUGAAAGGAAAAAACUGAUUGUUUCUCUCCUCAGUCGGCGCAUCAGUCUCCAUAGGAUCACCAACAGGGUUAGAUGCAUUCUCUGUAUCCCUAACAGAGGAACUAGUCUGAGCUUCUUGCGCAGGAGAUAAAGUUGGCUCAACAGGGGACAAUAAAAGUUCAUACUGGCCAGAAGGAGUUGAGUAAGUGAGAAGUCUGACAGAGGCAGAAGUGUCUGCUCUGUUCUGUGUACUGUCAGAACCCAUGUCUGCAUUACUCUGCUGCAAAGGCAUUCUAGGAUCACCUCUAGCGAUUGAUGGCCAGAUCAUGAACGGUAGAGACAUGAUAGGCAAUUCAUUCGCUGAAGCAGAUCGAUAAGUGGAGUGAGCAUCUGUCAAAUACACAGUAGGAGGAGGAUACCGCAAGUUACCCAGAGAAGUUGUAAAUGUCAUUAAAGGAUCUGAUGAGUCCAGAUCAUUGACCUAAAAACAAGAGGGUUGAUAAGAUUUACAGGCAUUCAUAAGUUAAAACUCAAUGUAACAGCACCAGAAUGACACCUCAGCUGUUAAAAGAUAUGGGGCGCCAUGUGGGUGGAAAUGCACAGCACGAAGUGAACGUCUUGUCUUUAGUAUGAUAGCUGGUGAAGAUGCCUCCCCUCUUCUGUUGUAGUGCCACAUAUACAGCUACGAUAUAUUGAAACAUCGUCAUACAUCAGAACUUGCAACGAACAAACCACUAUGUAUUGCCAAAUUUCUUACCUUGUGCCCUGAAGCAACAGCGAGAACUUCCCCUUGGGCAUGGAAGGCAAUGGAUGCAAUAGGUCGGUCUGGAGGAUAAAAUUCCCAUAUAAUGUAUUAAUUAAACAAAAAAAAUGGUAAAGAGUAAUUAUUUUUGUUCAACCAUUAAGAUGUUACAGGUUAUUACAAAAAUCACGUGAUCCUAUACACUCGGCGGUUUUUGCAUCCCAUAAACGAACUUCAUGGUCCAAACUUCCACUUGCAACUAUCUCAGAGUAGAGUGGAUGGAAACGAACCUGCAGAAGUCCCAACCAUAAUGCUAAAUAUAAUUGAGGAAUGAGAUUCAAAGGCAAGAGAAGAAAUAUCAAUACAGCCAAGACGUGUGGAAAAAAAAAACACCAGAGGCUUUCAAAAUAGAACUACAGACAACAGAAAAAAGCUUCAUAAAGUUCAAUCCUCUUCCAUAAGUGUGAGGUUCAAAUGAAAUGAAUUAGGCUUAGACCUGUGAGCACACAUCAAACAUUUAUCUCUCUAUUUUUUAGAUAGAUACCAAUCAUUUAUCUGCAUUAAUAUUUUAACCAAAUAAGAUAGUUUAGCCAUCUUAGAAGAACAUCAAUAAGCAUUAAGUUAAAAGAAUAUAAUACUUCGACAUUUUGUAAAGCCAACUAUAUUGUCAAUCCAAAAUCUCAGCAUUUUAAUUGCCUAGUGGACUGGAAUAUAUUUCCCAAGUAGAUAAUCCAAGAAUUCAGCACAACUGUUUAAGAUGACUGAAGAUGUCAAAACAGUCUUACCACCCAAGGAGUCCUGCGAUGUCCACUUAACACCUUCAAGCAUUUCCCGCUUUGGCAGUCAAUUAUCUUUACUGUGUGAUCUCCACUGACACCAUGGUAACAGAAUACGUCAACGAACUAGAUACAAGCCAAAAGAAAAAAUGGACAGCACGGAAAAAGUGGAAUGUUUGCCUUUGUUCUCAAUUCAUGAAUAUUGACAACGGAUUGCAUUUUUUUUUCCUUUUUUAUGAUAUGAAUAUAGUCACUGAGGAUUUAGAAAUGUGUGUAUAAUGAAUACUUGGACUCAAAAGAUAUUGUUAGAUAAACAAUUUCAGAUCUGAGCAGCGAGACACUACAAUGCAUAACAUAACAGAUUGUACAUGUCGAUGUAUUAAAAGAGAGACUGACUGAGUAGAAGCAAGUGUCUUCCCAUCAGGACUGAAUGCCGCAGCAAUUGUAGACCUAGGCGGAGGCAACAGUGGACAAUACUUAGCUGAAAAAUGUCUCAAUGAUUCUGCCUCUACCCUGAUAAAAUUAAACUAGCCGAAGUCAGAAAGCAAAAUGAAGAUUUGCAACUAUAUUAACUUCAUGGGAAAGAGAAAAGCUGACAAAACAUAACUACCAUGAUAUAAGACCCCGUCUCGGGUCUCUUGCUACUUGGCUUUUUAACUUCUCAUAGGAAUGAGCACAAUAUUUAGAAUUCUCAUCCCAUAACUUCUUAGAACUACGUUUAGCUCGAGGAGAUACCUCCCUCUUCGUUAGUAGCUGAAAGACAUUACCACAUCUGGCAAACAAAAUAAACCACCUCAGCAACCAAAAUACAACCUUAUUUGUGCAAUCUAAUUUACAAACUUCGCACAUAACCACAAAAGUUAAUCUUUGAGAAAACACUAACAACACUUACCCAUGUGUAUCAUAAACAUAUCUUUUUUUUACAUAGUAAACGCCACCAUCCCACCCCACACCAGAACCCACUCAAGGCGAGAAGUUGAAGGUCAUUUCCGCUAUGCUACUCCGCAAUUACAAUAUAAUUAAAUACAACAUUAAACAAUUAAAAACUGAUAUAUUUCCCAUCUUUGCAAAAAUAGUUUCAAACUAAACUCACCCCAAUUAAAGCUUACGAUCAAUCAUUUUAUGCAAAGACAUAUUCCAACAGCAACCAUAUCAGAAGCAUUACAAUUAUCCAUAUCACCAUGAACCCUUUUAAGCUAACAAUAAGUAUGCCAACAUAACAGAUAAAACUCACAUAUUUUUUGGUUAAGAUUUUUAAUUAAACCAAAAAAAAAGAAGUUGUUUUCAGCCUCAACCCUUCUCUGCUUAAAUACCAAACUUAGUUCACCAGACAAAACUCCAACUGGAGGUCUGCCUCUGAGUUUAUAAUAUUGUGUAAUACAGUUUCAUUAAUUAAAAGAUGCAAAUAUCAUAAUUAUAUUAACUCAGAUAAAUCAUGAAUUUCCAAUUCUAAAACCAAUCAAAGCCUCUUAAUCUAGCAUCGAAUAAGCUGAAACUAAACUAAAUUUCAGAUCUUUGAAUGACAUUAAUCAAAAUCAAUAAAAAUUCAAUCUUUAGGGUUUCAGGAUCAAAACUAUGACCUGUUUUUGCAAUUAGGGUUUUGCUCAAUCGGAAGAGCAGGCGAAUUCCAUCCCGGCGGCGGCGGCGGCGGCGGUACAUGAAUCGGAUUUGACGUAGAUGAAUCACUACUUGAAUUCUCCGGCCAAAGAGAUCCCCUCAUAAUUCUAUCCCCACAAACGAAUACCUCAUGCCCCAAUAUUUCCCGUCAUUUCCAAUGGAACUUUUCCGGCGAAAUAUUAAAAAAUCGAUAAAAUUAUCCGAAAAUGCCCUCAAAUUUGGUGGAAUUUACACCGGGAAAUAUAGAGGGAUGGAGGAUAUAGAGAUCUUGUAGAAGGGCAAAAUGGGAAGAAAAAAAAAUUUAGGGGAAAAUGAGAAAAAUGAAGAAGACGACGGAAGGUAUUUUUUUUUUUGAGAGUUUGGAGGAUUUUUCCGGCAUCGGACAGUAAUAUGUUUACUUUAAUGUAAAAUGACAAAAAUAACCUUGGCGCGUGAGGUACAAAUAUUGUGAUUUGUUAUUAAUAAAAAUGAAAUUUAUUUUUAUUUGUAGAUGUUUGAUUUAUUAAACUAAUAAAAAAAUAAAUUAAAGAAAAAAUAUUUAUAAAUGAGGAUAAUAUAAAAUUUGUGUUUUGGUUUUCUAAAAGAUUGAUUAGGGUUAACUUUUAACUGAUAUUUUAUAUGGAAUGGAGAAUAUUUUUCUUCGCUUUUUUUUAGUUGUCAUGAUAAGCUCUGUUAUAAUCUCUAAUAAAGAUUAAAAAAAGUUGUUUAAUCAAUAUAUGAUUAUUAAAUUUUUAAUCUUUGUUAAUAUAUAUGUCUUUUAAACUCUAAAAUAAUUAAUGUUAUAGGUAUAGUUAGAAAACAAUAACUAAUUUUUUCUUUGAUUUGUUUGAAUUGGCAACUAUUUGAAAUAAAUAUGUUUAGUAUACAUGACAACUGAAAAGAACGGAGAAAUGUAUUAUUAUAAUUAGAAGUAUUCAACAUCGAUUGUAACUCAUAAGUCAAUCGCACGAUUGACUUAUUGGCUUAUUGAUAUUAGUGUUUUUCCAUAAUAUAUAAUUAUAUAUAAUCAAAAUCUAAGGUCGUACCGCAAAAAAAGCUUGAAAACAUAUUUUUAACUAUUAUAUUAUUAUUAAUUUAUAUUCUUUUUUGUAAUUAGAAGAAUGUUAUAAUUUAACUGUAUUUAAAAUAGGAAAACAAUUUAUUUUUACGUUAUUAUCAUAAAAAAGGAUACAAUUCGCCAAUACAAGUGUUAUUCAUUAUGAAACUAAUCGAUAUUUUAUAAAUUAACUAGCAAAUUAGUAAAUUUAAAAAUUAAUAUCCAGUAAAUGAAUUCGAUAAGGGCCUAAUUGUAAUAUGAUAUUCAUAGUCCUAAAAUAGAAAAUUUUAUCUAGUACUAUAUAGGAUAACCUAAUCCUUUUUUAAGUCUGAAAAUAUUAUUCAUUAUCUCUAAAAUUUAUUAAGUCAUGCUAGUCGAUAUUUUUUUUUUUAAUUUGCAGAACAUUGUUUAUCUCAUUUAAAUGACUUGUAUGUCUCAAUUAAAAAAAAGGUAACUAGUACAAAAAUUAAAAAAUAAACUCGAGAGUGUACUUAAUUCUCAUUAAAAAAAAAUUACAUUAUUUAAAGAGAAAAAAAUUAGACUCAAACAAUUAUGUAUUUGAAUAAUAAAUCCGUCUUUGCUUCAAUUUAACAAUGGUUGUCUCAAUUUUCUGUUAGUUAUAAAUAGAAAUAAGAUAAAUUUACCAUUUUUUUUUCAAAUUUAACUCAAACAGUCGUCUACUUAAUUGCUUAGAUUGUUAUAAAAUUUAAAAUUGUUAAAAAGGGUCUGUUCAACCUCAUCCGGCUCAAUUCUUACGGGCUAAUGACUUUGAAGGAUUAGGAUUGACUGACCCUUCAUUUGGAAGGACCUAAUUAAAAAGGGUUGAGGGUUAGGGCGGGCGAGAUAGCUUCUUCUUCGUUUUUUUCAAAAGUUUUAUAAUAUUAAAAAAACGAAAGACUUCUAUAUCAAAUAUGACAAAAAAAAAGGUGUUGUUUCAACAACACUAGCAAAAAAUAUAGAGUAAUUAAAUUAAUAUGUAUCUAGGAUACUAUAUAUGCGAGACGCAUGUAUCUUGUGUAAUAUGUUUCAUAUACGCGAGUGAGAUAAGAGAGUGGCAAGCGAGAUGAGAGGGAGACGAGGGUGUGAUAUUUGUCUAUGUAUCCUAGAUACAUGUGACUCCACUUUUACAGAGUAUUUCUAAAACAAAUUAACUUAUUUUGAGUCCAUAUUCCUAAGAUACAAAUAUCUAGACGUACAAAAAUCUGAUAAGAUUCAUAAAAUUACAGCUUAUAUACAUUUAAGUAAUUAACUCUAUACUAGUGGAAUUAUUUUAAGUUACCCCUGAAAUAAAUAAUUUUGAUUCAUGGGCUAACUCUCAUCUGAUUCCGCUCAAGCCUCAAGGGCCAAAAACUUGUAUGUAUUGAGCUUAUAAGCCAUACUUCUAAAUAAACUUUAAUUUUUUUUAUCCCAAUCCUGCUCCAACAAAUAAGUUGGGUUGGCUCGAUAUGGAUUAAGUCUAUUUUGACGGCUCUAAUAAAAUUAAUAAAUAUAUGAUAUAUGUAUAAAAUGUAUACAUAAUUAUGUAUUAUUUUCGUAUAUAUAUAUAUGUAUAUCAACUCGGAAAAAAAAACUGCAAAUUCAAGAUUGUAAAGUUUUUUUCUUUUAUAUUAUUAUUGAUAUUAUUUCUAGUUUCUAUUAGGUGAAUAUAAAUAAUAAAUAAAUUCAAUUAUUAGAUUCCUUUGGUAUGUUCCAUAUCCAAUAAUCCAUUGAUUGGAUAUCCACUGAAAAAUCAUUAUCCAUUAAAUCAAAAUUAGAUAAACUUUCUUAUAUGGCGGUCAAAAUUAGCAAUUGGUCCACCUUUGACCAUUAUGUAUGCAAUGACAUAAUUAAAAAAUUCAAAGAAUUCACGUUAAAAUAUUUAUUAAUUUACGAUAUUAAAACUCUCGCAAAGUUUAUGUGUCUUAUUAAAAAACAAACUUUUUUUAAUAAGGUAAUUAUGUAUUUUCUUAGUUAGAAAUAAAAACAUCUCUCUCGAAAAAUAUUUUAUCCUUUUGUGGAUUAGUUUAACAAGUUUUUAUUUUUUAAAUAAAUUUAUCUCAUGUGAUUACAAUUUUAUCGAUUUGAUGAGUUUUUAAAUAUCAAAUGCCUAAAACCAAAAUCAUUAAUUAAUGACAUGAUAUAUGUUAUUCUCUUCGUCUAAUAAUAAUUGUAUAUUGAAGUAUAUAUUUAAAAUAGUUGUAUAACAAUAAUUGUUUAAUUUAGAAAAUUAAGAGAUGAUUUAUUAUUGGGAAAAUUGUAUACAAUAGCAAACUAAUAACCUAAAUUAAAUGGAAUAGCUAGGGUUUGAUUUAAUUGUGCUCCAUAGCAAACAUUAACUAAAAUUUACCAGCGUCUCUCUCCCAAAAAUCUCGCUCGCCACUCUCCAUUCUCGUUCGCCUCUCUCGCUUUAUACACAGAAGUGUAUAAUUCUGUUUCUGUUUUGUAUAAAGCGAGAGAAAAUUGUUUAUACACAUGAAAAAAUGUAUAUCUUCGUGUUAUACACUUAAUUAUACAAUUUACAAACAUUUUACUUCAAAUAUUGCAGAGAAAAAGGCCAACGAAUUAUACAAUUGCAGUGAAAUACAAUUUUCUCUAGCUUUAUACAACAGAAGUGUAUAUAUUGUGUUUCUGUUUUUGUAUAAAGUGAGAAAAACAUAUAUCUUCUUGCUAUACACUUAUAAUUAUGCAAUAUACAUACAUUUUAAUUCGAUUCAACUGUAUGCAAAAUAAAUUAUACAAUUGCAGUGAAAUAGGCCAGCGAAUUAUACAAUUUAGGCCAGCGAAUUAUACAAUUGUAUAUGUAUAGUAAAUUAUACAGUUUUAUGUUUGCUAUGGAGCGCAAUUAUGCAAAGUUUGCUAUAACAUAUAAAUAUGAAUUUUUUGUUUGCUAUAUGUGAAAGUUACCCUUUAUUAUUUGUGUUCUAUUUUAUUCUUACUAUUCAAAAUUACUUAUCACUGACAUAUUUUUUAAAGCACUAAAUUUAAUAAAAUCAAAAAAUAAUAUAAUGAUAUUAUCUUUUUAUUUAUUAUUUCUCAAAGAAUGUACAUAAUUAAUGGUAGACAACUAUUGUAAUUUAGACUAAAUUUUUAAGUUAAAAAUGAAACUUAACACAUUAUUUUUAAGUUUCACAUACAAUAUAGAAGGUUUAAGCGUAUUUUUUUUUAACCAAAAUAUCCCUUCUUUUAAUGUAUCUCAAUUGUGUUUUAUUAAUAGAUAUAUCUCUUUUUAAUGAAAUUAUUAUAUAAUAUAUGGAGAAUUUUAACUUAAUAGACGGUAUUGAUUAUUUAUCAAUAUGAAUAGCGAUAGCGCUUGAUUCAUUCAAGUUUAAUUUAUUCGUUUAAGAUUAUAGAGGUUCAAUUUUACGAAUUUAAUAAUAUUUAAUUUAAAUUUUUAAAAAAUAAUAUAGAUUUUAGUAAUUUUUUAAUCAAAUAACUUAAGAAAUGUUAUUCUCUUUUAAAAUCAUUUAAUUGCACUAGAGUAUAAACCUGAAAAAAUUUUAAUAUGACUCGAUUCAUAUCGAUCAACAAAUGAAUAUAUUUUUUUUAAUUAAAAUUCCAAAAGAUAACAUCUUAUAAUUCCAUUAAAUUAUAAGACGUUUUAAAUUCGAAAUCUAAUGUUAAAACAAUUAAUAUCCCAAUAGAUGAUACAAACGAGUAUAUUUUUAGGGAAAAUUGUAUAUAAUAGCAAACUAAUAACCUAAAUUAAAUGGAAUAGCUAGGAUUUGAUUUAAUUGUGCUCCAUAGCAAACAUCAGCUAAAAUUUGCCAGCGUCUCUCUCCCAAAAAUCUCGCCACACUCUAUUCUCGCUCGCCUCUCUCGCUUUAUACACAGAAGUGUAUAAUUCUGUUUCUGUUUUGUAUAAAGCGAGAGAAAAUUGUACAUACACAUGCAAAAAUGUAUAUCUUCGUGUUAUACACUUAAUUAUACAAUUUACAAACAUUUUACUUCAAAUAUUGCAGAGAAAAAGACCAACGAAUUAUACAAUUGCGAAUUAUACAAUUGCAGUGAAAUACAGUUAUCUCCAGCUUUAUACAACAGAAAUGUAUAUAUUGUGUUUCUGUUUUUGUAUAAAGCGAGAAAAAGAUAUAUCUUCUUGCUAUACACUUAUAAUUAUGCAAUAUACAUACAUUUUAAUUCGAUUCAACUGUAUGCAAAACAAAUUAUACAAUUGCAGCGAAAUAGGCCAGCAAAUUAUACAAUUUAGAACAGCGAAUUAUACAAUUAUAUAUGUAUAGCAAAUUAUACAGUUUUAUGUUUGCUAUGGAGCGCAAUUAUGCAAAGUUUGCUAUAACAUACAAAUAUGAAUUUUUUGUUUGUUAUAUGUGAAAAUUCAAAAAUUAAUACUCAGAACAAAUUUUGAAUUCAAUAUGAUUAUAUUAUAGUAAUAGUAAAAUAAAAGUGAUAAAUUGAAAAUAUUUCUAAUGCAUUUUAUGAUAUUUCCUUUCUUUUUCCAUAGUCAAUAUCAAUUAUUUUCGAGGACCACCAAUAAAUAAUAAAUAAAUUAAAAAGUGUAAAAUAAUGUGAUUAAUAUAACUGAAAGAAAAAAUAGAAAAAAAAAAGAGAGAUAUAUAUGCCAAAUUUUACGUGGCUCCUUUUAAUAAAUUCACCGUCCAAAAACCACCACGUGUCACAUCAAAAUUAUCUUCUUUACUUUCUUCCAAAAAUAAUUUAUAUUUUACGUUUCGUGUACCUAAAUGUAACCAUAAAAAAAAAAAAAAAAAGGGACAAAAUACUUCGUUUUCCAUUUUCACCGGCACCUUAUUCUUUAUGCCACGUGUCCAAUGACGAAUAGUAAAUUUUUUUAAAAUAAUAAUGCCUAAUUGAAGAAGAGAUGACAAUUAAAUGAAAAUAUUAUUAUACUUUUAUUUAGUCAAUUAACACUAUUGGAAAGUAACGUCGAUAACAAUAAUAAUAUAUUCAGUAUUAUAUUAUUGAGUUUUUUUUAAAAAAAAUUUAGACUUUUAUAUCAAAGAUAUAUGAUGAUUGAUUAAAAAACAAUAACAAAUGGUUAUUAAAUAUUAUUAUAAUUAAAUUAUAUAAAUAAAAUAUAAUAGAAGAGAAAAAAAUAAGAGUAAUAUUAAGCCCCGGACAAAACAAGACAACAAGUCCAUACACUCCCGAGUCUCAUCUAUUAACCUUUUAACAUAGUUAAUAUCUUACACGCUUUACUAUUUAGGUAUACGUCUUUGAUAAAUUGUAAUAUUAUCGUGUUUUGUUUAAUUACUUCAUAAAUUACUAUUUUUUCCGCCUAAGUACUCUACUUUUUUUGAAUUCGUUCAUAAUCUAGACCUUUCAUAUCUCCAUAUCGAUGCAUUCGUGUAUCUGCUCAUCACAUACUCCAGCCAUCUCGAUAUUAUUUUCCGUAUCUUAUUUUCCUCCGACUCUAUGAAGUUAAAAUCAAAUCUUUCUGUUAACUUUCUCAAUUUAUUCGUGAAUAAUAAUUCACGGACGUGAAGUAAGUAACUCUAAAACACCUUAUCGCUCCAUUACUCUUCCCAUACUUGAGCUACAUGAACCUUCACGCGUCUCCAAAUAUCCACCGUCCAUUUCACGUGAUCAAAAGCAAUCUUAACCGUCGCCUCCGCCAUCGCUCGUUCUUCGCCACGUGUAGUUACUUACACGUGUCAUUAAUUUAACGGUCCUAUUUAUCUUUAUAUAUCUUAUUAUCUAGAGUUUCUAUUUUUUAUUUUUACUUGUAUACUCUAUAAAUAAUCCACAAUUUCAACUCCUCCUUCUCCAUUUUUCUCCAUCAAUUUGGUGAACAAAACAAAAAAAAAAAUUAAAAAAAUUCAUCAUUUUUAAUCUGCAAAAAAAAAAAUUAGUUAUAAUAUUAUUAUUAUUAUGGCAAUGAGUCUGCCACACCAGAUCGGUGCCUUAUCAGGAACAUCGCUCACGGCGGAAACCGGUGGAGUUUCAUGCGAAGUUCCGGCGAAGGGGAGUUCAGCUACAUCAGCUAUGUGGAGAACACCGAUGACGAAUUUAAAAGUAUCGGUGCAAAAAACAGGAAAUGAAAUUGACAGGGUGUCGCCGUCGCCGUCGCCGCCGAUGAGUCCGAUGAUGGGAGGAGGAAUGCGACCGGAUUUAUCGGUAGCGUGUCAAGCGUUGAUGGAGGCUCAGGUAGAGGAGGUAGUUGAGAGAGAAUAUAAGGUUAGGAAUUCGUCGGAGAAAGAGAAAGGUGUUCCGGUGUUUGUUAUGAUGCCGUUGGAUAGUGUGAAAACGGAUCAUACUGUGAAUAGAAAAAAGGCGAUGAAUGCGAGUUUACAGGCGUUGAAAAGCGCCGGUGUGGAAGGGAUUAUGAUGGAUGUGUGGUGGGGAUUGGUGGAGAGAGAUGCACCGGGAGAGUAUAAUUGGGGCGGUUAUGCUGAGCUUAUGGAAAUGGCGAAAAAACAUGGACUCAAAGUUCAAGCUGUGAUGUCUUUCCAUCAAUGCGGUGGUAACGUCGGUGAUUCCUGCACGUAUGUAUAUUUUCUCCGAUGCUAUUUUUAAUUCGUUUUAACUGCAAAUUUGUGAUUACCAGAUUCAAAAUCUAGAUCUGUUAUAAUGAAUACCGUCAAAUCAAACAUGAUAUAACUCGCAUCUCAAAAGCUAAUUCGAGAUAUUUUCACAUCGGAUGUGGCCUGACUAUCAUAACAUGUCAAAUUAGUAUUUUAUCGUAGUUUAACCUCACAAAAAGCUAACUUAAAAGGGAGAAGCAUUGCUCGAAACGAGUGGAGAGAUAUCAUUCCUCGUCGAGGUGGUAAAUCUCUUCAACAAAUACUUUUAGAUAAAAGAUUCAUAGGAUCUGGAAAAGAUUAAAGAAGAAAGUUCAAAAAAAGGUUAGUGGAUAGUGAGAAUAUGCUCCUUUAUAUGUGUGCUAAAUGAACUAUUUAAAGUAACUAUAUUUUAUCUGGAAAGAUAAAUGACUUUAUAAUAGAUUGGAAUCAACCUGAAUAGCAUAAAAUGGAAUAUGGAAGAUUCAUGAAUAAUUCAAUUAUCUUUGUUUAAUUUUCAUUCGAGUUCUGUUAUGCGUUUUGAUUUCUACUAAUCGCGAUGUAUAGGCGUUGCUUAAGUAGAUUUUUGAAAUUUCAGGAUCCCUCUUCCGAGGUGGGUUGUUGAGGAGAUGGAGAAGGAUCCAGAUCUUGCAUACACAGAUCAGUGGGGAAGGAGGAAUUUUGAAUAUGUAUCGCUUGGUUGCGAUACACUUCCAGUUCUUAAAGGAAGGACUCCUGUUCAAUGCUAUUCUGAUUUCAUGAGAGGGUUUAGAGAUAGAUUUGAGAAUCUCUUAGGUGAUACCAUUGUGGUAAGUGCUAUGUUUUUUUCGAAUUUUUGAUCGAAGAGUAGAAGACUCACUUUUUUAAUCCAAAUGACGUGUGAUAUAGGAAAUUCAAGUCGGGAUGGGUCCAGCUGGUGAGCUCCGUUAUCCAUCCUAUCCCGAAAAAGAUGGAAUAUGGAAGUUCCCUGGAAUCGGUGCUUUUCAGUGUUAUGAUAAGGUAUAAAGCAAGUUCUGUUUUCUAUGGUGUGUUUUAGUGUUUAACGUCGUCAUUAUUACUGAUGAUUUGUUCUGUUAAAUGUAUUGUAUCGCGUUGCAGUACAUGAUCGGUAGCUUACAGGGUGCAGCGGAAGCAUUUGGUAAGCCUGAAUGGGGACACACCGGUCCAACCGAUGCUGGUGAGUACAACAAUUGGCCAGAAGAUACAAACUUUUUCAAGAAGGAAGGUGGUGGAUGGGAUAGUCAAUACGGGGAGUUCUUCCUCACUUGGUAUUCUCAAAUGCUUUUGAACCAUGGCGAGAGGAUACUGCAAUCAUCCAAGGCGAUAUUCGAGGACAAAGGUGUGAAGAUUUCAGUUAAGAUUGCAGGUAUCCACUGGCACUAUGGAACAAGGUCCCAUGCCCCUGAGUUGACUGCUGGAUACUACAACACUCGUAACCGAGAUGGUUACCUUCCCAUCGCCCAAAUGCUUGCCCGCCACGGUGCAGUUUUCAACUUCACAUGUGUUGAAAUGCGUGACCACGAGCAGCCACAAGAUGCACAAUGUGCACCUGAGAAGUUGGUUAGGCAGGUGGCGUUAGCAACUCAGGAAGCUCAAGUUCCACUUGCUGGGGAGAAUGCAUUGCCACGAUACGAUGAUUAUGCUCAUGAACAGAUCCUUCAAGCGUCCUCGUUGAGCAUCAACGAUCAAUCAGGUGAUAGAGAGAUGAGCGCGUUUACAUACUUGAGGAUGAAUCCUGACUUAUUCCAUCCUGAUAACUGGAGACGAUUCGUUGCCUUUGUGAAGAAAAUGAAAGAAGGAAAAGACGCUAACAAAUGCCGCGAACAGGUAGAGAGGGAAGCAGAGCAUUUCGUUCAUAUAACUCAGCCGUUAGUACAAGAAGCUGCAGUAGCCCUAAUGCACUAAGCAAAUCGUUGUCAAAUAGUACUGUUUUAAUUUGAUCCUUUUAGCUAACAUGAAGUUUUUCAACAUGUUACCUGGAUCUUAUAGCUCGUUAUCGUUGUUCUUAAAUGUUUGUAAAACUGUUCAUCGUGUAGUUUUUUUAAAGCUAGACAUUAUGUCUUAAUGAAAUGAUACAUAAUUCAGUAGUAAAUACACCUCUUCAAUCCAAAUAUCACAUAUAUGAUUCUUCGUUCAUUUGUUGACUGGUUGAUGUUCGUUCGUUCUUAAUUUUAAAAUAACUGGAGAAUCAAAGAUACGUCUUUUUAUACUUAUUAUAAAAAUUUAAAUUAAUCGAGACGGUAAAAAGUUUAACAUUGUUGAUUGUUACAUGAUUUUCCUAUACUUUGGUAUGACAUUUUUUUAUAUGUCAACCCAUACCUUCUAAGCACAUGAUACGUGCACAAACUCGAGAAUUUAUUUUGUACUUUGCUUUAAGUAAUGGCAAGUAUUCAUGUCCAUAAGGUCUUCAUGUGCUAGUGAAGUCUCUUUUACUUUAAAAAAAUCGUUACGUUGCUAUCGGAGAUGAAUUCAAAAUUUUAAUUUUUACAAUCUAUUAUUUGUAUUAAUCUAACGUGUUUUACUACACAUUAAAGCCAAAAUUUCUAGAUAAACUCACUCGUUACAUUAUAAAUCUGCAUUGAUAGUGAUUGUUGUUAAAUAUGAUACGUCUGUCUAAACGUCACAUAUUAUGUUUAAAAAAUCUAUUUUUUGUUACUUAAUAUCGUGUCUAAGUUUUGUGGCCAAGAAGAGUCAUAAAAAAGUGUUUCACACGGAUUUCCAUUAUAAAGUAAUAAGACAAUUUAUAAUAGCUGACUUUUAAUUUUAUUUCACACGACUCUUAUGCACAAAAUUAUAAAAAUCGUUUUUUUCCCCGUAAAUAUACAUACACACUAUUUCAACGUUUAAUUAUAUUAACUUUUUUUUUAUUUUCUUAAAUUUCGUAUUGAAUCGUCGUCACAUACAUGCAUAUAAAGUAAAGUAGAAGUGGACAUUAAUGUUCAAUAAGAUGGUUAAGGACCAUGUAAAAGUUAGGUAUAAAUUUUUUUUCCUUUUGUUUUGAUUUAUUGUGGAUGAGAGGGUCUGAAUAUUCUAGUGUAUGUUAAAAAGAUGCCACUUUAAUCACAUAAUUUAAUUUUGAUAAUGAAAAAUUAAAGCAAAAUUUUUAUAAUAUGACUUAAUCAUAAGAAUUUUUAUAUAUUUUAUUUUGUUAAAUAUUAUAAUUUAUAAUAUCUUUUACAUACUUUUAAAAUACAUAACAGAUAAUAAUUAAAAUAGAGAGACUAUUAAAUUUUCAAAAAUACACAAUUUUUUUGAUAUAAUAUACACAGAUUGAAUUAUAAGAUAUAAUUUUUUUAAUUAAUGUAGUUUGAUCAAUAAGUUAUGAAAAUAAUAUCUUAAAGAAAUAUAAAGUAUAAUAAGUAAAUUUUUAUGAUCCAAUUCUCACGCAUAGCGAGAACUUAAUAUUCUGUCCCUUUUUUGUUUUACAAUUAAAAUUAUAAUUGUCAUUACCAAAGUUUGUAUUAAUUAACCACACGAAAACCAAGUCCAAUGCAGAAAAAAAUGGAUCAUCAAUCAAAUAAACCAAUAAACUCUAUAAAUAGGUCUAAUUAACCUAUAAGAUACUCAAAAAAUAUAUAAUAUAUCAAAGGUUAAAAAAACCAUUUUUUUCUACUAUUAUUUUAUUAUAAAUAAAUUCUUUAAAAUCAAUAAUCAAAAUGUCAAAUGCUCAACAAGCCGGUGAAUACCACGGCCAAGCUCAGGUAAUACUAUAAUAAAUAUUUGUUACGAAUCAAAAUUAUUUUUAUAUUAUCUAGACUUAUAGUCUAGUAAUAUCAAAAUAACGUAACCUAUCAAGCCACGAUCCCAUGUGGUGCAAAAUUAGAGUCAUCAUUAUUAUUAUUAUUGUUAUUAUUCUUUAGAAUAUCGACUUAAAUUCUAAUCGUAUCAGUAAUAAUACUUUUUAUAUAAUAGGUGUGAAAUUUUUUUUCCAAUUCUCGUUUUCCCUUUCCUUCGAUCUUUUUUUGAAUAUAAGAAAAUCAAUUCAAAAUUUAAAUUUAACGAAUAAUAAAUGAAACAGGCUAAGACCAAACAACUAGCAGAGUCAGCAAGAAAUACAGCACAUUCAUUGGCUGAUAAGGCUGACAAUGCUACCCAAAAUGCUCAACAAUCUGUUCAAGAAAACAAAGAUCAACUCAACCCUGGAUUUCUUCAACAGGUAAUAUAUUAUCGAAAUUUCGUUAAGAACGUUCAAAAUUUAAAAAUAUAUAUGUAAAAAGUAAUUGUCGCAAAGUGUAACUUAACCAAGAUAAGUACAUGUUAGCUACCUGACAUAAAAAGUGAAAAUAUAAAAACAGUAUAGAAGGUCUCUAAAUUAUCAGUAUAUAUAAAUUAAAUUGCUUGAAAAAUUAUUAACACAUUUUAUACUUUUCACUUUUUUAUUUUCCAAAUUAAUGAUACUAUGUCUAAUAAUUCUCUUAUUUUAUUUUAUUAUAAUUAUUCAGACUGGAGAGCAAGUGAUCCAUAUGGCUCAAGGUGCAGUUGAUGGAGUGAAGAACACACUUGGAAUUGGAUCAGACAAAAAGUGAAAAAGAGAAAAUGAAAUUAAUUAAUUAAUUAAUUAAUUAAUUAACACAUUUAUCAAUUUAUAUAUCUCAAUUUUAAUUAAUUUUUCAUUUAAUUCUAUGAUUUUCACAUAUGCUUUAGAUUAUUAAGCAUAAGUGAAAAAACAUAAUAUUAUUAGUUUGUGAGAUCUCUCACCAAAAGAAUUACAAAAUUUAAUUCUUAUAAAGUGAGAUGAUUUUCAUAGGUUUGGUUUAAUUAUUGUUUAACAAUUCCAUGCACCUUAUAUUGGUGUUAUAGUGAAUUUUGUUUUAUUGAUCGAGAUUUCUCUCGUUAGAAAUUCUCAUUAUAAGUACGUAAUAAGAAAGUUUUAUUUUGUUUUUGUUAAUUGAUAUUUUUUGUUAUUUGUUUUUGACUCGAUUUACUGAUUGAUGGUGGAGAUGCUCAACCACUUGAACAAGUCUCACUUAUUUCAGAAUUAAAUAAUACACUCACUUUUCUACUAUCCUUUUUCAUCUAAAUGCCAAACGUAUGUUGAGAAACAGAGUUUAAAUUCGUGACGUGUAUCUAAUCGACACAUCUUCUGCUGUACUCUUAUGAUAUUAUCAUUAUAUUGAGAUUUUUGACCGAAAGAAAAUUAUGAGAGACAAUUUAGUUUUAGCACGUUCAAUUUCUAUCACAAGAUUAAAUACCUAUAUUUGUUUGCAGGUAAUUUUUUAGAAAACCAUUAAUAAAUUGAAUUAAAACGAUUAUAAUAUUGAGAAUCCUUCAUAUAUUAUUAGAAUUUGCCUACGAUUUAUAAAUAACUAUAAACAAUGCAUCACCACCCUUUUCUAAUGUUGCUAUUAUUAUUUUUUCAUUAUGUGAUAUAUAUGAUAAUUUGUAAAAAAAACAAAAAAUCAUUAUAUAAUAAGUAGAUAUCGUUAUAUAAUAUACGAACAUAUGCAUCUUUUUAUUUAACUUUAUUACAAAUAUAAGUGUUUAUAUGUGGAUAUUUAAAAUUAAAAAAUGUAUAUAACGACUGAAGUAGAGUUAAAUAAUACGUUUAUUACUAUGCUGAUUCAAAAUAAAUAUAUUUUUAUAGGAAUUUUUUGUAAAAACCAAGAAAAUUGGAUACUCCAUAUGUUAGAUUAUAUGAAUUACUUAGAUAUUUUAUAUUUAGUAAUAAUUUAAUUUUAAAAUAUUUAGCUUAUCUUAAAUAAUAUAAUAUAUAGGUAAAGAAAUAUUUAUCAUUUGGUUUAGAUAAAAAAAUUUCUUUUUUUCUUCUUUUUAAGGGCCCGUUUGGCCAUAAAUUUUCCAAAUAAUAUUUGGAAAAAAUUUGGCAAAUAAUGUUUGUCCAUACAAUUUGCCAUUAUUUGGCAAAUAUUUUUGGGAAAUAUCCCAAAUUUCUAAAUACUAGUUUUUUCUAGUAUUUGGGCCAAAUCUCAUUAUUUGGGAUAUUUUAAAAAUUAAAAAUUUACCCCAAUCUUUUAUCUUUUACAAAAACACCCUCUCUAGUAGUUGUUUGCGUUGUAUUACAUCAUUUUUUACGUGAACACCAAAAUAGUGAUGAAAUAUGUAGUGAAUAUUAAAUAAUGAUAUGAUUGUUGAUGAAAAUUAUUAAAAAUUGGCUUUAGGUAACAAAGUCAUGUACUUUGUCUACUUCACGAUGUAUGAAAUAAUUCUUGUUGCACUCACUCCAAAUUACCACAUUGCUUUAGUGUCAUGGACAUUAUUUGUUAUUGUUGUAACGAACAUUCAUUGACUUGUAAUACAAACUUUUAGUUAGUUUUGAUAGUUUUUAAAACUUGUGUGUAUAAAUCAUAUUAUUCUAAAAAGGUGAAAUAUAUUUCCCAAAUUUUAUGGCCAAACACAUGGUGAAAUUUCACCCAAAUUUUCACUCAAAUAAUAUUUGCCAAGAAUGUUUGGAAAUAUAUGGCCAAACGCUAGCUAAAUUUCGUAUCAAAUCAAACUAACUCAUAUUAAAAUAAAAUCAAAAAAAAAAAAGAUAUCUGGAAGAAACUGGAUAGUUUCCCAUAAAAGAAAUAAUAAAAAAAUCUUCUCUUAGAUUCUUUUGCUUUAACACUGGACAAUUUUUUCUUUCCCAAAAUCUCCUCAAAUCAACCACUUAAUUACACCUUACUGCCACUUCAUCUUCACUCUCCUCCCAUGGCUACUCUGCAAACUCAUCUCCAGUUUCCCAUCUGUUCUUCACCAAGAUUGUUUCAUUUCAAGAACCCCAAUUCAGUUUCUUUCUCAAAAAAGCUUUUUUUCUCAAGAAAAGUUAAUGGGUUGUUUAGUUAUUCUAAAUUUGGUGCAAAAGAUUCAUUCUUUUGUUGUAGUCAAACUAGUGGUGAAAUUUUACCCCUUUCAUCAGCUCAGAAGGAGAAGGAGACUAGUGAAAGGCCUCCUUUUGAUAUCAAUUUGGCUGUCAUUCUUGCUGGUUUUGCUUUUGAAGCUUAUACUAGUCCUCCAGUAAAUUCUCAAUCUUUAUAUGUUCAUUUUUAUGUUUUUCUCUGCUCAGUUGGUUGGUUAUCAAACUUGUUGAGGGACUCAAUUUUUUACCCUGUAAGCCCCUACCUUAUUUUGAAAAUUGAAACAUUGAAAUAAUAAAUUGAAAAAUAGAUUCUGAUAGAUAAGGUCUUUCGGGUAUAGUCUCUCUACCUCUACGAGAUAGUGGUAAGGUCUGCAUGCAAGGGGAAAAUGAAAGUGCAUUCCUGUGCACCAGUUGAAAAAAGGAGCUUUGGAAGCUUACCUUAUUAUUAUAUUAAAAUGGGAAAUCUACCCUCCCGGACUCCUCUUGUGGGAUUUUGUUGUUGUUCAUUGUAUUCUGAUAGAGAAAAUGGUAUUGAGGUGUAGUUGAUUGGCUAAAAAAAUCAUAUCUUUUUUGUAAAUAAGAGUGUUGAUAGGUAUGUAGUUGUUCAUUUUUCUGUUUCUUUCUUUAUUAAUUAAUUGAAAAUGGACUUAAAUAGAGUGUAUGGAUAUUGAGGAUUCUUGUAGUAGAUAACUCCAACUAGCUUGGAAUUGAGGUGUAGUUGAUUGAUUGGCUAAAAGUUUCUCUCUUUUUUGUAAAUAAGAAUGUUAUGUAUGUAGCUGUUUAUUUUUCUGUUGCUUUUUUUUUAAUAAAUUGAAAAUGGACUCGAAUAGAGUAAAUGGAUAUUGAGGAUUCGUAUAGUGGACUCCAACUAGUUUGGGGUUGAGUUGGAGUUGAUUGAUCGACUGUUGAUUCAUUUUUUGUAUAUAAGCAUGAUGAUAUUAGCUGUGGAUUGGAGGAAUUGCUUGCCAAAGUAUCUUGCAUUGUGGGUUCUUUCGGUUUGGCAGUGUAGAAGUCAUAGCGGACAUGCUUGUAAAGUAUGAUUUUCUGCUGCCUUAAAGUUGUGAUCUUUGAGUGUCAGUAAUUCGUUUUCAUUCGUAUUAUUGUUUUGGCAUCUUAUCACUCUGUUGUGAUUCUAGUUUAGAAAUGAACAUAAAUGUGCUUCCCCUAUAGUAGUCAUACCCCACAUACUCAUGAUAGUAAAUGAAGGGAAUAUUUUCAUUAUAAACAUAUAUAAGGUGAUGAUCACUUGCCUAACUGGAUUUUCGUUGAACUAAAUUUUGCUUAGAAGUAAAUUAGGCUUGCAAGUAUUCUACAAAUCUAUAAAUGUUUAUGUAGCAAAUGGUAAUUAAGCAGUUGAAUUGUUUUCCAAGUCUGAUCCAAUUUGCUUUGUUUGACAUUGCUUGUCAGGACAAUGUCGGAAAGCUUGAGGUGGAUGCGGCUAAUUGCAAAACCAUAUUUCUUUCAGAGUAUGUAGUUGUUUUCUUUCUACUGAAAUAGUAAACUUAAACUGUAGGAACUUGAGUUAUAGGUUAAAUUGGUCGGAUCAAGUAAAGGGCACACGUAUGUUCCACUGGUGAAGGCUAUGAAGAGUGCUCAUAUCUGAUUGUUUUUGUCUCAUUCAGCUAGUGUGAUUUUCUUUUUCUUUUAAAUCAAAAUCAACUUAGACAAUAUUUCAGUUUGCCGAAAACUAGAUUCAUGCAUGUGCAACUGCAAAUGAGUUGGAUAUGCCUGUUUCAUUCGAAGGUAGUAGGAUUUGGCGUGGAUCAUGAUUGAUAAUUCUCUCUCAUAAUUGACAACCAUCUUCCAGGUCAUUUGUGCGUGAAAUUUAUGAUGGCCAGUUGUUCAUAAAGCUAAAGAAAGGUCUCAAUUUACCUGCUAUGGAUCUUUGGGUAAGGUUUCUACCAUUUAAUAUUAGCAAAUGAUCAAAUUUCAAUUGAAACGUGCCUUACUGUACUUUCCUUAUUCAAAUGAUUGCUUCUUAUGCAUUUAUUUAAUCUGCUGACUCCUGUUUUAAUUUAAUUGCCUACUCUAACCAAAUUUCAGGGAACGAGUGAUCCGUAUGUGGUGUUACAGCUAGAUAGUCAAGUUGUCAAAAGCAAGGUGAAAUGGGGGUAGGUAGUUGGUCAUGUGUUAAACUGCAACCUUCUACUCUUUUCAGUCAGAACUUCUCUAGAUCUUGUAGGUUUACUUAACAAUGAGUCAGGUUCGUUGCAUGUCGUCAACGUGUUCCUGUGCAAGUAUUGCUUGCAUAAGCCGAAUGAUAAAGUAACUAAUAUGAGAGUCUAUUAUGGUUACUAAAUUCAGUCUUCUCUUCUGUUUGAGCAACGUAUCAAAUUUUUAGCAAAAACUUAUUCUGGAUUUAGUAAAAUACAAUUAUUUUUCAUCCAUAACUCAUAUUCUAUUGUUAUCUUGAGUGUGAUUAUUCCACCAGUAUCUUAUUUGAAGUUCCAUGCUUCUUUAUCCUUUUAAUUUGUCAUCGAGAAGGCAAAAGGUCUACAAUUGCUAUUUUCUGUUGGAGAAUAAAGCUAUCCUUUUCUUUGUUCAAAUUAUGCACUAUUUCAAUCUUGAAACAUAAUCCAAUAACGGAAAAAAUGUUAAUUUCAUGAAUUAAUGUUUGCAGGACAAAAGAGCCAAUGUGGAAUGAGGAGUUUGCUUUAAAUAUUAAGCAGCCACCUCUGUAUGAUCUUCAGGUUGAUAACUUGAGUUAAUCCUUUCUCUCUAAUAGUUUAUUAAUUAAAGGAUAGCAUUCCAGAAACUGUAACAUUUUGCUUUUGAAAUACGACUUCAAUUUGCUGUAACUUAGCUCUUCCACAUUAGGAAGUUUACGACACGGUAUGUGGUACACCAAAUCUCCUAAUGAUAAAUGAGCAGUUCUGGUAAGAUAUGCAACUUGAAAAGCUUUAAGCUAACACUGCUAAAUUAACUGUCUUCUGACUGACUGCUAAUUCAAUUAUGAACGUGUAUGUGAACUUCCCAUAUCCAACAAUGUCUUUCUUGCUGAAUGCUAGUUUUUCAUUUCUACUUCCUGCUGAGAUCCAUAGUAUUAACCAAAUUGGAACAAACAGAAUCAGUCUUUUAAGGUUAUCGGCCUCGGACUAGAACUUACGGACUCGGAACUGCACAUCUUGCUUUAUGUUGUCUAAGAUAUCCAUAAGAGUCUGCUUCUGUCUUUUUAGCUGCAGUCUUUAAAAUGAGGAACAACUUAUUUUUUCGUUAUUUUUACCGUUAUCUGCUCAUUAGAGGACUUUCGGAUGCAGUAUGCUGGCAUGACAUGUUUUUAGGUGCUCUUAUUUCUCGAUUCCAGAUCUGAUGAAUUAUUCAUUACUACUGUCAGAUUGCAGCUUGGGAUGCAAAUCUGGUGACUCCACAUAAACGCAUGGGAAAUGCAGCAGUUAAUUUGGAACAUCUCUGUGAUGGUACGAGCUCAAGAAAUGGUUCUCGUGAUAUAUUGUGCUUCAAAUAAUUGUCUAGUUAUCAUGUUGGCUAAAAUUUCAUUCAUGUAAAUAAGGUUUGGCUUCCUUUCCAACUUAUCCCAUGAAAAUGGGGGAAGAAGUUAAGAGUUCAUUUUCAGUAUGCAUUUUGGUUGUGUUUUGAUGACUACGUUGAAGGUGUCUCAUUGCUCAUAAAACAAAUUGACAAAGGAAGAACACUUAAAGGAACCAAAUUAGUUUCAAUAGUUAUAUACUUCUGAAUACUGUCAUAACUGAUAUGAGAGCUGACAUAAGGAUUAGGCUGAUAUACAAACAUUGAUGUUUUAAUUUGUGAAAAUAACAAACAUGUGUUUUCUAGGAGAUUCUCAUAAACUGCUGGUUGAUUUGGAUGGAAUGGGCGGUGGUGGGAAGAUAGAGAUAGAGGUAAGUUGAUUUGAAUCUGGAGGCAUAUUCAAGGUUCAAGAUCGCUAAGACCUUCAUUUUACGAGGAUUUAUCAGACCAUCACAUUAUUUUGAUGUGUACACUCUAUAGCUGAUUAGUAUGCUAAUCUUAACUUCAGAAUAUCCUUCUUAAAUGAUACUCAAUUUGACCAUUGUUUAUCCAAUUCGAGAUUCCACUAAUUGUCCUACUAACAUGAUACAGAUUAAGUACAAGAGUUUUGAGAAAAUUGAAGAAGAAAAGAAGUGGUGGAACAUCCCAAUCAUUACAGAAUUUCUAAGAAAAAACGGGUUUGAGUCUGCUUUGAAGACAAUUCUUGGUUCCGAGACUGUUCAAGCUCGACAAUUUGUACAGUUUGCGUUUGGACAGAUGAAGCUACUUAAUGAUGCAUAUAAUGAUUCAAAUAGCAGCAGCAGUCCUGUCCUGGAAUCAGAUGUACUACCGGAGUCGCAGCAAUCAUCCAACUUGGAUGACUCAAGCAUGCCCCCAGCAUCAGAAAUCUCAAAUAAUUUGAAAGACACCAAAGUUGAUGGUGAAGUGAAGCUUAAUCGUGAUGGAAGUGACGUAACCGAUGAACAUGAUUCCCCUGGUACUAAAAUUUUAGAGAGCUUUCAAUCAGAUAAACAUUUCUGGAAGAAUUUUGCUGAUACCGUCAAUCAAAAAGUUGUUCAAAGACUUGGUCUCCCUGCUCCUGAGAAAAUAAAGUGGGAUAAUCUUGACUUGUUAAAUAAGAUUGGAUUGCAAUCACGAAAAGACGCGGAUGCAAGUUAUGUUGAAUCUGGUCUUGCAACUCCUGAUAAACGAGAAAAUGUUAAUGGUAGUGCAUCAACUGAAUCACCUAUUCUUAAUAACAUUCAGUCAUCACUUCCAGAUAUCAAGAAGGUGACACAAGACUUAUUGCGUCAAACUGAUACCAUUUUGGGAGCAUUGAUGGUUCUAAAUGCCACAGUUUCUCAAUUCAACAAAGGAGCAGGCCUUUUCGGAAAGGGUGAUGCUAAAGAAGAUUCUUCAACUGGACUGGAAAAUGACAUCCUUUUAUAUCCCAUGAAUAAAGAUGGAAUAGUGUUGGAUGAGAAGAAAGCUGAGGAGAUGAAGUCUCUUUUCUCAACAGCGGAGACUGCCAUGGAAGCUUGGGCACUGCUAGCUACUUCAUUGGGACAUCCGACAUUCAUCAAAUCUGAAUUUGACAAAUUAUGCUUCUUAGAUAAUGAGUCAACUGACACAGAGGCAAGUUCAUAUGUUGCUGGCUAUGAGUUCUUAGUUUCUAAUGUAUCUUAGAUCUGAUUCAUUUGAUCCAAGGAAAGCUAUUCUACUGAUUUUGGAUUCUGUAAGACUUGCAGGUAGCGCUCUGGCGUGAUUCAGCAAGGAAACGGUUAGUUGUUGCUUUCAGGGGAACAGAACAAGUAGGUUCCGGUGUUAAACACAUCUUUAAAACUUGUUGAUUUAGCUUAGUUGUGGAUAACCGGUUUUUCUUUUAUCCAGACAAAAUGGAAGGAUCUUGUGACGGACUUGAUGCUAGUUCCUGCAGGGUAAAAUCACAAAUCUGUACAAGCACAGGCUGGCUUUAGUUUUUCUUUCUUUCUCUACUUUGCCCUUCUGGUUUCUCUGUACUACUAAGAUGUUUUUCCUAUCACAGUAAACAGAUUCUCCUUCCGUUCAAUUUGUUUGUCUUACUUUCCUUUUUAAUCCGUUUCGAAGAGAAUGUCUCUUCCUUUUCUGAAAACUCUUUCAUUCUAACUUUCCACAUGACAUGUUUAAGACCACAAGAUUACAGUCAUUUUGGUACAUUCUACAUAUCAUAAUUUAAGACCACAGUAUUCAAAAGUCUUCUUUACUUUCUUAAACUCUGUGCCAAGUCAAAACCAGUCAAACAAAUCGAAACGGAGGGUGUAAUUUUUUCUUCUCUAAGUCUCUGAAAGUGUACUUUUAUUGAAAUACAACUCUUUACUAUGCUGAAAGAAACAUUUCCUUUUUCUUAGAGGAAUAGGAGUAGAAGAUAACCUUCCAUCCUACAUUAUUAAGUUUAGACUGCAAAUACCAUCAUAUCUAAAGGUUUUCCUGAAAAAAGUUUUAACUUCGAACAUAAUUUGAAACAACAAGAAAUAGCCAAACACUUUGGUAAUUUUGAAUAUGAAUUGUACGUUCUUGCAUCUUCAUUAUUCGGAUGUUGUACAGAAACUUUAGAUGGUUAAGCAACCACUGUCCAUUUUAUUUCGCAUCCUGAGUUGUCUCCUACUCUGCAGGUUGAAUCCUGAAAGGAUAGGCGGGGACUUCAAGGAAGAAGUUCAGGUGGCACUGAAAUUCUUACUUUUCUAUCUCUUAGUGCCUGAAAUAUGAAUGUAUUCUACUUAUAUUUAUAAUUUUUCUAAUUAUCAGAACCAGAGAUUAUUUUUGUAGGUUCACAGUGGUUUCCUAAGUGCAUAUGAUUCAGUUAGGAUUAGGCUCAUCUCGCUUAUCAAAAAAGCAAUUGGCUACCAGUAAGUGGACUGUUAAACAAAACUGUACAACAUUGUUCCUCCUUUCCUAUGUCUCUUUCGUACCUUCAAGUAGAAGUCGUGUCAAAUAUUUCUACAAGUCUAUACUAAGUGGACUCGUGUCAUGAGCUUAGUGUUACACUCCCAACUCUUAAAACUUGUUAUGCGCUUUUGCUUUACUGAGAUGUCUAGACCUGGCUUAGUCUUUUUUCUUCUGUUUAUCCUUCUUUUCGUGUGGGUCUUGUUGCUGCUACUGUACAUCUUAUUCUUUGCCUUCUUCGCGGUUUCUUCUUUUUCUCUGUUUAUGAUGUACUUACUUCACCACUAAACAUUGACGUCACAUCGCUUAUUACAAUUUUAAUGUAUUUUCCAGGGAUGAUGAUCUUGACACGCCAAACAAAUGGCAUGUUUACGUGACUGGCCAUAGUCUUGGUGGUGCAUUGGCUACUCUUCUCGCUCUUGAACUAUCAUCAAGUCAACUAGCUAAGUGAGCUCCUCCUUUUCUCUGCUUGUAUCUGUAGCUUGUUUCCCAUCCAUUCUAUAUAAUUUACCAUUUACCAGCAUCUCGCCAAUAGGGCAUGCAUGUUUGGUUUUCUGCUUUGUAUUUAACAUGUUUGUAGUGUUCUUUGAGAAUUUGAAAUGCCUUACUUGAGCAGAGGGUCUAUGGAAAACAACCUCUCUAUCUCUACGAGGUAGGGUAACGUUUGCAUACACUCUACCCUCCUUAGACCCCACCUGUGGACUGUUUUUUUUUUUUUUAAGAGCAGAAGUUGUAGAAUUGUUGGUAGAAUCCUAUCAAAUGUAGUUUCGAUGCUAGUUACGUAAAUAAACCUAACCAUGGACUUGUAUUCCAGUCUUAUAUCUAUACUGAUCAGUAUUUGAAUGUGUGACAUUUUGUACCCAAAACUAAUGUGCUACCAAGCUGCAGCACAUCCCUUCAAUUGUUCCAUGUUGCCACUUUGAUAUCUUCUCUUGAUGGUUUCAUCCUUUUGACCAAAUUGGACUUGUAGGUCCCCAAGUAUUGUGAUUGCUAAGUUGCUUGCUGCUUGUUCCAUCAUAAUAGAACAUCUUGCAAAUUAAGGAGUUAGUGCAAAAAGAACGUCUGCAAUUGUUAAAUACAAAUUUUCGGGCUGCCCUUGUUCUUGAAGUACUUGUGGAGAAAAACCAAGUCCUCCAUCUCUAAUCAUGCUAACACUACAUACGUGACCGUCUUAUCUUUCUUGUUGGUUGUGUUAGGCGUGGAGCUAUACGUGUGACCAUGUACAACUUUGGAUCUCCAAGAGUUGGAAACAAAAAGUUUGCUGAAGUUUAUAAUGAGGUAUUAUUUACUCUCUGCAGAAGUGAAGUGCUUAUGUUGAGACUAACUAUAUUCUAUAGCCAUUUUGGUCUCACCAUUCAUUUAUGACAAUCUUUUGUAGUUAUAAAUUAAACGAUCUUUAUUUCUGAAACAAGUUAACAAAGGCAAAAUAACAAACAAGAACCAAGAAAAGAAAGAAUAUACCGACACACUAAUAAAUACAUACAAGCUGGUUCACAUACUCAGCCUUACCUAAUUAGCUCUCCUCAAUAACACUGGAUGAAAAUGAUUUUUGAUGUUCUCUCUCGGUCUCUCCUAUGGAGGUGGCUUGUCAUAAAUGAAGUGUGAAACUCUUGAACAUGCUAUUGAAUAUGCAUUGGUGCGUUGUCUAACAUGUCAGACCAACUUUUAGCAAGUUUGAGCCAUAAUCAGAUGCCUUAUCACAUUGUUUGCCGAUAGUUCAUGGGAAUUUCUUGCCUGUUCUUCUAUUGUGACGUGGUGAACGGCUGUAACUAAAUCACUUUCGCCUGCUUUGGAAUCAUACUGAGAGCUUAAUUUUGUUAAAUUCUGAGUGACUCUAUAUAAUUAAGUUGCUUCUUAUAUUGUAGAAAGUUAAGGACAGCUGGAGGGUUGUAAAUCACAGAGAUAUAAUACCAACAGUUCCUCGCUUGAUGGGCUACUGCCAUGUUGCUCAACCUGUUUAUUUGGCAGCUGGAGAUCCGCAAAACACAAUGGUGAGUAGAUUUCAUUUUCUCACUUUUUACACUAUAAAACGUUGGAUUGGCAGAAUGUUGGCACUGUUAAGGAAGUUGUGUUUUCCCGUUAGAGAUUAAAGUGGAAAAAUGUGUCGGAUGGUUAGCUUAACCUGAAGGAAAUCACAGAAGGUUCAAAACAAUUGACCUUUGUUAUUUCUUCUAUAAAACUAUUAACUCAAUUGCUCGAAGUAACUUUUUGAUAUUUUCUUCAUAGUGUAGGUAGAAAGUAUCAAGAAGUACUAUGUCAUUCUUACUUAUUAUGUAUGGGAACCUACUAUCGUUACCUCCCUGGAAAAAGUCGGAAAGAAAAUAUGAUCAUUUUUUACAUCAUUCCUUUUAUACGUGAAAGGAGCUUGUUGUUUAACUAUAUAUGUCUCGGCACAUCACAUUUCAGGAUAAUGUGGAACUCUUGGAAGAUGGUUACCAAGGUGAUGUUAUCGGAGAGGCCACACCUGAUGUUAUUGUCAGUGAAUUUGUAUGUUUCUCCACCUUUGUUCUCCUGUAUCUUUAGUUCCUUCGUUUUGGUUCUGUGCUCCAUUUCAUCCAUUCGUGAUUUGUUCUAUUAAGAUCUUCAACUGUUAAAAUUGUACUGCUACUUACCGUACAUUUGACCAAUUGAGACUUCUGUUUAUUCAUUUUGUUCAAUACUUCGCCUAAUGGAGAGUCUCCUUGAGGCAUAAGCUUAUCAAUUCACUCCAUUAGGUUGAAGCCAUGUUGCUCGGAGUUUUGUGUUGGAUCCUUCAAAAGCUAUGCAUUGUUAGGGGAUCCGAGACAGGUUUGGCAACAUUUUUGGGAGGUCCGAGCAAGAAUUGCGGGAGGGGAGCUUGUUCUGAGUUAUUUUUGCUAUAUGGAACACAUUUCCUUUUUAUUUAAAGGUAAAGAACUCUUGAUAAUCUCGCGAUUACUUAUCGUAACGUUUUGUGCAGAUGAAAGGUGAAAAGAACUUAUUGAGAAAAUACUGAACACAGAGAUUAACAUAUUUCUAGCAAUUAGAGAUGGAAGUGCACUUAUGCAGCACAUGGAAGACUUCUAUUACAUCACUCUAUUAGAGGUAUUACCAUUCUUGUAGCUAUGUUGCUCGAACUCGUCAAAAAUGUCGACACGUACAUGUCAAAUCCUCCAAAAGUAGUGGACUUUUGAGUAUCCGACAUGUGUGCUGCAACAUUUUUGAAGAGUUUGAGUAACAUACGUAUCCAACAUGAUAUGUACUUAAACAUUUUUUUUUCUUUAAUGUUUUUCUAAUUCUUUUUUCCAGAAUGUGAGAUCAAACUACAGAACUGUUCCAAGGCCACAACUGACAGAAGAGAAGAACAUAUCGAUUGGCUAAAAUGGAAAUUAUCCAAAUUCAUUAAUGUUGAUGUUUUAAUUUCCAAAGGUUGUAAAUAACAAUAACACCAAAAAAUUGGCUACAUUUAUUGUAUAUAUGUACUGAUUUUUAUCUAUGUCAAUUGUACAUUUCUUUGGUCAUUUAUGUUAAUUGUUACAAAAUUUUAAAUGAUAGAAUAAUGAGAACAAGUAAUUGUUCUAAAAUAAUUGUCUUGAACUAAAAAUAGAAGGAAAAAAAAAUACACUUCACAAACAAUAAAGAAAUGGCAUGAAAGAAACAUACAAUCUAGAGAACCACCACUUCUUCUAUAUUUUACUAACCAAUAGUAUCAUUACUACCUAGAUCUUUGACAGAUAAAAUCGUUCGAUCAUUAAUCAGAGGUUUCGAGAUUUAAACUAUGAGUAUAGUGAAUAUCUCGAUAAGGAGUUCUAGUUUCACUUAAUGUUGAAUUAAAAAAAAAAAAACUAAUACUACCUUUUACAUAUGCAAGCUUUUUGAAAGAUUCUUAGAAAAAUUUGUUGCUUUCAUAUUAUAGCUCAUGAUUUUCAAACUUUGCCUUAAAAUGUCAACUUCCCUUUCCCUCUUGAGCUCUUGUUGUUCCUUUGAAGCUAUUUCCUCUUUUAGAAGUGCAAUUUUUUCCUCUUUUUCUUUCAACUCUUUAUGCAUCUCCUCUAAUAAUUCCAUUUGUUCUAUUUUCCAACAUAGUCCUCUUCCUAGUCAAACAAGAUCAAAACACAUUAGAAGGACAAAACAAGACGACUUGUAGACAUAACAACUGUUCGUUGAGUGACUAAUCUGAUGAAAUUCAAACGUACCUUGAUUUGUCCUAUGAAUAAGUUCAUCAAGCUCAAUCUUGAUAGCAAAAUAAAGUUGUUUCCACUUCUCUAUUGCUUCAUCUCUUCUAGCUUCUUCAUUCCUAAUUUGCUCCAACAAAUAACUUGUUGCUAAUUCAUGCCACUCUUUAUCUUCUUUUACACACAAAUUCUCUAUAGCUUUACACUUGUCUUCUUCAUCUUUUUCUUCCAAGUUUUUCUUCAACUUCUUCACUUCCUCUUUUAGCUUCUUCUUUUCCUUCUUCCAUUCUGCUUCUUUCAAUGCAAAUAUGAUCAUCUCUUGUGCAUUGACUUGACUCUCAUAUUCCCUCAUACACAUAAUUUCAUUCACCUCACCUUGAAGAAACCUUACAUUGUAUUUCAACACUUCAACCACUUUGUCUUUUGGUUGGCUUUUGUCCUUGGUUUGAAAACUUCCCAUUUCUUAUAAUCCCUAAAAGUCUCCUAUACUUUUAGUAGUUCUAGUUUUGUGUAUAUAUAGAUAGUGUGUGUGUGUGUUGGGGGGAGUGUUGUAAGAUGUAUGUGUGAUAAAUUAGUCACAAAUCUUAGGUAAGGAAACUUCUUUUUUCAAAAUUAGGUGGAGUCUUGUAAAAUUCGAAGACUGAAACACGAUACAAGUAAAAGUCUGAUAUUUAAGUGAAGUAUAUAAAGCGCGAUCGACUCUAGGAGAUUUCUAUAUUAUCAAAAAAAAUACAAACACUUGGUACAAUACAUUAACAAAAAUGCAUUAAAGGGUAUGUUAGAUCAAUAAGAAUAGAGUAUGGGACAACAUGAUUAUUAUUUUUUUUUAUGAAAAAAGGAGGCUCCUACCAUGCAAUAUGAAGUGAUGGCACUAAAUGAUACAAAGAGAGUUUUGUACUGAUUUUUGUUUUGUGGCUCUUGCAUCAAUUCAAUUAUUAUUAAUAUACAUACUGUGAAAGAUGCCUUGUAUGAAAAAAACAAAUAAAUUAGAGAAGUCACAUUUCAAGAUAUUGACAUGAAUGAAUGACAUAAUGUGUCUAUUGGGGAAUAAAAUCCACAUAUUCCAAAAAAUCACAUGUACAUCAUUUUGGAGCCUCUUCAUCAAGGUGGGGGUGGGGUGGGGUGAUUGGGUGGGUGGGGGCUUCAUUUAAAAUUUAAAAGGAAUUUAAGUUAUACGCGCUAUCGCAAUAAUCACUUAUAACAGGUUAUUCUUUUAUUUUUUGAAUUAUAGUAUUAUGCGUGAUUAAAGAUUUAAAACUUAUAUAUCAUCUAUCGACGAAAUUAUACAUUUCGAAAUUUACCAAAUAAAAUCUAGGUUUUAAAAAAAGUUGUGUGGGGGGUAGUAUGGGGGAAGAGUUUUGGAGCCUCUUGAUAAUCGAAUUUAAGUUAUAUACAUUAUCGCGAUAAUCACAAUAUUAUACUUAAUCAUAGAUUUAAAACUUAUAAACUAACAGUGUAUCGAAGUUAUACGUUUCUUAAAUUUACCUAUUUUUAAAUAUGUUGUGGGGGUGGGGUGGGGGAGGGGUAGCAUGGGGAAAGAGUUAUUGUAUUAUACAUCAAAUUUUUGUACAUAUUUUGCCAGCUAUUAAAGGGGCCUGCAAUCUUUGCUGAAAACAUGGGAAACAUUAUUGACAAAAGAAUAUUUCUUUGAAUAUUAUGCCUUUGUAUUCAUCUCAAACUUUGACCACCAGAUGGAGCAUGGAUUUAACUAGUUCAGUAUUUUCGAUACGAAAUAUAAAUAAUAAAGUCCGAAGCAAAGACAGAUGACAAUUAUUACACGGUAAAAUUUAGCAAGUUAUGAAAAAUUAAUAUAAGCUUCUUAUAAAAUAGAAUAGGAAUAAUAAGAAUUAAUCAACAGAUCGUGUGUCGAUGAGAUUAAGUAUCGUUCUAUUAUUUCAGACAUAAUUUAUUGUAUUUUCACUGUAGUUGGGAUCUAUAAUCUUGCAAAGAAUGACCCCUUUCCUUUUCUGGCAAUAAUUUAAUUUUAACUUUUCACGUGGCAUGUUUAAGACCACAAGAUUAAAGGACAUUUUGUUACAUUCGAUGAAAUUUUAAUUCAGAACCACAAGAUUAAAAAAUUCUUCUUUCUUUUCUUAAACUUUGUUCCAAGUCAAAUUAGAUAUAUCAUUUUUUAAACGCGGGAAGUAUUUGAUAAAUGAUCAAAUAAUAAUUAAAGUAUUGGAUGUACUAUUGGUCUUGGAAUAUUUUAUUUAUUAACUAGGCAAUUCUUCAACAUUUAGGUAUUUCUAGGUAGAGAAAAAAAAUGUAAUUUUAUGUACCAAAAACAAAAGACUUUUGUCAAGUCAAAUCAUCAAAUUUUGUUUUAGCGUUGUUUAAAUGAGAAAAAAAAGAGAAAAUAAAAUAAAAAAUCAUUUAGUUUGUGUCUAAUUUUUUACGUAGUAAAAAAUCUAGUUUUUUAUUUGCAUCUAUAUUAUUUUUACAAAGAAAAUAAAGUCUUUAACUUAUUUAAAACGUGGCUCAAAAAUAAAAAUUGACAUGCAUUUCUUUGACUUUGUUAGAAUAUAUAUUAUUUUUUUUAUACAAAAACGAAUACAAAUGUCUUAUUUAUGAAAUUUUUGUUUUUAUUUUCCCUUUCUAGUAGGGGAAAUUCAUCAAUUUUGGUGUUUUUUUAAUUAACAGAAAUCUAAAUUGUUUAUUUAAUAUGCCAAGUUAUAUUUGCUUUAAAAUUGUUUAAUUGUUUCCCCCUUUUAUUAUAAGUAUAUAAAAGAAUUUCAAUUGGACACUUUUAAUUUAAAUUUCAAAUUCUUUUUACAUAUGUUUUUAUUUAUCUAUUAGUAAUUUAAGUUUAUCAUAUAAAAUAUUUCAUCUCUUUAGUUCAUCAAUCUUAAGUAAAAAAUGUUUGAAAUUUUAGGACUUAUCAAAGCGAACACAACAUAAUUACAUGAGACAAGUAUCAAAAACAACCUUGUACUUGACUAACUAAACUCAGAUACACCCCCGAUACACUCUCAAUACGUGAAAUAACAUGUGUCUCAAACCCUUUUAGGAGCAUGAAAUUCUUAAUAAAAGUCGAGAGAAGUGUUGAAAAUACUCCUAAACUUGACGAGAAUUUAGGGGUUCUCACUGAUGUUACAAGUUCGGGGAUGUAUUUAACUUCAAUUAGUCAAGUAAUAAAGGGGUGUUUUAAAGGUUUUCAAUAGUUCAAGGAUGAAACUAAUAAUUUGUGCCAAGUUCAAGAGUGCUUUUGACACUUCUAUCUAAUUAGUUCAACGCAUAUACGUAAAACUACUAGAUAAAUAAGAACAAACACACAGAAAAAAAUUCAAAAUUUAACUGAAAAUGUUCUAUCACUGUGUUUUUAUUAAGAAACAGAAGUGUUCAAUUUAAACAAAACUUAAAUUUAAGUCAUUUAAUUACAAUUAACCAAUAAUAAUUAUUUAGUACAUAUCAUAUUAUUAUAUAUUUAUUGAUAUGAUGUAAAUAUCUCGUCAUAUUUUAUUGUAUUAAUUUUUUUAAAAAAAUCAUUAAGGUUUUAUUUUUUUUUCACCAAGUGAAAAUGACUAUUUUACCCUCUUUAUACAUAUCUUUGUUUUGGUAAAACUCCUUCCCCAUAUCUUCAGGAACAUUCUUAGUUAUCUGCCUCGGAACCUCCGAAUUUUAUAAUCUUAUAGGUAGAAGUGAAGAAAAAAUCAGUAAAAAUUCUGAGAAUUUGAGGUAAUUUUUUAUUGUGAUUAUAUAUGAUUUCCUGAACUUUUUUUUAUUGAUUUUUUGUUUAUUUUCUUGUGCCAUUUUGGUGUAAUUUGUCAAUUUUAUGUAGAGUUUUGCUAUAUUUGAUGUUCUUUGUCUGUGUUAGGCUAAAGGGGGUUCUUGAAAAAUGAAAAGAAGAAUAAAGUUUGAAUCUUUUCAUUUGAUUAUUCAAUUGAAGGCUGUAUUUACCACAAAGAAAGUUAAUUUAUUUAAGGGGUUAGCUUGAUUUGUGAUUUCUUCCAAUGUGUUCAAGCUUUGGUGGAUAGGGUUACUUGGUACCUAUAUUGGUGGGAGGUAGUAAGUAGCGGGGGAAUUAAUCGAGGUGCGUGCGAGCUGGUUCAGACACCACAAAGAAAGUUAAUUUAUUUAAGGCAAUGUGUCUAAGCUUUGUUUGGUGGAUACUGAAUAGGGUUACCUGGUACCAAUGAUGGUGGGAGGUAGAAGGCACCUGUGGAACUAAUCGAGGUGUGUGCAAGCUGGUCCAGACACCACAAAGAAAGUUAAUUUAUUUAAGGCAAUGUGUCCAAGCUUUGUUUGGUGGAUAGGGUUACCUUGUAAGGAUGCUGGUAGUAGGGUACCCGAGGAAUUAGUCGGUUGCAUGCAAGUUGGCGUAGACAUCACGAUAUUUAAAAAAGAAAGAGGAUAUCCCAUUCCUAGCAGCCUUAACAGUUGACUGUGGCAGAAUUCUCUCUCUGCUGUUGGUCCUUUUAGGAUUUCUGCAGAACUGUUCAAUUACACUUCGAGGUAUCUCACGCGAAAUGUUAGGACGUAUGUGUCUAGUUGUUUCAACUUUAUACAAUCAGGUGCAUACCCAAAGUUGGAAGGCAUAGAUGUUAGCUGAUGCCAAGUUAAAGGGAAACGUUUAUUUAUUAUGUCUAAUAUGAAUGAUACAGUGAAUACUUACACUUUUCCUGUCAUCAAUCUUUCAAAAUCGCUGAUGCUGUAUUUUUCCUGUCUUUUCUGCUGAGCUGAAUAGUUGGCUUAUAUGUUUUACUGGUGUUCCGUGCAUAUGAGAUGAUUUAGUACAGUUGUUUGCGAAUGUAAACAUUUCAAAACGUGUCUUCUAUAGCUUGAUUUGGAUAAUAAAUGUAUGAACUUGGAUGCAUUGUUUGUUAAACAACUUAUUUGACUAUUUUUCUUUGUUAGGCUCAAACUCCUUUUCGAUGAUUUUACACUAGUCGGAAAUUUCUUUCUUUUUCCCUGGUUUAGGGGGUCGUGAAGCAAUGAACUCCCUUUUCUUUUAAUUUUUUCGACAAAUCUUAUUAACAACCGAAAAAUAGACUUUGCUGGUUUCUAAGAGUGAAGUUUUAAAGUGUCCAUUUGGGGACAUCCGAUGAAAUUGGAACAAUAAGAGUAAAUGCUUAAGUAGAUCAUUAUAUACUGUGUUUGGUAGAGAGUGUUCACAACAUGUUUUAGAAUGUAGAAUAAGUGCGACACUAAGUAACCCGUUGUUCAUCUAUUCGUUGUGGUUUGCAAUAAAUAUUCAUCGAUUAUCAGUGUAAAAAACUCCUGAAUUUCCUCCCAUGUAUGUUCUAAAAUCGUGUCUUACAAUGCAUAGAAGAAAUUAAUGUCAGCGAUCCUUUUUGCAGUCGGUGAAAUGGCAGCAGCAUCAGCAACUACUCUCUCAGUUGGUUCCGCCACAUCCUUUGGCUCCAUAGUGAGCCCAAAAUUACAAUCAAAGGCCUUUAUUGCGAAAUGCAAUACCAGGGACUACCUUAGGAGUUUCAGUGGCCUUAAGGCAGAGGCAUUUGUACGAUGUGAAUCCGAGUCGUCAUUUCUAGGAAAUGAAAGCAUUGCAGCUCUUCGACAAUCCAUUACUCCUAAAGCCCGAAACCAAAAGCAGAGAUCUUCGAACCAUGUUCAGCCUCAAGCAUCUUAUAAAGUGGCUGUUCUCGGAGCCUCUGGCGGUAUAGGCCAGCCUCUAGCUCUUCUGAUUAAGAUGUCACCGCUAGUAUCAUCGUUGCACCUUUAUGAUAUUGCAAAUGUCAAAGGAGUCGCAGCAGAUCUCAGCCAUUGCAACACUCCCGCUCAGGUUUUUGACUUUACGGGAGCUUCUGAGUUGGCCAAUUCUUUGAAAGGUAUAGAUGUAGUUGUCAUACCAGCUGGCGUUCCGAGAAAGCCUGGUAUGACACGGGACGACUUGUUCAACAUAAAUGCUAAUAUUGUGAAAAGCUUGGUUGAGGCUGUUGCUGACAAUUGCCCAGAUGCCUUUAUCCACAUUAUCAGCAAUCCAGUCAACUCCACAGUGCCGAUUGCUGCCGAGGUUCUGAAGCAAAAGGGUGUGUAUGAUCCUAAAAAACUCUUUGGUGUUACCACCCUGGACGUUGUCAGAGCAAACACAUUCGUCGCGCAGAAGAAAAACCUGAAACUCAUUGACGUUGACGUCCCCGUGAUUGGUGGGCAUGCAGGGAUAACAAUUCUGCCAUUGCUGUCAAAGACAAGACCAUCAACUACUUUCACGGACGAAGAAGUGCAGGAACUAACCGUGAGGAUCCAAAACGCUGGGACCGAGGUCGUUGAAGCAAAGGCUGGAGCAGGAUCUGCAACACUGUCAAUGGCAUAUGCUGCAGCUAGAUUUGUUGAAUCCUCACUUCGUGCCCUUGACGGUGAUGCUGAUGUUUACGAGUGUUCUUACGUUCAAUCUGACCUGACGGAACUUCCAUUCUUUGCAUCACGAGUUAAACUAGGAAGGAAUGGAAUCGAGGCAUUGAUUUCGUCUGAUCUCCGUGGAUUAACUGAGUAUGAACAGAAGGCAUUAGAAGCUCUAAAGAUAGAGUUGAAAGCUAGCAUUGAGAAAGGGAUAGCUUAUGCUCAAAAACAAACAGUGAGUGCUUAGAGAAAGAGUUUAGUUUAGAUUAACUAUAGGAAAAGAUUCUCAACAUGACAAUUUUUGCAUGGUUUGAACUUACUAAGCCCUUUAUUCUUUUUAUUGGUCUGAACUCUACUAGUGUUUUGUUAUUGCUUCCUUUUCAUCUCUAGUCGAGGUUUAUCAGAAACAAUCUCUCUACCCCUGUGAGGUUAGGGAGAAGGUGUUCGAGAACUCUAUUCAAGGUUUAUCAGAAACAAUCUCUCUAUCCCUGUGAGGUUAGGGAGAAGGUGUUCGAGAAAGCACCGACUACAGGUGCUCAUUGAGUCGGUCCUCCGGUGGAUAAAAGUAUCUGCAAACACUUUACCCUCUUCAGACUUUUUCGACUUUAAAAUUUCAUAUAUGAAAGUCUAGAAUAGUUAUUGGUGGCUAUUUUUGAAAAAAAUAAUAAUCUAGAAUAGAAGUGGAUGAUUAAAUUUUUUCCCCCCAAAAAUCUCCUUAAAAUUUAAUAGAUAAAAGUUGUUAACAUGUCAUAUAAAUGGAGAUAAAUUAAAAAUGCUAAAUUUUUUAAUAUUUAAUAAAUCAAAAUCACUCAAAAGCAUAUUUAAGGAAUUAUUUUAAAUCUACUCGAGUCUCCAAUAUAAGUUAUUUCUUUUGUCAUAUUGUCUAGAAAAUUUGUAUGUCCAUUUUAUCUCAAGUGUUUCGUAUAUUCACAUUUUUUGGAGGUCUAUGUAUUUGGUUCAGAUUGUGAAUCGGACUUUCUUAUUCAUGAUUUUGAUAAUUAAACACUUAAACUCGAUGAACCCAACAUAUUAAACUCCUCUAUGAGAGUAUGACCAAGAAAGAUAUGACUCGCUUGCCAGUUAUACAAAUAUAUGCGUAUACCAUUUACAUAUAUACUAUAAUCCGACAGAUAUACAUAUACAAUUUGUCUCUCCACUCUCUGCCUAGUCUCGCUCAUCUCUCUCCUCCCUCUCCCAAUCUCGAUCGCUAAAUACACAUAUAUAUAAUCUGACAGUUAUACAUAGACAAUUUGUCUCUCCACUUUCUGCCCUCUCUCAUUCGUCUCUCUCCCAAUCUCGUUUGUCUGAUAUACAAAUAUAUAUGUAUAUCAAUUACAUAUAUACAAUUAUUUGAUAGAUAUACAUAUACAAUUCACAUUUCUUCACUUUCUGCCCUCGCUCGCUCUCUCCUCCCUUUUACAUGGAGAUAUAGUUUAUAAUUAAAAAAUUAUAGCUGUGAAGCAUAAUUUAAGUUAUUUUUAAAUGACUAUAUACAAAAAUUCCCCAUAUUGUGUUAUAUAAUAAAUUCUCGUUGUUUACUUCUGUGAGAACAUCCAAUGCACUCAAGACAAUCCUAUAAGAUAAAUCCAACUCUAAAUACAAAAGGACUAUUAAAAAUAAAAAAUACUUUCACCAUAAUAUUUUAAGUUUGUUUGUAGUAAAUUAAAUGUUGAAUUAUAAUUUACUAAGGAUAAACUAUAUAACUACACAUACAUCACUACCAUAUAUACUAUAUUUUAUCUCUAAUUUAAAAUAAUUACUCAUACUAUCACUUUUAAUAUUUAUACAAUAUAUUUUAAAAGAUUUAAUUAAAUACACAAAACCCUUAAAUAAAGAAAAUGAAUAAUUAUCUUAAAUCUAAACUCCUUAGGGUUCAUAAUGUUUUUGAAGUUCAAUUUUAAUUUUUUUUUUUUACAAAUUAGGUUUUAUAUUUUUUGAUUUUGUUGUUUCUCAAACACUUUAAUGGUUGAACAUCUUGAAAUCGGAUGGUUCGUUAAAUGUAUCACACACUAACAAUAUUAUGCUAAAUCAAAUAACUUUUAUUUAUUCAUUUUCACUCAUGAAUUUAUUAUUGCAGGGACCGACUCUUCAUACGCCAACAUUCACAUCGAGAAUAGACCUACGUAUAGAAGCAACUCCAUCAAGAUGAUAGAAUUAUGCCAAGUUUUAAUUAACAAAAAAAUAAAAUACACCAUUAGAUGCACACUCAAGUGUAACGAUGUUGGAUACACAUUAUGUUUACAUGUAUCUAGUGAGAGUUCAUGUAUAUAAAAAAAAAAAUUCAGAUCCUUAAAGAAAAAAGAGAAUUUUGAAAAUUUCAAACUUUUUUUGGAUUAAUGAUAAGGCCACAGUUGUGAUUUGUUCCUAAUUCGUGUGUUUCAACUACAUUUCAUAUUUAGAUACACAUAAUUAUAUGUGUGUUUACAAUGUAUUUGAGAUACAUGAUUUUAAAUAUAAUAUAUGAAAUUAAUGCUUGGUACAUCGAAUUAAUAAUAGAUACAUAUAAAAUAUACAUGAAAUUAAAUUUGGAUUCAUACUACACAUAUAAUAAAUACAUAAAAUUAGUAUUAGAUACUUCCUUCUAUGAUAAUUGAUACAUAUGAAAGCACUUGUAUGAUACUCAUAGAUCUUGUUGUUUUGUUUGUUGGAUACAUCAUAUAUUUAUUGUUUUGUUUGUUGGAUACAUCAUAUAAUGAUAUAGAUAUAUCAAGUUGAUAAAUUUUAUUAUUUGAAGAGUAAUAAAAUGAAAUUAAUCAAUUUUCAACAAGAAUCAAAAUAUGCAUGUUUUUGUCUUUUAUUAAUAAUAUCAACGAAUUUAUUAUUUCAAAUAAUAAGAAAAUGAAAUUAAUUAAAUAUAGAUACACUCUUUAGAUUUUCGACGUAUAAUAACAAACACAACACACACAAACCACGAAACUCACCAUAUUCUCUAAUACUCAUGAUGAAGCAUAGUGUAUCCCUAAAUCGCUUGCAACUAGCCUGGAUAUCAUUAGCCAGCAAAAAAUAGUAUUAUUGCUAGUAAUGGGCCUUAACAUCAUUAGCCAGCAAAAAAUAGUAUUAUUGAAUCCAUGACAAUAAAUGGUAUUACUGAAUUCAAUGUCACAAUGCCGUGAAACAAUAAAGCAACCAUAAAUCAUAGAGCGUGUUCUUUCCGUGUCUACGACAUGCAUGCCGAAAUUUUGCUUUAUUUACUUGUGUUUGAUGAAAGUCCCACAUUCUACCUUAUACCUAGAGUAUAAAUUGAACAGAAAAAGGUAAGUUUAACCCUCCAUCCAUUUUUCGCCCUCUCUAUUUUUACUUUUUGGUUAAAAAAUUCUUCUUCUAGUCUAAAUAUACUAUCAAGGUCUAUGUUGAUAUAUAUUUUUGUAAUUUAUUUUGUUUUAACACUUAUUAAUUUUUUGUUAAGCGUUGUUGGUAGUUAUUGGUGUUUAUUUUUGAAAAAAGUUUCGCUCUCUAUAAUAUUAAUCAAAUUUUUAAGUUUUAAUAUGAUACUUGUAUUAUUUAGGGUAAAGAGGAGGUACUAUAUUUAUAUUCUCUUUGUGCGAAUUGGAUGAGCUAAAGUGUCAUAAAUUCAAGAAGCAAAAAACUAUGCAUACAAUAAAUAAUUGAAUUAAAUAUUUUGCAAAAAAACUAAAACAUUUUAAGUAUAAUUUUAUAUUAUUAUAUAUGUUUUGUAUUUAACUAUUAUGUGUGAUUAUUUAUUCCAAAAAUCAUGUUAUUAGUUGUUUAUUUCAGAUUAGAUGGUUAUAAUAUUUUUAUACCAUUAAAAUGUUGUUCACUAAUUAUAUGAUCCGUUUCUUAAGUUAAGUUGGUUUGUGUUUUUCAAAUAAAUAUACGUAAUAGGUAUUAAUUAUAUGAUUAAAUAUUAAAGAAAAAUAAAAUUAAUUAUAUUAUGUAUUUCACGGCCUAAACCAAUGCAAAACUAUACCAUAAAAAUUCAAUAUUAUUUUCAUUUCUAAUAUUAGAAUUGAUUCUUUUGUUAAUAUGAAAUCACAUUUGUUAUUAACACCUUCUUCGGACUUUUAUUUAUUCUUACUCGUAUAUUAUUGCGUAAUAUUGUUUAAAUUCAUCGUUAAUUAAUAAGAGAAAGUCCUAUUUUAUAUAAUAGUUGUUCGUUUGAUUAUAUAUUUUUCUUAUUUUUUCUUUACUUAUUAUUUAAUAAUCAUAUUUUAUCCUUUACUUUACCUUAUUAUAGUAGCUCUAUUUUUAUCCAACAUUUUCUCUUAGAUUUAUCAUUCAAAUUAUAAAUAUUUGACGUUGUUUAACGACUUAGAAAGAUACCAUCUAUUCAAAUAUUGUACUUACUAAAAUACAGUGUAUCAUACAACACAACAUACAUUAUCAAACAUAUGUAACAACUAUUAAGUAUAAUAAUUUAUGAAAAAAUUAUUUAAAUACACAACUUAUUUUAUCAAAUUUUCUAAAAUUCUCUUAUCAUUUGAAAAAAAUUGUAAAAAAUCAUAUUCUCGGGUACAUCACUUUACAAGAUAUGUAUCGAGACGUUCUGUGAUGUAUUCAAAAUCUAGACGCGAUAUAUCGGGACGUUGAGGAAUGUAUUCGAAAUAAUUAAGACGUGAUAUAUUGGGACGCAUCCGGAUUCCACCAAAUUCAAAAGGGAAAAAAAGAUAAAUAUACCUCUGAACUAUCAUAAAUGACAUGCAGAUACUCUGUCAUACUUUUUGGAAAUUGAUGCUCUUGUCAUUCAAAAACUGGAGUACAUAUACCAUUUAUACUAACGAACAUACACGUUUCAUAAUCUUAUUUAUACACCGACCCGACAUUUAUUAAAUAUCAGCUUGAUAGAUAACAUUGUGACACAUGUCCCUAUUUAGUCUUUCGUUAGAGUGAAGGGUAUACAUGCUCCAAUUUUUUGACGACAGAGGCACCAAUAUUCCAAAAAGUAUGACGAAGGAUAUCUACAUAUCAUUUACAUCAGUCCGGAGGUAUAUUUGUCUUUUUCCCAAUUUAAAAAUAUAUUUGUAAUUUGAAAAACAAUAGAGAUAAAGAUAUAAUUAAAUCUUAACACUAUGAAAUUUAUGUCAAAAGUUUCCGAAUUAAUAUAUAUAUGGGAUUGAACAAAAGGGCAUUAUGGGAAUUUUGAAAAGAAAUGAUCUCUCUCUCCUUAGACACAUUCGUGUUGUGGAUUCUCCCUGCAUUUUGACGUGAACAGAAGUAACCAACCUUAGAAACCUCAAAACAAAAUUCCUGAGCAAAACAUUAAUAACAAUACAAUCAUUGGCAUUGUGAAAAGAGAGAAAAAAAACAACAAUUUUUCAUAGGAAAAGGAAAAGGAAAAGGAAAAGGAAAAGGGGAGAUUUACCAAAGGGGUUGUUUGUUUUCUUUUCCUUUUCAUUCAUAUUUUUUUUUGUGAGAAGAAAAGAAAACAAAAAUAUUGACUGAUUGAUUUCAUACCCCUUACUCAUAUUUUUCUUUCCCAUUUUUCAUUUCUAAACACUUACCUUUUCAAUUUCUUCAUUUUCUUGGAAUUUUGUUGAAGUGAAGGCCAAAGGUCACACCUUUAAAGGCAUUUUGGGAUAUAUAUUACAUAAUGAGGUGCAUUAUGGGUGUUUUAAAGGAUAAUAUAUCAAUGGUUUUUGUGGGGUUGUGAAUUUGAAGGGAAAAGUUGGAGUCUUGAUAGGUCUCCAUUGUGUUUCUUGAGAAAUGGUAUGGCAUUCUUGAAUUUUUUUUGAAGAAUUUCUAUAGUUUGCAUGUUGGGUUUUGCUUAAAGUUUUGAGCUUUCUCUUGAAAUAGUUGACAGUUGUGGUUGGAUUGUAUGAGUAUUGUUUUCUCUUGAAGGAGUAUAGAAAGGUGGUAAAAGCUAAACUAUGUGUUGUUCUUGUGAAGGGUUAUUAUUGCUUCUUGAUAACAUAAUGGUGAGGUAUAAUUCAGUGCAUAUAUGUGUUCUAACAACUGGUGGCGAACGUAAGAUUCUUUUAUUAAGGGGUUCAAACUAUGAAGAGUAAACACACGAGGAACCCAAAGAGGUUCAACAUCAUAUACAUAAAAUAUAAUUUUGUUUAUAUAUAAACAAUGUGAUUUUUCACCGAAGGGUUUUUGAAGAACCCCUUGGCUUUACCUAGCUCUGUCUGGGCUAACAACUUAAGCUUUUAGACGAGAUGAGUACAUAAUUCGACAUGGUUCAAUACUCGUCUCCACCGAGUAUCAAGAAGAAUUUCCACGUGUUAGGCUCUUGAACAACUUAGGUUUAUUCGUUUGGAUACAAUAGCCAUAUAGUUUGUAGCUAUUAUCUAGUUUCAUACAUUUUCAUGAGAGGGAAAUAUAACAUAUUUUUCAGCAGGUUAAUAUUUAUUAUAAGAGAGUGGUAGUUUUAUAGCUGUCCACAUGAAGGUGCAAAUGUAUUUUAACUUGGCCGUGUCCAUCUUGUUGAUUGACUAAUGAGUGCAUAAGCAACCAAACUUUCAUCACUCAGAGAAGAGUUUUUUCACUUUCUACUGUCGAGUGCUGCGUAUGCACCUUCAAGUUGGAGAUUUUUGAAAGAUUAAAGCAGCUGUCCCUGAAGUUUCUAUUUUGAAACAAUACGGAAGUACACGUAUGUGUUUUGGCUUUACUCACUGCGAAGUAUUUUUUUCUCCAGGCCUAAUAAAUAACUUUGUAAAAAAUAUUCCGUUAGACCGACCUUAGUAGACGCUUCAUCUUUCAGCUUUUAAAUCAUUAUGUUACUGAGAGUCAAAUUGGCUUAUGCAAGAGUAAAAUAUGUAGACAAAUUCACAUUCCAUGUGUAGUAUACAUGAUGUCUCUUAUCUUCUUUUUUUCCUGAUUCUAUGUCAUGUUCUUUUGUUCUUUUUGCUUAUGAAAUCUUCUCUCUAGUAUAUACAGCAUACUUUCAACGUGCAUCGUUCUUUAUAAUGCACAAAUGAUUUUGAUGCUCUGACUGAGACUUCCACAAUUUUAAAUGUUGUACAGAGUGUUUCUGCCAGUGUUGUGGUUGGAUCUCAUGUAUGGGUUGAGGAUCCAGAGGUAGCUUGGCUAGAUGGGGUCGUUGUUGAAAUCAAUGGGGAAGAGAUCACUGUGGACUGCAACUCAGAGAAGACGGUAAGUUUUACACUAGUAUACGCCUUAAUUGGCUUACUAUUAUUUAUCAUUCAGUGUACCUUUUCAUUGGCUUUUAAGCUUUAAUAUUCUGUUGUAUCUGUAUUGUAUUUAAUCAACAUGGAUGGUGCCCGUGGAGAAUAAUUAAAUGAUAAUGUGAUUCUGUUUAUUUGUUUCCCGCUACAAAAACUACUAAUGUAGUCAAUUUUUUUUAUCUCAGAAGAAAAAUUCUUGCCACAAUAGGCAAUAUUAUUAACAAGAUUAGAUGUGGUUAUACUGAGUGAAGGUCUGUUCACUAUGUUGUUUGUAUAGAGAUUUUUGGGAAAGCCUUUAUGAGUUAAAAUGGUGUCCAUUUUUAGUGUUUGCAGCAUGCUUGCUACCAAACUCUGGAUUACAUCUUUCUUUUUUCUGGUAUCUGAAUGUGUUUGAAAAAUCUCCCUGAAUUUCCUUUGUAGGUUACGGCCAAUCUAUCCAAUGUGUACGCAAGAGAUACCGACGCGCCUUCUUGUGGCGUGGAUGAUAUGACAAAACUUUCUUAUCUGCAUGAACCAGGAGUAUUGCAGAAUUUGCGAAGUCGAUAUGACAUGAAUGAAAUAUAUGUAAGAACUUUAAGGACGAUUCUUAUGCAUUUUUCUAAUCAACUGUAUUUCUUUUUUUAUCUUGAUAAUAAUAAAAUUCUAGUAUUAAUGUAUUUUGCUUCAUGCUAGUUAUGCGGGGAACUGUAGAGUAGCGACUGUUUAAGCUGUGAAUAAUAAUGAAAGGGUUGAUGCCAGAAAAUAAUGCAGAGAGUGUUAUAUAAUGACUGUUUACUUAAAGGGAACUUUUGUAUUAAUAUAUUUUUUCUCUGUAUGUUAAUACACAUUCUUGUUCUACAUUAGAAGGGCUGUUUGGUUCACAUGCUAGUUAUGUGAGGAUUAUAACGCAGAGAUUGUUUAUUCAUGGAAUAAUAAUGAAGGAAUUUUGUGCGAUGAAUAAUAAUGUUGCAGUUGUAUGCGGUGAAUUAUAAUACAUGACAUAUUAUCUAGGGACUACUUACUUUAAGAAUUUUUGUUUCAAGUACUUUUAUGGACAUGUUGCUAUUUACGUGUUCUUAUUCCUCUUUCAGUCUAGCAUAAAAUAAUACAUAAGUUCCAUAUAAACUCAGUGCAGAUAUUUUUUAAUACUGUCAAGAAAAUGUUAUGCUAGUUAUGUCAGGGAUAAUAUAACAAUCAAAUGCUAAUUAAUUAUGCAUAGACUAUUUUCUAAUUCCUCUGGCUUACACUCUAUUUAUUUUAUGCAAGAUUUUUUGUUGGGAUGAUUUUUGCUAAUCCUUUCAACCAAACAAUUCCUCAAGUUUUUUUUUUUUUGUAAUAUUUUGAAUAAACUGGUUAAGAAAGCUAAGAUAUGAUUGGAUGCGUUCAGACUUACACUGGGAGUAUCUUGAUUGCCGUGAAUCCCUUCAAGCGGUUACCCCAUCUAUAUGCUAAAAGUGUGAUGGAACAGUACAAAGGAAUUGCACUUGGGGAUCUGCCCCCUCAUCCUUUUGCUAUUGCUGAUUCUGCCUACAGGCAAGAUUCAUGUUUUUCGAGUGGCUUUCAAAUAUCAAAUUACUAUAUAAUCUUUAACAUUGUUCUUUUUGAAUGCAGGCAGAUGAUUCAUGAGGGGAUAAGCCAGUCAAUUUUGGUAAGUGGAGAGAGUGGAGCGGGCAAGACAGAAAGCACAAAAAUGCUUAUGCAAUAUCUUGCGUAUAUGGGCGGACGAGCUGCAGCUGAGGGAAGGAGCGUGGAGCAGCAAGUCCUUGAGGUAUGGUUAACUUUUGGUAAAUUUUCGCUGCUCGAUUUUGUUUCAAUUAAUUUUGCUGUUGGAAUUUUGAGAUAGCCACUUUCUUGUCAAGACUGGCUUUAUAAAAUCUGUUCAAAAUAAAUAUGGAUCAAUCAACAAUACCUCAAAACAUUUCUGGAUAUAUGUACAUUUUUAACUUUUGCUUUCUUCAGUCAAAUCCAGUUUUAGAAGCCUUCGGUAAUGCUAAGACAGUCAGAAACAACAACUCAAGGUGAGGAGACCAGAAACUUAGAUGCUUGUUCCUAUUCAUAUUGCACAUUCUGUUUAACUAAUACUUUGGCUUCACCAACAUGUAUUUUGGCAGUCGUUUCGGUAAGUUUGUGGAGCUCCAGUUUGAUAAAAGGGGGAGGAUAUCUGGUGCCGCCAUCAAAACAUAUCUGCUGGAAAGAUCCCGCGUUUGUCAAGUUUCUGAUCCUGAGAGAAAUUAUCACUGUUUCUAUUUGCUUUGUGCUGCGCCACCUCAGGUAAUUUCACUGUGCCUUUAUGUUUGCAAAUGCCUUCUUCUAGUAUUUGGGGUUCACUUUACCUGUAUUAGGAUUUACAUCAUUCUUAUUGCUUGCUCCUCUGGAUACAAUUUGUCUAUUUUCUAAUUAAGCACCAUUAAUAUGUUAACAAAGAGAAAGAAGUUUUUUGUUUUUUUCAUUUAUUUAUUUACUUGUUAUUUUCGUUAUUUUUGAAGAAUUACAAAGUAAGCAACAUGGAUGCAUCCUCUUGCAAUAAUAAAAAGUAAAGUUGUGUACAAUAGACCUAGUGUGGUAUGACCGCAGAAGCCGUAGCAUUAGGUGCUAUGUUCUAUUUUUCAUUUUAAGGACUAUUAAGACCAGAAAAUAUUCUCGUCUGAACAUGUUCCGUAGCAAUAUGUCAGAUCUUAUUAAAUAAAUAGAUGUGACUCCUCUUAAACCAUAUAAGCAUCAAGAUGAGCUAUCACAUAGUUCAACAGGUUAGGAUCAUACAAUGUUGUUCUAAGUUGGAGCUACUUGGUUUCUUUCCUUCUCUUUUCUUGCAGGAUGUUGAAAAAUAUAAAGUAGGGAACCCAAGGACAUUUCAUUAUCUGAACCAAUCAAAUUUUUUUGAACUAGCUGGAGUGGAUGAGUCGGAGGAAUACCUGGCAACGAGGAAAGCCAUGGAUGUUGUAGGGAUAAGUCACGACGAGCAGGUAUUAGCAUCACUGCAUCUUCGAUACAUGGGUUACUUCAUGAAAGUCUCUAGUUUUAAUAUUCAACUGCAGGAUGCUAUUUUUAGAGUAGUGGCUGCAAUUCUUCACUUGGGAAACAUUGAAUUUGCAAAGGGAACAGAAACUGAUGCUUCGGAACCUAAGGAUGAUAAGUCUCGGUUCCAUCUAAAGAUUGCAGCUGAACUAUUCAUGUAAGUGGUUUCUUCUAUUUAUAGUCUCCAGAUACCAUCGCGUUCCUUUUUUUUUUUUCCGAAGGAAAUUUCAUUUUGGUGAAAUUUUGUUUAGGUGUGAUGAGAAGUCCCUUGAGGACUCCAUGUGCAAACGUGUCAUGGUCACUCGUGAUGAGACCAUUACAAAGUCCCUUGAUCCAGAAGCUGCAGCUCUCAGUAGAGAUGCUCUAGCCAAGAUAGUUUACUCAAGACUGUUUGAUUGGUUAGUUGAGUUCAGGGUGAUUAAGUUGUAUUGCUUGUUUAGUUGUACCAAAGAUAUUUGACCCAAGAUAAAUAUUGUAUUAUUGUUCAGGAUAGUGAACAAGAUCAAUAACUCUAUUGGCCAAGAUCCCGAAUCAACUCUCUCAAUUGGUGUUCUAGAUAUCUAUGGAUUUGAGAGUUUCAAGACAAACAGGUGCUUAACCGGUAUGCUUUUGUUUUCAUCAUUCACAGAGGUUAAGUUCUUGCAGAGUGCUGGAUGAAAGUUCUGUUCUUCCAUUUUGGAUUUUUGGAAUUGAAUGUUCAUUUUCCUCUCUGAUCCAACUUAACCAUAAUUUUUUUCUCUAUCAACAUCUUCCUCUUUUACCAGAUUUAUCUUGGAUACGAUUUAUUGUGCCUGCUAUAUUUAUUGCUGCCUAUACACACAUUCUGAUUCUUAAAGCACUUUAGGUGUUGAGUUCACAUUUAGAUGAAUAGCCUUAAUAACUACUCGUGCUAGUUUAUUCAAUUUGCUUUUUGGUGCUCUUUCUUUGGUUAUGAUUAUUGAUUUCUUCUAUGCAGUUUUGAGCAAUUUUGCAUUAAUUUGACCAACGAAAAACUGCAGCAACAUUUCAACCAGGUUUGUGUAGUCAUUAAUUUGAUAGUCUCUCAUAGCUGAGAAAUGUUAAUAUAAAUACUAAAACCUUUUAUUGUUCCCUUUGCCAGCAUGUUUUCAAGAUGGAGCAAGAAGAGUAUACCAAGGAGGAAAUUGACUGGAGUUACAUAGAGUUCAUUGAUAACCAAGAUAUUCUUGAUCUUAUAGAAAAGGUGAUGUAGAACAUGAAUAUAAUUUAUCACCAUCUUUGACUUUUCUCGGAAAAUGUACAGAGUAAGAUUUAUUGGCAGAAAAUGGGAUAAGAGCAUAUACAAGUGUAUACACAUAAAGAGUUCUAUACAAAGUAGAUCUGUCUACCAAUUAUAUUUAAUCAUCAAUGCAUGUCAAAUUGUCUUAUGCUGGUUACAUUACUAUUUGAUUCACUUCUUUCCUCCACAGUUAUUCUGGUAAAAAAGGAAAACAGUAUAUGUGCUUUUAUCAUCAUUUUUCUGUGAUGUCAUAGAUUUUAAAUUUUAUUGAUAUGUUUUGGUUGCACUUGAGCCAAGGGUCUUUUGGAAACAGCCUCUCUACCUCCACGAGGUAGAGGUAAGGUCUGUGUACCCUCCCCAGACCCCACAUAGUGGGAUUUCACUGGAUAUGUUGUUGUUGAUGUAUUGAUAUGUUUUGGUUCCAUUUUGCCAUGCUUAUGUUCUGAAUACUUUGGUUCUUUCAGAAACCUGGGGGGAUAAUUGCUCUUCUUGAUGAGGCUUGGUAUGCAGGCACUUCAAUUCUUUAAUUUACUCUAAUUUUUCUUUCUCUUGGUAUAAUUGUCAAAAUUAAUCACAAAACUCAUUGGCUGUGGUGUUUACUACUUAUGUGGCUCUUCUGCCAGUAUGUUCCCAAGAUCAACACAUGAGACCUUCGCUGAAAAGCUAUAUCAGACAUUUAAAGAUCAUAAGCGGUUCAGCAAGCCAAAGUUGUCUCGGACGGAUUUUACUGUUUGCCACUACGCUGGUGAUGUAAGUAUAAAAACUAGUUCAUCAAGAUAUAUUUAACAUCACAGAAUGAGGGUUAUGCAAUUAUUGCCUAGAAUAGCAAGUGUCGCUCAAAGCUGUUUUGACUUCUUUCAUGUCAGGUCAAGUACCAAACUGAGUUCUUUUUGGAUAAGAACAAGGAUUAUGUAGUUCCAGAGCACCAAGCAACACUUAUUGCUUCAAAGUGCCCCUUUGUUUCUGGCUUGUUUCCACCUUUACCUGAAGAUUCUUCUAAACAAACCAAGUUUUCCUCUAUUGGUGCUCGAUUUAAAGUAUGUUUUCCUCUAGCCUUUGAUCAACCUUUUUACAUUAUUGCUUCAUGCCUCUGAAAUAUCUUACCCUGUACCUGAUGUAGCAACAAUUGCAAUCAUUGCUUGAGACUCUUAAUGCCACAGAGCCUCAUUAUGUUCGUUGCGUGAAGCCAAAUAAUCUUUUGAAGCCAGAAAUUUUUGAGAAUCAAAAUGUACUCCAGCAGCUUCGUUGUGGGGUACUCUUGAACAACUCUGUCUAUUACAAAUUAUACUGUCUCUGCAAAACUGGGUGCUUCACAAUUAAAUCUUUUCUAGGGAGUUCUGGAGGCUAUUCGUAUCAGUUGUGCUGGAUUUCCUACUCGAAAACCAUUUGAUGAAUUCUUAAGUCGGUUUAAGGUCCUUGCUCCUGAAGUUUUAAAUGGAAGGUAUUAUUUGCAUUAGAAUUUAGCACAAUUCAAAGAGUUCUCAAGGUUUCUAUCCAUUUCUUUCUUUGGUCUGUUAACAUUUAGAAAUUUUCUGCUCUCAUGUUAAGUCUUCUCCUUGAUAGAAUUGACGAGGUUGCUGCUUGCGAAAGACUUUUAGAGAAAUCUGGCCUCAAAGGUUAUCAGGUACUGAUUGUCAUUCUUCUGGUAAUGGUUAAUCAUAAGUAGAAAAAUCAUUAAGAAUUAUCUAUUAAAGAGAGAUUAUGUUUAUGUGCUGAAUACUUCAGCCAGAAAUCAAGAAACAAUCAGUAAAAUAUCUCCCUAUUCUUCUUUCCUUUAGGCAAGAAAUUACAAAUAAAUUACCUACCUAAACUAAUAUAGAAUCUCUCUAAUGUAGAAACAAAAUAAAAUCCGGCUUCCUAGUCUAAGAACAGUUUCUUAGCCCAUUCAGGAUCUUUGAGAUCCAUCCCCAGAAUUAGGACAACUCGAAAUCGUGCUUAUUCCUUCUGCUCUGAAAGUUCAGUGCCUUUUUUCUUUUUAAUUGGAGUAUUUGGUCAUUUAGUUGCUGCGAUUUAGUUGAGAAUCUUGUGGGAAACCUGUAAUCAAGGUUUCCUACUCUCUUGUUACAUCAGAUUUUUGUUUGUAUUACAUAACUCAAUUUUGGUAUCAUCUGUUGGUAUGAUUCUGACUUCUGUUUAAGUUUAUAAAAAUUUUACUUGUGACGAUCAUUCUAUCUAUUAUUACGUAAUUGUAGGUUGGAAAAACAAAAGUGUUUCUUAGAGCUGGUCAAAUGCCAGAAUUAGACACUCGCCGAAAUGAGGUCCUUGGCAAGUCAGCUAUCAUAAUCCAGGGAAAAGUUCGCUCAUACUACGCUCGAAAAAAGUUUUUGUUGUUACGAGCUUCAGCAAUCCAAGUCCAAGCUGUUUGUAGGGGUAUGAACCUGCUUGAUUUCUAUAUUAGUUAUACGACCACAUGCCAACAAAAAGCUAGAUUGGCAGUGAGUACAUCCUGGGUCCUGCGCACACCGUCUGUGACACUGGGAUUUGUUUUCCUUUAAAUUCAAUAAUGCCUCUAAUGGUUCGCUUAUGCAAUAAAAAAAUGUAAUAACUGUUUCAUGAUGCCUAUGCAGGCCAGACCGAACGGGCUCUCUAUGAGUGCAUGAGGAGGGAAGCUGCCUGUCUGAGGAUCCAAAAAGAUGCACGCAAGUACAUUGCAAGGAGAUCUUAUGGAUUUCUGUGUGUUUCAGCUGUUUCCAUUCAAGCAGGACUGCGGGGCAUGGCUUCUCGAAAUGAGCUUCAAUUCAGAAAGCGAAAAAAAGCAGCUGUCUUUAUCCAGGUAAUAGAGGGACUUUGUACUGUCUUUUCUGAAUUUUUACAUACCAUUUCAGAGCCAGAUUUUUAUCCUGAUCUGGUUCAGCAUUAUGAUAAUUAGAAUUCAAGUAACGAAUCCAUUUUACAUGUUUUGACUGACACUUAGCUUUGCUGUAAUUUUUCUUACCUUGAUUAUAGAGUGAUUGGCGGAGAUGUGUGAAACGUCGGCAUUAUAGGAGGAUGAAGAAAGCAGCAGUUGUGUUACAAUGUUCCUGGAGAGCUAAAUUGGCCCGUAAAGAACUGCGGAAGCUAAGGAUGGUGAGAACUUCUCUUUCUGUUGGCCUUUAUUGUUCACAAUUUUUUUUGUAUGACAUGCUAGUUUGUUAUGCCCCUUGAUCUGUGUAACUUGUAUUUAUCAUUCAUUCUCCAAGUAUGAAGUUAUGACAGAAUAACAACUAGUUCUGAAUCAUUCAACGCGAAGCAUGAAUAUGUCAAAGUUAAAUAAUUGAAUAUCCAUGUCUUGUACUUGAAUUGCUGAAUGCAGGUCGCCAAUUUAUAUAUUCAACUGUUAUCUUGCAAGAAAACUCUCUUCAGUCAUUUUCCUCCUUUAAAUUGAUUUAAGAUUCUUUGAUGAAAUUCACAGGAUAGUACAUGAGAUUUCCCCAUGUUGAACUUGCAAAUCUAUAUCUGCCAUUGUUGGAUUCGUGUUUCACGGGGUGGAGUUCAAAACCUUGAUAAGUGCAUUAAAUGUCUUGAUUUUCUUUUCUGAUUCAGGCAGCUAAAGAAACUGGAGCUCUCCAAGAUGCCAAAAGCAAGCUGGAAAAGGAAGUUGAAGAGCUGACACAGAGACUACAGGUGGAGAAGCGCAUGAGGGUAAAUAAAUUUCUUUUAAUUUUCAAGAUAACUACCAGUAUUAUAAUUGAUAAUUAGGUUCUAAAAGUUUCAUUAUCUAUAAUGUCGUCCCUUCCACUCAGUUUGACGAAAAUGAGUUCAUCUUAUAUUUGUUCAGGCCCGUCUUUUCUGCACAUCACCGUGAGUUACAGGUCCUACACUUGAUAAUUGAGACAUAUAUCCAAUAGUAUUCCUAAACUUAAGGAAUUGAAAAUAGAUUCGAUUUACUGCAGCUUUAAUCACUUAGGCCUAUCAAAGGCAAAAACACUCCAGAAACUACUGAGGAACUAAUGGUUCACUCCCAGAUUCUCACUCAGAAAUCAAUACUCCUUGAAAUGAUGUACCUGAAGGAUCACUUUUUUGAAAAGAAGAAAGCUCGUAGCAUUUAAGAAUGUACAGAAUAUCUAAUGCAAGUUAAGAACCUGGAUGGGAUAUGCAUUUCUACAUGUAUAUAUCAAUUAACUUUGUUGAAUGAUUCUCAUGCAAACCAUUUUUUGAAGAGAAUGUCCAAUUUAGAAAUGCCUAGACAAUGGUGAAGUACUUUUAUUCUUUGAAUGAAUUAAUUUCACAAUGCAAUAAAGAAACAUGGAAAUGAUAAAGAGAUGCUAGUUUAUUAUGAGGAGAACUUGUUGACAGUUAGCGGAAAACUAGUAUUAUCCUAUAGUAGGCGUUGCUAGUUGAAAUGGUGUAAGUUGCUUAGUGUUUAAUCAUGAUAUGCAGGCUUCUGUUUGCGACCUAAUGUUGAACUAUGAUGCAUGAUAUUUCCAACAUGAUGAGCUACAAUGUUUAAGCACAAUGCUAGACUUUUCAUUGUGCAUCUUUUCCAGUACCCCAUUAUAUAUAUGGCAUAAUUCUGUUCUCCUCUAUAGCUAACAAUGAUCUAUAAACUUUUUCCGAAAAUGCUUCGGUUAUUAUUUUUUAUAUGUUUAGGACUCUGAAAUUCUGCAAACAUUUGUUUGUUGAAACAAAAAAAGUGAACUGGUGAUCGCCUAUCUUAGUGCUCAACUUCUGAAUCAAAAGAAAGCAUAUACUUGUUUCUGCUUAUGAUGCAUACAUGAUUGAAUUGUUGAUGAAAAUUAAUUUCACUAUGAAGUUGUUAUUGUUGGACUUUGGAGUUGGACCAAGGUAAAACAAGAUUUGGAAAAAUUAACAGAAAAUGUAAUGUGAUUCUAUUUCAUAGUAGCAACUUCUUUCUGUACCACUAACUGACAAAAAACUAUAUUAUAUAGGACAAACUUGAGGAAGCUAAAAUCCAGGAAACAAUGAAAUUACAGUCUGCAUUGGAAGAGAUGAGGCUUCAGCUUCAAGAAACUAAAGAGCUGCUCAAGAAGGAACGUGAAGCUGGCACAAAGGUCGUGGAUCAAGGGUCCGUUAUACAAGAGGCCAAGGUUAUAGAUCAGGGGGUGGUCACAGAGGAACGUGCGGCUUCCACAAAGAUCGUGGAACAGGGAUCAGUUGUAAAAGAGGUCCAGGUUAUAGAUCAGGUGCAGGUCAACAAGCUUACAGCUGAAACUGAGAAGCUUAAGGUUAGAAUGUGAGGUUUAACUUUGUUGUAUUACUUAAUGGAUAUUGGAUACUUUAUUUGAAGUUCAAAAAGUAUAUGAAGUAAUCCUGACAGGGAAAGUUUUUCUAUUGUUUCAAAUUUGUUCUUUUAUCCUCUGUUUUCUCACUCAAGAUUAUAUCCAUUACAGCUUCUGAUGCAUAAUUUUCAUAGUUCAGUUGUCGAACUGGCUUUUAAUAUCUUGUCAAAUUCGUCGCAGGUUCUUGUUAACUCAUUGGAAAAGGAAAUUGACGAAAAAGAGAAAAAAUAUGAGGAGACAGUCAGAGUAAGUAGUGAGCGACUGAAGCAAGUUCUGGAGGCCGAGUCUAAGAUAAAUCAGUUGAAGGAUGCCAUGCAAAGGUAAUGAAAUUUUACUUAUGUCAGUUUCUUUGUUUGAAACAGUCUUCCCUUACUUGUUCUACCUUUAUAUGGUUUAGUAUUAAUCUGGGAUUAUCAAUCAUAGUUUCUCUAAAGCAGAAUGUCAAUUAUGACAUCGUCCUUCGUUCCGCAUAGUUGAAUGGUCCAACAAUAACAACUACGCCUCAGUGCCAAAUAAGUUGGGGAGUUGAAUGGUCUAAGUUUAAUAUUUUUAAUUCAUGAUAUACCUACUAAAAAUUAACUGCAUAAACCUCCUAGCAGAUUCAUGGUUCAAUUGUUUCAAUCCACCUUAGCUUCCUCCAAAUUGAAUCUAAUAUGUAGUUGACCCAAAAUUGCAUUUUGAUCUCCGCUGAAUCCAGAUCCUCUCAUAACUUUUGCAAUUGUUGGUAUUUUGUUGUCAAUACAGUUCUAAGUUAGUUUGAAUUUCGCACCAAUUUAGAUCCUUAUUUUCCCAUCUUUUUCAUUUGAUACUGAUUGAGAGAACCACAGUUCGAAAGAGCUGCUAAUGAAGGAUCCUGAGGCUGCCACAAAGUUGUUGGAAGAAGUAGAGUUCCAGGUUGCAGAUCAGGACGUAUCGGGCAAGAUUAGCGCUGAAAAUGAGCAGCUCAAGGUGAAGAUGUUAGAUUUACAUUGUGAUGUACUACUUAAUAGAUGCUCUUCUUGAAUUUCAAUAAUUACCAGAAAUUGUGGUCGGGACCAGUUUUCUUGCUGCUUCUAAUUUUCUUAUCUUGUUUACUUUUUUCUUUCAUAGGAUUAUAAAUCCAGGAUUGCAGUCUCGAUGUGUGAUUAUCAUAAUUCAGUAAUUGAACUAGCUUUUAACAUGCUUAUUAUAUAUGUUGCAGGUUCUUGUUAGUUCAUUGGAAAAGAAAAUUGAUGAAACAGAGAAAAAAUAUGAGGAAACAAGCAAAAUAAGUGAGGAGCGAUUGAAGCAAGCUCUGGAUGCAGAGGCUAAGAUAAUUGAGUUGAAGCUUAAUAUGCAAAGGUUGAAAAGUUUUUCAUAUAUGGCUUGGUUUCUUCAACAGCUCUGGCCUCUUAUCUUAUUUGUUCUUUUCAAAAUAUGGUUUUGUAUGUCAUUUAAAUAUGGUAGCUGUUAGUCUUAAGCUGGAACUGAAUCAGUAUUUUAUCGUCGUACCCAUACCUAUGUCACAACAUGUGGAUCAAGCUUGAAAAAUGCUUGUUAUAUCAAUCAGCUGUUAAGUUCAAAUUGGUAACUACAGACAUUAACGAAGAACCAAAUCAUAGAUUGCCUAUGAUUUGCAUUGAAUAUGACAGCUGGUUUACUUGGGGUUCAUGAAUAUCAAUAGCCAGUGUUCUUGAGAGGUUUUUUAGCUUUUGUAAAGAUUUGAACUUUUUGGGUAAAAAUUCAAAUUGUAGUUUAACCUAGUCAAAUCUGUUCGACUAAAGCAGAUGACGGAUCCAUGUAUAUUGCUUCUGUGUGUUCUCCAAUAUUUCUUUUAUAGCUUCUCUUCUUCUUAGAGCAAAAUUUCAACAUAAUCCAUCAUAUUUGUACAAGUUAAAUUACAGGAUUCUUUAUCAUGUGAAAUAAGUUAGUUUGAAUAUCUUUUUUAACUUAACAUUUGUAUCUCAGGCUUGAAGAGAAACUUUCGGAUAUAGAAGACCAGCAGAUUCUUCGACAGCAAGCGUUAAAUUUACCAACUGGAAGAACUUCAAGUCGUUUUGCAGUAAAAACUCUGCCUCUGAUGCCAUAGAAAUGCCAAUCUUUUUUUCAUAGCUUUCUUGUGCGUUUCCUCACUUUUUUAAAACUUUUUUCUGUUUUCCUCCUGCAGACUUCUGAAAACGGUCAUCAUGUAAGUGAAGGAUUCACCUAUUUAGUGCUUUGUUAUAUACUUCCUCUUUCCCAAUGUAUGAUACUCUUGUCAUUUUAGUACAUCCCAAAACGUUCGACACCAUUCCAUUUCUGAACAACUUUCACUACUUUUAAGAAUUCAAAUUCAUUUAAGUGUUCAAGUUUUAAAUAUUGAGAUGAUGUUUUCUCUAUCAAACUAACAUUUUAAAUAAUACUCUAAUGUUUUCUUACACUAUCACUAGUAUAACAUAUAAGUUAAAUUAACAUCUUAAAUACUGUGUGCACUCGAAUAGUCAUAUAAACUGGGAUGAAGGGAGUAACAGUCAUGUUGGUGCUUUGCAUAAUGUCUGUUCUGACAUGAUGACCGUUUUCAGGAACCACUGGCUGCAGUACCAUCAAGAAGGUUUGGUACAGAUUCAAUGAGGAGAUCCAAUGCGGGAGCAACAAAAUGGUUUGGUACAGAGUCUAUGAGGAGAUCCAUGGCUGAUAGGCAGCGGGUAUGUACCCAGGAAGUGAUUAAAUAUUUUUCAAUCAGAUUUCUUUUUCUGUUUGCCAUCUUUCUCCGAUUUCGCACUUUUUGGGAAUAUAUGGAACAAGAUAUCUUAAAAUUGGAGUUCCUAAAACAUGCUAUACAAACAUUUAUUUUAAAAGGCUUGUGGUUUGAACUCUAUUGUAUGAGUGAGAUUCACAGAUACCGAGUUGAUGGCUUAGUCAAAAUCUUUCCCGAAAGAAAACCAGGAUUAAACAUUAUCUUUGAUUUAAUGAGAAGUGGGGAAAAGAUAAGGCUGAUUGAAUUUCUUUUCUCUGAUGUCGCUAAGAGGUUGAUACAGCUGAACUUUUUCCUUUUCUGGUGGGGGAUGGGCGUUCAAACCCUUCCAAUUUUAUAUUUCUUCUUCCUUAUCUUCACCCUCAUUCCUGUAUUAUACCUUGUACUUCCUUGUUCACUGUCUAUAAUGAACAAAUAAAGAGUGCUGAUACACUCCAAACUUCUCUUGAUGCAUCUUGAAAACUACCUUCCUUAGCUUUUUCUUUCUCAGAAGUUAUGUUAUACCUAUAAAAAAGAGAAAAUCUACUGCAGAAGAUAGUAUCGGAAGGACAUAGCUGCAUAUGUUUAUCGAUGGAGUUCCCUUUUAAUCCUAAACCCUGGGCAGAAUGCUUUUUAAUUUUUUUUUUGAUACCGAGAAAUCCAACUGUAGCCAACCUUUAGGACUAGCCGCUACCUUGGAAACUCAGGGAUAAUAGGACUUCCCCUCUACCCUUAUCAACUUGAGUAUUAGGCUUAGUUAUCUUGGCGUCAGGCUUGAACUUGUGACCCAUGCCUCAAAUUGCUGUACCUUUUCCAAGUGAGCUAAUCCUUGGGGACUGAAUCAAAUGAUUUUAUGUGUGUAUGCAAUGCUUAAAGAUGUAGACAUGCAUAUACUGUUCUGCAUGAGUACAAAAACAUUGAGUUGUUUUUCUAAUUUCGUGUUACUAGUUUUUGAGAAGUUUUAUUCACAGCGGCAUAAUACAUCAGCACAGUAAAUAUUCCUCCACUUUAUUGUUGUAUGAAUGUGGUGAUCCCGUGGCUACUAAUUCUAAUAUCUUCUUUAACAUUAUGUUGCAGGAGAGUGUGGAUAUUCUUAUCAAAUGUGUCAGUCAAGAUCUAGGGUUCAGUGAAGGGAAACCAGUGGCAGCAUUUACCAUAUACAAAUGCCUACUUAAUUGGAAUUCCUUUGAAGCAGAAAAAACUAACGUGUUCGAUCGUCUUAUUCAGAUGAUUGGUUCUGCGAUAGAGGUAACUUUCAAUAUCAUGUCGAAAUCAGCGAUCAUGUUGUAUUGUUCGUAGGAGUUCAUGAGUCAUAACAUAAGUGUAAUACACAUACUAGCCUGUAUUAUACUGCUAUGUCAAAAAUGCUGUCUCUCUAACUCAAUGACAAACAUAUAUACUCAUUUUAUAUCAAUUUCAGGAUGAGACAAACAAUAAUCACAUGGCGUAUUGGCUGUCCAACAGUGCAACUUUGUUGUUUUUACUUCAGCAUACACUGAAAACUACUGAUUCAGCUCCAAGUAGACCGCCCCAACCAACAUCAUUUUUUGGUAGAAUGGCACAGGUACUUGAUUCUUUCUUUCAUCUCUAUUAUUAAAUGUGCUCCUAAAGCUAUUGAAUUGAAGUUUCUGUUGGCUAUACAUUUUGCAGUAUUACUUUGUGUAUUUGAAAGCACUUCUAUAGAAAGUUUCUGCAGCUAUUAUUUGAGUUCCCUGUUACUUAACAAAAUUGAACAUGUCUCUGAUGCUACUAUUGAUGUUGAAGAUCUGAGGUGGAAAAUAGAAAACAGAGAGAAAUAACUGUAUUGAUAUGUGUCAUAAACUGUUUCAUAAGUAGAAGAAAACUAGGAACACAAUAUACAAAAUACGGUGGUGCAUUUAUUGGACUGCUAUGUAUUAAGUUGGAACCAGUCCUUGACGACCGAACACGUCCAUCAAACUCAUAAUGGUGAACUCACUUGAGGUUGAAAAGUAAUAGUGUAAGAUCCUUGUCUGUCUAGUGUGUGAUGGAAGGCUGAAGCAUGCUCUUAGUAGUUGUUAAAGAUAGAUUGCGGAACAAGCAGAGAUUGGAACAUAGUUCCUUUAUGUAUAUUUUGGAUGAUUCGAAUUGAAAUCAAAUAUCAAUGUUUUGUGGGAACAAAGCAUACUUCAUAAUUGAAGUUUAGAUAUCUUCAAAAUAAAAAAGAAACUGAUGGAAAGGAAGAGGAGGAAGUGAAGCUGGAGCAGAUGGAAACUACAAUAACAACAUACCCAGUGUAAUCCCACAAGUGGGGUCUGGGGAGAGUAGGAUGUACUCGGACCUUACCCCUACCUUUUUGAGGUAGAGAGGUUGUUUCCGAUUGACCCUCGGCGUAGAAGAAUUGCAAGAAUAAUAUAACAACAAAAUAGCAACACCAAAGCAAAAAGAGAUUCACAUAAUAUUAAAGAAGCAUAUAAAUCAAAUAAGAUGACAGACUGAACAUAUGGCUAACAGAUCGAGAUACAAAUCAGUCGAAAUCAUUCACCAUACAAGAAAGAUAAACGAUGGAGUAGUGUCCCAAGACCUUUAUAUAAAUCCCCUUGGAAGUCCUUACAUAACCUAUGCGAGACAACAAACAAAUCAACAUCCUUUUGCACAUUUAACCCAAUACUUGGAGUUCAGUGAUCUGUAUUACUGACUUACCAAUGGCAAAUAGGUUUGUCAAAGGUUGACUCUGAUAGCAUGUCAAAGAAGAUGAGCUUCCAACCUAAUACAUCAAGGCCAUGAGUGGAGUAGUCCAAGACCCUUAUAAACCUUUGAGAGCCCUUACAGAACCGAUGUCAGACAAUCAGAAGAUUUCAGAAGGCAGAGUCGGUAGAAGUUAGGAGGGAUAAUUUUCUAUAGUUCAUGAACUAAUUGUAUAUAUAUUCUGUGCGCUGAUCUGAAAAUGGUACCAUGCUUAAUAUCUGUGAUGAAGAGGAAGUGAAUUAGAUGUAACACCGCACCAGUAGGCGGAAAUAAUUUUCAAAUUCUCAUACAGAUUGAAUUGGAUCAUAUAGAGUGAUGAAGAUCUGAAUGACGGGGAAGGAAUAAGGAGAACUAGCCAUAUUGAUUCUAACUUUAUUAAUAUGAUAUACAAUAUUCACUUAUAUAUAGGUGUGAUGCACUAUGUAAGAUACAAUCCUGCAUUUAUUUCACCAUUGAUUUACUUUUUAGGUGACCUCCUGUGUCCUAACUUUCUAGUAGUUUUUCUACUCUUAUCCUGCGAAUUUCCAAGAUAGACCAUGUAACUGUUACUUGUUUACAGCUGCAUUGGUUGGACAUUAGUAAAUCUCUCUCUGUAUAAAACAUACUAGUAGCCUAGAAUGAGGUAUAUGCAGGUUAUUUAAAACAGAAUUCCAACACAUUUCUUCAGAAAAUUUAUUGAUUAAAUGAUUGUACUUCUUUUCUAGAGUUUCCGGUCUUCAUCUGUCAACCUUGCAAUUGGUGGUCUCGACACUGUACGUCAGGUUGAGGCAAAGCAGCCAGCUUUACUUUUUAAGCUACAGCUCAGUGCUUAUGUCGAAAAGAUUUAUGGAAUUGUUCGAGAUAACUGGAAAAGAGACCUGUCUUCACUGCUGACUUCAUGUAUCCAGGUAAAUCACCAUGUUUUCUAGAAGUUCUAUGAGGAUGUUUUAUAUAUAUGUGUAUGUUCUGUACAUAUAUGUAUGUAUUCUGAACAAUAUGAAUAAUAUCAUUUGAUGCUUGUUAAUAAAAGAAUAUCUCUCAAGUAAGUCCUCUUCUCAAAUGGCACUUCUCCCUAGCUCACAAGGACUAACUGCACCAUAUUCACUGUUGCUUUCAUUAGGAUUCUGGUUUAUCUUGAUUUCAUGGCCCUUUCAAAAAAAUUCUGUUGGAUCUCAAAAUUGUGAUAAGCCGUUGUGCUUGUAACUUAAUUGUAUUUUGACUCAAAACUUCUUCGGGUUAUGGUCUUUGUACUUCAUAUAUUCAAACUUCUAAUUAUACUUGCACUUCCCAUCUUAAUUAGGCAUCUCAAGCAUCAAAAGGUGGAUCCUUGCAAUCACCACGGAAGUCCGUUGAUGGUUCUUCUCCACCCACUCCCUGGGAUGGAGUAAUUGAGAGCCUAAAUGGGCUUCUCAGUACACUGAAAGAAAACUGUGUAAGUUUCAUUGUAGGAAACAGUGUGAUGUGCUAAUAUUACUAAAACUGAUGAGUGGACUUGUGAAAUUUUUCAGGUUCAUCCAGUUUUCGUCCAGAGAAUUCUAAACCAGAUAUUCUCUUACAUAAAUGUUCAGCUGUUCAAUAGGUACAUUCUUUUCGUAUCUCAUAGCAGGAAGAUUAGAAAGAAACUCAUAGAUACUCCACUUACCAUUCUAUUUAAUCAUCAUUGCAGCCUUCUCCUUCAAAGAGAGUGUUGUACAUUCAGCAGCGGGGAGUAUGUGAAAGCUGGAUUGCAAGAAAUAGAACUUUGGUGCGGCAAUAUGAAAGAAGAGGUACUGUAUCAUUAGUACUGUAAGGGUACAUUGUUCGUAGAUUAAUAUAUAUGAACUGUAUUUACAUAUAAUUUAUCUUUUCCUUUCGCAGUACGUUGGUUCUUCUUUGGAUGAAUUAAAGCAUGCAAGGCAGGCAGUAGGAUUUUUGGUAUGUUUCUCCAAUGAACCUUUUUUUUUUUUUGGAAAAAUGUCGCUCUGCUUCAUAGCCUAAUAAUGCUCGUCUUACAUUUAAGUAUGAUUUUACGGGAACUCUUUUCUGUUACUUGCAAGUGACACCACAUAUAUGGAUAUUUAACUCCCAUUUUGAGAUUAUCUAUCACCGAACCCCUUCCAUAUAUUUUUCCCUAUCUAAAUAGCUCCUUUACAGGUUAUUAAUCAGAAGUCAAGACUUACAUCUGAAGAUCUAACAACUGAUCUCUGUCCCGUAAGUUCAUCUUCGUAGUCUUCUUAGUUGUACUUAAUUUAGAGAUUCCAAAUAUUGAUAAUACAUGGCGGUUCCAGGCUGCCACUUCUGGAAGUCGUGUUCCUUUGUUAGUUAUUUGAGUGCUAAAACAAAGAAUCCUAUUGGAGAAUUUUAUGAAGUGUAUAUAGAUCGACAGGGACUUAACCGAAUUAUUUAUGGUGUUAAAAUAUUGAAGUUAAUUUUCAUGCUACGAUACGAGUCCUUGACAUUUAUCUUGUCACAUUUGUGCAUCUGUCACUGAAUGUCUUUUUUCUGUUGGGAUCAUCUUUUCAGAUUCUGAGUAGUCAACAGUUGUAUCGGAUAUGUACACUUUACUGGGACGAAGAUUUUAAUACUCAAGGUGUAUCCCCAGAGGUAAGUCCUCCUUUCUUCAUUUAUUUUAUUUCACUCAAUGUCUUCUAUUGAUUAUGUGUAUAAGGAAUGCUCCUUCGAGACGAUCUGUUAGUCGACUAAUGUAUAUCAAUAUAAGAUAUUGGUUUGCAUCCUCCAACUGUUUGUCUUUCUGAUUAUUUUCUUCUUUCGGGGACGCUAAACCUUAGCUUUAACGUUUCCCCCUCUCUCUCUCAAUGGCAAAUUUUAACUGAACUUUUCUGCAUUUGGAUCCUAAACCAUACUGCUCGGAACAGGUCAUUUCCAGUUUUAAGGAUCAAGAAAAAGAAGACGCAAAGAAUGCAGAUAAUGCAAAUGAUGCAGAUAACAACUUUAUAUUGGAUGAUAAUUCCAGGUACUUCAUUAAUCUCAUUUGCUAUCAAAAUCUAUGUUGCUCGGACUCUUCAAAAAUACUGACAGGUGCAUGUUGUAUCCUCCAAAAGUAGUGCAUUUUUUGAGAGUCCGAGCAACAUAAGGUCAAAAUGACAAUAGAUCCUAUUCUAUCAUUCAUCUAUUUGCUACCAAUGCAGCAUUCCAAUCUCUGUUGAGGAGAUUAACAGUUCCCUCAAGGACGUUGAUUUCACCGGUGUAAAACCUGCAAAUGAACUGCUUGAAAAUGCAGCCUUCCAAUUUUUACGCGAAUAAGGCUGAGUUUUCUCCAGCAUGAAAUGCAUGUUUUGUUGGAACGACGUUGUCCAAGUCUCCACGCCAUGAAUACCAACUAUUGUACAUCCAUCAACCUAUUCAUUUUCCUUCCAGACGCGUCUGUUCGUUAUACUGUAACAUCCAAUGCCCCUUGUAAAGUUGCUCAAAAUGUAGUCUUCUUGUAAAAUUGUAGGUCUAGUUUUAGAUAGGAGAAAAGGGGGGAUAAAAGUGAGGAAAUUUUCCAACUUAGAGCUUGUUCCAUUUAGUCUUUUUGUCAUUCAUUUUAGAGUUGUCAUUAGCUAGAUUUUUUGUAACAAGGACUAAUUGGAGUACAAUAUUAUUGUAAAGAGCAAAAAUGGCCAAUUCAGUGUCUCUUUUUUCCCUCUCUUUUCAUUCAAAAUUAUCAUUUCAUACACGAGUCCCAGACUCAACUUGUGAAAUUACACUGAGUAUAUUGUUAUUUUUACACGAGUACGCGAUUUAAGUGGCAAAUUACUAUUACCUCCUUUCCAUUAUAUUAGUUGCAACAUUAGCCAGUGUUGAGAGAUCUCUUGAAAGUCAUCUUUUUUUUGCAUAUGGACACCUAGUAGAGGCUAUAUAGUAAAGAUUCCUAUAUGAAAUUCUUUUUACUCCCCAAAAGAGGGAGACAUGCGACAGAGGCGUAUCAAGGAUUUCGAAAUGAUGAAUGCACUAUUAUGAGAAGGUGGAUUUAAACGAUUUGACAUUUAGGUUCUUAUCAUUGAAAACAAUUGAAAAUAUUAAAUUAUAGGUCCAAAAAUUGAAAUGCUUGAUUAAUUAAAACGCUAAAAGUACUAUCAAUAACCACUUAGAGAGGUUUAUCCAAUUUUAGAAAGGAAAUGAAGAUAGAUAUAAAUUUCAAAGGGAAAAGGGUCUGAUAUACCCCUCAACUUUGUCAUUUGGAGCUGAUACAUCCCUCGUUAUGAAAGUGGCUCAUAUAUGCCCUUACCGUUAUACAAAUGGCUCACAUAUACACCUACCGUUACAAAAUGGCUCACAUAUACCCUUCAUUUGACGAAAGUUAAAUAAUUAGUUUUAAAUUUAUAUUUAUUACUUAUAAUUUUUAAAAAAAAAUUAUUUAGUGGUACAUAUGAUUCUUCUAUAAAAGUUCAAGGUAUAUUUUUUAAUUUUUUUCAUACAUAAAUUAUUUUUUGACUUCUUUUAUUAUAAUUAUUUGAGUUUCUUAUCCUUAUUUUGUUUUUUUCUUUCAUUCCUUAGUUUAAAGAAAAAAAAUUAAACUAUUGUUUUGUGUGUAUUGUAAUUUAAUUUCGUAUUCGGAAAAAAUUUGGUCAUCUACAAUAAGUUUUACAAGAAUAUUAGUGAAACAUAAAUAAAUUUGAUUAUCAAAAUAAUAAUUAUAAAUUAGUCAUUGAAACAAAAAAAAAGUCAAAAAAAAAUAUGUUUGACGAGGAUUUAUUUUACUCAUAUGGAAUUAUAUUUUUUAGAAAAAAAUAAUAAAAAUUUAGAUUGAAAAUUAUUAUUUUUUCAUUUCCGUUAGAGGAAAAGGGUAUGUGUGAGUCAUUUGUUUACAAGUAGGGGUAUAUAUGAGCCACUUUCAUAACAAGUGGUAUAUCAGCUCUAAAUGACAAAGUUGAGAGGUAUAUCAGACCUUUUUCCCAAUUUCAAAUUUCUACCCUCACUAAUAGGUGCACCUAAUCAUAGUUGCAUUAUAUGAUACUCCGAGUGUGGAUUUACACAUCUAAAUACAAAAAAUUAAAAAUAUAACACUAUUAUAUAUGAUUUUGGGAACGCGGUGACCCCCUCCUCAUACACCUCUGUGCCGAUAUAUACAGUUUGCCCAAAUAUGGUUGAGAUAUACAAAAUCUAUACAUUGAUAAUGUAUAUUAUAUGUAUAUGAUACUAAUAUAUACGAAUUAUAUACAUUUUUUCUGGCUAUUUUGUAAAUUAGAUCGCCUAAAGACGUUGAACUCUAACUAUUAUCUCAUAAAGCUCAAAGAAAUGGGCUUACAUUUGAGAAGACUACUUGGGAUUGGGCUCAGUGUGAGAUUGGGCUUAAUGUAUUGGGCUUCAUUUCUGUUGCUAUUGGACUGAACACAAUCCAAACAUAAGCCCAAUAAAACAACACCUCAUUUGUGUUUGGUAAGAUAUUACACGCAACGACGACGUUAAAAAUGGAUAGUCUUGAACUUUUGACCCGCACUUUUUCCUAUGAGCAAACCUUCAAGAUCGGAAGUCAAAAGUUUAGCCAUUGACCUAACGCCAACGAGGUAAAAAAAUUCAACAUCGCUCAUUUCACUGUCAUUACUUGUGAAUCUUCCGUUCUUUGUUUAUUUGUAUCAGAAAAUAUUUCGAUUCAAUAAUUUCAUUGUCGGAAAUGGGACAUGCUUAAAAUUUCAUAAAAUACAAUGAUUUUUUUUCCAAUUCUCUAAGCUUAUCUCGAUUUAUAGGGAGAAAGUCGAAACACAAUAAAAUCAAUAGACCCGCUAUCUAAUCACCUAUUAAGAAUAUUCUUUAAUAAAUCAUCAUUUGGUAUGAUUAAUGCAUGAUCACCAUUUAUGAAUUAAUUAUCAUAAUAUUAAUUAACACAGUACUUAACUUAAUUUUUUUUAUGAUUUUGUUGUGUAUUUAUGUGGUCCUAAAAUGGCUUGGGAUUUCAUUAUGAGAUUUGUUUGUCUAAUAAUUAUGAAUAUUUAAUAUAAUUUUUCAUCAUAUAACUUUCAAUAAUUCCCACUGAGCAUGUCAAUUAUACAUGAUUAACUUCUUCAAACUUCUAAUAUAUAUCUCAAAAUUUAAUAAAAAACUAAUUUAUAAAGCAUGGAAGGUGAAUACAAAAAUCUAUUAGAAAUUCAACCGUUUAUAUAAUAACAAUAUAUUCAAUAUAAUUCUGCAGGUGAGAUCUAAUAAACUUAGAAUGUAUGCAUAUUUUAUCUCCGCGACCUAUUUAUCUGCUCAAAUUCGAUAAUCACAUCACAUUAAAAAAUCAAAAUAAAUUAAUUCCAAAUGGGAUAAUUUGUCACAAUUAUUAAUCUUAAUUAAUUUAACUUUAGCUGCAAAUGCCAUGUUAAAUUUUGUUAAGAAAUCCAUUGACUAAUUAAUUUAAUUUUAGUAAUGAUCUAAAAGAUUAACUAUUCUUAGGGUCAUGUGUAAUCACAUGAAUUUCCAUGUUUUCUAAUUGAUUCCUUUAAUAUCUUUAAUUAAUUUGACUUAUCACAUGAUAUAAAUAUAUCAAAUAUUUUAAUGGGUUUUCAGUUAUUACAGUUAUGGAGUUAGUUGCAUUAAAAUCAUAUAAUUUUAUAGUACAAUCACACAACUGAAUAUAAGAAAUUUUUUAUUAACUUUUUUUUUUGUUAAUAGCACUUUUGGUCCUUCAAUUAUUAAUAAAUUCUAAUUUUGAUCCUUGUUAUAUUUGACUCAACACAUUUGAUAUUUAACUGAUUGAUAUGUGUCUUUGAUUCCUUUAAAUAUUCAUAAAUAUAUCAUAAAUAUUAGCCGUUCCACGAAUUAAUUAAUUAUCAGUGCGUUAUGUUAAGCUUGUAUUGUUACUCUAUAUUUAACGAUAAUAUAAUUCUUUCUUGCCUAAUAGGACUAAAACAUACAUUUCGAUUUAUUGAUGGUUAAAUGUACAAUGACCGCACUCAAAAAUCUAACUGAACACAUUUAACCUUCAAUAAUUGAAAUGUGCAAUUUUUUUCUAUCAUGUUGCUUGUUAAUAUUCACAAAUAAUUCAUCGUAAUUAUUAAUCGUUCCACCAUUUAAUUAUUCACGUGCUGUGUUAAAACUUUUACUCUUAUUAGUCCAUACUUCUUACAUACACUGGCUAAAAAAUACAUUUCAAUUAAUUAAAAGUUAUAACAUAUGCUUCGUCAGAUAUCUCAAAGAAUCGAAAUCAAAAUAUACUUAUAAUUUGAGGACACAAUUAUAUUAUCCCCACUUAUUUAUUUAUUUAUUUAUUGUGGGACAAAAUGUUCUUGGGAAAUUAAAUUGAAUCUAAACUUGAGAGUUUAUUUAGGUUCUUUGGAUUGAGUCAUAUUAUUGAUUAAUUAUUAAUUAAAAGGAUCUGUGAAAACUUUGUCCUUUGAACAUGAAAUCUAGAAAUGGCUUCACAACAAAGUUAAAAAAAUCUAACAUCUUAAUUCAAUGAACUAUUAAGAGAUUUAAGACAUUAUGAUGAGACCAAAAAUAUAAAAAGUACUUUUCCCAAGAAAGGAAAAAAAUGAUUGAAGAACAAGUUAUUAUAAUAUGGUCUUGUUUACUAGCAUUUAUGACAAAAUUGUAUUUAAUGGACUAUGUAAUUUGUGAGAAAAAAGGAAAAAAAUGAUUGAAAAUGCAUUAAGCAAAAGAUGUAAAAUUAUUACGAUAUAAUUGCCUAGCUUACAAGUGAUAUUGUCUAUUCUGGAUAGUUACGAAUAGUAUAAGAAUCAAUUUUAUGUCAGUUUUGUCGAUGUAGAGUUCAACUAAGUGAGAACUACUUUAAAAUUAUUUUUGUUAUUAUCCGGCUUAUAAAUAACAUUAUCUAUUUUAAAUCGUUAUGAAUGAUAUUAGAGGCAAUAAUUUGUUUUGAAUAAUGGCAAACGUGGUAUAUCUCAAACUUACGUUUUUGAUCGUCAAUUUCAAAUAAUGUACCAAGAUUUUAAUUACUCUUUUAUUAAAUAAUAAAUUCAUCCUAAUUAGCCUUUAUAGGUGUCAUCUGUCAACCAUGAAAAUUCAGUAUUUACACAGAUUAAAUAAAUACAUGACAUAUUUUUUCAUAAUACAUAUAUACAUAUCACUAAAUCAUAUGUUAAUAUUUAACAUGUGUGUCACUAUAAUAAAAAUAACUUUUAGCAGCAAUAAAUAUUAAUAUUAAUGUAGAGUGUUAUAGUCUUUACCAGCAUUAGUUAAAUGUCAUUAGAUUCAAUUUCGAUAAAUAUUUUAGGAAUAUAUACAAAGAGUACUAUUAAAUAAUUACCGCUAAAAAUACAUAUUUAACAUCAAUUAAGAAUUAAUUGCCGCUAAUUUUUUAAUAUAGUGUGUGUGUCUUAACAUUUAAUUAACUUAAAUUAUGAUAAAUUAGUAUGAUUUGAUAUAGACGUCAAAUACAUGUAAAUUUUAUCAUAAAUUACAAUUAAAAGACCGUUUAGUCGAAUAUUAUAAAUAACUUUUCUGAUAGCAAACAUUUUAUUCAGUAGUUUUUUUCGAUGCAAAUUCAAUUUAAUCAGAACGAUGACAUUAUAUAACGUACGGAUACUUAUUUAAAGAAAAACAAUAGCGAGAAAAAAACAAACAAGACAUUAAUCUAAUAUGUAUAGUAUUUAAACACAAGUUGCGCCUGAAGUCAUUAAGUCGAUAUUAUUUUCUAAGUAAUGUUCUUAUCUUUUCAUUAUUCAUCAAAACAACAUAAGAUGUACACACAAAGAAAACAUCAAAAUUGAGGACAACAUGAAGAUCUUAAGGGAAGUUGGUAAAAACAAGAAAAGAUUUUUGAGUAUUCCCUAGAUAAUUGCUUAACAUAAUUAUUGAUAGAGUUUAUAGACAUUAAUUUGACUUAAUAGAAAAACAAGUCUUCAUUCAUUCAAAUUCAAAUAUCAAUUGACCUCAUUAACUGAAUCUAAUUAUUGGAAAAACUGCCUCAAUUGAAUGUGCAAAGAAUGAUUCAUAACUAAUAUUAACUAAUUAAUUAUGUGCUCUUACACAUGCACUUCUUUUUGAAUUACUCAGGUCCGAUUAAAUCUGAAUUCACGCAUUAUAACAUGUUCAUUUCUAAGAGAUAAUACUUUUAAUAUGGUUUUUUUCUUUCGUGUCCAAAAUCUCAAAUCUAAAACCUCUGUGAGUAAAAAUACGUUAAAUCAUUCCGCCACAAUCCAGAUUAGUUAGACAUGCACUUAAUUAAUUCCAUGGUCAAUGCCAUUCAUAAGUGUAUCAAGUUUUAAUUUAUUGUUUUGAAUUAGUGAGGUUCAAUUGAAUCUGAAUUCACGCAUUAUAACAUAUUUAUUUCUGGAAGAUAAUACUCUCAACACAGUUUUUUUUUAUAUCCAAAAUCUCAAAUCUAAAACCUUUAUGAGUAAAAAUACGUUAAAUCAUUCCACCACAAUCCAGAUUAGUUAGACAUGAACUUAAUUAAUUCCAUGGUCAAUGCCAAUCAUAAGUGUAUCAAGUUUUAAUUUAUUGUCUUUUUUUCCCCUCUCUUUCUUGUGUCUUUUGACCAUGGCUUCUAUAAUUAGAACAUGACAAAUGAUUUAGGUACCAACUUGUGUUUGUUAAUUCUCAAAUCACAUGAUUAAUUAAUAUAAGAAUAGAUUAAGCUUAUUUAAUAUGUUAAAUCCAAUUUACUUAGUUUUUUUUUAAAAAAAAAUUAAUGUUGGGUAGGGCUACACCAUGGAAAAAAGGAAAUGAUUAUUGGUAGUUGUGCAUAAACAUAUGAAUAUAAAAAGUGGUAGAGAAUCUGAUGCAUGUUCUAAAGCUACUUAUAAGCAUGUAAUUAAACAAUAAAUAUAUAUUAAUCAGAUCAAAGGCGUAUUUAGAAUUUAAAGUUUAUAGGAUUUAGAUUUAAAAUUCUAUCGCGACUUAUCUGCUCCUAUAAUUUAGUGGUUUUGAAUUCAAUUAUUUGUAUUUAUUUAAUGUACUUUAACACGUAAAAAAAGCGAAUCAAAUUAAGUUAUUAAAUUCAUCGAAACAUGUAUAUAUCUCACCUUCUAAAUUCGCGCUUGUUUAGGUCUAGUUAUAAACAAAUCAAUUGUUUUAUUGGUUUGCUUUGUCUCAAGAAUCUUGAUCAAUUGCCUCAAAACAAACAUCGAUCGAUCUCAAUAAUUCAUAAAUUAAAUAUUCAGAGGUGAAUUCUGGAUAUAAAUUUUAUUCAGGAGGUAAUUAUAUUAUAGUAAGCUUAUGGCAUAUAUUAAUGUCUAGUUUGUCCAUGUGAACUUGUGUCAUGUCUCGUAAAUCUCUUUCUGCUUACAUUCCAAUAUGAAAUUUGCCUAAUUAAAUGUCUUUACCCCUAUUUUUUCCUAAUUUACUGAUUUUCGAUAAUCCUUGAUUUUAUACGAUCAAAUUUUUAUUAUUUAGUGACAUAAUAUACUCCACGCUAACUUAUUUUCUCCAUUUUUUUGUAAUAUUACGAGAUAUUAGAAAUGUAAUUGAACCUUCCUAUUUAUGACUUUUGUUAGUAAUUUUAAAAUUCAAUUAUUAGUAAUAUCUACUAUAGAGUUGACUUUUUUUUUCUAUUGAAUAAUUAAGGGGUCAAAGUGCUUUAAUUUUGACUCUACGUGGAAACAUCAUAAAACAAAAUUUUACUAAUUAAGUAGUAUUAAAAAUUGAUCAACGCGUUUGCUUCUUUAUAUCAAGCAAAAAUAAUAAAAUGUUGCCUAAAACAGAAAGUAGGAUUUAUAAGAUCUUUUACUAUUUUAUAUAUUUAUAAAAGUGGUUAAAUACAUUAAAUAAAUGAAAUUAUCUUUACAUUGAUUGAAUUAAAGAAGCAAUGUGAAUAGAAGAUUUAUGAACAUUCUAUGUGCUUUCUAAUUUUGAAAAGUUGCAAUAUUUAGGCAUAGGAAAAAUUCCAUUUCUAGGGGACGGUGGCACUUUGUUUUUACGGUGUUCGAGUUUUUUCACGUAUUUUGAUUAAUUUUUAUGUAUUAAUUUAAUAUUUAAGUUUUUAUUAUUUCGUUUUUGUUUGAUGAUUGAAAUUUGCUUUGAAGUUUGAUUUAUUUUGAUCCAUAUUAAAAAAUUCAGUUUUUGAAGGUAAUACAUUCAUAUCUAAGUCGACUAUAUAAUACUCACAACAUCUUGGGGCCUAUUAAUUUGCAUUAUCGCGCCAAGAAGUCCCACUUAAAGUGACUUCAUAAUCAUGUCAUUUUAGAGUCUGAUGAAUCUAGAUUUACAUCAAAAAAUUUAACUUUUAAAGAUAGCUCUUUAUCAAAAAUAAUUUCAUACUUAAUACAUAAAUUUAAAAUUUUUACUUAAAAUUAAAAAAAUAUUUAUCAUUAUAUCCAUUGUCAUCCAAGUUUUCUUCAAAAGAUAUGAUAAGUCAAAAAUAGGGAAAAUAUCCAAGUACCCCCUCAACCUAUGCCCGAAAUCCCAGAGACACACUUAUACUAUACUAAGGUCCUAUUACCCCUUGAACUUAUUUUAUAUGUAAUUUUCUACCCCUUUUUAGCCUACGUGGCACUAGUUCGAAAAAAAAGUCAACCAUCGUUGGGCCUACAAGAUAGUGCCACGUAAGCUAAAAAGAGAUCAAAAAUUAUUAAUAAAAUAAGUUCAGGGGGGUAAUAGGACCUUAGUAUAGUAUAAGUGUGUCUCUGAGAUUUCGGGCAUAGGUUGAGGGGAUACUUGGACAUUAUCCCUCAAAAAUAAGUAAAAGUUGUACAUAUAAUGCUUGUCAGAGGGUCGGAUUCACUAAGGGAAGGCUUUAACUUAUUUAAUUGCUUAUAUUAAAUUUUGAUUGAUUUAAAUUUAUAUAUUUAAAUUCGAUUAAAAGAAAGUGUUGUUUUAAGAAUAAAAUUCAUCCUUACGCUUUGAGCCUUAGACCUUUAAUUAAGGAAGAAUGAAAUCAAAUUUCGACAAUAAAAAUUUAUAUGAUAGAAAAAAUAUAAGAUCUUUUACUAAAAUUAUUUUCAGAUCAAUAAUUUUGUCAAGCCGUCUCAACAUUAAUAUUAUUUAGGAUAUAUAAAUUAGUUGUCAUGAUAAAUUAAGUUAUAACUGCGAUACUCUUCUUUCAUUUCAUUAAGAAAAUAUUAAGCAAGAAAUCAUCAAAAUUAUUUUAUAUCGUCAAUUUUAUCUUCUUUCAUUUCAUUAAGAAAAUAUUAAGCAAGAAAUCAUCAAAAUUAUUUUAUAUCGUCAAUUUUAUUGAGCCGUCCUGAAUAAAUAUAAUUUAGGAAAUAAAAAGUUGUCAUAAUAAUUUUAAAAAUGAUGAUGUUACUCUUCUUCCAAAGCCCUUGGAAUUAUCUAAACACAAUAAGAACAAACACUAACUUGUUAUUUUUUGCAUGAAAAGAAUAGAUUUCUUUGUUACCUAAGGUUCCAUGCACAUGCAACUCUUCUUUCCCCCACAACAUUUUUAUCUCUUUUAUUAUAUUUUAUUCAUAUAACCUAUGAUAAUGAUACGUAUUCGUUUACAUAUAUGCUUUGUCCCGUUUGAUUUUAUAUGACAUUCUUUUCAAAUUCAUGUUAGAAUGAAUGAUCUCUUUUUUUAACAUUAAUUAAUUUAUAUAUUCAUACGCCUGACGACUUAUUGAUAAUUAUAUUGUAUAUAUAAUUAAAAUGAUAUAUGAAAUGAUUAAAUAAUAUAUUUUAAAUAUUCUUAACUCAAUGAGUUAUUGUAGUUCAGUGAUUAUAUCUCUUUUGAAUCAGGUAGUACUCGUGUGAUUAAAUCUCACUAAUUCUAUUUUUUGAAGCAAAGCUUUUAUUGUGCUAUUUUUGGACAUACUUUAUGAAAUUUCUGACUCCGUCAAUAUUAACUACUGAAAACUUCUAACAUGUUUAGAACAACAAGUACUCGAAGAGUUUUAUUUUUUUAAUGCAUGAACUAGAAGUCUUUUUUUUUCUUGAUUAAACUUCGUGUUCAGUCAAAUCAAAAUAAAAGAGAAUAAAUAUUUAGUAUAGUUGAUUUUAGCAAGAACCAAGAAAUGAUUUUUUUCCUCAAUUUCUUCAUCAAAUUAAACUAAUAGUAGUGAAUGUUUGUCAUGCUACAAAAUACAAUGGUUCUAGGAUUGUGAAGAGGGUAGGCAAAUAGUUGGACUUUGGGGAUUAAUCAACAUGUGUGUAAAUCUCAAGGCUAAUUAAGUGUAGGUUAAUUAUUUGGAAUUUAAUUUAAUUUAAUUGCAACCUAAAUAUUAUAUGGUUUAUAUAUAUAUAUAUAUAUAUAUAUAUAUAUAUAUAUAUAUAUAUAUAUAUAUAUAUAUAUAUAUAUAUAUAUAUAUAUUUGGUUCCAAAUUCCAAAACAAAGAAAUAUGAGUCCUCCCAAGACACAACUAGCCGCUCUUCUUCCACCUACUCCAUGUGGAUGGUUUUGUCAACUUUUUCUCGUAGAAACGAAUUCAAAAUUUAAAUAAGAUAAAUAUUUAAAAAAAUUCGUAUAUAAAACGUAUACGUGUUUAUAGAUGAUUUUAAGAUUUAAAUGUGAUAAAUUCACCGUUAAGGUUUUUAGUGCAUUAAAAUAUGCAUAUAAGUUUACAUUAUUAUUUUUUUAUAUAAUAUGUUCAUAACUUCAUAUAUGUUUGAGAGAGUGUAAAUGAUCGAUCGAGGCACAUGUUAUUAGUCUUGAAAAAUACAAAAGUUAUUAUUCCAACUUCGAAUGAUAAUAUAAUUUUGGUUACUUUAAUUUUUAAUGCAAUUCUUAUCCAAGAUAUUUCUAUUUCUACCAUGUCACACGUGAGUUUAUGUCUCUUUACCUCAAAAUUAGUCGUUUAAUCUUGAGUCAUUAAAAUCUUUCUGAUUUAAUUCGAUUACAUUAUAUGCAAUCGAUAUGUUAUUAUAAGUCAUCAAAAUAUUUUCAAAACGACAUACUUUUUAAUUUGAUAUUCAUUAUAUUAUGUUAAGAAAUGGAGGGCGGAUUAAGUUAUGCUCCGUUUUAAAGCUCGUUUUAAUUUAAAUAACUUUUGAAUAGAUAAUCAAUAACCUACCUGCUCAUAUCUACUAAUUUAAUUUAUUUUGAUCUGUUUAAAUUCAACUCACUUUGUAUUAAGCAAUUGUAAUAUAAUACUUUAUCCCUUGAUAAUAUUGAUGUGUUAUUGUGACAUGCAUAGAGAUAAUACUUGUAGGUACAGUGGUUCACCAUGCAUUUGUCUUUGGACCAGUACCAAAUGGAAUAUAAGAUUCAAAUUUAUAAAAUUUAAAUUAUGAAUUCGCCUUCAAUAAUGAUAAGUUAGUUUGAUUGUAAGCUCCAUUAUCAAUCUUUCUUACCAACACGUGCUUUAUUUAGAUCGUAAAUUAGUCAUAGAACUUUAAUUUUUAAAGUAAAAUUAAAAUGAUUGAAUUAAGAUGAUUUAUUCAAACCUUUUUAUGAGAAAAUUAUAUUGUACAUAGAAAUUUCUAUAAACCAAUAAUGAAUAUUUGUUUCUGAAUGCCAAAUAAAUUACAUAUUUGUUGGAGUAAUAACGAAUAAUGCUAAAUGGCUAGAAAAUUUAGUUAGAAAUUUAUUAAAAAAAUUAAUUUAAAAUUAAUUUUUUUUAAUUUUAUAAUUAAAGUGUAUUAAAAUUACAAGAAUAUAAAUAUUUAAAAAAUAAAACAAAUACCAUUCUUAUCAAUCAAAUUCUAAUCAAAUUUUCUGGCGAAUUUUUUUUUUCUAUUUAACAAUAUAUUUUUUUGGAAGAGCUAUACUUAUUUCAUCGAAGAAAACAUUCUUUUUUUUUGUUCAUUUUUUUUUUGGGAAUACCAAUAAUUAGAAAUAAAAUCUUGGAAAUGCAAAACCUCACAUGUCUCUUGCAUUUUAUCUUGUUAUUUUAAUUUUUGUGUACGUUGGAUAUCUAAAGGACAAAUAAUAUUUAGAAAUAAAAUUUUGUGUUAUUUUUAUUAUUAUAUUUCCAAAUUCAUAUAGUUCUAGAAAUAUAUAUAUAUUACGAUUUCUUCUCCUUUAAGAAUUUUUCCUUAAAAAAAUUAUAUAUAUAUAUAUAUAUAUAUAUAUAUAUAUAUAUAUAUAUAUAUAUAUAUAUAUACCAAUAGUACAAAAAAACUGAGCGUAAUUUAAUACGUGAGUAAGUUAAUUUAUUAUUUUAUCAGAUUAUCAUUGAUAUUUAUUAUAAAAUGACUUAAUUAUAUAAUUAUAAUAUUUUUAAACCUUCAAAGCAUAAAACUUAAAAUUCUAGAAUGAUUAUUAUAAUAUUGACUUUUCUCUUCUUCCUUUUUCCAUCCAAUUAUAUUUUCUCUUUUUUUGCCUUUUUGUAUAUUAAAUUUGGUUAAAUUAAUUUUUUUUUCUUUUUCCCUUUUUGUAUAUUAAAUUUGGUUUAAUUAUCCACCGCCCAUUUAAAAAGCUAAAAUAAUUAACGAACUUCCUCGUGAUUUCAUAAAGUUAUGGAAUAUUUCUUUUACUUAUUUUUUUCGUAGAGAUCAAGUACGUUUAAGUAUUAAAAUUAUUACAACUUGAAUUAAUUUUAAUUAAUCCAAAGAUAAAGUUUGUUGAAUAAAUCAAUAUUAAAUUCUAUAAUCUCAAAAGCUAAGCAGAAAGUUACGCCGACUAAAACAUAUUUUAUUCUAUUUUCUUAUGUUUUUUUUUUUUAAAAAACAACAACUAAAUAUAAUAUAAUCAUUUAUUCCCACAGGCUUUUCACUGUACUUUGUGGGUGCGCUUGGUAGGAAGAAAAUAUUUUUCGCGAAAAAUAUUUUUUUAAGGAAAAUAAGUGAGAUUGUGUCUAAUACGUAAAUAAAAUAUUAUCUUAAGAUAUUUAUAUGUUAUUUAGAUAUAGAAAAUGUAUUAAAAAGUCGAAAAAUAAAGAUAAAAGUGUAUUGAAGGAUUCAAAGGUUAUAUUUACUAUAAAAUGUAAUUUAUGAAACUUGUUUUUCUUAUAUUUAUUAUGAAAAUUUGGUUUUUACAAUUUUUUGAUUAGUCGAGCGCUUUUGUUUAUCUCUUUUAUUAUUUUCGUUUCAGUUCAUGUGAUACAUUUUUUCUCAUUAAUUAUGUUCUAAAAAGAAUGACACGAUAUUUUUAUCUAAAUCAAUAAAUAGUUAAUUUUAUAUAUUUUUAAUGAGAAAAAUUUACUAUCACACAAAUAUUAUGAUGCAUUUAAUUUAACAUGUAUUAAAGUAUUAAUUAUCAAAAAAAAUAAAAUAUUAAACUGAUUAAAGUUAAAUCACAUAAAUUAAAACAGGAAAAGUAUCUGAAUAAUGGUUGCAUAUGUCUAUCAUUAUUUUUAUAAAUUAAAGAGAAAGAAUAUACUCCAUAUAAUCACACACUUACAUGCUCACAAGACCAAUUAAUUAAUCUCAUAUAUUAUAUAUAAUCACAUGAAUAGUAAUGAUUUAUUUGCCUAAUCAUUAUGAUACUUUUGAUUAACAUAAAGUGAUUAAGAACCAUAUUUUCAAUCCUUAAUUAAUUAUCAUAUGAUUUAAUUAUAUCAGAAAUAAUUAGUCCUGAUACAUGAGUAUAACAAUCUUUCUAAUAAUUUUAUGCACAUCUUCCAAAGUUUGGAAAAAAAAAACACAUAUAGACUAUAUUAAUUAAUUGAGAUUAUAUAUUUUAGUCAUGUAGUAUUACUUUAAACCAUAUUUGUUAGGAAUUAAUCUUUAAUUUAAUUAGAUAUAUAUAAUUUAUUAAUUAGUAUAAAUAUAAAGAUUUUCUAGUGUUCAAGAAACUAAGAUUUUACAAUAUCGAUCUUAAAUAAAGUAGCGACCAUGUUCAACUUGCUUAGAACAAAGAGCAAUCAGUUAAACACAGCCUAUCAAAAACUAAAUAAACAUAUGAUGCAUAUUGAUCAAAUUAAGACUUAUUAUGCAUAUAUAAUAUCUGAAAUAUCACUUUUAAAUAUCUUUUACGAAAUUUUUAAUUCUGAUAUAAUUUUUAGAUACGAUGUUAUUGUUAUUGUAGUAUUAGUUGAAACCAAAUAUUUUUUUUUUUGGGAUGUAUAGACAUUUGAUCAACCUAGAGUAACUCAAGCUUUGAUAUGUGCGUUGUCCUAAGAUGAUAUGAUGAGAUUUCACUACAAUCAACUUUGCCAAUAUUCUUCAAAAAACUAAAAAUAUUGAGAUUUUCGAUGGAAAAUUCUUAGAGAACAUUUUCUUUUACGAGUGUUUUUCAAACUGAUAAGUGACGAUUUUGAAAAACUUGUGCUCUUAGGGCAUGUAGACAACUCAAUAUGUUUGUUUUUUUUUUACUAUAAGAAACUUCCUAUAAAAUUUUAGUUGAAAAUUAGAAGAUAUUGGGAAAUAGCUACACCUCAUGUUUUUUGUUGGUUUUGUUUGUUUUUUUGAAGGGUGUGAUUAUGGGUUUUCAUGCUCAAUGGUACUUUUAGGUGGAAAAGAAUGGAAGUGAGAUAAUAACAAUUAAAAAAAAAAAAUUGGAAUGUAGUGUAAAAUUUUAUUUUAUUUUUAGAAAAUAUAUAUUUUAUUUCUUGGAAGAAAAUAAAUAUAAGGAUAAGGAGGAGAAGACAUAUUUACACACACUCUCUUUAUCUCUCUCUCUCUCCUCACAUGAAUAAAACUAUAUAAUAAGUAUCAAAAAAUAAAUCGAUGACUUUUAUUUUAUUCGAUCGAAUUUAAAAUAAAAGUCGAAUUAAUUAAUUUUAAUUUUAAUCAAAAAGUAUGAACCUCUAAUAUAUGAUAUCAAAAUUCAUAAGCAAUUAAUCACUAUAUCCAAUUCAAUUUAAUUUUAACUUUUCUCUCCGUCCAAAUAACAAACAAAUGAAGCAAAUAAUUUAAUUGCUUCCCUUUUUUUCUUUUUAUUUUUUUGGUCCAUUUUUAAAAUAAGAAAACUCAAGCAUUUGUAUCAAGUCAACACAUUAAUUAAGCCGUGUGAUGCUUUUUACUAAAAAUAGGGCAAAUUGAUUUUUCCAAAAAUCUUAAUUAUUUUGCUAUUCCAAAAUCAAUUUAUGUGUAAUUUAACCAAAAAAACAUUAUGUGGGGGUGGGAGGAUAAAUAGCUGCGGAGUGAAAAGAAUAAUAAACUUGAAAUAUUAGUUAUAAAAUUAGCGAAGACAAUUUCCUCGUUUUUAAGGAAGAAAUGUAUGUUUCAAAAGGGGUCAUAAAAUGAACUCGGAAGGGAAGCUACAAGAGCAGGAGGAACACUUUGAUUAAUCGUAGUCAAGUCGAGUGAUCAAUGAUAUAGAUUGGGUACAAUUACUGAUACUCGUUGGUGGAAAGAGACAAUAUCUCAUAAACAAAAUGUGUGCAAGAAGAUCCAGACAUCAAAAUUAUUAAAAAAACAAAUUAAUUUACCAAACAUGAAAAAAUUGAAAUUUGAUAGAUUGGAUACCAUUACUGAUACUCGUUGGUGGAAAGAGACAAUAUCUCAUGAACAAAAUGUGUGCAAGAAGAUCCGAACAUCAAAACUAUAAAAAAAGAUAUUAAUUUACCGAACAUGAAAAAAUUGAAAUUUGAGUCGGAGUCUUUUGACUAUCAUAUUUACCCUCAACUUGAUAUAUCUUAGCUGGAGCAAAUAUGUAACAAAGUGCAAUUCAAAUACAUGAAAGCUCAAAUUUGUAGGUUGACUCCAAAUAUGUGACAAAUUUAUGACUUAUUUUGGUUGCAAAAAAUAAUAAAUUAUAUUUAAUGUACAAGUUAGUUUGAGUUCACACAGGCCAUACUAUAUAGUAGCAUAGCAUGCAUAGCUUGGACAUAGAUGAAAUACUUUAUAGAAGUCUUUACAUUGAAUGUGGGGUCUCUCAUUAAUAAUAUACUCCCUCCGUCUCAAAAUACCUGUCAUAAUAAAAAUUCAAGAAAAAAAUAAUCAAUUUUCUCUCAUUUUACCAUUAGCGUCAAUUGUUCUUAAAGACUAUAAAUACCUCGACUACGACAUGUAAAUAGAGUAUAACAUUCAGAUAUAAAUAAGGAUGCAACAACAACAAUAUAUCCAGUAAAAUCACACUAAGCAGGAUUUGAGGAGGAUAGAACGUAACGCAGACCUUACUACUUCCUCAAUGAGGUAGAGAGGUUAUUUAUAAUUAACCCUCGGCUCAAGUAUAAAAGGACGAAAAUAAGAUUAAAAUAAUCAAAUACCCUUCUUAAUUAAUAUUUUCUUAAGCAUGUAAAUGAAAAAUACGACAAGUAGUUUGAAACGGAGGAAGUAUACAGAUUUAGUAGUCAAAUACCUAUUCUGAUUAAUAUUUUCUUAAAGGUCGUGUAAAUGAUGAACACGAUAAGUAUUUUGAGACAGAUGGAAGUAUAUAGGUUCAAAGGGAGUUAAAACAAUUUUAUAUAGUAUAGCUUAUAGGUAGAUACAUUAAUUAAAAGAAUAUAUGUUCAUAUCAAAACAAAGUAAGGGAGAAGACCACAAACUUAAUCAUAUGAAAAGGACAAUAAACACAUCAUUUUCAAAUCCUAAUUACAUCCCCCACACCCCUACCCAACCCCCACCCCUCUCAUGGCCAACUUCCCCCUUAUUUAAACCUCUCUAUUCCUCUAAACCCUCUCCACACAAUUCAUUGUCAACUUGAAAACUCAUAAUAUUUCUCUUUUCUCCUCCUUGAUCUUCAACAACAACAAAACAAAAAAAAAAAUUGCAAGAAAAACAAAAGUUGAGUUCAUUGCAUAUUUCUAGAACUUAUCUUGAUGAAUCAAUAUUGUAAUAGUCCUUGUUCACCACUAAUGGUUCAUGAACUUGAACAAGAAGACUUGUUUGCUGGUAGAUGUAUACUAGUAAAUGGUCCUGUUAUUAUUGGUGCUGGUCCUUCAGGACUAGCAGUUGGCGCGGGCCUUAAACAACAAGGGGUUCCCUUUGUGAUCUUAGACCGCGCCAACUGCAUUGCAUCCUUAUGGCAAAACAGGACGUAUGAUCGCCUUAAACUUCACCUCCCGCGACAAUUCUGUGAAUUGCGUUACUUCCCAUUUCCACAAAACUUCCCUGAGUAUCCUACCAAGUAUCAAUUCAUUAGCUACCUUGAAUCUUAUGCCAAGAACUUCGAGAUCAGCCCACGAUUCAAUGAGUCGGUCCACUCUGCUAAGUAUGAUGAAACAUGUGGUUUAUGGAGGGUGAAGACAGUGUGUAGAAAUGGUUCAGUCAUUGAAUAUAUAUGUAGGUGGCUUGUGGUGGCUACAGGAGAGAAUGCAGAAAGAGUAGUGCCCGAAUUCGAAGGAUUAGAAGAUUUUGGUGGACAUAUUAUGCAUGCUUGUGACUAUAAAACAGGGGAAGUUUAUGAAGGGAAGAAUGUGUUAGUUGUUGGAUGUGGUAAUUCAGGCAUGGAAGUUUCACUUGAUCUUUGUCACCAUAAUGCAAGUCCAUUCAUGGUCGUUCGAAGCUCGGUAAGUCUCAUUCAUCUAAUCCAAAAUCUUUCAUGACUUACAUCUGCUAAAGAAGAAAAAAAAAAACACUCAAUUUCCUUCAUAAAUCUGCACACGACAUAUCGAAUUCCUCAUGACACAUACAUAAGAGGUCACUCCUUUAAUAAUCUACAUGAUUUACGUUUUCUAAGAGAAAAAAACACUCAAUUAACUUGAGCGCGUUUUGUCUAUGUCCUUCAUUUGCCAGAAAAUCUGCACUUGACAUCUCUAAUUCCUCAUCACAAGUCUAUAUAUAUAAUCAUCAUAUGAUAUGUAAUGAAAUAAUCAAUCUAGAAAAUCUGCACCUGACAUCGCUAAUUCCUCAUCACAAAUAUAUAAUCAUAUGAUAUCUAAUGAAAUAAUCAAUCUUUUCAUGAAACAGGUUCAUGUUUUACCAAGGGAAAUACUCGGAAAAUCAACGUUUGAGUUAGGAGUAUCAAUGAUGAAAUGGCUAUCAAUUGAUGUAGUUGACAAGAUAUUACUAGUUGCAGCAAGGUUACUUCUUGGAAACAUAGAAAAGUAUGGUUUAAAAAGGCCAUCCAUUGGACCUUUACAACUCAAGAAUACAGAAGGAAAAACUCCAGUUCUAGACAUAGGUGCAUUACAAAAGAUUAAAACAGGAGACAUAAAGAUAGUUCCAGCAAUCAAAAAAUUUUCUCAAGGAAAAGUAGAAUUUGUCAAUGGAGAAAUACAAGAAAUUGAUUGUAUCAUUUUGGCAACAGGAUAUUGCAGCAAUGUUCCUUCUUGGUUAAAGGUAAGAAAAAAAAAUAUUUUUUUUAUUUUUAUUUUGGUUGUGUAUUUAUUUUUUAAUUUAUGGAUUGUUGUGACAGUUAUGGAAGUUGGUUUUUUUCUUUGUAGAUUCUCUGUUCCUAUUUCUUGUAGCAUUGUUAUGUAUGAUCAGGUGGAUGAUACACGUAUUCUUUUAUACUAUGGUAAUUAAUAUUUUCAGAAACAAGAUUGAGCUUUCCAAGAAAAUAGUUGAAUGGAUUAGAUCAGAGAUCUGAGCAGCAAAUAAAAUUCUGUUUUUUGUCCUUUUUUCUAUGUUCAAGAAUAUUUUCAUUGAAUUUUGGUAUAAUGAGUUUGUAUUCAUUUUUAAAAUGCAGGAAAGUGAAUUCUUUUCAAGGGAGGGAUUUCCAAGAAGUCCAUUUCCAAAUGGAUGGAAAGGAAAAGCUGGUUUAUAUGCAGUUGGAUUUACAAAGAGAGGACUUUCUGGUGCAUCUUUGGAUGCAAUUAAAGUAUCACAAGAUAUUGGAAAAAUUUGGAAAGAAGAAAUUAAACAGAAAAAUCAAUCUGUUGCUGUUGCAUGUCAUAGAAGAAACAAGUUAUCUUCCUUCUAGUAAACGACAACAACAUACUCAGCAUAGUCCUACAAGUAGAAUCUGGAGAGGGUAGUGUGUACGCACAUCUUACCUCUAUCUAUUGUUUCUAAUAGACCCUCCAAGUUACCCUUCUAAUAUAAUUUUUUUAUAUUUUUUUUUUAACUUUUUACCUUUUCUUCCUGUAAUUUUUACUUGCAAAGUAACCAAAAAAAAAAAAAAGUAAAGACCAUUUUGUGACAAGAGACAAACACAGAAAGCAGCCCUGUCCAGAGAAAUACCCAAAUUCUUCUUUGGGCAUUUUAGUAGGAAGAAGAGGCUUUUUUUAGCAUCUACUUCUAAGGAGAAAUUUGUACAAAAGGUUUAUUAAUAUAUGUACUAAUAGAAAAAAUGUGACUAUAUAUAUAUAUAUAUAUCCUUUUCUUGGUAAGUAAUUUAACCAGUAUCUUUUAAAUAGUAAGGGAGGUUAUACAGUAGUCCCUAGCCAAUAUAUAUAUAUAUAUAUAUAUAUAUAGAUUAUACACAAUUCCACACAUAUAUUAUGUAAAUCAUGAGCUAAGUUGUAGAGACUCUUCAAAAAGAUCGAUGGAUAUGUAUCGUUGGGGGAAUCUAACAUAGAUGUGACAACAUUUUUGGAGUCCGAGCAACAUAAAUAAUGAGGGCUUCAAGGCCUGUGAAGGGAAAUUAACCUUCUGAUAUUGUAAAAGUUGGUUAAAGAAUGGUCAAGGGUAAUAGGAAGGUUCUCUCACUCAAUAAAUUUUGGUCCACCUAAGUCAUUUAUUCUACUGAUGGGAUCUAUCUCUAGAACAUGGUCCACCUAGGGGCCCCAUUAAAUAUGGUGGACCAAAAUAUCCAUAAUUCCACAACAUCCAUUCUUUAAAUUUAAAGAUGACAUAGACUUUUCACUAGUUUAGUUCAAGAAAAUACCUAUGCAUAACUCUUAGAGCACCUCCAUGUUGCCAAGCACAUGGAUAGAGCCCACAGAGAAGAGAGAAACAUAGGGGGUAAAAAGAUCCCCUUGCCUUCAAGUCAAACUUGGAAGGUAUUCUGUCUAUAUUGCUAGGACUCUUUAAAAAUGUCACUAUGUGCAUGUCGGAUCUAUCCUCCGAAAGUAGCACAUUUUUUAACCAGUCUUAGCAACAUACAAUUCAAUGGUAAAAGCACAACAUGUUAUGAGUGUUUUACACUUUGUUGUGGACAAUAACCUGGUAUAUAGAAAAGGUAAAGGAACAAACUCACUAUUCAUUGAGUUUCGAACCAUGCACCAGCUAACUAGCCCUCAGAAAUUUCUCGAUUAUAAGAACGAAAAAGUCAAACUUGGAGAAUAGUUUGAUACUAUUUGAUCUUUCUAAAUCUUUCACAUGUAUAAUAUAAUAUACUUUUAAGAGGUUUCUCAAAUUGGAUAGAAUUUAGAACACCAUACCUCAGACCAAUGCCAUAUGAGUCUAGCUAGCUCAGUCAUUGUCACCUAGUAAAGUGAGAAGAUUAUCUUGAACUUUAUAGGGGUACAACUUCAUGGAUUGGAUAGUUCAAAGAGUCAUCCUGAAGUUAUCAUAUUCCCCUCUUCACAAGUCAAAAUAUUUAUAACAUUGACUCACAAUAUCUCAUUAUAACAGAUUGCCUUACCAAAAAUAGAAAAAUAUGAAAAAUAGAAACAAUGAAUAAUUUUAUCCAUCUAGCCUAGCCACACCUAUCAGCAAAUCCUAUAUGAAUCAUUGCCAUGUUAGCAUCCUAAAUUUUUUUCUCCUGUAUCAAUCUUCUUUAUUUGGUUCCUGUACAAUGUCCAUAAACUGAAAUGUCCUAAGAGCAUCACAUUGUAACAAUAGAUGCCUCGUUCAUCAUUCGAAUUUUUAAUUCUCUCUAUCUUUUCUAAUAAGAAUCUAAAAGAGAUAGGAUGAGGGAGACAGAAUAUACAUUUGAUAGUCAGUUCGAUGAAUAAAAAUCUCGAGAAAACUAUUCAAUUGAAUCAUUGGGGAAGGGGGAAGAAGAAGGUUGAUUAUAGGUUCAGAGGAGUGGUCCAUGGUUGUCUCCUUGGUAACAAAUAUUAUUUCCUGUUAUGUAACAAUCUUAUAAUAUAAAAAAAUGGGAAUUGAACUUCUUUUCAAUGAGAUCCAACAUGACUUAAAUUUCCCAUUGCACAAUGAACAAAGAACAUAAAAAAAAUUCCACUGACAGAAAAGAUUUAAACAAAAAGAAGAAAAUCCAAAGAAGUAGUACAUAUAUAGACAACCCAUAUGAGUUCCCAUGCUGUUGAAUCAACCAUGCAGCAAACCUUUAUCUACUGUCCCAUCUAGAAUUGCUUCACCACCACAUAAAAAAAAUUCUUGUAAAAACAAAUAUAGAUAUAUUAUAUACAAAAAAAGACAGUUUCAAACCUUAAAUUAAUGAAUGUAAAACACACACAGCUCAUGUUCCUCAACUUGAUCCAUGCAAAGUGUUUGAAUUUAACACUUCUCUACCAGGAACCUACAGUUUCUAUUAUGUCUUUUUGCAGUGUAACUUGUAUUUUUUUCCACACCUUGCAACCAGGGGCAGAGCUACAGUUCUGCCUACGGAUUCGACAUUAUUGAGAAAUACAAGUAAAAGCUUUUAGAUGAGAUGAUCAAACACUUCAACAGACACAACUCAAUAGCUGUAUUUGUGUUUUAAAAUUUAUUUACUACGAUUAGAUAAGAGUGUAAUCCCACCUGCAAGGUCUGCGGAGGGUUUAGUGUUUGAACACCUUACCUCAUCUCGUGGAGGUUAAAAUUUAUUUAAUAUGUAUAAAUAAUAUAUCCAUAAAUCAGUAAGCUACAUUUUCUAGAAUUCAGAACUCGUAAACUCAAAAUUCUUGUUCCGCCUCAGCUUGCAAACCUAUUAUUAGAUAUCACUUUUACCGAGAGAGAAAUACACAUGGCCUGGGUCACUAACUAUAUCCUCAAAGUUCCAUGAGAAAGCCCAUUCCUUCAUGCCCUGAUAAGCAGUCAAUUUGCAAGUGUUAACUUGAGUUGGAUGGUGGACACUACAUCUUUGUAUCUUACUGUUGCAUGUCCUACUAGAAGAGUGUGUAUCCUGUGAUUGGUGAAGUUAAAAUAUAUGAAGCUUAUAUAGGUGUCCCAUAUAAAACAUGAGAUAAUAGUGGUGGAGCACCCUUGUCCAAGGGGUGUCAAUUUGUUGAAAAAUCACAUUGUAUAGAUAGAUAAGAAAAUUCAUAUAUACUAUAUGUUGAAUCUCCUUUACUUCUUCGUGUAUUUUUACCGACUUCCCUUGGUGAAAUCACAGUCCACCAAUCAUCUUUCAUAAUCAUUGACUAAUACUUUUAACCAUUUCCAAAAGAAAUUUGAAAAAUGAAUUUACAUAUCAUAGUACUUUGAACAUGGAUUGAAACGAUGUUUCGAAAAAUAUAAAUCAUCUUUCAGACUUCACACUGGAGAUAGGUUGAAAUGACUCUUGAUAAACUACAUAUCACAUUCAGUUUGAACCAGAAGACAAACAGAACAAUAUCUUAAGCAAAGCUAAAUCAAAUGUGAUAUCAUGGAUUUACUAUCAAAAGCACAAGCAUUUGAAACUAAAUCACAUACAUGAAGAGUUGUUUUUACCAAUGGUCAACAUAGUUAAUUAUUAUAAAAGGAAUUACAAUUCUAUCAAAAAGAGUUAAUUCUGAUGUGUGUUUAAUUAGACACUAUACACGUACAUGAAGAGUUGCAAUCACCAACAUUUUUUUGAUAACCAUGGUGUACGGGUUAGCUCGCACGCACCUCGACUACUCUAUGGGAUACUUGCUACCUUCCACCAGCAUAGGUACCGGAUAACUUUGUUCACCAAAGCUUGAGUUGCAAAUGCCAAAGUUCUACCAUCAAAUUAUUCACUUUUUGGAAAGCAUUUGAUCAAUUUCUCCACUCUCGUUGUACAUGCUAACAAUUUUCUUUGCAUAUUCAGGCAUAUGUCUGUCCGCUCUGCAAUUACACAAAAAACACGUGUGAGAAAAAAUUAAUGUAAUCCAUCAUAAUGGAACAAAUAUGAAUUUCUACAGACCUUUCUUUUCCCCAUUUGCGGACUACGUUUAAGUAAUUUCUGAUUGUGUGAUAAUCUAGCGAGUAACGUGCAAAUUCUAGACCCUUCGGUCCGACCUGAACCAAGACAAACAAGUUUAAGCACAGGGAAUUUGUUGUCCUUUCUGAAAGUAACAAGUCAGUGAACAAAAAGUUCUUACUAUGUUGAGAAGAAAUGCUAUUAAAUUUCCAACAAACUUUGGAGCAGGUUGAGAAGGACCUCUUCCUGGAAAUUCAGAAAGUUUCUGCAUAAGUCUUGUGAGAUUACUGAGAAGUUGUUCAACAAAAAUAUUUACUUCAAGAACAUGUCAGAAAAGGAUUUACUUCUCGGGGUUCUGCCUUCAGCAUACUGUAAUCAACGGGGAGUAUCAUAACAAAUGAAGUAAUUGAAGCAACUUAAAUAGCUAAAUUCACUUGACUUACAAGGAUUAAAACAAAUUAAGGUUAAUCUUAAAUAAACAGUCGAUGAGAUGUGUAACAUUUCAUACUUUUUAACAGCAUUCAAAGCGAAAAGGGAUAGGGAAAAAGGUCAGAUGUUUGAUACUUGCACAUGGACCCAACAAAGAACAGUACAAAACCCGAGAGCAGAUAUCUAAUUCUGAACCAGCAGCAGUAUGUGUACAGAGAGAGCCAGCUUAGUAACAACUUAUGAAAUGAAUAAAUAUCACAAAAUACCACAUACCAAAUUUUGCUUCAUCAUCUGCCUUCACGGUUUCCACGACAAAUGGACGCCGCUUACCCUGAAAAAAGAUGCAUGCUUUGAAAUAAGUAUAUCACAAGAAAGAGUUAAAAGAAAAAGUUGUGAGAUGAAGCAUCAUGUAUUACACUACUUAUCGUCGGAGUAAUUUCCAAGAGGUUCUCGAUAAGGUUUAGCAUUUCUCUACCACGUUCAUUUCUGCAUUUGGAAUGUGCAAAAGUAUAUCUUAAACAAGAUUAUUUAAGGGUAGAGCUAUCAGCAUGUCCUUUUAAUCUGUCAACGGCUUAUAAGAUUUGGCAACACUUUACCUGACAGUAACAUACUGGGGAUGCUGCAUCAUGCUGAUUCCACUGUAUUUCGGCACACCCAUGUAUCCCACCACCAAAUCCUGACAAGUUCCUUGAAGGUAAGAUUUGAAAUGUUGGCAUAUGCACCGGGAUUAUCAAGCUUUGCUUUUAUUUAAACGAAAUAAUCUGUCACGUUAAUGUUUGGAAACUACUGUAAUAGAGAAAGACAUCGACUAAUAAAUCUUCCAAGGAGCAAAAAUACUUAAUUUUCAUGGAUAAUAAGAUAUGCAGCAUCGAAUCUUCAAUGAUACGAUUCUAGAAACCUUAAAGAGUAAACUUAUGACGGAACCAUAAUGCAUUACCAUCCAAGACCAAAAUGAGUUUGCUAAAAGAUCCCCCUUGGACCUCAACCACUGAAUCUUAUCUCCAGAUCUGUCACAAGCUUUCACUUGAAAACAGUUGGAGCAAAUGAGUGGCCAGGUCUAGCUCUAGAACCUAUAAAUUCCUCAAUGAUCGAGGCUGCCUUUGCAAAACCUCUUUCCCUGUCAGAAAACUACGCACUAGAAAAAGAUCUGUUUGUGAGACAUAAAGAGAGAAGAGAUCUAUUCAAGAUUAACGAUUUGAUGACUAUAAUACAGACCUAUUUAUAAGUUCCAAACAUAGUAGACAAAUAGACAUUUGCAAAUGCAGGAAAUUACACCAGUAAAAUUUAAUAUUCCACCAGUAACACAUCACCUUUCAGAAUCUAAGACUAAUCAAAGUAGCAUUUAAGAGUAUGCUUUCCUUUGCUAUUUGAAAGUCUAACACAUGUGUAUGUACUGUGCACAUGCUUCUCUUGGAUGUUUAUUUUGUCUGUUUCUUUGUGAAAAUUGUAUUGUGCAAUAUAUCAGGGCCUUUAAUUAUGAACAAAGAACUCACCGCCAAGCCAUUUGUGUAGUCAAAACAGCUGUAAUAGAAGGAAAUAACAGUUUACAGAUCAGCACAAGUUCAUAUUCUGAAGAAUGAGAGACAGGAAUGAAAUAUAUGAUAAAUGCGAAUGUAGGAAACGUGAAGCUUGUAUAGAAUGUUCAUUUAGACUUCUCCAACUGCAUAGCAUCUUUACAUUUGUAGACAAGCUGAAAUCCAUGUUGACAUUGUCUAAAAGAAUGUGUUAUUAGUUUGAUUGAUUUCUUUGUUGCCUAAACUGACACGGCAGGGAAUGCUACCAUAUGCAAUAAACCCAACGACAAGUAUAGUUUUACAUGGCUUAUCCAACUUGAUUUAACCCAAUUGUCCAUAUCAGAGCGACAACUUACAAGUGAGAACCAGAGAUCACAUAGAACGUAAUAAGCCCAUGACACUACCUUCGUGCACAUACUAACAUACUUAUGUAUACUUCUCCCUAGUUUAUGCUCCACAAGUGAAGGAAUUUCUCAAUACGAAUGUAACUGAAAAAUAAAUAUAUUAACUAUUAGGAAGAAAGACGGUUCCUGAAGAUUUUGUUUGUCAUCAAAUUUGUUAAUCUACAUAAUCUUUGUCUGCACACCAAAUUUUCUUCCACAGAUUUUCACCCUUACUCCAUGAACAAAGUAUCUAGAAUAGUUUGACCAAGAACGGAUAUUACGAGCAUUAUUGAGAUCAUUGUUUCUUUUGAUUCAUAAGUGGGUCCAAAAAUGAGAUGGGAAGUUACAUUUCUAUGAACUUCAUAAGAAAAAUAGUUGGCAUGCAAUAAUUUUUCGAGUAAUUAACACAUUUUUUUAAAAAAGAAUAUCCAGUAGAUCGUCUAAGUAGCUCACUUAGAGAAUGUCGCCUACGACGGUUUGACUACAUCCCACAUAAACUUCCAUAUCCAUAUAGGUGAUACCAACUAGAUAGGAUGCAGUCAUUGAAGCAUAGUUGUUGCUACGCUUGCAUAAGUGCUUGUCAAGGGUCUUUUUAUUCUUGUUGAAAACUAGUAUAUCCACGUAGGGAUAAGGGUGAUAUUUCACAUCUUUAGUUUGCUACGGUUCCCUGCGGUCCAAACCCGGUGCCGCUUUAGGUUAGGGAGCUGGACGAUACCUUAUAACACGAAUUAUUAGAUAUUGGAAAAAAAUUGACCUAACAGAGCACAAUGGAUGCUGAGGAUACAUAAAGCCACCCAAACUAAUGUAGGAUUAAUUUAUAGUUGAUUGACUAAUUGGAUCAACUCAUAGAGGGAAAGAAAGAAUCAUUUCCAUGAGCACAAAGAGAUGGAACAAAAAAAUUAUAUUCAGACUUGUCCACCACCGACCUCUGACCCAAAAAGUCUACAGGUUAAGUAUGCAGAUAUUGUUUAAAGGCUUCAGUAAAUCAAUAAUAAGCAAUUGAAAUACCUGUAACAAGAUGGUGCAAUAACAUCAACCAAGUCAUUUGCUGGUAAACAGAAAUAGGGAACCUGCUUAGUGAAAUAUAGAUCUGAAUAAACAGCAUUCAAAUAAAACAAAAGAUACGAAAAAGAAGAUGCUAUUUUACCUCUUCAAUAUGGCCAUCCAAAUGCUUCAGAUGGACCUGUUGAAAUGUAGAGCUUAGACAGAUGCUUCAACUGAUUAGAAAACUAUCACAUGCAAUUCAAUAGUAUAUCCUUUAAAUCAUAGUAAAAGAAGAAAGCUAUAAUAUGGUUUACAGGAUUAACUGUCAAAUGUUUUCAUCUAUAAGGUGAUGAAGCACAUGUGAGCUUAAUUUAGUCUUUCUCAUUUGCAAGAUCCUACUUAUUGGUAAAUUUCUGAUCCAACAAAGGAUAGUAACCCUCCAUCAAAUUCAACACGACACCAGCGGACGAGGCAUGGUACUUGAGAUAUUAAUUUGAUUUGUGUAUUUUAUAGGUAGUAGUUGAGGAAAAUUUUAAAAUAUUUUUGUAAACGAAAUUAGGUUGACAUAGAAAUGCCAAAUCAAACCUUAAUAAUUUGACUAUUCAAACAUAUUAAAAUUUGAGAAACUGAUGAAGUUGUAUAAAGUUAUAUUGUUAGUAAGAUGGUGUCAAAGAUUUUUGUACGCCCAAAAUAAAGAUGUGUCAUAUAAAAUUUAUCAGGAUGGAGACAAUAUGAUAUAUUGAAGUGCAUCUUCAUGAGUGAACUUACCUCACCAACCAAAUGAAAACAUAUUCUAGAAAAGCACCCUAGUUAUCAGACUAAGAAAGGCUGUUUACUGAUGUUUUAGAAUACAACAGAAGCAGAAAACAUAUCGUCAUGACAAACACAGAAUGUAGAAGUUGGUUUCCUUGUUCUUAUACUUGAAUGGAUAGAAUUCCAAGAUCACAGAGGUUAUGCAUAAGUUGUCUCACAAUGAAGCUCAGCUUGUCAUAAAAGAGUAACAGGAGCUUACUUUUUUUUCUUUAUGGAAGAAAUAUAACAGUAGCACACCUUGUAGUCUUGCAUAAACUCAUAGUGGAGAACUGUUUCAGGUUCACUGCUAGCAGCCUUCAGAAAUUUAUCUAAACCUUCUCGUGGUCCAUUAUCCACUGUUGAGAAAUGACAGUUAGUAUAGGUCUAUAUUGACUAAAAAUAUCUAAGAGGGGAAAGGAGAUUCUAAUAAAAAGCAGUUUAUAGAGCAUCCCUCUUACUAUAUACUCCCUCCAUUUCAAUUAAUUGUCUUAUUCCUUUUCAGUCCGUUUCGAAAAAAAUAUUUCUUUCCCUUUCCUGAAACUCUAUAAUUCCAACUUUCCACAUAGCCUGUUUGAAACCACGAGUUAAGAGGUAUUUUGGUACAUUCUACAUAUUUAUAGUUUAAGAGUUAAGACCACGAAAUUCAAAAAGUUUUCUUUACUUUCUUAAACUUUGUGACAAGUAAAAACCACACAAACAAGUUGAAACAGAGGGAGUAUCAUAAAAGAUUCCAUUGAAUCUUUGUCCAGUUUGUCCACUUACUAUAUGUCUUAUUUUCUCUCCCUGCUUCUGUGGUGGACAAACUGAAAAAAUUAAGUUGACUCUUUUUUGAGAUACUAACAACAAACAAGUACUCCUACUGGUGAUGUUAAUAGAUCAAACUUUUUGUUAUUUAAUUUAAAAAAAGAUCAAAAUUAGAUCUCCAAACACACGUAAUUACAAACAUAAUCAAAUUUCAAGCAGUUGGUAGUUAUAUUAGAAUUGAUCAAAGAUGUAGGAAAGGAGUCUAUGAAUACCACCGACUACUCACCACAGUUAGUGCCUAGAACAUAAAGUUUUUCCAGAUUCAAAUAUUGCUCCACUGAUCUUAAAGCUGCAAGUUAGGAAAUUGUUCUGCUUAAAAUACAGAGAUGUAAAUUGUAAUGACAACAUCAAGUUUGAAGCAGAGAUGAAGAGAUCAUAACAACUUGGAUACCUUGAACUUGGCAGCCAACCCCGCAGAAGAGAAGGCGCUUUACACCAGCUGCCUGUUUCCAGGAAACAAUACUGCUUACUUCAACAUUUGAACUACAAGUUAUACUAUACACUUGUGUGACAAUCCUCAGUGAAAACUGGAAUCUCUUAAAGCCCAGUUUUUAAUGCAUUAGAGCAUGCACGACUAGAAAGUGUGAAAUUCCAUGAUUGCAUUGUUAUGAAAAGAAAUAACAAGAAGCCUACCCUUACAAGUGUGAUAUGCAGAUGGUUGAUGCUUACCAAAAGAAAGGGAGAAAGCAUUUGGGGAGAAAUAAGCUCAAAUAGUUAAAAUAAAGUCAAAAAAUAACCUACGACCUUCAAAUGGAUAGAGAGGAAAAAUUUGGCAAAAAGACUCUGAAAUUGUCAGGAAAGGAAUUCAGCUCGAACCAUAAUAUGGAACAAAUCAGAAAAUCAAAAGAGCUUAUCUUAAUAAAAUCCCCGAUUGGGGCAAUUACAGUAUUAGAUUGUGGUGGUCUGACGGGGGGAGGGGGGGUGAUAGUAAAGCUAAUUUGGUGGUGUGGUGAAGAAUAAGAAAGCAUAGCUACACAAGUUCCAAUUACCUAUUGAGGAGAGAUAUGGCAUCUUCAAUCCAUGACAACAUGCUCCAUUAAGAAUUCAAUAGAGUUACACAGAUUAUAAAUGCAUUGAUGACAACAGAACAAUCAAAGAUUCUGAUGAUAAUGGAAGUGAAAGAAGAAACCUCAACUAAGGCAAGAGUAUUUAGAUUAGGAGACAGUGUCGGCUUAACACCUUUAGCUGCUAUAACUUCCUCUGGAGUCCUAUUAGAAACAUAAAAUUAAAGUUGAAGAUCGAAAUGGUUAAAUUAACAGGUAAAAAAUCAACAUGAAUACAAAUAGCUCAGGAAUUCCCAGUCACAAACCUUGCCAGGACAGGUCGAGGAGCAAAUCGAUCUUCUGGAUCACUAAACAACAUAAAAAAAAGAAGGUAAAGAGUCCAUGAAUUGCUGGGUAAUAAGUAGAAGAAAGAAACCAAAAUUUCAAGUGCAUAACUCAUGUACAGUGAAAUUAACCAGGAGGGAGAACUAAAUUAUUUUUAACCAAAUUGGAUGCAAGCCAUACCUCUGAACACAAAUAACAGCUUCCACCAUCCCAGCUUUUAGCAUCUCCACGGCAAUAGUUGUCACUAUCCCCGUCCAUUGAGCUCCUGAAUGCCAGAAAGAAAAAGAUAGGAAUAUGACCAGAUGAUUCAUAGAAAUUGGCACAUUCUUUUAGUGAUCUAGAGAGCACAAGAAAACAAGCAACAGUAAAUUGAACUAGAAUACUACAUAAGAGCAUCCAAAGUUGUACCUUCCACAGGCUUAGUUUUACGAGCAUACAAUAGAUUCUCAUACACCCCCAUAUAAAUCUCAUCCAAGGAAUCUUCUUUCCGUCCUCGUCCAUGGACAAUAGGUUCCAAAGCCUAAAGAAGAUGAUAAGGAACAGUCAACAUCAUCUGGUCACUUUACCAUAAGAAAUACUAUCUGUACUUUGAGCUACUUCAUAUAAAUUUGACCAAAAGAGAAGGUCCUAAUAGCAUAGCAUGACUGAGUUGAGAACGCAUUCCAAGGAACUGCUACUCGUAGCAAGCACUGAAGUUUUUUAGUGAGUAAUCAAAUCAUUCUUUCUCAUAAAAGAACUUACAUGCACCCCCUGUCACCCUCCACCCACCAGUCAAACUAAAGACGGAAUAAUUUUCAAACUUUACCAAGUUCCUUUGGACAAUAACCAAAAAAAAAAAAAAAUUGUAUAGAAUUGGGGAAAAAAGUUUGACCUGUCACGAGAUUACGUUGUACCUGUAAACUAUGCUAAGCUGUAUGAAAUUAUUAAACAGAAGGUAGAAAAAACAAAGAAAAGAGAAAAGAGAAGAGGACAGAUGUACACCAUAGCGAAGACUUUGAUGGAGGUCUAUGAAUGUUUUCCCAUCGCCCUAUGAGGAGUCUGAUUAGAGUCCGACCAUACUGUGUUUCAGUAUAACAUUAUCAACCCCAUAAAUUUCAGUAUGUCGAGAUUAUGUUAACAACUAGAGAAAUCAUUCUUAUGAAGAUCCACUAUACGUGUCUUGUACCUUGUGUAAUUUAUAGCUCUAUAAUAAUGCCUAAAACUUCAUUUAUUCCAUAUCUUGUCAACAUUCAAAGCAGCAUACCUUUUACCCAAGAGAGUGAAACAGAAAUAUAAAAUUCAAACAUGCUUGUCAAAAGAACUAGUUGGGGUCGGAGGCGAGGACCAGUGAACCCAUCAAGUUCUAGUAUGCAACUUUUCCUAAUAACAAAGUGUUAAAAACUCUCAUGCUCCCAACAGAAGGGAUUUUAAUGGAAGUGGAGUGACCAAAGAAAGAUGAAUUCAAUUGCACACGAGCUAAUAGUGGAUUACACGGUCUCAGAGAACAUGAACCAGUACUCUCUCUGAGCAUCUUUCUAGCUUGCAAACUUUUCUUAUGACUUCCACAACACACUGCAAUAUCACAGCCAAGUCUUGUUUCACUGCAUACACUGUACAUAUUCAUAAGAUGUAAAUCCAUAUGGAUGAGAUAGCUUUUCAAAGGACACAAAAGACAAAACAAAAUUCACAGGGAAAAUCUGCAUGUGACAAUGAAAGCAUGCAAUAAUCAAACUCCAGUAGGUCAUUUAUGACAAACUUAAGGAACAAAAACUAGGCAUAAACAAUAAGAACUGCAACUAAAAGCAACAGUAUCUACAUGUACUAAAGUAGAGAAAGACUCACUUCAACUCUAGACAUGCCAUCCCCAAGAAAGCACAUGCAUUAUUCACAUGAGCAAUGUAGUAAGUGUCACACAAACCACAGUGGCUGCAAACCAGAAACAAAAACUACCAUCAGACAAAAAACUACUAUAAUGAUUACGAAAUAGUCACAAAAUAUACAAGAAAUUAAUUUAAAUAAGUAUGAAGAUGAGUGAUUAAAUGAUACUAACUUAUAAUCCUCAAAAACAUUGAAUUAGUAUAUAAAUAAUGUUAAUUAUUAUUUACCAAUUUCAAAAAAAAUGCUAAUUAAUAUAUAUGAUAUUCUUGUGAACGUCAAAACUUAUAUUUCAGUCUUCCAAACAAUACUUCAUCAUUCAAGCUCCUUUUUUUUCCAUUCUACAAAAUUUGACCCAACUUAGGACGAAUUGAUAUGGAAAGCUACGAUGCUUCAAAGACCCAAUGAAAUGCUUCCUCCAUUUCAAAUUGAAUACUUCAGGUUCUUUUUUAUACUUCAUGCCAAAUUAAUGCCCAAUCUCCCUCAUAUUUAUAGUUCUUUCACAUUUACUAUGAAAAUUGAACCAUUAUAGUUUCCGAAAAGGGAGAACUCUUCAAACACAUAUUAGUUUAAGACACUCUCUCCGUCCGGUAUUGUUUGUCAUGGUGUCUAUUCAUAGAGUCAAACUAUAAAAACUUUGACUAACAUUUUAAGGUGUAUUUUUUCAUCGUAUUAAUAUGCAAAAAAUUGCAAUUUAUAGUACUUUUCAUAUAGUUUUAAAAUAUCUAAUUAUUUUGUUUAAAAUAUCGAAUUAAUGUGAUUUAAUUUAACUUUGAAAAUUAGUCAAAUUGACUUUCAAAAAACACAACAUGACAAACAAUAUUGGACGGAGAGGGAGUGAUUCAUAAAUAGACACCUUAACUUUGCUUAACUAACAACUAAAUACUCCAACUUUAAGAAUGCACAUCUAGACGGUCUCCGAGACACCCGGCACUAUAUGUCUAGAUGAUCAUUUUGUACGUUGGGAGUGUUUAACUCACACAGCCAAGACCAGUUAAGAUGCACACUUUGAGUGUUCAGUUGCCAAUUGAGCCCAACCUAAGAUAUCUAUCUAUGUAUUUAUGUCAUAGUUUAAAGAUAACAAAUAAAAAUAACAACUUUUUCACUAGUCUAACUUACAAAAACUAAAAACUUCAAAAAAAAAAUACAUAGAAAAAUGAUCAAGCUACGCAAUUUACCUCCCAUUACAGCAUUAAAAGCUAAAAUUUCAAUUAUAUUAAGAAAAAAAAAAGCAGAAUUAUGAACCUGCAGUGGUCUUUAGCUGGAUAAGUCCCACCAGGAGGAAUAGGUCGAGAUUUUUUCCUCCAAUCUUCUCUAAUUUUCACUGAUUUCAGGUUUUGGUUUGCAUCUGUUGAGUAAUUCAAACAACAUCAACACACAAAGUUUCAAUUUUUUUUAAAAAAAAAACUCAUAGCAAAAGUUUGUCAUUUUUUGUAAAAAAAAGUUCCUCUAAGAGGAUUUUGUUCAGUGAAUGUAGAAAUGGAGAGAAACAAAACCUUGUUGUUGUGAAGAAGAUGAAACAGUGUAAAAUUUGAAGGGUAAAGUAGAGAUUUUUCCAGUAAGAAACGCCAUUGUUGCUCUGUGUAUCUGCACAAGUGUUUUGCGCCACAAAUAUAUAUCAAAUGAGAUUCUUUUAAGGGUGGAACCAAAACGGUGUCGUCCGGUAUUUAAUUAAUUUCUACUUUUUAUUUUUUUGGAUGAGUAAAAAAAGUGAAAUAUUAAAUAUUUAGAAAAUUAAGAAAUAAUUUUAAUUAUUUAUAAACAAUGAAUCGCUGAAAGUGAUUCGAACGAAUCCUUUUGGUCCUACCUAGCUUUGCUCCUGAAUAAGUACUCGAUAACAUAUUGUGUUGAAAUUUUGAUGAGAUAAACAACACAUACCAUAUCAUUUCACUGAAGUAAAAUCAUAUAGUCGUUCAUAUGAAUACUCAAAAUAGGGUGGCUUUUAAUUUUUGUUCGUCGGAUCAAUAGUCUUUGAAAAUACAAUCGUAAGGCAUAUGUUAUGUCAUACAAAACUUAUGCCUCUGUAGACAUAAGUUCAAUUUCAAAACAUUAUACCUUAAAAAGUUCAUAAAGUCACAAAUUAUAUCUUAUAAGGUAUAGACGUAAGUCCUACAUAACAUGUCGAUGGGAGUAUAAGUUCCAUUUUCAAAACUUGGAAGAUUAAACCUAGAGAAGUUCAUUACUCGCUAUAUCUUAUAAAUCAUAAGUCCCGUUUACAAAACCAGCAAAAUUGAGAAGUUCAUGAGUCACUAUAUCGGAAAAAAAGUGGUGGUUUAAUUGGAGCAGCCCAUCAGGCAUUAAUGGAACUUGGAAGGCACCGAUAACGAUAUAAAUCAUAAGUCCCGUUUACAAAACCAGCAAAAUUGAGAAGUUCAUGAGUCACUAUAUCGGAAAAAAAGUGGUGGUUUAAUUGGAGCAGCCCAUCAGGCAUUAAUGGAACUUGGAAGGCACCGGUCCGUUAUCCUUCCACUGCACAAAGCGGAAGUUUUUCGUUGCUCUGUGAAACCAGCCUCACGCGGUCCACCCCACUUUAGGAAUCUAGUAGCCCAUUCUUUCAAUUGGACCACAUGAUCCAACUCUGUGCUUGGAUAGGGCAGGCCAGAAAUUAGCCCACCAAGCCCAGCCAUCUGGGACAGCCCAAUAUUCCACCACCUUAACAUCCCCACUUGGGUUACAAGCCCACGUUACUAAGCUCGACAUACAA
RNAcentral lists this long non-coding RNA (574136 nucleotides) under Solanum lycopersicum (tomato). Its description in RNAcentral is "long non-coding RNA (SLYC_LNC000717)". The stretch from base 471040 to 471342 matches the Rfam family "Plant signal recognition particle RNA". The record is from RNAcentral. Lineage: Eukaryota; Viridiplantae; Streptophyta; Magnoliopsida; Solanales; Solanaceae.